CAAGAAAAAGCUGGGCACCACACUGGAAUUGCUGCAAUGGAAGGCAGAGAAUGGUGUAUCUGACAAGGGAUUUGGAAAGUUGCUGGUAAUGAUAAAGGAUAUGCUUCCAAAGGACAACGAAUUGCCCGAGAGUACGUACGAAGCAAAGAAGGCUGUCUGCCCUCUAGGGUUAGAGGUGCAGAAGAUACAUGCAUGCCCUAAUGAUUGCAUCCUCUACCGCGGUGAGUACGAGGAUUUGAACGCUUGCCCGGUAUGCGGUGCAUUGCGCUAUAAGAUCAGCCGCGAUGACCCUGGUGAUGUCGAGGGCGAGCGCCCCAGGAAAAAGAUUCCUGCCAAGGUGAUGUGGUAUGCUCCUAUAAUACCACGGUUGAAACGUUUGUUCCAAAACAAAGAGCAUGCCAAGGCGAUGCGAUGGCACAGAGAAGACCGUAAGAAAGACGGAAAGUUGAGAGUACCCGCUGACGGGUCGUAGUGGAGAAAAAUCGAAAGAAAGUACGGGAAGGAGUUUGCAGAUGACGCAAGGAACGUAUGGUUUGGUCUAAGCGCAGAUGGCAUUAAUCCUUUUGGGGAGCACAGCAGCAACCAUAGCACCUGUCCUAUGACUCUAUGUUUGUAUAACCUUCCUCUUUGGUUGUGCAUGAAGCAGAAGUUCAUUAUGAUGCCAGUGCUCAUCCAAGGCGCUAUGAAAAAAAUUCUUAUUUUUAACAGAAGCGCGAUAAAAUACUGAUUAUUUUUGCAGAAGAUUAAUAAAUAAAUUGUUUAGGUCGUCCUAAAUAUUCAGAAUUUUUGAAGUUAAAGAAGUAUUCAUAAUAUCCAGAUUGCUACAGACUGUUCUGUUUUUGACAAAUUCUGUUUUCUAUGUGUUGUUUGCUUAUUUUGAUGAAUCUAUGGCUCGUAUCGGGGCGGGGGGUAUGAACCAUGGAAGAGUUAAAAUACAGUAGAUAUUACACCAAUAUAAAUAAAAAAUGAGUUCACAACAGUAUCAAAAGUGGUGAUUUAUUUUCUUAUAACGGGGCUUAUGAUAUUUUCUGUCGAGUUUUGUGUUGUGAAGUUUUCAAGUUUUGGGUAAGGAAUUGAUGGACUAUGGAAUAAAGAGUGGCAAGAGCCUAAGCUUGGGGAUGCCCAAGGCACCCCAAGGUAAUAUUCAGGGAUAACCAAGAGCCUAAGCUUCCGGGGCAUCCCCUCUUUCGUCUUCAUUUAUCGGUAACUUUACUUGAGGCUAUAUUUUUAUUCACCACAUGAUAUGUGUUUUGCUUGGAGCAUCGUGUAUGAUUUGAGUCUUUGCUUUUCAGUUUGCCACAAUCAUCCUUGUUGUACACACCUUUUGAGAGAGACACACAUGAAUCAUGAUUUAUUAGAAUACUCUAUAUGCUUCACUUAUAUCUUUUGAGGUAGGCAAUUUUGCUCUAGUGCUUCACUUAUAUCUUUUUAGAGCACAGCGGUGGUUUUAUUUUAUAUAAAUUGAUGAACUCUCAUACUUCACUUAUAUUAUUUUGAGUGUCUCUAAACAGCAUGGUAAUUAGCUUUGGUUAUAAAUUUAGUUCUAAUAUGAUAGGCAUCCAAGAGAGAUAUAAUAAAAACUUUCAUAUAAAGUGCAUUGAAUACUAUGAGAAGUUUGAUUCCUUAUGAUUGUUUUGAGAUAUGAAGAUGGCGAUAUUAGAGUCAUGCUAGUGAAGUAGUUGUGAAUUUGAGAAAUACUUGUGUUAAGGUUUGAGAGUCCCGUAGCAUGCACGUAUGGUGAAUCGUUAUGUAACGAAGUUGGAGCAUGAGAUAUUUUUGAUUGUCUUCCUUAUGAGUGGCAUCUGGGGACGAGCGAUGGUUUUUUCCUACCAAUCUACCCCCUAAGAGCAUGCGCGUAGUACUUUUGAUGACUAGUAGGUUUUUGCAAUAAGUAUGUGAGUUCUUUAUGACUAAUGUUGAGUCCAUGGAUUAUAUGCAGUCUCACCCUUCCGCCAUUGCUAGCCUCUCUUGUACAGCACAACUUUCACCGCUAUCAUAAACCCACCAUAUACCUUCCUCAAAACAGCCACCAUACCUACCUAUUAUGGCAUUUCCAUAGCCAUUCCGAGAUAUAUUGCCAUGCAACUUUCCACCGUUCUGCUUAUUAUGAAAUGCAUCAUCAUUGUCAUAUUGCUUUGCAUGAUCAUGUAGUUGACAUUGUAUUUGUCGCAAAGCCACCGUUCAUUAGUUUUUUAUACAUGUCGCUCUUAAUUCAUUGCACAUCCCGGUACACCGUCGGGGGCAUUCAUAUAGAGUCAUAUCUUGUUCUAGUAUCGAAUUGUAAUUUUUGAGUUGUAAGUAAAUAGAAGUAUGAUGAUCUUCCUUUUUAGAACAUUGUCCCAUGUGAGGAAAUAAAAUAAAAAAGAGGAAAAGAAAAAAAGAGCAAAAAAAGAAAAAAAGAGAAGAAGAAAAAAAAAGGAGGGAAAGAAAGAAAAAACGAGAGAAAAAGAGAGAAGGGGCAAUGUUAUUGUCCUUUUCCAUACUUGUGCUUCAAAGUAGGACCUUGAUCUUCAUGAUAGAGAGUCUCCUAUGUUCUUACUUUCAUAUACUAGUGGGAAUUUUUCAUUAUAGAACUUGGCUUGUAUAUUCCAACGAUGGGAUUCCUCAAAAUGCCCUAGGUCUUCAUGAGCAAGCAAGUUGGAUGCACACUCACUUAGUUUUCUUUUCGAACUUUCAUAAACUUAUAGCUCUAGUGCAUCUGUUGCAUGGCAAUUCCUACUCACUCACAUUGAUAUCUAUUAAUGGGCCUCUCCAUAGCCCGUUAAUACCCCUAGUUGAUGUGAGACUAUCUCCCUCUUUUUGUCUUCUCCACAACCACCGUCUAUUCCACCUAUAGUGCUAUGUCCAUGGCUCAUGCUCAUGUAUUGCGUGAAAGUUGAAAAGGUUUGAGAACAUCAAAAGUAUGAAACAAUUGCUUGGCUUGUCAUCUGGGUUGUGCAUGAUUUGAAUAUUUGUGUGAUAAAGAUGGAGCAUAGCCAGACUAUAUGAUUUUGUUAGGAUGAGAUUUCUUUGGCCAUGUUAUUUUGAGAAGACAUAAUUAUCUUGUUAGUAUGCUUGAAGUAUUAUUGGUUUAUGUCAAUAUUAAACUUUUGUUUUGAAUCAUACGGAUCUGAACAUUCAUGCCACAAUAGAGAAAAUUACAUGGAUAAAUAUGUUAGGUAGCAUUCCACAUCAAAAAUUAUGUUUCUAUCAUUUACCUACUCGAGGACGAGCAGGAAUUUUCCGGAGUACCGGGGGCUACCGGAACCCCCCGGGAGUUAAUGAGCCUUCAUGGGCCCUAGUGGAGAGAGGAGGCGGCAGCCAGGUGGUGGCGCACGCCCCCCCAAGCCUGAACCGAAUUGGACUAGGGUUGGGGGGCCGGCCCCCCUUUCCUUCUCUCCUUCUCCUCCUUCCCUCCUUCUCCUAGUGGGAAUAGGAAGGGGGGCGAAUCCUACUUGGACUGGGAGUCCAAGUAGGACUCCUCCCAUGGCGCAUCCCCCCUUGGGCCGGCCACCUCUCCCUUCCCCUUUGUAUACGUGGGAGGGGGGCACCCCAAAGGCACACCAAGCCUUCUCUUAGCCGUGUGCGGUGCCCCCCUCCACAGUUUCACACCUCGGUCAUAUCGUCGUAGUGCUUAGGCGAAGCUCUGGGCCGGUAGCUUCAUCAUCACCGUCGACACGCCGUCGUGCUGACGAAACUCUCCCUCAUCCUCAAUUGGAUAAAGAGAUCGAGGGACGUCAUCGAGCUGAACCGCUAGGGGUACGAAGGAGGAGGAGACCGGAUGCGUUAAGCUAGUUGGUAAGAGUUCUUGUCAUUAUUGAUAGUGGCCCUAGAGAAAGAGAUUACGCUGAUUGUUCUAACUUCAUUCAUAUUUGAUUCCGCAACUGAGACCUUUUCCCACAUCUGUGCCAGGAGGGCAAGUGGUCAAAGCAGAAAGGGUUCUCGCUUCUCCUUCUGGAAGGGUGUGCUGAACACGGAGGUCCCGUAUGUUCGGUGCUUGGAUCGGUUGGAUCGCGAAAACGUUCGACUACAUCAACCACGUUACUAAACGCUUCCGCUUUCGGUCUACGAGGGUACGUAGACAAACUCUCCGCUCUCGUUGCUAUGCAUCUCCUAGAUAGAUCUUGCGUGAUCAUAGGUAAAAAUUUUGAAAUACUGCGUUCCCCAACAUGCUUGCGUUUAUUUCACUACAUCAUGUCAUCUUACUUAAUGCGUUACUCUGUUCUUAUGAACUUAAUACUCUAGAUGCAGGCAAGAGUCGGUCGAUGUGUGGAGUAAUAGUAGUAGAUGCAGGCAGGAGUCGGUCUACUUGAUACGGACGUGAUGCCUAUGUUCAUGAUCAGUGCCUUAGAUAUCGUCAUAACUUUGCGCUUUUCUAUCAAUUGUUAGGCAGUAAUUUGUUCACCCACCGUAAUAUUUUCUAUCUUGAGAGAAGCCUCUAGUGAAACCUAUGACCUCUAGGUCUACUUUCCAUCAUAUAAGUUUCCAAUCUACAAUUUUAGUUUCCUAUUUACUUCCUUUGCAACCUUUUACUUUCCGUUUCAUAAACCAAAAAUAUCAAAAAUAUUACUUUACCGAUUAUCCAUCUCUAUCAUAUCUCACUUUGCAAAUAAUCCCAAAGGGAUUGACAACCCGUUUAGCGCCUUGGGUGCAAGUAGGUGUUUGUUUGUGCAGGUACUCAAUGACUUGUGUGUCGUCUCCUACUGAAUUGAUACCUUAGUUCUCAAAACUGAGGGAAAUACUUACUCUACUUUGCUUCAUCACCAUUUCCUCUUCAAGGGAAAAACCAACGCAAGCUCAAAAGGUAGCAGACCUCCAGUCGUAGCCGCCAUGAUUUUCUUCACGUCUAUCAAUGCCUUGAGAAUUUUGACUUGGACAUGUCCUAUGGCAUGAAUAAGAAAUCGAAGCUUCGCGCCGCGUCCUCUUGAGGCCGUGUUGGCUGAUAAUAUUAGUGCGCAUGACCAGAGCCUUUCUGAUCAAGAUAUCCAAGGACGACAUACACCAAUUCAUAUAGAUCUCCGCUCGGAAAGACCGAAACUCAUCAACGGCCAGAUCCAAGUUGUCGACAUCUGACAGAAAGACGACUUGGCGGAAGAAAAGCAUCAGGGCCAAACCACCAUUAUUAGUCCAAAGCUAAUAGCCUCCACGCCGCCCUCCUCUCGAUCCAGACAGGAAGAAAAAGAUCAACGACGUCGCAUCAUGCCACUCGCAUUCGUGGAGGCUUGAACAUGGCAAGACGCCAACCAUGGCUAGAGACGGGGACCAGCCACUCUGGCCAGAUCCGGCGACUCCUAGUCCCACCGCUCCCGCUACGGCGGCACCGCAUGUAGCCUACAAGCCCAUCCACGAUGAUGUCUGAUUAGAAGGAUAUAUGGAUAUACAGAUGAAAAGGCCCUUGUUAUCCCUCCAACAAUAUAUAUAAAGCUUAUUGGGACAUGAGAAAGCUUGCACAAGGCUAUGGAAAUGUAUUGCCAGACAGAGAUAUACGAUUUUCGUUCGGCAUCCAAACCGCUUGUGUCACGCUUAAUCGAUGGUCACUCUAAUUUUUCCGGCGGGCCUUCCCUGUGGUACUGCAGCCUUACAUGUGUAUUAGUGGUUAGGGCGUCAUCCGUGGCGCCGCUUAAGAGGAAGUUGUUUGCACGCUUUUAUUUUUUUUAAAUCAUGUACUCCUCAUCUCUAUCUAAAAAAAUAUUUAUAGAAAAUCCUCAUCUCCAUCUAGAAAAAGAAGUAAAAAAGAAAAAAAAAAUCACCAACGCAACCUUACAGCGAGCGCCACUUAGCGUAGUCCUCCAUUUAAAAAAAUAUGAAGUCAUCACCUUCAUAUAAAAAGAAAAAAACAUUUUAAAAACGUUUUCAUCUCCAUCUAAAAAUAAUAUCCCAAAAGCUUUUUCACUACGGCCAACCAGCUUGUACCAUGUGCCAUAACUGAUUGGCCGCUCUUCAUGCAUAGCUUAAUGGGUUUAAUGAGUUUCAUAUAGCUAUUCAUUAAGAAGAAAACCAAAAUUACUUGGAGUUAAUAACUAAUACGUUUCCUUUAACUAACACGUGCACGGCGAGGAUUUACGUGCAUGAUGUUUUUUCCUCUCCCCACGUCGUAUUGGGCCGGCCCAUUCGUGCACAUCUCUAUUUCUAAUGCAGCAGUUGGUAGUCUCAUUUUCAGGGUUUUUUUGUCCCACCUUUCAUGGUUUUUUUAUACCUCCUUCCACCUUCGCUGGUUUUUUUCAUAAAUUUUUUGUCCCCUCCCCCUAUUUCAUCGGUUUAUUUUCGCGUCACCCUCUCACACAAUGAAAGAAAUCUGAACAGAUUAGAACUUUCCAUGCUGGCGCAAGUUAUUUAGUAAUGUAGAAUCAAUCACGAACAAUCGCUAAAGAUCAAAUCCAAGUUAAUUAACCUUACCUUAAAUCACUCAAUCACAUUAAUUAGAAAACAAAUAAUUGAUUUUCAGAAAAAUUGCUCAAUCACAUUAACCUUACCUUAACUCACGGAUGGUAAUCAAUCUUCAAACAAAGGAAACAAUACAUCAAGGGAGCAGUAAAUAAACUCCCUUUCUUAUGACAUGUAUAUGAUCUUUCCUUCCCUCUCCGUUGUCGAGCGUUCUUGAUUCUCAAGGCCGAUUCUUGGGCUGCGUCACUGGGUCGCGACGGUGCCGAAGGACGAGGAUGGCGAGGCCGGGUGUCGCGGCACCGCGUUGGCCGUGGCUGAUGAAGGGGGUGAAGAAGGGCGGCUUCCCUGGCCGUGGCCCUGGGAGUUGGUGCGGUGGAAACGUCACUUGAAGGACCCGACGUGGGUGGCCGACGCGCAGACGCACUUGGAAGCGGGCCCAUGGCCCGCGCCGGACGGCGCCGACGCCGACCUGGACCACCUCCUCCGUGUAUCCUUGGAGCUAUGGCUGGCCAAUUUAUAUGAAAUUAAUUCCCUCAGUUGUGGUGGCAAAUAUAAUACACAUAAUCCAUAUUGUUAUGCACUAGUGUGUGUGUGUGUGAAAUAGAUGGAUUAUGGUCCCGUACCAAUAAGAUGGAUAUAUGUGUGUGUUAGAGAGAGAGAGAGAGAGAGAGACAGAGAGGGAGAGGGGGAGAGAGAGUGAGGAAAAGGGAGGGAGAGUGUGUGUAUGAGGAUUUGAUGGUAAAAAAAGUCGCCAAUGUCAUUUGAUAUGUAUGAAAAUAUUAAUAUUAAACUUUUAAAGUUAAUGUGGCCCCGUUAAAAUACACAAGCGUUCUUAUAGUAUAGUUAGAGAAAGACAUGAGGAAAAGGAAGAACCGGGAUCGAUUCCUAGUCUUCUCAAGGUGGCCGCGUGGGUUUGUCUCAAAAAAAAAAGGUGACAGCGUGGGUGCUACUACCGGUCCGCCCAAGUCCGGUUCGUGAUAAGUUGUAGGUGCGCGUCGUACUUGAGGCGAUUGAGGCCUGUUUUAUUUGAGUUUUUCCUCUCUUUUUUCUUCUUCAUUUUUUUCAUUCUUUUUUGCACUCCGUUUCUUUGUUUUGUCAUUCUUUUUUUCUUUUGUUUAUUUUCUUUUUUUCCGGUUUUCUUUGUUCUAUUGGUUAUUAUUGUACAUUUUUUGUAUACGUCUACAACAUUUUUUUCUAAUACACAUCUAACAUUUUUCAAAUACAAACCAACCAUUUUUGUAAUACAUUGUCAAGAUUUUUUUGUACACAUUUUUAAAUGCUUGUUUGUCAUUUUUCAAAUACAAGAUUAACAUUUUUUCAAUACAUGGUCAACAAUUGUUUUUGCCAUUUUUACAAAAAAAUUAAAUGCUUGAUUAACAUUUUCUUAAUGCAUGGUCAUUUAUUUUUCUAUACACAUUUAACAUUGUCCAAAUGCUUAAUUAACAUUUUCAAACCCUUGUUCAACAUCUCUUUUAAAAUGCUUGAUUCACAUUUCUGUAUACAUGAUCAAACAUUUUUAUCAUUUUUAAUACAUGGUCGACGGUAUUACCCAUACACAUUUAACAAUUUCCCAAUUCUUGAUUAACAUUGUUUAAGUACUCGUUCAACAUUUUCUCAAAUGCAUAACGUUGACAUUGUUGAAAAGUGGCAUCACAAGUUCCAGGGAGUAGAAAAGAGAUUAAUCAACGAAACCGCGCGAACUUUGUGGUGCUAUUGUGUUAUAUCAACUACUCCUUUCGUUCCGAAUUACUUGUCACAAGUAUGUAUGUAUAUCUAGAUAUAUUUUAAUUUUAGAUACAUCCAUUUAUGCGACGAGUAAUUUGGAACGGAGGGAGUAUGUGUCUGUUAUGUCACCAAAUUCAGUAUAUAUAGAACAUGGAAAUACAGUAAUAGUGAGCUCACUCGGUGGGAGCCCGUCACGGCCAUGGGAAUAGGAUCCUCCUCGUACUGCUCCUCUCCUGCCCUGCCCUGAGGAGCAGUAUCGUCCGUCGUCGCCGAGCGGCGCAGCAGCCGGUGGCCGAGGGGAGACCGAGAUUUAUUCUCCGGAGGCGCCGAAUCCGGCUCGUAAGUCGAAAUCCCUCUCUGUCCCGCCUCUCGGAUCCUCCCACCGAUCUCCUACUUCCCUGCCGCCAAUGCCCGCCUUUUCUUUGGACUCCGAGCGAGGAAUCGGAGGGAAAGCUGUGUACUUCCUGUGGCUUCAUACCCCGGUAAUGGCGGCCCUGCUUGCCGUUGCCGCUUGGUCCACUCUCUGCGUGCCCGUCUGCAAGGUGUUCGAUGGAUUGUGCGCAGGGUGUCGGCCCGGCUGGCCUCGUUUCACUUCUUCCAGGUUUCAGUCCGUUUACCGCCGGUUGCUGAAAAUGUGCACGAGAAGCAUAAGAAUGCUGGGAUAUGCGCUCUUUGUUUACCGUUUACUGUCAUUUGUUUGGUUGCAGGAAGCACCCGGCCUUAAGCAUAGUACUACAUAUAAAGUUGUAUGUUCUGUUCCGUUUGUUUGUUUGCUGUCUGAUGAUUGAGACAAGUGCAUAAUCUAAAGUUUGGCACCUGCACUUGCACCUGCUCCUGCACAUUUAUGUGUUGGAAACUGGAAUCUGUUCAGUGUAGUAUGGCCAUGCCACAUGUUUUGGCUUUAGCCUAAGGACCAAUUGCUUCUUGACUUUCUUGGAUGCUUGCUGGCCCAACCUUGGAUCUGUAUCUUUCUAAUAGUCUUCUAAAUCAGAAACAUAACGAUUUUUUGUGCUGCUUACUAGAUUCGGUGUGUUUACUUAGCGUGUUUAGUCGAAUCAUCUGUCAUUGUUCUCUCAAGUUACUUUUCCUUGCGAUAUUCAACCCAGCGGUUUAAAAUUCCUGCAAUUGCUUCAUUCAGAUUGAUUUUUCGCUUCUUUGUUGCUGAUUUCCUUUCAACGUUUGGGCUGAGGCUCCAAAUGUUGGUACUCUUUUAACCGGAGUAUGUUACUUUGGAGAAUAGAAGAAUUAUGCAUUGGUAUCAUGAUAACAUAUGCCUAAUGGUUUUUCUUACAGGAGGGCGUUUCCAACACAUAAAUAGUUUGCUAGCAUGCAGACAGUGUCCAGUAGCCUUUGCGCCAUUUGAGGCAUAAUGGACAUAGCUUUUAUCAUGUUGUUGGUUCUUUCUCUGCUCCUGUUCCCUAAUGGCAUCUGCAAGAGUUUAGCUACAGGACCUCCUGUUGUGAAUAUUGGGUCUAUUCUUCAGUUUGACUCCACCACCGGGGGUGUUGCGGCAGUUGCCAUCCAUACAGCCGUGGAAGAUAUCAACUCUGAUCCAACAGUUCUAAAUGGAACUACACUAAAGGUUCAAAUCAAGGAUACAAAUUGCUUUGAUGGUUUCCUUGGCAUGGUUCAAGGUAGGCUAGCUUUAAUGCCACUCAUUCAUUUCACAACCUUCAAAUAGUUAUUACUUCUGUUGUGGAGUUGUGGCAAUGAUGCCGUGUUCCUUGUAUCAGCUUUGCAGUUCAUGGAGACUGAUGUUAUUGCACUCAUUGGCCCUCAGUGCUCCACAAUUUCUCAUAUCAUUUCAUAUGUAGCAAAUGAGCUUCGAGUCCCUUUGAUGUCCUUUGCUUCUGAUGCAACUCUUUCAUCAAUACAGUUCCCGUUCUUUGUCAGGACGGGUCCCAGUGAUCUCUAUCAAAUGGCGGCUGUGGCAGAAGUUGUUGACUACAACCACUGGAAGAUAGUGACUGCCAUAUACAUUGAUAAUGUUUAUGGUAGAAAUGGCAUUGCUGCUUUGGAUGAUGCACUCACUUUAAAGCGCUGCAAAAUAUCCUACAAGGUUGGGUUUCCUUCCAACGCUAAAAGGAGUGACCUCAUAAAUUUGUUGGUUAGUGUCAGUUCUAUGGAGUCUCGUGUUAUCAUUCUCCAUACUGGAACUGAACCUGGACUCAAGCUUUUCUCUAUGGCACACCAACUGAACAUGAUGGGCAACGGCUAUGUGUGGAUUGCAACUGACUGGCUGUCUGCAUAUCUUGAUGCUAAUUCAUCAGUUCCUGUUGAGACUAUAUCUGGCCUGCAAGGUGUUCUUACUUUACGGCCACAUAUUCCCAACUCAAAGAUGAAGAGUAAUUUGGUCUCCAAAUGGAGCACGCAAAGUAAAAAGUACAACUACAGUGAUGUUUGUAUAAAUACUUAUGGUUUUUAUGUUUAUGAUAGUGUCUGGGCAGUAGCUCAUGCUCUGGAUGCCUUCUUUGAUGAUGGUGGUAGGAUUUCCUUUUCAAAUGACUUGCAUGAUGGAACUGGAGGAACUCUUCACCUUGAAGCAAUGAGCAUUUUUGACAUGGGAAAUAAAUUACUGGAGAAGAUUAGAAAGGUAAACUUCAGUGGGUUAUCUGGGCAAGUGCAAUUCGAUGCUGUAGGCAACCUCCUUCACCCUGCGUAUGACAUCAUAAAUGUCAUCGGAAAUGGCAUGCGGACCAUUGGUUUUUGGUCAAACUAUUCUGGCUUGUUGUCGACUGUCUCUCCAGAGGCUCUAGAUUCAAAGCCUCCUAAUACUUCUCUAGCCAAUCAGCAUCUCUAUGAUGUUAUUUGGCCUGGGGAGACUGCACAGAGGCCUCGAGGAUGGGUUUUUCCUUCUAAUGCCAAGCAGUUGAAAAUUGGUGUUCCCAACAGAUUUAGCUUCAAAGAGAUCGUCACGGUAGACAAUGCUACUGGGUCAAUGAAGGGUUAUUGCAUCGAUGUCUUUACUCAGGCAUUGGCUUUGCUUCCUUAUCCUGUUAGUUACAAGUUUGUACCUUUUGGGAAUGGUACUGAAAAUCCUAAUUAUGACAAACUCGUACAGAUGAUUGAAUCAAAUGUAAGUACGGAAUGCCUCUUUUUUCUUCCUCGAACCAUUUCAUCAUAUACCAUGCUGACCAGGGGCAUCUUAUCCUGCAGGAGUUUGAUGCAGCUAUAGGGGAUAUUGCAAUUACAAUGAGGCGGACAGUAACUUUUGAUUUCACCCAGCCAUUCAUUGAAACAGGCUUGGUUAUCUUGGCUCCGGUUAAAGAGCAUAUAACAUCGUCCUGGGCAUUCUUGCAGCCAUUUAGUUUGGAGAUGUGGUGUGUUACAGGGCUAUUCUUUCUUAUUGUGGGUGUGGUUAUUUGGAUUCUUGAACAUCGGAUCAAUGACGAUUUCCGUGGUUCAGUAUGUCAACAAAUAAUAACUAUUUUCUGGUAAGGAGCUGACCUGCACCUUUUGUACCGUCUUCUUGUAUAUCAUUCCUGUUUUCGAAGUGUUGAUGUUUUAACAAGUCUUGUGCAAUAUGUUGCAUACAGCGAGUACCUUAGAGCAGUGGCCAGUUAACAUACCUAAAUGAAGCAUCUAGUGAUUACCAAUGAACUACUCCCUCCGCCCCAUAAUAUAAGGGCGUUUUUGACACUACACUAGUGUCAAAACGCUCUUAUAUUAUGGGACGGAGGGAGUAUUAUCUUAAUAAUCUUGUGAGACAUAUAUACAUGCACAGCAUAUAUAUUCGCUUAAUGAUAUUUAUGAUGCAUUGCUCUAUUUUUCCUGUUUUCACAUACUUCUCUUCUCCACAUGUAUUUGCCAAAUGCUCUUAUAAUGGCGUGAUUCCUUGCUGUGAUUAUAAUUUCAAUUUUUAUUGCCUGCAGGUUCAGCUUUUCGACUUUGUUCUUCGCACACAGUAAGUAAACCAACCUUCUCUCUUAUGUGUUUUUUUUUUUGGCUAUAACAUUUUGUUCUGAGGCAUGAGGCAUGACUCGUGAUUUCAUAUGUAUCUGCGCGCAGGAGAAAAUACUAUGAGCACCUUAGGGCGUGGUGUCCUGAUCAUAUGGCUGUUUGUUGUUUUGAUAAUUGUAUCCAGCUAUACCGCGAGUCUUACUUCCAUCCUGACCGUGCAACAACUCGAUACUUCUAUAAAAGGAAUCGAGGACCUGAAAAAUAGCAAUGAUCCUAUUGGUUUCCAAGUUGGUUCUUUUGCACAAGACUACAUGGUCAAGGAGCUCAACAUCUCACGGUCAAGGCUAAGAGCUCUUGGUUCACCACAAGAAUACGCUGAAGCCCUCAAGAUAGGCCCUAAGGAAGGAGGUGUUAUGGCCAUUGUCGACGAGCGCCCCUAUGUUGAACUGUUUUUGUCAUCCUACUGCAAGAUUGCGGUAGCUGGCACAGAUUUCACCAGCAGAGGAUGGGGCUUUGUAAGUACAGUUCAACCAUAUUCUUUUAUAUAAAUUAGAAUAUAAGAACAAAAAUUGCUGUUAAUGUCCUGGAAUAGAGGUUUUAACUUUGAAUAGUUGUGUCUAGUCUUUAGUUUAUGCAACUUUUAUUGCACUUACCUGCGGCUACUUUGUUUCACAAAUCGAAAUGUAGCACCUUACAAAUUCAUUCUGCCAGGCAUUUCCAAGGGACUCCCCUUUGCAAGUAGACCUCUCCACCGCAAUCCUGUCUCUGUCAGAGAAUGGGGAGCUGCAGCGGAUCCAUGCCAAAUGGCUCAAUACAGGGGAGUGCACAACUGACAACAGUGAGCUUGUCGACUCGAACCAGCUCCGCCUUGAGAGCUUCCUUGGUCUGUUCCUAAUCUGUGGUGUGGCAUGUGUUCUCGCGCUGCUACUCUACUUUGGUAUCAUGCUAUGCAAAUAUCUGAGGCAUGAACCGUGGAAGAGCCUCAGAAGAUUCAUCUCGUUCGUCCAUGGGAAGGAGCCGCCGAAGAACAAGGAGAGGCGGUCCAUGAGCCUGCCUGGAAGCUCAACGCCAACAACGCCGAUGAGCAGCCAUAGUUCCCUUGACAUGGAAAGGCCGGCCAGGCCAGUCAGAAACGGUAGCAUUAUUGACAUGGAAAGCUAAUUCAUGUGUAGAAAGCUAGUUAACAAUGCGGUCGACUAACCUAGGUUCUGGUAGUCGGACAGCAGGGCUGUAUAGGAGGAUUCGAAAUACUUCUUAAGUACUCCCUCCGAUUCAACUUAAUUAACUUUGACUUGGUACAACCUUAGUACAAAGUUGUACUAAGUCGGCGCAAUUAAUUUUGAUCUGAGGGAGUACUAAAGUUUAUGAAAUAACAGAAGGAAGGAUUAAUAAGAAAUAGAAAUAUUGAAAUGCUCCUCCUGUCCUACAUAUAUUGUUUUUACCUUUGCAUGUGUUUGAUAGGGCGUAGUAGUAGUGUGUGGGUACUUCAGUUAGAAGGUAUGCAGUGGACCAGUCUAUCGACCGUGUGGCAAUGCCUGUAGUUUGUAGCACUAAACUUUGAUGCCCAUUCAUAAACUAAUUUAGAUGGAGCCGCACAAAAAUUGUGUUUUUUUUUUUGCUCACACACUCUGUUUUGUCUCAGUUUUAGUCCAGCGCAACUUUGAAGCUUAUCCAGGGCAACUUUGAAGCUUAUCCAGGGCAACUUUAACUAUUUACAGGAGAAAUUGUUAAAGACCUUAUUAAGUGAAGAAGAAUAGACGUCUCCAGUUUUUGUUUCUCCAACUCUAUGCCUACACUGUAAAUUAUUUAUGAAUUAGCUCCAGUUGAUGCAACUGUACUCUUUCUGGUAGGUCUGAGAUGGACUGAGCAUCCUAAGCUAGCUACUUGUCUCCCUUAGGUUUUACAGCAAGACAAAUGCACUGGACUACAAAGAGGAAAAUUCUUGCAGGUUCGUAAUGAAUCUGUUUUGGUUCUGGCAUUCACACCAAUCAUAAAGCAGUGUUUGUUAGUAGCGGAGUGGUAGGCAGACGCAAAUCAAACCAUCAUUUUUCUUCUAAAUACACUUGUAAAAGCAUCGAUGCAUCUCCGUCGCUUAAUUUUAUUUGUCAUUCUGUUCAGUACCUGGUUUGGUUUAGGAAGAGCUCUUUUUCCUAUGCAAAAUGUAUAACGUGUAUGUUUCUAAUUCCGAUUGCAGGCAUAUUCAUCGCGCUUGUGUUUUGACGUGUUGCGGGCAACCAAGAGUCGUUCAACAGUGUGUUGCUGGGGUACGCCACCGGUCUGACAGUAAAAGGUAGCGCUGAUGAACUGGUUUCAAGCCGAGCUGAUCAGUUCUGCUGUUACUAAUAUAUCAUGGCAUCUUGCGGCUCUCGGUCGAUGUUCUGUCAUCUAUGAGGAGAGAGUUUCCAUUUAAUCUAGUUGCUAAUGCUUUGUAUACAAAAUUAUAGAUGCCUACACAAUACAAAAUCAAAAGUUAUUUUCUUAGUCAAACUGGAAAAUUCAUAGAUUUGCAGGAACAUCUGUACAUAAAGCCUUUUCCAUCAAAGUAUGUACAUACAUUGUCUAUUUUAACAUAAGAAUGUAGGACUCGUUCAAAACUAUUUGACUAUUCAUACAAAAAAAAUAGAAUUUCUUAAAAUAAGGGAGCACAUCUUCUCUGGUUUGAUCACUGAAGUCAUCAAUUGAGCAGUCCAGGUUCACCUAGUUAUCUAUUUCAAAACUUAGGGAGAACAAUUUGGGUGAUACUUUUUCAAAGUACAAGGCACAUAUUUAUAGUUCAUUGAAAUGCACCUAUAUUUUGACCUCAUUAAUAUCUCAUCCUUCAUAAUAAAGUAUGGCCAAACAAACAGAGAAACCGCUAGUUUCUUUCAUGUUCCCCAGACAAUAACACCAUAGCUAUUACUGUCAUUCCCCUUCUCUCUUAAUACCUUCCAUCCUUUCCAUUAUAAUUAAUGAAACUGAAACAUAUCAUUCUCUUGGUUGUAUUUUUUUCCUAAAAUGUUUAAGGUGUAUGUGUCAUUGAGUGAAUAUAUUAUGUUGCAAAGUUUCACGAAAUUUAGUAUGCAACCAGUAUGCAAGAGAAAUAAAGAUUAAAGUAAAUUUAGUUAUUUUUAUUAGCCAUUAUUGUUUUUAGAGAAAACAAUAGGCAAGUCACUUUUUCAUGAAAGCUGGAGACAAAUAGUGUAUUCUAACAUAAAAAUGGUCAAUUUUCCUCACACACACACACACACACAUACACAUAAACUUAGAAUUUUUGGAAAUAAUGGGAGCAAUGGCCAUGUGAAAAUAUGAGGUUUAUAUCUUGUGGAUUUCCUUUCAGUGUACAAGGCCUGCAUGUAGAAUGGAUAUUUUUUUUUCUAUAUUUGCUUCCCUAAUUUAAAUCUUAUCCUUCAUCAUCAAUUAUGACUAAACAUAAAUAGUAACUGCUAGUUUCUCUUAUGCUUAUGAGGAGAUAAGACCAUGGAUAUUUUAGUCAUUCCACUUUGCUAUUGAUUGUUUCUGUUCUUUUGCGCUAAAUAGUAGUCAAACAUGUUAUUCAUGUAUUUCGUAAGGAUAAGGUCAAGCCUCAUGAUAAGGAUAGGGUCGCGCUAUUCGUCACCCUGGGUGAGGCAUUGUUAUUUUUCACCCACUUCUAUUUUAUCAUCAAUGCACCGUAAAUUUACGUUUCAUAAGUUUUGUCUUAUUUCCGACGCAAAAAGGGACCGUAAGAAAAUAUAUAAUCGCCAUAAAAAAUAUUUUAUGUUAUAUAAAAUUACAAACAUAAAAACAUAGUCUAAAAUACACACAAACUGCAAAUUUUCUUGUCUUAUAACCUAUAUUUUUAUUUUUUUAUGUCAAAUUUUACGUAGUGAAUCAAUAGAAAUAUAACUAUUUGAAUUCGAAAUGUAAUUUAAUUAUGAAAUGAUCGUAAGAUUACCUCGGGUGAAGAAUAACUUAUUCUGCACCCUGAUUGAUGAAUAAUAAAUUUAAUUAUAUUAUAUACAUAUAGGAUAACACUAUUCUAAUCCUAGAAUUAGAAUAGCUAUUUGGAUCACAGCCAGCCCGACCACAUCUUAGUGAGAUCGCGCGAGCAAAAGAAAAAACCCAAAACGCCCCGCCCCGUUUAUCCCCUUGUCGCUCCACCACCACCCCCCGACCUCUGGCCGCCGCCCACCCUGCUCCGGCGCGCCUCCCACCCUCGCCUCCUUCCGAGCGCUCCGCCGGCCCCGCCUUCUUCCAGGCGCGCCGCCGGCCCCGCCUCCUCCUGGCGUGCUGCCACCCCCACCUCUUGCAGCGCGAGGUCGCCGCCACCGCCUACUUCCCGGCGUGCCGCCAGCCCCGCCCCCUUCGGCGCGAGGCCGCCGCCCCCACCUCCUCCUGGCGCGCCGUCGUCCCCUGUACCUGACGCGCCCCCCGGUGCCGCCGGCCCGCAACCCGCCGCCCAGCACCUUCCCGUCGCGCGCCUCCCAACACCGAGGCGCCGCCGCCCACAGGUUCUGUAGAUGCUGACCUGCCACUGCACCGCCGCUGCAACCUGCUGCUCACUCUUCCUCGCACAUGUGUCAGCAACACAAAAGUGGGUCGCUGCAGUCCACCUCCUGCUACAGCAGCAGGACGACUCCUUCAGGACGCAUCUCACACUCAUGGAGGCGGUGCUAUCUCUGGCGAGCUCCUCCAUCCCCGAGCGCGAUGCUUCCACUACUGCGUCCUCCUCACGUUCCCUUCCCCAUCCUUGUGUAUGCUUAUUUCGAUGUGGAAAACUCCAUCAACUAGUUCGCAUCACGUAUCAGGGCACGGCCAUAACAUGCUAGCAAUAUUAUGCUUUGGCUGCUAGUAAUGUGUUUGUGCUAAUGUCUAGUAGGAACUCUAGUUGUACUGAUAAAAGAGAACCAAACCAUCAUAUAAGGGAAAAGUCGCAUCUCUCUAUCUUUGAUCUCUCUAUGAUACAGAUAUGGACGUAUAUGGAAUUAGUAAAAUUCCUCUUUUAUAUUGCUUGUUCAUUAAUCAUUCAUGCAUCGUGUCCUAAAAGAAAUAUAGUGUGCUCUGUUUGAAAAAGCAUGUGGUCAGCACAUGUUUGUUAUUAUAUGGAUCUAAAGGUUUAACAAACAAACACAUUCAGAUUUCUCUUUAUUCGUAUAAAGGUUGGAGUGAGGUAGCGCUUAUUUCCUAUAUAGCUGCUCAUUUUGGAUGCAGUUUGAACAAUCAGGCUAGGGAGCGGUGAGCGUGGGUAGGCUGGCCAAACCUUCCCUCCACUGGGUCAACCGGCAGCGUCGCCCACCACCGUACUGUCCUACGGCAACGGCCCCAACCUGGGCAGGCGUGCUUUCUGCGACAUGCUCCUGCUCAUGGAUGUCUUGGUGAGGUAAAAACUUCUGUUAACUUAACUUAGCUACCUCAACUGAUUGAACUGCAGGGGUUGUGUGCAGUCUGAUGUGGUUCUAGUGUUUGAUUAAUGCAAUUUGGAAGAACUUGCGUCUCUAAAAUUCAAACUCUGCAUUUUGGUGUAUUUUUAUUUAGAAGUUCAGGUCAUCAUAAGUUGCUUCGGUUUAGCUAGUUACUGUUGUGAAAAAGUUCAGCUCGUCAUAUUUGAACAUCGGAAGAAGAGCUGCUAUAGUCUCCUGCUAUAUGCUUGUUAUAUUCCUAAAUAGUACAGGCUCAACCAAAGCAAGUAGUUAUAGUCUCCUGCUAUAUGCUUAAAUAGUACAUUUUUUCUGUAUUCUUGUUCGGAAGUUCAGGUCAUUCAAAGAGACCAAAUAGUACAGGCUCAACCAAAUAGUGAAAAGUCUACUAGAGUCGAAAAAAUAUAAUGAUACAAAAAUGCAACUCUGCACUUUCCUCAAAAUGGUCAUCAUAUUCUUAAGAAGAUUGGGAUUGCACUAUUUGUUUGAGCUAGUACUACCAGACUGAACAAAUUGCAGAGUUGGAUUUUAGAGCCUGGACAUUUUCAGACAUUUUCAAAAGUGGUCAAUUGAACCUGAACCAAAAAGAUUGACCUGAAAUUCGUUUGGGCUAGUUACUACCAGACUGAAAAAAUUGUAAUAGGUGGAUAAGUGGUAUUGUACUAUUUUCUAUUGUGUGGUAAUGCUCGUACCCCAUGGCCAUGGAAGGUUCAGAUGUUGUGCUCUUCUUUUCUAGCUGAUUCAUGUUCUAUUUGGUAGCUUUAAUGAUAUUCUAUACACUGAUGGCGAGAGUUCAACCAUGGCUAUACGCCAAGUUCUACUAUGGCUAUAUGUCGGCCAUCGUGAAGUCCUACUAUAGCUAUAUGCCAAGUUUAAUUAUGGCUGUAUGCUUGUGCUUCCAGGCUACUAUUGAACGUGUCUUGGCCUUCAUUUUUACGGGUUAUAGUCUCCUGCUAUAUGCUUGCUUUUGCUAUCAGCAUGUUCAUGCAAGUGCCUCUGAAUAAUCUGAAAUUUAAACUUGUACCUAAAACUGAACUUCUACCUCUUUGCUACAGGUGCGGUCGUCGGAGUCCUUUAAGUGCUUGCACUAGUGCUUCUAACUUGUCCAUGAAGGCACUGCAUGGUGUGCCACCUCCCGUCUGCCGCCGCAGCUGCCAUGUGUCCUUGCGACCUCUGCGGCCAGUCACCAACGCCCUAUGAGUGCGCCCUAAGUGUGGCAUGGGGAACAUGCUAAUGUGUGUGUUUCUGCACUGGUGUGUGCGUGCAUGCUCACGUUUAUGCGUGACUGAGUGUGCUGCUUGUGUGCUGUGAUGUAUGUUGUAUAGAUUUUUAUGAAGUUCAUGUUGUGAACCCAACUUAAUUAGAACACAAAAGUUUAGAUCGCAGCUGCUUUGAAUUAUGUAGUGUUUCUAAAUAGCUUCUUGUCUGAAGUUCAGUCGUACAUGUGGGUGCAAGAAAGUUAGUGUCGGAGCCAGAAAAACUGACUUUGAGCAACUGUUGGGUAUUUAUAUAAAAACAUUGUGUGUAGCAAUUCGUUGUGUUUAUUGAAAAAUGAAAAGACAGAAGUUCACCAUGCAAAACUUUCACAGUCCAAUUGGUAUUAAGAAGGCAGAAAUAUAAAACAACAGUGAAGUUCACUAAAAAUGCAACUUUUCACAUUGCGAAGAAACAAUAAUUAACUUCUCAGUGUACAAUUUAGUUUUUGUUUCUCUUUUCCAAAAAAUAAGAAUAGAAGUAAUAUGUGGAAGCUAUUUGUGUUUAUGUCUCAAAUUAGAAUAAUUAUAAGAAUUGCCUCUAUAUGUGCUAUGUGUUACACACCUUUCCGAAUCAAAAGAGAUUAGAUUCAUCCAUGAGUAAGGUAGGUACAAUUAUUUUUAAACAGUUCAAUUGCUCGAUAGAUGUAUGUCCAGAAAAAUAAAAGAUAGUUCAACACAAUAUAAACCCAUGAGAUUGCAAAAAAUCUUUGGAUUAAGUGGAUGAGAACCAAUAAGUUCAUAUAUGAAACCUUGGGGAGUUCAAAAAAAGUUAAAAAGGUUCGAUGUUUGUUGCGAAGCUAGGAUUUUCUUCAUUACUAAUGAAUAAAUCAAGAAGUUCAAAUUAAAAAAGGAUGAGCGGUUCGAUGUUUAUUACGAACCUAGAAUUUUUUCCGUUACUAAAAGAAAUAAUACCAACAAGUUCAAAUUAAAAAAAUCGAGUAGUUUGAUAUUUCUUUGAAAACUCAAAUUUUUCCGGUUAGUAAAUAAUAAAACCAAUAAGUUCAAUUCAAAAUAACGAAGAAGUUCAACUUUUAAAAGCAAAGCAAUUUGAUAUUCAUUUAAAAACUCAAUUUUUUCGGUUACUAAAGAAUAAGACCAACAAGUUCAAUUCAAAGUAACGAAGAAGUUCGAUGUUUCUAACAAAACUCCAAUUUUCACAUUUCUAAAAACUCCAAUUUUAGGUGAGCCCAAUUUUUGUGUGGAUGUGUUGUGCAUGUGCUUGUGCGUAGUACAUUUAAUAGAACAAAAACACUAUUAUGGGUGCCCUCUAAAUGUUUGUCCUAUUGCUUAUGAGAAUUGACCCGAAUUUUCCUAUUGUUUUUGCACAUGUUGGAUUCAAGGGAAAAUGUGUAUAAAACAGGUGUGAUUUCAGAAGUUCAGGUGUAACGAACAUCGAAGUCCAAACCAAAAGAAUGUAAACAAAAAAAUCAUGGAAUUCAAAAGAAUAAAUACUAUCGAGUUUCAUGAAAGAAAAUAGCAUGCGAAGUUCAUGUUUCAGAAAGUUUGAAGUUCACGUGUACCACAUACAGAAGAAAAAUGAUCAAAUGAAAAAAGGGACCGCCUAGGCCAUUUCACCGAAAAGCAAAAAAUGCAUAAAAUGUCACGACAAAAUUCUAUAAGAAGUUCCAAUUUAAAAGCCGAAGUAGGUCAACGUUAAAGAAAAUGAAGUUUUUAAUAUCUAAAAGAAAAUUUUGGAAGCUCAACAAAUUUGUGCAAGGAGUUAAAAAAAUUAGUUGAAAAAUAUUUAUAACGGAUUUUCCCCGUGUAUAAAAAAAUCAGAGAAGUUCAAAUUAAAAAGAGGAGCAUUUCAAAAGAUUGUAUAAAAACUGAUUUACUCAAAAUAGAUAAAGGUGAAGUUCAAAUUGAAAUAACGGAGAUGUUCGGAGUUUAUUAAAACCUAGAAUUUACCUGUUCGAAAAAUAAAAAACACAACACCAUUUUUUUGCACUUUUAGAGACAACUCAUAAACGAAAAAAUGGUUGCUGGAAGUUCAAGUGCUCGGUGAGGAAAAGUUCAAAAAAUUCUUGUAAGAGAGGUUCACCGUGUAUUUAGAUGUCCAAAAUACAUAAAAAAUAUGUUGUUUUUUGUGUUUUAAAAUAAUUCUCUCAAACCAGAGAGAAGUUCAAAGUGAUAAUAGCCGGAAGUUCACGUACUACAUGGUGUGUAUUUCAUAUAAGAAAAAUAGAAUAAAGUGAAACAGAGUAAAGUUCAAACGGACAUGCCCUAGAAGUUCAACUACUUCACGUAGUGCAAAAAAAUAUCACAUCAAAAAUAGAGUGAGGACAGACAUGCCUGAGAAGUUCAACUACUUCACACAGUGUGUUUCCAUUCGCAAUGAAGGCAGAAAUCAUGAUCUCGUCAUUUCUCUAAUUUACUUCAAAACGAUAGGAAUAUCAUUUGUGUAAGUUCAAGUCCUCGGUCGGAGAAAGUUAAAAAAAUAUUGUGAGAGAGGUUUGUACAAAAAGAAUAUCAUUUGUGUAACACUGACGAAAUGGAUGAGAAAAUUACAAACAAAAAACGUCACAGAAGUUCAACGUGAAAACAACAGGAAGUUCGACUACUAUAGUGAAUGAAUUUGAGAUGAAAAACUUUUAAAAUCAUCGCGAGUAUGAAAAAACGAUCAACACGGGAAAGUUAUGUGCUUACAGCAGCUUUCCACCGGUAUAUCACUUUCUCAAUUCCGGUGAGUGGAUGGAGAGUUACGAGCAGUGGAUGGAGACCUACGAGCAAAAAAAUCACGUGAAAAACAGAGUGAAGUUCAGGUACACGCGCCGAGAAGUUCAGGUUCUUCACGCGGUGCAUUUUCGAAGAAUCUGUUUGACGAUAAAGGCAGAACGCAUGAUCUCGCCAUUUUCGAAAUUACUUGAAAAUGGCUAGGAAUCAGAGAAAACCAUCAACAUGAAAAAGUUUUGCAAUUUCCGUAGCUUUUCAGCGGUAUAUUAUUUGCCCCAUUCCGAUAAAGUUUGUAGAAAUUACGGCGAAAAUACGUUUUUCGCCAUUUUCGAAACUGACUUAAAACUGUAAAGAAUUGGGAGAAACAAUACAUACCAAAAAGUUUCACAUUUGUUCAAGAUUUCCAAAGCCAUAACAUUUGCUGCAUUCGGACAGACGGUUAAAAAAUUAGAUCAAAAAUACGAACUCGGUAGGACUAGGACCAUUUUCUAAAUUACUCUUAAACCAUUCAAAAUUAGAAAAAAACUUUCAAGAUGAAAAAGUAGCGCAUUUUCAUAAGCUUUACAAUGCCGUAUCAUAUGCCUCUAUUGGAUUAGCCGUUUAGAAAUGACAUCGAAAAUACGAACUCAGCUGUUCGAUUUACGAAAUUUUACGUUUUUUCAAAUUACUCUUUAACUAUAGGGAAUUAAAGAAAACUUUCAACAUGUGGAAGGAGCGGUUUUGCAGCAGCUUUCCAACGCCAUAUUAUAUGCCUCAUUAAGAUAAACGGUUUAGAAAUGCGGUCGAAAAUACGAUUCACGUUUUUUGUGCGAAGAAAAAACGGUUUUCAAAACUGCUCUUAAACCGCUUAUAUUUUGCCAAAAAUUUAAGUUGGAUAAUGAUACUGAUGUUCAAAACUUUCCAACGGUAUAUAGCAAGCCUCAUUUGGGCAAUGUUGGCGGAAGUUCAACCUAGUUCAUAGGGAAGUUCAGCGUACUACUAGCGGGGCAGGUCAGGUUGUGAUCAGAAUAUUAUUCUGAUCCCGUGAUUAGAAUAGUGUUUAUAUAUAUAUAUAUAUAUAUAUAUAUAUAUAUAUAUUAUAUUUGCCACAUUAACUUUAAGAGUUCAAUAUUAAUAUUUUCAUACAUAUCAAGUGAUAUUGGCGACCUUUUUUACCAUCAAAUCCUCGCGCACACACGCUAGUGCAUAACAAUAUGAAUUAUAUGUAUUAUAUUUGCCACCACAGCUGUGGGUAUUAAUUUCAUGUAAAUCGGUCAAUCACAGCUCCCAGAAUAUGCGAAGGAGGUGGCCUGAAUCGGCGUCGACGCCGUCCAGUGCGGGCCACGGGCCCGCUUCACUAGUAGAAAAAGGGCCUAUUGUCCCGGUUCGUAAGGGCCUUUUGUCCCGGUUCCUGAACCGGGACUAAAGGAUCGGUACUAAUUCCCUGUCCCUUUAGUCCUAGUUCAAUCCAGAACCGGGACAAAUGGGCCUCCACGUGGCCUGUGCGCGGAGCCCAGGCAGGAGGGCCUUUGGUCCUGGUUGGUGGCACCAACCGGGACCAAUAGGCAUCCACGCAUCAGCAUUUCUGUGGCUGGGGUUUNNNNNNNNNNNNNNNNNNNNNNNNNNNNNNNNNNNNNNNNNNNNNNNNNNNNNNNNNNNNNNNNNNNNNNNNNNNNNNNNNNNNNNNNNNNNNNNNNNNNNNNNNNNNNNNNNNNNNNNNNNNNNNNNNNNNNNNNNNNNNNNNNNNNNNNNNNNNNNNNNNNNNNNNNNNNNNNNNNNNNNNNNNNNNNNNNNNNNNNNNNNNNNNNNNNNNNNNNNNNNNNNNNNNNNNNNNNNNNNNNNNNNNNNNNNNNNNNNNNNNNNNNNNNUAGGUGUUUCAUAUAUUGUGUUAGCUAGCUAUAAUUAAUAGAGAGAAGUGUCCUCUCUUAUGUCCAUGCUUGGUCGGCGCUACGUACUAUACAUACGUAUAGAGAGGACUAGACAGGCUAGCUAGCUAGUUAGAAAACGAAGGAAACAGAAGAUCGUCAUGAACAUAUAUGCAUAGAGAGAGAAGUGAUAUCGACCACCUCUCCUUCUCCGAGAGAUUGGUCGAACAACAAGUUCUCGUAUAUCUAUCCGACACUACCGGCUACAUAUAUACAAUAAUUAUCUCUUACAAAUAUAAUCUCCUAACAUACGGACUCAUGGUCCACAUAGUAUUCUCCGUCUUCAGCGAUCACGUGGUCAAGAAAGAAUGCCGACAAUUCCUUUUGAAUUGCUCGCAUGCGAGCUGGUGCUAGGAGUUCAUCUCGCUUCCGAAACAUCUAAUUUGAAGAAGGGGCCGGGGUCAAUACAUAUAUAUAUGAAUGAAUGAAACUAAACACAAAUGAUGGUAAUAAAAUAAAAUUGUGAAUGUUGUUAUUUGCGCACUUCAUAUUGUUCAUCAGAGUAGCCCCGCUCACAGGCCGUGUGGUAGAUGGACUCGCAAACGUAGUAUCCACAGAAAUCAUUCCCUUGUAACUGCCACAACCCCUUUACAAGAAAUAGAGGUCAAUCAAACUGAUAAGCAAGAAUGCCAAAUGGUAUUGAUGAAACUAGCGCUUGAAUCAAUAGGAGAUGCGCGGAACAUGCUACUAUAGUACUUACUUUGGGGUGUCUAAAUUGCAGCUUCUCCGGGAGUCCCGGAGCUUUUUUGGUGAAUUUUUUCCAAACCCUGCCAGACAAAGAAAACAGUUACUUGAUAUAUCAGGAAAUGAACAAAGUUGCUGAUAUGGUGGAUAAUGAUCGAUUUAACUUACUUCUCGAGCAUUUGAGUCAUGUCCGCAUAGUCCUGGGGAUCUUUUCGUCUUGAGUCUAAGACGGUUACUAGUCCCUGCUCAAGCUUAAUCUCUAGGAGAAUAUAGUGGAAACUGCACACGCAUGCAUAACUCAUCAAUUACAUUACUAUAACCUUGACUAAUAUAUAAGGGAAACCGAAUAUGCACAAGACAGUAACACUCACUUGAAGUUGUAAGGAAAAAGUAUUAUAUCUUUGUUUUCAUUUAUUACCAACGAUCGUAGCAAGUUGGCCUCGGUAUCCGCGACAUGAAAUUUAACCUCAGUUGCAUCUAUGAUAUUUGUGUUAAUGAACCCAAUAUCACCGAUUUGUCUUUUCUUCAAUUCGACGAUCUUCAAUCUGCAUAAUAUAGUGAGGAUAAUUAUAAAUACAUGCAAUGAAAGAGCUGAGCUAUAUAGAGAGACUUAAUGACAGAAGUAGUACUACUUACAGACAGUAGCAGGUGACCGUUGCUUUAUCGAGGGCCAAUUGAUUGAAAAACUGAAAGAACUCCUCAAAUGGAACAGGUAACAAACACUAGUAGAAAAAGGGUCAAACGUGAAGCACAUUAGUGCCGGUUUGUAAAAAGACCGGCACUAAUGUGAUCAAUAGUGCCGGUUCGAAUGGCUAUGCAUUAGUGCCGGUUCGUAAUGAACCUUUAGUACCGGUUCAUGCCACGAACCGGUACUAAAGGGGUGGUGGCAGGCUGGCGUCAGGCCAGGCCCCACGAGCCCCUUUAGUGACGGUUUGUGACACAAACCGGUACUAAAGGUCUAACCUAUAGUACCGGUUUGUGUCACCAACCGGCACUACAAAGUCUUAACCUAUAGUCCCGGUUGAAGACACAAACCGACACUAUAGGGCAAUUUUCAAACUCUACCCCCCCCCCCGUGUAUCGCCAUUUCAGUUUUGAAAAAAUCAAAAGAAAAUGAUAAAAACUUCAAAAAAUAAAAUCCUUCGAGAGGUAGUUAUAUUACUACAUCUACUAGUUAGGAAAAUUUGAAAACUUAAAUUUGGACAUGUUUUGCAAAAAGUGUAGGGAAAAUGUAAAACGGCUAUAACUUUUGCAUAUGAUGUCGGAAAAAACGUAUAAUAUAUCAAAAAAUUCAGCACGAAAAUCCUCAAAUUCCAAAAGGAAAAAAAGAUAUGGUCAAAUUUAAGUUUUUUUUAAAAAAAAUUGGUUAAAUCUGGUCAAACUACUUAUUCAAGAAGUGUUAAUGUUACUACAUAAUUAUUCAAGAAUAUUAGUGUUACUAAAUAAUUAUUUCAAUUUUUUGAAUUUUGGUCAAAUCUGGUCAAACUAUGGUCAAACUGUGGUCAAACUAUGGUCAAACUUAUUCAAGAAAUAUUAGCGUUACUAAAUAAUUACUGUUUUUUUAGAAUAAUAGUUUCAAACUCAAACGGUGAAAUGUGUGACUUCAUGCUCAAGCUAAACUCCUGAGGGUUAAUAGGAUUAACAUCUUACUAUCAUCACGAAAACAACAAGUGCAGACAUGGAAACGAAGGAGAAUAGAACCCGAAAGUUAAGCGUGCUCGGGCUGGAGUAGUGAGAGGGAUGGGUGACCGGUCGAGAAGUUAGAUGAUUUGGAAUGAGUGAUCCACACUUGAGCAGUUAAGAGAGGUGAUUAGAGACUAAAUCAUCAAAUAAUUUAGAAAAAUUAAAAAAAUCAAAUUAAUUUUCAAAAAAAAUAUUCAAAAAAAAAACCAUUAGUACCGGUUGGUAACACCAACCGGUACUAAAGGUCCCCCAUACCAGGGCGUGAACUCACGCCACGUGGUGGCACUUUAGCGCCGGUUCGUGCCGAACCGGUACUAAAGGGGGGGGGGGCUUUAGUGCCGGUUCCAUAACCGGCACUAAAGGCACUUACAAACCGGUUUUAAAGCUCCGUUUUCUACUAGUGAAAUCAAUUCCAACGAGGUCAUGCUCCUUUUUAACUCUCACAUACAAAGUACUCCUCCCCUAGACUCUCUGCAGAUUUUCAAGUACCAAUCAUGCAAUCUUUGCAUCAUCGUUGAUAGAGAUCUUUCAUCUUUGACGAGAGGCUUCCCGUACUCGUAUCUUUGUAUCUGCACCUCCAUGAAAUCAUAAUGUACAUCGUCGGGCAGGUAAUCUCCAAGAUUGCUAUAACCGGGCACCAUCCUCGGAUCAUUAGCGACGAUGUCGCUAGGUACCUUGAGCGGGGGGGGGGGGGCACGAUUGCUUCCCUUGUUCGCCAAGCUGGGAAAUUUGUUUCCCAACUCGUCGUUCUUUCAGCCUUUGAUCACUGACAGUACUUCCCGACCGCUCCGCUUCGGCAAAUUCCUUUCCAAUAAUGCGCUCAUAGUUUCCUUUCGGUGGAGACUUGGGUGGUUUUGUUAGGGCAGCCAGAGUGCGCUUCGCUUUCACCGGAUCUACCUUCUCCUCCAGAGGUGGAUGUUUCUUUGCUUUCACCCCUUCAAAGAAGUUCCUGACUUCUUCUCGCACGAUCUCGGCGUUCUCCUCCGGGGUCCUCUCGUAUGGUAACUUCUCUGGAGUCUUUAGAGAAGGACCGAAUCUGUAUGUCCUCCCGCCUCUGGCUGUACUGCUAGACGCCGGCAGAGCAGACGGAGCGGUUGUCUUCUUUACUUGCUUACGAGGCAGAGGAGAAGGACUACGACGCACCAGAGCAGCCGGAGCGGCCGCAGGUCUCUUCCGCCCUUGCUGACGAGGCGGAGAAGGAGGAGGCUGGCUGCUCGGGCGCGCCGGCGCAGGCGGAGAAGGAGGCGGAGUGCCGCCACGCGCCGGAGAAGGAGCCGGCCGAGUGCCCUGAUAGUCACUCGCCAGAGGAGGAGGCGGUGGAGGGGGCGGAGUGCCCUGACUCGCCGAAGGAGGAGGAGGAGGCGGAGGCAUCCAAUUCGGAAGGUUCAUGACCUCCUUCCGCCAUAGGCAUGGAGUCUUCAGAGCAGAACCCAGCCGAGUCUCCCCUUCACCGGUAGGGUGGUCAAGCUGGAGGUCCUCAAAUCCCUCCGUUAUUUCAUCCACCAUCACCCUAGCAUAUCAUUCUGUAAUCGGCCGGCAGUGAAAAGUUGCGCUGGGUUCAGUAGGAAAAACAGAGCCAAUAGCCGCCUUGACCUUCAUAUUAACCCAUUGCGUCAUAAGGUGGCAAUUAUGAGACUCCGUGAUAGCAUCCACGGGAUAGCUGGCAGGAGCCGUCAAGACAUGCUCCUGCUGAAGCAGCUCGGUGGAAGCCAUGCUGCUUCUCCGCUGAGAUGGCGGGGUAGCUUCGGCAGUUCGUUUUGUGCGAUUUGCUUCUCGUUCCUCUAUUGCUUGUACCCUAGCGUGCAGCGCCUGCAGUUGGGUCUGCUCCACUUUCUUCCUCCUCUCGUGGCAUUUGUAACCGCCUGCGUCCGGAAACCCAGCCUUACACGGAAUGGAGCCUGGCGUGCCUCAUGUCCGUCCAGGGUGUUCAGGAUUCCCGAGGGCCAUUGUGAGCUCGUCGUUCUCUCUGUCUGGAACAAACAUACCUUGCUGCGCUGCUUCGAUAUAGUGCUUAAGCCUCUUGACUGGUAUUUCCAUUUGCUCGUCCGUCCAAAUGCACUUUCCUGAUACAGGGUCCAAGGUUUCACCAGCCCCGAAGAACCAAGUCCGGUAACGGUCUGUCCAGUUAAUUGUCUCUGGUUCGAUCCCUUUAUCAACCAGAUCAUUCUCAAUCUUGGCCCACUUAGGCCGAGCUGCCAGGUAGCCACCUGACCCCGUGCGAUGGUGAUGCUUCUUCUUCACAGCAUUUUGCUUGUUUGUCGACGACAUCUUCUUACUCUUUUCCGAUGUCUUGUGGGCCACAAAUGCGGGUCAGUGAUCUCUGAUCUUCUCAUAUCUGCCCUUGAAUUCCGGUGUCUCUUUAUUUUCGACAAACUUAUUCAGCUCUUUCUUCCACCUCCUGAAUAGUUCUGCCAUCCUCUUAAGAGCAAAAGACUUGAUUAAUUGCUCUUUAACUGGCUUCUCCGGAUCAUCCUCUGGCUGUAGGGUGAAAUUUGACUUCAGCUCAGUCCAAAGAUCAUUUUUCUGCAUAUCAUUGACAUAAGACACCUCAGGGUCUUCUGUAGCCGGCUUUAACCAUUGCUGCAUGCUGAUCGGGAUCUUGUCCCUAACCAAAACCCCGCACUGAGCAACAAAUGCGCUCUUUGUCCGGAUAGGUUCAUUCGGUUGGCCCUCGGGCGCGAUUGCUAUGAUCUCAAACUUUUCAUCCGAGCUCAACUUUUUCUUCGGGCCUCGUCUCUUUACCGAAGUUGUGCUCGAUCCGGAGGGCUAGAAAAAAGAACAAAGACUUAAUUAAUAUGUGUACAUACCAAAACAAUGAAUGCAUCAAUUAGCUAGUCAGCAGAAGCUUAACUAAUACUAGAUCAUUGAUGGUGCGUGUUGUUGCGCCCAUCUAUUUUGGAUCUUGGUUGUUAAGGAUAUAACAUUGCUAGUAUACAUUUCUUGCAUUGUUUUAAAAUAUUAUGCUUUCUAUAGCAUGUACUUCUCUUUAUUUUCAAAAUAAUGGUAUGUAAAUCAUCUUCAUUGGGGCAACAUUACAACUUCCAUAUCAACAUAAGCUUAGAUAUAAAUAGGGCAGUGCCAUAAGCCAACCUAUCCAUAUCCACGUUAUAAUAAUGGAUGGCUAUGUACAUUUUUGUUCAAGCAUAGUACAAGCUUGUUGCAGUUGCAUAGGAACAUAGACUUAAACAUAAUAUAAACUUGAAAUGUAUAAUGAUGGAAGAAGGCGGCAUGACAGUAUAUUAUACUUGGAAAACAAAUUGUACGAUGGAGUAGAGCGAACUGGAGAAGAUGUAGACCUCAAAUAGGCACCAGAAACACUGCACCAAAAUUUCUAUGAUUAUGGAUACAUCCAACAUGGCGGACGGUCAGAGGGCAUGAGAAGUAUAAUCAUAUACUAUCUAAGAAAAUCAAGACUCUUGAUUAUUACAUCAAAAGCAAGGCACAGAACAAGCUUACAUAUCGUAUUGUUCGUGCUAACACAAAUAAUAAUAUCUUCUAACACACGAAUGUAAUUUGGCCAAAAGAUAAUUUCUUCAUACGAAUUCCAACGUCACUACAUUUUUUUUCAUUGGGGCUUAAAAAUUGUUUGACCGUUUUACAUGAGAUAGAAAGAACUGACUGAACCGAGCAACAAAAGGCAACAAAAACACAAAUCAGUUUCCUCUCAUUCUCUGCCUACAUCAUAUUUUUUUUCCUGUAAAUAUAUCUUGUGAUUCAUCAUUGUUUCAGACCGUAAGGGCCGGAAGCUCUACCUAAGGCGGCUGCCAUACAAGGAUACACACAGCUUCGCCUUAAACACCCUCCUUGUGGCGAUGCUUAGAAAGGGAAUAACCUCAUGUAUUACCUUGCUCGGAAUAGCCAUGUUUUCAAAUCCCAACUAAUCCACCUUAAUCCUAACAUCAAAUGAACACAACAUUAACUUGAGAUCAGACGCUAUGGAGUCAGAGUGAUUGCAUGACUCGAGGCACAAGGCAACAGGCUGGGGUGAAGGCGUGGCAGCUGCAUGCCACCACGAAACACCGGCGAGCAGAGAACCGGAAGAUACAUAAUCGUUUAUGUCUUAUGAGUUAAUUUCUCCACUCAUUGCACGCUACAAAACAUUAGCGAGUAUACAUAGGAUGUCCCUUUCUGAACAACUACAUAAUAUAUAAAUUCCAAUUGCAUUAGGGAUUUCAUCUAGAGUAUAUUCCCUGAAUUAUUUGAAAUGAAGUAAUGGUUUUUCUAAUCCUACUUUGACCUGGAGCAUCACUCUGAAACAUCAGGGAACACACACAUCUUCAGAAGUAGCAGCAGUAGCUAAUGUGAAAAGUUCACUGGAAUGCUAGGAUACUAAAAAAGCUAGUACAUCCCAAUAGCCAAAGAACAUAACAAAAUUUGGCAUCAUGUGUCAAGUAGCUCACAGUGGGCAUAAAUUUGUACAUUAUAUGUCCCUUUAUUAACUCACUUGUCUCUGAUUUUUAACUAUUAGGAAAUAAUAGUGGUCAUCAAAAUUAGAAUAUAUUGUAAUGCUCUAGAAUAGGAUCUAAUUGUUGGGAGUUGUUACCUGAGGGAAUCCUUGCGGGGAGCUGAGCAUAGGAACCAAUGCUGUUCCGCACUGUCCACGUGACUGACCACCGUGCUGCCUCCAUGAGCCGAUGUGGAACUUCUACCAACAAGUGAUUUGUACAUGACUGCUCAAGCAAACUAAACCACUAAAUCCAAAGGGGAUUCGUUCCAGAAAGGUGCAACACCUUGAGAAAUCUACGUGUAGAAUUGAAGAGGGGAGAGUAUCAGGAGGUAAACCUAGAGAACCUGCAUAGUUUGUGAGUACAAAGAACAGUAUGAGUAAAAUAAAUUUCAAAAAUUGGAUUAGAUGAAGAAUCAGGUGAAGAGGAGAUAAAGGAAAGAACCAUCACCCAUUGCUGCACGAGAGUGGUUUUCAGAAGUAAGGGGAGUAGGGAAGGAGCAACAGCACUUUGGAUCGUAUAUUCGUAUAUGCGCGCGAGUGAAUUGAAGUAAAAAGCAUGAAUCAUCAGACCUGCAAUAAUCUUCAGUUUAGCCGGUUCAUCAAUUGCCAUUAAUCGAUCCUGAUUAAAACCUCAACGAAUCGAUGGCUAGUGAAUUUCAAUCGACAGCGGCUGUUCGCGGCCCUGACCAUCUCCCUAUUGCGUCACCGACCAGGACGCCGUUCGGUCGCUCGGCGAGGAGCGCCGUGUCAGUCGGACCUGAAGCACAGUGGCCAUGAGACACCAUCGGUCGCGUCGAUCCGACCCCAACACGGCCGCCAUCACUACUGCCCAGAUUCUGCUGCCAGCCGACAGCAGCAACCGUGCGAAACUGCGAACCAAAGGAUCUGGCGACGACGCGCCUGAGAACUCUAGAUAUGGCUUGAAAACCAGAAAUAUGCUUCACGGAUGUAGAGCGUGUUUGGUUGAGUUCCAGGAGCAAAAUUGCCUGGCCUGAGACCUUCCUGGGUUGUGCCUGCUUGUUGUUUGGAUAGUAGCCUCAAAUCACAGGCAUGUUCCUGGCCUGGAGUUGACAUGCACCUGAUUAGCCUGGGUAGAUCACAGGCAGCUUGAUUAGCCUGGAUGAGGCCAACGGAACCAGACGCCUGGCCUCCAGGCAGAUGCGUUUUGCGUCAAUUAGCAAGUUGUAUACUGUACUUUUUGUCAACUCAGCCGUCCCAUCUAAUUAUUUAAUAUUUAAGUACGUGUCCCAGGCCAGGUUUGCAACCAAACAUCACAUGCACACAGCAGCCUGGCCAGGCAAAAAUCCUCCUUCUCCCAGGCUACUAUCAGGCAUCAACUUUUGCUAGGCAUCACACCCAGGACAUGAACCAAACAUGCCCGUAGUGCGUCACUGACCUGGGGAUGAGCUCGUCGCCGGCUCGAGAAAAAGUCGCUCCCUGCUGCGCUUUUGGGGAAGAUAGGAAAUGUAGAAGAAUGAGCCAAUCUAGUGAAUCCCGUGGAACUUAAUGGAACCUGCACUCAUUUGGGAGCACAAAGAACAACAUCAAUUGAAAAAAAUUCAUGCAGAAUUUGGGGGAGAGUAGAGGUACCAACGAGGGAACACUUGUAAAAGGCCAGUAGCGGAGACUAAUUAUCGUCCUGUCAACCAUGGCAGCCUGCAAGUAAAAGGAGGAGAAUGAGGAAGGAGAAGCUCCACGAUGGAGAUUAAAUGGACGCAAUUGAAUGGAUGUUGUAACUGAGCCCAGUUAUUGGCCACCGGUGAGUGCGCCUCAUCGAUUGCAAAUUUGCCAUUAUAAUGGUCCGCUGCAACUAUGAAUUGAGUCCCGAAUCGCGGGCAACUGGAGGCAACCGACAGGGGACGAUCCGUUGCCCCGGAUACCUCCUGCUGGCGUCGCCCAGCGAGGCAACCCGGCCGGUCGCGUAGGUCGAGGCACAUCCGGUCGGUCCAAUCGACCUCGCAUCGGCACUGUUUUUUUUUCUCGCAUCAGGACUGGAUGAACGCUCAUCGGUCGCUCGUGUGUAACCCUAGUCGAUGGAACCGCACAAGUGGACCUUCUUCAGCGAAGCCCGUGGGCUGGAAUGGGCUGGCCGACGGCCCAGUUAACCACAGGGCUACGUUUUGGCCUGCGGAGCAGAAGCCCCAGGACAGCCGGCCCAGUUUUUAUCAGAUGUGGGACAGAUUGCUUUAAACAGGAGAUCCGACGACCAAAAACGUCUAGAUCGUGCAAACGGAUGGUCAGAAACGCGAAGCGCUGAGAGAGCUCGCUUUAGGUGCAGUUGUAUUGUACUUAAUAUAUACCUGGCCGGACUCGGUUCGGUCACCAGAGACGUCAUCACGGUCUCCUUCUUGCACCGGCAUUGUGUCACCGGAGCCGUCCUCACGGUCUCCUUCUUGCACCGGCAUUAGGUCACCGGAGCCAUCAUAAUCAUAGCCAGCUGCUUCCAUACCAUCGGUGUCGUUGAGAAACAACGAGCAGACGGCAUCCCUUCCUCGUGCGAUUAUGUCCCCCAACAACUCUUCUUGUACUUCGUCUCGGGCGGUGUCCAUAGUUUCUACAAAUAUUUAUAACAUGGCAAUUAUUAUUCAAACAUGACAGAUGGAUAUAUUAGUGGCAAACGUAGAACUAAUAUUAAUUAGUGGCCUCGACGCUACUUCUCUAGGGUUUGGGGUGGCCUCGACGCUGCUUCUCCAGGGUUUGAAGUGGCCUCGACAACGCUUCAAGGAUAAAAAAAGAAGAGGAAGAAGAAAAAAAGGGGAGAAGAAAGAAUAGAUCCUCUUUUUUUUUCUUCUUCUUCCUCUUUUUUUUUAUCGGGAACGAGGGUCGUCGACGCCCACGUCACUUGUGGGACGUGGAUGUAGUGUCCGACACCGAUGGCCACAUGUAUCUCACACCCACGAUACUUACUAUUUAGGGUUUCCUCUACCGCUCGGCGACCCUGACCCUCGACGACCCUCGUUUCNNNNNNNNNNNNNNNNNNNNNNNNNNNNNNNNNNNNNNNNNNNNNNNNNNNNNNNNNNNNNNNNNNNNNNNNNNNNNNNNNNNNNNNNNNNNNNNNNNNNNNNNNNNNNNNNNNNNNNNNNNNNNNNNNNNNNNNNNNNNNNNNNNNNNNNNNNNNNNNNNNNNNNNNNNNNNNNNNNNNNNNNNNNNNNNNNNNNNNNNNNNNNNNNNNNNNNNNNNNNNNNNNNNNNNNNNNNNNNNNNNNNNNNNNNNNNNNNNNNNNNNNNNNNNNNNNNNNNNNNNNNNNNNNNNNNNNNNNNNNNNNNNNNNNNNNNNNNNNNNNNNNNNNNNNNNNNNNNNNNNNNNNNNNNNNNNNNNNNNNNNNNNNNNNNNNNNNNNNNNNNNNNNNNNNNNNNNNNNNNNNNNNNNNNNNNNNNNNNNNNNNNNNNNNNNNNNNNNNNNNNNNNNNNNNNNNNNNNNNNNNNNNNNNNNNNNNNNNNNNNNNNNNNNNNNNNNNNNNNNNNNNNNNNNNNNNNNNNNNNNNNNNNNNNNNNNNNNNNNNNNNNNNNNNNNNNNNNNNNNNNNNNNNNNNNNNNNNNNNNNNNNNNNNNNNNNNNNNNNNNNNNNNNNNNNNNNNNNNNNNNNNNNNNNNNNNNNNNNNNNNNNNNNNNNNNNNNNNNNNNNNNNNNNNNNNNNNNNNNNNNNNNNNNNNNNNNNNNNNNNNNNNNNNNNNNNNNNNNNNNNNNNNNNNNNNNNNNNNNNNNNNNNNNNNNNNNNNNNNNNNNNNNNNNNNNNNNNNNNNNNNNNNNNNNNNNNNNNNNNNNNNNNNNNNNNNNNNNNNNNNNNNNNNNNNNNNNNNNNNNNNNNNNNNNNNNNNNNNNNNNNNNNNNNNNNNNNNNNNNNNNNNNNNNNNNNNNNNNNNNNNNNNNNNNNNNNNNNNNNNNNNNNNNNNNNNNNNNNNNNNNNNNNNNNNNNNNNNNNNNNNNNNNNNNNNNNNNNNNNNNNNNNNNNNNNNNNNNNNNNNNNNNNNNNNNNNNNNNNNNNNNNNNNNNNNNNNNNNNNNNNNNNNNNNNNNNNNNNNNNNNNNNNNNNNNNNNNNNNNNNNNNNNNNNNNNNNNNNNNNNNNNNNNNNNNNNNNNNNNNNNNNNNNNNNNNNNNNNNNNNNNNNNNNNNNNNNNNNNNNNNNNNNNNNNNNNNNNNNNNNNNNNNNNNNNNNNNNNNNNNNNNNNNNNNNNNNNNNNNNNNNNNNNNNNNNNNNNNNNNNNNNNNNNNNNNNNNNNNNNNNNNNNNNNNCGGGACUAAAGGGGGGCAUUGGUCACGGUUUGUGCCACGAACCGUGACCAAUGCCCCCUUUAGUCCCGGUUGGUGCCAUCAACCGGGACCAAAGGCCUGCGCCUGCCAAAGCCGUGGUGCGGUAGGAUGUUUAGUCCCACCUCGCUAGCUGAGGAGCGGCCGCACCUGUUUAUAAGCGCUGCACCUGUUUGGGCCUAAUCUCACAACGCUAUGCCUGCUGGGCCUUCUGCGGGCCUGAAUCCUGGCCCAUGGAUGGGCUUCUAGUCGUAUUCAGGCCGUGGUGGCCCAGUAGGUGGCAUUUUUUAUUACUAUUUGAUUUUUCAUUUCUACUUAGAACUAAAUACUUGUAGUUUUUUAGUGAUUUUUUUCUUUUAGGUCACAAAAAUUAUAAACUUUCUAUUAUUGCCAUUAGUUUUAAAAUUUGAAUAGUUUAAUUUUGAAUUUUUUAAAAUUUGUGUGAAUCACUAGUUUAUGAAUAACUUUACCGUAAAAAUUGAUUUUUGAGUCAUUUUUUUCCUGCUAUUUAAUAUUACUGUGUUUUAUCAUUAUACUCAAUUUGGUAAUUUUAGUUAGUCAUAACAAAUAUUAUAGGCAUUUUUUUCUUUUUUGCUAUUUUUUUUCAUUUCUACUUAGAACAAAAUACUUAUAGUUCUUUAGUGAUUUCUUUUUUCUUUUAGGUCACAAAAAUUAUAAACUUUCUGGUAGUUCCAUUAGUUUUCANNNNNNNNNNNNNNNNNNNNNNNNNNNNNNNNNNNNNNNNNNNNNNNNNNNNNNNNNNNNNNNNNNNNNNNNNNNNNNNNNNNNNNNNNNNNNNNNNNNNNNNNNNNNNNNNNNNNNNNNNNNNNNNNNNNNNNNNNNNNNNNNNNNNNNNNNNNNNNNNNNNNNNNNNNNNNNNNNNNNNNNNNNNNNNNNNNNNNNNNNNNNNNNNNNNNNNNNNNNNNNNNNNNNNNNNNNNNNNNNNNNUUAAUUCUUUUUGCUUUUCGUUUUAGAAAAAUUAUAAACUUUCUGUUAGUGCCAUUAGUUUUCAAAUUUGAAAACACUUUUUUAGUUUUUUUGCUUUCUUUGUUGCUUUAUUUAUUUUAUUUUGUUUCUACUUACAAAAAAAUACUUAUUGUUGCUAUUUUUUUUCAGUUUUUGUUUUGUUUUCUUUAUUAUUUAUUUUCUUUUGUUUUUUGCUUUAAUUUUUAAUUCUUUUUGCUUUUAGGUCAGCAAAAUUAUAAACUUUCUGUUAGUGCCACUAGUUUUAGAAAAAUUAUAAACUUUCUGUUAGUGCCAUUAGUUUUCAAAUUUGAAUAGUUAAAAUUUGAAUUCUUUAAAAUUUGUAUGAACCACAAGUUUGUGAUUAACUUUACUAAAAAAAUGAACAUAGAUGCACCUAUAGAGAAAAUUCGACCUAAAUUCAUAGUUUUCAAAUGAACUCUCAAAAAGUUGGCAUAGCAUACUCGUGUGUUACAAAGUUGGCAUGGUAUCAUCAUAAUAGUUGCUUGAGAAAGUCUUCACUUUUUCUUCGCUUGUGUCAUUUGCUUAUUGCGCCGUAACCAUGGAUAAUCUUCAUCGUUUAUCAGGAUGCUUGGGUCAGCCUUGACAUUGAAGGGAGGAAUUUCAUGAAACUUUUCAUAAUCUUCAGACAUGUCUGUCUUGCCCUCCACUCCCAGGAUAUCCCUUUUUCCUGAAAGAACUAUAUGGCGCUUUGGCUCAUCGUAUGAUGUAUUCGCUUCCUUAUCUUUUCUUUUUCUCGGUUUGGUAGACAUGUCCUUCACAUAGAUAACCUGUGCCACAUCAUUGGCUAGGACGAACGGUUCGUCAGUAUACCCAAGAUUUUUCAGAUCCACUGUUGUCAUUCCGUACUGUGGGUCUACCUGUACCCCGCCGCCUGACAGAUUGACCCAUUUGCACUUAAACAAAGGGACCUUAAAAUCAUGUCCGUAGUCAAGUUCCCAUAUGUCCAUUAUGUAACCAUAAUAUGCAUCCUUUCCGCUCUCGGUUGCUGCAUCAAAGCGGACACCGCUGUUUUGGUUGGUGCUCUUUUGAUCUUGGGCGAUCAUGUAAAAUGUAUUCCCAUUUAUCUCGUAUCCUUUGUAAGUCAAUACAGUCAAAGAUGGUCCCCUGGACAACAAGUGCAACUCAUCACAAACAGUGUUGUCACCUCUGAGACGUGUUUCCAACCAACUGUUGAAAGUCCUGAUGUGUUCACAUGUAAUCUAGUCGUCGCACUGCUCCGGAUGUUUGGAGCGCAGACUGUUUUUGUGUUCAUCGAUAUACGGGGCCACCAUGGUAGAGUUCUGUAGAACUGUGUAGUGUGCUUGAGACCAAGAAUAUCCGUCCCUGCAUAUUAUUGAGUCACUUCCAAGAGUGCCUUUUCCAGUCAGUCUCCCCUCAUACCGCGAUUUAGGGAGACCUAUCUUCUUAAGGCCAGGAAUGAAGUCAACACAAAAUUCGAUAACAUCCUCUGUUUGAUGGCCCAUGGAGAUGCUUCCUUCUGACCUAGCGCGGUUACGGACAUAUUUCUUUAGGACUCCCAUGAACCUCUCAAAGGGGAACAUAUUGUGUAGAAAUACGGGCCCCAGGAUGACAAUCUCGUCGACUAGAUGAACUAGGACGUGCGUCAUGAUAUUGAAGAAGGAUGGUGGGAACACCAGCUCGAAACUGACAAGACAUUGCGCCACAUCACUCCUUAGCCUUGGUACAAUUUCUGGAUCGAUCACCUUCUGAGAGAUUGCAUUGAGGAAUGCACAUAGCUUCACAAUGGCUAAUCGGACGUUUUCUGGUAGAAGCCCCCUCAAUGCAGCCGGAAGCAGUUGCGUCAUAAUCACAUGGCAGUCAUGAGACUUUAGGUUCUGAAACUUUUUCUCUGGCAUAUUUAUUAUUCCCUUUAUAUUCGAUGAGAAGCCAGUCGUGACCUUCAUACUGAGCAGGCAUUCAAAGAAGAUUUCUUUCUCUUCUUUCGUAAGAGCAUAGCUGGCAGGACCUUUAUACUGCUUCGGAGGCAUGCCGUCUUUUUCAUGCAAAUGUUGCAGGUCCUCCCAUGCCUCGGAUGUAUCUUUUGUCUUCCCAUACAAGAAGCCUACCAGGUUCACACAAAGGUUCUUCAUCACGUGCAUCACGUCGAUUGAAGAGCAGACCUCUAGGUCUUUCCAGUAGGGUAGGUCCCAAAAUAUAGAUUUCUUCUUCCACAUGGGUGCGUGUCCCUCAGCGUCAUUCGGAACAGCUAGUCCGCCGGGACACUUUCCAAAGAUUACAUGUAAAUCAUUGACCAUAGCAAGUACGUGAUCACCGGUACGCAUGGCGGGCUUCUUCUGGUGAUCUGCCUCGCCUUUGAAAUGCUUGCCUUUCUUUCGACAUUGAUGGUUGGUCGGAAGAAAUCAACGAUGGCCCAGGUACACAUUUUUCCUGCAUUUGUCCAGGUAUAUACUUUCAGUGUCAUCUAAACAGUGCGUGCAUGCGUGGUAUCCUUUGUUUGUCUAUCCUGAAAGGUUACUGAGAGCGGGCCAAUCAUUGACGGUCACGAACAGCAAAGCCUUUAGGUUAAAUUCCUCCUGUCUAUGGUCAUCCCACGUACGUACACUGUUUCCAUUCCACAGCUGUAAAAGUUCUUCAACUAAUGGCCUUAGGUACACAUCAAUGUCCUUGCCGGGUUGCUUAGUGUAGGGGAACAUAGUAAUUUCAAAAUUUUCCUACGCACACGCAAGAUCAUGGUGAUGCAUAGCAACGAGAGGGGAGAGUGUUGUCUAUGUACCCUCGUAGACCGAAGCGGAAGCGCUGACACAACGUAGAGGAAGUAGUCGUACGUCUUCCCGAUCCUACCGAUCCAAGCACCGUUACUCCGGCACCUCCGAGUUCUUAGCACACGUACAGCUCGAUGACGCUCCCCAGGCUUCGAUCCAACAAAGCUUCGGGGAUGAGUUCCAUCAGCACAACGGCGUGGUGACGAUGAUGAUGUUCUACCGACGCAGGGCUUCGCCUAAGCACUACAAUGAUAUGACCGAGGUGGAAUAUGGUGGAAGGGGGCACCGCACACGGCUAAGGAACGAUCACGUUGAUCAAUUGUGUGUUCUAGGGUGUCCCCUUGCCUCCGUAUAUAAAGGAUCCAAGGGGGAGGGGUUCGGCCGGCCCUAUGGAGGCGCAGGAGGAGUCCUACUCCUACCGGGAGUAGGACUCCCCCCUUUCCUAGUCCAAGUAGGAUUGGUGGAGAAGAAAGGGAAAGAGGGGGGUGCAGCCCCUCCCUCCUUGUCCAAUUCGGACUAGGGGGAGAGGGGGCGCGCGGCCUGCCCUGGCAGCCCCUUCCUAUUCUCCACUUUAGGCCCAUGAGGCCCAUUAACACCCCGGGGGGUUCCGGUAACCCCCCGGUGCUCCGGUUUUAUCCGAAACUUCAUCGGAACCCUUCCGGUGUCUGAAUAUAGUCAUCCAAUAUAUCAAUCUUUAUGUCUCGACCAUUUCGAGACUCCUCGUCAUGCCCGUGAUCACAUCCGGGACACCGAACUAACUUCGGUACAUCAAAAUGUAUAAACUCAUAAUAACUAUCAUCGUAACGUUAAGCGUGCGGACCCUAUGGUUCGAGAACAAUGUAGACAUGACCGAGACACGUCUCCGGUCAAUAACCAAUAGCGGGACCUGGAUGCCCAUAUUGGCUCCUACAUAUUCUACGAAGAUCUUUAUCGGUCAGACCGCAUAACAACAUACGUUGUUCCCUUUGUCAUCGGUAUGUUACUUGCCCGAGAUUCGAUCGUCGGUAUCCAAUACCUAGUUCAAUCUCGUUACCGGCAAAUCUCUUUACUCGUUCCGUAAUACAUCAUCUCACAACUAACUCAUUAGUUGUAAUGCUUGCAAGGCUUAUGUGAUGUGCAUUACCGAGAGGGCCCAGAGAUACCUCUCCGACAAUCGGAGUGACAAAUCCUAAUCUCGAAAUACGCCAACCCAACAUCUACCUUUGGAGACACCUGUAGAGCACCUUUAUAAUCACCCAGUUACGUUGUGACGUUUGGUAGCACACAAAGUGUUCCUCCGGCAAACGGGAGUUGCAUAAUCUCAUAGUCAUAGGAACAUGUAUAAGUCAUGAAGAAAGCAAUAGCAACAUACUAAACGAUCGGGUGCUAAGCUAAUGGAAUGGGUCAUGUCAAUCAGAUCAUUCAACUAAUGAUGUGAUCUCGUUAAUCAAAUAACAACUCUUUGUUCAUGGUUAGGAAACAUAACCAUCUUUGAUUAACGAGCUAGUCAAGUAGAGGCAUACUAGUGACACUCUGUUUGUCUAUGUAUUCACACAUGUAUUAUGUUUCCGGUUAAUACAAUUCUAGCAUGAAUAAUAAACAUUUAUCAUGAUGUAAGGAAAUAAAUAAUAACUUUAUUAUUGCCUCUAGGGCAUAUUUCCUUCAGUCUCCCACUUGCACUAGAGUCAAUAAUCUAGAUUACACAGUAAUGAUUCUAACACCCAUGGAGCCUUGGUGCUGAUCAUGUUUUGCUCGUGGAAGAGGCUUAGUCAACGGGUCUGCAACAUUCAGAUCCGUAUGUAUCUUGCAAAUCUCUAUGUCUCCCACCUGGACUAGAUCCCGGAUGGAAUUGAAGCGUCUCUUGAUGUGCUUGGUUCUCUUGUGAAAUAUGGAUUCCUUUGCCAAGGCAAUUGCACCAGUAUUGUCACAAAAGAUUUUCAUUAGACCCGAUGCACUAGGUAUGACACCUAGAUCGGAUAUGAACUCCUUCAUCCAGACUCCUUCGUUUGCUACUUCCGAAGCAGCUAUGUACUCCGCUUCACAUGUAGAUCCCGCCACAAUGCUUUGUUCAGAACUGCACCAACUGACAGCUCAACCGUUUAAUGUAAACAUGUAUCCGGUUUGUGAUUUAGAAUCGUCCGGAUCAGUGUCAAAGCUUGCAUCAACGUAACCGUUUACGAUGAGCUCUUUGUCACCUCCAUAUACGAGAAACAUAUCCUUAGUCCUUUUCAGGUACUUCAGGAUGUUCUUGACCGUUGUCCAGUGAUCCACUCCUGGAUUACUUUGGUACCUCCCUGCUAAACUUAUAGCAGGGCACACAUCAGGUCUGGUACACAGCAUUGCAUACAUGAUAGAGCCUAUGGCUGAAGCAUAGGGAACAUCUUUCAUUUUCUCUCUAUCUUCUGAAGUGGUCGGGCAUUGAGUCUGACUCAACUUCACACCUUGUAACACAGGCAAGAACCCUUUCUUUGCUUGAUCCAUUUUGAACUUCUUCAAAAUCUUGUCAAGGUAUGUGCUUUGUGAAAGUCCAAUUAAGCGUCUUGAUCUAUCUCUAUAGAUCUUUAUGCCUAAUAUGUAAGCAGCUUCACCGAGGUCUUUCAUUGAAAAACUCUUAUUCAAGUAUCCCUUUAUGCUAUCCAGAAAUUCUAUAUCAUUUCCAAUCAGUAAUAUGUCAUCCACAUAUAAUAUCAGAAAUGCUAUAGAGCUCCCACUCACUUUCUUGUCAAUACAGGCUUCUCCAAAAGUCUGUACAAAACCAAAUGCUUUGAUCACACUAUCAAAGCGUUUAUUCCAACUCCGAGAGGCUUGCACCAGUCCAUAAAUGGAUCGCUGGAGCUUGCACACUUUGUUAGAUCCUUUCGGAUCGACAAAACCUUCCGGUUGCAUCAUAUACAACUCUUCUUCCAGAAAUCCAUUCAGGAAUGCAGUUUUGACAUCCAUCUGCCAAAUUUCGUAAUCAUAAAAUGCGGCAAUUGCUAACAUGAUUCGAACGGACUUAAGCAUCGCUACGGGUGAGAAGGUCUCAUCAUAGUCAACCCCUUGAACUUGUCCAAAACCUUUUGCGACAAGUCGAGCUUUGUAGACAGUAACAUUACCGUCAGCGUCAGUCUUUUUCUUGAAGAUCCAUUUAUUCUCAAUUGCUUGCCGACCAUCGGGCAAGUUAACCAAAGUCCAUACUUUGUUCUCAUACAUGGAUCCCAUUUCAGAUUUCAUGGCUUCAAGCCAUUUUGCGGAAUCUGGGCUCACCAUCGCUUCUUCAUAGUUAGUAGGUUCAUCAUGAUCUAGCAGCAUGAUUUCUAGAACAGGAUUACCGUACCACUCUGGCGCGGAUCUCACUCUGGUUGAUCUACGAGGUUCAGUAGUAUCUUGUCCUGAAGUUUCAUGAUCAUUAUCAUUAGCUUCCUCACUUAUGGGUGUAGGUGUCGCAGAAACAGUUUUCUGUGAUGUACUUCUUUCCAAUAAGGGGGCAGGUACAGUUACCUCGUCAAGUUCUACUUUCCUCCCACUCACUUCUUUCGAGAGAAACUCCUUCUCUAGAAAGGAUCCAUUCUUAGCAACGAAUGUCUUGCCUUCGGAUCUGUGAUAGAAGGUGUACCCAACAGUCUCCUUUGGGUAACCUAUGAAGACACAUUUCUCCGAUUUGGGUUCAAGCUUAUCAGGUUGAAGCUUUUUCACAUAAGCAUCGCAGCCCCAGACUUUAAGAAACGACAACUUUGGUUUCUUGCCAAACCAUAGUUCAUAAGGCGUCGUCUCAACGGAUUUUGAUGCUGCCCUAUUUAACGUGAAUGCGGCCGUCUCUAAAGCAUAACCCCAAAACGAUAGCGGUAAAUCAGUAAGAGACAUCAUAGAUCGCACCAUAUCUAGUAAAGUACGAUUACGACGUUCGGACACACCAUUACGCUGUGGUGUUCCGGGUGGCGUGAGUUGCGAAACUAUUCCGCAUUGUUUCAAAUGUACACCAAACUCGUAACUCAAAUAUUCUCCUCCAUGAUCAGAUCGUAGAAACUUUAUUUUCUCGUUACGAUGAUUUUCAACUUCACUCUGAAAUUCUUUGAACUUUUCAAAUGUUUCAGACUUGUGUUUCAUUAAGUAGAUAUACCCAUAUCUGCUUAAAUCAUUUGUGAAGUUGAGAAAAUAACGAUAUCCGCCACGAGCCUCAAUAUUCAUCGGACCACAUACAUCGGUAUGUAUGAUUUCCAACAAAUCUGUUGCUCUCUCCAUAGUACCGGAGAACGGUGUUUUAGUCAUCUUGCCCAUGAGGCACGGUUCGCAAGUACCAAGUGAUUCAUAAUCAAGUAGUUCCAAAAGUCCAUCAGUAUGGAGUUUCUUCAUGCGCUUUACACCGAUAUGACCUAAACGGCAGUGCCACAAAUAAGUUGCACUAUCAUUAUCAACUCUGCAUCUUUUGGUUUCAACAUUAUGAAUAUGUGUAUCACUACUAUCGAGAUUCAUCAGAAAUAGACCACUCUUCAAGGGUUCAUGACCAUAAAAGAUAUUACUCAUAUAAAUAGAACAACCAUUAUUCUCUGAUUUAAAUGAAUAACCGUCUCGCAUCAAACAAGAUCCAGAUAUAAUGUUCAUGCUUAACGCUGGCACCAAAUGACAAUUAUUUAGGUCUAAUACUAAUCCCGAAGGUAGAUGUAGAGGUAGCGUGCCGACCGCGAUCACAUCGACUUUGGAACCGUUUCCCACGCGCAUCGUCACCUCGUCCUUUGCCAGUGUUCGCCUAAUCCGUAGUCCCUGUUUCGAGUUGCAAAUAUUAGCAAUAUAACCAGUAUCAAAUACCCAGGUGCUACUGCGAGCUCUAGUAAGGUACACAUCAAUAACAUGUAUAUCACUUAUACCUUUAUUCACCUUGCCAUCCUUCUUAUCCGCCAAAUACUUGGGGCAGUUCCGCUUCCAGUGACCAGUCUGCUUGUAGUAGAAGCACUCAGUUUCAGGCUUAGGUCCAGACUUGGGUUUCUUCUCCUGAGCAGCAACUUGCUUGCCGUUCUUCUUGAAGUUCCCCUUCUUCUUCCCUUUGCCCCUUUUCUUGAAACUAGUGGUCUUGUUGACCAUCAACACUUCAUGCUCCUUCUUGAUUUCUACCUCCGCAGCUUUCAGCAUUGCGAAGAGCUCGAGAAUAGUCUUAUUCAUCCAUUGCAUAUUAUAGUUCAUCACAAAGCUCUUGUAGCUUGGUGGCAGUGAUUGGAGAAUUCUGUCAAUGACGCAAUCAUCUGGAAAAUUAACUCCCAUCUAAAUCAAGUGAUUAUUAUACCCAGACAUUUUGAGUAUAUGCUCACUGACAGAACUAUUCUCCUCCAUCUUGCAGCUAUAGAACUUAUUGGAGACUUCAUAUCUCUCAAUCCGGGCAUUUGCUUGAAAUAUUAGCUUCAACUCCUGGAACAUCUCAUAUGCUCCAUGACGUUCAAAACGUCGUUGAAGUCCCAAUUCUAAGCCGUAAAGCAUGGCACACUGAACUAUCGAGUGGUCAUCAGCUUUGCUCCGCCAGACGUUCAUAACAUCUGGUGUUGCUCCAGCAGCAGGCCUGGCACCCAGCGGUGCUUCCAGGACGUAAUUCUUCUGUGCAGCAAUGAGGAUAAUCCUCAAGUUACGGACCCAGUCCGUGUAAUUGCUACCAUCAUCUUUCAACUUUGCUUUUGUUGGGGAACGUAGUAAUUUCAAAAAUUUCCUACGCACACGCAAGAUCAUGGUGAUGCAUAGCAACGAGGGGGAGAGUCUGAUCUACGUACCCUUGUAGAUCGCAACGGAAGCGUUGACACAACGUAGAGGAAGUAGUCGUACGUCUUCUUCCCGAUCCGACCGAUCCAAGCACUGUUACUCCGGCACCUCCGAGUUCUUAGCACACGUUCAGCUCGAUGACGAUCCUCGGGCUCCGAUCCAGCAAAGCGUCGAGGAAGAGUUCCGUCAGCACGACGGCGUGGUGACGAUCUUGACGUACUACCGACGUAGGGCUUCGCCUAAGCACUACAACGGUAUGAUCGAGGUGGAAUUUGGUGGCAGGGGGCACCGCACACGGCUAAGGAACGAUUUCAAGGAUCAACUUGUGUGUCUAUGGGGAGCCCCCCGCCCCUGUAUAUAAAGGAUGGAGGAGGAGGAGGCCGGCCAAGGCAAAGGUGCGGCCAGGAUAGGGAGUCCUACUAGGACUCCAAGUCCUAGUAGGAGUCCACCAAAAGGGGAGGAAGGGAGAAGGAAUAGGAGGAGAAGGAGAGGUGGCCGGCCCCCUUUUCCCUAGUCCAAUUCGGACCAAAGGGGAGGGGGGGCGCAGCAGCCUUUUCCUCUUCCCACUAAAGCCCAUCAAGGCCCAUUACUUCUCCCGUAACUACCCGGUACUCCGAAAAAUACCCGAAUCACUCGGAACCUUUCCGAUGUCCGAAUAUAGUCGUCCAAUAUAUCGAUCUUUACGUCUCGACCAUUUCGAGACUCCUCGUCAUGUCCCCGAUUUCAUCCGGGACUCCGAACUCCUUCGGUACAUCAAUACUCAUAAACUCAUAAUAUAACUGUCAUCGAAACCUAAAGCGUGCGGACCCUAUGGUUCGAGAACAAUGUAGACAUGACCGAGACACGUCUUCGGUCAAUAACCAAUAGCGGGACCUGGAUGCCCAUAUUGGCUCCUACAUAUUCUACGAAGAUCUUUAUCGGUCAGACCGCAUAACAACAUACGUUGUUCCCUUUGUCAUCGGUAUGUUACUUGCCCGAGAUUCGAUCGUCGGUAUCCAAUACCUAGUUCAAUCUCGUUACCGGCAAGUCUCUUUACUCAUUCUAUAAUACAUCAUCCCACAACUAACUCAUUAGUUGCAAUGCUUGCAAGGCUUAAGUGAUGUGCAUUACCGAGAGGGCCCAGAGAUACCUCUCCGAUAAUCGGAGUGACAAAUCCUAAUCUCGAAAUACGCCAACCCAACAUCUUCCUUUGGAGACACCUGUAAUGCUCCUUUAUAAUCACCCAGUUACGUUGUGACGUUUUGUAGCACCCAAAGUGAUCCUCCGGCAAACGGGAGUUGCAUAAUCUCAUAGUCAUAGGAACAUGUAUAAGUCAUGAAGAAAGCAAUAGCAACAUACUAAACGAUCGGGUGCUAAGCUAAUGGAAUGGGUCAUGUCAAUCAGAUCAUUCAACUAAUGAUGUGACCUCGUUAAUCAAAUAACAACUCUUUUGUCCAUGGUUAGGAAACAUAACCAUCUUUGAUUAACGAGCUAGUCAAGUAGAGGCAUACUAGUGACACUCUGUUUGUCUAUGUAUUCACACAUGUAUUAUGUUUCCGGUUAAUACAAUUCUAGCAUGAAUAAUAAACAUUUAUCAUGAUAUAAGGAAAUAAAUAAUAACUUCAUUAUUGCCUCUAGGGCAUAUUUCCUUCAGUCUCCCACUUGCACUAGAGUCAAUAAUCUAGUUCACAUCGCCAUGUGAUUUAACAGCAAUAGUUCACAUCACCAUGUGAUUAACACCCAUAGUUCACAUCGUCAUGUGACCAACACUCAAAGGGUUUACUAGAGUCAGUAAUCUAGUUCACAUAUCUAUGUGAUUAACACCCAAAGAGUACUAAGGUGUGAUCAUGUUUUGCUUGUGAGAUAAUUUUAGUCAACGGGUCUGUCACAUUCAGAUCUGUAAGUAUUUUGCAAGUUCUAUGUCUACAAUGCUCUACACGGAGCUACUCUAGCUAAUUGCUCCCACUUUCAAUAUGUAUCCAGAUUGAGACUUUAGAUUCAUCUGGAUCAGUGUCAAAAACUUGCAUCGACGUAACCCUUUACGACGAACCUUUUUGUCACGUCCAUAAUCGAGAAACAUAUCCUUAUUUCACUAAGGAUAAUUCUGACCGCUGUCCAGUGAUCUACUCCUAGAUCACUAUUAUACUCCCUUGCCAAAUCAAUGCAGGGUAUACAAUAGAUCUGGUAUACAGCAUGACAUACUUUAUAGAACCUAUGGCCAAGGCAUAGGGAAUGACUUUCAUUCUCUUUCUAUCUUCUGCCGUGGUCGGGCUUUGAGUCUUACUCAACUUCACACCUUGUAAUACAGGCAAGAACUCUUUCUUUGACUGCUCCAUUUUGAGCUACUUCAAAAUCUUGUCAAGGUAUGUACUUAUUGAAAAAACUUAUCAAGCGUCUUGAUCUAUCUCUAUAGAUCUUGAAGCUCAAUAUGUAAGCAGCUUCACCGAAGUCUUUCUUUGAAAAACUCCUUUCAAACACUCCUUUAUGCUUUACAGAAUAAUUCUACAUUAUUUCCGAUCAACAAUAUGUCAAUCACAUAUACUUAUCAGAAAUGCUGUAGUGUCCCACUCACUUUCUUGUAAAUACAGGCUUCACCGCAAGUCUGUAUAAAACUAUAUGCUUUGAUCAACUCAUCAAAGCGUAUAUUCCAACUCCGAGAUGCUUGCACCAGUCCACAGAUGGAUCGCUGGAGCUUGCACAUUUUGUUAGCACCUUUCGGAUUGACAAAACCUUCUGUUGCAUCAUAUACAACUCUUCUUUAAUAAAUCCAUUAAGGAAUGCAGUUUUGUUUAUCCAUUUGCCAGAUUUCAUAAAAUGCGGCAAUUACUAACAUGAUUCGGACAGACUCAAGCAUAGAUACGAGUGAGAAGCUCUCAUCGUAGUCAACACCUUGAACUUGUCGAAAACCUUUUUGCGACAAUUCUAGCUUUGUAGAUAGUAACACUACUAUCAGCGUCCGUCUUCCUCUUGAAGAUCCAUUUAUUCUCAAUUGCUUGCCGAUCAUUGGGCAAGUCAACCAAAGUCCAAACUUUGUUCUCAUACAUGGAUCAUAUCUCAGAUUUCAUGGCCUCAAACCAUUUCGCGGAAUCUGGGCUCAUCAUUGCUUCCUCAUAGUUCGUAGGUUCAUCAUGAUCUAGUAGCAUGACUUCCAGGAUUGGAUUACCGUACCACACUGGUGCGGAUCUCACUCUGGUUGAUCUACGUGGUUCAGUAGUAUCUUGUCCUGAAGUUUCAUGAUCAUCAUCAUUAGCUUCCUCACUAAUUGGUAUAGGUGUCGCAGAAACAGUUUUCUGUGAUGUACUAUUUUCCAAUAAGGGAGCAGGUACAGUUACCUCGUCAAGUUCUACUUUCCUCCCACUCACUUCUUUUGAGAGAAACUCCUUCUCUAGAAAGGAUCCAUUAUAAGCAACGAAUGUCUUGCCUUAGGAUCUGUGAUAGAAGGUGUACCCAACAGUCUCCUUUGGGUAUCCUAUGAAGACAUAUUUCUCCGAUUUGGGUUUGAGCUUAUCAGGAUGAAACUUUUUCUCAUAAGCAUCGCAACCCCAAACUUCAAGAAACGACAACUUUGGUUUCUUGCCUAACCAUAGUUCAUACGGUGUCGUCUCAACGGAUUUAGAUGGUGCCCUAUUUAACGUGAAUGCAGCUUUCUCUAAUGCAUGAUCCCAAAACGAUAUUGGUAAAUCGGUAAGAAACAUCAUAGAUUGUACUAUAUCCAAUAAAGUACGGUUAUGACGUUCGGACACACCAUUAUGCUGUGGUGUUCCAGGUGGCGUGAGUAGUGAAACUAUUUCACAUUGUUUUAACUGAAGACCAAACUCGUAACUCAAAUACUCUUUUCCACGAUCAGAUCGUAGAAACUUUAUUUUCUUGUUACGAUGAUUUUCCACUUCACUCUGAAAUUAUAUGAACUUUUCAAAUGUAUCAGACUUCUAUUUCAUUAAGUAGAUAUACCCAUAUCUGCUCAAAUCAUCUGUGAAGGUUUAGAAAAUAAUGAUACCCGCUGCAAGCCUUAAAUAUUCAUCGGACCACAUACAUUUGUAUGUAUGAUUUCCAACAAAUCUGUUGCUUGCUCCAUUGUUCCGGAGAACGGCGUUUUAGUCAUCUUGCCCAAAAGGCAUGGUUCGCAAGCAUCAAGUGAUUCCGAAAGCCCAUCAGCAUGGAGUUUCUUCAUGUGCUUUAUACCAAUAUGACCUAAACGGCAGUGCCACAAAUAAGUUGCACUAUCAUUAUUAACUUUGCAUCUUUUGGUUUCAAUAUUAUGAAUAUGUGUAUCACUACGAUCGAGAUCCAACGAACUUGUUUCAUUGGGUGUAUGACCAUCGAAGGUUUUAUUCAUGUAAACAGAACAACAAUUAUUCUCUGACUUUAAUGAAUAACCGUAUUGCAAUAAACAUGAUCAAAUCAUAUUCAUGCUCAACCAAAUAACACUUAUUUAAGUUCAACACUAAUCCCGAAAGUAUAGGGGAGUGUGUGAUGAUGAUCAUAUCAAUCUUGGAACUACUUCCAACACACAUCGUCACUUCACCCUUAACUAGUCUUUGUUUAUUCUGCAACUCCUGUUUCGAGUUACUACUCUUAGCAACUGAACCAAUAUCAAAUACUGAGGGGUUGCUAUAAACACUAGUAAAGCACACAUCAAUAACAUGUAUAUCAAAUAUACUUUUGUUCACUUUGCCAUCCUUCUUAUCCGCCAAAUACUUGGGGCAGUUCCGCUUCCAGUGACCAGUCCCUUUGCAGUAGAAGCACUUAGUCUCAGGCUUAGGACCAAACUUCGGCUUCUUCACUUGAGCAGCAACUUGCUUGCCGUUCUUCUUGAAGUUCCCCUUCUUCCCUUUGCCCUUUUCUUGAAACUAGUGAUCCUGUCAACCAUCAACACUUGAUGUUUUUCUUGAUUUCGACCUUCGUUGAUUUCAGCAUCACGAAGAGCUUGGGAGUUGUUUCCGUUAUCCCUUGCAUAUUAUAGUUCAUCACGAAGUUCUACUAACUUGGUGAUGGUGACUAGAGAAUUUUGUCAAUCACUAUCUUAUCUGGAAGAUUAACUCCCACUUGAUUCAAGCGAUUGUAGUACUCAGAUAAUCUGGGCACAUGCUCACUAGUUGAGCGAUUCUCCCCCAUCUUUCAGCUAUAGAACUUGUUGGAGACUUCAUAUCUCUCAACUCGGGUAUUUACUUGAAAUAUUAACUUCAGCUUCUGGAACAUCUCAUAUGGUCCAUGACGCUCAGAACGUCUUUGAAGUCCCGAUUCUAAGCCAUUAAGCAUGGUGCACUAAACUAUCAAGUAGUCAUCAUAUUGGGCUAGCCAAACGUUCAUAACGUCGGCAUCUGCUCCUGCAAUAGGUCUGUCACCUAGCGGUGCAUCAAGGACAUAAUUCCUCUAUGCAGCAAUGAGGAUAAAACUCAGAUCACGGAUCCAAUCCGCAUCAUUGCUACUAACAUCUUUCAACACAAUUUUCUCUAGGGACAUGUCAAAAUAAACACAGGGAAGCAACAACGCGAGCUAUUGAUCUACAACAUAAUUUGCAAAAUACUACCAGGACUAAGUUCAUGAUAAAUUUAAGUUCAAUUAAUCAUAUUACUUAAGAACUCCCACUUAGAUAGAUAUCCCUCUAAUCCUCUAAGUGAUCACGUGAUCCAAAUCAACUAAACCAUAACCGAUCAUCACGUGAGAUGGAGUAGUUUUCAAUGGUGAACAUCGUCAUGUUGAUCAUAUCUACUAUAUGAUUCACGCUCGACCUUUCGGUCUCUGUGUUCCGAGGCCAUAUCUGCAUAUGCUAGGCUCGUCAAGUUUAACCUGAGUAUUCUGCGUGUGCAAAACUGGCUUGCACCCGUUGUAGAUGGACGUAGAGCUUAUCACACCCGAUCAUCACGUGGUGUCUGGGCACGACGAACUUUGGCAACGGUGCAUACUCAGGGAGAACACUUCUUGAUAAUUCAGUGAGAGAUCAUCUUAUAAUGCUACCGUCAAUCAAAGCAAGAUAAGAUGCAUAAAAAGAUAAACAUCAUAUGUAAUCAAAAUAUGUGACAUGAUAUGGCCAUCAUCAUCUUGCUUCUUUGAUCUCCAUCUCCAAAGUACUGUCAUGAUCUAUAUCGUCACCGGCAUGACACCAUGAUCUCCAUCAUCUUGAUCUAUAUCAAUGUGUCGUCGUGUGGUCGUCUCACCAACAAUUGCUCUUGCAACUAUUGCUAUCGCAUAGCGAUAAAGUAAAGCAAUUACUGGACGCUUGCAUCUCAUGAAAUAGAGAGACAACCAUAAGGAUUUUGUCAGUUGCUGAUAACUUCAACAAAACAUGAUCAUCUUAUACAACAACUUAUAACUCAUCACGUUUUGACCAUAUCACAUCACAACAUGCCCUGCAAAAACAAGUUAGACGUCCUCUACUUUGUUGUUGCAAAUUUUACGUGGCUGCUACGGGCUUAGCAAGAACCAAUCUUACCUACGCAUCAAAACCACAACGAUAGUUUGUCAAAUAGACUCCGUUUUAACCUUCGCAAGGACCGGGCGUAGCCACACUCGGUUCAACUAAAGUUGGAGAAACAGUCACCCGCAAGUCACCUAUGUGCAAAGCACGUCGGGGAAACCGGUCUCGCGUAAGCGUACGCGUAAUGUCGGUCCGGGCCGCUUCAUCCAACAAUACCGCGGAACCAAAGUAUGACAUGCUGGUAGGCAGUAUGACUUAUAUCGCCCACAACUCACUUGUGUUCUACUCGUGCAUAUAACAUCAAACCAUAAAACCUAGGCUCGGAUGCCACUGUUGGGGAACGUAGUAAUUUCAAAAAUUUCCUACGCACACGCAAGAUCAUGGUGAUGCAUAGCAACGAGGGGGAGAGUCUGAUCUACGUACCCUUGUAGAUCGCAACGGAAGCGUUGACACAACGUAGAGGAAGUAGUCGUACGUCUUCUUCCUGAUCCGACCGAUCCAAGCACCGUUACUCCGGCACCUCCGAGUUCUUAGCACACGUUCAGCUCGAUGACGAUCCUCGGGCUCCGAUCCAGCAAAGCGUCGAGGAAGAGUUCCGUCAGCAUGACGGCGUGGUGACGAUCUUGAUGUACUACCGAUGUAGGGCUUCGCCUAAGCACUACAACGGUAUGAUCGAGGUGGAAUUUGGUGGCAGGGGGCACCGCACACGGCUAAGGAACGAUCUCAAGGAUCAACUUGUGUGUCUAUGGGGUGCCCCCUGCCCCUGUAUAUAAAGGAUGGAGGAGGAGGAGGCCGGCCAAGGCAAAGGUGCGGCCAGGAUAGGGAGUCCUACUAGGACUCCAAGUCCUAGUAGGAGUCCACCAAAAGGGGAGGAAGGGAGAAGGAAUAGGAGGAGAAGGAGAGGUGGCCGGCCCCCUUUUCCCUAGUCCAAUUCGGACCAAAGGGGAGGGGGGCGCAGCAGCCUUUUCCUCUUCCCACUAAAGCCCAUCAAGGCCCAUUACUUCUCCCGUAACUACCCGGUACUCCGAAAAAUACCCGAAUCACUCCGAACCUUUCCGAUGUCCAAAUAUAGUCGUUCAAUAUAUCGAUCUUUACGUCUCGACCAUUUCAAGACUCCUCGUCAUGUCCCCGAUCUCAUCCGGGACUCCGAACUCCUUCGGUACAUCAAUACUCAUAAACUCAUAAUUUAACUGUCAUGGAAACCUUAAGCGUGCGGACCCUACGGUUCGAGAACAAUGUAGACAUGACCGAGACACGUCUCCGGUCAAUAACCAAUAGCGGGACCUGGAUGCCCAUAUUGGCUCCUACAUAUUCUACGAAGAUCUUUAUCGGUCAGACCGCAUAACAACAUACGUUGUUCCCUUUGUCAUCGGUAUGUUACUUGCCCGAGAUUCGAUCGUUGGUAUCCAAUACCUAGUUCAAUCUCGUUACCGGCAAGUCUCUUUACUCGUUCUAUAAUACAUCAUCCCACAACUAACUCAUUAGUUGCAAUGCUUGCAAGGCUUAAGUGAUGUGCAUUACCGAGAGGGCCCAGAGAUACCUCUCCGACAAUCGGAGUGACAAAUCCUAAUCUCGAAAUACGCCAACCCAACAUCUUCCUUUGGAGACACCUGUAAUGCUCCUUUAUAAUCACCCAGUUACGUUGUGACGUUUGGUAGCACCCAAAGUGUUCCUCCGGCAAACGGGAGUUGCAUAAUCUCAUAGUCAUAGGAACAUGUAUAAGUCAUGAAGAAAGCAAUAGCAACAUACUAAACGAUCGGGUGCUAAGCUAAUGGAAUGGGUCAUGUCAAUCAGAUCAUUCAACUAAUGAUGUGACCUCGUUAAUCAAAUAACAACUCUUUUGUCCAUGGUUAGGAAACAUAACCAUCUUUGAUUAAUGAGCUAGUCAAGUAGAGGCAUACUAGUGACACUUUGUUUGUCUAUGUAUUCACACAUGUAUUAUGUUUCCCGUUAAUACAAUUCUAGCAUGAAUAAUAAACAUUUAUCUUGUGCUUGUGAUCUCCAUCUCCGAAGCACCUUCAUGAUCACCAUCGUCACCGGCGCGACACCUUGAUCUCCAUCGUAGCAUCGUUGUCGUCUCGCCAAUCUUAUGCUUCCACGACUAUCGCUACCGCUUAGUGAUAAAGUAAAGCAUUACAACGCGAUUGCAUUGCAUACAAUAAAGCGACAACCAUAUGGCUCCUGCCAGUUGCCGAUAACUUGGUUACAAAACAUGAUCAUCUCAUACAAUAAAAUUUAGCAUCAUGUCUUGACCAUAUCACAUCACAACAUGCCCUGCAAAAACAAGUUAGACGUCCUCUACUUUGUUGUUGCAUGUUUUACGUGGCUGCUACAGGCUUAAGCAAGAACCAAUCUUACCUAUGCAUCAAAACCACAACGAUAGUUUGUCAAGUUGAUGCCGUUUUAACCUUCGCAAGGACCGGGCGUAGCCACACUCGGUUCAACUAAAGUUGGAGAAACAGUCACCCGCAAGCCACCUUUGUGCAAAGCACGUCGGGAGAACCGGUCUCGCGUAAGCGUACGCGUAAUGUCGGUCUGGGCCGCUUCAUCCAACAAUACCGCCGAACCAAAGUAUGACAUGCUGGUAGGCAGUAUGACUUAUAUCGCCCACAACUCACUUGUGUUCUACUCAUGCAUAUAACAUCAAACCAUAAAACCUAGGCUCUGAUACCACUGUUGGGGAACGUAGCAAUUUCAAAAAAUUUCUACGCACACGCAAGAUCAUGGUGAUGCAUAGCAACAAGAGGGGAGAGUGUUGUCUAGAAGCGUUGACACAACGUAGAGGAAGUAGUCGUACGUCUUCCCGAUCCGACCGAUCCAAGCACCGUUACUCCGGCACCUCCGAGUUCUUAGCACACGUACAACUCGAUGACGCUCCCCGGGCUCCGAUCUAGCAAAGCUUCGGGGAUGAGUUCCGUCAGCACAACGGCGUGGUGACGAUGAUGAUGUUCUACCGACGCAGGGCUUCGCCUAAGCACUACAACGAUAUGACCGAGGUGGAAUAUGGUGGAAGGGGGCACCGCACACGGCUAAGGAACGAUCACGUUGAUCAAUUGUGUGUUCUAGGGUGCCCCCUUGCCUCCGUAUAUAAAGGAUCCAAGGGAGAGGGGUUCGGCCGGCCCUAUGGAGGCGCAGGAGGAGUCCUACUCCUAUCGGGAGUAGGACUCCCCCCCUUUUCCUUGUCCAAGUAGGAUUGGUGGAGAAGAAUGGGAAAGAGGGGGGCGCCGCCCCUCCCUCCUUGUCCAAUUCGGACUAGGGGGAGAGGGGGCGUGCGGCCUGCCCUGGCAGCCCCUUCCUCUUCUCCACUUUAGGCCCAUGAGGCCCAUUAACCCCCCGGGGGGUUCCGGUAACCCCCCGGUGCUCCGAUUUUAUCCGAAACUUCAUCGGAACCCUUCCGGUGUCCGAAUAUAGUCAUCCAAUAUAUCAAUCUUUAUGUCUUGACAAUUUUGAGACUCCUCGUCAUGUCCGUGAUCACAUCCGGGACUCCGAACUAACUUCGGUACAUCAAAAUGUAUAAACUUAUAAUAACUGCCAUCGUAACGUUAAGCGUGCGGACCCUACGGUUCGAGAACAAUGUAGACAUGGCCGAGACACGUCUCCGGUCAAUAACCAAUAGCGGGACCUGGAUGCCCAUAUUGGCUCCUACAUAUUCUACGAAGAUCUUUAUCGGUCAGACCGCAUAACAACAUACGUUGUUCCCUUUGUCAUCGGUAUGUUACUUGCCCGAGAUUCGAUCGUCCGUAUCCAAUACCUAGUUCAAUCUCGUUACCAGCAAGUCUCUUUACUCGUUCCGUAAUACAUCAUCUCGCAACUAACUCAUUAGUUGUAAUGCUUGCAAGGCUUAUGUGAUGUGCAUUACCGAGAGGGCCCAGAGAUACCUCUCCGACAAUCGGAGUGACAAAUCCUAAUCUCGAAAUACGCCAACCCAACAUCUACCUUUGGAUACAUCUUUAGAGCACCUUUAUAAUCACCCAGUUAUGUUGUGACGUUUGGUAGCACACAAAGUGUUCCUCCGGCAAACGGGAGUUGCAUAAUCUCAUAGUCAUAGGAACAUGUAUAAGUCAUGAAGAAAGCAAUAGCAACAUACUAAACGAUCGGGUGCUAAGCUAAUGGAAUGGGUCAUGUCAAUCAGAUCAUUCAACUAAUGAUGUGAUCUCGUUAAUCAAAUAACAACUCUUUGUUCAUGGUUAGGAAACAUAACCAUCUUUGAUUAACGAGCUAGUCAAGUAGAGGCAUACUAGUGACACUUUGUUUGUCUAUGCAUUCACACAUGUAUUAUGUUUCCGGUUAAUACUAUUAUAGCAUGAAUAAUAAACAUUUAUCAUGACAUAAGGAAAUAAAUAAUAACUUUGUUAUUGCCUCUAGGGCAUAUUUCCUUCACUUAGGGCCUUGGAUGAGAACUGGCAUCAUAAUGAACUUCCGCUUCAUGCACAUCCAAGGAGGAAGGUUAUACAUACAUAGAGUCACGGGCCAGGUGCUGUGAUUGCUGCUCUGCUCCCCUAUAGGAUUAAUGCCAUCCAUGCUUAAAGCAAACCAUACAUUCCAUGGGUCGUUUGCAAACUCAUCCCAGUACUUUCUCUCGAUUUUUCUCCACUGCGACCCGUCAGCGGGUGCUCUCAAUUUUCCGUCUUUCUUCCGGUCCUCACUGUGCCAUCGCAUCAACUUGGCAUGCUCUUCGUUUUUGAAUAGACGUUUCAACCGUGGUAUUAUAGGAGCAUACCACAUCACCUUCGCAGGAACCCUCUUCUUGGGGGGCUCACCGUCAACGUCACCAGGGUCAUCUCGUCUGAUCUUAUACCGCAAUGCACCGCAUACCGGGCAUGCAUUCAGAUCCUUGUAUGCACCGCGGUAGAGGAUGCAGUCAUUAGGGCAUGCAUGUAUCUUCUCCACCUCCAAUCCUAGAGGGCAUACGACUUUCUUUGCUGCGUAUGUACUGUCGGGCAAUUCGUUAUCCUUUGGAAGAUUCUUCUUCAAUAUUUUCAGUAGCUUCUCAAAUCCUUUGUCAGCCACAGCAUUCUCUGCCUUCCACUGCAGCAAUUCCAGUACGGUACCGAGCUUUGUGUUGCCAUCUUCGCAAUUGGGCUACAACCCUUUUUUGUGAUCCUCUAACAUGCGAUCGAACUUCAGCUUCUCCUUUUGACUUUCGCAUUGCGUCCUUGCAUCGACAAUGACCCGGCGGAGAUCAUCAUCAUCGGGCAGAUCGUCUGGUUCCUCUUGAUCUUCAGCAGCUUCACCCGUUGCAGCAUCAUUGGGCACAUCGUCUGUUUCCUCUUGAUCUUCACCAGCUCCCUCCAUUGCAGCAUAACCGUAUUCAGGGGGCACAUAGUUGUCAUCGUACUCUUCUUCUUUGCCAUCUUCCAUCAUAACACCUAUUUCUCCGUGCCUCGUCCAAACAUUAUAGUGUGGCAUGAAACCCUUGUAAAGAAGGAGGGGGUGAAGGAUUUUCCGGUUAGAGUAAUACCUCGUAUUCCCACAUUCAGUGCAUGGACAACACAUAAAACCAUUCUGCUUCUUUGCCUCAGCCGCACCGAGAAACUCAUGCACGCCCUUAAUGUACCCGGAGGUGUGUCUGUCACCGUACAUCCAUUGCCAGUUCAUCUACGUGCAUUAUAUAUAAUUAAGUGUCCAAAUUAAUAGAAGUUCAUCAUCACAUUAAAACCAAAGUACAUACAUAGUUCUCAUCUAACAACAUAUAGCUCUCCAGAGCAUCUAAUUAAUUAAACCAUACAUUGAAACUAUGUAAAACAUUUCAAUGCGAAAACAAAUGCGAUCAUAAUUGCAACCAAGGUAACAAUUGAUCCAACGGCAUAAUGAUACCAAGCCUCGGUAUGAACGACAUAUUUUCUAAUCUUUCUAAUCUUCAAGCGCAUUGCAUCCAUCUUGAUCCUGUGAUCAUAGACGACAUCCGCAACAUGCAACUCCAAUAUCAUCUUCUCCUCCUCAAUUUUUUUAUUUUUUCCUCCAACAAAUAGUUUUCUUCUUCAACUAAAUUUAGCCUCUCGGCAAUAGGGUCGGUUGGCAUUUCCGAUUCACAUACAUCCUACAUAAAUAAAAUCUAUGUCACGUUGAUCGGCAUAAUUUUCAUAAACAAUAAAUGAACCAAUAGUUAUAAAGAUAAUAUAUAUACCACAUUCGAAUCAUAGACAGGACGAGGGCGACGGGGGCGGAUACCAAAACCAUCGCACUAUAUAAGAUGCAAUAAUAAAAGUAAGAAAAUAAUACAAGUAUCUAUGUAAACAUACAAGUAAGAAUAUUUUUCCUUUCAGAAAGAAGAUAAGAACAAGAGGCUCACCAUGGUGGUGCCGGCAAGGCCCACCUUGGUCCAUGCGGGGAUGCACAAAAUAAGCUAUGUGCGGCCCAUGCGGGGAAUUUUGGUUACGCAUGGCCCAUACAUAUGGUGAUCCAGCCGUACGUGACCAAAUAGGAUGGACGGACAAACGAAAACGGACAAAAAUUAGGGACCAACCAAUUAGUACCACCUCGCGUAUAUGUUUUAUAUUUAAACUGAAAGCGUAAAUUUUCAUGAAAAGAAAUGUACUGUGACGGUGAACCCGACAAAGUCAAUCCGUGCUUUAUUAUUAGGGAAAGAUAUACUAAUUGGAGGCACCUUUGGAGCGUCUACGUUAAUCCACGUCAUUAAGAUUAAUAUAGCCGUUUGAUAUUAAAUUUAAUGGUUAAGAUAUGCUAGAAGACUAUGCCUUAUUAUAGAAGAAAACAACAUGUACGUAGGGAUGAAAUCCACGCAUACAAAAAAAAACUCAUGUAAAGAAAAAUCAAUUCUCACCACAUAGAUGAAACUCAUUAAACUUGCACAUGCAAAAAAAGUCCUAAGCUCCCACGUCCAUGAAAGAUUAGACAUGCACAUAAAAAAAGAGUCCUAAAUGCCCACGCCCAGGUUCCAAGAAAAAGUACGUGCCUACUCCUUGCAAAAAGAGGACGCGUGGCAAAACUAAAAAAUAUGAAUAUAAUCAUCUCAAUCUCUUUCUAAUAAUAAAAUAUGAAUUGAUUUUGUCAGGUUCGUCGUCACAAUACACUUUUUCCUGUAAAUUUACGCUUUCACUUUGAAUUUAAAACAUAUAGGUGAGGUGGUACUAAAAAACUGUUCAUUGGUCGCGUACGUCAAUUAGUAUAAGUCGCUUUUUUUAGUCCCUCCGGCUCGCUAGACUGGGCCGUGUUGAUCAUUCCCGUGAUGACUGAACUGGGCCUGGUCAAAAAGAAAAAAAACGAUGCAAAAAAUAAUUCCCCAUGAGCUUCGAACCAAGACGAAGGCCCUCAGUCACAAAGGAGAACGCCAACUAGAUUGCUCUAUUUUGUUCUGCCAAAUUGUGUCCCUGUAGAUAUAAUAGUCCCACAUCGCUUCUUUGCACUGUAUCUUAUCGAUUUUUAUACAUCGGCGGACUUGUCCUAGCAGAAGUUAAUUGGAAGAGGAAGCAAGGAAUAAAGAACGAACGCAGGAGGAAUUUGGCCAGAAGAAACAAGGUCGGGGAGCGUGAGGUUUAUGGUGAAUAUUCAGAGAACGGCAGCUGCAUUGUUCGAAUUUAGUCUAUCUUUGGACAUGUCUUUUCCGGGGAUUCGACACCAUGUUUUGUGCGCGAAUGGUUUUAUUAGGGUUUUUGACUGUUCCAAGUUAGAAGAGGCCAGAGUUUUCUCUGGUUCUUCAGUGGCCUGAAGCAACCAUGCUUACGCUUUUUUUUUUCAACCAUUCAUUGCCCAUUUUCAUUAAUUUCUUAAAGAAAAUACAUCAACCGUCCUUGCAGAAAGAACGAGGCAGCUUCACAGCUGGAAAUCAAGAGUGCGGUGUCCAGUUUUACGGGGAAAAGAAUUCUAUGAGACCAGGUCUCACGCGAGACCCAUCCUAAUGAAUGCCACGUGCUAUCCAUCAGAACGGGUCUCACCUGCUAACCGUGAGACUUGGUCUCAUAUAUUUUUUUUCCGUUUUACGGGGAAGCAUCAUCAGAAAUCUAGCAAAUCAUUCGCAUUAUUCUCUCACAUACAGUACAGAUCCUUCGGAUCGCCACAUCACAGCUGGACUUCAUUGCUUUGGGUGUCUAAUUAAGGGCUUGUUCGGUUAAUCCUCUCGCGAAGAGGAUUGGAGGGGAUUGGCAAGGAUUGGUUCGUAUUUUGACUUCUAAGAGGUUUAAGUCCUCCUCAAACCCCUUCAAUCCAUUCGGAUUCACACGCAACCAAACAAGGCCUAAACGGGAUCCGCAUCUGAACUAUUAAGCAGCAAAUGAUAGUGUGCGUGAAACAGGUAGGCAAUGUCAAUGAGGACAAACUGUGAUGAUAUCGUUUGAAAACUCAGCUGUCGUCCGUAGUGUUUGGCAUGUGACAGAUAGAUCCUGUUGAUUGUCUAACGAAAGCCAACGGUGAUGUCAAACUAGACUAUUUUAACAUAGUCGGUAAGACAAAAAUGGGAAACAUAUGUAUAUAUGACUACCGAGAACACGACAUCCAUUGUAUCUCGAUUAAGCAUCUUCAAAUAUUAUUCCUGUCGUGAUAUUGACAACAUUAUUAGUUUGUACUUGAAUGAAUAGUCAAGGAACUUUUGAGUGUUCCAAGUUAAACAUCCAAAUUUGUGUCGCAUUUCAGUAUGGGAGGCGCGUAUGACUCUCAAGUUUUUCCGAAUUUGAGUAAUACGGGUCAACUAUUUGCAAAAAUAAAAUAAAAACAUGUUAUCUAGCAUAUGUUUUUACCGUGUUAACACAUUCACAAUUAUUCCAUUUUGAAAAAAGGUACCUAGGUGGUAAAUGAACUACAAACCUUGCUCGACAUAUAUCGAGAAAUAUGUAUUGACAUACACAACAGAGAAAAUAAAUCAAAAUACAUUGCGCAGAACAUUGACAAUAAAUUAGUUGGUGAAAUUAGACAAUUUAGUUGGUGAACUUAGAAAAUUGUUACAUAAGGCUCCAACUUAAUUUCUCAGCAGUUGGAUCAGUUUUUUUUUUUGAGGACCAUGGAAAUACUGAAACCAUGGUUGAUACAAACUCCCCUCUCACACCUAAACUUUGAGCUAGAUAUUUCCUUUUAGUGAGUUUAGCUACUAAUUUUAAAGGGGUUCGCUAAAUCUCAGUCAAUUGAGAUUUAAUGUAGUCUCAAUCACCUUUCCAAGCCGUUGAAUACAUGCACACUAAGAUUAUGUGCUAGGAAACUUUUCUUUGUUAUUGUGAGGUGGAACGGAAAGAGAUGUGUGUGUGCCUUUCUGGACUAUUCGAAGUGUGCGUGUUUUUCCGAGGAAAGAGCCUACAAUCUACACGAGAAGCUUGUGUUUGGGCCAAGUCCAAACAUAAUAUAAUUUGUCAAACCAAACAACCAACAUUUUCUAAAACCGAAAUCAACAUAGCAAAAACAUGUUUGCUUUCGAAUAUUAAUAAAUAACUGUAUAUAAAUAAUCCCACUUCAAUGCACCACUCCUCUCACACCCGGUGAUAGUGUGAUGUUCGUUGAGGCAACAUCGAAGGACAUGAAUGUAGUUUCAUUAAUCUUUUUCCGAAUUGUGUACACCAAAAAUUGUAUCAUCAUUAACGACGGUGGCAAAAAUGAAAAGUGGCAACAUGAACGAGUCACUGAAAACAUGCGAAGACUUUCUCCUUCCGGUGCAAUGCACGACACAUUAAAUGAUGCAUACAAAGGUUAAAGGGAACCUUCUUUUGAGAAACAAAGACAAACACAGACUCACAAACACGUACAUACAUGAACACCUAGAGAGACUGAGCUGACAAGUCUUGAGAUUGAUGAACACACCACAAGUGUCUCGCUUCGACGCGAACGUCACCAUGCACUGAAAAAAUAUUUCACCUUUGUGAAACAUGAAAUUAAGCGUCAAAGUUAGGUUUUAAUUCUUGCUCUAUUGGGUAUCACCGCCCUGCAAACCAUCCAAUCAGAGAUUGGUUCUCAGGGUUAAAGCGAAACUAACCAAUACAUUUAUUUGAUAUGAAAAAAUGAACCCUUCCAAACCAAGCAAACAACUAUCUCUAAGAAAUCCAACAUAGCAACAAUGCUUUGUAUUCAAAUGUUUUGGAAAUUCUAAAAAAAAACUUUUGGAUUAGUUUUUAAACUCUCGGUUAGUAUAGAACAUUCCAAUGUUUGUAUGUUGCACUAAAAAUAAAUGCACCACUCUUUCACCCGGUGGUAGUGCUAAGCUAAAGGAGUGCCAUCAAAGGACACCACUAUGACUAUCUUAACUCUACUCCAUGAUGCGGACACCAAUAAUCAUUUUUAUUUACCAACACGAAGGCGUUUUUUUAAGAUAGUGAGUGUUUCUAAAUGUUCUUGGUUUCAAAAAAUAUAUUCAUGUUUUAAAUAUGUUUAAACUUUUGAAGAAAUGCUGAAAAUUCCUAAAAAAUGGUUCCAAUUAAAAACCAGCUAUAAUUGUUCAAAAAAUCAUUAAAAAAAAUCAUGAAAUCGCUUGUUUAUAUAAUGUUCGACUUCAAAAAAUAUUCCAAUUCUAGUAAGAAAUUAAAAAAUAGUCGAUUUCUUAAAAAAUAAAGAAAUAUUUGUGUUGUCUUUCAAAAAGCAAAAUAUAUACCGAUUCACAUACUAUUCCAUGCACAACUAUUCUUCCAACAGAUGUGGGAAGUUAGGUUGGUUCUUCAUGUACACACUUCAAGCUCCGAACAAAAAUUAGAGUUUAACAUUAUUACUCUGGUUUAUCAGCCUUUGAUACAAGAAAUGGCACAUGAAGCGCACUUUUAUUUGCCCGUUGCAACGCACGGGCAUUUGUACUAGUAAAUAUCAAUUGAAGGAAUAUCAUUCUGCAAAGGCAGAUUCUUGAAUAGGAUUGUUUCACAACUGCAUCCAUCAAUUUUAAAGUUUACUAUCUAAUAUGAUGCUAGAUAGAUAAAGCCUCAAUUAAGUAUAACAUUGUGUUUGUUGGUUAAGUUAGGAGCACUUACUAAUGUACUAAAAGAGAAAUAUAUAUUAUAUAUGGUUUGAGUACCAUUGUAGUAGUGGUGCAUAUACAUACGCGCACCACCUACUAUAUAUCGAAAUAAUUCAUACUCGCUUUCUCCCUUAUAUAUAUAGUAGGUGGUGUCAAAUUCUUGCUAAUUUGACAUGAAGGCUUCAUUCAGACCAGUGAUGAUACUUUGCGCAACAUAAAUGGGAAAGUAGAGGCACUCUUCCAUAUAAUGAAGUUUAUAAUAUAUGUGUUUAUAUUGUACUAUAAUUGUUUGAAUAACUUACCAUAUGUUCAGAUGUAUGAUAUCUGUAAUUUAAGCGCUUGAAUUUUACAUAUAAAUAUAAUUUUAUUAAUAAAUAUGUACCCAUAUAAUAGCUAGGCCGUGUAGUUGCACGGGUAGAUGACUAGUGAUUACAAUCUUGUUUGUGAGCAAGUCAAGAUUAUCUAGUUUACACGUAACAACUUGUAGAACAUUACAAAAAUUAUGCUUGCUAAUAACUUCUAGAACACUACAACACUUGACAUGUAAAAGGAAUUUGAUGAGUCAUGGCCUACUAAAGCAAGUUACAUUACUACUCUUAUCUAUCUUAACAGACCACACAAGAUUACAAACUAAGUACCGUGACAGCCAUGCUUAUCUAAUUUAUGCGUAACAAUUUGCGGAAAAUUACAAAUUUAGUUUUAGAAAAAUAGGCAAUCUAGAUUAGUGUUUGAGCUGUAAUGUGAAUAAGAUGAGUCGUGCGUCUUGUCACACCUUUUUGGUGGUGGAAUGAUAGUGCAACAACAAGGAACUUUAAUGACCAGUCCAAGAAUACACUUGUAAGUAGUGCCACCAAACAGAACAUACCAAAUUAUGAUUUUGAGAAGAAUCCAAGCACUUUCCACACAAGCAAAUGCCAAUUGUGAAAGAGAUCAUUCCAUGGCAGCUAUAAAUAGCCCCAUAGCAUGACGCUCAUCCUUCCUCAUCCAUCAUUCUCAUAAGUAGAGUGCAUCAUUUAAGCCAAGCAAGCUGUGGUCAAUACAAAUCCACCAUGAAGACCUUUCUCAUCCUUUCCCUCCUUGCUAUCGUGGCAACCACCGCCACAACUGCAUUUAGAAUUCUAGUGCCACAAUUGCAGCCACAAAAUCCAUCUUAGCAACAACCACAAGAGCAAGUUCCAUUGGUACAACAACAGCAAUUUCUAGGGCAGCAACAACCAUUUCCACCACAACAACCAUAUCCACAGCCGCAACCAUUUCCAUCACAACAACCAUAUCUGCAGCUGCAACCAUUUCCGCAGCCGCAACCACCAUAUUCGCAGCCGCAACCAUUUCGACCACAAUAACCAUAUCUCCACAACCGCAACCACAGUAUUCGCAACCACAAUAACCAAUUUCGCAGCAGCAACAACAACAACAACAACAACAACAACAACAAAUCCUUCAACAAAUUUUGCAACAACAACUGAUUCCAUGCAUGGAUGUUGUAUUGCAGCAACACAACAUAGCGCAUGGAAGAUCACAAGUUUUGCAACAAAGUAGUUACCAGCUGUUGCAAGAAUUGUGUUUUCAGCACCUAUGACAGAUCCCUGAGCAGUCGCAGUGCCAAGCCAUCCACAAUGUUGUCCAUGCUAUUAUUCUGCAUCAACAACAAAAACAACAACAACAACAACAACAAAAACAACAACCAUCGAGCCAGGUCUCCUUCCAACAGCCCCAGCAACAAUAUCCAUCAGGCCAGGGCUCCUUCCGGCCAUCUCUGCAAAAUCCACAGGCCCAGGGCUCGGUCCAGCCUCAACAGCUGCCCAGUUCGAGGAAAUAAGGAACCUAGCGCUACAGACGCUACCUGCAAUGUGCAAUCUCUACAUCCCUCCAUAUUGCACCAUCGCGCCAUUUGGCAUCUUCGGUACUAACUGAGAAGAAAAUAACUCUAGUACUAGAUAUAUGAAACACCGUUUUCUUAGUCCAUGGUUUGGUCAUUGUAGCGGUGAAAAAAUAAAGUGACAUGCACUACCAUGUAAGAACUCGAACUAUACUAGUUCAAACUUGGGAAUAAAAGACAAACACAGGUCUUGUCUACAUAUUUAUGUUGCAUUUAUCUAAAGAUAACAAAAUGAGUCUAAAAUUUGAAUUAAAUUGAAGUAUUUUCUUGGACUUUCAAAUUGAGUAUUAUUAACGUAGUAAGGACUAUCCUCAUCCUUGGCCUGCCCCUAAUCAAUUAUUUCCAGAGAAGCAUUCAAUUCAUCAAUCAAUUACAUUGAUUUUUGUGGCUGGUACUUCUCCUCAACAUCAGUAUAUUCACCGUGGCUACUCCAAAUCGGCAAGAAUGAGGUACCGGUGCUCUGGAGCAGUGCCAACUAAUUGCUUCUCAUGUGAAGGGGUGCGGGCGCGGGAGAGGUAUUUCUGGUGGGCCAAGGGAGUAAGAAGCCACCGUGGGAGUGGUACAGACGCCCGUAAAGCCCCAUAGUUUCUUUUUGGUUUACAGGAAAAUGCACAUCCAUACCGGCCUGGGGAGUAUAGGACCGUAUUGGAUGGAAAACCAUGUCCGGAUGGUUGCGAGCGGUUUGAGGGUUAGCUUUUGUAACGCCCGGUUAGUUAUGCUAUAGCAAUUCCCUGCUAAUGAUGUCACGUCACCAAGAUUACUGUUGUUAUCCUCACAAUGAUUCAAUGCCAUUCUAAUUCAAAUUUAAAAUAAAGGCAAGCAUCAAAAGUUUUCAAACAUUAAAACUAAAAUCUUUGAGAGGUAACAAAUAAUGCAUAAGUAAUUAUGGUGGAGAAACCACACUUUAAUAAAAUGUUUAAAUACUCUAAAAUGAAAAAAACAGUGGCUUAAACUAUUAUUUAAAUGCUUUUAAAAUAGUAAAAAUGUUCUAACUAAAUUAAUUGGGUACCAACCUUUUGGUGGCAGUGGUAUAUUUAGUAGAACUAAUUUAGAUGCUAGUUAUAUGAUUUAGAAAAUUAGGGUCAAUUGAAAAAUAGGAUAAAACAGAGAAGGAAAGACAAAACAAAUAAAAGCAAAAGGGGGCAACCCCUCACUGGCCUUGGCCUAGCUGGCCACUGGGCUAGCUAGGUCGGCCCCGCCGCCUCCCUUAACCCCCUGUCGGUGUCGAAACCGGUGGAUGGUACCAUGAGUAGAUCUACCACGAGAUCGGAGAGGCUAAACCCUAGAGGCUAGCCUAUGAUAUGAUUGUAUGUGUCCUACGGACUAAAACCCUCCGGUUUAUAUAGACACCGGAGAGGGUUAGGGUUACACAAGGUCGGUUACAAAGGAGGAGAUAUCCAUAUCCGUAUUGCCUAGCUUGCCUGCCACGCCAAGUAGAGUCCCAUCCGGACACGGGACGAAGUCUUCAAUCUUGUAUCUUCAUAGUGCAACAGUCCGAAAAAGGAUAUAGUCCGGCUGUCCGGAGACCCCCUAAUCCAGGACUCCCUCAGUAGCCCCUGAACCAGGCUUCAAUGACGAUGAGUCUGGCGCGCAGUAUUGUCUUCGACAUUGCAAGGCGGGUUCCUCCUCCGAAUGCAUCACAGAAGAAUUUGAAUACGAGGAUAGUGUCCGACCCUGCAACAUAAGUUCCACAUAAUUCCAUACAGAGAAUAAUAUUUUCGCAAAUCUAAUUUGCUUACUUGUUUUGACAGUACGACAUUAUGUCAUGGCCCGGUGAUUAUUCGAACCGUUUCCUUUAACUAGCCCCGCACAUAACGCGAGGCAGUUUUUCGACAUGUCUUGUCAAAGCAGAGAUCGUGUCCCCUUAUUACUGGAUUCUCAUCAAUACGGGCGUGGGUAACCCAACCGCGCCAUCGAUUGCGGCACUUGGGGGAUGAGCUAUUUUUACCUGGCAAGUGGGGACGCUUAGUUUCGUCCGCCCAUAUAAAGGGAUAAGGAUUCACCUUUCUAUCCAUGCCUUCUUCCUCCUUUGCUCAUCCGUUUUUGCACACUCGAGCUCUAGCGCCCAAGUUCGCACUUCCCACCUCAACCUUCUCCAACCAUGUCCCGAGCGGGAGGCAGGUGGAUGGUAUCCUCCGUCACGGAUGGAGACAUCAAGAAGCUGAGGAGCGCCGGAUACCUGCCUGACGACAUCGCGCACCGGCUCCCAGAUGAGGGGCAGCUCACCCCCACCCCCAGGCCCCAUGAGAGGGUAGUGUUCCUCACCCAUUUCCUCCGCGGACUGGGAUUCCCUCUCCACCCAUUUGUCCCGGGGCUCAUGUUCUAUUACGACCUGGAUUUCCAUGAUCUGGCCCCGAACUUCAUCCUCAACAUCUCGGCGUUUAUCGUUGUGUGCGUGGCCUUCCUCCGCAUCAAGCCCCACUUCGGCUUAUGGUUGAAGACCUUUAAUGUCAAGCCGAAGGUUGUGGGCGACCGCCAGGCGGAGUGCGGAGGCGCCAUGGUGGGCAAGAUGCCCAACGUAACAUGGCUCGAGGGCUCUUUUGUGGAAACCAUAAAGGGGUGGCAAUCGGGUGGUUCUACAUCACCGAGCCGCGUGACCCUGCAUGGGCAGCGGCCCCCCGAGUUCUGAUCUGGCAUCCCCACGCGGCUCACCUCCUGGAAAGAGAAGGGCCUGUCCUGGGGUAGUUUGGAAGAGCUGACCAGACUCCAAACAUGUAUUCAAAACAUGGUGAACAAGAAGCUCAAACUCGUCAACGUGGUCCAGGUCAUGCUCCACCGCCGGAUCCUCCCGUGCCAAUAACGGGAGUUCAACUUGUGGGAGUACAACCCAGCGCAGCACCGAACUCUGAACAGGCUUUUCGACACAACUCACGAAGAUGCCUCGAGGGUGCUGUUCAAAAUCACCAAGGUCCCCCUCCCAUUACUGAGGAUCACGGAUUCAGCGUGAAGCGCCAAGCCAGUGCGGCAGGCUGCUUUACCUUUCACAGGCUACUUAUUUUUUAUAGAUUGACUCCAUGCGGGAUCUAAACUCCCGUACCUUUGACAGGACUGGCAGGAGAUGGCCGGACAGAUCGACUGUCCGGCUCCUAUGCCCGAAGGCCCAGCAGACGCUCUUCUAGCGAAGAUGCUGACUUCGGCUCCUUAUACGGUGCCGGAGAAGACCAAGAAGGACAAGGGAACCCGAAAGAGUUCCCGACGCCAGGCGUCGUCGGACUCACCGUCCGAUGACUCUGCGGCGCACUCCUCCCCCGAAGACGAGGAAGAGGAAGAAGACGCUCCCUCUCUGGCUGGGGGAGAUAAGAAAAGGAAGGCCGCCCCAACUGGGGGGGCGGAAGGGUCCAAGAAGGGAAGGAAUCUCCUUCCGGAUAGUUGCACCGCUGCCGACGAAGGCGAAGACGAGGGGUUGCCCAGGGCCAAGCCCCUGGGGAGAUCGUAAGUAUUCAGAUACCAGAGUAACUCAUAGCAUUCCUUUGUCGCACUGCUUUCCCUAACGUCAAACAUAAUUAUGCAGGUCGCCAUGAGCCAGUAUCGAUGUGUGACGCCCGGAUAAUCAUGCUACAGUAAUCCCACGCUAAUCAUGCCACGUCACCUCGGUUACUGUUGCUAAUCUAUCGUUAGGUCAAAGCUGGUCCAAAAUUCAAAUUCAAAGUUUGGUAAAUAAUAACAGUUUUCAAAAAUUAAAACAAAAAUGUUCGGUGAUUGCCGAAUAAUGCAUAGGUAAUUAUGGUGGAGAAACCACACUUUUAUAAAAUGUUUAAAUAAUCUAAAAUGAAUAAAACAGUAGAAAAACCAAAUCUAAAUGCUUUUAUAAAUAAAUAAAACACUAAACUAAAUUGUUUUGGGAUAAAGCCUUUUGUGGCAGUGGGUUUCGUGGUAUUACAAUUUUAGAGUUCAUUUUAAUACUAAGUAAGAAGUAUAAUUAAGAGAAACUAAAAUAAAGAACAGAAAAAAAAGAAUAAAUAAAAGGAAAAGAAAACACAAAACAGAAAAGAAAACUACCAAAAAAAUAUGGUAAAAGGAGACCCCCCCCACUGGACCCCUUGGCCCAACUGGGCCAUGGCCCAGCCGGCCACCCCCNNNNNNNNNNNNNNNNNNNNNNNNNNNNNNNNNNNNNNNNNNNNNNNNNNNNNNNNNNNNNNNNNNNNNNNNNNNNNNNNNNNNNNNNNNNNNNNNNNNNNNNNNNNNNNNNNNNNNNNNNNNNNNNNNNNNNNNNNNNNNNNNNNNNNNNNNNNNNNNNNNNNNNNNNNNNNNNNNNNNNNNNNNNNNNNNNNNNNNNNNNNNNNNNNNNNNNNNNNNNNNNNNNNNNNNNNNNNNNNNNNNNNNNNNNNNNNNNNNNNNNNNNNNNNNNNNNNNNNNNNNNNNNNNNNNNNNNNNNNNNNNNNNNNNNNNNNNNNNNNNNNNNNNNNNNNNNNNNNNNNNNNNNNNNNNNNNNNNNNNNNNNNNNNNNNNNNNNNNNNNNNNNNNNNNNNNNNNNNNNNNNNNNNNNNNNNNNNNNNNNNNNNNNNNNNNNNNNNNNNNNNNNNNNNNNNNNNNNNNNNNNNNNNNNNNNNNNNNNNNNNNNNNNNNNNNNNNNNNNNNNNNNNNNNNNNNNNNNNNNNNNNNNNNNNNNNNNNNNNNNNNNNNNNNNNNNNNNNNNNNNNNNNNNNNNNNNNNNNNNNNNNNNNNNNNNNNNNNNNNNNNNNNNNNNNNNNNNNNNNNNNNNNNNNNNNNNNNNNNNNNNNNNNNNNNNNNNNNNNNNNNNNNNNNNNNNNNNNNNNNNNNNNNNNNNNNNNNNNNNNNNNNNNNNNNNNNNNNNNNNNNNNNNNNNNNNNNNNNNNNNNNNNNNNNNNNNNNNNNNNNNNNNNNNNNNNNNNNNNNNNNNNNNNNNNNNNNNNNNNNNNNNNNNNNNNNNNNNNNNNNNNNNNNNNNNNNNNNNNNNNNNNNNNNNNNNNNNNNNNNNNNNNNNNNNNNNNNNNNNNNNNNNNNNNNNNNNNNNNNNNNNNNNNNNNNNNNNNNNNNNNNNNNNNNNNNNNNNNNNNNNNNNNNNNNNNNNNNNNNNNNNNNNNNNNNNGCCCCUCGGCGCCCGCUCGGCCCUCUCCUGGGUCGGGCGCCCGUAACGCCCAGCGCCCGUAACCCGCUAUGGCCCCCUGGGCAGUUGACAGAUGGGGCCCACGCCCCUGUCUUGUUAGAAAAAAAAACGAAAAGAAAAUGUAAUUAAAAAAAUGAAAAUAAGUAAUUAGUUAUUUAAUUAAUUAUGUAACUAAUUAAUUAAUUAAAUAAGUAAUUACUUAACUUAAUUAACUCCGUUUAGUACUUAAUUAACUUGAUUAGUUAAUUAAAAUUGUUAAUUAGUUGUUAGACUAUGACGAAUGGGACCCACACGUCAGUUUGACCCAGUCAACGCCCUGUUGACUGCUGACGUCAUGCUGACGUCAGCGUACACUAUUCUGGAUAAUGUUAAUUUAAUUAAUAAUUAAUAAAUUAGAAAAUGAUUUAAAAAUUUAAAAAUUAAUAUAAAUUAAACCGUAGCUCAGAUGAAAAAACUUUGUACAUGAAAGUUGCUCAGAACGACGAGACAAAUCUGGAUACACGGCCUGUUUGUUCGUCACGCAUCCCUAGCAUAGCAAACUCGCAACUUUCCCCUCCGGCUCCUCUGCCCGAAAACGCAAAACACCGGGGAUACUUUCCCGGAUGUCAUCCCCCUUCACCGGUAUCACCUAUUACCGCGUUAGGGCACCUCUAACGCCGUUACUUGUCAUGUCAUGCAUCACUAUGCAUAUGCUUGCUUAAAUAUUUAUUAUUUCUUCCCCCUCUUCUCUCGAUAGACACCGAGACCGACGCCGCUGCUACCCAGUACGACUACGCUGUUGACGACCCUCUUUCUUGCCAGAGCAACCAGGCAAGCGCCCCCCUUGAUCACCAGAUAUCGCCUACUCUCUUCUAUACUGCUUGCAUUAGAGUAGUGUAGCAUGUUACUGCUUUCCGUUAUUCCUAUCCUGAUGCAUAGCCUGUCCUUGCUACUACUGUUGUUACCAUUACCUGCUAUCCUACUGCUUAGUAUAGGAUGCUAGUGUUCCAUCAGUGGCCCUACACUCUUGUCCGUCUGCCAUGCUAUACUACUGGGCCGUGAUCACUUCGGGAGGUGAUCAUGGGCAUAUGCUAUAUACUUUACACAGUUACUUUACCUGUGGUACUGUUCGGAGAUGGGGGCUGAAGGGGCAGGUGGUUCCACCCAGGUAGUGGUGGGCCUGGGUUCCCGACGGCCCCCGACUGUUACUUUGUGGCGGAGCGACAGGGCAGGUUCAGACCACCUAGGAGAGAGGUGGGCCUGGCCCUGGUCGGCGUCCGCGGAUACUUAACACACUUAACGAGAUCUGGGUAUUUGAUCUGAGUCUGGCCAUUUGGUCUAUACGCACUAACCAUCUACGCGGGAGUAGUUAUGGGUAUCCCGACGUCGUGGUAUCAGCCGAAGCCUUCGUGACAUCAGCGACUAAGUGGCGCGUGCCGGAUUGGACCGUAAGCCUGCUCUUGUAUUAAGGGGGCUAGUUCUGCUUCCGGCCGCGUUCGCAACGUGCAGGUGUGCAAAGGGCGAUGGGCCCAGACCCCUGCGCCAUAGGAUUUAGACCAGCGUGCUGACCUCUCUGUUGGGCCUAGGUAGGGCUGCGACGUGUUGAUCUUCCGAGGCCGGGCAUGACCCAGAAAAGUGUGUCCGGCCAAAUGGGAUCGAGCGUGUUGGGGUAUGUGGUGCACCCCUGCAGGGAAGUUUAUCUAUUCGAAUAGCCGUGUCCCUCGGUAAAAGGACGACCCGGAGUUGUACUUUGACCUUAUGAUAACUAGAACCGGAUACUUAAUAAAACACACCCUUCCAAGUGCCAGAUACAACCGGUGAUCGCUCUCUCACAGGGCGACGAGGGGAGGAUCAUCGGUUAGGAUUAUGCUAUGCGAUGCUACUUGGAGGACUUCAGUCUACUCUCUUCUACAUGCUGCAAGACGGAGGUUACCAGAAGCGUAGUCUUCGAAAGGACUAGCUAUCCCCCUCUUAUUCCGGCAUUCUGCAGUUCAGUCCACAUAUGAUAGCCUUAUUCCAAUUGAUACCAAUGCAUACAUAUGUAGUGUAGCUCCUUGCUUGCGAGUACUUUGGAUGAGUACUCACGGUUGCUUUCUCCCUCUUUCCCCCCUAUCCCUUCUACCUGGUUGUCGCGACCAGAUGUUGGAGCUCAGGAGCCAGACGCCACCGUUGACGACGACUCCUACUACACCGGUGGUGCCUACUACUACGUGCUGUCCGCUGACGACGACCAGGAGUAGUUUAGGAGGAUCCCAGGCAAGAGGCCUGCGCCUCUUUCGAUCUAUAGCUCAGUUUGUGCUAGCCUUCUUAAGGCAAACUUGUUUAACUUAUGUCUGUACUCAGAUAUUGUUGCUUCCGCUGACUCGUCUAUGAUCGAGCUCUUGUAUUCGAGCCCUCGAGGUCCCUGGCUUGUAAUAUGAUGCUUGUAUGACUUAUUUUAUUUGUAGAGUUGUGUUGUGAUAUCUUUCUGUGAGUCCCUGAUCUUGAUCGUACACGUUUGCGUGUAUGAUUAGUGUACGGUCAAAUCGGGGGCGUCACACGAUGUAUCAUCGGACGGUUCCCUAGGCUCGUCGGACAUGGAUAGCGAUCCAGUCCCGACCCCCACCUCCCCUCAUCCUGCUGACGACGCCGAGGUGCUGUCUCAAGAGGCAUCGGGUCGAGGGGAGACAGUCCUGGAGGCACCUCAAGGCGACCUUCCGGACUCCGGGAGCCGAGGGGACGGGGCCCCUAAGAGCUUCGAGUUCGGCCCUCAGCCGAACACCGCGCUGGAACCUCCAGUGGUUCCGGGCUCGGUCAGGCGGCCUCCUUCUAAGAGGGGCAAGACACCUGUGCCGGUGACCUCUGUCUAUCCAGAGGCGCCGGACAAUCUGCUGGAAGCGCUUCGCAGCGCUUCCAUCGACGAGGAGCACCGCACUAUCAUGAGUGCGGCGAUCCAGAAAGUUUAGUCCGCCAAGAGCGGAUUGACUGAAGCCUGUGCCAGCCUUCUAACAGGCUUUGAGGUAAGUGUUUUAAAAUAUAGGAAAAAUACUACUGCAUAUAUAGUAGCCCCUGAUGCUUUGUUCGGUGUUCAGAAAGAAAAGCCGAACAGAGGAUCAAAUAAUAUCGCAGGACUCUAAUAUAAGUAUGUCAAUAUGCGUAUGCAAGCCUCACUGCUGGCAUCCGCCACACUGACUGCGGAGGUCGCCCUACUGAAGCAGGACCUCGAGAGGUCUAGGAGAGAGCUCGGCCUUGUCAAGAGGCAGCUCGAGGAGAACAAGGGUAAGUAAUACCUUGUCUUUAGAUAUGUAUAUAUAAAAGAAGAAGCGAUUGCAAAAUGACAGGAUCAUCGUACAUUCGCCAGGGGCCACGACCAAGGUGGCAACCCUCAAGCAAGCGCUAACCAAGGCCGAAGAUAACGCGGCCAAGGAGCGCACCGAGUGAGAGAAGCACGAGGCUCGGGUGGGCGAGGUGCAGCAAGAGCUCUAGGCUAUCAUGGUGAAGCACGAGGCAUUGGAGCUUGACUAAAAGACGCGAGAGUCUGAGCUUUCCGCGGCCCUCGAGAGCGCAAAAAGUGCCAAGGCCGAAGCCCAAAGGGGUCUCCAGGCGGGUAUGGCUUUCUAUAUGCAAAGCAAGCAUGUAAAAGUAAAUUACCGAUUACUUACUCGAAUCCGGAGCUCUCCAGGAGCAUUCGCAGAUUUUCCACGCAGCGUGUCCGAUGCCGCACAAUUUUACCAGGCCGAGGAUGGAAGCUCAAUGGAGAAGCUGUUCUGGUAUCAGUAUGCUGAGGCCGGACACCCGGUGCCAAUGAGCGACCAGCUGAAGCAGGUGGUCGAGCUACAUAAGGCGGCCGAUCAGGCCAUGAAGGGCUUUAUAGUCCGGCUGUGGCCUGGCGACGCCCUUCCGAACAGCUUCCUCGGCCUGGUGAGGCGGCUUGUGGAUGCCUGCCCGCGGCUGGAGGUCGUCAAGCGAUCUGUCUACAUUGAGGGUGCACGCCGGGCUUUCGCCCGUGUGAAAUUGCAGUGGGUCAAGCUAGACGCCGUGAAGCUGAUCAAGGAGGGGCCGCCGGAGGGCAAGGAGCACCGCCACCCCGAGAUGUACUACGAGGGUGUUCUGCUGGGUGCCCGUCUCAUAGCGGACGAGUGUUCAAAAGAUGUAAUAUUUGAGUGAGACUUGCUCGUUUUAUCCUGUAUUUAUGAAAACUUGUUUCAUAUGCACUAUGCAACGCUUGUUUGAAUUUAGAAUAUUACCUUCUGUUUGGCCGUUUAUCAAUCUGAGAGAUGGCUAGUCCUCAGCUUCUGCCCCCAUGCCACGAGUGCUGGGGUCUUCGGGAUAAACCUGAGCACUCUUGUUCCCAUAUUUGGGUCCUUGGAGGGAGGUGCUCAGCACAACGAACAAGGAAACCCGACUAAUAAUGCUUUAUCACUCUCACUUAGCGAUAGAAUUCUAUAAUUUUAAAUUUCGGCGAAGCCCCUGGUAUUCGGAAGGCCGAAUUCGGGGCGCGAUACACGCCUUUAAGCCGGACAGGGCCGGCCCCUCGCCCUAAGCGGCAUAAGUCUUUGGGGACUCGAUAACCUCGCCGAACAGCGAUCAGUCUCUCCCCUUAUCAUGACAGUCAGUUUUAGCUUUCUCUACUUAGGUGCCGAACCCAGCAAAACCGGGGCACAAUCGCAGUAGUUCUCCUAGCGCUACCUUAGCCGAUAGAGUGGAACGUAAGGUACCAAAACAUAGGAGCCGGGCAAACCCAACAUUUGACCAAAGACAUGAUUCGGAGCUGAUGCAUAUAAUGCUAUAAGUUUGGGGUGCCGCACUUGUGAAAGUGUUCGGACUUUUCACACCGUAUUGUGGGGUACGUAAGCCCCUGGUGUAUUGGCCGUACCAAAGUGUACGGUUGCAAGGCAUCAUUAAUGAACAUAUAUAUAUAUAUAUAUAUAUAUAUAUAACAAGAGUGCAAUAAUAGUCGUAAUGUCAUGCAUUGUUUAUUCAAAAAAUUACGUUAAAGUAGGGUGAUACAGAUAGUGUGAUAAGCAAAGAGUAGGACUAUGUCCCUUCCCAAGGCAAGCUAAGGAAUGAUAUUAAAUUGAAUAUUUCGCUCGUUACAGUAAUCCACCUAGGAAUUCCGUGGUGUGACGUAGCUAUCUGCCUCCUUGGUUGCUGCAUCGUGUGUUCGGCAAUAGUGCUGCCGGACAGUGUUUCCAGAGGUUAAUGUCCUGAAAAAAAGAGAAAAAUAACCAAACGGGAAGCCCCUAGUGCGGUUUAAGCCGCGUCUUGGGGCGUGCUGCAGUUGUGCCACCCUCCCCACCUGUGCCCAUGGUAUUUUUAAUGCGUAAUUAUGUACGCGUGGCAUGAGUUUCGUCGUUGGGCUGGGAUUGGGGUGGCCGCCUUAUUGCUACGCGAGCUCAGAUCGCGCAAGGCGGUCUAUUUGCCGAUUGCUCCGAGCGCGCUUGAAGGUGUCCGGGCUUUGAAGCGCCGGACUGGUUGAUUGCCUUGAGAGGCUGCUUUGCGCUUCUGCUGCGAGGGCCGCGGUGUGCUCCUCUGUUCGGAGAGAGCACUCUGUGUUUCCAUUGACUGUAAUAACUCCGCGAGGUCCUGACAUCUUGAGCUUGAGGUAUGCAUAGUGCGGUACCGCAUUGAAUCUAGCAAAUGCGGUUCGCUCGAGCAGCGCGUGGUAACCACUGCGGAAUGGGACUAUAUCGAAGAUUAGCUCUUCGCUUCGGAAGUUAUCCGGGGAUCCGAAGACCACUUCCAGUGUAAUUGAGCCUGUGCAAUGGGCCUCUACACCUGGAAUGAGGCCUUUAAAGGUCGUUUUUGUGGGUUUGAUCCUUGAGGGGUCUAUACCCAUUUUGCGCACUAUAUCCUGAUAAAGUAGGUUCAGGCUGCUGCCGCCAUCCAUAAGGACUCGAGUGAGGUGAAAUCCGUCAAUGAUUGGGUCUAGGACUAGUGCGGAAAAUCUACCAUGAUGGAUACUAGUGGGGUGGUCCCUUCGAUCGAAGGUGAUCGGAUAGGAGGACCAAGGGUUGAACUUUGGGGUGACUGGCUCGAACGCAUAUACGUCCAUGAGCGCACGCUUCCGCUCCCUCUUAGGGAUGUGGGUUGCGUAUAUCAUGUUCACCGUCUGCAGUUGCGGGGGAAACCUCUUCUGUCCUUCGAUGUGCGGCUGCCGGGGCUCCUCCUCGUCAUCGCUAUGCGGCCCCUUGUCCUUCUUUUCGGCAAUUAACUUGCGGGCCUGCUUGAACACCCAACAAUCCCUGUUGGUGUGAUUGGCUGGCUUGUCUAGGGUGCCGUGUAUUUGACACGAGCGAUCGAGUAUACGUUCCAAGCUGGAUGGACCUGGCGUACUUUGUUUGAAUGGCUUUUUCCGCUGACCGGGUUUAGAGCCUUUGAAUCCGGCAUUGACUGCCGUAUCCUCGGUAUUUUCGCUGUUAAUGCGGCGGUUAUGUUUGUUGUGACAUGACCUGCUAUUGCCAUCCUUGGUAUCGGAGGUACCAUGGUUCUUUGAUAUGUUAUUACUACGGGCCAGCCAGCUGUCUUCUCCCGCACAAAAGCGGGUCAUGAGCGUCGUGAGAGCUGCCAUAGAUUUCGGCUUUUCCUGACCAAGGUGCCAGGCUAGCCACUCGUCUCGGAUGUUGUGUCUGAAAGCCGCUAAGGCCUCUGCAUCCGGACAGUCGACGAUUUGAUUUUUCUUUGUGAGGAACCAAGUCCAGAAUUGCCUAGCCGACUCUUCUGGCUGCUGAAUUAUGUGGCUCAAGUCAUCGGCGUCUAGUGGUCGCACAUAAGUGCCCUGAAAGUUGUUGAGGAAUGCGGCUUCCAGAUCUUCCCAACAGCUAAUGGAGUCCGCUGGCAAGCUGUUAAGCCAAUGCCGCGCUGGUCCUUUGAGCUUUAGUGGAAGAUAUUUGAUGGCGUGUAAGUCAUCACCGUGGGCCAUGUGGAUGUGGAGGAGGAAAUCCUCGAUCGAUACUGCAGGAUCUGUUGUGCCGUCGUAUGAUUCAAUAUUUACAGGUUUGAAACCUUCUGGGAAUUGAUGAUCCAUUACUUCGUCUCUGAAGCAUAAGGGGUGUGCGGCGCCUCUGUAGUGGGCUAUAUCGCGACGCAGCUCGAAUGGGUCUUGCCCGCUGUGUUCGGCCCGGCCGGAUUUGCUUUUACUGUAUCCGGCGUGACAUUUAUCGUCUCGCAGAGUUGUGCGCCCUCGUGAUCCGUAGAUCGAUCUUGCAUGCUUUGCUUUGUCCUCCAAUAUAUCUCGCAGGUCUGGCGUAUCUCCCCAUGCCUUUUUAUUUGAAUGGCGUCGGGGUGGAGGCUGAGUUUUUGGCUGGACUGCCUCUCUAUCGCGGCCACGAGGUGGCCGAUCCGGGCAGUAACCUGCACUUUGGGUAAUUCUUGGAGGGGUGCUUGAGUUUAUAUUCCUCGGCCGCGAGGACUUCAGUCCAUCUGUUAGUUAAGAGAUCUUGAUCAGCUUGAAGCUGCUGCUGCUUUUUCUUUAGGCUAUUUUCCGUGGCCAUAAGCCGGUGCUUGAAGCGCUCUUGUUCGAUGGGAUCCUCUGGUACAUCGAAUUCAUCAUCGCCGAGGCUUGCCUCGUCUUCGGAGGCGGGCGUGUAAUUGUCAUCCUCCUCCUCUCCGUCUGCCGCUCUUUCAGGAGGGUUGGCUCCUCCAUCCUCCUGCUCUAAAUCUUGCUGGAGGGGAUUAUUGUUGUCUUCGGCACUAUCCGGAGUGUUAUUAUCUCCUGUGCCGGUAUCACCACUUUUGCUUUGGCGGGACUUAGAGCGGCGCCGCUGACAUCGGCGCUUGGGUUGCUUCUUGGAGAGGUCAUCCUCCGUUAUCUCGUCGCCAUUGCCUUCUUUGGGUGUAUCCACCAUGUAUAUGUCGUAUGAUGAUGUGGCUUUCGAGUGCCCUAUGGGCGCUGGUUCAUGUUCAUCUCCUACAUCGUCGUCCAUACCAUCGAUGUCUUCGGAGUCGAAGUCGAGCAUGUCGGUUAAAUUAUCGACAGUGGCUACGAAGUGGGUGGUGGGUGGGCAUCGAAUUUCUUCGUCGUCCGCCUCCCAAUCCUGUUGGCCAUAGUCCGGCCAGGGCUCUCCUGACAAAGAGAGAGACUUUAGUGAAUUCAGAAUGUCACCGAAGGACGAGUGCUGCAAGAUAUCAGCGGCGGCGAAUUCCAUGAUCGGCGCCCAGUCGGAUUCAAUUGGCAGGGGCGCGGACGGUUCGGAGUCCGGAAAAGAGUCCGGCACCUUGGAGUCACGGGCUUUGCAGAGGAUUAGGCUGGUGUUCAACUCGAUCACCGUUGAGACUGCAGCCCCUGAGGCGGUGUCUAGCCACCCGUCCUCGACUGGCGCAGUUGGCUCCGAGCUAAGGGUCAGAGCUGAUGCGGGCGCGGCCUCUGGGGUACUGUCCGGUGGUAGAGCUAGGUCAUACCCAUCGUGACAGUGCAGCGCGCCCGGCUGUGGCUUGAAUCCGUCGAAGAUCAAGUCUCCGAGGAUGUCGGCCGUGUAGUUCAAACUUCCAAAUCUGACCUGAUGGCCAGGGGUGUAGCUUUCAAUCUGCUCCAGAUGGCCAAGCGAAUUAGCCCGUAGUGCAAAGCCGCCGAACACUGGACCGCAUCGUUGUUCAUGAUCGGAGGAGCCAUCGGGCCUAAAGGUGACGACACCGAGGAAAUCUCAAUGGAAGCACCAAUGUCGGUGUCAAAUCCGGCGGAUCUCGGGUAGGGGGUCCCGAACUGUGCGUCUAGGCCGGAUGGUAACAGGAGGCAGGGGACACAAUGUUUUACCCAGGUUCGGGCCCUCUUGAUGGACGUAAAACCCUAUGUCCUUCUUGAUUAAUAUUGAUGAUAUGUGUAGUACAAGAGUAGAUCUACCACGAGAUCAGAGAGGCUAAACCCUAGAAGCUAGCCUAUGGUAUGAUUGUAUACGUCCUACGGACUAAAACCCUCCAGUUUAUAUAAACACCGGAGAGGGUUAGAGUUACACAAGGUCGGUUGCAAAGGAGGAGAUAUCCAUAUCCGUAUUGCCUAGCUUGCCUUCCACGCCAAGUAGAGUCCCAUCCGGACACGGGACGGAGUCUUCAAUCUUGUAUCUUUAUAGUCCAACAGUCCGGCUGUCCGGAGACCCCCUAAUCCAGGACUCCCUCACCCCCACUCCCUAUCGAACCCUAGCCCAAUCGCCCCACCUCCCCCACACCCCCUCGCCAGCCUCCCCACCUCUUGAUCCCAUCUGGAUCGGGGAGGGGAUCACCCCCAUCGACCCCGUCGCCGUCGCCGGAUCGCCCGUCAGCGUCGCCAGGCCUCCUCCCCGCCGCCCGUCUCCGGCUCGCCUCCCCUCUCGCUCCUCUUUCCCGACCCGAUCAGGAUCGUGAACGAGCAAUGAGCGCGACGCCCCCCCUUCAUCGGCGCCAUCACCGUGCGCCACCACCACCGCCUGAAGACCUCGCCGUCGCUGACCUUGUGUCGUCUCCUGGUAUCCCUUCCCGACUCGCGUCCUCAAGCCAGGCCGACCCCCUUCUCGGCAAUGCUGUGAGACGCCCCCCGUUUCCCUCCUCUUUCCACCGUGUUCACCGCGCCGCCUGACGAAGCUACGUACCUAGGGUAGGGGCAUGGACCUGUCCUAAGAGCCCUACCCAAGGACAUCCCUGGAAGAAGUCACCUUUCAAUCGACUUGAAGGUACCCACUCGACGGGUUUAAGACACUCGACCAAGAAGCUACCACUCGACAUGAAGCCAAUCACUCGACUGCCAGGAGAUCUAAAGUCAUUCCACGGGCAAACGGUCGGCUAUUAAGUAGUCUUUAUGGUCAUUAUAGCACUUUAUUACCAGCAUUACCAGUAACGCCCCGCCUUAAUGUACAUUGAACCCUUGGUAACGUAGGCUGGCCGGGGUCCUGGCGCGCUCUAUAUAAGUCACCCCCUCCUCCGAGACAAGGGUUCGCACCUCUAUUGUUCACAUGCCUAUAAUCCAAUCGACCGCCUCCGGGCACUGAGACGUAGGGCUGUUACUUCCUCCGCGAAGGGCCUGAACUCGUACACCUUGGUGUGUUUACAACUUCCCAAUAGCUGAGAUCUAGCCUCUCCAUACACACCCCCCUACAUCACUGUCAGAGUUAGAACCACAAUAGUUGGCGCCCACCGCGGGGCCAGAAUCUUAGCGCUUACUUGGAGAAGUUGCGAUUCUUCUGAUCCCUUUGAUCAUGGUUUCAUGCGGAGUUUUGGUGGAGGGGCGCGAGAUCCGUCUCGGCGCGCUCACAUUCAUCGCCGACGACUCCGCUUGGUUUCAGGAGGCUCCACUCGACAUCGACGUGCUCCCCGUCCGUGGUGCGACGCACUUCCGCGCAUGCGUUCGUGGCGUCCUCCUGCGGCAGCCGUCGACCCAGUAUCGGUCGGCCCUCGUGUCGUCUCCCCGCUCUGUCUCCCUCCGACGCAAGCGCUUUGGUAGGUCGAGACUUUAGAGGUGGGUGAGGCAUGCCGUGGCUCGCCAGUCGGCCGCCCCACAAGUCGCGGCAAUCGAGCCCGACAAAUCCCUCUGCAGCCUGUUCGACUGGCUCCGCGGAGACUUCAUCCGAGUGUGACAGCAGAGACCCAGCGGCUGAGGUUCUGGCGGUCGAUGGGACACACUGUCCUCCCGGUUUCCCUCGCGCUAAUGGAGGCGCGGGUGGGGGCGACCCGUCGCAUCCCCACGAUGAGUAUCUCCCCGAAUGUCUCACGGCAUCGCAGCGAGAGGAACUUCACCGCCGGAACAUAGACGCACUCCACACUCCUAUCGUCGGAGAAACCCCCGAGGCCCGGGCCUUGGAGGACGCGCGCUUGGCUAACUUGGCUGAGCGCACUCGACUGGAGAAUCUCCAGCUAAUACUCGAUGAGCAAGCGCGCCAGUGAGCUCCCGAGUCCAGUCGACGUCAGCUCUUUCCGCCGAUGCAGGUAUAUUGAACCCUAGUUCAGAAUUUGGCCGCCGCGGCCCGUAUAGCAGAGUCAAUUCAGCCCUCCCAGUCAGAGGCUGGCAGGGGCUUGUUGCAGAUCAGAGCAUUGCUCCGGGCGGCGGGGAACCAGAAUUCCGCUGUUUCUCAGUCGCAGAAUAGGAUCCACAGUCGAUCCGUUGCAACAGAUACAGUCCAGUCGGCUCACAGCCCGAGAUCGCCCCCGAGGCGUGAGGGACAUGGAGACCGGCACGAUCAGUACAGAAGAAAUGAGCAGUAUGAUCACCGAUUCGAUCGUGAGGAUCGACGUCGAGUGCCAACCCCUCCCCCGAGGAGUGGGUCAUAUGCGCCUCGAUAGCGAGAUGACAGGCGCCCUCAUAGUGUUGGGCAGAGGAUUCCAGUCGACCCCAGGGACCCAGGCUUUGAUGCGAGAUCCAUCCUUGAUCAAGGUCUGGUUGACAGGAACGGGGCUCACCGAGAAUGCCAGGACAGAGAUGCGCCUGCCAGCAGCAGAGUGCGUGUUUCAGGGACAGAGUGUUUCAGUCGAGCCAUCAGAGCCACAGUGAUUCCUCCCAACUUCAGGUUGGCGACUGGAGUCAGCUAGUUCACCGGUGAGUCUAAGCCUGACACUUGGCUCGAAGAUUACCGAGUGGCUGUACAGAUUGGCAGUGGCAAUGAUGAGGUGGACAUGAAGCAUUUGCCUCUCAUGUUAGAGGGCUCAGCCAGAGCAUGGCUAAAUCAGUUAGUGCCCAGCAGCAUUUACACUUGGGAGGACCUCUCCCGAGUGUUUGUCACAACCUUUGAGGGAACAUGCAAGCGACCUGCAGGCCUUACAGAGUUGCGGUCUUGCACGCAGAAACCGAAUGAAACGCUGAGGGAUUACAUCCAGAGGUGGAUCACAUUGCAUCACACAGUUGAGAAUGUUCCAGAUCAUCAAGCAGUUUGUGCCUUCAAAGAAGGCGUUAAGUACAGAGAAUUGAAUCUGAAGUUCGGUCGAACUGGAGAGAUGUCUCUGAAUCGGAUGAUGGAGAUUGCCACCAAAUACGCUAAUGGUGAAGACGAAGAUCGCCUCCGGAGUGGCAAGCGCAAGGCAGUCGCCCAAGAAACCGGAGGAAACUCCAGUCAGAAACAGAAGCGGAAGGCUGAGCCAGCCGCCCCUGGGGAGGCCCUGGCCGUAACCCAGGGAAAUUUCAAGGGAAAACCCAAGGGCCCCUGGAAGCCCAAGAAAGUCAAGGAUCAAGAUGGAAAUGAUGUUUUGGAUCUGCCAUGUCACUCCACACCAAGAAAGAUGAAGAGGGUAAUUUUAUUUACCCAAAGCAUACCACUCGACAGUGCCAGCUCCUGAUCCAGCAGUUUCAGGGCAAGCAACCCAAAGAUAAGGAAAAAGAGCCAGACAGAGUUGAGGACAAGGAUGAUAGUGACGAUGGAUACCCCCAAGUCAAUUCCACCCUGAUGAUUUUUGCUGAUGUCGAAAGCAAAAGUCGACUGAAAGUCAUUAAUCGUGAAGUGAAUAUGGUUGCUCCGGCAACACCUAGUUAUCUGAAGUGGUCUCAGGCUGCCAUAACAUUCGACCAGUCUGAUCACCCUACGCACAUUGCCACCCCUGGGAGGCAAGCUUUGGUGGUCGACCCAGUUGUCGAAGGCACUCGACUGACCAAAGUCCUGAUGGAUGGUGGCAGUGGCCUGAACAUACUGUAUGCUAAAACAUUGAAAGGGAUGGGCAUUCCGAUGUCCGGGCUCAGUACCAGCAACAUGAGCUUCCACGGAGUCAUUCCCGGGAAGUAAGCCGAAUCACUCGGCCAGAUUGCUCUUGAUGUGGUUUUCGGUGAUUCAAAGACUUACCGCAAGGAAAAGUUGACAUUCGAGGUUGUGGACUUCCAAAGUGCUUAUCAUGCCAUUUUGGGCAGACCAGCUUAUGCACGCUUCAUGGCCUGACCAUGUUAUGUGUAUCUCAAAUUGAAGAUGCCUGGUCCUAAAGGUGUGAUCACUGUUACAGGCAAUCGGAAGAAGGCAGAAGAGUGUUUUCAGAAAGGCUCAAAGAUUGCUGACGCUCAGAUGGCAGUGGUUGAGCUGCAAGAGUAUCAGAAGACUGCAGAUCCGAGUGAGUUGCUACGAGCUAAGAAGCCCACUUCGGAGUCAGCUUUUCAGUAGUCUGGUGAAAUGAAGGCAGUUCACAUUCACCCGACCAACCCCGAGGCUGCCCCGACUCACAUCUCAAAGACGCUCGACUCCAAAUAGGAAGAAGUGCUCAUCCAGUUCCUCCGUGAGAACUGGGACAUCUUCGCAUGGAAGCCUUCUGACAUGCCUGGAAUAACCAGGGGGCUGGCUGAGCACCGUCUACGAGUCGACCCAAAGUUCAAGCCUAUGAAAGAACAUCUUCGACGGUCCGCCGUCCAAAAGAGGAAAGCUAUUGGCGAGGAGGUGGCUCGGCUCUUAGCAGCAGAGUUCAUCCGAGAGAUGUACCACUCUGAGUGGCUCGCCAAUGUUGUCAUGGUCCCCAAGAAGGACAAGUCGCUUCGCAUAUGCAUCGACUUUAAACAUAUCAAUCGGGCCUGCCCGAAAGAUCAUUUUCCUCUCCCUCGCAUCGACCAAAUAGUCGACUUGACCGCGGGGUGUGAGCGAUUGUCUUUUCUAGACGGCUAUUCCGGGUACCAUCAGAUCCGUCUGUAUGGACCCGAUGAGAUCAAAACAGCUUUCAUCACUCCAUUCGGGUGCUUCCGUUAUGUCACCAUGCCCUUCGGCCUCAAGAACGCUGGAGCCACGUUCAUGAGGAUGAUUCAGAAGUGUUUGCUCACUCAAAUCAGUCGGAACGUGGAAGCAUACAUGGAUGAUAUUGUGGUCAAGUCGCGGAAAGGUUCCGACCUGCUGACUGACCUUGCUGCAACCUUUGCCAACCUUAGGAGGUAUGAUAUCAAGCUUAAUCCAUCAAACUGCACAUUCGGAGUUCCGGGUGGAAAGUUACUCGGUUUUCUCGUUUCCGAAUGAGGAAUCAACGCCAAUCCCGAGAAAGUUGGCACCAUACUCCGGAUGAAGCGCCCUGUGCGUGUGCACGAUGUCCAGAAGCUUAUGGGUUGCUUGGCCGCUCUAAGUCGAUUCAUUUCUCGUCUCAGUGAAAAGGCAUUGCCUCUUUACCGACUGAUGAAGAAGUCUGACAAGUUCGAGUGGACUCCAGAAGCUGAUGCAGCGUUUGCAGACCUCAAAGCUCUGCUCUCCACCCAGCCGGUGCUUGCUGCCCCAAUCAGUAAAGAGCCUUUGCUGCUUUACAUUGCAGCCACAGGACAAGUUGUCAGUACAGUACUUAUGGUCGAGCGGGAAGAUGAAGGAUAGGCCUUCAGAGUUCAACGCCCAGUAUAUUAUGUGUCUGAAGUUUUGACACCUUCAAAACAAAGAUAUCCUCAUUAUCAGAAGCUUGUAUACGGGAUUUAUAUGACCACGAAGAAGGUUGCACAUUACUUCUCUGACCACUCCAUUACAGUCGUCAGCGACGCCCCACUGUCAGAGAUUCUGCAUAACAGAGAUGCAACUGGUCGAGUGGCGAAGUGGGCGAUUGAACUCCUUCCCCUAGAUAUCAAGUUUGAAGCAAAUAAGGCUAUCAAGUCCCAAGCAAUUGCAGAUUUCAUCACCGAGUGGAUCGAACAGCAGCUUCCGACUCAAGUUCACCCGGAGCACUGGACCAUGUUCUUCGAUGGAUCUAAGAUGCUGAAUGGUUCCGGUGCUGGGGUAGUAUUGGUCUCCCCCCGAGGAGAUAAGCUCAGAUAUGUUCUCCAGAUUCACUUUGAUUCCUCCAAUAAUGAAGCAGAAUAUGAAGCACUUUUGUAUGGGUUGCGCAUGGCCAUUUCACUUGGCGUCCGUCGCCUCAUGGUCUAUGGCGACUCAGAUUUGGUGGUUAAUCAGGCGAUGAAGGAGUGAGACGUCAGAAGUCCGGCAAUGACUGGUUAUUGCAAUGUAGUGAGAAAGCUAGAAAAGAAAUUCGAGGGGUUAGAGCUUCAUCACAUCCCCCGACUGAAAAAUCAGGUAGCUGACGAUUUGGCAAAGAUAGGCCCCAAGAGAGAAGCCAUUCCCAGCAACGUGUUCCUGGAACACAUUCAUUCGCCAUCAGUCCAAGAAGAUCCUUUUACAGAAGAAGCCCCGCAGCCGAAAAGUGCCACAGAUCCGACUGAAGUCGAAGUCCCUGCUGUGGUCGACCUAAUCAUGGAAGUCUUCGCAAUCACUCCCGACUGGACGAUACCGUACAUCGCGUAUAUCCUAAGGAAAGAACUCCCGGAGGACGAGGAAGAGGCUCGACAGAUCGUCCGCCGAUCCAAAGCCUUCACAGUCACAAGGGGACAGUUGUAUAGAGAAAGCGCGACUGGGAUCGGUCAGAAGUGCAUAACACUAGAAGAGGUUCAGAUAAUCCUUGACGACAUCCACUCGCGGACCUGUGGUCACCAUGCGUCUUCUCGGACCAUUGUGGCUAAAGCAUACCGAGCGGGAUUUUACUGGCCAAGAGCAAAUGAGAUGGCAAAAGAGAUAGUCGACCAGUGUGGAGGGUGCUAGUUCUACUCCAACAUGUCACACAAGCCUGCGUCAGCCCUGAAGACCAUUCCACUCGUCUGGCCCUUUGCUGUCUGGGGACUGGACAUGGUUGGUCCACUAAGAACAGGCAGGAGCGGUUUCACUCAUGUGCUUGUGGUAGUCGACAAGUUUACCAAAUGGAUUGAGGCUAAGCGCAUCAAGAAUCUUGAUGCUUGCACUACUAUCAGUUUCGUCAGAGGGCUAACAUUCAGAUAUGGAGUCCCGCAUAGCAUCAUCACUGACAAUGGGUCAAACUUUGAUUCGGACAAGUUCAGAGCUUUUUGCGCCUCUCAAGGCACACGAGUCGACUACGCAUCGGUCGCCCAUCCCCAGUCGAAUGGACAAGCAGAGAGAGCAAAUGGUUUGAUUCUCAAAGGACUAAAGCCUCGACUGAUGCGCGAUCUCAAGCACGCGGCAGGUGCUUAGGUCGACGAGCUUCCGUCAGUUCUGUGGGGAUUGAGGACCACCCCGAACCGGUCGACUGGAGGAACUCCAUUCUUUCUGGUUUAUGGAGCCGAGGCAGUUCUGCCGAGUGAUCUUCUUCACAACGCACCCCGAGUCGAACUUUAUACCGAAGAUGAAGCAGAACAAGCCCGGCAAGACGCAGUCGACCUACUAGAAGAAGAGAGGGAGAUGGCCAUGAUCAGAUCGACCAUUUAUCAGCAAGACUUGCGUCGAUUCCACGCUAGGAAUGUGAAGAGUCGAGCCUUCCAAGAAGGAGAUUUGGUCCUCCUAGUGGAUCAACAGAAACCACACAAGCUUGCUCCUACUUGGGAAGGCCCCUUCAUCGUCACCAGAGUCCUCCACAAUGGAGCGUAUCACCUCUACAAUGUUGAUCGCCAGAUCGAUGAGCCGCGAGCUUGGAAUGCGGAACUGCUCCGCCCCUUUUACACUUGAGUUCUCCCUUGGACGAGAUGUAAUAAGAAAAAAUUUCUGCAGUUCAUUUUUAUCAAAGGCAAGAGUGUUCCAAUAAUUGCUGUCACUUUUGUUUGCAUACGAAAUCCCCCAGUGGGUGACUUAGCUGCGAAUCCGUUUCGCCUAAGUUUGAAAAAUCCUACCGAGUGGAGAGCCAGAUUCCCACUCGGGGGCUUAGCUCCAGCCCAGUGCUUGCCUAAGUGUUCAAAAAUCCUACCAAGUGAGAGCAAUCCUCCCACUUGGGGGCUUAGCUGCAGUCCAGUACUCGCCUAAGUUCUCCCACUUAGAGACUUAGCUGCAGUCAGGCACUCGCCUAAGUUUGAAAAAAUCCUACCGAGUGGAGAGCAAUCCUCCCACUCGAGGGCUUAGCUGCAGUCCAGUACUCGCCUAAGUUCUCCCACUUAGAGACUUAGCUACAGUCAGGCACUCGCCUAAGUUUGAAAAAAUCCUACCGAGUGGAGAGCAACCCUCCGACUCGGGGGCUUAGCUGCAGUCCAGUACUCACCAAAGUUCUCCCACUUAGAGACUUAGCUANNNNNNNNNNNNNNNNNNNNNNNNNNNNNNNNNNNNNNNNNNNNNNNNNNNNNNNNNNNNNNNNNNNNNNNNNNNNNNNNNNNNNNNNNNNNNNNNNNNNNNNNNNNNNNNNNNNNNNNNNNNNNNNNNNNNNNNNNNNNNNNNNNNNNNNNNNNNNNNNNNNNNNNNNNNNNNNNNNNNNNNNNNNNNNNNNNNNNNNNNNNNNNNNNNNNNCUCUCCUUCCGAGCUACGCCACAAGUACAACAUGCGCUCUGCAAGGAGGACGAGGUGCAGGUCGACUGCUACCCUCUCCUUCCGAGCUACGCCACCAAUUCAAAAUCCUACUGAGUGGAGAGCAAACCUCCCACUCGGGGGCUUAGCUGCAGCCCAGUGCUCGCCUAAGUAUUUGAAAUCCUACCGAGUGGAGAGCAAACCUCCCACUCAGGGGCUUAGCUGCAGCNNNNNNNNNNNNNNNNNNNNNNNNNNNNNNNNNNNNNNNNNNNNNNNNNNNNNNNNNNNNNNNNNNNNNNNNNNNNNNNNAAAUCCUACCGAGUGGAGAGCAAACCUCCCACUCGGGGGCUUAGCUACAGCCCAGUGCUCGCCUAAGUAUUUAAAAAUCCUACCGAGUGGAGAGGAAACCUCCCACUCGGGGGCUUAGCUGCAGCCCAGUGCUCGCCUAUGUGUUUAGAAAUCCUACCGAGUGGAGAGCAAACCUCCCACUCGGGGGCUUAGCUGCAGCCCAGUGCUCGCCUAAGUGUUUAGAAAUCCUACCGAGUGGAGAGCAAACCUCCCACUCGGGGGCUUAGCUGCAGCCCAGUGCUCGCCUAAGUGUUUAGAAAUCCUACCGAGUGGAGAGCAAACCUCCCACUCGGGGGCUUAGCUGCAGCCCAGUGGUCGCCUAAGUGUUUAAAAAUCCUACCGAGUGGAGAGCCAGACUCCCACUCGGGGGCUUAGCUGCAGCCUAGCGCUCGCCUAAGUGUUUAAAAAUCCUACCGAGUGAGAGCAAACCCCUCACUCGGAGGGCUUAGCUGCAGCCCGGUGCUCACCUAAGUACAGGACACAACCCAAUCCGCAAGAAGUUACGCCACAAAUACAAGGUUAUUCCGAGUGAAGAUCAAGUUGCACUCGACAGAUCAAACCAUGAAGAUAUCCAACGAGAAAUCAAGUUCGGAUAAAGCCUAAAGGUCCCAGACCUCAGAUCAAAGUACUCGAGCCCUCGGCUCGGCAGAGUUUAACGGUUACAAAUCCACUCAGCAUUCCGAGGCAAAUUUAAAGUGAAGCACGACGAACUCGUCCAAGUCGAUCCCGUCUGCAAUACGAGUGGCAGCAGCGAUGAAAGUCUCCAUGAAGUCUUGAAAGCUGUGCUUCCUGGUAUUGGCAACUUGGAUGGCGGCCGGCUUUUCUUCUCGCGCCUCCUUGCAAUGGACGCGGACCAGAGACAGAGCGACAUCAGCACCACAUCUAGCAGAAGAUUUCUUCCAUUCCGCCACUCAACCCGGGACUUCAUUCUGUCGAGCCAUCAGAGACUCGAGGUCGUUCUGAAGCAUCAUCCCAGGCCAGAGUGAUGUGUCAAUCCGCGACAUCGCAACCUUCAGUCGAGCAAGAUAGUCAACAACACUGGUAACACGAGACUCCAGUCGGAGCACGUUCAUAGCAGCUUCAUCCUUCACGAGAGAAUUGGCGGGGUCCAAGCCUGGCUCCACUCGACUGGUUUCCUCUUCGAAGUUCUGGCAGAAUUCUGCAAACACGAUUCAAGAGUCAGACAUUGGCUCUACACAGGCUUGGCAACUGCAAGACAGUCGGGGCAGAGUAAUUACCUUCGAGCAUGACGAACAGCUUCUUGGUGAGUCCACCGAGAUAAGCCUCCAGAUCAUUUACCUUCCCCGCCAGCUUACCCGCCUGGUCGUGUAGAACCAUCUUUUCAUUCUUCAGUCGGCUGACCUCUUGAUUAGCUGUCUCGAGAGCAGUUUUCAGCCUCGAGUUCUCCUGUUCAAGAGUUCCGACCGAAGCCAUUUUCUCUUCUCCAAGCUUCGUUCUGCUCAAGGCCUCCUUCUGUGAUUCUGCAAGAUCUUGAUCCUUCUUCUUCAGAGCUUCUUCCAGUUUAUCUGCGGCACGUCGAGUGAAAUCAACAUCAAGAAUGGACAAGCAAGAAAAAUCACUCGUCAAGAAUGGAGAACCUCACCAGCCAUACCUUUUGCUUCUUCUUGCGCCUUCCUCAAAUUCUCUUGAGCAAGCUUCAAGUUAAGGUUGAGCUGGAUCUGCUUAUUCUCCAACUCAGUAUAGCGAGCUACAAGUUCACAGGAUUUCUGCAAAAAGAAAAAUCAGUGGACAGACGUCCAAGAUAAGUUGCUUCCCAAUAACUAAAAGACAACGAUGGCGUUUCUAAGACUAUAGCCGAAUCUAAAACAUUCGACAGUAGUCUCGGGGACUACACCCAGUGGGUGCACUCUGCGUGCCCCCAUUGUAAAAAAAGUCGACUGCCCGCAGUCGACCGGAUACAGUUCCAUUCGACAUGGCCUGACCAGACCGAAUGAAGAAAUACAGCUACAACAACACAAUAUAAAGACUACAGUCGACUGCCAGCAGUCCACCAUAGUCUCGGGGACUACACCCAGUGGGUGCACUUAGCGUUCCCCCACUCGUCCAAGAAUUGGCAGACACACCCAGUGGGUGUACAGAUAUAAAGAUCUUCAAAAAAAAAGAUUCUUCAAACAGCAUAUCGUAACAGACCAAGUGUUGAGUCGACUGACCUGGACGUUACUCUGAAGAGCCGAACUCGCGUCAUAAGCCGCUUGGCUGGCCUCCCAAGCCGCUUUCACUUGUUCCAUCAUAAUCCCCGCCUGGCGUAUGGCCUCUUUUGCAGCAGCUGCUUGGUCCUCAGGGACGGGGUACGUGGCAAAAAGCGAAGGCGGAUCCGCAGUCGACGUCAAGGGCCGCACCCUCGUCAGAGGAAUGGCGAAAGUCACAGAAGCCCGAGUGGUUUCACCACCGUCUCGGGCUACGGCCUCAGGCGCCGGAGUGGAUUGUGGGGUCUCGCCAGCCGACGCUCCCCUGUUCCUUCUCACUCUCAGCGGCACGUCAUCGUCGUCAUCCGGAAGGUUGAUAACAUGAUAAGGAGCUACAAGAAAAAAUUCAAUCGACCAGAGUUGCAAUAAGUGUCCAGUCGACUGAAGGCAGAACAUCAGUAAUCAUACCAGGGUGGAGGUAACAGCAUCCUCCAUCUCUUGGUCGUCGUCCUUGGCAGAGACCUCCGAAGUAGGAGCACUGCAAAUCUCGAAAGUCAGUCAGUUGGCUCAAUGAAUCGACCAAGGAUCUGUCCACGGUCGACAAAGGAAAACAAGUUUUGUUAUUACCCAGAAAUGGUGGGGACAGCCAUCUUCAUCUUGGGCAGAGCCUUGGGCGGCUUGGACGGCGUCGCGCGUGGGUGCUUGGGAGCCUUUCCAGUCAGCGUAGGAGAAGAGGUUCGAGGGCGUUUCGACAACUGCCCAACAGGAGCAGUCGCCUACCACGUUCCCGCGCUGGAUCAUGUGUGAGCUUGGAUCGCCUCUCCCGGUGGGGGGGGGGGGGGGGUCAACCUCCUCCUCCUCCUCUUCGCUGGAGUUGACGUCGUCGUCUCCCUCUCCUUCGCCAUCGGACUCCCACUCGCCUUGAUCGUCUCCACUCUCACAUCCGCUCGCCUCCCCUUCCUCAGUUGGCUCCUGUGCCCCGUUGGGUGUCGAGUACAUCUCAGUAGUCGCCUGGAAAACAACAGACAAGACAAAAGUUAGUCGACCAAUUCAAAGAAGACCAAUGAAGAAAACAAGAUUUCAAUCGGGAGCGUAAAGUCAGACCUGGUCCACUUCGUAUUGUUGUCGAGUGGAGAAACCCUCCUGGCGCCUCGGGGGUUGUCUUUGUUUCCUGUGAUGCUCGUCAGCCACCCCUCCAACAUCUCAUCAGUGACCUCCUCCGGGUGGAUCCGAGUGGUGUCUUCGAGGCCCGAGUACAGCCACAUCGGGUGGCCGCGAGCCUGGAGCGGUUGGAUGCGCCUCCGAAGAAAGACCUCCAGCAAGUCCAUGCCAGUCACGCCAUCACGGACGAGCUGAACCACUCGACCAACCAGCACUUUGAAUUGGGUCUUUUCUUCUGGCGUCACUUUCAGAGAAGCAGGUUUUUGAGCUCGGUCGAGAGAGAAAUGGGGAAGCCCGGUCGACUGUCCUGGGGUCACCUGGUCUUUGCAGUAAAACCAGGUCGCCUGCCAACCACGGACCGACUCUGGGAAAAUGAUAGAUGGAAAACAACUCUUUCCCCUCGUCUGGAUCGCGAGGCCCCCGCACAGCUGGAUCACUUGCGUCCUUUCCUCACUCGACUUGGCCUUCUUGACCGAUUGGGAGCGGCAAGUAAAGAUGUGCUUAAAGAGCCCCCAAUGGGGGCGGCAACCCAGGAAACCCUCACACAAGGAAAUGAAGGUAGCAAGGUACACGAUAGAGUUGGGAGUGAAGUGGUGGAGCUGCGCUCCGAAGAAAUUUAGAAAACUCCGGAAAAAAGGAUGAGGAGGCAGAGAAAACCCUCGAUCGAUGUGGGUGGUGAGAAGGACACACUCACCAUCACGGGGUUGAGGCUCGACUUCUCCCCCCUGGAGACGCGCAGCCUCGUAAGGAAUGACUCCCCCCUCAACCAUAUCGUCGAGGUCUUCCUGCCGAAUCACCGACGGCAUCCAAUCGCCCUGGAUCCAGCCUCUGGGCAGAGCAGUCCUUGAGGAAGAUCCGCCCCAAGCGGACUUCUUCCCUUUCCCCUGCACCGACGCCUUCUUCGCGCGCUCCAGAGCAGACGUCUUGCCCUUCACCAUCGUCGCCGGCGAAUCUCAAACGGGUCUGCGGCGCUAGGGUGAGAGCGGAGGUGGCGGAGGACUUCGCGAAGGGAGAAAGAAGAGAAAGAAGAGAAAGGAGAGAGCACUGUUCGGGAACCCGAGCAGGCGGCUUAUAAGAGGCCGCUCCUGAGUGGCUGACUGGUAGGCCCAGGCUAUCCCGUCAAAUCCCGCAGUAGACGCGCGCGCAGCUCGUGGCGGAAAAGGUGGCACGGGAAUCGAGGAGCUUCUGCCUUAUCACAUCCGAUUACUGCGGCCGCGCCCGUCCCGCUCGCUCCCCGAUGUUCAAAUCCCGCGAAAUCCGCGGGCUGCGGAACAACUCAUCAAAUAGAAGAUCCCUCUCGUGCCGGCACUCGGUAUUUCACAAGUAAGGAAAUUCACUCGACGGGAGACCAAGAAUGGAUCAAGGCGACCGAAAGAAGUUGACAACGUCAUCCUUGGCGAUAGAUCUAGUACAAGACGUCCAUAUGACGCUAAAAACCAGUCGGAAGGACCCCCAACUCCUUCCCCACUCGAACCUCGAUCCAUUCGGGGGCUAAUGACGAAGCUACGUACCUAGGGUAGGGGGAUGGACCUGUCCUAAGAGCCCUACCCAAGGACAUCCCUGGAAGAAGUCACCUUUCAAUCGACUUGAAGGUACCCACUCGACGGGUUUAAGACACUCGACCAAGAAGCUACCACUCGACACGAAGCCAAUCACUCGACUGCCAGGAGAUCUAAAGUCAUUCCACGGGCAAACGGUCGGCUAUUAAGUAGUCUUUAUGGUCAUUAUAGCACUUUAUUACCAGCGUUACCAGUAACGCCCCGCCUUAAUGUACAUUGAACCCUUGGUAACGUAGGCUGGCCGGGGUCCUGGCGCGCUCUAUAUAAGCCACCCCCUCCUCCGAGACAAGGGUUCGCACCUCUGUUAUUCACACGCCUAUAAUCCAAUCGACCGCCUCCGGGCACCGAGACGUAGGGCUGUUACUUCCUCCGCGAAGGGCCUGAACUCGUACACCUUGUUGUGUUUACAACUUCCCAAUAGCUGAGAUCUAGCCUCUCCAUACACACCCCCAACAUCACUGUCAGAGUUAGAACCACGACACCGCCUGCCGUGCCCCUCGCCGCACGCCCACCACCGCGCCAGCCCCCACUCUGUGGACGACCCUAGCCGCGCCCGCGCCGUGAUCCCCUUUUCCGCCCUACCUUCCCGCACUCGCCGCGGUCCCGAUGCUCCCCCGCGCCCUCUUUCAGGGGCGCCGACUGCCCCUGUCCCAUUACUCGCCGCCGCGCCUCGCCACCGCUCUACUGCUACGUUACUACUGCGCUGCGGCCGCCGCCUCUUCCCGCUGCUCCGCUAGCGCCGAAGCUCCCGGCUGGCUCUGCCACUGGUCACGUUUAACUACCGGUCUAAAUGGCCUAACCUCCCGGCAAAUGAACCCCCAGUAACCCACUGACACCGGGAGCCACAUCCCCUAAUUAACCAUUAAUAAAUUAAAACUCUUAAAUUAACAUUAGUGUAUGACAUGUGCGUCCCCUGUUAAUUAAUAAUUUACAUUAGUGUAUGACAUGUGCGUACCCUGUUAAAUAAACUGAUUUAAUUAAAAUCUAUUAACUUCGAGUCUAUGACAUAUCACUACUUGGGAAAAUCCUAGCAGUAGCGUGGGUAUUUUUCCUAUCAGUUGCGCCGGAUACCGCUCUACUGAUAAGGCACUACAGCUAACAUGUAGCAGUAAUGCGUGUCAUCCAACGCUACUGCUGUACAUGGCUAGCAGUAGCGAGCUUUAGUGCAAAGCGCUGCUGCUAAUAUCUGCAGCGCUUUUCAGCAUGAAGUGAUACUGGUAAGGGACCUCUACUACUAACUUUAUUCCCCUCGCUACUGCUAGUUUUAUUAGUUUCUGUUUUUUUCUGCAUAUUUCUUUUGUAUUUGAACAGGCUUUAUACAAUAAUAUUUAGCGUAUCAUACACAUACAAAUGUAAUCAUAGCAUAUACAUACAAAUAGUCUCGUCAAAUCAUGUCAUCAUCAUAAUCAUCAUCCAUCACAAAGUGGUCUCUCGUCAUCAUCUCUAAAAUAGCGAUACAAGUCUCGAUUACUUGCAACUACAUUGUCAUCCGUCUAAACAAUGAUAUACGCGAGAAGAGCUAUCACUAUGAGUGAGAGCGGAACUAUGCAGUACAUGAGUUUGUAUCCCUCUCUCGCAUUAGCGUGAACCUAAACUAACUACUAGUUGUCGCUCGGAAACCAGAAACCGGUACACCUGGGCCUGACACUCCGUCCACUCAUCUUAUACUCCUGGCGUAGCACUUCUGUGCCAUCGAUGAUCUAUGCACCUGCAUCGUCACAUGAGUCGAUGAUAUGCAACAUAUAUAGUUGAGCAAUAGAAACAGACAGACUUGGCAAAAAUAGAAGCAACAUAUCAUAAGCAUAAAUAACAAAGUUCAUCAUACCCAAAAUGCCCUAACUAGAGUGAUCUUCGCUAGUCGAGGAGGACGGUUUAAUUACAUCACAAAUAAUGUUUCAUCUUGCAUAACUCAAAGUGCCAUCAUACAGAAAGUAUGAACUAAACGGACACAUUGUCAUAUGUCGACAAUCACUCCAACAUGUCGUGCCAUCGAUCCAAGUCAAGGAGAUAGUCCCCGAGCUUAGUGAAAGGCUUCAGGUUGAGACGCUGAGCGGCAACGCGUGUUCGGACGUCUUCCCUCGACAUUUUUCCUUCUUCAUAGAACAUCCCUGUUUUUUCGAUGACCUCCCUCAUGAUGAUUUGGGCAAGUUCGCACUGGAAGUGAUAGAACUCAUCUUGAAGUCGAUGAUCCUCGAUAUCUCCUAAGUUCUUUGCCCAUUGCAGAAUAUGGGCAUCGCCGAAUCUAGGUGUCAUGCAAAGGUUCUGGUGAUCCCGUAUGUACUCCAUCAUGUGGUGUAGGACAUAGAAUCCAUCAUUAAGAGAAUCACUCAGUUGCUGGAUACAGCAGAAGCCGGUCUUAUGGCCGAAGGCGGGCCUGCCGUCCCUUUUCUUCUUGUCCUUGACCUCUCCACCCCGUGCACCGUAGUAAAACAUAGCACCGUCGAGAACAUACUUGAUGUGGGUGUAAUCCUUUUUUUUAAUGUUCUUCGAUGAGUCCAAGUAAAGAGCGUGGGAGUAUCGGGGGUAGAGGAUGAUGAGGAUGGUGCACCCGCCGCUGCGCAAAAUAAGUACACCUCAAAUUAAUUAGCCUCCACCGUGCAAAUGAAUGAUUGAAAUCGUAGGAAGGAUAUCCGCGUGGAUGACUUACAGGGGAUGAUAAGGCACAAGAAUCACCUCCUUGUCCUUAUUGGCACGCAUGAAAUUGACGAUGUAUUCCUCGCGUAUUCACGGUGCUUUGCGUGGACUCACAAGAAGACCUCGUGCAUGAAGUACCGAUCAGUGACACAGAUAUGAGGUAUUUGCUCAACCCCGAUGAGGUAGUUCAUGUGCAAGGCAUAAAGGUGGACGAAUGUAAAAUCCAGCUUCUUUAAGUGAAACAUGUCGAAGAUGUAAUCCAAUCGAAGGAAGAACUUGUUCGAGGGGAAUGUGUCGAUGUACGACAAUUGCAGCGACACGUUAACCACGGAGAGUGGGUAUGCUGGAUUUUUUGAGGCAAUGAGGCCUUUCUCUAUCAGCAACACAUCAUCAUGAAGUCUCCUUAUAUCGCCAAAUCAGGCCCCUAGCGCUGCUUUAGGUAGGAUUGGUUAACCGGGGAUACGCCAUAUUGCCGCACCGAGGAUAUCUAUACGGUCUUGAACCCGAGCCUGCUGAGGUGGCUGGAUCAUAGAAGCACCUUUGUUUCCUUUCCUCGGUGUCUUCCUUGGCUUCUUUGCUACCGGAAAGUCGUCUAUAAUAUGUUCAGCCUCUGGAGGCGGCAAUUCAGGCACCAACUCAUGCGCUCAAACCCUGAGUAGGCGCCAGUAUUGAGGUAUUGUUGAAUGUCAUCGUCGUCCUCAUCUAUGGCGAUGUCACUAGCGACAAAUCGAGCCUCUUCCUCACCCCGUCCGCUAUCACCCAGCACGACAGCCGACGCUAAUUGGGUAGGUGGGGUGUUGAUGUUCGUACCUAACUGCGUGCUCGUGUGUGUGCUCCCGGCCGCCUCCAGACAAAGCAGACUCUUUGACCACAACAGGACCCACCCAUUGCAACCACCAAGCCGCUGCGGGGUCUCGUCGUCAUCCCCUAGUAUCGGAGGAGCCAAAUUCUCGUGGCCCGGUUUGACACUGGCCACGAAAACUUUGAAGACAUACGGGGGGAUUGGUCGGCCAUGGAACAAUGGUUCCUUCGGCUUCAUUACCGUCACCUUCCCCACGUCCACCUUUUGGUCGCCGAUGUUGUACAAUAUGGUGCACGGGGUUACAUCGGCCUGCAAAGACACCGUGAGAUUAUACAUUUAUGGAAGAGGGCCGGUGUGACAGAUACCGUGAGGGCGUCGAGCUCAGCCAAAGACGAAGGACAGCUGAGCACGGCCGGUGUGGGAGCCGGUGUGGGAGCCGGUGCAGGUGCAGGUGCUGGUGCAUCGCUAGUCGUGCUACUCCCGAAGAAGUCAACAAUGGGAAAGUCCGCUGCAUUUUUUCUGGAUUUUGCAUGCUCCAAUUGAAAACGGCUGGAACCAAGACAAUAGACAUAUCUGCAACCACCUGUUUUGCGGCAGCUACCGUUAUCGUGACAGUCUCAGAUGAUUUCUUCUCUACUGCAAUCUCAACCUUCUUGUCGAUGUUUUCUUCAGUUAACCUCCAUCUUUCCUUUCUCUCCUCCGUGGUCUCACGGUAGCACUUCUUCCACGUGGCCCCGUCUCCGACACCGUGAACGCGUCCAUACGACGACCGAGUCUCCACUGGGAGUCCUUUCAAUAUGUUCAAUGCCCGGUUGAAUGGAGUGUCCCACUUGGGCCUCGCCAACGCCUCAGACGGCGAGUCUCUUUCGGUCGCAAUCUUGUGCUGCUCUCUCUACAAAAGGAACAAGGAUCAUUUACAAAUAUGACUAAACGUGCAGUCGAAUUGAUCAGAAACUAAAAUUACCAGCAGUCUCAUGAACUCCGUCGUGAUCGGGUCCGUCUUGAAAACCUUCUUGACCGAGUGCCAAUGGUGCCGUGCCCUGAGGACGUCAUGCUCCUACAGGACGGUGAAGUCCGCCAAGGGGUCUAGGAUGCCAGACUUUCGCGUUUCGUGUCCUCCUUGGCCCAUAUGGACCUCUUCCUGCUGUAACCACGGCUUCCGAGGUGGCGGUGCCCCAUGUUCCUUUGUUGAAACCCCUUCAUGUACUUUGACUUUGUUUUGGCAGUUUCAGCCUCGCAAGCCGCCUUGAAUAUUUCAAAGUGCUCUCCCGUGAUUGUCGGAUUAUCCUUUACAAUCUCGGAGUAGGGUUGAUACGUCUCCAAUGUAUCUAUUAUUUUUGAUUGCUCCAUGCUAUAUUAUCUACUGUUUUGGACAUUAUUGGGCUUUAUUAUCUACUUUUAUAUUAUAAUUUGGACUAACCUAUUAACCGGAGGCCCGAGCCCAGAAUUGCUGUUUUUUUGCCUGUCUUAGGGUUUCAAAGAAAAGGAAUAUCAAACGGAGUCCAAACGGAAUGAAACCUUCGGGAACGUGAUUUUCUCAACGAACAAGACCCAGGAGACUUUGACCCUACAUCAAGACACAAGGCGAAUCAUGUACGUAGCCACUAGUGAAACAUAUUAUCUUUAUUAUAUCUAUCAGAUCUCACUCUCGUAAGUGGCCGUGUUGGGAUUGACAACCCCUAUUCAUGUUGGUUGAGAGGAUUGAUUUGUUUUGUGCAAGUACAAAGGACUCGCGCGUAGCCUCCUAUUGGAUUAAUAGCUUGGUUCUCAAAAAGUGAGGGAAAUACUUACGCUACUUUGUUGCAUCAUCCCUUCCUCUUCGGGGAAAACCAACGCAGUGCUCAAGAGGUAGCAAGAAGGAUUUGCUGNNNNNNNNNNNNNNNNNNNNNNNNNNNNNNNNNNNNNNNNNNNNNNNNNNNNNNNNNNNNNNNNNNNNNNNNNNNNNNNNNNNNNNNNNNNNNNNNNNNNNNNNNNNNNNNNNNNNNNNNNNNNNNNNNNNNNNNNNNNNNNNNNNNNNNNNNNNNNNNNNNNNNNNNNNNNNNNNNNNNNNNNNNNNNNNNNNNNNNNNNNNNNNNNNNNNNNNNNNNNNNNNNNNNNNNNNNNNNNNNNNNNNNNNNNNNNNNNNNCCUCCACCCUCGUGGGCCCCCUGUUGCUCCACCGACGUACUCCUUCCUCCUAUAUAUACCUACGUACCCCCAAACGAUCAUAUACGGAGCCAAAACCCUAAUUCCACCGCCACAACUUUCUGUAUCCACGAGAUCCCAUCUUGGGGCCUGUUCCGGAGCUCCGCCGGAGGGGGCAUCAAUCACGGAGGGCUUCUACAUCAACACCAUAACCUCUCCGAUGAAGUGUGAGUAGUUCACCUCAAACCUACGGUUCCAUAGUUAUUAGCUAGAUGGCUUCUUCUCUCUUUUUGGAUCUAAAUACAAUGUUCUCCCCCUCUCUUGUGGAGAAUUAUUCGAUGUAAUCUUAUUUUUGCGGUGUGUUUAUUGAGACCGAUGAAUUGUGGGUUUAUGAUCAAGUCUCUCUAUGAAUAAUAUUUCAAUCUUCUCUGAAUUAUUUUAUGUAUGAUUGGUUAUCUUUGCAAGUCUCCUCGAAUUAUCAGUUUGGUUUGGCCCACUAGAUUGAUCUUUCUUGCAAUGGGAGAAGUGCUUAGCUUUGGGUUCAAUCUUGCGGUGUCCUUUCCCAGUGACAGUAGGGGCAGCAAGGCACGUAUUGUAUUGUUGCCAUCAUGGACAACAAAAUGGGGUUUUCAUCAUAUUGCAUCAGUCUAGCCCUCUACAUCAUGUUAUCUUGCUUAAGGCGUUAAUUUGUUUUUAACUUAAUACUCUAGAUGCAUGCUGGAUAGCGGUCGAUGAGUGGAGUAAUAGUAGUAGAUGCAGGCAAGAGCGGUCUACUUGUCUCGGACAUGAUGCCUAUAUACAUGAUGAUACCUAGAUAUUCUCAUAACUAUGCUCAAUUCUGUCAAUUGCUGAACAGUAAUUUGUUCACCCACCGUAGAAUACUUAUGCUCUCGAGGGAAGCCACUAGUGAAACCUAUGGCCCCGGGUCUAUCUUUAUCAUAUUAAUCUUCUACUACUUAGUUAUUUCCUUUGCUUUUUACUUUUCCUUUAUUUUACUUUGCAUCUUUAUCACCAAAAUACCAAUAAAAUUAUCUUUAUCAUAUCUAUCAAAUCUCACUCUGGUAAGUGGCCGUGUAGGGAUUGACAACCCCUAUUCGUGUUGGUUGCGAGGAUUUAUUUGUUUUGUGCAGGUACGAGGGACUCGCGCGUAGCCUCCUACUGGAUUGAUACCUUGGUUCUCAAAACCUGAGGGAAAUACUUACGCUACUUUGCUGCAUCAUCCCUUCCUGUUCGGGGAAAACCAACGCAGUGCUCAAGAGGUAGCAAGGGUUCCUUUUUGUCGACGAUCCGAUGUUUCAACCUUGUUUUCCAGGCGGCCAACGCGUCGCUAAACUUGGGCAUGGCGUGUUUGUUUAUCUUCUUCAUUGCCACGUCCUUAUCUGGAUCAUUAUUAUCCUUUUCAUUGCAGUCAGGGAACAAGAAUAUCUGGUGCAGCUUCUUUAGGAGGGAGGGCCUCAUAUUAUCUAUCUUCUGUAGUUUCCCAUCGUUGAUCGUGGCAGUUGUCCGUACGAUGCAACCUAUUUGAUUGCCGUAGCACGAUCGCGCUUCCUCGGGCGCUAUUGUCUCAAAAAUACCGUUGUCCAUCUCCGUGACCACCAGUCUAGUACUCAUGAGCUGGUUUGGGUGCCGUGGCCUCUUUGCUUUCGGUUCUAGACCAGCUCCGCUAGUCUCGGCGCCGGUCUCAGUCUCAUCACCGGUCUGCAUGUCGGUAUCAGUCCCCGAUGCGACAGCACAGUCGCUGCAACAUGGGUAAGGGAGACCACAUCAGUGCUGGGGUGGUCUGAAAAUUGGGACACACUUUCGCGCAUUGCGGGCCGCCUCUCAGACAGCUACUGGGGAGGCGGCGGAGUACCUGGGUGCGCGACGAAUCCCCGGGAACUCGGUGACCAACUUCCUUCCCAUGUAGCGCAUGGAGACGAUGGCGACCCCGCCGAAGAGCAGCUUAGUUGCGAGCUGCACAGCCUCGUCCACCUCCUAAGUUGGGACCUCCGCGCGAGCGUUGCGGGGCCGCCGCUCGGAUGGCUUCUGGAAGGCGCUUGUACAUGGGCACAGGGUGAAUCCCGGCAAGAGCUGGCCAUUGGUGCGCGCAAGUAGACGACGACGUCGCCGACGAAGAGCAGCCCGGCCAGCUCGCCUCACUCUCCUUUGAUUAGAAUUGAAAGAUUGGGAAGAAGCAGACUUGAGCCUGCAGGGAAAGGAUAAGGUGACGAUGCAGUCUCCACUCGUUCGGGGCGACACGCGUACUGAAUGUAUGAGAAACGCGACGUGGCAGGGACCCCAAGAUACUCCCUCCAUUUAUUUUUAGUCUGCAUAUAAAGUUUGGUCAAAGUCAAGAUUUGUAAAUUUUAACUAACUUUAUAAUAAAAAAAAUCAACAUUCACAAUAUGAAAUAAUUAUUACCAGAUGCGUCAUGAAAUGUAUUUCCAUACUAUAUAGGUUUGGUAAUGUAGAUGUUCAUAUUCUUUUAUAUAAAUGGGAAGUAGAGGCACUCUUCCAUAUAAUGAAGUUUAUAAUAUAUGUGCUUAUAUUAUACUAUAAUUGUUUGAAUAACUUAGCAUAUGUUCAGAUGUAUGAUAUCUGUAAUUUAAGCGCUUGAAUUUUACAUAUAAAUAUUUAUUAAUAAAUAUGUACCCCUAUAAUAGCUAGGCCGUGCAGUUGCACGGGUAGAUGACUAGUGAUUACAAUCUUGUUUGUGUGCAAGUCAAGCUUAUCUAGUUUACACGUAACAACUUGUAGAACAUUACAAAAUUUAUGCUUGCUAAUAACUUCUAGAACACUACAACACUUGACAUGUAAAAGGAAUUUGACGAGUCAUGGCCUACUAAAGAAAGUUACAUUACUAGUCUUAUAUCUAUCUUAAUAGACCACACAAGACUACAAAUUAAGUACCGUGACAGCCAUGAUUAUCUAGUUUAUGCGUAACAAUUUGCAGAAAAUUACAAACUUAGUUUUAGAAAAAUAGGCAAUCCAGAUUAGUGUUUGAGCUGUAAAGUGAAUAAGAUGAGUCAUGCGUGUUAUCACACCUUUUUGGUGGUGGAAUGAUAGUGCAAAACAAGGAACUUUAAUGAACAGUCCAAUAAUACACUUGUAAGUAGUGCCACCAAACAGAACAUACCAAAUGAUGAUUUUGAGAAGCAUCCAAGCACUUUCCACACAAACAAAUGCCAAUUGUGAAAGAGAUCAUUCCAUGGCAGCUAUAAAUAGCCCCGUAGCAUGACGAUCAUCCUUCCUCAUCCAUCAUUCUCAUAAGUAGAGCGCAUCAUUUAAGCCAAGCAAGCUGUGGUCAAUACAAAUCCACCAUGAAGACAUUUCUCAUCCUUGCCCUCCUUGCUAUCGUGGCGACCACCGCCACAACUGCAGUUAGAGUUCCAGUGCCACAAUUGCAGCCACAAAAUCCAUCUCAGCAACAGUCACAAGAGCAAGUUCCAUUGGUACAACAACAACAAUUUCUAGGGCAGCAACAACCAUUUCCACCACAACAACCAUAUCCACAGCCGCAACCAUUUCCAUCACAACAACCAUAUCUGCAGCUGCAACCAUUUCCGCAGCCGCAACUACCAUAUUCGCAGCCACAACCAUUUCGACCACAACAACCAUAUCCACAACCGCAACCACAAUAUUCGCAACCACAACAUCCAAUUUCACAGCAGCAGCAGCAGCAACAACAACAACAACAACAAGAACAACAAAUACUUCAACAAAUUUUGCAACAACAACUGAUUCCAUGCAUGGAUGUUGUAUUGCAGCAACACAACAUAGCGCAUGGAAGAUCACAAGUUUUGCAACAAAGUACUUACCAGCUGUUGCAAGAAUUGUGUUGUCAGCACCUAUGGCAGAUCCCUGAGCAGUCGCAGUGCCAGGCCAUCCACAAUGUUGUUCAUGCUAUUAUUCUGCGUCAACAACAAAAACAACAACAACAACCAUCGAGCCAGGUCUCCUUCCAACAGCCUCAGCAACAAUAUCCAUUAGGCCAGGGCUCCUUCCGGCCAUCUCAGCAAAACCCACAGGCCCAGGGCUCUGUCCAGCCUCAACAACUGCCCCAGUUCGAGGAAAUAAGGAACCUAGCGCUACAGACGCUACCUGCAAUGUGCAAUGUCUACAUCCCUCCAUAUUGCACCAUCGCGCCAUUUGGCAUCUUUGGUACUAACUAAGAAGAAAAUAACUCUAGUACUAGAUAUAUGAAACACCGUUUUCUCAGUCCAUGGUUUGGUCGUUGUAGCGGUGAAAAAAUAAAGUGACAUGCACUAUCAUGUAAGAACCCAAACUAUACUAGUUCAAACUUGGGAAUAAAAGACAAACACAGGUCUUGUCUACAUAUUUAUGCUGCAUCUAUUUAUAUAUUAAAAGUAAUAUAAGGUGAACCAGGAGCAAGGUAAAUAUGGUAGAAAAUUGCACGUUAAUUAGAAAUUACUAGCCCUCGAUCUGGUAAAUCUUAACAAAUAUAAUUAUCUUGACCGUUAGAUUUAUGUAACAUAUAUAAUGCUCUAGGCCUCCAACGACUGUACGUGACACAUCUGAACGCAGAUAUGUUAAAGAAAAUAUAUUUGGUAAAUGGUGGGCCUCUUUAAAAAGAGAACUUACGUACAUACACCAACUAAGAAAAACACAUACAUGUAAACGGGAAAAGGAUGAGAUUUUCUCACAUACGUGUGUUGAUGCUUAAAAGUGGCAUGAUCAUAAAGCAGCAUGCCAGGGUGAAAACCUUGCCGGGGUAAAAUCUUGCCGGUGUGAAAGCUUGCCGGUGUGAAGGCUUGCCGGUGUGGAAAGCUUGCCGGCACAGAAAGAUCGCCGGUGCUUGCCGGUGUGAAAUCUUGCCGGGGGAGAAACCUUGUCAGGGAGGAACCCUUGCCGGAGUACAAACCUUGCCGUAGUGAAACCUUGCCGGUGUGAAAGCUUGCCGGGUAGAAACAUUGCCGGUGUGGAAAGCUUACUCGGAUGGAAAACUUGCCGGGUUGGAGGCUGUGAUAGUCAAUCGAACGAGAAGUUGAAGAUGGGCUCAAAAGGUUAUUCAGAUGAUCUCGGAUGGAAAAAUGAUCUACAGGGGUUGUCUUCGUCUCGUCGAAACGAUCGAUUUUGAUAUAAAAAUCAUUCAAAUCCGAGUUCGUAUGCAAAAUUUAGAGCAAUCGGAGUGCAGCCCUGUCACGAGGCGAGAUGUGGCGCGCCCCACCAAACACAUGUCUGACGGGUAGCGCGAGGAAAUAGCCUGUGUUGCGAGACCGAUCUGACCCUCAAGAUGAUCUCUGAUCCAAAAACCUUCAACAUGAAAGUUGUUCGUCUCAUCGAAACGGUCAAGAUUGCUUUUGGGCUUGUUUUCAUCCGGGAUCGUUUACCACCGCAAAAAAGACCCGCAAGGUGCAGCCAGUUUAAACCGAACAGUUUUGGAAAGUUUGGAUAAACCAGUCCGAAUUUGACUAGGGUUUUGGACGUGAAUUGAUGUAAUUUUCUUGUAAGGAAAGCCUAGAUAAAUUCUUUGCUUGUACGGGAAGUCCAGCUGCCUCUUAUAUAUGUUGGGGGUGACGGGCGAUUGAAACAACACACAAUCGAACAAACACAUCUACUACUUUUUCGUGUUCAUCUACUUUUUAUCUCUCCCUUGUAUCUUUCUUCUCGUUCUUCGCUAGUUCUUCUUGCUGGAGGCUGCGGAUCCACGAGGCUCUAGGGGCGAGCGAAUCGACCUAGGGCAGCCCUGACGGGGUCCCUCCCGGGUGCGCGGGGUUUCGGGUCUGCAAAAGCGCCCGCCGACUGUCUUGCGUAUCACGCUAUCGGUCGGGUCUCCUUCGACGUGAGCUGCGGUGCAUCACCCCCGGCAUCGAGGGUACACGUGACGUGUUCGUGUGCGAACACACUUUUUCGCGACUCCACUGGGGACGAAGCUUUGAAUAGUCUCCAGCCUGUUCUUGCUACGAGGAGAGCGUCAUCAAGCGACUGCAUUCUACAACGGUAACAUGUAUCAUCAAUCUCCUUGCGUAGAUGCAAAUAGCCAUUAUGUUGAUGUUGCUAGAUCUUUCAAUGGACAUGUGAUGUCGGCCAGCCCUAAUGAGGAAAGGCCGACUAGUUAUUCCAUUGGAGAAACUUGGAAUUUACAGAAUCGUGACAUGCAACUUAUGAAUCUGAACUUUCGUGCAUCGGCAACAACUUUCAAUAUGCCGGUGAACAACACGAUUUGUUCGAGUGAUCAAUAUAGGACACCUCAUGUAAAAGUUUUAUCCAUCGGCAGCCGACUCGCAAUAUGCUGGUUCAUCCCCAAACAUGCCGAUGAAUGGGGGAAUCAGCCAUGCUUCUGUUAGCUAUUUGGCCGGUUAUCCUCAAACAUCAUAUACUACACCUCAUCCGAUUAAUUGUUCAGUGGCAUAUGAAACUAAAAAUAUUAAUAACACGGCUCACGUUCACGGUCAUGGACGAGUGAAUGGGGAUACUAUAGGAGCAUAUGUGUGUGACGCCCCCAAUUUAAUCGUACACUAAUCAUACACGCAAACAUGUACGAUCAAGAUCAGGGACUCACGGGAAGAUAUCACAACACAACUCUACAAAUAAAAUAAGUCAUGCAAGCAUCAUAUUACAAGCCAGGGGCCUCGAAGGCUCGAAUACAAGAGCUCGAUCAUAGACGAGUCAGCGGAAGCAACAAUAUCUGAGUACAGACAUAAGUUAAACAAGUUUGCCUUAAGAAGGCUAGCACAAACUGGGAUACAGAUUGAAAGAGGCACAGGCCUCCUGCCUGGGAACCUCCUAACUACUCCUGGUCGUCGUUCUGAGGGCAGCACGUAGUAGUAGGCACCUCCAGCGUAGUAGGAGUCGUCGUCGACGAUGGCGUCUGGAUCCUGGGCUCCAGCAUCUGGUUGCGACAACCAGGUAGAAGGGAUAGAGGGAAAAGAAGGAGAAAGCAACCGUGAGUACUCAUCCAAAGUACUCGCAAGCAAGGAGCUACACUACAUAUGUAUGCGUUGGUAUCAACUGGAAUAAGGCUAUUAUAUGUGGACUGAACUGCAGAAAGCCGGAAUACGAGGGAGAUAGCUAGUCCUUUCGAAGACUACGCUUUUGGUAACCUCCAUCUUGCAGCAUGUAGAAGAGAGUAGACGGAAGUCCUCCAAGUAGCAUCGCAUAGCAUAAACCUAACCGAUGAUCCUCCCCUCGUCGCCCUGUGCGAGAGCGAUCACCGGUUGUAUCUGGCUCUUGGAAGGGUGUGUUUUAUUAAGUAUCCGGUUCUAGUUGUCAUAAGGUCAAGGUACAACUCCGGGUCGUCCUUUUAUCGAGGGACACGGCUAUUCGAAUAGAUAAACUUCCCUGCAGGGGUGCACCACAUAACCCAACACGCUCGAUCCCAUUUGGCCGGACACACUUUUCUGGGUCAUGCCCGGCCUCGGAAGAUCAACACGUCGUAGCCCUACCUAGGCACAACAGAGAGGUCAGCACGCCGGUCUAAAUCCUAUGGCGCAGGGGUCUGGGCCCAUCGCCCUUUGCACACCUGCACGUUGCGAACGCGGCCGGAAGCAGACCUAGCCUAGUGGCGUUCCAGUCCAAUCCGGCGCGCGCCACUCAGUCACUGAUGUCACGAAGGCUUCGGCUGAUACCACGACGUCGAGUGGCCAUAACUGUCCCCGCAUAGAUGGUUAGUGCGUAUAAGCCAGAUGGCCAGACUCAGAUCAAAUACCCAGAUCUCGUUAAGCGUGUUAUGUAUCCGCGAACACCGACCAGGGCCAGGACCACCUCUCUCCUACGUGGUCUGAACCUGCCCUGUCGCUCCGCCACAAAGUAACAGUCGGGGGCCGUCGGGAACCCAGGCCCACCUCUACCGGGAUGGAGCCACCUACCCCUUCAGCCCCAACUACGAACAGUACCACAGGUAAUGUAACAGUGUAAAGUAUAUAGUAAAUGCCCGUGAUCACCUCCCGAAGUGAUCACGGCCCAGUAGUAUAGCAUGGCAGACGGACAAGAGAGUAGGGCCACUGAUGGAACACUAGCAUCCUAUACUAAGCAGUAGGAUAGCAGGUAAUGGUAACAAUAGUAGUAGCAAGGACAGGCUAUGCAUCAGGAUAGGAAUAACGGAAAGCAGUAACAUGCUACACUACUUUAAUGCAAGCAGUAUAGAGAAGAGUAGGCGAUAUCUGGUGAUCAAAGGGGGGGCUUGCCUGGUUGCUAUGGCAAGAGAGAGCGGUCGUCAACACCGUAGUCGUACUGUGUAGCAGCGCCGUCAGUCUCGGUGUCUAGCGAGAGAAGAGGGGGAGGAAACAAUAAAUAUAAUGCAAACAAAUGCAUGAUGAUGCAUGACACGACAAAGCGUGAUGCUAGGUGUGCCCUAACGCGGUACGAGGUGGUACCGGUGAAGGGGGGAAACAUCCGGGAAAGUAUUCCCGGUGUUUCGCGUUUUCGGACAGAGGAGUCAGAGGGGGAAAGUUGCGUGUUCGGUAUGCUAGGGAGGCGUGGUGGACGAACGGGUUGUCUAUCCGAGUUCGUCUCGUCGUUCUGAGCAACUUUCAUGUUGAAAAUAAUUUAAUCCGAGUUACGUAUUAAAAGAUAUGGUUUUCUAAAGAUUUUACUAAUUUCUGGAAUUUAAUUAAUUAUUUAAUUUAAUUUGAAAUUUGGAUUUAUGACAUCAGCAUGAUGUCAUGCUGACAUCAGCAGUCAACAUGGGUUGACUAGGUCAACUGAUGCGUGGGUCCAGUGGGACCCACCUGUCAUACUAUAUUAGGUUAAUUAGGGUUUAGUUAAUUGAUUAGGCUAAUCUAAUCAGGAUUACUUUGUUUAAUUAAUUCUUUAAUUAAUUAAUUAUCAUUUUAACUAAUUUUAAUUAUUAUUUAUUAAUUCAUUCAUUUUUUUAAAUUAUUAUUUUUAUUUCGUUCUCGUUUCAGGGGGGCGUGGGGCCCCGCACACAGGGCCACCGCGAGGCUGUUGCCAGCGGGCGCUGGGGCGAUGGGUGCGGGCGCACCCGAGCGGGCACUCGCCCGCAGGGCGGGAUGAGCCGCCGGCGGGCAGCGACAGGCGCGUGCCAACCGGGCGGUGGCCGCGGCUGAUAGGGCGCAGGAAGGGGAGAGGCGAGAACGCGACGCACGGGGAAGCAGCAUCAGGGGCGAGGAGCACCACGGGACGAAGCGCAGCGGGCGCCGGUCNNNNNNNNNNNNNNNNNNNNNNNNNNNNNNNNNNNNNNNNNNNNNNNNNNNNNNNNNNNNNNNNNNNNNNNNNNNNNNNNNNNNNNNNNNNNNNNNNNNNNNNNNNNNNNNNNNNNNNNNNNNNNNNNNNNNNNNNNNNNNNNNNNNNNNNNNNNNNNNNNNNNNNNNNNNNNNNNNNNNNNNNNNNNNNNNNNNNNNNNNNNNNNNNNNNNNNNNNNNNNNNNNNNNNNNNNNNNNNNNNNNNNNNNNNNNNNNNNNNNNNNNNNNNNNNNNNNNNNNNNNNNNNNNNNNNNNNNNNNNNNNNNNNNNNNNNNNNNNNNNNNNNNNNNNNNNNNNNNNNNNNNNNNNNNNNNNNNNNNNNNNNNNNNNNNNNNNNNNNNNNNNNNNNNNNNNNNNNNNNNNNNNNNNNNNNNNNNNNNNNNNNNNNNNNNNNNNNNNNNNNNNNNNNNNNNNNNNNNNNNNNNNNNNNNNNNNNNNNNNNNNNNNNNNNNNNNNNNNNNNNNNNNNNNNNNNNNNNNNNNNNNNNNNNNNNNNNNNNNNNNNNNNNNNNNNNNNNNNNNNNNNNNNNNNNNNNNNNNNNNNNNNNNNNNNNNNNNNNNNNNNNNNNNNNNNNNNNNNNNNNNGGCCUGGGGUUUGUCCUAGCUAGCAGCUGGGCCGAGUGGCCCAGUGGGGGGGGGGUUGUUUUAUUCCUUUCCCUUUUAUACCUUUUCACACUUUUCUUCUUUUGUUUUAUUUUAGUUACACAUUAAUUUUAAUUUUUGACAAAUAUAUCUAUAGCCCCUAAAAUAAUGUUUCAGAACAAUCCACUACUAUAGAAAGUUUUACCCUGAUAAAAUAGUCUAGUAUUUUAUAAAAUACCAAACUCGUUUAAAUAGUUGUUUAGCUACUAUUUAAAUCAUUUUAGUGCUUUAAAUCUUUUUACUAAAAUGUGGUUCCUCCACCAUUUGGACUUAGGAUUUAUUUGUCCCAUUUUGAACAUUUUAGUCUUAACGUUUGAAGAAUUUACCGUUUGACUCGAUUUUGAAUUUGAAUUUGAAUCGGUGUCGAACUAACACGAGAUUAGCAACAGUAACCAUCGUGACGUGGCAUCAUUAACAGAGGUUUACUGUAUAUCAAAUACCCGGGCGUCACAAUUCUCCUCCACUACAAGAAAUCUCGUCCCGAGAUUUAAGAGGGGAGUAUGGGGGAAAGAUCUGGUUACGAAAUUCUAACGAGUCUUCUCGGUCUUGCUUGCUCUUGUCGAAAUGGUCGAUCCAUUAUGUUGAUGUUUUCAUUUCUCUGCUUCAGGUCAUCAUGGUGAAGUCGUCCUUUUCUUCGGGAACUCCAACGUGCUUACGAAUAGGUAAGGGGCAGCUUGGCUACGACAGAAUGCUUAUGAGGGAAACAAUCUGGUGAUAACCCAUGAAUGAACAUAAGAUUAUCUCUCGAGUUGAACAUAUAAAAUACAUCAAGAGUAAGGUACGAAGGUACCAUGAGAAGUUUCAAACGGAUAGGCAAUCGUUCGAUGUCUGAAACAACACGCGAAAGGGGUCCAGAGCAACGAGAUUGAGUAUUGCGUCUGUUACCAGAAUAGAUCACUAGGACGGUGGUCUGUGAAUUACAUACAAGGUCACGCACGAGGAAUAACUUUAGGAACAGGGGGUGUACAGGAGAGUCAGGUUCGAUCCUGUGGAACUGUGGGUUAUGGGCCCACCAUGUGGGUUAAAGUAGGAAGGGCAGUGACGUCUUGCAAGAUCAUGUAAGCAAGGCAUGUCAGAGGAUAGCCUGUCAGCUAUGUCGACGACAACAUCGAUACCAAGGGCGAGGGACGAAGAGAACCAUUUUCCUGCUCGUUGAACGAGGCGGACCAAUAAGAAAAGUUCUCGUCCAUCAGUGGUUACCAGAAUGUCAUCAACAAAGGUAAUAGGGUCUUUCUGACAGAGUGGUACAACGAGGUGACUGCUUAUAUAAUAUAGAUUACAAGAAGGUUUAAACAGAACAAUGGAAAGGAAAAUGUGUGUAAACACACAUUUCAAGGGUAUAUCCUUCCCAAGGACAAGCAAAGCAAGAUAUCCAUGAAAGGAUAUAAUGUAGAAAACUCUUUAGGUAAGGUGAGAGAAAUUUCAUGACAUUACCCAUACAAUGGUGUUUGGAUAAAUGAGCGAGAAACAUUUAGCAUUGGGCUUCAAAUGUUCUUUGUGGAAAAUUGGAGUACCACAGACAUGCUUCGAGAUAGCGUUGGCGUGGUAUUCAAGCAAAGGUCAGACUUAGGAUGCACAAAGGAUUCAUCAGGAACAACUUAUAGAAUAAGUCUUACCAUUUCUCAAGGAAGAAUAGAUAACCUUGCUAAAAAGAAAAACUAUAACAUUAGGUCCUCCGACCAGGUGGGCUAGGCAUGCUAUCACCUUACUGGGUUAUAUUGAUAACAAUGUUAUAACUCUUGGAAAUAUGUCUCAACCAUCAUAUCUGACCGAGAUUCAGAUCCGAUUGGUGUCAGGAUACAUCAGACAUCAGGAUGCCUGAGAAGAGAAGGUGCAACACAAUUUAACGAGAUGACACUGCGAGAAUCUCAGAAAUGAUCUAUGGAAGCGAGUUCCGAAGCAAGAGUUCAUCAUUAAACCAAGGAGAGGAUGAGGGGUGGCUGAUGAACUAACGGCAAUUCAUCGAGAUUUCCAAAAGAUGGAUUUCCACAAUCAUGUGAACAAAGAGUUAACAUUUGUCAGAUCAAACAAUAUAAUGAGGUGUGCUCGAGGAAAACAUACUCAAUUAAACAUUGGUGGAAAGCUGCACCCAAAAUAUGGGCUUAGGUAGCCUGAUCAAUGUUGGAACGGUGAUUCGAUAACCAAUAUUCUAAGAAUGAAAGGUCGACCAUUAACUUCAAAGCAAUAUGGUUGCUAGAAGUACAGAAUCCAAGCAACAACGUUCACCUGUUGGUAUCCCGGUUAGAAUCAACACGGGAACCAAGAAAGAAUGAUGAUGGUGAGGAGUAUCGCUAUACCAAGAAUUCUCAAGAGGUGGAGCAAUCCUCACAACAUACAUGUCAUCAAGGACAUUGAUACUUCAAGGUAGAAUAUCAUAAAAGCUAGAUAGCAAGUUGCAUCCAUAACAUGGACAAGUUUGUGUUGGGGGAAGGCAAGAAAGUGAUCGAUGAUAACACAAAUCAUCGAGGGCAAGGAUGGUACUUUUCAUUAUGAAUUCGAUUGAUAUCCUGCAAGAGCUCAAGAUGUGGGUGCUGAUGACGACACAUUUGUCGAGAGAUUUCAUGAAGAUGUAGUCUAUCGGCGAUGACAUCAAGUCAAAGGAAUUAUGAAGCAAAAGGUUAUCGGAACCAUGGGUACGACACAAACUCAAAAUCAAGCUUGUUGUUCAAGGUGAAAGAUAUGACGAGAAAGAUCAACGUAAGCUUAGCUCAUCGUUGAAAGUUGUGUUCCGGGAAGAAGGACCAGGUAGCACAGUUAAAAUUUAGCACGGUAAUGAUAUAGCCAACCGGGCUAGGAAUGACUUGAAGGAUUAUUAAACUCAUAAGCAGUAAAAAUUACUUAUAGUUAUUGAAUCGAAGUACAGACUCGAUUCACUGUCGGUGUCCUUGAGUGUCUAACAACUCAGAACCCGGGGAAAAUUUUGGAACCAGUGAGAAAUAAUACUUGAAGAAUAACUCAUAAGAAGUUAUGCAGUUCCAUGAUAAUCUCGAGAUACCAGGGGGUAAUACUCGACGACAGAUCAAAGUAGAGGUUGGACUAGGGAUUGCUCUGUAGAAGACAAGUGCUCAAACUUGCACGAGAAAUGGAAUCAAGGAGAAACAUGGUCGAAACCUCGUCCACAGGUACAAGAUGAACUUAUAACAAGUGGACAAUUAUUUUAAGAGAAGCUUCCAUGAUAAGGUAUACAUCGUGUCCAUGGGCAUGAACACAGGGUUCAAGGUCGACUCCCACUUAUUCAACACAUAACCUUUCAUGCACCUCUCGUAUUUCAAAAAUGACAUUAGUUCUUGAAAGUUUUUACCUGGUGCAAUACCAGAUACAUAUUACCCGUGAAAUCUUUCGGGUUCACACGGAUUAGGCAAGGCGUAGGUUCAACCCAUCAGGGCAUCUUAGGAACAUAUACCACAAACUUCGGAGUAAAUAAUACAAGCUUGAAAGUAGAGCAUGGUUGACAAAAGGGGAGGAUACAAUUUACCACAGGCAUUAUGUAUCGGAGAAAGAACUCACAAGGUGAUUAAUUUUGAAGGACACUGUCGGAUAAUAAUCCAACAGUGGAAUUGGCGAUCCACAAUGGAGCUGAUGUGAGUAUCGAUACCCAAUCAGAGGAAGAAAGAAUGCAAAUGCAUCGGUUUAUAGAACAUCUGAAUAAUUCAACGUUUAAAUAGCAAAGGAAUUAUGAUUUUCAAAUCAAGGGAUCGGGAGCAAAUGCUCUGAUUAGGGAUGGGUAAGUAGAAUAGCCUUAGGGGUACAUGCGACGACAUUUGGAUUUGUUGAGAACCAGCUCAUGUUUAAAAUGACGUCUGAGCCGGAAUGAUAAUUUAAAAGGAUCAACUGAUGAUUGCGUGCAUUCGCACUCAUGUUGAGUCAAUAGGAUCAAAAAGACGAUGCCUAAGGAUACUAACGAAUAUUUCCAGACAUAUGGAAAGCAUCCAUAAUGCAAGCAGGCAAGUAUUGCAGAGCAAUAAGCUACUAAGGAUUUUUGGAGGAUCGAAUAGUAUUUUGAAGACCAUUGUGAAACACAUGAACAACUGGGGAUGAGUGGAUACUCGACAAGUGCGAGGAUUUAAUUGAAGGGGUAUUCAUGUGGCAAGGAACUGCUAGGCAGUAGGCACAAAGUAUUCUCGGAACAAUAGAGAGAAUUUUGGGGCAUCUUGUAAUAACAAGAUCAAUGAGGAAUGAUUAUAUGAAUAGCACAUGUAGGUGGUUAUCCAUAGAGGUCUAUCGAUAGAAGGGAAUUGCAAAAGCAACAGGCACAAGGUCUCGACAGAAUAUCGGAGAGUAUCUUCGAAAUCUUCUAGUGUAGUCGGCGAUCAUCUGGAUUGAAAGGGCUCUCCGGGAGAAAGUAUUUUCGAGAACCUAAGUUAGAUUUUUAGUAAAUUCAUUAAACCCGAAUAGGAGGGAGUUCAGAGUCCCAGAGCAUAGACGAGGAAUAAAAGAUCCUAAUACCACCCAAUGGCGACGUGGGCCCAUAGGCCACACAGCCAUGUUAGUAAAGGUUUUGCAAUGACUAGACUCAACUUCGGCCAAGGAGGUGGAAAGGGGAUUCCUACAGGCAGUCGGCUCUGAUACCAACUUGUGACACCCCCGAUUUAAUCGUACACUAAUCAUACACGCAAACGUGUACGAUCAAGAUCAGGGACUCACGGGAAGAUAUCACAACACAACUCUACAAAUAAAAUAAGUCAUACAAGCAUCAUAUUACAAGCCAGGCGCCUCGAAGGCUCGAAUACAAGAGCUCGAUCAUAGACGAGUCAGCGGAAGCAACAAUAUCUGAGUACAGACAUAAGUUAAACAAGUUUGCCUUAAGAAGGCUAGCACAAACUGGGAUACAGAUCGAAAGAGGCGCAUGCCUCCUGCCUGGGAUCCUCCUAACUACUCCUGGUCGUCGUUCUGAGGGCAGCACAUAGUAGUAGGCACCUCCAGUGUAGUAGGAGUCGUCGUCGACGAUGGCGUCUGGAUCCUGGGCUCCAGCAUCUGGUUGCGACAACCAGGUAGAAGGGAUAGAGGGAAAAGAAGGAGAAAGCAACCGUCAGUACUCAUCCAAAGUACUCGCAAGCAAGGAGCUACACUACAUAUGUAUGCGUUGGUAUCAACUGGAAUAAGGCUAUUAUAUGUGGAUUGAACUGCAGAAAGCCGGAAUACGAGGGGGAUAGCUAGUCCUUUCGAAGACUACGCUUCCGGUAACCUCCAGCUUGCAGCAUGUAGAAGAGAGUAGACGGAAGUCCUCCAAGUAGCAUCGCAUAGCAUAAACCUAACCGAUGAUCCUCCCCUCGUCGCCCUAUGAGAGAGCGAUCACCGGUUUUAUCUGGCUCUUGGAAGGGUGUGUUUUAUUACGGUUCUAGUUGUCAUAAGGUCAAGGUACAACUCCGGGUCGUCCUUUUACCGAGGGACACGGCUAUUCGAAUAGAUAAACUUCCCUGCAGGGGUGCACCACAUAACCCAACACGCUCGAUCCCAUUUGGCCGAACACACUUUUCUAGGUCAUGCCCGUCCUCGGAAGAUCAACACGUCGCAGCCCUACCUAGGCACAACAGAGAGGUCAGCACGCCGGUCUAAAUCCUAUGGCGCAGGGGUCUGGCCCCAUCGCCCUUUGCACACCUGCAUGUUGCGGACGCGGCCGGAAGCAGACCUAGCCUAGUGGCGUUCUAGUCCAAUCCGGCGCGCGCCACUCAGUCGCUGACGUCACGAAGGCUUCGGCUGAUACCACGACGUUGAGUGCCCAUAACUGUCCCCACGUAGAUGGUUAGUGCGUAUAAGCCAGAUGGCCAGACUCAGAUCAAAUACCCAGAUCUCGUUAAGCGUGUUAAGUAUCUGCGAACGCCGACCAGGGCCAGGCCCACCUCUCUCCUAGGUGGUCUGAACCUGCCCGGUCGCUUCGCCACAAAGUAACAGUCGGGGGCCGUCGGGAACCCAGGCCCACCUCUACCGGGAUGGAGCCACCUGCCCCUUUAGCCCCCAACUCCGAACAGUACCAUAGGUAAUGUAACAGUGUAAAGUAUAUAGUAAAUGCCCGUGAUCACCUCCCGAAGUGAUCACGGCCCAGUAGUAUAGCAUGGCAGACGGACAAGAGUGUAGGGCCACUAAUGGAACACUAGCAUCCUAUACUAAGCAGUAGGAUAGCAGGUAAUGGUAAUAAUAUUAGUAGCAAGGACAGGCUAUGCAUCAGGAUAGGAAUAACGGAAAGCAGUAACAUGCUACACUACUCUAAUGCAAGCAGUAUAGAGAAGAGUAGGCGAUAUCUGGUGAUCAAAGGGGGGGCUUGCCUGGUUGCUCUGGCAAGAGAGAGGGGUCGUCAACACCGUAGUCGUACUGUGUAGCAGCAACGUCGGUCUCGGUGUCUAGCGAGAGAAGAGGGGGAGGAAACAAUAAAUAUAAUGCAAACAAAUGCAUGACGAUGCAUGACACGACAAAGCGUGAUGCUAGGUGUGCCCUAACGUGGUACGAGGUGGUACCGGUGAAGGGGGGAAACAUCCGAGAAAGUAUUCCCGGUGUUUCACAUUUACGGACAGAGGAGUCAGAGGGGGAAAGUUGCGUGUUCGGUAUGCUAGGGAGGCGUGGUGGACGAACGAGUUGCGUAUCCGGGUUCGUCUCGUCGUUCUGAGCAACUUUCAUGUUGAAAAUAAUUUAAUCCGAGUUACGUAUUAAAAGAUAUGGUUUUCUAAAGAUUUUACUAAUUUCUGGAAUUUAAUUAAUUAUUUAAUUUAAUUUGAAAUAUGGAUUUAUGACAUCAGCAUGAUGUCAUGCUGACAUCAGCAGUCAACAUGGGUUGACUGGGUCAACUGACGCGUGGGUCCAGUGGGACCCAUGAAGGAAAUAUGCCCUAGAGGCAAUAAUAAAGUUAUUAUUUAUUUCCUUAUAUCAUGAUAAGAGUUUAUUAUUCAUGCUAGAAUUGUAUUAACCGGAAACAUAAUACAUGUGUGAAUACAUAGACCAACAGAGUGUCACUAGUAUGCCUCUACUUGACUAGCUCGUUAAUCAAAGAUGGUUAUGUUUCCUAACCAUGAACAAAGAGUUGUUAUUUGUUUAACGAGGUCACAUCAUUAGUAGAAUGAUCUGAUUGACAUGACCCAAUCCAUUAGCUUAGCACCCGAUCGUUUAGUAAGUUGCUAUUGCUUUCUUCAUGACUUAUACAUGUUCCUAUAACUAUGAGAUUAUGCAACUCCCGUUUACCGGAGGAACACUUUGGGUACUACCAAACGUCACAACGUAACUGGGUGAUUAUAAAGGAGUAUUACAGGUGUCUCCAAUGGUAGAUGUUGGGUUGGCGUAUUUCGAGAUUAGGGUUUGUCACUCCGAUUGACGGAGAGGUAUCUCUGGGCCCUCUCGGUAAUACACAUCACAUAAGCCUUGCAAGCACUGCAACUAAUAAGUUAGUUGUGAGAUGAUGUAUUACGGAACGAGUAAAGAGACUUGCCGGUAACGAGAUUGAACUAGGUAUUGGAUACCGACGAUCGAAUCUCGGGCAAGUAACAUACCGAUGACAAAGGGAACAACGUAUGUUGUUAUGCGGUCUGACCGAUAAAGAUCUUUGUAGAAUAUGUAGGAGCCAAUAUGGGCAUCCAGGUCCCGCUAUUGGUUAUUGACCGGAAGCGUGUCUCGGUCAUGUCUACAUUGUUCUCGAACCGUAGGGUCCGCACGCUUAACGUUACGAUGACAGUUAUUAUGAGUUUAUGCAUUUUGAUGUACCGAAGGUUGUUCGGAGUCCCGGAUGAGAUCACGGACAUGACGAGGAGUCUCGAAAUGGUCGAGACGUAAAGAUUGAUAUAUUGGAAGCCUAUGUUUGGGCACCGGAAGCGUUCCGGGUGAAAUCGGGAUUUUACCGGAAUACCGGGAGGGUUACCGGAACCCCCCGGGAGACUAAUGGGCCUAUUGGGCCUUAGUGGAAAAGAGAAAAGGGAAGCCCACUAGCUGGCCAGCGCCCCCCUAGAGUCCUAUUAGGAAUAGGACAAGGGGCCGGCCCCCCUUCUCUCUCUUUUUCCCCGGGAGUCCUAAUAGGAUUAGGAUUAGGGGGAGGAGUCCUACUCCCGGUGGGAGUAGGACUCCCCUGCGCCUCCUCUCUCCUAGCCGGCCGAACCCCCUGCCCCUGGCCUUUUAUAUACGGGGGCAGGGGGCACCCCAAGACACACAACUUGAUCCUUGAGAUCGUUCCUUAGCCGUGUGCGGUGCCCCCUGCCACCAAAUUCCACCUCGAUCGUACCGUUGUAGUGCUUAGGCGAAGCCCUGCGUCAGUAGUACAUCAAGAUCGUCAACACGCCAUCGUGCUGACGGAACUCUUCCUCGACGCUUUGCUGGAUCGGAGCCCGAGGAACGUCAUCGAGCUGAACGUGUGCUAAGAACUCGGAGGUACCGGAGUAACGGUGCUUGGAUCGGUCGGAUCGGGAAGAAGACGUACGACUACUUCCUCUACGUUGUGUGAUCGCUUCCGCAGUCGGUCUGCGUUGGUACGUAGACAACACUCUCCUCUCUCGUUGCUGUGCAUCACCAUGAUCUUGCGUGUGCGUAGGAAAAUUUUUGAAAUUACUGCGUUACCGAACAGUGGCAUCUGAGCCUGGUUUUAUGGUUUGAUGUUAUAUGCACGAGUAGAACACAAGUGAGUUGUGGGCGAUACAAGUCAGACUGCCUACCAGCAUGUCAUACUUUGGUUCGGCGGUAUUGUUGGUUGAGACGAUCCGGACCAACCUUACGCGUACUCUUACGCGAGACCGGUUCCCUCGACGUGCUUUGCACAUAGAUGGCUUGCGGAAGACUGUCUCUCCAACUUUAGUUGAACCAAGUGUGACUACGCCCGGUCCUUGAGAAGGUUAAAACAGAGUCUAUUUGACGAACUAUCGUUGUGGUUUUGAUGCGUAGGUGAGAUGAGUUCUUACUUAAGCCCGUAGCAGCCACGUAAAACUUGCAACAACAAAGUAGAGGACGUCUAACUUGUUUUUGCAGUGUAUGUUGUGAUGUGAUAUGGUCAAGGCAUGAUGCUGAUUUUAUUGUAUGAGAUGAUCAUGUUUUGUAACUAAGUUAUCGGCAACUGGCAGGAGCCAUAUGGUUGUCGCUUUAUUGUAUGCAAUGCAAUCGCGAUGUAAUGCUUUACUAGAUUACUAAACGGUAGUAAUAGUCGUGGAAGCAUAAGAUUGGCAAGACGACAACGAUGCUACGAUGGAGAUCAAAGUGUCGCGCCGGUGACGAUGGUGAUCAUGACGGUGCUUCGGAGAUGGAGAUCACAAGCACAAGAUGAUGAUGGCCAUAUCAUAUCACUUAUAUUGAUUGCAUGUGAUGUUUAUCCUUUUAUGCAUCUUAUCUUGCUUUGAUUGACGGUAGCAUUAUAAGAUGAUCUCUCACUAAAUUAUCAAGAAGUGUUCUCCCUGAGUAUGCACCGUUGCCAAAGUUCGUCGUGCCCAGACACCACGUGAUGAUCGGGUGUGAUAAGCUCUACGUCCAUCUACAACGGGUGCAAGCCAGUUUUGCACACGCAGAAUACUCAGGUUAUACUUGACGAGCCUAGCAUAUGCAGAUAUGGCCUCGGAACACAGAGACCGAAAGGUCGAGCGUGAAUCAUAUAGUAGAUAUGAUCAACAUAACGAUGUUCACCAUUGAAAACUACUCCAUCUCACGUGAUGAUCGGUUAUGGUUUAGUUGCUUUGGAUCACGUGAUCACUUAGAAGAUUAGAGGGAUGUCUAGCUAAGUGGGAGUUCCUAAGUAAUUUGAUUAACUGAACUUAAACUUAUCAUGAACUUAGUACCUGAUAGUAUCUUGCUUGUUUAUGUUGCUUGUAGAUAGAUGGCUCGUGCUAUUGUUCCGUUGAAUUUUAAUGCGUUCCUUGAGAAAGCAAAGUUGAAAGAUGAUGGUAGCAAUUACACGGACUGGGUCUGUAACCUGAGGAUUAUCCUCAUUGCUGCACAGAAGAAUUACGUCCUGGAAGCACCGCUGGGUGACAGGCCUGCUGCUGGAGCAACGCCAGAUGUUAUGAACGUCUGGCAGAGCAAAGCUGAUGACUACUCGAUAGUUCAGUGUGCCAUGCUUUACGGCUUAGAAUCGGGACUUCAACGACGUUUUGAACGUCAUGGAGCAUAUGAGAUGUUCCAGGAGUUGAAGUUAAUAUUUCAAGCAAAUGCCCGAAUUGAGAGAUAUGAAGUCUCCAAUAAGUUCUAUAGCUGUAAGAUGGAGGAGAACAGUUCUGUCAGUGAGCAUAUACUCAAAAUGUCUGGGUAUAAUAAUCACUUGAUUCAGAUGGGAGUUAAUCUUCCAGAUGAUUGCAUCAUUGACAGAAUUCUCCAAUCACUACCACCAAGCUACAAGAGCUUCGUGAUGAACUAUAAUAUGCAAGGGAUGAACAAGACUAUUCCCGAGCUCUUCGCAAUGCUGAAAGCUGCGGAGGUAGAAAUCAAAAAGGAGCAUCAAGUGUUGAUGGUUAGCAAGACCACUAGUUUCAAGAAAAAGGGUAAAGGGAAGAAGAAGGGAAACUUCAAGAAGAACAGCAAGCAAGUUGCUGCUCAAGAGAAGAAACCCAAGUCUGGACCUAAGCCUGAAGCUGAGUGCUUCUACUGCAAGCAGACUGGUCACUGGAAGCGGAACUGCCCCAAGUAUUUGGCGGAUAAGAAGGAUGGCAAAGUGAGCAAAGGUAUAUGUGAUAUACAUGUUAUUGAUGUGUACCUUACUAGAGCUCGCAGUAGCACCUGGGUAUUUGAUACUGGUUCUGUUGCUAAUAUUUGCAACUCGAAACAGGGACUACGGAAUAAGCGGACACUAGCAAAGGACGAGGUGACGAUGCGCGUGGGAAACGGUUCCAAAGUCGAUGUGAUCGCGGUCGGCACGCUGCCUCUACAUCUACCUUCGGGAUUAAUAUUAGACCUAAAUAAUUGUUAUUUGGUGCCAGCGUUGAGCAUGAACAUUAUAUCUGGAUCUUGUUUAAUGCGAGACGGUUAUUCAUUUAAAUCAGAGAAUAAUGGUUGUUCUAUUUAUAUGAAUAAUAUCUUUUAUGGUCAUGCACCUUUGAAGAGUGGUCUAUUCUUGUUGAAUCUCGAAGAUAGUGAUACACAUAUUCAUAAUGUAGAAGCCAAAAGAUGCAAAGUUAAUAAUGAUAGUGCAACUUAUUUGUGGCACUGCCGUUUAGGUCAUAUCGGUGUAAAGCGCAUGAAGAAACUCCAUACUGAUGGGCUUUUGGAAUCACUUGAUUAUGAAUCACUUGGUACUUGCGAACCGUGCCUCAUAGGCAAGAUGACUAAAACACCGUUCUCCGGUACUAUGGAGAGAGCAACAGAUUUGUUGGAAAUCAUACAUACCGAUGUAUGUGGUCCGAUGAAUAUUGAGGCUCGCGGCGGAUAUCGUUAUUUUUCACCUUCACAGAUGAUUUAAGCAGAUAUGGGUAUAUCUACUUAAUGAAACACAAGUCUGAAACAUUUGAAAAGUUCAAGGAAUUUCAGAGUGAAGUUGAAAAUCAUCGUAACAAGAAAAUAAAAUUUCUACGAUCUGAUCGUGGAGGAGAAUAUUUGAGUUACGAGUUUGGUGUACAUUUGAAAAAUUGUGGAAUAGUUUCGCAACUCACGCCACCCGGAACACCACAGCGUAAUGGUGUGUCCGAACGUCGUAAUCGUACUUUACUAGAUAUGGUGCGAUCAAUGAUGUCUCUUACUGAUUUACCGCUAUCGUUUUGGGGUUAUGCUUUAGAGACGGCCGCAUUCACGUUAAAUAGGGCACCAUCAAAAUCCGUUGAGACGACGCCUUAUGAACUAUGGUUUGGCAAGAAACCAAAGUUGUCGUUUCUCAAAGUUUGGGGCUGCGAUGCUUAUGUGAAAAAGCUUCAACCUGAUAAGCUCGAACCCAAAGCGGAGAAAUGUGUCUUCAUAGGAUACCCAAAGGAAACUGUUGGGUAUACCUUCUAUCACAGAUCCGAAGGCAAGACAUUCGUUGCUAAGAAUGGAUCAUUUCUAGAGAAGGAGUUUCUCUCGAAAGAAGUGAGUGGGAGGAAAGUAGAACUUGACGAGGUAACUAUACCUGCUCCCUUAUUGGAAAGUAGUACAUCACAGAAAACUGUUUCUGCGACACCUAUACCAAUCAGUGAGAAAGCUAAUGAUGAUGAUCAUGAAGCUUCAGAACAAGAUACUACUGAACCACGUAGAUCAACCAGAGUGAGAUCCGCACCAGAGUGGUACGGUAAUCCACUUCUGGAAGUCAUGAUGCUAGAUCAUGAUGAACCUACGAACUAUGAAGAAGCGAUGGUGAGCCCAGAUUCCGCAAAGUGGCUUGAGGCCAUGAAAUCUGAGAUGGGAUCCAUGUAUGAGAACAAAGUAUGGACUUUGGUUGACUUGCCCGAUGAUCGGCAAGCAAUUGAGAAUAAAUGGAUCUUCAAGAAAAAGACUGACGCUGACGGUAAUGUUACUGUCUAUAAAGCUCGACUUGUCGCAAAAGGUUUUCGACAAGUUCAAGGGGUUGACUACGAUGAGACUUUCUCACCCGUAGCGAUGCUUAAAUCCGUCAGAAUUAUGUUAGCAAUUGCCGCAUUUUAUAAUUAUGAAAUAUGGCAGAUGGAUGUCAAAGCUGCAUUCCUGAAUGGAUUUCUGGAAGAAGAGUUGUAUAUGGUACAACCAGAAGGUUUUGUCGAUCCAAAAGGAGCUAACAAAGUAUGCAAACUCCAGCGAUCCAUUUAUGGACUGGUGCAAGCAUCUCGGAGUUGGAAUAAACGCUUUGAUAGUGUGAUCAAAGCAUUUGGCUUUAUACAGACUUUUGGAGAAGCCUGUAUUUACAAGAAAGUGAGUGGGAGCUCUGUAGCAUUUCUGAUAUUAUAUGUGGAUGACAUAUUGCUGAUUGGAAAUGAUAUAGAAUUUUUGGAUAGCAUAAAGGGAUACUUGAAUAAAAGUUUUUCGAUGAAAGACCUUGGGGAAGCUGCUUACAUAUUAGGCAUAAAGAUCUAUAGAGAUAGAUCAAAACGCUUAAUUGGACUUUCACAGAGCACAUACCUUGACAAGAUUUUGAAGAAAUUCAAAAUGGAUCAAGCAAAGAAAGGGUUCUUGCCUGUGUUACAAGGUGUGAAGUUGAGUAAGACUCAAUGCCCGACCACUGCAGAAGAUAGAGAGAAAAUGAAAGAUGUUACCUAUGCUUCAGCCAUAGGCUCUAUCAUGUAUGCAAUGCUGUGUACCAGACCUGAUGUGUGCCUUGCUAUAAGUUUAGCAGGGAGGUACCAAAGUAAUCCUGGAAUGGAUCACUGGACAGCGGUCAAGAACAUCCUAAAAUACCUGAAAAGGACUAAGGAUAUGUUUCUCGUAUAUGGAGGUGACAAAGAGCUCACCGUAAGAGGUUACGUUGAUGCAAGCUUUGACACUGAUCCGGACGAUUCUAAAUCGCAAACCGGAUACGUGUUUACUUUAAACGGUGGAGCUGUCAGUUGGUGCAGUUCUAAACAAAGCGUCGUAGCGGGAUCUACAUGUGAAGCGGAGUACAUAGCCGCUUCGGAAGCAGCGAACGAAGGAGUCUGGAUGAAGGAGUUCAUAUCCGAUCUAGGUGUCAUACCUAGUGCAUCGGGUCCAAUGAAAAUCUUCUGUGACAAUACUGGUGCAAUUGCCUUGGCAAAGGAAUCCAGAUUUCACAAGAGGACCAAACACAUCAAGAGACGCUUCAACUCCAUCCGGGAUUUAGUCCAGGUGGGAGACAUAGAGAUUUGCAAGAUACAUACGGAUCUGAAUGUUCCAGACCCGUUGACUAAGCCUCUUCCACGAGCAAAACAUGAUCAGCACCAAGGCUCCAUGGGUGUUAGAAUCAUUACUGUAUAAUCUAGAUUAUUGACUCUAGUGCAAGUGGGAGACUGAAGGAAAUAUGCCCUAGAGGCAAUAAUAAAGUUAUUAUUUAUUUCCUUAUAUCAUGAUAAGAGUUUAUUAUUCAUGCUAGAAUUGUAUUAACCGGAAACAUAAUACAUGUGUGAAUACAUAGACCAACAGAGUGUCACUAGUAUGCCUCUACUUGACUAGCUCGUUAAUCAAAGAUGGUUAUGUUUCCUAACCAUGAACAAAGAUUUGUUAUUUGUUUAACGAGGUCACAUCAUUAGUAGAAUGAUCUGAUUGACAUGACCCAAUCCAUUAGCUUAGCACCCGAUCGUUUAGUAAGUUGCUAUUGCUUUCUUCAUGACUUAUACAUGUUCCUAUAACUAUGAGAUUAUGCAACUCCCGUUUACCGGAGGAACACUUUGGGUACUACCAAACGUCACAACGUAACUGGGUGAUUAUAAAGGAGUAUUACAGGUGUCUCCAAUGGUAGAUGUUGGGUUGGCGUAUUUCGAGAUUAGGGUUUGUCACUCCGAUUGACGGAGAGGUAUCUCUGGGCCCUCUCGGUAAUACACAUCACAUAAGCCUUGCAAGCACUGCAACUAAUAAGUUAGUUGUGAGAUGAUGUAUUACGGAACGAGUAAAGAGACUUGCCGGUAACGAGAUUGAACUAGGUAUUGGAUACCGACGAUCGAAUCUCGGGCAAGUAACAUACCGAUGACAAAGGGAACAACGUAUGUUGUUAUGCGGUCUGACCGAUAAAGAUCUUCGUAGAAUAUGUAGGAGCCAAUAUGGGCAUCCAGGUCCCGCUAUUGGUUAUUGACCGGAAGCGUGUCUCGGUCAUGUCUACAUUGUUCUCGAACCGUAGGGUCCGCACGCUUAACGUUACGAUGACAGUUAUUAUGAGUUUAUGCAUUUUGAUGUACCGAAGGUUGUUCGGUGUCCCGGAUGAGAUCACGGACAUGACGAGGAGUCUCGAAAUGGUCGAGACGUAAAGAUUGAUAUAUUGGAAGCCUAUGUUUGGGCACCGGAAGCGUUCCGGGUGAAAUCGGGAUUUUACCGGAAUACCGGGAGGGUUACCGGAACCCCCCGGGAGACUAAUGGGCCUAUUGGGCCUUAGUGGAAAAGAGAAAAGGGAAGCCCACUAGCUGGCCGGCGCCCCCUAGAGUCCUAUUAGGAAUAGGACAAGGGGCCGGCCCCCCUUCUCUCUCUUUUUCCCCGGGAGUCCUAAUAGGAUUAGGAUUAGGGGGAGGAGUCCUACUCCCGGUGGGAGUAGGACUCCCCUGCGCCUCCUCUCUCCUCGCCGGCCGAACCCCCUGCCCCUGGCCUUUAUAUACGGGGGCAGGGGGCACCCCAAGACACACAACUUGAUCCUUGAGAUCGUUCCUUAGCCGUGUGCGGUGCCCCCUGCCACCAAAUUCCACCUCGAUCGUACCGUUGUAGUGCUUAGGCGAAGCCCUGCGUCGGUAGUACAUCAAGAUCGUCAUCACGCCGUCGUGCUGACGGAACUCUUCCUCGACGCUUUGCUGGAUCGGAGCCCGAGGAACGUCAUCGAGCUGAACGUGUGCUAAGAACUCGGAGGUACCGGAGUAACGGUGCUUGGAUCGGUCUGAUCGGGAAGAAGACGUACGACUACUUCCUCUACGUUGUGUGAUCGCUUCCGCAGUCGGUCUGCGUUGGUACGUAGACAACACUCUCCUCUCUCGUUGCUGUGCAUCACCAUGAUCUUGCGUGUGCGUAGGAAAUUUUUUGAAAUUACUGCGUUACCCAACAACCCACCUGUCAUACUCUGUUAGGUUAAUUAGGGUUUAGUUAAUUGAUUAGGCUAAUCUAAUCAGGAUUACUUUGUUUAAGUAAUUCUUCAAUUAAUUAAUUAUCAUUUUAACUAAUUUAAUUAUUAUUUAUUAAUUCAUUCAUUUUUUUAAAUUAUUAUUUUUAUUUCGUUCUCGUUUCAGGGGGGCGUGGGGCCCCGCACACGGGGCCACCGCGGGGCUGUUGCCAGCGGGCGCUGGGGCGCUGGGUGCGGGCGCACCCGAGCGGGCACUCGCCCGCAGGGCGGGACGAGGCUGCCGAGGCAUCGACAGCGGGGCAAGCCNNNNNNNNNNNNNNNNNNNNNNNNNNNNNNNNNNNNNNNNNNNNNNNNNNNNNNNNNNNNNNNNNNNNNNNNNNNNNNNNNNNNNNNNNNNNNNNNNNNNNNNNNNNNNNNNNNNNNNNNNNNNNNNNNNNNNNNNNNNNNNNNNNNNNNNNNNNNNNNNNNNNNNNNNNNNNNNNNNNNNNNNNNNNNNNNNNNNNNNNNNNNNNNNNNNNNNNNNNNNNNNNNNNNNNNNNNNNNNNNNNNNNNNNNNNNNNNNNNNNNNNNNNNNNNNNNNNNNNNNNNNNNNNNNNNNNNNNNNNNNNNNNNNNNNNNNNNNNNNNNNNNNNNNNNNNNNNNNNNNNNNNNNNNNNNNNNNNNNNNNNNNNNNNNNNNNNNNNNNNNNNNNNNNNNNNNNNNNNNNNNNNNNNNNNNNNNNNNNNNNNNNNNNNNNNNNNNNNNNNNNNNNNNNNNNNNNNNNNNNNNNNNNNNNNNNNNNNNNNNNNNNNNNNNNNNNNNNNNNNNNNNNNNNNNNNNNNNNNNNNNNNNNNNNNNNNNNNNNNNNNNNNNNNNNNNNNNNNNNNNNNNNNNNNNNNNNNNNNNNNNNNNNNNNNNNNNNNNNNNNNNNNNNNNNNNNNNNNNNNNNNNNNNNNNNNNNNNNNNNNNNNNNNNNNNNNNNNNNNNNNNNNNNNNNNNNNNNNNNNNNNNNNNNNNNNNNNNNNNNNNNNNNNNNNNNNNNNNNNNNNNNNNNNNNNNNNNNNNNNNNNNNNNNNNNNNNNNNNNNNNNNNNNNNNNNNNNNNNNNNNNNNNNNNNNNNNNNNNNNNNNNNNNNNNNNNNNNNNNNNNNNNNNNNNNNNNNNNNNNNNNNNNNNNNNNNNNNNNNNNNNNNNNNNNNNNNNNNNNNNNNNNNNNNNNNNNNNNNNNNNNNNNNNNNNNNNNNNNNNNNNNNNNNNNNNNNNNNNNNNNNNNNNNNNNNNNNNAGUGGCCCAGUGGGGGGGGGGGUUGUUUUAUUCCUUUCCCUUUUAUACCUUUUCACACUUUUCUUCUUUUGUUUUAUUUUAGUUACACGUUAAUUUUAAUUUUAGACAAAUAUAUCUAUAGCCCCUAAAAUAAUGUUUCAGAACAAUCCACUACUAUAAAAAGUUUUACCCUGAUAAAAUAGUCUAGUAUUUUAUAAAAUACCAAAGUCGUUUAAAUAGUUGUUUAGCUACUAUUUAAAUCAUUUUAGUGCUUUAAAUCAUUUUACUAAAAUGUGGUUCCUCCACCAUUUGGACUUAGGAUUUAUUUGUCCCAUUUUGAACAUUUUAGUCUUGACGUUUGAAGAAUUUACCGUUUGACUCGAUUUUGAAUUUGAAUUUGAAUCGGUGUCGAACUAACACGAGAUUAGCAACAGUAACCAUCAUGACGUGGCAUCAUUAACAGAGGUUUACUGUAUCUCAAAUACCCGGGCGUCACAAUGUGCCUAAUAUUGCAGGAGAUGAGGUGGCUCUGGCUGCAUUAAAAUUUUUAGCCCAAAAUAAGAAGAUUAGUGAUAUUUUCCUUGAGCAACACGACAAGGGAUUGGUUCCUCAUUAUGAGGCAAUAAUAGCUAGGGUUUUGAAAGAAGACCAAGUGUUGCCGAUUGAUCAAAUUGUCGAGAGAAAAUAUUCAACAAUGAUGCAGAUGCCUUCACCUAUCAUUGCAACAUGUUAUACACCCCCUGUACAAGCGCAAAAUUUCGGCAACAUCAAUUCAUUGCCGAAAGAUCCUAAAAGUAUUGGGGGGCAAGCCGAUCCAAGCAGGGUUGAGUUUAAAGAAAAAUAUCUAGCCCAGGUGGACAAGAUCAAGCCAAAGCUCACAGGGAAUAGAGUCAACGAAUUUACUACACCUACCCUUGAGGAAUUACCAGCAGAAUAUCAACAGGCCUACGAAGCACUCAAGAAGAAACGUGGAGAGAGAUAUUUGCAAGAAUACGUCAAGUGCCUUCCUCCAUGUAGCAACCAUGUUGGCCCUUCUACACUAUUGAGGCAAGAUAAAAAAGAAGCUUUGCAAGCAAACCAGCAAAAAAGGAUUCACUCGGCUAAUACGGUGGAUUCGGUUGAAACCGGAUUGAGCAACAGGAUGUUUAAGGCCGAGUGCGUUGCAUCGUGCCAGCCGAGUGCAUCGUUCCAGACGAGUGCAUCACCAGCUAAAGCCGAGUGCAUCAAGCCAACUAUUGCCUCGUGUACGAAAAUAGAAGAUGCAAGCUUGGCUGAGCAAAGGAACGACAAACGCAACAAAUUGGUUGUGCUCGAUUUUUCUGGAUGUAAGGGAGCUUACAUGCUACCUUAUGAGUUUCAUGCUAAAGAUAUUGAUGAGCAUCAAGAACACAGUAAUGGCUGAACACAGUUCAGUUAACGAUGAACAUCAAGACCAAGAAAAUGCGGCCGAGCAAAGUUCAACUGACAAAGAGCGUCCGAGUGAAAUCCACUCGGGCAAUCCGACUGAAAUAUACUCGGGCAAUUCAAGUGAAAUAUACUCGGGCAACCUGAGUGAUGAGGCACCAGAUCCAGAAAAAGAGGAAGAGGCAUUGGAGAAUUAUUCAGAAGUGGAGCAAUGUAUUGUUCCAGUGGUACAACCAUCUUCUCCUUCCAACGUCUUCACAAAGGUACACCUAGCAGAUAGUUUACUCAAUUUUCGAUUUGGUCAAAAUCAUAUUGUUGAUGCACCUAUUAGUAAGAUUCUAAUUAAUUUUGAAAGACCAAUUGAAAUGAGUAAUCUUUUUGUUAGGAAGGAUCUUGUCACUAAUCAUGAUAGUCAACACAUGGUAUCGUUCAUAGAGGUUAAUAGUGACAACUUAUCAAAACCAAAGUUGUUCUUGUCAUGCCAACUGAACUUUGUAUUCAUAUGGACAACUUUGUUUGUUUCAUGCCUAGCUAACAUUUGGACUCCUAUGAGCCGUAUAUUCUGUAAUUAUUUUAGUUGCAGAAACAUAAAGUCAGGUCCAAAGUCCUUCGAAGCCGAUUCAAAUGCAUCAGGAAAAGAAGAUGAAUCUUUCCCAAUUGAUAAAAUUGGCGAGCAAAAAUAUGGUUUUACAACAAUGCAUAUGCCUUCACCUAAUACUACAUCAUAUUAUACAGCCCCUACACAAUUGCAAAGUUUCGGCAACACCCAUGUGCCAUUGCCGAAAGAAUCUAAAAGCAAUGGGGGACAAUCGUAUCCGAAGUGGGCUGAAAAUGAGAAAAAGAUUAAAGCCAAUUUCGCCGCUCGCCGGCAGAAACAAAAAGAAACAGAAUUGGCUCAAGUGAAAGAAGCAUUGCCAAUUGGUAGAAGCAAUGUAAAGAAAGAUGAUUCAGAACAUGAAAGUACUAAGGUUAAAAGAGCCGAAUCAAGGAGUAUAUAUUCUGAAUCCAUCAAAUGCAAAGAGGCAAGCAUUAUUGAGAAAGGGCAUGGCAAGCAUAGCAAAGCGACCAUACUUGAUUUUUCUAAAGUUAAUGGAACCUACUUCCUGCCCUAUGAGUUUUGUGCCAGAGAAAUUGAUGAACUUCAAGGACAAGAAUAAGUAGCCGAACAAAGUUCGGCCGACAAAAAUCUUCAAUGUAAUGAUGCACGAAAUCAACAAAAAGAUGAUGAAGAAGCGUUGGGGAGCCAUCCAAAGGCGGAGCAAGAUAUUGUUCAAGUCACACCACCAUCGUGCUCUCCCAACAUAUUUGAAGAGGUAUGUUUAGCAAGUAAUUUACCUAUUUUCAGAUUUGGUCAGGACUUUAUUGUUGAUGCAUCUAUUAGAAAAAUCCUCAUAAGUAAUUUUGAAAGACCAAUGAAGCAGGGUAAUUUACUUGCUAGCAAUAAAGUUGUUAUUGAGCAUAUCGGUCAACCCAUUACGCCAUUUAUAAAGACCGAUAGUGACUUAUUAUUACAGCCAAAGUUUUCCCCGUUGCUUUAUCUAAAGUUCAUAUCUAUUUGGGUAGCUUUGCUUAUUUCAUACUUGGCUUGCACUUGGUCCCAAUUGAGACAUGUGUGUUCUAACUAUUUUCGUUUUAGAAAUUUAAAGCCAAGAUUAAAUUCUGUUGAGAAAACCGAUGCUAGUAUAAUAUCUUACCCAAAGACAUCGGAGAUAGAUUGCAAAACACAAUGCAUAGCCGAAUGGUGUGAUGCAAAAUCUGAACCAUUCGUUUGCUUCAUUCCGAAGCCGUUCUCACAGCAAGAUCGGCUAGAAAACAAGAAGUAUACCUUCAAUUCAAGCAUGUGUGUUCAAAUAUUUGAUUUGUUGCUGAAAAAUAAUUACAUUACAAUUCUUGAUCACCAUGUUAAGCCAUCAAUCCAAGGACGAAUGUAUUGUAAGUUGCAUGAUUCGUCCAAGCAUAAUUUUGAGGAUUGCAACAUGUUUCGUCAAAUAGUUAAAUCGGCCAUUGAAAAAGGACGAUUGAAGUUUGUUGAAACACCAAGAGAUGACCAGUCUAUUCCGAUUGGUCCCGAUGGCAAAAAGUUUUUGCAUCGACUGCUUCAAGCCGAUCCAUUUAAAGAGAAGGUAAAAACUGCAGGUGAUGGGAUCAAGCUUUCAAGUAAAGAAGUUGUUGAAGAGCAUAAUGAACAUAAUCUUGAGGGUGAGAAUUCCAUCCAAGCUACAAUGGAGACGCCAAGGACUGGGGGGCAGCAAGCAAAUCCAACGAUCGAUGAAAGAAAACCAAAAGAAAACAAAGGCCGAAAUAAGCGCAAGUGUAAAAGAUCAAAAAUCACCUUCGAUGAACUAUUUGAGAAAUAUCAAAAGAAGAGUGAAGAGAAGAAUGCUUAUCGGCCCAAUCAUGCAAAGAAACCAAGAUCACCCCCAAGGCGCAAAUAUGAGGAUCGGUAUUGGCAAUGUGAGAGUUUCAAUGCAACAUAUUCAUAUCCUUAUUUUGGGCCGCCAAUGCCAAUGCCGUGGAUGCCUCCCUAUGCUCAUGUAGAUCCAUAUUCAUCAUGGGACAGGUAUGAUACAAGGGCACAUUCUCCAUCUUAUUUUAGACCAUCUCACCAAUAUUAUGCAGCUCCGAGAAGAUCAACAUUUGAACAGUCACAUGUUAAAGACCGUUUCAAUUAUAAGGAAUCGGUCCGGACACCAUGGAUGAAAAAAGAGGUGGUCAAGCAAGUCUACCGCGUGAAACUAUGAAGGACCGAGCCGAAGGAUUCAACAUCUUUGGUCUACACAUUAUCCAAAUUCUUCAACUAUGUCGUUAACGCCUAUGCCAUGGAAUUCGUCAUCAGGUAUGAUCGGUAACCCUCAAUGGGCUUAUUUUAAUCCAUGGAUGCAAUAUAAUUUCUUACGUCAUGAAAGGGUAUUACCAAGUCACUAUACAUUUGAUUAGCUACAAGUUUGUUGCUGAUCCAAAGGGCCGAAAUACUUGAUUUGUCAUUUCAUUUGUUUAUUUCGGCUAUAUGUGCUUUGAAUGAAGUUUAGAUGGUAAUGGCCGAUGAUAUUUAUCUAUCGUCCUAAGAGUAUGUCAAUGCAUGGCAGGUGUAGUAUUCUAAUAUCGUCCUUAGUUUGAUUGGUGAGCGAGACAAUGUACAUGCUCAUGAAAAUUUAUAUGUAUGCCUAUAUUAUGAUUGAAUGGAGUUGAGACAUCAUGACCGAUGUCAUUGAAUAUAUGCUGCAUAGACCAAUUCAUAGCUGCGGAAUUGGUUGAUGGGCUUAUACUUUGUUUGGAUAUGAUUUGGCUUAUGCAUCUUUGAGAUCUAUAAGAGGCCAAAUCAUAGUUGAUUUUGUUACUGAACAUCGGAUUAGUGUCAUGCAUAAUAUUAAUAUUAGCCUUGUCUCUCUAGUACUAUGGAGAUUAUGUUUUGAUGGUUCAAUUCAUAGCAAUGGCCAAAGUGUUGGUGUUGUUUAUAUAUUUCUUUAUGGUACUAUUUUUUGAAGCCUCGUGCCGCUUAGAAUAUUUUUAUGCACGAUUAAUCAAGGCCGAAUAUGCAUUGUUAUUCGGAUUGACUCUUUUACUUGCUAUAGGUGUUAUACAUAUUGAGGCUUUUGGUGAUUCGUUCUGAGUAGUGCAACAAAUAUCCAAGGAUUAUCAAUGUGUUUUACCGAAUCACUUAUAGUUUAUCUUGGGCUAUGUCUAGAUGAAGAAUUUACCUUGGGUUGCAUUCAAAUUGUUCAUAUAUUUAGACAUGGCAAUUGGAGAGAGUUGGCAUAGCAAGCAUCCGGCUACCAUGUCCAUCAUGUUGUAUUGCAUUUCUCUCAAUAGCCGAUGCUUAGUCUUGUCAACAUAGGUAAGGUCGAACCGAAGUCCAGAACUUCGGCCACUAAUGAAAUUUUUAUGCAGGCCAAAGUAAGGAUUGGAGAAAGUUUAUUGUUGAUUGUCUACAAAAUCCUAGCAAAAGGGUGAACAAUAUGGUUCGGAGGAUGACAUUGAGAUACAUAUCUAUGGAACUUUAUCACCGGAUUGUUAAUGAAGCUGAGAAGGUUUCACCCGAGUUUGCAUCAGAAAGUUCACACAAGACAUGGCCGAUAUAUACUUAUCGUCCUAAGAACAUAUAAAUGGCCGAUGGAGUGUUGACAUCGUCCUUAGAACAAACUUGGUACAAGUAUUUUUCGACACGCUAGGUUUACCGAAAAACAGUGGGGCAUGUGUUGACGCUCAAAAGUGGCACGAUCAUAAAGCAGCAUGCUGGGGCGAAAACCUUGCCGGGGUAAAAUCUUGCCGGUGUGAAAGCUUGCCGGUGUGAAAGCUUGCCGGUGUGAAGGCUUGCCGGCGUGGAAAGCUUGCCGGCACAGAAAGAUCGCCGGUGCUUGCCGGUGUGAAAUCUUGCCGAGGGAGAAACCUUGUCAGGAAGGAACCCUUGCCGGAGUACAAACCUUGCCGGAGUGAAACCUUGCCUGUGUGAAAGCUUGCCGGGUAGAAACAUUGCCGGUGUGGAAAGCUUACUCGGACGGAAAACUUGCCGGGUUGGAGGCUGUGAUAGUCAAUCGAACGAGAAGUUGAAGAUGGGCUCAAAAGGUUAUUCAGAUGAUCUCGGAUGGAAAAAUGAUCUACACGGGUUGUCUUCGUCUCGUCGAAACGAUCGAUUUUGGUAUAAAAAUCAUUCAAAUUCGAGUUUGUAUGCAAAAGUUAGAGCAAUCGGAGUGCAGCCCUGUCACGAGGCGAGAUGUGGCGUGCCCCACCAGACACAUGUCUGACGGGUAGUGCGAGGAAAUAGCCUGUGUUGCGAGACCGAUCUGACCCUCAAGAUGAUCUCUGAUCAAAACACCUUCAACAUGAAAGCUGUUCGUCUCGUCGAAACGGUCAAGAUUGCUUUUGGGCUUGUUUUCAUCCGGGAUCGUUUACCACUGCCAAAAAGACCCGCAAUGUGCAGCCAGUUUAAACCGAACAGUUUUGGAAAGUUCAGAUAAACCAGUCCGAAUUUGACUAGGGUUUUGUACGUGAAUUGAUGUAAUUUUCUUGUAAGGAAAGCCGAGAUAAAUUCUUUGCUUGUACGGGAAGUCCAGCCGCCUCUUAUAUAUGUUGGGGGUGACGGCCGAUUGAAACAACACACAAUCGAACAAACACAUCUACUACCUUUUCAUGUUCAUCUACUUUUUAUCUCUCCCUUGUAUCUUUCUUCUCGUUCUUCGCUAGUUCUUCAUGCUGGAGGGCUGCGGAUCCACGAGGCUUUAGGGCCUAGCUAGCGAAUCGACCUAGGGCAGCCCAUAGCCGCCGCAAUCCCUGACGGGGUCCCUCUCGGGUGCGCGGGGUUUCGGGUCUGCAAAAGCGCCCGCCGACUGUCUUGCGUAUCGCGCUGUCGGUCGGGUCUCCUUCGACGUGAGCUGCGGUGCAUCACCCCUGGCGUCGAGGAUACAUGUGACGUGUUCGUGUGCGAACAACGUGCUCCCUGGCUCCACCCCAUUGAAAAAAUAUACAUCUGGAGGCUGCUUUGUUUCCUCAUCAAAAAAAACUUACGUUAAAAAGAUUGCAUGCAUCCCAGGAAAAAUAAUCAAGAAGUCGGACUCAUCCUUACAAAAACAAGGAACGUGUUAAGUUGACUUCAAAGAAAAAAGGAACAUGUUAAGUUAAAAAAAACAAGAAACCUGUUAAGUUAGAAAAAAACAAGGAACGUGUUGUCCUAGGAAAGAUAUGUGUCAAAUCUUACAAAAAAAAGAAUACACACACGUACGUUCAUGCACUUGGAAAAUAGAAAAAAAAGAACAUCACGUAUGUAUACACUUUGGAAACUCAUUACAUGACCAUGUCUGAUAUACUCCUCUAAUGCUUAACAUUAGUGCCUAAUAAUUUAUAUUUAAAAUUUAAUUUACUGAUCAAAUAUCCCCACUGUUUAAAUUUUAAUUUGGCACAUUGUUUGACUACAGUAUGAACCUAAAUUUCCUCUUAUUAAUAUAUAUCAUGGUAAUAAUCCAAAGGCGACUAAUCUGCGCCGGUGCACCGGCGCAAUCAAUUUGGCCGGACACAGCGCGGCCUUUUGAUUAGAUUGCAUUUAACCAUCAGAUCUGGAAUCGUUUUCUUUCCAAUUAAACGGAUUCAACCAAACAGCAGAGGGGAAAACAAAGCAGCGCCGCCGCCAACACUAGCCAUGGACGAUCGAUGUACCAAAACCUUGAAUAACUGCCGCCGGUCGCCACCCUCGCCGCUGGUGGCCGCCCUCGCCGUCGGUCACCGCCGAUCACCGCCCUCGCUGCCUGCGUUUCUCAUCGGCUUCAUGCAUGCAACAGCAUGCAGUCGUGGUUGCAGGCUUGCAGCUCCGGCUCCGGGGGACAUGGCCGCAUCUCCGGUAACGCCAGCCGCCGACCGCAGCACCUGUCGUUAUGGUCGCGUUGUACCUCGCCGUGUGCCCUCCCGAGGCUCUUGCUGGUUCCAACAAAAAACAAUACGUGUUGUAGCAAAAAAGUUUAUCGCUUCCAGCAAAAAAGCUUACCGCUACAGCCCGCCAUCGUCAUUGUAGCAAAAAUGUUAACCCGAUGUAGCUUUUGUGGUUGCCGACUGCAACAAAAAAUGACGUGGUUGUAGCAAAACACAAAAGAAAAAUGCCGGCCGGCCGCUGUGUAUGGUGGUAACAAACCCUAUAGCCGGUGGUAGCGAAAAACUUCAUAGUUUGCAGCAAAAAAAUGUUGUCGCCCGUCGUCGAGGUUGCAUCGUCUUCAUGAAUUAUGUCGCAAAAAAACAUUGUCGCCGGUAGUAGCAAAUGAAGCCGCCGGUAGUAGCAAAACAAGACACUGGUUCCAGCCAAAAAAUAAAUCAGCGACAGAACCUUUGGUUGGUUACAACAAAAAAACUUGUCGGUUGUAACAUCCCUCGCCGCCGGAUGUAGCAUCUCCCGGGGCUGGUUGCAACACUCCAUAAAAAAAAUGUUGUCUAUGAGCGCAUCCAUGGCGACUGCUGCACCAUCAGCAACGAGGGGAAGAGGAGGCAAUGAAAAUCGUUCGAGUCGUAGCUCCACAGGACGCGGCUGCAGCAUGGGGAGUCCAAAAAUCUGUCACAAGCAACAUGCGCCUCACCAUCCUCCUGCGCAGGAGAGAGAAGAAAAAGGAAUAAGAGGAAGAAGAAAGGAAACGGGAGGAAGAAAAAAGAAACGAUUGGUGGUGGGCUGAGGCAAUUAGUCAAACGAGGGGCACGCGGGGCCGCAGGAUACAGCGCAAUCGAACGAAGCGCGCGCGUCCGGCCGAAGACUCGGCCGGACUGCCGUCUGGAAACGUUUCCCUAAUCCAAAGGCUUUGUCUGAAUGACAAGUCGUCUGGGUUACCGGCUAACUAGAAAAAAGAUAAAUAUGCUAGAGAAUUUCAUAAUAAUUAGAAAUAUCUAGCCUUUAAUUAUGUAAAUCAGAAAAUCACAACCGUUGGAUUUACUUUAAAGGUAAAUUUCUCUAAAUUCCCACCAUUGCCAGUAUGUAGAAACAUGUGCUGCUUCAAUUCUCCCAUAAUCACCAAUCAAUCAACAACACAAAACAUACCUCAGUUAAAAAAACUGAACAAAAAAAAAGAAAAAAGAAGAAAGGACAAGAUACACGCAUGUACACGACAGCCUUGGCUUGAAACACAUCAGUAGAUCAAGUGUCCGCCUCCCUUACACAGAAUAAACUCAUAGGGAAGAAAAUAAUUGUGCAACCUAACCUUAUACGUACUAUUCUAUCCUCACGUCCCAUGAGGUUUACUAGCCUACCGCCGCCGCAUCAUGCCAUCCCCUCCUUUCAGCUCCCAUGCUUUCCAGCACCCUCAUUGCCGCGCCACUACUUGCCUAGGGAUAUUGCUGCUCAGACCGUGGAGCUUAACCUGCUUCUUCUUCAGCAAAUAUGGUACUGCUUUAGGAUCCUUCUCACAUCAGCACGUAUGGGCCUCAUUAUACUGCAGCUCCUGGACCUCCUACAAUUGGUUGGCUAUGGCCAGUUGAUCGAUGUGCCGAAGUCCAGGUCUGUUUGCUGGCACAUAUGCUUUGGAAAUAGGCCACUAUGUUUGUACUUCAAAAUUGUUUCUGUAUUCUUGAGUGGUACAUCCUUUUAAGCGCCAGUUUUUUAUGUCAAUUCAUGCUGACAACACUUAACCUAGCCUUUCAUCUUCACGUACUAAAUACAGGAGCAAGUAAAAACAACAGACCACCUAAUUGCUCUGCAUGUACUACAUAGGAAAAUUUGUCAUGUUCUACGAUCGCACCAUCCCACACUUCUCUCUUGGUAUGGGCGCCAAUUGAGGGAUUGAUAAAACUGAAACGAAGACGUCACGGGGCUGGAAGUACCGCUAGCCUGGUUUGCACUGCAACCUACUCAACGCCAUCAGAAACUAGCAACUGAGGCAGUUGUUGAUCGAUUCUCUCAAAUUGCUCUCAUGUAAGUACUACCCCUUGCAUGUGCGUACAUACCUUUGUUCCAUUCUCAAACAGAUAGAACAUUUAUGAUCGGUGCAUGGCUAUUUUUCAUCACAUGACAUCCAGAUAACAAGCAUGAAAGGACUACAUUGGAGAUCAAAAAAUAUUGGUUCCUGGCUAGAGGACCACUACCUAUGGACUUGUCUCCAUAGAAUUUGUUCCCAAGACGUUAUUUUAAUUAACCUCUUUAGCUUUCUUCCAUUGCAAACGGUGAUGUGCAUCAUGGUAUAUACGUGACCAUCUUGCACAUGUAUACACAAGAGGCUCAGACGGAGGUGCUGGAUUCUGGACGAGGGAAUAUGAAGCAGGAGUGAGCGAAGAGUAAAUAAUGGUGGGAGUACCGAUUGGUGUUAUGAAGAAAAAUGCCAUUCAAAGAUUGAUUAGUGUCAUGGAAGAUUAAUUUCUGAAUGCGAAUAUAUAUGUUACAUUGGUUUGGAUCUUUUUGAGAUAAUUGCACCUAAAUUAGGUUCUUUCUUAUUUCAUAUGUAUACCUUAUUUCAGUAAAAGUUCACAACGAACUUAGUAGGACAAAUAUAAUUUUGUUUGUGCUUUCUGUUGUCCGCCACCAAAGCUCAGUUUGAACUCUCUAGAAAUGGACAAUGAUUUAUGCAUUCUAUAUCUUCUUGAUUGAUUAGUCAUGACAAGGAAAUAAAAUGAUUGACUGAUAUAGCAUAACUUUGGAACGAUCUGUUCGUAGAGGUUACUACAAAUUAGAGUAGUGUCUGUUGGAAUUUUGCUAGUAGGCCUUUGGCCCAAAGCCCAACUAAAAUUCUGAAAUUCUCUUGGCUCAUUCAUGCACACAUGUGAGUGGAGUGAGUGAGACUAAAGUUUAGUCCCUCCCCGAAAGUUGAGAGAGUGUUGCACCUCUUUAUAAGGUGAGCUCUUCUACCACUUGUAUGAGCAUGGGAAGAGGAGACCUACACGCGCGCUCCUCCUCCUCGCUCACCAUGCCUCGUCACGACGCGCCGCGCCGCACCGCGUGGUGGGUUGUGGGAUUGAGCCGAGCCGAGGACGUUGUCUAUAUUUUUGCUGCUCGGGAAAAAUUAAUGAGUCAUUAAUUAAUAAUUAAUGGACGCGUUAAUUACUGAACCGUUUCCGAUUCUUUUGGAUCCUGACGACUCGGACGUGGGGUUUACUCCCACGACCUACCCGACCUGCACUACAUAGCCAGGCAGACGUCUACCUUAGCCGCCGCCCCUUCGUAUGGUUUCUCACCACCGUUACAGAUCAUUGCGCCGCCAAGCAAGUUUUCUCCAUCCCUCGUUUCGGCGUGCACCGGGAGAAGGGACAGCAGGCCUCCGGAACCCCGCCUCUCGUGAUCCUGUACGGAAGAGGGGCGAUCAGGUUUUUGGGGAGCGCAUCGCACGACUGCUGGCAGCGACGACUUCGCGAACGACGACUUCUUCCCCGACCUCGGCAACCUCAUCCUCGAGGACAUGGGCGACAACGUCAACGCCGGCGGUGCUACACCCACUGCACCGUAUGUUAUUCUAUCCUUCUUGUUCGAGAUCGUGGUAGAAUUCAUGUUUCUAGUAUGUGCCCUAGAGGUGAUCUGUUCAUCUACUAUGCUAGUUCGCAUGAUUAGUUUAAUCUCUGCUAUUGCUGUCAUGAUCUAUUUCCUAUUUAUUCGGAUUAAAUCUCGUAGUAAUUUUCUCAUUUUUCCAACAAUCCAAAAACCUAAUUAUAGGCAACUUACUCCGAGUGGUUUUGAUGCGCAUCUGAAAGCCGCCUGCCUUUAAGGGGGCGCAAUAUAAGAGGUGGCGCACGAGAGCAGUCUACUGGUUUCAGAUCAUGGGCUGCUAUGACGCCAUCGAUACCCUCUUUAAAGGCACUCUUCUGAGUGUUCUUGAUGACUCCAUUGUGGAUUCGUAUAUGUCGUUGACAACGGCAAGAAUAUGUGGGCUGCGCUCGAGGCCAAGUUUGGUGCCUCGGAUGCUAGUAGCGAGUUGUACGUCAUGGAGCAAUUCUAUGACUCCAAGAUGACUGAUGAGCGCCCUGUUGUACAGCAGGCUCAUGAGAUACAGUCGCUCGGAAAAGAACUUGAGUACUUCAAGUGUGUGUUGCCGAACAAAUUUUUUGCCGGAGGCAUCAUUGCCAAGCUUCCACCUUCGUGGAACAAUUUUGCUACUUCCCUGAAACACAAGAGACAGGAGUUUUUCGUUGCGGAUCUCAUUGGUACUCUUGAUGUUGAAGAGAAGGCGAGAGCAAAGGAUACACGUGCUCGAGUUGCUGAGGGAGGUUCUAGUGCCCACAUGGUACAGAAGAAGAACUUCCAGCCCGUUCAAAAACAACAAGAACAAAACUCAGGGCAAAGGCAAGUUUGAUACAAAGAACAAGCCAUCACAUUCUACCAACUUCAAGAAGAAUUCUCAUAAGAAGGGGAAGGGACUUUGCCAUGUCUGCGGUGAUCCUAAUCACUGGGCUCUGAAGUGUCCUAACUGCUUUGAGGAGCGCGAACAUGAGAAGAGCGGCAAGUCCGCUAAUGUUGUCAUCGGUGAUACUGAUAUGAAGGAAUCAGGGUACGGUAUUUUUCCUACCAUCCUUUCAGUUUUCCAAACCCCUGAUUGGUUAAUUGACACCGGUGCCAAUGUACAUGUUUGUGCUGAUGCCUCCAUGUUUUCUUCUUACCAGGCCAUUGGGACUUCACCCGUGCUGAUGGGGAACGGGUCACAUGCCAUCGUUCGAGGUGUUGGUACGGUCGAUCUGAAGUUUACUUCGGGGAAGACCGUGCGUCGGAAGAACGUUCAUCAUGUUCCAUCCAUCAAUAAAAAUCUCGUUAGCGGUUCCCGUUUAUGUCGAGAUGGUUUUAAGUUGGUUUUCGAAUACACUAAAGUUGUAAUUUCUAAGUACGGACAAUUUGGUGGAAAAGGCUAUGAGAGCGAAGGCUUGUUUUGCCUGUCUUUGUCAGAUAUUUUCACUAAAGUUAUUAAUAAUGUUUGCCACAACAAUGAGUCUGAUAUUUGGCAUUCACGACUUUGUCACAUUAACUUUGGUUGCAUGACGCGGCUAGCCAAUAUGAAUUUAAUUCCGAAAAUCUCUACUGUCAAAGGCUCUAAGUGCCAAGUAUGUGUGCAAGCUAGCUAAGCAACCUCGCAAGUCCCAUAAGACUGUAGAGGCAAGAGACUUGGCGCCACUAGAGCUUAUACAUUCUGAUAUUUGUGAGAUGAAUGGCGUGUUGACAAAAGGUGGAAAGAGAUACUUCAUGACGUUGAUUGAUGACUCCACUAGAUAUUGUUAUGUGUAUCUUAUGAAAUCAAAAGAUGAGGCUUUGACUUUCUUCAAAAACUAUAAAGCUGAGGCAGAGAACCAACUUGAUCAAAAAAUUAAACGGCUUAGGUCCGAUCAUGGUGGAGUGUAUUUUUCCAAUGAAUUUGAUCUGUUUUGUGCGGAACAUGGUAUAAUCCAUGAGAGGAUGCGUCCCUACUCAGCCUAGUCAAAUGGGGUAGCCAAAAUAAAGAACCGAACUCUAACUGAUAUGGUUAACACCAUGUUAGACACUUCAGGUCUAUCCAAGGAAUGGUGGGGGCAGGCGCUAACGACUGCGUGUCAUGUCCUAAACAGAGUACCCACAAAGCAUAAGACCAUGACUCCAUUUGAGGAAUGUGAAAGGAAAAUGUUGAAACUCUCUUACCUACGUACUUGGGGUUGUUUGGCGAAAGUCAAUAUACCAAUUCCCAAGAAGCGCAAGGUUGGACCAAAAACCGUGGAUUGUGUUCUUCUGGGCUAUGCUUUUCAUAGCAUCGGCUAUAGAUUUUUGAUAAUAAAAUCUGAGGUAUCCGACAUGCAUGUUGGUACGAUUAUGGAGUCGAAUGAUGCAACUUUCUUUGAGGACAUAUUUCCUAUGAAGGAUAUGUCGAGUUCAUCAAAUCAGGAGACACCUACUCCAUCUAGUGAGGAAUUCACUGUAAUUCCUGAACCCACCAUUGCGAUGGAACACGUUGAGAAUCCUGUUGAGGGUGACAAUGGAACUCCUAUGAGGAGUAAGAGACACAGGACUACAAAGUCCUUUGGUGAUGAUUUCAUUGUGUUCCUCGUGGAUGACACACCCAGGACUAUUUCAGAAGCCUGUGCAUCUCUUGAUGCUAACUACUGGAAGGAAGCUGUACGUAGCGAGAUGGAUUCCAUCUUAGGUAACGGAACCUGGGAGAUCACUGACCGUCCUUAUGGGUGCAAACUUGUAGGAUGUAAGUGGGUGUUCAAGAAGAAGCUUAGACCUGAUGGUACGAUUGAAAAGUACAAGGCACGGCUUGUGGCCAAGGGUUAUACCCAGAAAGAAGGUGAAGACUUCUUUGAUACUUACUCACCCGUGGCUAGAAUGACCACAAUUCGGGUGCUACUAUCACUUGCUGCCUCACAUGGUCUUCUCGUUCAUCAAAUGGAUGUUAAGACAGCUUUCCUCAAUGGAGAGAGUUGGAGGAAGAAAUUUACAUGGAUCAGCCAGAUGGUUUUGUAGUACCUAGUUAGGAAGGAAAGGUGUGCAAGUUAUUAAAGUCUUUAUAUGGCCUUAAACAAGCUCCUAAAGAGUGGCAUGAGUAGUUUGAAAGAACAUUAACUGCUGCCGGCUUUGUAGUAAACGAUGAUGACAAGUGCGUGUACUAUCGCUAUGGUGGGGCGAAGGAGUUAUUCUUUCUCUGUAUGUCGACGACAUAUUGAUCUUUGGAGCCAAACUUGAUUUAAUCAAGGAGGUUAAGGAUUUCUUAUCUUGUUGUUUUGAGAUGAAGGAUCUAGGAGUAGCUGAUGUUAUCUUAAACAUCAAGCUGUUGAGAGAUGAGAAUGGUGGGAUCACACUACUUCAGUCUCACUAUGUGGAAAAGGUCUUGAGUCAUUUUGGGUAUAGCGACUGCACACCUUCUCCAACUCCAUAUGAUGCUAGUGUGUUGCAUCGAAAGAAUCGAUGGAUUGCUAGAGAUCAACUGAGGUAUUCUCAUAUUAUUGGCCCGCUUAUGUAUUUGACGAGUGCCACGAGGCCUAACAUCUCAUUUGCUGUUAGCAAGCUGAGUCGGUUUGUGUCAAAACCGGGAGAUGAUCGUUGGCAUGCUCUUGAGAGAGUUAUGCGCUAUUUGAAAGGCACCGCGAGCUAUGGGAUUCACUACACCGGGUAUCCAAGGGUACUGGAGGGUUAUAGUGACUCAAACUGGAAGUCCUGCAAACAGACCAUCUUAACAAGGUCAAGUAUGGAAGCAGAACUCACAGCAUUAGAAACUGCCACUGUGAUAAUCAAACUAUGAUCGUCAAGAUAAACAGUUACGGACAAUAUGAAGUCCUCAAGGCAUGUGAAGAGGAGACUGAAAUCUGUCAGAAAAUUGAGGAACUCUGGAGUUAUUACGUUGGAUUAUAUCGAAACAUCGAAAAAUUUGGCAGAUCCCUUCACAGAGGGUCUAUCACGUAAUGUGAUAGAUAAUGCAUCGAUGGAGAUGGGUCUGAGACCCACCGCAUGAGUUGUCCAUAGUGGUCUAUGUGAUCGGAGAUCCCGUGAAGUAGAAGUGGGAGACAAGUUGUUGAUCAGCUGGGAGGAUAGUAUCCCUAUAUUACCUAUCCCACUCCAUGAAGAUGCAAUACUCUCCUAAUCUGCAUGGCAGGUUGACACUUAUGUUAAUGUGUUCCAAGUGGCUUAUUCGGGUAAGCAGAGAUGUUGUCCUGCAGAACAUCUUCUAAGGAACACACCUAUAUGAAUUUGACUGUUAACGUCGCAGUAUGUGAGAAUUGGGUGUUCUCUAAUAAAUUGAUGAAAAGGCCCUGGAGUAUGACGUAUACGCUCCACCCGCGGGGAAGCCUUGCGGCAGCCCAGUAUCGGUCAAGAAUUUGUGUGAAACUAGUCUCGCAGAAAAUUUGUAGUUCAAGGCGUAGUCCAAACGGAAUAUCAAACGGAGUCCAAACGGAAUGAAACCUUUGGGAACGUGAUUUUCUCAACGAACAAGACCCAGGAGACUUGGACCCUACGUCCAGACACAAAAGAGGAGGCCACGAGGUAGGGGGGCGCGCCCUCCACCCUCGUGGGGCCCCUGUUGCUGAAGGACAUAUGCCCUAGAGGCAAUAAUAAAGUUAUGAUUUAUUUCCUUAUAUCAUGAUAAAUGUUUAUUAUUCAUGCUGGAAUUGUAUUAACCGGAAACAUAAUACAUGUGUGAAUACAUAGACAAACAAAGUGUCACCAGUAUGCCUCUACUUGACUAGAUUGUUAAUCAAAGAUGGUUAUGUUUCCUAACCAUAGACAAAGAGUUGUUAUUUGAUUAACGGGAUCACAUCAUUAGUUGAAUGAUCUGAUUGACAUGACCCAUUCCAUUAGCUUAGCACCCGAUCGUUUAGUAUGUUGCUAUUGCUUUCUUCAUGACUUAUACAUGUUCGUAUGACUAUGAGAUUAUGCAACUCCCGUUUACCGAAGGAACACUUUGUGUGCUACCAAACGUCACAACGUAACUGGGUGAAUAUAAAGGAGUUCUACAGGUGUCUCCAAAGGUACAUGUUGGGUUGGCGUAUUUCGAGAUUAGGAUUUGUCACUCCGUUUGUCGGAGAGGUAUCUCUGGGCCCUCUCGGUAAUGCACAUCACAUAAUCCUUGCAAGCAUUGCAACUAAUGUGUUAGUUGUGAGAUGAUGUAUUACGGAACGAGGAAAGAGACUUGCCGGUAAUGAGAUUGAACUAGGUAUUGGAUACCGACGAUCGAAUCUCGGGCAAGUAACAUACCGAUGACAAUGGGAACAACGUAUGUAGUUAUGCGGUCUGACCGAUAAAGAUCUUCGUAGAAUAUGUAGGAGCCAAUAUGGGCAUCCAGGUCCCGCUAUUGGUUAUUGACCAUAGACGUGUCUCGGUCAAGUCUACAUUGUUCUCGAACCGUAGGGUCUGCACGCUUAAAGUUACGAUGACAAUUUCAUUAUGAGUUUAUGUAUUUUGAUGUACCGAAGGUUGUUCGGAGUCCCGGAUGUGAUCACGGACAUGACGAGGAGUCACGAAAUGGUCGAGACAUAAAGAUCGAUAUAUUGGAAGCCUAUAUUUGGACAUCGGAAUCGUUCCGGGUGAAAUCGGCAUUUUACCAGAGUACCGCGGGGUUACCGGAACCCCCGGGGGGGUUAUUGGGCCUACAUGGGCCUUGAAGAAGAGAGGAGGCAGGAGGUGGCCGCGCGCCCCUCCCCUUCCUAGUCCGAAUAGGACAAGGGAAGGGGGGUGGCGCCCCCCCUUUCCUUCCCCUCUUCCUCCUCUUUCCCCCCUUCUCCUUCUCCAACUAGGAAAGAAGGGAGUCCUACUCCCGGUGGGAGUAGGACUCCCCCUGGCGCGCCCCUCCUUGGCCGGCCGCCCCCUCCCCUUGGUUCCUUCAUAUACGGGGGCAGGGGGCACCCUAGGACACAGAAGUUGAUCUUCGUGAUCGUUCCUUAGUCGUGUGCGGUGCCCCCCUCCACGAUAUUACACCUCGAUCAUAUUGUAGCAGUGCUUAGGCGAAGCCCUGUGACGGUUAAACAUCAAGAUCGUCACCACGCCGUCGUGCUGACCAAACUCCUCCCCGAAGCUUUGCUGGAUCCGAGCCGGGGGUGCGUCAUCGAGCCGUACGUGUCUCAAGAACUCGGAGGUGCCGGAGUAAAGGUGCUUGGAUUGGUUGGACCGGGAAGACGUACGACUACUUCCUCUACGUUGCGUCAACGCUUCCGCUUCGGUCUACAAGGAUACGUAGACAACACUCUCCCCUCUUGUUGCUAUGCAUCACCAUGAACUUGCGUGUGCGUAGGAAAUUUUUUGAAAUUACUACAUUCCCCAACAGUGGCAUCCGAGCCUAGGUUUUAUGGUUUGAUGUUAUACGCACGAGUAGAACACAAGUGAGUUGUGGGCGAUAUAAGUCAUACUGCCUACCAGCAUGUCAUACUUUGGUUCGGCGGUAUUGUUGGAUGAAGUGGCCCGGACCGACAUUACGCGUACGCUUACGCGAGACUGGUUCUACCGCCGUGCUUUGCACAUAGAUGGCUGGCGGGUGUCAGUUUCUCCAACUUUAGUUGAACCGAGUGUGGCUACGCCCGGUCCUUGCGAAGGUUAAAACGGCAUCAACUUGACAAACUAUCUGUCACAGCCCUAGAAUUUGCUUGUAGCUAUUUACCCGAGUGAGCAUGAUGCAUCAUGUCUAAAUUCUGAAAGUUGAAUUGAGGUUAGUAGAAACCCUCAUAAAUCACUUCAAAAAUAAUCAACAUUAAAAUCUUUUCAAAGAAGUCCAAGAAAGUGUUCCUCUUAGUCUCUGAAAAUAUUGGCAAGAGGUAAAACUUAAAACAAUAUUUUUGGAAUCUCAGAGAUAUUUAUUUUGGGCCUUUGAAUUAAUUCAAUAACAAUUUGCAUUGGAUAUAUAUUUUAUAUAUAACUAAUAUAUGUCCAAUAAUUCUAGAACAUUUUAUGUGGUUUGUUAUAUUUUAGUUCUAGCCACAUAAUUAUUUUCAGGAUUUUAUUAAAUGGUUUAGUAUUUUUACUAAACCAAAACAAAACAGAACAAAAUAGAAAAAAACUGAAACAGAAAGCAAACAGAAAAUAGAGAGAGAGAGAGGAGCUACCUGGGCUUACCUGGCGCCCCAACUGGCCCACCUCUGUAGCAGCCCAACUGGCCAAAGCCAGCCCGGCCCAUCAGGGGCAGCACUGUCUUCUUCCUCCUGCCAGGAGGAGAAGCAGCUGCGUGCCCGAUGGCCGGCGAGCCGCGCUGGCUCCUCCCUGCCUGCGUGCCCCCCCUCGACUUCCUGGAUGCCAUGCACUCCCCCUCGCCCCCUGCACCUCUCCUCUCUCCCCCUGGACCCCAUCCCCUCCUCUGCUCCCCUCUCGCGCGCACCACCGAGCGGAGCUCGUCGUCAUCGUCGCCGUACUCGUGGCCACCGGCCACCCCUCGCCCUGCCGCUGCGCCCAAAAGCUCUGCCAUUUCGUCCUCGACCCCCUCACCGAGCCACGCCACCGCGGGAGCCCCACAUCGCGGCUACGAGUCGUCCUCCCCGAGCACGGCCGCCGGACUUCAUCGAUGAAUUCGUCGCCUUCCGGUCGUCCCCGAGCCAGCUGAGCUCCGCUUCGACCUCACCGUGAGAUCCUCUACCAAACCCCUCUCUCCCCGCCGUCUAUUUCCUCCUCUAGCCUCACUAACCACCGUGGCCGAAGCUCGCCGCCGCCGUACCUCAUCGCCGCCACGGCCAUAGCUGCCGCCACCCACGCCCGAGCUUUGCCCCAUGCUCAGCACUCUCCCAGGAGCCGGGCGCGCCCACCCAUUCGACCCGUUGUGCCCCCUAGCGCCAACCCCGACCUCGCCCGAAUUCCGGCCGCCGCAAAAGUUGCCGCCACCGUCGAUUUAGUCAACCCCGGUGCGAGGUGUUGCCACCGAUGGAUGCGCGAGUCUCCCAGCUCGCCGUAGCCACAAACCACGAGCGAAACGAUGCUCUGUAGCUCCGUCCCGAGCAUCUCCGGCGAGCCACGGCCGUGCUUUUGGUCGCCGGCGUCGACCGCUGACGUGGUCGCUUAAUUAAGUCUAAUCACCACUAAUCCCUGCCUAACAGACGCUGACUCACGGGCCCCACCUGUUAAUUAACCACAAGGUUAUACCCUGUUUAAUUUAAGCUAAUGACCGUGGCCCCACGGGUCAGUUUGACCUGGCCACGUCACCGUUGACCUGGUCCCACACGUCAGCCACAGAAACCAGCCCUGGGUCACUGACCAGUGGGCCCCACUAGUCAGGUUUGACCCGGACCAGCCCUGUUGACUUGCUUACGUCACCCUGAUGUCAUGCUGACGCAGUAAUUAAUUUCUGUUUUAUAAUAAUUCAGAAAAUUUCAGAAAAUGUCCAAAACUUCUAAAAAUCAUAGAAAUUAAACUGUAACUCCAAAUAAAAUAAAUUAUAUAUGUAAAAUUAUCAGAAAAAUUCAAGGAAUCUGUUUAUGGCAUUUUCAUGCAUGUUUGAAAAAUGUUUGACCUCUGUUUUGGACAAAACAAUAAAGGGCAUUUAAAUAAUCAUAUAUGGAGUUUGAAUUUGAAUCUUGUAUUCAAACCAACUUCAUUUAAUUGUGUUGUUAGUUGCUUUAGGUCAAUCAAUAGCAUAUUGCCAUGUCAUUAUCAUGCAUCAUAUUGUUGCAUCGCAUUGAUUGUGUCCUUCCUUGUUUGCCGGUAAUUGCCCCCUCUCAGUAGACGUUGUUUCCGACGACGUGAUCGAUGACACCGAUGAAGAGCUAUUCUAUCUUCAGAAGUGCCAGGCAAGCACAACCCCCUUGUUCAUUCCGAUACAAGCCCACUCUCUCGCUCCUGCUCUCUUUUACUGCAUUAGGACAACAAUGAUUCAUUUGUUACUUGUUGCGGUAGUUGAACCCCUUAUCCUCUGCAUGACCUAUCAUUGCCACAGUAAUUAGAUGAAACCCGCUAGCAUGAGUAGGAGUUGUUUGAGCCCUGAUGUGCCUACUCAUUCAUGCUUGUUUGUCAUGCCUGCUACUGCUUAGAGUUGAGUCAGGUCUGAUUCAUCGGGGAUGGAUCGGAGGUGUGUAAACAUGUCCUAUUGUGUGUGAGCUAAGUGUGUGAACACGUUUUGGUAAAGGUAGCGGUGACAGGCCAUGUAGGAGUACAUGGUGGGUUGUCUCAUUGAAACCGUCCACAGGAACUAAGUUCUGUGUUUGUGAUCCAUGAAACAGCUGCUACCACACGUUGGGCCCCGAAAUAUGACCCCGCUCGACUUACUGACCCCUCUCUUCCUCUGUCCAGGAGUUGCAAUUAGUUUCUGGUGUUUAUAGGAUAUGUGUUGGCGGCCGUGUGUAGCGCUGACCCUAGGGGUGGGCUAUGAUGCGGUAGAUACACUGUGGCCCGGUGUACCGGGCGCCCGUUUGGUGUCUCUGGAACCCUGCACACAUCGUUUGGGGCUGUGAGCGAAACUCCGUCCGGAUCUCCUCGCGGAUGGAACCCGAAUAGGCGAUAAACCUGGACUAGAGACUUGUGUGGUUAGUCAGGUCGUGGUCUACACCCACGUCGGCUUUCGCUUGAAGUCUGCCGAGCACAUGUCGUGUGCAGACGCUAAGUGGUGGAAACAUGUGUGACGAAGUACACCCCCGCAGGGUUAUAAAUGAUCUAUUCGAAUAGCCGUGUCCGCGGUAAAGGACUUCUGGGUUGCCUAUAACAGUUCAUAGACAAGUGAAAGUGGAUACUCUAAAAACUCGCAAGAUAAGUGUGAGUGCUACGGAUGGCCUUCUCGUAGGGAGACGAGAGCGGAUCCAUAGUGGUCUAUUGAAUGGUGAAUAUGUGGACUCGUGUGCGCCACCUUAAAAGAGUUGCUUGCCAUCGUAGUUCAGGUUAGCCCCGGAAUCAAAGCUGGCUUGCUGCCGUUAAACUCCACCCCCCUUUGAUGAUACCGAUGCAUAUGUAGUUUAGAUCUGAUGUAAGUAUUGCUGAGUACCUUUGUACUCACGUUUGCUUAAUUUAUGUUUUGCAGAGAGACUUCAGUCUCGCUAGUAGUUCCGCGUGGACUUCGACGUUUAGCUUGAUACCUCAGCUACGAUCUUGUGCCCUCGACAGGAUCUGGUAGAUAGUCAGGCUUCUUAGCCUUUUUCAUUUAUAGAUGUCUGUACUCAGACAUGUUAAGCUUCCGCAUGUGCUUUGCAUUGUAUGCUAUGAUUGUCGGGUCAUGAGACCCAUGCUUGUAAUAUCUAGCUCUUCGGAGCCUAAUGAAUUAAUACUUGAGUCGUAGAGUCUUGUUUUGAUGCCAUGUUGUAUUUACACAUAUCGAGCAUAUUGUGUGUAUGAUUGAAAUGCUUGGUAUGUGUAGGAUCCAACAACCUAGUUGUUUAUCCUUCGCAGCCUUUCUUAUGGGGAAAUGUAGUCUAGUGUUCCUCGAGCCAUAGUAGUCCGCUACAGCCCGGUUCACCGGAGUCCUGCUAGCCCAGCACUACUGUUCAGGACACUUGACUGGCCGGCAUGUGUUUCACUUCAUCCCUAUGUCUGUCCCUUCGGGGAAAUGUCACGCGGUGAUUUCCGGAGUCCUGCCUAGCCUGCUACAGCCCGGGAUCCCCGGAGUCCUGUUAGCCCAGUGCCACAGCCCGGAAUAACUCAUUGAUGACCGACAUGUUCGAUGUGAUUCAUGUAUGCCUGUCUCCAUAGGUCUGUGCCACUUUGGGUUCACGACUAGCCAUGUCGGCCCGGGUUCUUUGUCAUAUGGAUGCUAGCGACACUAUCAUAUACGUGAGCCAAAAGGCGCAAACGGUCCCGGGCCAGGUAAGGUGGCACCCGUGGGAAUACCGUGCGUGAGGCCACAAAGUGAUAUGAUGUGUUACAUGCUAGAUCGGUGUGACCUAGGAUCGGGGUCCUGAUAGCGUUGGUAUCAGAGCCUGACUGCCUGUAGGAUUACCAAGCCAAACUGGUCGAAGUUGAGUCUAGAAAUGCUUUAGUUAUGUAAGGGAAUUGAUUGCGGAAGGGAACGUAAGGCUCUUUUUAUUCCUUAUACCUCAUGCCCUUGUGAUCUGAGUCAUCCUCUUCCUUUCUAUGGGGAUUAAGAACUAGGCUUUCUUAUCUAUCUAUCAGGAUGACGUGUUACUAACCCGUUGACUUAUAGGAUUGAUGGAUUCAUGCUGCAGUUCAGUUCCUACUACUUCCAUAUAUUCAUAACUGGCCGCAGAACCUUGAUAUUAUGAUUCGAGUGGUUAUGCCACCAUUUUUGCAGGAUGUCUCAAAUCUUUUCGAGCAUUUACAGCCGUUAUGCUGUCCGAGUCAUCCCAGGUUUCUAAAUAGUCUGAUGCAUUUGCAAACCUUUUCCCCUGUUCCUGAUGUCCAUUUAGGCCAGGUUAAUCACACUAAUUGUGAGUUGGCGUAUUCUUUUGCCUGGACAUAUAUUUUGGAAUUAUUAUUAUGACCCUAGAUGUCUUAGAGUGCCACCUAGUAAUCGAACCAUGUUUUGCGUUUCUAGUGUGAUGAUUCUGGCCGUUAUUCUUGAAAGCAUCCCGUGAUGCCAUUUAGUUAGUAGGCAUUCUAUUCCUGGGUUUUGAACCCGAGACCCACCCUACCUGCUUCAUGUUGAUAGUGUUUGCUAGUUCCUUAGGACAUUAGUAAACCUUGUGAUAGACCUCGAGGUCCGUGGUAUUUCCUUCUUCCAAUUAUCAUGAACCAUUCAUGGCAGGAGUUCUUUUGAACCAAAAGGUCACGACAGAGUGCUCUUGAUGAGUUCUCCAUUCUAUAUUGUGGCUCUGCCAGUUCUACCUUUCUGCAUGGGUUAUCCGGAAGAAAUAUGUUGAACUCGUUCGACAUACUAACCUAUGCAUCCACAACUCAGAAAGUUAUAUGUUCCUUGAGUUGUUCCUCUUCAGUUGUAUUCCGACCAUCCUCUAUCAGUAGAUAGCCAAGAGUAUGUGUGCAUUUGUGUUCAUCGGUGCCUCUUAUUCUUGUGGUUCGUCGAGCCGUUCUAUUUUAGAAUGACUAGGAGAAACAAACUCCAGUACCUCAUCCAUAUCUAGGGUUGGGUCAAAAUAGUUGUAUUCCGCAGAUCAAAAUGCAACCCAGCUUUUGGUUCUGUUCUACCCUGAAGUAUUACCCACCUUAUGUCAAGAGCGACGUGAGAAUUGCACCUUCUCCUAUGAAUUCUUGACGCAGUGAUACUUCUUGCCAUCAUUGUUCAUUCCUCGGUUCCUGUGUUAUUGUAACCAGAAUGCCGGCACGUGAGUCGUUAUGUGUGAAAUCAAUACUCCUAGCAACUAUGCUGCUUGGUAGUUAAUGGACAAUAUUCUCAUUCUUAGCGUGUUGGUUAUUGAAUUAUCAUUCUAAGACUGAUCGUGCUACCUAGUCCAUAUUUCUGGUGCACACUUCGAUCAAUGGGUUAGGACUGUGCCAAUCCCUCACUCUUUGAUCAUAUCAUCUUGCCCUGAAAAGCAAGGUUGUUCUCGAGCUUAGUAACAUACCGGUGGUUCGUGAUUUUCCGAAUAUCUUCUCAGAAGUGUUACUAGGUUGUCACCUGACCGUUAUGUUGAGUUCAUGAUCAAGAUGGUUUUUCAAUAAACCACUUUUCCCUAAGAAUCUGUGUUGGAUACCCCUGAGCUAGUUGGUUAAGCUUAACAACAACUUGGAGAGUUGGAAGAUGAAAACUUGUCCGACUUAGCUCAUCCCUAAGGGAUAUCCUUGUGUGUGUGGGUGUUGAAGAAAGAUGAUAUAUUCACCAAUUGGUCCUCAUGAUCAGUUGUUGUAUCUAUUAUCUUGUCCAAACCUUGAUUUGAGUGUGGGCUAUCGUCAAAUCAAAUCAGAACCAACGAUGUUCAUAAUGUUGUCUUACUUACGGUUGUCCCUCGAGCAUACACCAUUAUAUAUUUGGUUUGACCAAUACUAUCACAUUGUUCACAUAGUGGUGGAAGUCCAGUGAUAUGGAAAUACCGAUGCGUUGUUGUUGAUCCCAUCAGCAGCCUUUUGUCUCCCCCAUGAGUCAUGUUGAAUGCUACACUAGUAUUGGAAACUUAUAAGCAUUAUCUUUGUGUUUCGUUCAUGAAGCAUAUGUUUGGAUGAAAGAAGUGACUUCCUCUAAUUCAUGUGCACUCGAUGUAAGUUGCCACCAUGAAUUGAGCAAGGUUUGUUUUGUUUCCCUUGGAAUCAUCCCAAAUCAGUCAUGCAUAUGUGCGAAGUAUUCUAUGGUUUGGUAGAUUAAUUACCUCCACUCCAUAUGUGUUCCUAGCACACCAAGCCACUGGUUGAUUUGUUCAAGGAGAAGAAGUUCCUUCUUAAGAAUCAUGACUUAUGUUAGGACUUUGUUAUCCUCGAUAAUGGUUCCCCACCUGAACUCGGUAGUGUUUUAUUAUAAGACUACCAUGUGGUCAUGCUUUUCUGGGACAGCGUGUUCACAUGUGUUUAGCAGAACCAGCUCAUGCUUUGGAGCUUACUACCGUAGUUCAUUCCCCGAGAAUCUCGCAAUGUCGUCUCGUCGAUUUGUGUUGCAAACCUUCAUUUUCCUUUCUAGACUCGAUGAGUCUGGAAUAUCCCGUCACCAACCAGAUCUGAAUCUCAGGCAGAUAUGAUGGUUGGAGCAUUUUCCAAGAACUAUAAUAUUGGUCUCCCGAUAACCGGUAAAGUGGAUGUCGUGGCCAACACAUCCAGCCGGGCGACCUAUUAUUGUAGUAUCUUGAUUGAAGAAAGUUGGCCACCUUCCCAUGAGGAUUUCAUAGGAUUUACUCCAGAAGUUGUUCCUUAUGGAUCUAUUGUAUUCCGAAGUCCGACCACUACUUGGUGGCUAUGCCGAUGCUUAAAGCAUGACCGUGGUUGCCCCCUCUCAGUAGACGUUGUUUCCGACGACGUGAUCGAUGACACCGAUGAAGAGCUAUUCUAUCUUCAGAAGUGCCAGGCAAGCACAACCCCCUUGUUCAUUCCGAUACAAGCCCACUCUCUCGCUCCAGCUCUCUUUUACUGCAUUAGGACAACAACGAUUCAUCUGUUACUUGUUGCGGUAGUUGAACCCCUUAUCCUCUGCAUGACCUGUCAUUGCCACAGUAAUUAGAUGAAACCCACUAGCAUGAGUAGGAGUUGUUUGAGCCCUGAUGUGCCUACUCAUUCAUGCUUGUUUGUCAUGCCUGCUACUGCUUAGAGUUGAGUCAGGUCUGAUUCAUCGGGGAUGGAUCGGAGGUGUGUAAACAUGUCCUAUUGUGUGUGAGCUAAGUGUGUGAACACGUUUUGGUAAAGGUAGCGGUGAGAGGCCAUGUAGGAGUACAUGGUGGGUUGUCUCAUUGAAACCGUCCUCAGGAACUGAGUUCUGUGUUUGUGAUCCAUGAAAUAGCUACUACGACACGUUGGCCCUGAAAUAUGACCCCGCUCGACUUACUGACCCCUCUCGUCCUCUGUCCAGGAGUUGCAAUUAGUUUCUGGUGUUUAUAGGAUAUGUGUUGGCGGCCGUGCGUAGCGCUGACCCUAGGGGUGGGCUAUGAUGCGGUAGAUACACCGUGGCCCGGUGUACCGGGCGCCCGUUUGGUGUCUCGGGAACCCUGCACACAUCGUUUGGGGCUGUGAGCGAAACUCCGGCCGGAUCUCCUCGCGGAUGGAACCCGAAUAGGCAAUAAACCUGGACUAGAGACUUGUGUGGUUAGUCAGGUCGUGGUCUACACCCAUGUCGGCUUUCGCUUGAAGUCUGCCGAGCACAUGUCGUGUGCAGACGCUAAGUGGUGGAAACAUGUGUGACGAAGUACACCCCUACAGGGUUAUAAAUGAUCUAUUCGAAUAGCCGUGUCCGCGGUAAAGGACUUCUGGGUUGCCUAUAACAGUUCAUAGACAAGUGAAAGUGGAUACUCUAAAAACUCGCAAGAUAAGUGUGAGUGCUAUGGAUGGCCUUCUCGUAGGGAGACGAGAGCGGAUCCAUAGUGGUGUAUUGAAUGGUGAAUAUGUGGACUCGUGUGCGCCACCUCAAAAGAGUUGCUUUCAAUCGUAUUUCAGGUUAGCCCCGGAGUCAAAGCUGGCUUGCUGUAGUUAAACUCCACCCCCCCCCUUUGAUGAUACCGAUGCAUAUGUAGUUUAGAUCUGAUGUAAGUCUUGCUGAGUACCUUUGUACUCACGUUUGCUUAAUUUAUGUUUUGUAGAGAGACUUCAGUCUCGCUAGUAGUUCCGCGUGGACCUCGAGGUUUAGCUUGAUACCUCAGCUACGAUCUUGUGCCCUCGACAGGAUCUGGUAGAUAGUCAGGCUUCUUAGCCUUUUUCAUUUAUAGAUGUCUGUACUCAGACAUGUUAAGCUUCCGCAUGUGCUUUGGAUUGUAUGCUAUGAUUGUUGGGUCAUGAGACCCAUGCUUGUAAUAUCUGGCUCUUCAGAGCCUAAUGAAUUAAUACUUGAGUCGUAGAGUCUUGUUGUGAUGCCAUGUUGUAUUUACACAUAUCGACCAUAUUGUGUGUAUGAUUGAAAUGCUUGGUAUGUGUAGGAUCCGACAACCUAGUUGUUUAUCCCUCGCAACCUUUCUUAUGGGGAAAUGUAGUCUAGUGUUCCUUGAGCCAUAGUAGUCCGCUAUAGCCCGGUUCACCGGAGUCCUACUAGCCCAGCACUACUGUUCAGGACACUUGACUGGCCGGCAUGUGUUUCACUUCGUCCCUAUGUCUGUCCCUUCGGGGAAAUGUCACGCGGUGAUUUCCGGUGUCCUGCCUAGCCUCCUACAGCCCGGGAUCCCCGGAGUCCUGUUAGCCCAGUGCCACAGCCCGGAAUCACUCGUUGAUGACCGACAUGUUCGAUGUGAUUCAUGUAUGCCUGUCUCCAUAGGUCUGUGCCGCUUUGGGUUCACGACAAGCCAUGUCGGCCCAGGUUCUUUGUCAUAUGGAUGCUAGCGACACUAUCAUAUACGUGAGCCAAAAGGCGCAAACGGUCCCGGGCCAGUUAAGGUGGCACCCGUGGGAAUACCGCGCGUGAGGCCACAAAGUGAUAUGAUGUGUUACAUGCUAGAUUGGUGUAACCUAGGAUCGGGGUCCUGACACUAUCGUUGUGGUUUUGAUGCGUAGGUAAGAUUGGUUCUUGCUUAAGCCCGUAGCAGCCACGUAAAACUUGCAACAAACAAAGUAGAGGACGUCUAACUUGUUUUUGUAGGGCAUGUUGUGAUGUGAUAUGGUCAAGACAUGAUGCUAAAUUUUAUUGUAUGAGAUGAUCAUGUUUUGUAACUGAGUUAUCGGCAAUUGGCAGGAGCCAUAUGGUUGUCGCUUUAUUGUAUGCAAUGCAAUCGCCCUGUAAUGCUUUACUUUAUCACUAAGCGGCCGGUAGCGAUAGUCGUAGAAGCAUAAGAUUGGCGAGACGACAACGAUGCUACGAUGGAGAUCAAGGUGUCGCGCCGGUGACGAUGGUGAUCAUGACGGUGCUUCAGAGAUGGAGAUCACAAGCACAAGAUGAUGAUGGCCAUAUCAUAUCACUUAUAUUGAUUGCAUGUGAUGUUUAUCUUUUAUGCAUCUUAUCUUGCUUUGAUUGACGAUAGCAUUAUAAGAUGAUCUCUCACUAAAUUAUCAAGAAGUGUUCUCCCUAUGUAUGCACCGUUGCUAAAGUUCGUCGUGCCCAGACACCACGUGAUGAUCGAGUGUGAUAAGCUCUACGUCCAUCUACAACGGGUGCAAGCCAAUUUUGCACACGCAGAAUACUUGGGUUAAACUUGACGAGCCUAGCAUAUGCAGAUAUGGCCUCGGAACACGGAGACUGAAAGGUCGAGCGUGAAUCAUAUAGUAGAUAUGAUCAACAUAAUGAUGUUCACCAUUGAAAACUAAUCCAUUUCACGUGAUGAUCGGUUAUGGUUUAGUUGAUUUGGAUCACGUGAUCACUUAGAGGAUUAGAGGGAUGUCUAUCUAAGUGGGAGUUCUUAAGUAAUAUGAUUAAUUGAACUUCAAUUUAUCAUGAACUUAGUCCCUGAUAGUAUCUUGCUUGUUUAUGUUGAUUGUAGAUAGAUGGCCCGUGCUGUUGUUCCAUUAAAUUUUAAUGCGUUCCUUGAGAAAGCAAAGUUGAAAGAUGAUGGUAGCAAUUACACGGACUUGGUCCAUAACUUGAGGAUUAUCCUCAUUGCUGCACAGAAGAGUUACGUCCUGGAAGCACCGCUGGGUGCCAGGCCUGCUGCUGAUGCAACUGACGACGUUAAGAACGUCUGGCAGAGCAAAGCUGAUGACUACUCGAUAGUUCAAUGUGCCAUGCUUUACGGCUUAGAACCGGGACUUCAACGGCGUUUUGAACAUCAUGGGGCAUAUAAGAUGUUCCAGGUGUUGAAGUUAAUAUUCCAGCAGAAUGCCCGGAUUGAGAGAUAUGAAGUCUCCAAUAAAUUCUAUAGCUGCAAGAUGGAGGAGAAUAGUUCUGUCAGUGAGCAUAUACUCAAGAUGUCUGGGUAUUGUAAUCACUUGAUUCAACUGGGAGUUAAUCUUCCGGAUGAUAGCGUCAUUGACAGAAUUCUCCAAUCACUUCCACCAAGCUACAAGAGCUUCGGGAUGAACUAUAAUAUGCAAGGGAUGGAUAAGACAAUUCCCGAGCUCUUCGCAAUGCUAAAGGUUGCGGAGGUAGAAAUCAAGAAGGAGCAUCAAGUGUUGAUGGUCAACAAGACCACUUGUUUCAAGAAAAAGGGCAAAGGGAAGAAGAAGGGGAACUUCAAGAAGAACAGCAAGCAAGUUGCUGCUCAGGAGAAGAAACCCAAGUCUGGACCUAAGCCUGAAACCGAGUGCUUCUACUACAAGCAGACUGGUCACUUGAAGCGGAACUGCCCCAAGUAUUUGGCGGAUAAGAAGGAUGGCAAAGUGAACAAAGGUAUAUGUGAUAUAGAUGUUAUUGAUGUGUACCUUACUAGAGCUCGCAGUAGCACCUGGGUAUUUGAUACUGGUUCUGUUGCUAAUAUUUGCAACUCGAAACAGGGACUACGGAUUAAGCGAACACUGGCAAAGGACGAGGUGACGAUGCGCAUGGGAAAUGGUUCCAAAGUCGAUGUGAUCGCGGUCGGCAUGCUACCUCUACAUCUACCUUCGGGAUUAGUAUUAGACCUAAAUAAUUGUUAUUUGGUGCCAGUGUUGAGCAUGAACAUUAUAUCUAGAUCUUGUUUAAUGCGAGACGGUUAUUCAUUUAAAUCAGAGAAUAAUGGUUGUUCUAGUUAUAUGAGUAAUAUCUUUUAUGGUCAUGCACCCUUGAAGAGUGGUCUAUUUUUGAUGAAUCUCGAUAGUAGUGAUACACAUAUUCAUAAUGUUGAAGCCAAAAGAUGCAGAGUUGAUAAUGAUUGUGCAACUUAUUUGUGGCACUGCCAUUUAGGUCAUAUCGGUGUAAAGCGCAUGAAGAAACUCCAUACUGAUGGACUUUUGGAACCACUUGAUUAUGAAUCACUUGGUACUUGCGAACCGUGCCUCAUGGGCAAGAUGACUAAAGCACCAUUCUCCGGUACUAUGGAGAGAGCAACAGAUUUGUUGGAAAUCAUACAUACAGAUGUAUGUGGUCCGAUGAAUGUUGAGGCUCGUGGCGGAUAUCAUUAUUUUCUCACCUUCACAGAUGAUUUAAGCAGAUAUGGGUAUAUCUACUUAAUGAAACAUAAGUCUGAAACAUUUGAAAAGUUCAAAGAAUUUCAGAGUGAAGUGGAAAAUCAUCGUAACAAGAAAAUAAAGUUUCUACGAUCUGAUCGUGGAGGAGAAUAUUUGAGUUACGAGUUUGGUGUACAUUUGAAACAAUGCGGAAUAGUUUCGCAACUCACGCCACCCAGAACACCACAACGUAAUGGUGUGUCCGAACGUCGUAAUCUUACUUUACUAGAUAUGGUGCAAUCUAUGAUGUCUCUUACAGAUUUACCGCUAUCGUUUUGGGGUUAUGCUUUAGAGACGGCCACAUUCACGUUAAGUAGGGCACCAUCAAAAUCCGUUGAGACGACAACUUAUGAACUGUGGUUUGGCAAGAAACCAAAGUUGUCAUUUCUUAAAGUUUGGGGCUGCGAUGCUUAUGUGAAAAAGCUUCAACCUGAUAAGCUCGAACGAUAAUCGGAGAAAUGUGUCUUCAUAGGAUACCCAAAGGAAACUGUUGGUUACACCUUCUAUCAUAGAUCCGAAGGCAAGACAUUCGUUGCUAAAAAUGGAUCCUUUCUAGAGAAGGAGUUUCUCUCGAAAGAAGUGAGUGGGAGGAAAGUAGAACUUGAUGAGGUAACUAUACCUGCUCCCUUAUUGGAAAGUAGUUCAUCACAGAAACCGGUUUCUGCGACACCUACACCAAUUAGUGAUGAAUUUAAUGAUGAUGAUCAUGAAAUUUCAGAUCAAGUUACUACUGAGCCUCGUAGAUCAACCAGAGUAAGAUCCGCACCAGAGUGGUACGGUAAUCCUGUUCUAGAAGUCAUGCUACUAGAUCAUGAUGAACCUACGAACUAUGAAGAAGCGAUGGUGAGCCCAGAUUCCGCAAAAUGGCUUGAAGCCAUGAAAUCUGAGAUGGGAUCCAUGUAUGAUAACAAAGUAUGGACUUUGGUUGACUUGCCCGAUGAUCGGCAAGCAAUUGAGAACAAAUGGAUCUUUAAGAAGAAGACUGACGUGACGGUAAUGUUACUGUCUACAAAGCUCGACUUGUCGCAAAAGGUUUUCAACAAGUUGAAGGGAUUGACUACGAUGAGACCUUCUCACCCGUAGCGAUGCUUAAGUCUAUCCGAAUCAUGUUAGCAAUUGCCGCAUUUUAUGAUUAUGAAAUUUGGCAGAUGGAUCUAAAAACUGCAUUCCUGAAUGGAUUUCUGGAAGAAGAGUUGUAUAUGAUGCAACCAGAAGGUUUUAUCGAUCCAAAGGGAACUAACAAAGUGUGCAAGCUCCAGCGAUCCAUUUAUGGACUGGUGCAAGCCUCUCGGAGUUGGAAUAAACUCUUUGAUAGUGUGAUCAAAGCAUUUGGGUUUGUAUAGACUUUUGGAGAAGCCUGUAUUUACAAGAAAGUGAGUGGGAGCUCUAUAGCAUUUCUGAUAUUAUAUGUGGAUGACAUAUUACUAAUCGGAAAUGAUAUAGAAUUUCUGGAUAGCAUAAAGGGAUACUUGAAUAAGAGUUUUUCAAUGAAAGACCUCGGUGAAGCUGCUUACAUAUUGGGCAUUAAGAUCUAUAGAGAUAGAUCAAGACGCUUAAUUGGACUUUCACAAAACACAUACCUUGACAAAGUUUUGAAGAGGUUCAAAAUGGAUCAAGCAAAGAAAGGGUUCUUGCCUGUGUUACAAGGUGUGAAGUUGAGUAAGAAUCAAUGCUCGACCACUUCAGAAGAUAGAGAGAAAAUGAAAGAUGUUCCCUAUGCUUCAGCAGUAGGCUCUAUCAUGUAUGCAAUGCUGUGUACCAGACCUGAUGUGUGCCUUGCUAUAAGUUUAGCAGGGAGGUACCAAAGUAAUCCAGCAGUGGAUCACUGGACGGCGGUCAAGAACAUCCUGAAGUACCUAAAAAGGACUAAGGAUAUGUUUCUCGUAUAUGGAGGUGACAAAGAGCUCAUUGUAAACAGUUACGUUGAUGCAAGCUUUGACACUGAUCCGGACAAUUCUAAAUCGCAAACCAGAUACGUGUUUACAUUAAACGGUGGAGCUGUCAGUUGGUGCAGUUCUAAACAAAGCGUCGUGGCAGGAUCUACAUGUGAAGCGGAGUACAUAGCUGCUUCGGAAGCAGCAAACGAAGGAGUCUGGAUGAAGGAGUUCAUAUCCGAUCUAGGUGUCAUACCUAGUGCAUCGGGUCCAAUGAAAACCUUUUGUGACAAUACUAGUGCAAUUGCCUUGGCAAAGGAAUCCAUAUUUCACAAAAGAACCAAGCACAUCAAGAGACGCUUCAAUUCCAUCCGAGAUCUAGUCCAGGUGGGAGAGAUAGAGAUUUGCAAGAUACAUACGGAUCUGAAUGUAGAAGACCCAUUGACUAAGCCUCUUCCACGAGCAAAACAUGAUCAUCACCAAGGCUCCAUGGGUGUCAGAAUCAUUACUGUGUAAUCUAGAUUAUUGACUCUAGUGCAAGUGGGAGACUGAAGGAAAUAUGCCCUAGAGGCAAUAAUAAAGUUAUUAUUUAUUUCCUUAUAUCAUGAUGAAUGUUUAUUAUUCAUGCUGGAAUUGUAUUAACCGGAAACAUAAUACAUGUGUGAAUACAUAGACAAACAAAGUGUCACUAGUAUGCCUCUACUUGACUAGCUCGUUAAUCAAAGAUGGUUAUGUUUCCUAACCAUAGACAAAGAGUUUUUAUUUGAUUAAUAGGAUCACAUCAUUAGUUGAAUGAUAUGAUUGACAUGACCCAUUCCAUUAGCUUAGCACCCGAUCAUUCUUCAUGACUUAUACAUGUUCCUAUGACUAUGAGAUGAUGCAACUUCCGUUUACUGGAGGAACACUUUGUGUGCUACCAAACGUCACAACGUAACUGGGUGAUUAUAAAGGAGCCCUAUAGGUGUCUCCAAAGGUACAUAUUGGGUUGGCGUAUUUCGAGAUUAGGAUUUGUCACUCCGUUUGUCGGAGAGGUAUCUCUGGGCCCUCUCGGUAAUGCACAUCACAUAAGCCUUGCAAGCAUUGCAACUACUGUGUUACUUGUGAGACGAUGUAUUACGGAACGAGUAAAGAGACUUGCCGGUAAAGAGAUUGAACUAGGUAUUGGAUACCGACGAUCGAAUCUCGGGCAGGUAACAUAUCGAUGACAAAGGGAACAACGUAUGUAGUUAUGCGGUCUCAACGAUAAAGAUCUUCGUAGAAUAUGUAGGAUCCAAUAUGGGCAUCCAGGUCCUGCUAUUGGUUAUUGACCGGAAACGUGUCUCGGUCAUGUCUACAUUGUUCUCGAACCGUAGGGUCCGCACGCUUAAAGUUACGAUGACAGUUUCAUUAUGAGUUUAUGUAUUUUGAUGUACCGAAGGUUGUUCGGAGUCCCGGAUGUGAUCACGGACAUGACGAGGAGUCUCGGAAUGGUCGAGACAUAAAGAUCGAUAUAUUGGAAGCCUAUAUUUGGACAUCGGAAUCGUUUUGGGUGAAAUCGGCAUUAUACCGGAGUACCGGGGGGUUACCGGAACCCCCCGGGGGGUUAUUGGGCCUACAUGGGCCUUGAGGAAGAAGAGAGAAGGAGGUAGGAGGUGGCCGCGCGCCCCUCCCCUUCCUAGUAUGAAUAGGACAAGGGAAGGGGGCGGUGCCCCCCCCUUUCCUUCCCCUCUUCCUCCUCUUUCCUCCCUUCUCCUUCUCCAACUAGGAAAGAAGGGAGUCCUACUCCCGGUGGGAGUAGGACUCCCCCCUGGUGCGCCCCUCCUUGGCCGGCCGCCCCCUCCCCUUGGCUCCUUUAUAUACGGGGGCAGGGGGGCACCCUAGGACACAGAAGUUGACCUUCGUGAUCGUUCCUUAGCCGUGUGCGGUGCCCCCCUCCACGAUAUUACACCUCGAUCAUAUUGUAGUAGUGCUUAGGCGAAGCCCUGCGACGGUUAAACAUCAAGAUCGUCACCACGCCGUCGUGCUGACGAAACUCCUCCCCGAAGCUUUGCUGGAUCGGAGCUCGGGGUGCAUCAUCGAGCUGUACGUGUGUCAAGAACUCGGAGGUGCUGGAGUAACGGUGCUUGGAUUGGUUGGACCGGGAAGACGUACGACUACUUCCUCUACGUUGCGUCAACGCUUCCGCUUCGGUCUACGAGGGUACGUAGACAACACUCUCCCCUCUCGUUGCUAUGCAUCACCAUGAUCUUGCGUGUGCGUAGGAAAUUUUUUGAAAUUACUACAUUCCCCAACAGUUGCUCCACCGACGUACUCCUUCCUCCUAUAUAUACCUGCGUACCCCCAAACGACCAGAUACGGAGCCAAAACCCUAAUUCCACCACCGCAACUUUCUGUAUCCACGAGAUCCCAUCUUGGCGCCUGUUCCGGAGCUCCACCGGAGAGGGCAUCGAUCACGGAGGGCUUCCACAUGAACAGCAUAGCCUCUCCGAUGAAGUGUGAGUAGUUGACCUCAGACCUACAGUCCAUAGUUAUUACCUAGAUGGCUUCUCCUCUCUUUUUGGAUCUCAAUACAAUGUUCUCCCCUCUCUUGUGGAGAACUAUUCGAUGUAAUCUUCUUUUUGCGGUGUGUUUAUUGAGACCGAUGAAUUGUGGGUUGAUGAUCAAGUCUAUCUAUGAAUAAUAUUUGAAUCUUCUCUGAAUUCUUUUAUGUAUGAUUGUUUAUCUUUGCGAGUCUCUUCGAACUAUUAGUUUGGUUUGGCCUACUAGAUUGAUCUUUCUUACAAUGGGAGAAGUGCUUAGCUUUAGGUUCAAUCUUGCGGUGUCCUUUCCCAGUGACAGUAGGGGCAGCAAGGCAUGUAUUGUAUUUUUGCCAUCGAGGACAACAAGAUGGGGUUUUCAUCAUAUUGCAUUAGUUUAUCCCUCUACAUCAUGUCAUCUAGCUUAAGGCGUUACUCUGUUUUUAACUUAAUACUCUAGAAGCAUGCUGGAUAGCGGUCGAUGAGUGGAGUAAUAGUAGUAGAUGCAGGCAGAAGUCGGUCUACUUGUCUCGGACGUGAUGCCUAUAUACAUGAUCAUACCUAGAUAUUCUCAUAAAUAUGCUCAAUUCUGUCAAUUGCUCAACAGUAAUUUGUUCACCCACCAUAGAAUAAUUAUGCUCUCGAGAGAAGCUACUAGUGAAACCUAUGGCCUCGGGAUCUAUGUUUAUCAUAUUAAUCUUCUACUACUUAGUUAUUUCCUUUGCCUUUAUUUUACUUUUCAUUUUUAUCAAAAAAAAUACCAAACAUAUUAUCUUUAUCAUAUCUAUUAGAUCUCACUCUCGUAAGUGGCCGUGUAGGGAUUGACAACCCCUAUUCGUGUUGGUUCCGAGGAUUUAUUUGUUUUGUGCAAGUACGAGGGACUCGCACGUAGCCUCCUACUGGAUUGAUACCUUGGUUCUCAAAAACUGAGGGAAAUACUUAUGCUACUUUGCUGCAUCAUCCCUUCCUCUUCGGGGAAAACCAACGCAGUGCUCAAGAGGUAGCAAGAAGGAUUUCUGGUGCCGUUGCCGGGGAGGUCUACGCAAAAGUCAACAUACCAAGUACCCAUCACAUACCCUUAUCUCCCGCAUUACAUUAUUUGCCAUUUGCCUCUCGUUUUCACCUCCCCCACUUCACCCUUGCCGUUUUAUUCGCCGUCUCUCUCUAUCCUCCCUCUCUUUCUCUAUUUGCCUCUUUUUUCCCGCUUGCUUUCUGUUUGCUUGUGUGUUAGUUGCUUGCUUGUCAUGAUGGCUCAAGAUAAUACUAAAUUAUGUGACUUCACGAUGGCUAAAGCUUGGUUUUCAUCUUUGCCUAAAAAUAGUAAUGAUUCAUGGAAUAAGUGCAAAGAUGCUUUUUUCUCUAAGUAUUUUCCUCCUGCUAAGAUCAUCUCUCUUAGAAACGAUAUUAUGAAUUUUAAGCAACUUGAUCAUGAACAUGUUGCACAAGCUUGGGAGAGAAUGAAACUAAUGGUACAUAAUUGCGCUGCCCAUGGUUUAAAUUUGUGGAUGAUUAUACAAAUAUUUUAUGCCGGAUUGAAUUUUGCUUCAAGAAAUCUUUUAGAUUUGGCCGCGGGAGGCACUUUUAUGGAAAUCACUUUAGGAGAAGCUACUAAACUCAUAGAUAAUAUUAUGGUGAAUUAUGCUCAACGGCAUACUGAAAGAUCUACUAAUAAAAAGGUGCAUGCGAUAGAAGAAAUUAAUGUUUUGAGUGGAAAGAUGGAUGAACUUAUGAAAUUAUUUGCUAAUAAGAGUGUUUCUUCUAAUCCUAAUGAUAUGCCCUUGUCUAGUUUGAUUCAGAAUAAUAACGAAUCUAUGGAUGUGGAUUUUGUUGGUAGGAACAAUUUUGGUAACAACGCGUAUAGAGGAAAUUUCAACCCUAGGCCUUAUCCUAGUAAUCUCUCUAAUAAUUAUGGUAAUUCCGACAACAAUUCUUAUGGAAAUUAUAAUAAGAUGCCCUCUGAUUUUGAAUCUAAUAUUAAAGAAUUUAUUACUUCGCAAAAGAAUUUCAAUGCUUUGAUUGAAGAAAAAUUGCUUAAGAUUGAUGAUUUGGCUAGGAACGUUGAUAGAAUUACUCUUGAUGUUGAUUCUUUGAAACUUAGAUCUAUUCCACCUAAGAAUGAUGUCAAUGAGUCUCUCAAAGCCAUGAGAAUUUCCAUUGAUGAGUGCAAAGAAAGAACCGCUAGGAUGCGUGCUAAGAAAGAUGCCUUUAUAAUAGCGUGUUCUUCUAGUUCCUAUGAAAAUAAUGAUGAAGAUCUAAAAGUUAUUGAUGUGUUCCCUAUUAAAUCUUUGUUUUGCAAUAUGAAUCUUGAUAGUGAUGGGACUGAAUAUGAUCCACCUUUACCUAGAAGGCGUUCCAAGAAUUCAGAAUUUGUUGAUCUUGAUGCUAAAAUUGAUAAAGGAGGGAUUGAAGAAAUUAAAACCCUAGAUGUUGCUAAACCCACUAUUAUGGAUUUCAAGGACUUUAACUAUGAAAAUUGCUCUUUGAUUGAUUGUAUAUCCUUUUUACAAUCCGUGCUAAAUUCUCCUCAUGCUUAUAGUCAAAAUAAAUCGUUUACUAAACAUAUCGUUGAUACCUUGAUGCAAUCUUAUGAAGAAAAACUUGAAUUGGAAGUUUCUUUCCCUAGAAAGCUUUAUGAUGAGUGGGAACCAACUAUUAAAAUUAAAAUUAAAUAUCAUGAAUGCUAUGCUUUAUGUGAUUUGGGUGCUAGUGUUUCCACGAUUCCAAAGACUUUGUGUGAUUUGUUAGGUUUCCAUGAUUUUGAUGAUUGCUCUUUAAACUUGCGCCUUGCGGAUUCCACUAUUAAGAAACCUAUGGGAAGAAUUAAUGAUGUUCUUAUUGAUGCAAAUAGGAAUUAUGUGCUUGUAGAUUUUAUUGUUCUUGACAUAGAUUGCAAUCUUUCAUGUCCUAUUAUUCUUGGUAGACCUUUCCUUAGAACGAUUGGUGCAAUUAUUGAUAUGAAGGAAGGAAAUAUUAGAUUCCAAUUUCCAUUAAGGAAAGGCAUGGAACACUUUACUAGAAAGUCAAUUAAAUUACCUUAUGAAUCUAUUAUGAUAGCCACUUAUGGAUUGUUGGGGAACGUAGUAAUUUCAAAAAAUUUCCUACGCACACGCAAGAUCAUGGUGAUGCAUAGCAACGAGAGGGGAGAGUGUUGUCUAUGUACCCUCGUAGACUGAAGCGGAAGCGUUGACGCAACGUAGAGGAAGUAGUCGUACGUCUUCCUGAUCCGACCGAUCCAAGCACCGUUACUCAGGCACCUCCGAGGUCUUGGCACACGUUCAGCUCGAUGACGAUCCCCAGGCUCCGAUCCAGCAAAGCGUCGGGGAGGAGUUCCGUCAGCACGACUGCGUGGUGACGAUCUUGAUGUUCUACCGUCGCAGGGCUUCGCCUAAGCACCGCUAAAAUAUGACCGAGGUGUAAUAUCAUGGAGAGGGGCACCGCACAAGGCUAAGGAACAAUCACGAAGAUCAACUUGUGUGUCCAUGGGGUGCCCCCUGCCCCCGUAUAUAAAGGAGUGGAGGACGGGAGGGCGACCCUCUCUAUGGCGCGCCCUAGGGGAGUCCUACUCCCAUAGGGAGUAGGAUUCCCCCUUUUCCUAGUCCAACUAGGAGUCCUUCCAUGUAGUAGCACUAGUGCAGAACCGGGCAAUAGCACCGGUUCGUAAGGCCCUUUAGUGCCGGUUAGGUAACCGGCACUAAAAUUUCAGCACUAAAGGCCCCCCCUUUAGUACCGGUUCAGCACGAACCGGUGCUAAAGGGCAACCACAUGGCACGAGCGAGCUCCGGGGGCCGGGAGCCCUUUAGUACCGGUUGGUAACACCAACCGGUACUAAAAUGUUUGGGGGGUUUUUGGUUUUAUGAUUUCUUUUUCAUUAAAUUUUGUGUUUUCCAUUUUAAUUCUUUUUCGUUUGCUGGUAUUUUACGGUACUACACGUUGUACACGUUAUAUAUAUAUAUAUAUAUAAAUAGAAUUUCUAGUAGAACCAAUCAUAUAUAUAUCAUCAAUCAUGUCUCACAAAACACCAUAUUAAUUCACACAUACACACAUGUAUAGCUAUAUACAAUUUCUCCUACAUAUGCAUGUUGCCUUCGGAGCCAGUGGCAUUAGCCUGAUUGGUGCCUUCGGAGCACGAUGACAAUUGGAAGUGGUUCAUGACCUGGUCGAUGGGGGCGGUAGCGGGUAAUAGUAUUCUCCCUUCGGAUUUAUGACCUGGUCGAGCAAAAAUCCUGCUAUUUCCUAUUGAAGUGCUUCUACGCGCUCCGUUUCUAGGAGCUUGUCCCGCACCUCUUUGAACUAUUAAGAAGGAGAUCAAUAUGCAUGUGUAUUAGUUGUGUGACUAGAUAUUGAUAAUGGUGUAAAAAUUGUGAAUAGUGUUCUGACAAGCGUACCCAUUCCUGUCUUUGAGAUCUGCUCCUUCCGGACGCCAUCAUGCGAAUGUUCUCGCAAACGCAGAAUGCACACAGUUCAGUCCCCUGCGCCUGCUUCAGGGCCUUUAUUACGAGAAUGGAAUUUAAUUUGAUCAGAUAAUAAUUAAUCAAGCAUGAUAAUUAAAGAGAUGGCAGCUAGCUAGCUAGCUAGUACUACUUAAUUACUUACCUUGGCUCGAGACCAUUUCAGCUGUGGUUUCCAUUCGCCUUCCGUGUCGCUGAUGAACCUUGCCCAAGCCCUGCCCGCCGACAAAGAAAAUGAAUAAAGGGGUUAUUAAAUAGUUCAUAUCAUGAAAUGAAGAACUAAAUAGGCCGAGAUAUAUAGUUAAUAAUGAUUGAAAUUACCUGUUGACUAUCCCAAACAAGAUGUUAUAGUCACUAUUUCCUUUGAGUAGCGAGUCCAGUAUUUCAACUAUUCCGGCAUCAACUUUAAUGAUACACAAGAUCCAGUGAAAUCUGCAUGCACACACGUUUGCAAGUCUUAAUUAAGCGGGCAUAUGUAAGCAAAAACAUGUAGCUAGCUAGUAGGCAAAAAUAGAGAAUUUGUAGUACAAGAAAGUGUGACUCACUGGCAGUUGUAAGGAAGUAGUAUAUCUUCAUUGUAUUUGAGGAGCUUCAAGAACUCUAGCAUGCUGUCCUCUACCUCUUUUUCAUGAUGCUUGUUUAUUUUCCAUGUGUAUUCAUUAACGGUGUUUGGGUCAAUGAACCCAAUGCCAUAGCGUCCACCUUUUCUCAUUCCAUACAUCUUCAUCCUGCAUAAUACCACAGAAAAGAAUAUAGUAAGGAUAAUUACACGUAAUGAUUGAUCAAAAGGAUCACUACAGCUAGCUUGAGACUUAAAUUACAGAAAGAAAUCACUUACAGACAAUAGCAACUGACGAUAGAUUUGUCGAGUGUGUCUUGAUUGUAUAACUGAAACAGUUCAGAAUACUCAACGGCCACAACUUUCUCAUGGUAGUAAUCAUCCUUCUUGACAUACACCAUGAGGGACUCUCGAUCGGAUCUCUUGGUAAUGUCCAUGUACCAUUGAUGCAAUUCAUACAUUCUCGUUGGGAGCUUCUUGACAUCUUCUGGCUCGACCAAAGGUUGGCCCCGAACAUAUUUCCGUUUUAUUUCCUCCUCUGUAAUCAGAGGCAUGUCCUCGAUCUCGAGGAGUUGUCCAACAGUGAUCUUGAGUUCUUCAGCCUGCAUUAUAUGCUCCUCGGUUAUUACCACAUCGCCCACCUCGGGAAUGUAAACUGUUUGGCCACAAUAAUAUUGGGCGCGCGUACUGUCACGUGUUGUUGGCGGCACAACAAGCGGNNNNNNNNNNNNNNNNNNNNNNNNNNNNNNNNNNNNNNNNNNNNNNNNNNNNNNNNNNNNNNNNNNNNNNNNNNNNNNNNNNNNNNNNNNNNNNNNNNNNNNNNNNNNNNNNNNNNNNNNNNNNNNNNNNNNNNNNNNNNNNNNNNNNNNNNNNNNNNNNNNNNNNNNNNNNNNNNNNNNNNNNNNNNNNNNNNNNNNNNNNNNNNNNNNNNNNNNNNNNNNNNNNNNNNNNNNNNNNNNNNNNNNNNNNNNNNNNNNNNNNNNUUCCCAGCUGGGCAACGGUUUUCCUGCAUUUUUUGACAGCUGCUUGUUGUUUGCUCGAGCUCGAGCUCGCCUCCUUCUGUAGACGUUGUCGAUGUAACUUCCUGAUGUGGCGCUCAUAGUCUGUUUCAACAGGCUUAGGAGCUAGUGGUUGAGCCAUACGAAUGAAGUGGUCAACUACUUCCACAGGCACUUUCUCCCUUGGCGGCGGUGGCGGUUUCGGUCCAAAAUGGGCGUCGACUUCUGCCCGCACUAUGGCAUUGGUUUGCUCCUCAGUCCUGUCGUAAGCCCUCACAGGAAGAGGAGUACUGAGGUUUGGACCAUAUUUAUAUCGCUUGCCUCCACCUGUACUUCCUGUACUAUCACCUCGACUCGUACCGCUACGCACCAUAGCUGCGGGGUGUCUCUUCUGCGAUUGCUGAGGCGGCGGAGACGGCAGACGGGGCUGAGUUAGACGAGGAGGAGUGGCCUGAAGCUGUGCCGGACUUGGAGGAGGAGUGGCCUGAGGUUGUGCCGGACUUGGAGGAGGAGUGGACGUCUGACGCUGUGUCGGACUUGGAGGAGGAGUGGCCUCACACAUUGCCGGACUUGGAGGAGGAGGAGUGGCCUCACGCGUUGAUGGACUUGGAGCGGGAGUCUGCUGACUCGGUGGUGGACUUCGACGAGGAGUCGGGUGACGCGGUGUCGGUGGCCUUCGAAAGAUGAUGCAAUCCUUUCUCCAUAGGAUGACAUGAUGUAUGGCCUCUCCCAAUGUGUGCUCGUCGUCACCUCUAGGAAUGUCAAGUUGUAGCUCCGAAUAUGGGUCCACCACCUCAUCAACCAAGACACGAGCAUAGCCUGCUGGAAUCGGGUUGCAAUGGAAGGUUGCCUCGGGGGAAUUUGAAAAAGCAACGGCGUCCGCCACCUUCAUGGAUAUGUUCUUCAUUUUGAAGUGUACCUCGCAGUUAGUGUUCUCCGUGAUGUCAUCCAUGGGGUAUCUAUCCAGCACUGCGUCGCCCGGGGCGGAACCCACGCUGCUUCUCGGCAUGGAUGGGGUGGUGGUAUCCAAUGCUGGAUCAUCCGCUAGGUGCUGCAGCUGCUGAGACCCCAUUUGCUGGCUAAGUGAGUCGAUCUGCUCCUGCUGCCGCUGGAAUUUAGCUGCCAAUUCCGCUUGACUUGCUUCUAGGCCUUGAAGGCGUUCAUAGUCCCGCUUCCUUUGCUCCUCCUCCAUCUUCCUCUUCUUCUCCUCCGCAAUCUUCUUUCUCGCACGGGUUCUGUAGUCGGCGUUCCAGUCCGAAAACCCCUCAUACCACGGAAUAGCGCCCUUGCCUCGUGGUCUUCCCGGGUGUUCAGGAUUUCCCUGGGCACGCGUAAGCUCGUCCUUCUCUCUGUUGGGCUGAAACACCCCCGAUCGAGCCUCUUCUAUUGCAACAAGUAGCGCAUCGUCGGCUCCAUUCAGACAUGCCUUCGUCAAAACAUUGCCUGUCUUCGGGUCCAACUCCCCCCCAUGCGCAUAGAACCAAGUCCUGCACCUAGGGGGCCAACUCUUAGUAAACGGAGUGGCACCUGCAUCCUCCAUCUCUUUCUCAGACUUAUCCCACUUAGGCAUUGCCACCGUGUAGCCAGCUGGCCCCAGCUUAUGGAACUUAUCCUUUUUUCGGCAUUCUUCUUGUUUAUUCUCGACCGUUCCUUAGCUAAUUCGGAAUCCUUGAAUUUCAUGAAAUCGUCCCAAUGAGAACUUUGAUUCUCUAGUAUCCCCUCGAAUACUGGAGUCUUCCUUCCUCCCUUGACGUACUUCUCCCACGUCGUUCUCUUGUGGUUCUUGAAUGCAACCGCCAUCUUCCUAAAAGCAGCGUCCUUGACUUUCUGCACAUCUGCUUCCGUGAAAUGAUCUGGUAGGGUGAAAUGUUCCAUGAGAGUAUCCCAAAGCAGUUUUUUAUAUUCUCGUCUACAAAAGUAUCAUUUGGACGUGGCUUUGCUGGCUUUCUCCAUUCUUGAAGGGAGAUCGGGAGUUGGUCCUUCACAAGAACUCCACACUAACGAACGAACUUGUCCGCAAUCUUCUUAGGCGCUAAUGGUUCGCCAUUAGGUUUGAAUGCCUCGAUAUUGUACUUUACGCCCUCCUUCAACUUUUUGUUCGGGCCUCGUUUUGUCCUUUUGCCUGAAGAUUUGCUCGAUCCGGAUGGCUGAAAGAAGAAAGAUCGAUUCGUUAAUAUAUCUUCAACUCAUUUAAAACAUGCGAUGAUCACCAGAUUCCUGCUUAUAUAAAUAUAUAUACCUCGCCGGUACAUGUUGUUUCAGGGUCAACAUGUUCUUCGUCGUAGUUCAGGACUUCAUCUUCUCGGUCAUCGCGAUCAAAUAUCAUAUCACCCUCUCCGGUGUUGUUUAGAAAUUCAGAGCCGUCAAAAUCUUCUUCAUUCUGAUCAUCAUCUGGCCCGCGUAUGAUACCGAACAUGGUAUGUUCUCUCUCUCUGUCGGUAUUGUCCGCCAUAGCUUUUAUUUAACUAUGCCAAAAGAAAUAUAAAAUAAUUUAGUAUAAUCUCGAAUAAUAGAUAUAAUCUCGAAUACAUCGUCUCGAAUAAUAGAUAUAAUCUCGAAUACAUCGUCUCGAAUAAUAGAUUUAAUCUCGAAUACAUCGUCUCGAAUAAUAGAUAUAAUCUCGAAUACAUCGUCUCGAAUAAUAGAUUUAAUCUCGAAUACAUCGUCUAGAAUAAUAGAUUUAAUCUCGAAUACAUCGUCUCGAAUAAUAUAUAAUAUUGAAUAGUACAUCAUUGGCUAGGCGGUGGACACCCAAAGAGAAGGAACCCUCACAGGAUCAUAGCUGAAGUGAGAGCCCCGAAGAAACUGCCAGGUUUUGGAGAACCUUCCGCCCUCUAACGCAACCAUGUAGCGAUGGAUGUAAUCGUCCUCCUCCCUGACACGACGACGUACCACCUCCGGCGGGGCCGGCUCCCUCCGCACCGAAACUGGCCCACGCGAACGCCACCAAACGAGAUCAGGGUCGAUCACAGGACCCGGGGCCGGGUUCCUCAUCAAGCGGCGCGCCCCUCCAGGCAGCACCUCCCAGUGCCAGCCCGGCGGAGCCCAGUCCCGGACAUGGGUCAGCUGGACGUCGUCGCGGACGUGUCGACGGUGAGGAUGUGGGCCGGGCAUCGUCGACAACAAAUACUAGCUAUAUGCCCGCAAAAAGUAACAUUUUUUUAAUGAUUGGAAUUUGAUAACUAAAAUUUCUAACAUUUCUAUAUAACACUAAUUAUGCUAUCAUUGCAUAUGUCAAAAUUCUAUAUGCUAUUUCAUACUAAUUAAGCAUCUAACACUAAAAACAGAAAACACAACUUCUAUACAUCCAUUAAAAAAACUGAAAAACAACAUUAUAUAAACAAAUUUCAAUACUAAUUAAACACUAAUUAUAUCCAUCUAACAUGCAUUCAUACAUAUAUGCUAGUGAAAAAAUAAUAAUCUAAAAAAUCUAAACUAAUUAAACAUACAAAAUACGUAUAUACUAAUAUAUACAUGCAUUAAUUCAUACAUAUGUACGUGUGUGUGUGUGUGUGCUCGGGGAGGGGUGGUGCCCAUGGUGGCCGCCGGGGGCGAGGGAGAGGGGUUAGAGGGGGAGAGCUCACAGCAGGGUGACGGCGACGGCCAGGGGCGGCGACGGGCCGGGGUGUGACGCGGGGGCGGCGACGCGGGGACGGUGCGACGGGGACGGGCCUGGGGCGGCGACGGGGACGGGCCCGAUGACGGGGACGGGGGCGGCGACGGCGACAUCGUCGAUUGAUCGGGGUGCGCGGGCGGUGCUUCAAUGGGGAAACAGAGGAAGAAACAAAGGGAGAAUGAAAUUUUCGUAAGUGUUCUAUAUAUAGAAGGCACCUUCAGUACCGGUUGGAGCCACCAACCGGUACUAAAGGCCUGUUUUGGCCAGGCCAAGCCGCGGGAAGCACCCCCCUUUAGUACCGGUUCCUGGCUCCAACCGGUACUAAAGGCCCCCCCUUUAGUACCGGUUGGUGCCACCAACCGGUACUAAAGGGGGGUACGCUGCCAGGCGAGGGGCACAAAACUUUAGUCCCACCUCGCUAGCCGAGGGGCACUCACACCUUCUUAUAAGCCCCGCCGUCGCUGCUGUCUCGAGCUCCACUCUUAAGCACGCCUUCUGGGCCUACCUCUUCUGCGAUGCCCUGUUGGGCCUACUGGGCUAGUGGGCCUGCAUCCUGGCCCAACUUGAAUAUGGGUUUCUAGUCGUAUGCAGGCCGCUGUGGCCCAGUAGGUGGGCUUUUUUUUCUUAUUUUUUUGCUUUAUUUAUUUUUGUGAAUAACUUAACUUUGAAAAUAGAUUUUUCAGUGAUUCUUUUUUCUUAUGUUUAAUAUUAGUGUGUUUUAUCAUUAUAUUCAAUUUGGUAAUGCUUAGGUUAUUUAAAAAAUGAAAUGCCUUUGUAACGGAUGAGUUUUCGUCCGAAACCCUGAUACUUCGAAACAGAUUGUCCAUUUUGUACACGAAGUGCAUCCAGUUUUUGCGGUAACCCUCUCUACUUUUUUGCACAUGCUAUGUGGGUGAAAUUAUGAUACCAUGCCAACUUUCAUCCUUUUCUGAGUUCAUUUGAAAUUCUUUUCAAUUUUAGGGUCAUUUAGGUGAAAAAAAUCAGUAAAUGCAUGAAAGAAUUUGCUUGCACAUAAAAUUUCUUCGCGUUUCAAAUGCCAAAACACAUAACUAGCUACCCUAACUAUUACAGAGAUUCCCUCCUGGGUGUGAAACACAGAAGAAAGUGAUGAUAGUUACGCCGAUCAUAUCCCAGAUCUUUGGGUGUGAAACUUUUUCUUCGCGUGUGUCCCUUUGCGUCGUAGCCAUGGAAAAUCUUCAUCAUUUAACGGGAUGCUCGGGUCAAUAUUCACUGUGAAUGGAGCAAUUUCAUCAAACUUUUCAUAAUCAUCUGACUUGUCUGUUUUGUCAUCCACUCCCAUGAUGUUUCUCUUCCCAGAAAGAACUAUGUGCCGCUUUGGCUCAUCGUACGAUGCAUUCACUUCCUUAUCUUUUCUUUUUCUUGGCUUGUUAGACAUGUCCUUCACACAGAAAACCUAUGCCACAUCAUUGGCUAGGACGAACGGUUCGUCUGCAUACGCAAGAUUGUUGAGAUCCACUGUUGUCAUUCCGUACUGCGGGUCUUCCAUUACCCAGCCUCGUGUCAUAUUAACCCAUUUGCACCGAAACAAAGGGACCUUCAAACCACGUCGAUAGUCAAGUUCCCAUAUGUCCUGUAUAUAACCAUAAUAUGUUUCCUUUCCCGUCUUGGUUUCUGCAUCAAAGCGGACACCACUGUUUUGGUUGGUGCUCUUAUUAUCUUGGGCGAUCGUGUAAAAUGUAUUACCAUUUAUCUCGUACCCUUUGAAAGUCAUUAUAUUCGAAGAUGGUAAUUGGGAUAGCAAGUACAUGUCAUCUUCAAUAGAGGUGUCAUGCAUGGUACGUGGUUGCAACCAGCUGGCGAAACUCCUGGUUUGUUCACGUGUAAUCCAGUCAUCAGACCGCUCCGGGUGUUUGGAGCGUAGCAAAUUCUUGUGUUCAUCCAUAUACGGAGCCACCGAGGCAGAAUUCUGUAGAACUAUGUAGUGUGCUUCAGUGAGAGAAUGUCCAGCCAUAUAUACAUAUUAUUUGUUCCCCUCCUAGCGUGCCUUUUCCAUCCAGUCUGCCCUUAUGCCGCGAUUCAGGAACACCAAUCGGCUUAAGGUCAGGAAUAAAGUCAAUACAAAACUCACUGACCUCCUCAUUUUGACGGCCCUUGGAGAUGCUUCCUUCUGGCCUAGCACGGUUAUGAACAUAUUUCUUUAAGUCUCCCACGAACCUCUCAAAGGGGAACAUAUUGUGUAGAAAUACAGGACCCAAAACGUUAAUCUCUUCGCAUAGGUGAACUAGGACGUGCGUCAUGAUGUUGAAGAAGGAUGGUGGGAACACCAACUCGAAACUGACAAGACAUUGCACCAAAUCAUUCUGUAACCUUGGUAUGAUUUCUGGAUCGAUUACCUUCUGAGAGAUUGCAUUGAGAAAUGCACAUAGCUUCACAAUGGCUAAUCGAACGUUUUCCGGUAGAAGCCCCCUCAAUGCAACCGGAAGUACUUGCGUCAUAAUCACGUGGCAGUCAUGAGACUUUAGGUUCUGGAACUUUUUCUCUGCCAUGUUUAUUAUUCCCUUUAUAUUCGACGAGAAGCCAGAUGGUACCUUAAUAAUGAGUAGGCAUUCAAAGAACAUUUCCUUCUCUUCUUUGGUAAGAGCGUAGCUUGCAUGACCCUGAUGUAUGCCGUCUUUUCCGUGCAUACGUUGCUGGUCCUCCUGUGCCUUAGGUGUAUCUUUUGUCAUCCCAUACACGCCCAAGAAGCCAAGCAGGGUCACACAAAGAUUCUUCGUCACGUGCAUCACGUCGAUUGCGGAGCGGACCUCGAGGUCUUUCCAAUAGUGCAGGUCCCAAAAUAUAGAUUUCUUCUUCCACAUGGGUGCGCGUCCGUCAGCGUCAUUCGGAACAGGUUGUCCACCAGGACCCUUUCUAAAGACCACCUUCAAAUCCUUGACCAUAUCAUGUACAUCAGCACCAGUACGGUGGCGAGGCUUCGUCCGGUGAUCCGCCUCACCUUUGAAAUGCUUGCAUUUCUUUCUUACGGGAUGCCUGCUCGUAAGAAAUCGACGAUGUCCUAGGUACACAUUCUUAUUAGCCAAAUAUAUACUGUCGGUAUCGUCCAAACAGUGCGUGCAUGCGCGGUAUCCCUUGUUUGUCUGUCCUGAAAGGUUACUGAGAGCAGGCCAAUCAUUGAUGGUCACGAACAGCAACGCCUUUAGGUCAAAUUCUUCCCCCAUGUGCUCAUCCCACACACGUACACCUGUUCCAUUCCAUAGUUGUAAGAGUUCUUCAACUAAUGGCCUUAGGUACACAUCAAUGUCGUUGCCGGGUUGCUUAGGGCCUUGGAUGAGCACUGGCAUCAUAAUGAACUUCCGCUUCAUGCACAACCAAGGAGGAAGGUUAUACAAACAUAGAGUCACAGGCCAAGUGCUAUGGUUGCUGCUCUGCUCCCCAAAAGGAUUAAUGCCAUCUGCGCUUAGACCAAACCAUACGCUCCUUGCGUCAUUUGCAAACUCCUUCCCGUACUUUCUUUCGAUUUUUCUCCACUGUGAACCGUCAGCGGUUAGUGUCAACUUUCCAUCUUUCUUACGGUCUUCGCUGUGCCAUCGCAUCGCCUUGGCAUGCUCUUUGUUUUGGAACAAACGUUUCAACCGUGGUAUUAUAGGAGCAUACCACAUCACCUUGGCAGGAAUCUUCUUCCUGGGGCGCCGGCCCUCGACAUCACCAGGGUCAUCGCGGCUGAUCUUAUAGCGCAAUACACCACAUACCGGGCAAGCGUUCAAAUCCUCGUACUCACCACGGUAGAGGAUGCAAUCAUUAGGGCAUGCAUGUAUCUUCUCCACCUCUAACCCUAGAGGGCAGAGAACCUUCUUUGCUUCGUACAUACUCUCGGGCAAUUCGUUGUCCUUUGGAAGGAUAUCCUUUAUCAUUACCAGCAACUUUCCAAAUCCCUUGUCAGAUACACCAUUCUCUGCCUUCCAUUGCAGCAAUUCCAGUGUGGUGCCCAGUUUUUUCUUGUCAGCUACGCAAUUCGGGUACAACAAUUUUUUGUGAUCCCCUAACAUGCACUGCAACUUCUUCUCCAAAUCACUUGCGCAGUUUCUCUUUGCAUCGGCAAUGGCCCGACCUAGAUCAUCAACGGGCUCAUCUGAUGCCUCUUCUUCAGCUUCUUCCCGCAUUGCCGGCUCAGCUUCUUCCCGCAUUACCGGCUCAGCUUCUUCCACCAUUGUUGUAUCAUCGUAUUCAGGGAACCCAUGGCCAGGAUAGCUGUCGUCGUCCUCUUCUUCUUCAUUGUCUUCCAUCAUAACCCCUCUUUAUCCGUGCUUGGUCCAAACAUUAUAAUGGGGCAUGAAACCAGACUUAAACAGGUGGACGUGAAUGGUUCUUGACGUACAGUAAUUGUGACCAUUCUUACAGCGAGCACAUGGACAAGGCAUAAAACCAUCCGCCCCCUUGUUUGCCUCAGCCGCAAGCAGAAAAGUAUGCACGCCCUCAACGAACUGGGGAGAGCAUCGGUCAUCGUACAUCCAUUGCCGGCUCAUCUUCAUUACACAACAACGAAUAGAACAAAUUAAUACAAGUUCAUACAUAAAGUUCAUACAACACUUAAAUGCAACAAACAAAUAACUCUCUAGCUAAAGCAUUUAAAUGCAACAACAAAUACGAUCAAGAUCGCAACUAAGGUAACAAUGGAUCCAACAGCAUAAUGAAACCAAGCCUCACUAUCGAUGGCAUAUUUUCUAAUCUUUCUAAUCUUCAAGCGCAUUUUCUCCAUCUUGAUCUUGUGAUCAUCGACGAUACCGGCAACAUGCAACUCCAAUUCCAUCUUCUCCCCCUCAAUUCUUUUCAAUUUUUCUUUCAAGUACUCGUUUUCUCUUUCAACUAAAUUUAACCUCUCGGCAAUAGGGUAGGUUGGAAUUUCCGGUUGAUGGGCAUAAUUUGUAAUAAACACGAAAUGCAACUAGUUUUAAAAGAGAAUAUACAUACCACAUCCGAAUCAUAACAAGGACUAGGGCCGACGGGGACGGAUAUCAAAACCAUGGCACUAUAUGUAUAACAAACAACGUACAGGUAAGAUAAUUAUACGAGUAACUAUAUAUCCAAAUCACACAAACAUCAAUUUUUAUAUAAAAUUUCAUGAACAAGAGGCUCACCACAAGGUGGUGCCGGCGACGGGACGGUGCGGGCGAUCCACGGUGGCUACGAUGGAGAUUUAGAAGGCACUAAGUAAACCACACCUACAUAUGCAAACUAAAUGUUAUUUUUGACCUCAAAUUGCAUAUAAAUCAAAUACUAGCACAUAUAUAUAUAUCAUCCCAAAUUACUAAACUCACAAAUUAAUCACUAUAUAAAGCAUUGCAAGAGCUAAUCUAGCAACGAGAGAUGAAAGGACAAAGUUGCUAACCUUUGUGAUCAUUUGAAUGGAUGGGGGCCUUCAAAUCUUGACAAAUUUUGGGCAAAAUGUGUGAUGAGCUCGAGAGGAAGAGGGGAAGAACAGAGAGGAGAGGGGAAAGGGGAAGAAUAGAGCGAGCUCGGGUGGACGAAGGGUUUAUGUAGGACGACCUUUAGUACCGGUUUGUGCCAAGAACCGGUACUAAAGGGGCUGGAGGGGCCCCAUACUGACAACAUCCUGCCACCACUCUCAUUAGUACCGGUUCGUGGCACGAACCGGUGCUAAAGGUUCGCCAUGAACCGGUACUAAUGAAAGCAGCCUGGUUAGCCGUUGGAACCGGCACUAAUGUAUACAUUAGUGCCGGCUCAAAUACAAACCGGCACUAAUGUGCUUCAUGUUUGACCCUUUUUCCACUAGUGUAGGAGUAGGAGACAAGGAAGGGGAAGGGAGAAGGGAAAGAAGGAGGGGGCGCGGCCCCUCCCCCUAGUCCAAUUCGGACUAGGCCUUGGGGGGGCGCGCGGCCUGCCCUAGGCAGCCCCUCUCUCUUUCCCGUAUGGCCCAAUAAGGCCCAAUACUUCUCCCGGCGAAUUCCCGUAACUCUCCGGUACUCCGAAAAAUACCCGAACCACUCGAAACCUUUCCGAUGUCCGAAUAUAGUCGUCCAAUAUAUCGAUCUUUACAUCUCGACCAUUUCGAGACUCCUCCUCAUGUCCCCGAUCCCAUCCGGGACUCCGAACUCCUUCGGUACAUCAAAACUCAUAAACUCAAAAUAUAACUGUCAUCGAAACCUUAAGCGUGCGGACCCUACAGUUCGAGAACAAUGUAGACAUGAUCGAGACACAUGUCCGGUCAAUGACUAAUAGCGGGACCUGGAUGCCCAUAAUGGCUCCUACAUAUUCUACGAAGAUCUUUAUCGGUCAGACCGCAUAACAACAUACGUUGUUCCCUUUGUCAUCGGUAUGUUACUUGCCUGAGAUUUGAUCGUCGGUAUCUCAAUACCUAGUUCAAUCUUGUUACCGGCAAGUCUCUUUACUCGUUCCGUAAUACAUCAUCUCGCAACUAACUCAUUAGUUGCAAUGCUUGCAAGGCUUAUGUGAUGUGCAUUACCGAGAGGGCCUAGAGAUACCUCUCCGACAAUCGGAGUGACAAAUCCUAAUCUCGAAAUACGCCAGCCCAACAUGUACCUUUGGAGACACCUGUAGAGCUCCUUUAUAAUCACCCAGUUAUGUUGUGACGUUUGGUAGAACACAAAGUGUUCCUCCGGCAAAUGGGAGUUGCAUAAUCUCAUAGUCAUAUGAACAUGUAUAAGUCAUGAAGAAAGCAAUAGCAACAUACUAAACGAUUGGGUGCUAAGCUAAUGGAAUGGGUCAUGUCAAUCAGAUCAUUCAACUAAUGAUCUGAUCCCGUUAAUCAAAUAACAACUCUUUGUCCAUGGUUAGGAAACAUAACCAUCUUUGAUUAACGAGCUAGUCAAGUAGAGGCAUACUAGUGACACUCUGUUUUCUAUGUAUUCACACAUGUAUUAUGUUUCCGGUUAAUACAAUUCUAGCAUGAAUAAUAAACAUUUAUCAUGAUAUAAGUAAAUAAAUAAUAACUUUAUUAUUGCCUCUAGGGUAUAUUUCCAUCAGUCUCCCACUUGCACUAGAGUCAAUAAUCUAGAUCACAUCGCCAUGUGAUUUAACAUCAAUAGUUCACAUCUUUAUGUUAUUGGUUCACAUCUCCAUGUGACUAACACCCAAAGGGUUUACUAGAUUCAAUAAUCUAGUUCACAUCGCUAUGUGAUUAAGACCCAAAAAGUGAUCAUGUUUUGCUUGUGAGAGAAGUUUAGUCAAUAGGUCUUCCACAUUCAGAUCCGCAUGUAUUUUGCAAAUUUCUAUGUCAACAAUGCUCUGCAUGGAGCUACUCUAGCUAAUUGCUCCCACUUUCAAUAUGUAUCCAGAUUGAGACUUAGAGUCAUCUGGAUCAGUGUCAAAACUUGCAUCGACGUAACCCUUUACGACGAACCUUUUGUCACCUCCGUAAUCGAGAAACAUAUCCUUAUUCUACUAAGGAUAAUUUUGACCGCUGUCAAUAGAUCUACUCCUAGAUCACUAUUGUACUCCCUCUCUUAACACAGUGUAUGGUAUACAAUAGAUCUGGUACACAACAUGGCAUACUUUAUAGAACCUAUGACUGAGGCAUAGGGAAUGACUUUCAUUCUCUUUCUAUCUUCUGCCGUGGUCGGGCUUUGAGUCUUACUCAACUUCACGCCUUGUAACACAAGCAAGAAACUUUUUCUUUGACUGUUCCAUUUUGAACUACUUCAAAAUCUUGUCAAGGUAUGUACUCAUCGAAAAAACUUAUCAAGCGUCUUGAUCUAUCUCUAUAGAUCUUGAUACUCAAUAUGUAAGCAGCUUCACCGAGGUCUUUCUUUGAAAAAACUCCUUUCAAACAUUCCUUUAUGCUUUGCAGAAUAAUUCUACAUUAUCUCCGAUCAACAAUAUGUCUUUCACAUAUACUUAUCAGAAAUGAUGUAGUGCUCCCACUCACUUUCUUGUAAAUACAGGCUUCACUGCAAGUCUGUAUAAAACUAUAUGCUUUGAUCAACUCAUGAAAGCGUAUAUUCCAACUCUGAGAUGCUUGCACCAGUCCAUAGAUGGAUCGCUGGAGCUUGCAUAUUUUGUUAGUACCUUUAGGAUUGACAAAACCUUCUGGUUGCAUCAUAAACAACUCUUCUUUAAUAAAUCCAUUAAGGAAUGCAGUUUUGUUUAUCCAUUUGCCAGAUUUCAUAAAAUGCGGCAAUUGCUAACAUGAUUCGGACAGACUUAAGCGUAGAUACGAGUGAGAAACUCUCAUCGUAGUCAACACCUUGAACUUGUCGAAAACCUUUUUGCGACAAUUCUAGUUUUGUAGAUAGUAACACUACUAUCAGCGUCCGUCUUCCUCUUGAAGAUCCAUUUAAUCUCAAUGGCUUGCCGAACAUCGGGCAAGUCAACCAAAGUCCACACUUUGUUCUCAUACAUGGAUCCUAUCUCAGAUUUCAUGGCCUCAAGCCAUUUAUCGGAAUCUGGGCUCAUCAUCGCUUCCUCAUAGGUCGCAAGUUUGUCAUGGUCAAGUAACAUGACCUCCAGAACAGGAUUACCAUACCACUUUGGUGCGGAUCUCAAUCUGGUUUACCUACGAGGUUUGGUAGUAACUUGAUCUGAAGUUACAUGAUCAUCAUCAUUAGCUUCCUCACUAAUUGGUGUAGGAGUCACAGGAACAAAUUUCUGUGAUGAACUACUUUCCAAUAAAGGAGAAGGUACAAUUACCUUAUCAAGUUUUCUACUUUCCUCCCACUCACUUCUUUCAAGAGAAACUCCUUCUCUGGAAAGGAUCCAUUCUCAGUCAACGAAUAUCUUGCCUUCGGAUCUGUGAUAGAAGGUGUACCCAACAUUUUCUUUAGGGUAUCCUAUGAAGAUGCACUUUUCCGAUUUGGGUUUGAGCUUAUCAGGAUGAAACUUUUUCACAUAAGCAUCACAACCCCAAACUUUAAGAAACGACAACUUUGGUUUCUUGCCAAACCACAGUUCAUAAGGCGUCGUCUCAACGGAUUUUGAUGGUGCCCUAUUCAACGUGAAUGCAGCUGUCUCUAAUGCAUAACCCCAAAACGAUAGUGGUAGAUCGGUAAGAGAUAUCAUAGAUCGCACCAUAUCUAAUAAAGUACGGUUAUGAUGUUCGGACACACCAUUACAUUGUGGUGUUCCAGGUGGCAUGAGUAGUGAAACUAUUUCACAUUGUUUUUAACUGAAGGCCAAACUCAUAACUCAAAUACUCUUCUCUACGAUCAGGUCGUAGAAACUUUAUUUUCUUGUUACGAUGAUUUUUCACUUCACUCUGAAAUUCUUUGAACUUUUCAAAUGUUUCAGACUUAUGUUUCAUCAAGUAGAUAUACUCAUAUCUGCUCAAAUCAUCUGUGAAGAUCAGAAAAUAAUGAUACCUGUCGCGAGCCUCAAUAUUCAUCGGACCACAUACAUUAGUAUGUAUGAUUUCCAACAAAUCUGUUGCUCGCUCCAUUGUUCUGAAGAACAGAGUCUUAGUCAUCUUGCCCAUUAGGCAUGGUUCGCAAGCAUCAACUGAUUCAUAACCAACUGAUUCCAAAAGCCCAUCAGCAUGGAGUUUCUUCAUGCGCUUUACACCAAUAUGACCUAAACGGCAGUGCUACAAAUAAGUUGCACUAUCAUUAUUAACUUUGCAUCUUUUGGUUUCAAUAUUAUGAUUAUGUGUAUCACUACAAUCGAGAUCCAACGAACUAUUUUCAUUGGGUGUGUAACCAUAUAAGGUUUUAUUCAUGUAAACAGAACAACAAUUUAUUCUCUUACUUAAAUGAAUAACCGUAUUACAAUAAACAUGAUCAAAUCAUAUUCAUGCUCAACGCAAACACCAAAUAACACUUAUUUAGGUUCAACACUAAUCCUGAAAUUAUAGGGAGUGUGCGAUGAUGAUCAUAUCAAUCUUGGAACCACUUCCAACAUACAUCAUCACUUCACCCUUAACUAGUCUCUGUUUAUUUUGCAACUCCCGUUUCGAGUUACUAAUCUUUGCAACUGAACUAGUAUCAAAUACUGAGGGGUUGCUAUAAACACUUGUAAAGUACACAUCAAUAACAUGUAUAUCAAAUAUACUUAUGUUCACUUUGCCAUCCUUCUUAUCCGCCAAUCACUUGGGGUAGUUCCGCUUCUAGUGACCAGUGCCUUUGCAGUAGAAGCACUUAGUCUCAGGCUUAGGACCAGACUUGGGCUUCUUCACUUGAGCAGCAACUUGCUUGCUGUUCUUCUUGAAGUUCCCCUUCUUCCCUCUGCCCUUUUCUUGAAACUAGUGGUCUUGUCAACCAUCAACACCUGAUGUUUUUCUUGAUUUCUACCUUCAUUGAUUUCAGCAUCACGAAGAGCUUGGGAGUUGUUUCCGUUAUCCCUUGCAUAUUAUGGUUCAUCACGAAGUUCUACUAACUUGGUGAUGGUGACUAGAGAAUUCUGUCAAUCACUAUCUUAUCUGGAAGAUUAACUCCCACUUGGUUCAAGCAAUUGUAGUACCCAGACAAUCUGAGCACGUGCUCACUAGUUGAGCGAUUCUCCUCCAUCUUUUAGCUAUAGAACUUGUUGGAGACUUCAUAUCUCUCAAGUCGGGUAUUUGCUUGAAAUAUUAACUUCAACUCCUAGAACAUCUCAUAUGGUCCAUGAUGUUCAAAACGUCUUUGAAGUCCUGAUUCUAAGCCAUUAAGCAUGGUGCACUAAACUAUCAAGUAGUCAUCAUAUUGGGCUAGCCAAACGUUCAUAACGUCGGCAUCUGCUCCUGCAAUAGGUCUGUCACCUAGCGGUGCAUCAAGGACAUAAUUCCUCUAUGCAGCAAUGAGGAUAAAACUCAGAUCACGGAUCCAAUCCGCAUCAUUGCUACUAACAUCUUUCAACACAAUUUUCUCUAGGAACAUAUCAAAAUAAACAUAGGGAAGCAACAACGCGAGCUAUUGAUCUACAACAUAAUUUGCAAAAUACUACCAGGACUAAGUUCAUGAUAAAUUUAAGUUCAAUUUAAUCAUAUUACUGGAGAACUCCCACUUAGAUAGACAUCCCUCUAAUCCUCUAAGUGAUCACGUGAUCCAAAUCAACUAAACCAUGUCCGAUCACCACGUGAGAUGGAGUAGUUUCAUUGGUGAACAUCACUAUGUUGAUCAUAUCUACUAUCUGAUUCACGCUCGACCUUUCGGUCUCCGUGUUCCGAGGCCAUAUCUGUAUAUGCUUGCCUCGUCAAGUAUAACCUGAGUAUUCCGCGUGUGCAACUGUUUUACACCCGUUGUAUUUGAACGUAGAGCCUAUCACACCCGAUCAUCACGUGGUGUCUCAGCACGAAGAAGUUUCGCAACGGUGCAUACUCAGGGAGAACACUUCUUGAUAAUUAGUGAGAGAUCAUCUUAAAAUGCUACCGUCAAACUAAGCAAAAAUAAGAUGUAUAAAAGAUAAACAUCAUAUGCAAUCAAAAUAUGUGACAUGAUAUGGCCAUCAUCAUCUUGCUUCUUUGAUCUCCAUCUCCAAAGUACUGUCAUGAUCUAUAUCGUCAUCGGCAUGACACCAUGAUCUCCAUCAUCUUGAUCUAUAUCAAUGUGUCGUCACGUGGUCGUCUCGCCAACAAUUGCUCUUGCAACUAUUGCUAUCGCAUAGCGAUAAAGUAAAGCAAUUAUUGGACGCUUGCAUCUUAUGUAAUAGAGAGACAACCAUAAGGAUUUUGCCAGUUGUUGAUAACUUCAACAAAACAUGAUCAUCUCAUACAACAACUUAUAUCUCAUCACGUCUUGACCAUAUCACAUCACAACAUGCCCUGCAAAAACAAGUUAGACGUCCUCUACUUUGUUGUUGCAAGUUUUACGUGGCUGCUACGGGCUUAAGCAAGAACCAAUCUUACCUACGCAUCAAAACCACAACGAUAGUUUGUCAAGUUGGUGCUGUUUUAACCUUCGCAAGGACCGGGCGUAGCCACACUCGGUUCAACUAAAGUUGGAGAAACUGUCACCCCCAAGCCACCUAUGUGCAAAGCACGUCGGGAGAACCGGUCUCGCGUAAGCAUACGCGUAAUGUCGGUCUGGGCCGCUUCAUCCAACAAUACCGCCGAACCAAAGUAUGACAUGCUGGUAAGCAGUAUGACUUAUAUCGCCCACAACUCACUUGUGUUCUACUCGUGCAUAUAACAUCAACACAUAAAACCUAGGCUCAAAUGCCACUGUUGGGGAACGUAGUAAUUUCAAAAAAUUUCCUACGCACACGCAAGAUCAUGGUGAUGCAUAGCAACGAGAGGGGAGAGUGUUGUCAACGUAGCCUUGUAGACCGAAGCAGAAGCGUUGACGCAACGUAGAGGAAGUAGUCGUACGUCUUCCCGAUCCGACCGAUCCAAGCACCAUUACUCCGGCACCUCCGAGUUCUUGGCACACGUUCAGCUCGGUAACGAUCCCCAGGCUCCGAUCCAGCAAAGCGUCGGCGAGGAGUUCCAUCAGCACGACGGCGUGGUGACGAUCUUGAUGUUCUACCGUCGCAGGGCUUCGCCUAAGCACCGCUACAAUAUGACCGAGGUGUAAUAUCGUGGAGAGGGGCACCGCACACGGCUAAGGAACGAUCACGAAGAUCAACUUGUGUGUCCAUGGGGUGCCCCCUGCCCCCGUAUAUAAAGGAGUGGAGGAGGGGAGGGCUGGCCCUCUCUAUGGCGCGCCCUAGGGGAGUCCUACUCCCAACGGGAGUAGGAUUCCCCCUUUUCCUAGUCCAACUAGGAGUCCUUCCAUGUAGUAGGAGUAGGAGACAAGGAAGGGGAAGGGAGAAGGGAAAGAAGGAGGGGGCGCGGCCCCUCCCCCUAGUCCAAUUCGGACUAGGCCUUGGGGGGCGCACGGCCUGCCCUAGGCAGCCCCUCUCUCUUUCCCGUAUGGCCCAAUAAGGCCCAAUACUUCUCCCGGCGAAUUCCUGUAACUCUCCGGUACUCCGAAAAAUACCCGAACCACUCGGAACCUUUCCGAUGUCCGAAUAUAGUCGUCCAAUAUAUCGAUCUUUACGUCUCGACCACUUCGAGACUCCUCGUCAUGUCCCCGAUCCCAUCCGGGACUCCGAAAUCCUUCGGUACAUCAAAACUCAUAAACUCAUAAUAUAACUGUCAUCGAAACCUUAAGCGUGCGGACACUACGGUUCGAGAACAAUGUAGACAUGACUGAGACACGUCUCCAGUCAAUAACCAAUAGCGGGACCUGGAUGCCCAUAUUGGCUCCUACAUAUUCUACGAAGAUCUUUAUCGGUCAGACCGCAUAACAACAUACGUUGUUCCCUUUGUCAUCGGUAUGUUACUUGCCCGAGAUUUGAUCGUCGGUAUCUCAAUACCUACUUCAAUCUCGUUACCGGCAAGUCUCUUUACUCGUUCCGUAAUACAUCAUCUCGCAACUAACUCAUUAGUUGCAAUGCUUGCAAGGCUUAUGUGAUGUGCAUUUCCGAGAGGGCCCAGAGAUACCUCUCCGACAAUCGGAGUGACAAAUCCUAAUCUCGAAAUACGCAAACCCAACAUGUACCUUUGGAGACACCUGUAGAGCUCCUUUAUAAUCACCCAGUUACGGUGUGACGUUUGGUAGCACACAAGGUGUUCCUCCGGCAAACGGGAGUUGCAUAAUCUCAUAGUCAUAGGAACAUGUAUAAGUCAUGAAGAAAGCAAUAUCAACAUACUAAACGAUCGGGUGCUAAGCUAAUGGAAUGGGUCAUGUGAAUCAGAUCAUUCAACUAAUGAUGUGAUCUCGUUAAUCAAAUAACAACUCUUUGUCCAUGGUUAGGAAACAUAACCAUCUUUGAUUAACGAGCUAGUCAAGUAGAGGCAUACUAGUCACACUCUGUUUGUCUAUGUAUUCACACAUGUAUUAUGUUUCCGGUUAAUACAAUUCUAGCAUGUAUAAUAAACAUUUAUCAUGAUAUAAGGAAAUAAAUAAUAAUUUUAUUAUAGCCUCUAGGGCAUAUUUACUUCAUGGAUUGCCUACCAAAGAUGGCAAUAGCUAGAUCUAUCCUUGCUUGUUAUGCCUAACUAGGGGCGUUAAACGAUAGCGCUUUUUGGGAGGCAACCCAAUUUUGUUUUUAUUCCUUGAUUUUUGCUCCUGUUUAGUAAUAAAUAAUUUAUCUAGCCUCUGUUUUGGUUGUGUUCUUUGUGUUUAAUUAGUGUUUGUGCCAGGUAGAACCGUUAGGAAGACUUGGGGAAAGUCUUGUUACACUUGCUGUAAAAAACAGAAACUUCAGCGCUCACGAGAACUGCUGCCAUUUUUAUUUGGAAAGUGCUAUUUAGUUAAUUAUUUCCGCAGAUGAUUAAUAGAUAAAUUCCUCACGUCCAGCACUUUAUUUUAGAAUUUUUGGGGUUCCAGCUCUUGAGCUAGCUACAGAUUACUACAGACUGUUCUGUAUUUGAAACAUUCUGUUUUUUCGUGUGUUGUUUGCUUAUUUUGAUGAACCUAUGGCUAGUAAAAUAGUUUAUAAACCACAGAGAAGUUGGAAUACAGUAGUUAUAACACCAAUAUAAAUAAAUAAUGAGUUCAUUAAAGUACCUUGAAGUGGUCUUUUUUAUUUUCUUUCGCUAACGGAGCUCACAAGAUUUUCUACUUCAAGUUUGUGUUGUGAAGUUUUCAAGUUUUGGGUAAAAAUUUGAUGGAUUAUGGAACAAGUAGUGACAAGAGCCGAAGCUUGGGGAUGCCCAUGGCACCCCCAAGAUAAUCUAAUUACACCUAAAAGCCAAAGCUUGGGGAUGCCCGGGAAGUCAUCCCCUCUUUCGUCUACUUCUAUGGGUAACUUUACUUGGAGCUAUAUUUUUAUUCGCCACAAGAUAUGUGUUUUGCUUGGAGCGUCUUGUAUUGUUUGACUCUUUAUUUUUUAGUUUACCACAAUCAUCCUUGCUGUACACACCUUUUGAGAGAGCCAUACAUGAUUUGGAAUUUGUUAGAAUACUCUAUGGGCUUCGCUUAUAUCUUUUGAGUUAUAUAGUUUUGCUCUAGUACUUCACUUAUAUCUUUUAGAGCACGGUGGUGGAUUUGUUUUAUAAAAACUAUUGAUCUCUCAUGCUUCACUUAGAUUAUUUUGAGAUGCUUAAUAGCAUGGUAAUUUGCUUAAAAUCCUAAUAUGCUAGGUAUUCAAAGUUAGUAAAAUUUUCUUACGAGUGUUUUUAAUACUAAGAGAAGUUUGAUGCUUGAUGAUUGUUUUGAGAUAUGGAGGUAAUAAUAUCAAAGUCGUGCUAGUUGAGUAGUUGUGAAAUUGAGAAAUACUUGUGUUGAAAUUUGCAUGUCCCGUAGCAUGCACGUAUUGUAAACGUUGUGUAACAAAUUUGAAACAUGAGGUGUUAUUUGAUUGUCUUCCUUAUGAGUGGCGGUCGGGGACGAGCGAUGGUCUUUUCCUACCAAUCUAUUGUUUGGGAACGUACUAAUUUCAAAAAAAAUCCUACGCACACGCAAGACCAUGGUGAUGCAUAGCAACGAGAGGGGAGAGUGUGAUCUACGUACCCUUGUAGAUCAACAGCGGAAGCGUUGAUGCAACAUAGAGGAAGUAGUCGUACGUCUUCCUGAUCCGACCGAUCGAAGCACCAUUACUCCGGCACCUCCGAGUUCUUAGCACACGUACAGCUCGAUGACGAUCCCGGGCUCCGAUCCAGCAAAGGGUCGGGGAGGAGUUCCGUCAGCACGACGGCGUGGUGACGAUCUUGAUGUUCUACCGUCGCAGGGCUUCGCCUAAGCACUGCUACAAUAUGAUGGAGGUGGAAUAUGGUGGCACGGGGCACCGCACACGGCUAAGGAACGAUCUCAAUGAUCAACUUGUGUGUCUAGAGGUGCCCCCUGCCUCCGUAUAUAAAGGAGCCAAGGGGGAGGGGGCCGCCGGCCAGGAGGAGGGCGCAGGAGGAGUCCUACUCCUACCGGGAGUAGGACUCCCCCCCCCCAAUCCUAGUUGGACUAGGAUUCCCCGAGGGGGAAAGAGAGAGAGGGGGGCCGGCCACCUCUCCUAGUCCUAAUAGGACUACGGGAGGGGGGAGGCGCGCGGCCACCUUGGGCUGCCCCUUUCUCCUUUCCACUAAAGCCCAUCAAGGCCCAUAUGGCUCCCGGGGGGUUCCGGUAACCUCCCGGUACUCCGGUAAAAUCCCGAUUUCACCCGGAACACUUCCGAUGUCCAAAUAUAGGCUUCCAAUAUAUCAAUCUUUAUGUCUCGACCAUUUCGAUACUCCUCGUCAUGUCUGUGAUCACAUCCGGGACUCCGAACUAACUUCGGUACAUCAAAAUGCAUAAACUCAUAAUAACUGUCAUCGUAACGUUAAGCGUGUGGACCCUACGGUUCGAGAAUAAUGCAGACAUGACUGAGACACAUCUCCGGUCAAUAACCAAUAGCAGGACCUGGAUGCCUAUAUUGGCUCCUACAUUUUCUACGAAGAUCUUUAUCAGUCACACCGCAUAACAACAUAUGUUGUUCCCUUUGUCAUCGGUAUGUCAUUUGCCCGAGAUUCGAUCGUCAGUAUCCAAUACCUAGUUCAAUCUCGUUACCGGCAAGUCUCUUUACUCGUUCCGUAAUACAUCAUCUCGCAACUAACUCAUUAGUUGCAAUGCUUGCAAGGCUUAAGUGAUGUGCAUUACCGAGAGGGCCCAGAGAUACCUCUCCGACAAUCGGAGUGACAAAUCCUAAUCUCGAAAUACGCCAACCCAACAUCUACCUUUGGAGACACCUGUAGUACUCCUUUAUGAUCACCCAGUUACGUUGUGAUGUUUGGUAGCACCCAAAGUGUUCCUCCGGUAAACGGGAGUUGCAUAAUCUCAUAGUCAUAGGAACAUGUAUAAGUCAUGAAGAAUAGCAACAGCAACAUACUAAACGAUCGGGUGCUAAGCUAAUGAAAUGGGUCAUGUCAAUCAGAUCAUUCAACUAAUGAUGUGACCUCGUUAAUCAAAUAACAACUCUUUGUUCAUGGUUAGGAAACAUAACCAUCUUUGAUUAACGAGCUAGUCAAGUAGAGGCAUACUAGUGACACUCUGUUUGUCUAUGUAUUCACACAUGUAUUAUGUUUCCGGUUAAUACAAUUCUAGCAUGAAUAAUAAACAUUUAUCAUGAUAUAAGGAAAUAAAUAAUAACUUUAUUAUUGCCUCUAGGGCAUAUUUCCUUCAGUCUCCCACUUGCACUAGAGUCAAUAAUCUAGAUUACACAGUAAUGAUUCUAACACCCAUGGAGCCUUGGUGCUGAUCAUGUUUUGCUCGUGGAAGAGGCUUAGUCAACGGGUCUGCAAUAUUCAGAUCCAUAUGUAUCUUGCAAAUCUCUAUGUCUCCCACCUAGACUAGAUCCCGGAUGGAAUUGAAGCGUCUCUUGAUGUGCUUGGUUCUCUUGUGAAAUCUGGAUUCCUUUGCCAAGACAAUUGCACCAGUAUUGUCACAAAAGAUUUUCAUUGGACCCGAUGCACUAGGUAUGACACCUAGAUCGGAUAUGAACUCCUUCAUCCAGACUCCUUCGUUUGCUGCUUCCGAAGCAGCUAUGUAUUCUGCUUCACAUGUAGAUCCCGCUACGACGCUUUGUUUAGAACUGCACCAACUGACAGCUCCACCGUUUAAUGUAAACACGUAUCCGGUUUGCGAUUUAGAAUCGUCCGGAUCAGUGUCAAAGCUUGCAUCAACGUAACCUCUUACGGUGAGCUCUUUGUCACCUCCAUAUACGAGAAACAUAUCCUUAGUCCUUUUCAGGUAUUUCAGGAUGUUCUUGACCGCUGUCCAGUGAUCCACUCCUGGAUUACUUUGGUACCUCCCUGCUAAACUUAUAGCAAGGCACACAUCAGGUCUGGUACACAGCAUUGCAUACAUGAUAGAGCCUAUGGCUGAAGCAUAGGGAACAUCUUUCAUUUUCUCUCGAUCUUCUGCAGUGGUCGGGCAUUGAGUCUGGCUCAACUUCACACCUUGUAACACAGGCAAGAACCCUUUCUUUGCUUGAUCCAUUUUGAACUUCUUCAAAAUCUUGUCAAGGUAUGUGCUUUGUGAAAGUCCAAUUAAGCGUCUUGAUCUAUCUCUAUAGAUCUUUAUGCCUAAUAUGUAAGCAGCUUAACCGAGGUCUUUCAUUGAAAAACUCUUAUUCAAGUAUACCUUUAUGCUAUCCAGAAAUUCUAUAUCAUUUCCAAUCAGCAAUAUGUCAUCCACAUAUAAUAUCAGAAAUGCUACAGAGUUCCCACUCACUUUCUUGUAAAUACAGGCUUCACCGAAAGUCUGUAUAAAACCAAAUGCUUUGAUCACACUAUCAAAGCGUUUAUUCCAACUCCGAGAGGCUUCCACCAGUCCAUAAAUGGAUCGCUGGAGCUUGCACACUUUGUUAGCUCCCUUUGGAUCGACAAAACCUUCCGGUUGCAUCAUAUACAACUCUUCUUCCAGAAAUCCAUUCAAGAAUGCAGUUUUGACAUCCAUCUGCCAAAUUUCAUAAUCAUAAAAUGCGGCAAUUGCUAACAUGAUUCGGACAGACUUAAGCAUCGCUACGGGUGAGAAGGUCUCAUCGUAGUCAACCCCUUCAACUUGUCGAAGACCUUUUGCGAGAAGUCGAGCUUCGUAGACAGUAACAUUACCAUCACCGUCAGUCUUCUUCUUGAAGAUCCAUUUAUUCUCAAUUGCUUGCCGAUCAUCGGGCAAGUCAACCAAAUCCAUACUUUGUUCUCAUACAUGGAUCCCAUCUCAGAUUUCAUGGCUUCAAGCCACUUUGCGGAAUAUGGGCUCACCAUCGCUUCUUCAUAGUUCGUAGGUUCAUCAUGAUCUAGCAGCAUGAUUUCCAGAACAGGAUUACCGUACCACUCUGGUGCAGAUCUCGCUCUGGUUGAUCUACGAGGUUCAGUAGUAUCUUGUCCUGAAGUUUCAUGAUCUUUAUCAUUAGCUUCCUCACUAAUUGGUAUAGGUGUCGCAGAAACAGUUUUUCUGUGAUGUACUACUUUCCAAUAAGGGAGCAGGUAUAGUUACCUCGUCAAGUUCUACUUUCCUCCCACUCACUUCUUUCGAGAGAAACUCCUUCUCUAGAAAUGAUCCAUUCUUAGCAAUGAAUGUCUUACCUUCGGAUUUGUGAUAGAAGGUGUACCCAACAGUCUCCUUUGCGUAUCCUAUGAAGACACAUUUCUCCGAUUUGGGCUCGAGCUUAUGAGGUUGAAGCUUUUUCACAUAAGUAUCGCAGCCCCAAACUUUAAGAAACGACAACUUUGGUUUCUUGCCAAACCACAGUUCAUAAGGCGUCGUCUCAGCAGAUUUUGAUGGUGCCGUAUUUAGCGUGAAUGUGAGCGUCUCUAAAGCAUAACCCCAAAACGAUAGCGGUAAAUCAGUAAGAGACAUCAUAGAUCGCACCAUAUCUAGUAAAGUACGAUUCCGAUGUUCGGACACACCAUUACACUGUGGUGUUCCAGGUGGCGUGAGUUGCGAAACUAUUCCACAAUUUUUCAAAUGUACACCAGACUCGUAACUCAAAUAUUCUCCUCCACGAUCAGAUCGUAGAAACUUUAUUUUCUUGUUAUGAUGAUUUUCAACUUCACUCUGAAAUUCUUUGAACUUUUCAAAUGUUUCAGACUUAUGUUUCAUUAAGUAGAUAUACCCAUAUCUGCUUAAGUCAUCUGUGAAGGUGAGAAAAUAACGAUAUCCACCACGAGCCUCAAUAUUCAUCGGACCACAUACAUCAGUAUGCAUGAUUUCCAACAAAUCUGUUGCUCUCUCCAUAGUACCGGAGAACGGUGUUUUAGACAUCUUGCCCAUGGGGCACGGUUCGCAAGUACCAAGUGAUUCAUAAUCAAGUGGUUCCAAAAGUCCAUCGGUAUGGAGUUUCUUCAUGCGCUUUAUACCGAUAUGACCUAAACGGCAGUGCCACAAAUUAGUUGCACUAUCAUUAUCAACUCUGCAUCUUUUCGCCUCAACAUUAUGAAUAUAUGUGUUACUACUAUCGAGAUUCAUCGAAAAUAGACCACUCCUCAAAGGUGCAUGACCAUAAAAGAUAUUACUCAUAUAAAUAGAACAACCAUUAUUCUCUGAUUUAAAUGAAUAACCGUCUCGCAUCAAACAAGUUCCAGAUAUAAUGUUCAUGCUCAACGCUGGAACCAAAUAACAAUUAUUUAGGUCUAAUAUUAAUCCCGAAGGUAGAUGUAGAGGUAGCGUGCUGACCGCGAUCACAUCGACUUUGGAACCGUUUCCCACGCGCAUCGUCACCUCGUCCUUCGCCAGUGUUCGCUUAAUCCGUAGUCCCUGUUUCGAGUUGCAAAUAUUAGCAACAGAACCAGUAUCACAUACCCAGGUGCUACUGCGAGCUCUAGUAAGGUACACAUCAAUAACAUGUAUAUCACAUAUACCUUUGUUCACCUUGCCAUCCUUCUUAUCCGCCAAUACUUGGGGCAGUUCCGCUUCCAGUGACCAGUCUGCUUGCAGUAGAAGCACUCAGUUUCAGGCUUAGGUCCAGACUUGGGUUUCUUCUCUUGAGCAGCAACUUGCUUGCCGUUCUUCUUGAAGUUCCCCUUCUUCUUCCCUUUGCCCUUUUUCUUGAAACUAGUUGUCUUACUGACCAUCAACACUUGAUGCUCCUUUUUGAUUUCUACCUCCGCAGCUUUCAGCAUUGCGAAGAGCUCGGGAAUAGUCUUGUUCAUCCCUUGCAUAUUAUAGUUCAUCACAAAGCUCUUGUAGCUUGGUGGCAGUGAUUGGAGAAUUCUGUCAAUGACGCAAUCAUCUAGAAGAUUAACUCCCAUCUGAAUCAAGUGAUUAUUAUACCCAGACAUUCUGAGUAUAUGCUCACUGACAGAACUGUUCUCCUCCAUCUUGCAGCUAUAGAACUUAUUGGAGACUUCAUAUCUCUCAAUCCGGGCAUUUUCUUGAAAUAUUAACUUCAACUCCUGGAACAUCUCAUAUGCUCCAUGACGUUCAAAACGUCGUUGAAGUCCCGAUUCUAAGCCGUAAAGCAUGGCACACUGAACUAUCAAGUAGUCAUCAGCUUUGCUCUGCCAGACGUUCAUAACAUCUAGUGUUGCUCCAGCAGCAGGCCUGGCACCUAGCGGUGCUUCCAAGACGUAAUUCUUCUGAGCAACAAUGAGGAUAAUCCUCAAGUUACGGACCCAGUCCGUGUAAUUGCUACCAUCAUCUUUCAACUUUGCUUUCUCAAGGAACGUAUUAAAAUUCAACGAAACAACAACACGAGCCAUCUAUCUACAAUCAACAUAAACAAGCAAGAUACUAUCAGGUACUAAGUUCAUGAUAAGUUUAAGUUCAAUUUAAUCAAAUUACUUAAGAACUCCCACUUAGAUAGACAUCCCUCUAAUCGUCUAAGUGAUCACGUGAUCCAAAUCAACUAAACCAUAACCGAUCAUCACGUGAGAUGGAGUAGUUUUCAAUGGUGAACAUCGUUAUGUUGAUCAUAUCUACUAUAUGAUUCAUGCUCGACCUUUCGUUCUCCGUGUUCCGAGGCCAUAUCUGCAUACGCUAGGCUCGUCAAGUUUAACCUGAGUAUUCUGCGUGUGCAAAAACUGGCUUGCACCCGUUGUAGAUGGACGUAGAGCUUAUCACACCCGAUCAUCACGUGGUGUCUGGGCACGACGAACUUUGGCAGCAGUGCAUACUCAGGGAGAACACUUCUUGAUAAUUUAGUGAGAUAUCAUCUUAUAAUGCUACCGUCAAUCAAAGCAAGAUAAGAUGCAUAAAAAGAUAAACAUCACAUGCAAUCAAUAUAAGUGAUAUGAUAUGGCCAUCAUCAUCUUGUGCUUGUGAUCUUCAUCUCCGAAGCACCGUCAUGAUCACCAUCGUCACCGGUGCGACACCUUGAUCUCCAUCGUAGCAUCGUUGUCGUCUCGCCAAUCUUAUGCUUCCACGACUAUCGCUACCGCUUAGUGAUAAAGUAAAGCAUUACAUCGCGAUUGCAUUGCAUACAAUAAAGCGACAACCAUAUGGCUCCUGCCAGUUGCCGAUAACUCGGUUACAAAACAUGAUCAUCUCAUACAAUAAAAUUUAGCAUCAUGUCUUGACCAUAUCACAUCACAACAUGCCCUGCAAAAACAAGUUAGACGUCCUCUACUUUGUUGUUGCAAGUUUUACGUGGCUGCUACGGGCUUAAGCAAGAACCAAUCUCACCCACGCAUCAAAACCACAACGAUAGUUUGUCAAAUAGACUCCGUUUUAUCCUUCGGAAGGACCGGGCGUAGCCACACUCGGUUCAACUAAAGUUGGAGAAACAGUCGCCCGCAAGGCACCUGUGUGCAAAGCACGUCGGGGGAACCGGUCUCACGUAAGCGUACGCGUAAUGUUGGUCCGGGUCGUCUCGUCCAACAAUACCGCCGAACCAAAGUAUGACAUGCUAGUAGGCAGUAUGACUUGUAUCACCCACAACUCACUUGUGUUCUACUCGUGCAUAUAACAUCAAACCAUAAAACCUAGGCUCGGAUGCCACUGUUUGGGAACGUAGUAAUUUCAAAAAAAUUCCUACGCACACGCAAGAUCAUGGUGAUGCAUAUCAACGAGAGGGGAGAGUGUGAUCUACGUACCCUUGUAGAUCAAUAGCGGAAGCAUUGACGCAAUGUAGAGGAAGUAGUCGUACGUCUUCCUUAUCCGAUCGAUCCAAGCACCAUUACUCCGGCACCUCUGAGUUCUUAGCACACGUACAGCUCGAUGACGAUCCCCGGGCUCCGAUCCAGCAAAGCGUCGGGGGGGAGUUCCGUCAACACGACGGCGUGGUGAUGAUCUUGAUGUUCUACCAUCGCAGGGCUUCGCCUAAGCACUGCUCCAAUAUGAUCGAGGUGGAAUAUGGUGGCAGGGGGCACCGCACACGGCUAAGGAACGAUCUCAAUGAUCAACUUGUGUGUCUAGAGGUGCCCCCUGCCUCCGUAUAUAAAGGAGCCAAGGGGGAGGGGGCCGCCGGCCAGGAGGAGGGCGCAGGAGGAGUCCUACUCCUACCAGGAGUAGGACUCCCCCCCCCCAAUCCUAGUUGGACUAGGAUUCCCCGAGGGGGAAAGAGAGAGGGGGGGCCGGCCACCUCUCCUAGUCCUAAUAGGACUAGGGGAGGGGGGAGGCGCGCGGCCACCUUGGGCUGCCCCUUUCUCCUUUCCACUAAAGCCCAUCAAGGCCCAUAUGGCUCCCGGGGGGUUCCGGUAACCUCCCGGUACUCCGGUAAAAUCCCGAUUUCACCCGGAACACUUCCGAUGUCCAAAUGUAGGCUUCCAAUAUAUCAAUCUUUAUGUCUCGACCAUUUCGAGACUCCUCGUCAUGUCCGUGAUCACAUCCGGGACUCCGAACUAACUUUGGUACAUCAAAAUGCAUAAACUCAUAAUAACUGUCAUCGUAACGUUAAGCGUGUGGACCCUACGGUUCGAGAAUAAUGCAGACAUGACUGAGACACAUCUCCGGUCAAUAACCAAUAGCGGGACCUGGAUGCCCAUAUUGGCUCCUACAUUUUCUCCGAAGAUCUUUAUCGGUCAGACCGCAUAACAAAAUACGUUGUUCCCUUUUCAUCGGUAUGUUACUUGCCCGAGAUUUGAUCGUUGGUAUCUCAAUACCUAGUUCAAUCUCGUUACCGGCAAGUCUCUUUACUCGUUCCGUAAUACAUCAUCUCGCAACUAACUCAUUAGUUGCAAUGCUUGCAAGGCUUAUGUGAUGUGCAUUACCGAGAGGGCCCAGAGAUACCUCUCCGACAAUCGGAGUGACAAAUCCUAAUCUCGAAAUACGCCAACCCAACAUCUACCUUUGGAGACACCUGUAGAGCUCCUUUAUAAUCACCCAGUUACAUUGUGACGUUUGUUAGCACACAAAGUGUUCCUCCGGGAAACGGGAGUUGCAUAAUCACAUAGUCAUAGGAACAUGUAUAAGUCAUGAAGAAAGCAGUAGCAACAUACUAAACGAUCGGGUGCUAAGCUAAUGAAAUGGGUCAUGUCAAUCAGAUCAUUCAACCAAUGAUGUGACCUCGUUAAUCAAAUAACAACACCUUGUUCAUGGUUAGGAAACAUAACCAUCUUUGAUUAACGAGCUAGUCAUGUAGAGGCAUACUAGUGACACUAAGUUUGUCUAUGUAUUCACACAUGUAUUAUGUUUCCGGUUAAUACAAUUCUAGUAUGAAUAAUAAACAUUUAUCAUGAUAUAAGGAAAUAAAUAAUAACUUUAUUAUUGCCUCUAAGGCAUAUUUCCUUCAUCUAUCCCCCUAGGAGCAUGCGCGUAGUACCGAGGUUUUUGAUGACUUGUAGAUUUUUGCAAUGAGUAUGUGAGUUCUUUAUGACUAAUGUUGAGUCCAUGAAUUAUACGCACUCUCACCCUUCCAUCCUUGCUAGCCUCUUCGGUACCGUGCAUUGCCCUUUCCCACAUUGAGUGUUGGAGCAAACUUCGCCAAUGCAUCCAAACCCUGUGAUAUGAUACGCUCUUUCACACAUAAACCUCCUUAUAUCUUCCUCAAAACAGCCACCAUACCUACCUAUUAUGGCAUUUCCAUAGCCAUUCCGACUUAUAUUGCCAUGCAACUUUCCACCAUUCCGUUCAUCAUGACACAUUUAGCAUUGUCAUAUUGCUUAGCAUAAUCAUGUAGUUGACAUAGUAUUUGUGGCAAAGCCACCGUUCAUAAUUCUUUCCUACAUGUCACUAUUGGUCCACUGCAUAUCCGGUACACCGCCGGAGGCAUUUAUAUAGAGUCAUACUUUGUUCUAGUAUCGAGUAGUAAUUAUUGAGUUGUAAAUAAAUAGAAGUGUGAUGAUCAUCAUUAAUAGAGCAUGGUCCCAAAAAGAGAAAAAAGGAAGGGCCAAAAAAAGGCCAAAUAAAAAAAUAUAAAAAAGGGGGGCAAUGCUACUAUCCUUUUUUUCCACACUUGUGAUUCAAAGUAGCACCGUAAUCUUCAUGAUAGAGAGUAUCUUGAUUUGUCACUUUCAUAUACUAGUGGGAAUUUUGCAUUGUAGAACAAUGGGCCUCCUCAAGUGCCCUAGCUCUUCGUGAGCAAGCAAGUUGGAUGCACACCCACUUAGUUUCUUUUGUUGAGCUUUCAUACAUUUAUAGCUCUAGUGCAUCCGUUGCAUGGCAAUCCUUACUCCUUGCAUUAACAUCAAUCGAUGGGCAUCUCCAUAGCCCAUUGAUUAGCCUCAUUGAUGUGAGACUUUCUCCUUUUUGUCUUCUCCACAUAACCCCAGUGAUUAUAUUCUAUUCCACCCAUAGUUUUAUGUCCAUGGCUUGCAAUCAUAUAUUGCGUGAAAGUUUAUAGGUUUGAGAUCACUAAAGUAUGAAACAAUUGCUUGGCUUGUCAUCGGGGUUGUGCAUGAUGAGAGCAUUCUUGUGUGAAGAAAAUGAAGCAUGAUUAAACUAUAUGAUUUUGUAGGGAUGAACUUUCUUUGGCCAUGUUAUUUUGAGAAGACAUAAUUGCUCAGUUAGUAUGCUUGACUCUUUUGGAUCUGAAUAUUCAUACCACAAGUAAGAAGAAUUACAUUAAAAUCAUGCCAAGUAGCACUCCGCAUCAAAAAUUCUGUUUUUAUCAUUUACCUACUCUAGGACGAGCAGGAAUUAAGCUUGGGGAUGCUUGAUACGUCUCCAACGUAACUAUAAUUUUUGAUUGCUCCAUGCUAUAUUAUCUACUGUUUUGGACAAUAUUGGGCUUUAUUAUCCACUUUUAUAUUAUUUUGUAACUAACCUAUUAUCUACUGUUUUGGACAAUAUUGCCUAGAUUUGCUGUUUUUUUGCCUGUUUUAGGGUUUCGAAGAAAAGGAAUAUCAAACGGAGUCCAAACGGAAUGAAACCUUCGGGAACGUGAUUUUCUCAACGAACAAGACCCAGGAGACUUGGACCCUCCGUCAAGACACAAAAGAGGAGGCCACGAGGUAGAGGGCGUGCCUACCCCCCCCCCCCUGCGCGCCCACCACCCUCGUGGGCCCCCUGUUGCUCCACCGACGUACUCCUUCCUCCUAUAUAUACCUACGUACCCCCAAACGAUCAUAUACGGAGCCAAAACCCUAAUUCCACCGCCGCAACUUUCUGUAUCCACGAGAUCCCAUCUUGGGGCCUGUUCCGGAGCUCCGCCAGAGGGGGCAUCGAUCACGGAGUGCUUCUACAUCAACACCAUAACCUCUCCGAUGAAGUGUGAGUAGUUCACCUCAGACCUACUGUUCCAUAGUUAUUAGCUAGAUGGCUUCUUCUCUCUUUUUGGAUCUAAAUACAAUGUUCUCCCCCUCUCUUGUGGAGAAUUAUUCGAUGUAAUCUUCUUUUUGCGGUGUGUUUGUUGAGACCGAUGAAUUGUGGGUUUAUGAUCAAGUCUAUCUAUGAAUAAUAUUUCAAUCUUCUCUGAAUUAUUUUAUGUAUGAUUGGUUAUCUUUGCAAGUCUCUUCGAAUUAUCAGUUUGGUUUGGCCUACUAGAUUGAUCUUUCCUGCAAUGGGAGAAGUGCUUAGCUUUGGGUUCAAUCUUGCGGUGUCCUUUCCCAGUGACAGUAGGGGCAGCAAGGCACGUAUUGUAUUGUUGCCAUCGAGGACAACAAGAUGGGGUUUUCAUCAUAUUGCAUGUGUCUAUCCCUCUACAUCAUGUUAUCUUGCUUAAGGCGUUAAUCUGUUUUUAACAUAAUACUCUAGAUGCAUGCUGGAUAGCUGUCGAUGAGUGGAGUAAUAGUAGUAGAUGUAGGCAGGAGCGGUCUACUUGUCUCGGACGUGAUGCCUAUAUACAUGAUGAUACCUAGAUAUUAUCAUAACUAUGCUCAAUUCUGUCAAUUGCUCAACAGUAAUUUGUUCACCCACCGUAGAAUACUUAUGCUCUCGAGGGAAGCCACUAGUGAAACCUAUGGCCCCGGGUCUAUCUUUAUCAUAUUAAUCUCCUACUACUUAGUUAUUUCCUUUGCUUUUUUACUUUGCCUUUAUUUUACUUUGCAUCUUUAUCACAAAAAUACCAAUAAAAUUAUCUUUAUCAUAUCUAUCAAAUCUCACUCUUGUAAGUGGCCGUGUAGGGAUUGACAACCCCUAUUCGCGUUGGUUGCGAGGAUUUAUUUGUUUUGUGCAGGUACGAGGGACUCGUGCGUAGCCUCCUACUGGAUUGAUACCUUGGUUCUCAAAACCUAAGGGAAAUACUUACGCUACUUUGCUGCAUCAUCCCUUCCUCUUCGGGGAAAACCAACGCAGUGCUCAAGAGGUAGCAAGGGUUCCUUUUUGUCGACGAUCCUAUGUUUCAACCUUGUUUUCCAGGCGGCCAAUGCGUCGCUAAACUUGGGCAUGGCGUGUUUGUUUAUCUUCUUCAUUGCCAGGUCCUUAUCUGGAUCUUUAUUAUCCUUUUCAUUGCGGUUAAUGAACAAGAAUAUCUGGUGCCGCUUCUUUAAAAGGGAGGGCCUCAUAUUAUCUAUCUUCUGUAGUUUCCCAUCGUUGAUCGUGGCAGUUGUCCGUACGAUGCAACCUAUUUGAUUGCCAUAGCACGAUUGCGCUUCCUCGGGCGCUAUUGUCUCAAAAAUACCGUUGUCCAUCUCCGUGACCACCAGUCUAGUACUCGUGAGCUGGUUUCGGCGCCGUGGCCUCUUUGCUUUCGGUUCUAGACCAGCUCCGCUAGUCUCGGCGCCGGUCUCAGUCUCAUCGCCGGUCUGCAUGUCGGUAUCAGUCCCCGAUGCGACAGCACAGUCGCUGCAACAUGGGUAAGGGAGACCACAUCAGUGCUGGGGGGGUCUGAAAAUUGGGACACACUUUCGCGCAUCGCGGGCCGCCUCUCAGACAGCUACUGGGGAGGCGGCGGAGUACCUGGGUGCGCGGUAAAUCCCCGGGAACUCGGUGACCAACUUCCUUCCCGUGUGGUGCAUGGAGACGACGACGACCCCGGCAAAGAGCAGCUUAGCCGUGAGCUGCACAGCCUCGUCCACCUCCUAAGUUGGGUCCUCCGCGCGAGCGUUGCGGGGCCGCCGCUCGGAUGGCUUCUGGAAGGCGCUUGUACAUGGGCAUAGGGUGAAUCCCGGCGAGAGCUAGCCAUUGGCGCGCGCAAGUAGACGACGACGUCCCCGACGAAGAGCAGCCCGGCCAGCUCGCCUCACUCUCCUUUGAUUAGAAUUGAAAGAUUGGGAAGAAGCAGACUUGAGCCUGCAGGGAAAGGAUAAGGUGACGAUGCAGUCUCCACUCGUUCGGGGCGACACGCGAAUUGAAUGUAUGAGAAACGUGACGUGGCAGGGACCCCAAGAUACUCCCUCCAUUUAUUUUUAGUCUGCAUAUAAAGUUUGGUCAAAGUCAAGAUUUGUAAAUUUUAACUAACUUUAUAAUAAAAAAAUAUCAACAUUCACAAUAUGAAAUAAUUAUUACCAGAUGCGUGAAGAAAUGUAUUUCCAUACUAUAUAGUUUUGGUAUUGGAGAUGUUCAUAUUUUUUUAUAUAAAUGGGAAGUAGAGGCACUCUUCCAUAUAAUGAAGUUUAUAAUAUAUGUGCUUAUAUUGUACUAUAAUUGUUUGAAUAACUUAGCAUAUGUUCAGAUGUAUGAUAUCUGUAAUUUAAGCGCUUGAAUUUUACAUAUAAAUAUUUAUUAAUAAAUAUGUACCCCUAUAAUAGCUAGGCCGUGCAGUUGCACGGGUAGAUGACUAGUGAUUACAGUCUUGUUUGUGUGCAAGUCAAGCUUAUCUAGUUUACACGUAACAACUCGUAGAACAUGUUUAUGCUUGCUAAUAACUUCUAGAACACUACAACACUUUACAUGUAAAAGGAAUUUCACGAGUCAUGGCCUACUAAAGCAAGUUACAUUACUAGUCUUAUAUCUAUCUUAACAGACCACACAAGACUACAAACUAAGUACCAUGACAGCCAUGCUUAUCUAGUUUAUGCGUAACAAUUUGCAGAAAAUUACAAACUUAGUUUUAGAAAAAUGGGCAAUCCAGAUUAGUGUUUGAGCUGUAAAGUGAAUAAGAUGAGUCAUGUGUGUUAUCACACCUUUUUGGUGGUGGAAUGAUAGUGCAACAACAAGGAACUUUAAUGAACAGUGCAAGAAUACACUUGUAAGUAGUGCCACCAAACAGAACAUACCAAAUGAUGAUUUUGAGAAGCAUCCAAGCACUUUCCACACAAACAAAUGCCAAUUGUGAAAGAGAUCAUUCCAUGGCAGCUAUAAAUAGCCCCGUAGCAUGACGAUCAUCCUUCCUCAUCCAUCAUUCUCAUAAGUAGAACGCAUCAUUUAAGCCAAGCAAGGUGUGGUCAAUACAAAUCCACCAUGAAGACAUUUCUCAUCCUUGCCCUCCUUGCUAUCGUGGCGACCACCGCCACAACUGCAGUUAGAGUUCCAGUGCCACAAUUGCAGCCACAAAAUCCAUCUCAGCAACAGCCACAAGAGCAAGUUCCAUUGGUACAACAACAACAAUUUCUAGGGCAGCAACAACCAUUUCCACCACAACAACCAUAUCCACAGCCGCAACCAUUUCCAUCACAACAACCAUAUCUGCAGCUGCAACCAUUUCCGCAGCCGCAACUACCAUAUUCGCAGCCACAACCAUUUCGACCACAACAACCAUAUCCACAACCGCAACCACAGUAUUCGCAACUACAACAACCAAUUUCACAGCAGCAGCAGCAGCAGCAACAACAACAACAACAACAACAACAACAACAACAACAACAACAACAACAACAACAACAACAACAACAACAACAACAACAACAAGAACAACAAAUCCUUCAACAAAUUUUGCAACAACAACUAAUUCCAUGCAUGGAUGUUGUAUUACAGCAACACAACAUAGCGCAUGGAAGAUCACAAGUUUUGCAACAAAGUACUUACCAGCUGUUGCAAGAAUUGUGUUGUCAGCACCUAUGGCAGAUCCCUGAGCAGUCGCAGUGCCAGGCCAUCCACAAUGUUGUUCAUGCUAUUAUUCUGCAUCAACAACAAAAACAACAACAACAACAACCAUCGAGCCAGGUCUCCUUCCAACAGCCUCAACAACAAUAUCCAUUAGGCCAGGGCUCCUUCCGGCCAUCUCAGCAAAACCCACAGGCCCAGGGCUCUGUCCAGCCUCAACAACUGCCCCAGUUCGAGGAAAUAAGGAACCUAGCGCUACAGACGCUACCUGCAAUGUGCAAUGUCUACAUCCCUCCAUAUUGCACCAUCGUGCCAUUUGGCAUCUUCGGUACUAACUGAGAAGAAAAUAACUCUAGUACUAGAUAUAUGAAACACCGUUUUCUCAGUCCAUGGUUUGGUCAUUGUAGCGGUGAAAAAAUAAUGUGACAUGCACUAUCAUGUAAGAACCCGAACUAUACUAGUUCAAACUUGGGAAUAAAAGACAAACACAGGUCUUGUCUACAUAUUUAUGUUGCAUUUAUCUAAAGAUAACAAAAUGAGUCUAAAAUUUGAAUUAAAUUGAAGUAUUUUCUUGGACUUUAAUUUGCACAUUAAUUAGAAAUUACUAUCCCUCGAUCUGGUAAAUCUUAACAAAUAGAAUUAUCUUGACCGUUAGAUUUAUGUAACAUAUAUAAUGCUCUGGGCCUCCAACGACUGUACGUGACACAUCUGAACGCACAUAUGUUAAAGAAAAUAUAUUUUGUAAAUGGUGGGCCUCUUUAAAAAGAGAACUUACGUACAUACACCAACUAAGAAAAACACAUACAUGUAAAUGGGAAAAGGAUGAGAUUUUCUCACGUACAUGUGUUGAUGCUUAAAAGUGGCACGAUCAUAAAGCAGCAUGCCGGGGCGAAAACCUUGCCGGGGUAAAAUCUUGCUGGUGUGAAAGCUUGCCGGUGUGAAGGCUUGCCGGCGUGGAAACCUUGCCGGCACAGAAAGAUCGCCGGUGCUUGCCGGUGUGAAAUCUUGCCGGGGGAGAAACCUUGUCAGGGAGGAACCCUUGCCGGAGUACAAACCUUGCCGGAGUGAAACCUUGCCGGUGUGAAAGCUUGCCGGGUAGAAACUUUGCCGGUGUGGAAAGCUUACUCGGAUGGAAAACUUGCCGGGUUGGAGGCUGAGAUAGUCAAUCGAACGAGAAGUUGAAGAUGGGCUCAAAAGGUUAUUCAGAUGAUCUCGGAUGGAAAAAUGAUCUACAGGGUUGUCUUCGUCUCGUCGAAACGAUCGAUUUUGAUAUAAAAAUCAUUCAAAUCCGAGUUCGUAUGCAAAAGUUAGAGCAAUCAGAGUGCAGCCCUGUCACGAGGCGAGAUGUGGCACGCCCACCAGACACAUGUCUGACGGGUAGUGUGAGGAAAUAGCCUGUGUUGCGAGACCGAUCUGACCCUCAAGAUGACCUCUGAUCAAAAAACCUUCAACAUGAAAGUUGUUCGUCUCGUCGAAACGGUCAAGAUUGCUUUUGGGCUUGUUUUCAUCCGGAAUCGUUUACCACCGCAAAAAAGACCCGCAAGGUGCAGCCAGUUUUAACCGAACAGUUUUGGAAAGUUUGGAUAAACCAGUCCGAAUUUGACUAAUGUUUUGGACGUGAAUUGAUGUAAUUUUCUUGUAAGGAAAGCCUAGAUAAAUUCUUGGCUUGUACGGGAAGUCCAGCUGCCUCUUAUAUAUGUUGGGGGUGGCGGCCGAUUGAAACAACACAUAAUCGAACAAACACAUAUACUACUUUUUCGUGUUCAUCUACUUUUUAUCUCUCCCUUGUAUCUUUCUUCUCGUUCUUCGCUAGUUCUUCAUGCUGGAGGGCUGCGGAUCCACGAGGCUCUAGGGGCGAGUGAAUCGACCUAGGGCAGCCCAUAGCCGCCGCAAUCCCUGACGGGGUCCCUCCCGGGUGCGCGGGGUUUCGGGUCUGCAAAAGCGCCCGCCGACUGCCUUGCGUAUCACGCUGUCGGUCGGGUCUCCUUCGACGUGAGCUACGGUGCAUCACCCCCGGCGUCGAGGGUAAACGUGACAUGUUCGUGUGCGAACACACUUUUUGGCGACUCCGCUGGGGACGAAGCUCUGAACAGUCUCCAGCCUGUUCUUGCUACGAGGAGAGCGUCACCAAGCGGCUGCAAUCUACAACGGUAACAUGUAUCGUCAAUCUCCUUGCGUAGAUGCAAAUAGCCAUUAUGUUGAUGUUGCUAGAUCUUUCAACGGACAUGUGAUGUCGGCCAGCCCUAAUGAGGAAAGGCCGACUAGUUAUUCCAUUGGAGAAACUUGGAAUUUACAGAAUCGUGACAUGCAACUUAUGAAUCUGAACUUUCGUGCAUCGGCAACAACUUUCAAUAUGCCGGUGAACAACACGAUUUGUUCGAGUGAUCAAUAUAGGACACCUCAUGUACAGGAGGGUAUCUCAAAGUUUUAUCCAUCGGCAGCCGGCUCGCAAUAUGCGGGUUCAUCCCCAAACAUGCCGAUGAAUGGGGGAAUCGGUCAUGCUUUUGUUAGCUAUUUGGCCGGUUAUCCUCAAACAUCAUAUACUACACCUCAUCAGAUUAAUUGUUCAAUGGCGUAUGAAACUAAAAAUAUUCAUAACUCGGCUCACGUUCACGGUCAUGGCCGAGUGAAUGGAGAUACUAUAGGAGCAUAUGUGCCUAAUAUUGCAGGAGAUGAGGUGGCUCUGGCUGCAUUAAAAAUUUUAGCCCAAAAUAAGAAGAUUAGUGCUAUUUUCCUUGAGCAACACGACAAGGGAUUGGUUCCUGAUUAUGAGGCAAUAAGAGCUAGGGUUUUGAAAGAAGACCAAGUGUUGCCGAUUGAUCAAAUUGUCGAGAGAAAAUAUUCAACAACGAUGCACAUGCCUUCACCUAUCAUUGCAGCAUGUUAUACACCCCCUGUACAAGCGCAAAAUUUCGGCAACAUUAAUUCAUUGCCGAAAGAUCCUAAAAGUAUUGGGGGGCAAGCCGAUCCAAGCAGGGUUGAGUUUAAAGAAAAAUAUCUAGCCCAAGUGGACAAGAUCAAGCCAAAGCUCACAGGGAAUAGAGUCAACGAAUUUACUACACCUACCCUUGAGGAAUUACCAGCAGAAUAUCGACAGGCCUACGAAGCACUCAAGAAGAAACGUGGAGAGGGAUAUUUGCAAGAAUACUUCAAGUGCCUUCCUCCAUGUAGCAACCAUGUUGGCCCUUCUACACUGUUGAGGCAAGAUAAAAAAAGAAGCUUUGCAAGCAAACCAGCAAAAAAGGAUUCACUCGGCUAAUACGGUGGAUUCGGUUGAAACCGGAUUGAGCAACGGGAUGUUUAAGGCCGAGUGCGUUGCAUCGUGCCAGCCGAGUGCAUCGUUCCAGACGAGUGCAUCACCAGCUAAAGCCGAGUGCAUCAAGCCAACUAUUGCCUCGUGUACGAAAAUAGAAGAUGCAAGCUUGGCUGAGCAAAGGAACAACAAACGCAACAAAUUGGUUGUGCUCGAUUUUUCUGGAUCUAAGGGAGCUUACAUGCUACCUUAUGAGUUUCGUGCUAAAGAUAUUGAUGAGCAUCAAGAACACAGUAAUGGCUGAACACAGUUCAGUUAACGAUGAACAUCAAGACCAAGAAAAUGCGGCCGAGCAAAGUUCAACUGACAAAGAGCGUCCGAGUGAAAUCCACUCGGGCAAUCCGACUGAAAUAUACUCGGGCAAUUCGAGUGAAAUAUACUCAGGCAAUCCGAGUGAUGAGGCACCAGAUCCAGAAAAAGAGGAAGAGGCAUUGGAGAAUUAUUCAUAAGUGGAGCAAUGUAUUGUUCCAGUGGUGCAACCAUCUUCUCCUUCCAAUGUCUUCACAAAGGUACACCUAGAAGAUAGUUUACUCAAUUUUCAAUUCGGUCAAAAUGAUAUUGUUGAUGUACCUAUUAGUAAGAUUCUAAUUAAUUUUGAAAGACCAAUUGAAAUGAGUAAUCUUUUUGUUAGGAAGGAUCUUGUCACUAAUCAUGAUAGUCAACACAUGGUAUCGUUCAUAGAGGCUAAUAGUGACAACUUAUCAAAACCAAAGUUGUUCUUGUCAUGCCAACUGAACUUUGUAUUCAUAUGGACAACUUUGUUUGUUUCAUGCCCGGCUAACAUUUGGACUCGUAUGAGCCGUAUAUUCUGUAAUUAUUUUAGUUGCAGAAACAUAAAGCCAGGUCCAAAGUCCUUCGAAGCCAAUUCAAAUGCAUCAGGAAAAGAAGAUGAAUCUUUCCCAAUUGAUAAAAUUGGCGAGCAAAAAUAUGGUUUUACAACAAUGCAUAUGCCUUCACCUAAUACUACAUCAUAUUAUACAGCCCCUACACAAUUGCAAAGUUUCGGCAACACCCAUGUGCCAUUGCCGAAAGAGUCUAAAAGCAAUGGGGGACAAUCGUAUCCGAAGUGGGCUGAAAAUGAGAAAAAGAUUAAAGCCAAUUUCGCCACUCGCCGCCAGAAACAAAAAGAAACAGAAUUGGCUCAAGUGAAAGAAGCAUUGCCAAUUGGUAGAAGCAAUGUAAAGAAAGAUGAUUCAGAACAUGAAAGUACUCCGGUUAAAAGAGCCGAAUCAAGAAGUAUAUAUUCUGAAUCCAUCAAAUGCAAAGAGGCAAGCAUUAUUGAGAAAGGGCAUGGCAAGCAUAGCAAAGCGACCAUACUUGAUUUUUCUAAAGUUAAUGGAACCUACUUCCUGCCCUAUGAGUUUCGUGCCAGAGAAUUUUGAUGAACUUCAAGGACAAGAACAAGUAGCCGAACAAAGUUCGGCCGACAAAAAUCUUCAAUGUAAUGAUGCACGGAAUCAAGAAAAAGAUGAUGAAGAAGCGUUGGGGGGCCAUCCAAAGGCGGAGCAAGAUAUUGUUCAAGUCACACCACCAUCGUGCUCUCCCAACAUAUUUGAAGAGGUAUGUUUAGCAAGUAAUUUACUUAUUUUCAGAUUUGGUCAGGACUUUAUUGUUGAUGCAUCUAUUGGAAAAAUCCUCAUAAGUAAUUUUGAAAGACCAAUGAAGAAGGGUAAUUUACUUGCUAGCAAUAAAGUUGUUAUUGAGCAUAUCGGUCAACCCAUUACGCCAUUUAUAAAGACCGAUAGUGACUUAUUAUUACAGCCAAAGCUUUCCCCGUUGCUUUAUCUAAAGUUCAUAUCUAUUUGGGUAGCUUUGCUUAUUUCAUACUUGGCUUGCACUUGGUCUCAAUUGAGACAUGUGUGUUCUAACUAUUUUCGUUUUAGAAAUUUAAAGCCAAGAUUAAAUUCUGUUGAGAAAACCGAUGCUAGUAUAAUAUCUUACCCAAAGACAUCGGAGAUAGAGUGCAAAACACAAUGCAUAGCCGAAUGGUGUGAUGCAAAAUCUGAACCAUUCGUUUGCUUAAUUCCAAAGCCGUUCUCACAGCAAGAUCGGCUAGAAAACAAGAAGUAUACCUUCAAUUCAAGCAUGUGUGUUCAAAUAUUUGAUUUGUUGCUGAAAAAUAAUUACAUUACAAUUCUUGAUCACCAUGUUAAGCCAUCAAUCCAAGGACGAAUGUAUUGUAAGUUGCAUGAUUCGUCCAAGCAUGAUUUUGAGGAUUGCAACAUGUUUCGUCAAAUAGUUAAAUCGGCCAUUGAAAAAGGACGAUUGAAGUUUGUUGAAACACCAAGAGAUGACCAGUCUAUUCCGAUUGGUCCCGAUGGCAAAAAGUUUUUGCAUCGGCUGCUUCGAGCCGAUCCAUUUAAAGAGAAGGUAAAAACUGCAGGUGAUGGGAUCAAGCUUUCAACUAAAGAAGUUGUUGAAGAGCAUAAUGAACAUAAUCUUGAGGGUGAGAAUUCCAUCGAAGCUACAAUGGAGACGCCAAGGACUGGGGGGCAGCAAGCAAAUCCAACGAUCGAUGAAAGCAAACCAAAAGAAAACAAAGGCCGAAAUAAGCGCAAGUGUAAAAUAUCAAAAAUCACCUUCGCUGAACUAUUGGAGAAAUAUCAAAAGAAGAGUGAAGAGAAGAAUGCUUAUCGGCCCAAUCAUGCAAAGAAACCAAAAUCACCCCCAAGGCGCAAAUAUGAGGAUCCGUAUUGGCAAAGUGAGAGUUUCAAUGCAACAUAUUCAUAUCCUUAUUUUGGGCCGCCAAUGACAAUGCCGUGGAUGCCUCCCUAUACUCAUGUAGAUCCAUGUUCAUCAUGGGACAGGUAUGAUACAAGGGCACAUUCUCCAUCUUAUUUUAGACCAUCUCACCAAUAUUAUGCAGCUCCGAGAAGAUCAACAUUUGAACAGUCACAUGUUAAAGAUCGUUUCAAUUAUAAGGAAUCGGUCCGGACACCAUGGAUGAAAAAAGAGGUGGUCAACCAAGUCUACCGCGUGAAAAGAGAUGGUCGUAAGUGUGCUACUUCAGAUUUGAUCUCAAAUAAUAAAGAGCCAAUUAAAGUGUUGACAUUGUCUACAAAAGGCAAUGAGACGAAGCAACCAAUUAUUGAGAGUCAAAGUGCCAAAUCAGAAGAAAAGAAGUUGAGAGUGCACAAGGUCAAAAAGGAAUUGCCAUUGGUCAGAACAGAAUCAUAGCCGAGAUGCCCACUCGGCUUAUCGUAUUGGCAAAAGAGGGAAUUACACAAACUUAGUGCACAAGAACUUGAAGAAAGGAACAUGGCAUGGGUUCCCAAAGGAAGUGCUCAAAAUAAGAAUUAUGUGCAUGCCUCCAUUACAAGAAGUGCGGCAAAAGUGAAGAAGGAAAAGAGUAAAAACUAUGAAGGACCAAGCCGAAGGAUUCAACAUCUUUGGUCUACACAUUAUCCAUAUUCUUCAACUAUGCCAUUAACGCCUAUGCCAUGGAAUUCGUCAUCAGGUAUGAUUGGUAACCCUCAAUGGGCUUAUUUUAAUCCAUGGAUGCAAUAUAAUUUCUUACGUCAUGAAAGGGUAUUACCAAGUCACUAUACAUUUGAUUAGCUACAAGUUUGUUGCUGAUCCAGAGGGCCGAAAUACUUGAUUUGUCAUUUCAUUUGUUUAUUUCGGCUAUAUGUGCUUUGAAUGAAGUUUACAUGGUAAUGGCCGAUGAUAUUUAUCUAUCGUCCUAAGAGUAUGUCAAUUCAUGCCCGGUGUAGUAUUCUAAUAUCAUCCUUAGUUUGAUGGAGAGCGAGACAAGGUACAUGCUCAUGAAAAUUUAUAUGUAUGCCUAUAUUAUGAUUGAAUGGAGUUGAGACAUCAUGACCGAUGUCAUUGAAUAUAUGCUGCAUAGACCAAUUCAUAGCUGCAGAAUUGGUUGGUGGGCUUAUACUUUGUUUGGAUAUGAUUUGGCUUAUGCAUCUUUGAGAUCUAUAAGAGGCCAAAUCAUAGUUGAUUUUGUUACUGAACAUCGGAUUAGUGUCAUGCAUAAUAUUAAUAUUAUCCUUGUCUCUCUAGUACUAUGGAGAUUAUGUUUUGAUGGUUCAAUUCAUAGCAAUGGCCAAAGUGUUGGUGUUGUUUAUAUAUUUCUUUAUGGUACUAUUUUUUGAAGCCUCGUGCCGCUUAGAAUAUUUUUAUGCACGAUUAAUCAAGGCCGAAUAUGCAUUGUUAUUCGGAUUGACUCUUUUACUUGCUGUAGGUGUUAUACAGAUUGAGGCUUUUGGUGAUUCGUUAUGAGUAGUGCAACAAAUAUCCAAGGAUUAUCAAUGUGUUUUGACGAAUCACUUAUAGUUUAUCUUGGGUUUGUCUAGAUGAAGAAUUUACCUUGGGUUGCAUUAAAUUUUUUCAUAUAUUUAGACAUGACAAUUGGAGAGAGUUGGCAUAGCAAGCAUCCGGCUACCAUGUCCAUCAUGUUGUAUUGCGUUUCUCUCAAUAGCCGAUGCUUAGUCUUGUCAACAUAGGUAAGGCCGAACCGAAGUCUAGAACUUCGGACACUAAUGAAAUUUUUAUGCAGGCGAAAGUAAGGAUUGGAGAAAGUUUAUUGUUGAUUGUCUACAAAAUCCUAGCAAAAGGGUGAACAAUAUGGUUCGGAGUAUGACAUUGAGAUACAUAUCUAUGGAACUUUAUCACCGGAUUGUUAAUGAAGCUGAGAAGGUUUCACCCAAGUUUGCAUCAGAAAGUUCACACAAGACAUGGCCGAUAUAUACUUAUCGUCCUAAGAACAUAUAAAUGGCCGAUGGAGUGUUGACAUCGUCCUUAGAACAAACUUGGUACAAGUAUUUUUCGGCAUGCUAGCUUUACCGAAAAACGGGAGGGCAUGUGUUGACGCUCAAAAGUGGCACGAUCAUAAAGCAGCAUGCCGGGGCGAAAACCUUGCCGGGGUAAAAUCUUGCCGGUGUGAAAGCUUGCCGGUGUGAAGGCUUACCGGCGUGGAAAGCUUGCCGGCACAGAAAGAUCGCCGGUGCUUGCCGGUGUGAAAUCUUGCCGAGGGAGAAAUCUUGUCAGGGAGGAACCCUUGCCGGAGUACAAACCUUGCCAGAGUGAAACCUUGCCGGUGUGAAAGCUUGCCGGGUAGAAACAUUGCCGGUGUGGAAACCUUACUCGGAUGGAAAACUUGCCGGGUUGGAGGCUGUGAUAGUCAAUCGAACGAGAAGUUGAAGAUGGGCUCAAAAGGUUAUUUAGAUGAUCUCGGAUGGAAAAAUGAUCUACACGGGUUGUCUUCAUCUCGUCCAAACGAUCGAUUUUGAUAUAAAAAUCGUUCAAAUUUGAGUUUGUAUGCAAAAGUUAGAGCAAUCGGAGUGCAGCCCUGUCACGAGGCGAGAUGUGGCGCCCCCCACCAGACACAUAUCUGACGGGUAGCGCGAGGAAAUAGCCUGUGUUGCGAGACCGAUCUGACCCUCAAGAUGAUCUCUGAUCAAAAAACCUUCAACAUGAAAGUUUUUCGUCUCGUCGAAACAGUCAAGAUUGCUUUUGGGCUUGUUUUCAUCCGGGAUCGUUUACCACCGCAAAAAAGACCCGCAAUGUGCAGCCAGUUUAAACCGAACAGUUUUGGAAAGUUCGGAUAAACCAGUCGGAAUUUGACUAGGGUUUUGGACGUGAAUUGAUGUAAUUUUCUUGUAAGGAAAGCCUAGAUAAAUUCUUUGCUUGUACGGGGAGUCCAGCCGCCUCUUAUAUAUGUUGGGGGUGACGGCCGAUUGAAACAACACACAAUCGAACAAACACAUCUACUACUUUUUCGUGUUCAUCUACUUUUUAUCUCUCCCUUGUAUCUUUCUUCUCGUUUUUCGCAAGUUCUUCAUGCUGGAGGGCUGCGGAUCCACGAGGCUCUAGGGCCGAGCGAAUCGACCUAGGGCAGCCCAUAGCCGCCGCAAUCCCUAACGGGGUCCCUCUCAGGUGCGCGGGAUUUCGGGUCUACAAAAGCGCCCGCCGACUGUCUUGCGUAUCGCGCUGUCGGUCGGGUCUCCUUCGACGUGAGCUGCGGUGCAUCACCCCCGGCGUCAAGGUUACAUGUGACGUGUUCGUGUGCGAACAACGUGCUCCCUGGCUCCACCCCGUUGAAAAAAUAUACAUUUGGAGGCCACUUUGUUUCCUCAUCAAAAAAAACUUACGUUAAAAAGAUUGCAUGCAUCCCAGGGAAAGUAAUCAAGAAGAAGUCGGACUCUUCCUUACAAAAACAAGGAACGUGUUAAGUUAACUUCAAAGAAAAAGGAACAUGUUAAGUUAAAAAAAAGAAGAAACAUGUUAAGUUAGAAAAAAACAAGGAACGUGUUGUCCUAGGAAAGAUAUGUGUCAAAUCUUACAAAAAAAAGAAUACACACACGUACGUUCAUGCACUUGGAAAAUAGAAAAAAAAGGAACAUCACGUAUGUAUACACUUCGGAAACUCAUUACAUGACCAUGUCUGAUAUACUCAUCUAAUGCUUAAUAUUAGUGCCUAAUAAUUUAUAUUUAAAAUUUAAUUUACUGAUCAAAUAUCCCCAAUGUUUAAAUUUUAAUUUGGCACAUUGUUUGGCUAUAGUAUGAACCUAAAUUUCCUCUUAUUAUUAUAUAUCAUGAUAAUAAUCCAAAGGCGACUAAUCUGCGCUGGUGCACCGGGGCAAUCAAUUCGGCCGGACACAGCGCGGCCUUUUGAUUAGAUUGCAUUUAACCGUCUGAUCUGGAAUUGUUUUCUUUCCAAUUAAACGGAUUCAACCAAACAGCAGAGGGGAAAACAAAGCAGCGCCGCCGCCAACACUAGCCAUGGACGAUCGAUGUAGCAAAACCUUGAAGAACCGCCGCCGGUCGCCACCCUCGCCGCUGGUGGCCGCCCUCGCCAUCGGUCACCGCCGGUCGCCGCCCUCGCCGCCUGCGUUUCUCAUCGGCUUCAUGCAUGCAACAACAUGCACUCGUGGUUGCAGGCUUGCAGCUCCGGCUCCGGGGGACAUGGCCGCAUCUCCGGUAACGCCGGCCGCCAACCAUAGCACCUGUCAUUGUGGUCGCGUUGUACCUCACCGUGUGCCCUCCCAAGGCUCUUGCUGGUUCCAACAAAAAACGAUACCUGUUGUAGCAAAAAAGUUUAUCGCUUCCAGCAAAAAAGCUUUCCGCUACAGCCCGCCAUUGUCAUUGUAGCAAAAAUGUUAACCCGAUGUAGCUUUUGUGGUUGCCGACUGCAACAAAAAAUGACAUGGUUGAAGCAAAACACAAAAGAAAAACGCCGGCCGGCCGCUGUGUAUGGUGGUAACAAACCCUAUAGCCGGUGGUAGCGAAAAACUUCAUAGUUUGCAGCAAAAAAAUGUUGUCGCCCGUCGUCGAGGUUGCAUCAUCUUCAUGAAUUAUGUCGCAAAAAAACAUUGUCGCCGGUAGUAGCAAAUGAAGCCGCCCGGUAGUAGCAAAACAAGACACUGGUUCCAGCCAAAAAAAAUCAGCGACAGAACCUUUGGUUGGUUCCAACAAAAAAACUUGUCGGUUGUAACAUCCCUCGCCGCCGGAUGUAGCAUCUCCCGGGGCUGGUUGCAACACUCUAAAAAAAAGUUGUCUAAGAGCGCAUCCAUGGCGACUGCUGCACCGUCAGCAACGAGGGGAAGAGGAGGCAAUGAAAAUCGUUCGAGUCGUAGCUCCACAGGACGCGGCUGCAGCAUGGGGAGUCCAAAAAUCUGUCACAAGCAACAUGCGCCUCGCCAUCCUCCUGCGUAGGAGAGAGAAGAAAAAGGAAUAAGAGGAAGAAGAAAGGAAACGGGAGAAAGAAAAAAGAAACGAUUGGUGGUGGGCUGAGGCAAUUAGUCAAACGAGGGGCACGCGGGGCCGCAGGAUACAGCGCAAUCGAACGAAGCACGCGCGUCCGGCCGAAGACUCGGCCGGACUGCCGGCUGGAAACGUUUCCCUAAUCCAAAGGCUUUGUCUGAAUGACAAGUCGUCUAGGUUACCGGCUAACUAGAAAAAAGAUAAAUAUGCUAGAGAAUUUCAUAAUAAUUAGAAAUAUCUAGCCUUUAAUUAUGUAAAUCAGAAAAUCACAACCGUAGGAUUUACUUUAAAGGUAAAUUUCUCUAAAUUCCCACCAUUGCCAGUAUGUAGAAACAUGUGCUGCUUCAAUUCUCCCAUAAUCACCAAUCAAUCAACAACACAAAACAUACCUCAGUUAAAAAAAACUGAACAAAAAAAAGAAAAAAAGAAGAAAGGACAAGAUACACGCAUGUACACGACAGCCUUGGCUUGAAACACAUCAGUAGAUCAAGUGUCCGCCUCCCUUACACAGAAUAAAUUCUAGGGAAGAAAAUAAUAGUGCAACCUAACCUUAUACGUACUAUUCUAUCCUCACGUCCCAUGAGGUUUACUAGCCUACCGCCGCCGCAUCAUGCCAUCCUCUCCUUUCAGCUCCCAUGCUCUCCAGCAUCCUCCUUGCCGCGCCACUACUCGCCUAGGAAUAUUGCUGCUCAGACCGCGGAGCUUAACCUGCUUCUUCUUCAGCAAAUAUGGAACUGCUUUAGGAUCCUUCUCACAUCAGCACGUAUGGGCCUCAUUAUACUGCAGCUCCUGGACCUCCUACAAUUGGUUGGCUAUGGCCAGUUGAUCGAUGUGCUGAAGUCUAGGUCUGUUUGCUGGCACAUAUGCUUUGGAAAUAGGCCACUAUGUUUGUACUUCAAAAUUGUUUCGGUAUUCUUGAGUGGUACAUCCUUUUAAGUGCCAGUUUUUUAUGUUAAUUCGACAACACUUAACCUAGCCUUUCAUGUUCACGUACUAAAUACAGGAGCAAGUAAAAAAAACAGACCACCUAAUUGCUCUGCAAGUUCUACAUAGGAAAAUUUGUCAUGUUCUACGAUCGCACCAUCCCACCCUUCUCUCUUGGUAUGGGCGCCAAUUGAGGGAUUGAUAAAACUGAAAUGAAGACGUCACAGGGCUGGAAGUACCGCUAGCCUGGUUUGCACUGCAACCUACCCAACGCCAUCAGAAACUAGCAACUGAGGCAGGUGUUGAUCGAUUCUCUCAAAUUGCUCUCAUGUAAGUACUACCCCUUGCAUGUGCGUACAUACCUUUGUUGCAUUCUCAAACAGAUAGAACAUGUAUGAUCGGUGCAUGGCUAUUUUUAGGUAUAGCGACUGCACAACUUCUUCAACUCCAUAUGAUGCUAGUGUAUUGCAUCGAAAGAAUCAACGGAUUGCUAGAGAUCAACUGAGGUAUUCUCAUAUUAUUGGCUCGCUUAUGUAUUUGACGACUGCCACGAGGCCUAACAUCUCGUUUGCUGUUAGCAAGCUGAGUCGGUUUGUGUAAAAACCAGGAGAUGAUCAUUGCCAUGCGCUUGAGAGAGUUAUGCGCUAUUUGAAAGGCACCGCGAGCAAUGGGAUUCACUACACCGGGUAUCCAAGGGUACUGGAGGGUUAUAGUGACUCAAACUGGAUAUCUGAUGCUAAUGAGAUUAAGGCCACAAGUGGUUAUGUUUUUACACUUGGUGGUGGCACUGUUUCUUGGAAGUCCUGCAAACAGACCAUCUUAAUGAGGUCAACUAUGGAAGCGGAACUCACAGCAUUAGAAACUACCACUGUUGAAGCAGAGUGGCUUCGUGAGUUCUUGAUGGACUUACCUAUAGUUGAAAAACCAAUACCCCCUAUCCCUAUGAACUGUGAUAAUCAAACUGUGAUUGUCAAGAUAAACAGUUCUAAGGACAAUAUGAAGUCCUCAAGGCAUGUGAAGAGGAGACUGAAAUCUGUCAGAAAAUUGAGGAACUCCGAAGUUAUUACGUUGGAUUAUAUCAAAACGUCGAAAAAUUUGGCUGAUCCCUUCACAAAGGGUCUAUCACGUAAUGUGAUAGAUAAUGCAUCGAUGGAGAUGGGUCUGAGACCCACCGCAUGAGUUGUCCAUAGUGGUAACCCACUCUAUGUGAUCGGAGAUCCCGUGAAGUAGAAGUGGGAGACAAGUUGUUGGUCAGCUGGGAGGAGAGUAUCCCUAUAUUACCUAUCCCACUCCCUGAAGAUGCAAUACUCUCCUAAUCUGCAUGGCAGGUUGAUACUUACCUUAAUGUGUUCCAAGUGGCUUAUUCGGGUAAGUAGAAAUGUUGUCCUGCAGAACAUCUUCUGAGGAACACACCUAUAUGAAUUUGACUGUUAACAUUGUAGUCUGUGAGAAUUGGGUGUUCUCUAAUAAAUUCAUGAAAAGGCCCUGGAGUAUGACGUAUACGCUCCACCCGCGGGGAAGCCUUGCGGCAGCCUAGUAUCGGUCAAGAAUUUGUGUGAAACUAGUCUCGCAGAAAAUUUGUAGUUCAAGGCAUAGUCCACUAUUUAAGUUGUGAUCUAGUGUAGCAUAAAUCUCUAAGUGGAAGUUCAACUUCAUAGUCUCCACUAAGCACCGGUAUAUAAACAAUGUUUUGGAACUAAAUGAUGAGAUGUUCCAAUGAGUCUUUGUGGGGGAAUUGUUGGAAUUUUGCUAGUACGCCUUUGGCCCAAAGCCCAACUAAAAUUAUGAAAUUUUCUUGGCCCAUUCAUGCAUACAUGUGAGUGGAGUGAGUGAGACUAAAGUAUAGUCCCACCCCGGAAGUUGAGAGAGAGCACCUCUUUAUAAGGUAAGCUCUUCUACCACUUGUAUGAGCAUGAGAAUAGGAGACCUACACACGCGCUCCUCCUUGCUCGCCACGCCACGCCUCGUCACGACGCGCUGCAGGUUGCGGGAUUGAGCGGAGCCGAGGACAGAGCUAUGCACGUUGUCUAUUUUUUGCUACCCGGGAAAAAUUAAUGAGUCAUUAAUUAAUAAUUAAUGGACGCGUUAAUAACUGAACCGUUUCCGAUUCUUUUGGAUCGUGACGACUCGGACAUGGGGUUUACUCCCACGACCUACCCGGCCCGCACUAUAUAGUCAGUCAGACGUCUACCCUAGCCGCCGCCGCUUCGUAUGGUUUCUCACCACCAUUCCAGAUCAUUGCGCCGCAAAGCAAGUCUUCUCCAUACCUCCUUUCGGCGUGCACUGGGAGAAGGAACAGCAGGCCUUCGGAACCCCGCCGCUCGUGAUCCUGUACGGGAGAGGGGCGAUCAGGUUUUUGGGGAGCGCACUCGCGCGACUGCUGGCAGCGACGACUUCGCGAAUGACGACUUCAUCCCGGACCUCGGCAACCUCAUCCUCGACGACAUGGGUGACAACGUCAACGCCGGCGGUGCUGCAGCCGCUGCACCGUAUGUUAUUCUAUCCUUCUUGUUCGAGAUCGUGGUAGAAUUCAGGUUUCUAGUAUGUGCCCUAGAUGUGAUCUGUUCAUCUACUCUGCUAGUUCGCAUGAUUAGUUUAAUCUCUGCUAUUGCUGUCAUGAUCUAUUUCCAAUUUAUUCGGAUUAAAUCUCGUAGUAAUUUGCUCAUUUUUCCAACAAUGCCAUCUGAUAGAUGAUGUAAUUCUCGUCAAGUUUGACGUUGUUGAGCUAAUUUACAAAAAAACCUCAUCAUUAUUGGAUGUCCUUAACAGCUCAAGAACAAGUUGGGGUCGAACUAAUGGAUUUUACACUUUUACAUUAAAGGUUUAGCUAAAGCUAGCAGGUGUUUUUAAACCUGAUUUUUUUCCUCCUAAAUUUCUUUGUAUUUUCUUAUUGACACUAUUUAUACAAUCAUCUGACAAAGAUUUGCUAAAGCUGCUUGUAGAUACGUUGAAACCUGAAAAGCUUCUUUGGUUUUCUCAUAGGUCUUAAUUCUUAUGUAAUACCAAGAUGCAUUGUGGUAGUGUACAUGUGUUAAAUUCGUGUUGUUAUUCACAAUUUGCGACAAAAUUUAGCUCACGCUACAUUUCAAUAUGUUGAAAUGUGAAAGCUCUUUUUCUUCUCCUUUCUACACCUUGCAUCGGAUUGCAUCCCUUUAGUUAUCCAACAUUUUGUACAACAUGUAGAGAUUAGGAAGUUCAUCAUAGUUUGUCUAUUUCGGUGCUAAUAAAUGUAUGAAAUCUGCAUUUCCAAGCUAUUAGGACAAGUAAAAAAUAAUAAUUUUACUAUAGGAUUCAAAAACAGCAGUUCUGAAGUGCACUUUAUUUAUUUGCGAAAGUGACCACAUUUUGUUUCAUUUUUCUAUAGACAAAUCUACUAAUACAUACUCACGAUAAAACUAUAAAAGUUCUAGUCCGCACAUUGGGCGGGCCACCCGGCUGGUUCGUCUAAAGAAAACAAAAUGAGUCUGGAAUUUGAAUUAAAUUGAAGUAUUUUCUUGGACUUUCAAAUUGAGUAUAGUUAAAGUAGUAAGGACUAUCCACAUCCUUGGCUUGCCCCUAAUCAAUUAUUUCCAGAGAAGCAUUCAAUUCAUCAAUCAAUUACAUUGAUUUUAGUGGCUGGUACUUCUCCUGAACAUCAGUAUAUUCACCGUGGCCACUCCAAAUCGGCAAGAAUGAGGUACCAGUGCUCUGGAGCAGUGCAAGCUAAUUGCUUCUCAUGUGAAGGGGUGCGGGCGCGGGAGAGGUAUUUCUGGUGGGCCAAGGGACUAAGAAGCGACCGUGGCAGCGGUACAGACGCCCGCAAAGCCCCAUAGUUUGUUUUUGAUUUACAGGAAAAUUGCACAUCCAUACUGGCCUGGGGAAUAUAGGACCGUAUUGGAUGGAAAACCAUGUCCGGAUGGUUGCGAGCGGUUUGAGGGUUAGCUUUUGUAACACCCGGUUAGUUAUGCUACAGCAAUUCCCUGCUAAUGAUGUCACGUCACCACGAUUACUGUUGUUAACCUCACAAUGAUUGAAUCCCAUUCAAAUUCAAAUUUAAAAUAAAGGCAAACAUCAAAAGUUUUCAAACAUGAAAACUAAAAUCUUUGAGAGGUGACAAAUAAUGCAUAAGUAAUUAUGGUGGAGAAACCACACUUUAAUUAAAUGUUAAAAUACUCUAAAAUGAAAAAAACAGUGGCUUAAACUAUUAUUUAAAUGCUUUUAAAAUAGUAAAAAUCUUCUAACUAAAUUAUUUGGGUACCAAACUUUUGGUGGCAGUGGUAUAUUUAGUAGAACUAAUUUAGAUGCUAAUUAUAUAAUUUACAAAAUUAGAAUAAAUUGAAAAAUAGGAUAAAACGGAAAAGGAAAGACAAAACAAAUAAAAGCAAAAAGGGGGCAACCCCUCGCUGGGCCUCGGCCUAGCUGGCCACUAGGCGAGCUAGGCUGGCCCCGCUGCCUCCCUUAACCCCCACACUCCUCAUCGAACCCAAGCCCGAUCGCCCCACUUCCCCACACCCCCUCGCCAGCCUCCCCACCCCUUGAUCCCAUCUGGAUCGGCGAGUGUAUUGCCCCCAUCGACCCCGUUGCCAUCGCUAGAUCGCCCGCCGACGUCGCCAGGCCUCCUCCCCGCCGCACGUCUUUGGCUCGCCUCUCCUCUCGCUCCUCUUCCCCGGCCCGAUCUUGAUCGUGAACGAGCAAUGAGCUUGAAGCCCCCCUUCACCGGCGCCAUCACCGUGCGCCACCACCACCGCCUGAAGACCUCACCGUCGCUGAACCUUGCGUCGCCUCCUCGUAUCCCUCCCCUACUCACGUCCUCAAGCCAGGCCGAGCCCCUUCUCGGCAACGCUGUGAGACGCCCCCGUUUCCCUCCUCUUUCCACCGCGUUCACCACGCCGCCCGCCAUGCCCCUCGCCGUGCGCAUGCCCACCACCGCACCAGCCCCCGCUCCGCGCACGACCCUACCCGCGCCCGCGACAUGAUCCCCUUUUCCGCCCUAUCUUCCUGCGCUCGCCGCGGUCCCGAUGCUCCCCCGCGCCUUCUUUCAGGGGCGCCGACUGCCCCUGUCCCGCUGCUCGCCGCCGUGCCUCGCCACCGCUCUACUGCUGCGUUACUACUGUGCUGCGGCCGCCGCCUCUUCCUGCUGCUCCGCCAGCGCCGAAGCUCCCAGUUGGCUCCACCACUGCUCACUUUAAACCGCCGGCCUAAAUGGCCUAACCCCGGCUAAUGAACCCCCACUAACCCACUGACACCGGGACCCACAUUCCCUAAUUAACCAUUUAAUAAAUUAAAACUCUUAAAUUAACAUUAGUGUAUGACAUGUGCGUCCCCUGUUAAUUAAUAAUUUUGCUGCUAGUUUUAUUAGUUUCUGUUUUUCUGCAUAUUUCUUUUGUAUUUGAACACGCUUUAUACAGUAAUAUUUAGCGUAUCAUACACAUACAAAUGUAAUCAUAGCAUAUACAUACAAAUAGUCUCAUCAAAUCAUGUCAUCAUCAUAAUCAUCAUCCAUCACAAAGUGGUCUCUCGUCAUCAUCUCGAAAAUAGCGAUACAAGUCUCGAUUACUUGCAACUACAUCGUCAUCCAUCUAAAUAAUGAUAUACGCGAGAAGAGCUAUUACUAUGAGUACGAGCGGAACUAUGCAGUACAUGAGGCUGUAUCCCUCUCUCGCAUUAGCGUGAACCUAAACUAACUACUGGCUGUUGCUCGGAAACCGGAAACCGGUACACCUAGGCUUGACACUCCGGCCACUCGUCGUAUACUCCUGGCGUAGAACUUCUUCUCCAUCGAUGAUCUAUGUGAAGGAAAUAUGCCCUAGAGGCAAUAAUAAAGUUAUUAUUUAUUUCCUUAUAUCAUGAUAAAUCGUGAUGGGAAUGGGCCGGGUCGGCCCGCUGGGUCACUGACUCGGCCCGAAAUCUCGAGGCCAAUGGGCCAGGGAGGUUGGCCUCGAAUCACAAAACGGGUCAGUGGAGCCGGCCCCGUGUGACCCGAUGGACCAGAUGGGUCGACCCAGCGCUGCCCUAGUCCUCCAUCUAUGCCGCCGCCCCCCACGAUCUCUGUAGCCGCUCCCGAUGAUUUCUUCCGCCGCCGGCCAUCUUUGCCGCCCCUGGCAUCCCCCGACCUUCUCUAUCGGCCGCUCCCGACCUGCUGCCGCCGCCGGCUGCCCCUGAACAUCUUUGCUGGCCUGCUGCCGCCGGCGUUCCUCCCGCAUCUCGUUCGUCGUCUUGGUCGCCGUCGAGCUCGCUGACCUGCGGUCCCGUCCACCAUCUACCUCGCCAUUCCGGUCGCCGUCCUCAUCGUCAUCAUCACGCAGGUGAGACUCUUGCCGGCUUCCUCCCUGUCCCAGCGCAGCUGCAAUGACUGGUCUAGUUUAGGUUCUUGGUCUUGCUGGCACUCUCUGCGUUGUCUGCAAUUGUUUCAGUAGUUGGAGCUUGGAAGAAAUAGUCAACACUCAAAAAUAGACUGUUUGAUUGUUCAGCAUGGGACUUGUUUGAUUGUUCUCAAGAAGAAAUAGUGCUUCAGUUGAGCUCCUGUGUAGCUGCAGUUUAGCAUUCAACAACAGUUUUCUUUUUUGUGCAGCAUGCCACUUUCUUUUUUGUGCAGCAGCUUAGCUGCAGUUUAGCCUUUCGGUCCUCUGAUCCGAGGAAAAGUAAUUAGUGUUACUUCCUGUUGUUGGUUACUAAAUAAACCAGAAAUAGUUGUCCUGUGAAACAAUUUUACUCUGUUUUUUUGUUGAAUCGGCAAAUUUUACUCUGCUGGUAGGAUGGAGUAGUGCAUAUGUUGAUGAUGCUCACGAAAAACCUUCCUGGAGUAGUGCAUAUGUCCAACUGUGAGUUUCUUCUAUUCCUCGAAUGGCCGUUUGGUGUGGUGUUCUCCUAAUUUGUUGCCUGACAAGCUAGGUGUUGUGGGCGUGCUGCAUAAGAAGUAACAAUGGUUAGAAGAUGUAGUUAAUGCUUAGUUUUUUAUGUGAUAUAGGGUCAUGUGACUUCUUUUUCUUGGGCUAGCUGCCAGGUUGAGUUUGCGUAUAUGCAUAUCAGUGUAGCUGAUCCAUCGACAAGUCCAGCAUUUUUUAGUGUCAGUUCAGGGGAUGCUUUACUGGCAGCGAUUUCUGUAGUGUUGCUCAAUGGGAUGCUUUGCCGACAGUGAUUAGACCGUAAACUAAACUAUCCGGUUUCUUAUCUGCAUGCAUCUGCUGUUGAUUUUGAAAGUUAAUGCUCUCUAAUGUUCAUAUAUUUCCCUCUGAUUAGAAAAAUGGAAGAGGAGGAAGGGGACCAUGAGGCAUACCAAAGUGGUGGUUCAUCGUUGAUAUCCGGUGCGAUAAUGAGAAGGGCUCAACCACCCCCAGGGGUGUCUCCUUCUUCGAUAGACAUCUGUAGAGCUUAUCAUGGUGAGUAUUGUUAAUCUUUCUUUUUAUAGGGAUGCAAAUUAAUGGUUGCUAAAAUAAAAAAUACUCAUAAUUGUAAUGUUAACACUCGUGUCCUUUGCUCAGCAGGACGUUCGCAAGACACUCGUAUGGUUGAUUUUGAAGAAGAUGAGGCUGAUGAAGAAGAUGUUGACUAUGAAGAAGCAGAGGAAGGAGAAGAAGAUGAGGAUGAUGAAGAAGAAGAAGAAGAUGAUGAUGAUGAAGAAGAAGAAGAAGAGGGAGAUAAUGUGGAUGAAGAGGGAGAGGUUGAGAUCAUUGACAUGGGAUCGUUUUCUGAACCGGGAAGAAAGUUUUUGUCGAAAGUGUGGAAAGAAUAUGAGCCUAUCCGUGUUGAUGGCAUUGUUGUAGCUGCUGAGUGCAAACACUGUGCAAGGAAUAUUUGUGCUGAGCGUAAACAUGGAACAAGUUCAUUGCGCAAACAUUUGAAGAGAUGCAGGGAAAGGAAGAAGGUUCUUAGAGUUUCUGGACAGCUGAGUGCUUCUAUCGUGAGUCCUGAUGGAGUUGCAAUGGGGCUUUGGACCUUUAAUCAGGCAUUAGCACGCCGAGAGCUGAUGAGGAUGAUAGUGUUGCAUGAAUUGGCAUUCUCAUUGGUGGAGUACGAUGGAUUUAGAAGAUUUGUCUCUAGUUUAAAUCCUAGCUUCAAGAUGAUAUGCAGAAAAACUGUGAAGGAGGACUGCAUGAAAGCAUUUAAGGAAGAGAAGAGAAUUUUGCAAAGGAUGUUCCAAAACUCCAAAUCCAAGAUUUCUUUGACUACGGACCUAUGGACAUCAAAUCAGACAGUGGGGUACAUUUGCAUCACAGCUCACUUCAUUGAUGAGGAGUGGAAGCAGCAGAAGAGGAUAGUGAAAUUUGCAGCUAUGGAGACGCCGCACACAGGAGCUGCAAUGUUCAACGUCAUGGUGAAUUUCAUAAGAGAGUGGAACAUUGAAGAUAAUCUCUUUGCUGUGACGCUAGACAAUGCAUCGAACAAUGGUGCAAUGAUGAAGCUAUUGAAGGCACAUCUCCUGCUUAAGAAGAUGUUACCUGGUGGUGGCAAGUUGUUUCACCAACGUUGUGCCGCCCAUGUCAUAAAUCUGAUAUGUCAAGCAGGAUUGAACUUCCUUGGUCCAGUGAUCAACAUGAUACGUGAAACUGUGAAAUAUAUUCGAAGCUCACCAAGUCGAAAGGAAAAAUUUCAAGAAAUUGUUGAGCAACAUGGUGUAUCAUGUAGGAGAACUCCAAUUCUUGAUGUUCCAACUCGUUGGAACUCAACCUACAUGAUGAUUGAUAUAGCAAAAGAGUAUCGUGGAGUGUUUGACUCUUUGGCCAUUCAAGAUAAACAAUAUACCUUCAAGCCAUCUUUUGAGGAUUGGGAAAAUGCUGAAGAUGUUUGCAGGCUACUGAAGGUAUUUUAUGAAGCCACUAAUGUGAUAUCCGGCACAAAAUAUCCAACUGCUAACUUGUAUUUCCAUGAAAUGUGGAAAGUGAAGCUGACCUUAGAGCAACAACAUUAUGAAGAGGAUUCUGAGAUGGGCACAACGGUCAAAUAUAUGAAGAGAAAAUUUAGAAGGUAUUGGAAGAUGACAUGGUUGAGCCUUUGUAUUCCAGUGAUUUUGGACCCACAAUUCAAGUUGAAAUAUGUUGAUUUCCGAUUUGGCCUAGAGUUUGGGAACGAAGUUGCAGCAAUGAUUGCUAAAAUAAAAAAUGUGUUCCAAGGGUUGUUCAAGGAAUACCUCCAAUUGAAUGACAAUGGAUCAGAUCCCAUGUCACAAGGAGGUGAUGAUGACAUGGCUGUAAGUGGUGAAGAUCCUAUGGCUGAUUGGGUCCAACAUGUCACCCUCACUGCUCGAUCAACAAAUUUGGAUUAUACCGAACUUGAUUCGUACUUGUCAAAGGUACCCAUCCGCCGAAGUGAUCAAUUCAAUAUCCUUACAUGGUGGCAGACGAACUCCAGUGAAUACCCAACGCUGAGUCGCAUGGCAGCUGAUAUCUUGGCGGCUCCUUCCUCUGCGGUGGCAUCCGAGUCCGCCUUCAGCACAGGGAAGAGAGUCCUAUCAGAUUUUCGAAGUCGAAUGACCGCAACGACACUUGAAGCUCUUGUUUGUUUACAAGAUUGGAUAAGGGCCAACGGUAAAGCCAUACGACACAAGUUUCUUCUUUGUUUCUUAUUAAUGCUUCAAGUUUACAAGUUUCUUUUUUUUCUGCAGCUAAUACUCAACGUAGCUUGGCUUCAGUUCAUGACAUUAUAAUGGACUUACAAGGUAUGAGAAAUCUUCUGAUGUAUAUAGUGCCAUGUAUAUGAAGUACACUUAGUAUGAAGUCUGCUUUUUAUUUAGGGAUUUCAUAUCUACAGUUUGUUCCAGGGAACUAUUUGCAAGAUGCAACCCAAACAUGUAGAUGAGUAUAUAGAGUGUUUUACACACAGAACUAGUGCUUUUAUUUUUGGUUUCCCCAAGUUGUAGUUGAUCUCUAAUAUAUAUUUCUUUUUUCUCUCAGAUAUGAAUGUGUAGUUUAGAUUCAUUUUUUUAAUCGCCAAACUAUAUUAAAAAUAUGCAUUGCUAACUACAGUAACUUGAUUAGAAUAUGUUGCGGAGUGGAUGACAGGUAGUGUAUAAUGGAUAUUUAGAAGUGUAUUUUCUUGCAAACCUGAUCAUGAAUUGGUUUUCUGGAACACGCCUUUGCUACUAAGAAUAUUCCUCUGUUCAUAAAUAUAUUAUUUAGUUUUUUUGUGGAUAAAUAUACUAUUUAGUUGAUGUGCACAGAAUUACUCUUGUAACAUUUCUUUGCAAAUACAGAUAUCGAGGACUGAUGCUUGUUGGAGCAAUUGAUGUUAAAGCUCAAGCAGAUGGUGAAGAAGAUAUGUCAGCUUUCUCUAUAACCUACUGGAUGUGAAAAGAUUAGCAUGUUGAACUUGUAAUAUUUUGAUCUUGCAUGAGUCUGUUGGAUUGAGGUCAUUAGCUUGACGUUCUUUGAAAUCUGUAAUCUUUUGGUCUUGUUCGAAUCUGUUGGAUUGAGGUCUUUUGCUUGAUGCUCUUUGAAACAUGUAAUCUCAUGAUCUUGCCAUUCUAGAAACAUUUGCUAAAUUCUGGGUCGGCCUCAUGUACCCAAUGGGUCAAUGGGGCCACAAAAUUCUGAUGAAAUGGGCCGGCCCGUGGCCUCACAUUUUGACCUUGGGGCCACGGGGCCGGGGCCGGGGCCAGGGCCGGGUCGGCCCAUUCCCAUUCUGAAUGAUAAAUGUUUAUUAUUCAUGCUAGAAUUGUAUUAACCGGAAACAUAAUACAUGUGUGAAUACAUAGACAAACAGAGUGUCACUAGUAUGCCUCUACUAGACUAGCUCGUUAAUCAAAGAUGGUUAAGUUUCCUAACCAUAAACAAAGAGUCGUUAUUUGAUUAACGAGGUCACAUCAUUAGUUGAAUGAUCUGAUUGACAUGACCCAUUCCAUUAGCUUAGCACCCGAUCGUUUAGUAUGUUGCUAUUGCUUUCUUCAUGUCUUAUACAUGUUCCUAUGACUAUGAGAUUAUGCAACUCCCGUUUGCCGGAGGAACACUUUGUGUGCUACCAAACGUCACAACGUAACUGGGUGAUUAUAAAGGAGCUCUACAGGUGUCUCCAAUGGUAGAUGUUGGGUUGGCGUAUUUCGAGAAUAGGAUUUGACACUCCGAUUGUCGGAGAGGUAUCUCUGGGCCCUCUCGGUAAUGCACAUUACACAAGCCUUGCAAGCAUUGCAACUAAUGAGUUAGUUGCGGGAUGAUGUAUUACAGAACGAGUAAAGAUACUUGCCGGUAACGAGAUUGAACUAGGUAUUGGAUACCGACGAUCGAAUCUCGGGAAAGUAACAUACCGAUGACAAAGGGAACAACGUAUGUUGUUAUGCGGUCUGACCGAUAAAGAUCUUCGUAGAAUAUGCAGGAGCCAAUAUGGGCAUCCAGGUCCCUCUAUUGGUUAUUGACCAGAGACGUGUCCUGGUCAUGUCUACAUUGUUCUCGAACUGUAGGGUCCGCACGCUUAACGUUACGAUGACAGUUAUUAUGAGUUUAUGCAUUUUGAUGUACCGAAGGUAGUUCGGAGUCCCGGAUGUGAUCACGGACAUGACGAGGAGUCUCGAAAUUGUCACACCCUAGCUAGUUUAUGCAUUAGAGUGUGCAUCAUGUUUACCUUCAUCAGAAAUUGAAAUGGGGAGAGCAGAACCCCCAGCACCCCCCCCCUGAAAUCAACGAGGGUUUACUAAAAAUAAAUUCAAUGAACCUGAAAUGCCCUUGAAAUAUGUUCACCCUCUUUGCCUUGGGUUAGAACCCUUGGGAAAAAUGGUGCAUAUAAUUUUAGGUCAACAAAAGGGGCAUUGACUUAAUUCAUAAAUAUUUGAAUUUGGGCAUUUAAAAUACUAUUAUAUAAUUCAAAUGCUCAAAUAAUGUUGGAACUAUUUUUGGGCCACUGAAAUAUUUCAGAAAGUGUCCAUAAAUAUUUUCAGGAUUUUAUAAAAUGAUUUAGUAUCUGAACUAAAUCAAAACAGAAUAACAGAAAUAGAAAAACAAAAAAAAAUAAAGAGGGAAAGACCAUGGGCCACUUACCUGGCCCAGCGCCAGGCCACUAGCGGCCCAGCCCACCAGGCCGAUGCCAGUCGUCCCCUAGCUCCUGCCAGGAGGACGAAGGGCGUGUGCCCGCGGUGCGCCAGCACGCACACGGCCACCGACGGCCACCUCCUGCUUCGGCCGCCUCCCCGACGUCGCUUUGGACGCCACGCAUCCCCCCCUGACCCCUCGCUCACUCUCUUUCAUCCUCAUCCCCUCCUCUGCUCUCUCUCCCGCGCAACCGCCAUGAGCCCGAGAGCGCCGACGAGGACCACCACGGCCACCGCCUACCCCUCGCUUCCCUGACCAGCUUAGAGGCUCCGCCUCGACCCCGUCUUCCUUCUCACCGAACCACGCCCCGCCGGAAGCCCUGCGUCAUCAAAUUCAAGCUCUUCUUCAAGCUUCGGCACCGACGAUCGCCGCCGUCGAUUCGCUUGCUCCAGUGCCUCCCCGAGCUUGCCGAGGCCACCGCUGCAACUGCUGUGAGCUCCUGUGUCGUUUCCCCCUCCCCCCUGGCUCGAUUUCUUCUUCUAACACCGAUGCCCGUCAGAACCGAGAGCUCUUCGCCGCCGGCCAUGCCGCCACCGUGACCACAGCCGUGCAAGCUCACUCCCGAGCACGGCAACGUGCUCCACACCUCACCAAGAGCACGUGGAACCCAUCAGUUUCCCCUCCCGUGCACCACAACGCCGAUCCGCUCAACUCCCGAACUCCGGCCGCCGCGCAAGUUGCCGCCGCCGUCGUUUUAGGCCACUAGGGCUGCUGCCGUGUGCACAGAUAGAUGCGGGCGAGUCCCAGCUCCGCGUAGAUGCCCUCCGCUGGCCAUUUGGUCGCCGGAGGAGGAUUUCCGAGCCCCUCCGCCGUCUCUGGCCUUGCCGGCGACGAGCCGGGGUCAACUCCGGCGUGUUUUGACCCCGGGUCGGCUGGGUUGACUCCCCCCUGACUCACUGACGUGUGGGCCCAGGCGCCUGCCUAAUUACCAUUAGUUAAUUAGAGUUAAUAAAAAUUAGCUAAUUAGUGAGCCACUGACAUGCGGGCCCCGCCCGGCUAACCAAGUUAGUUAGGGUUAACUAACUUAGUUAGUUGAUUGUGUCACUGACCAGUGGACCCCACUGGUCAUGUUUGACCUGGAGGCGCCAGUUGACCUGCUGACAUCAGGGUGAUGUCAUGCUGACGCAAUAACUCUUUUUCUGGAUUUAAUUUUAUAUAGAAAAUUCCAGAAAAUUGCCUAAACUUCAAAAAUUCAUAGAAAUUCAACCAUAACUCCAAAUGAGACAAAUUAUAUAUGAAAAAUUAUCAGAAAAAUUCAAGGAAUCCAUCUGUACCAUUUUCAUGCAUGUUUGAACAAUGCUUGUCCUCUGUUUUGGACAAAACAAAUAAAGGGCAUUUAAAUAAUCAUAUAUGGGGUUGGAAUUUGAAUCUUGUACUCAAACCAACUCCAUUUAAAUCAUAGCUAGUUGCAUAAGCUCAAGACACAUCCAUAUUGCCAUGUCAUAGCAUGCAUCAUAUUGUUGCAUAUCAUCAUGUGUUGAUUGUGCUCGGUUGUGUUCUUCGUGGUAGGUUCUGCCUCCGAGGAUAUUCACGAGUAUCCAACUGAAGGGCAGUAUCCCGUUACCACUCCAUCAGGCAAGCAACCAUUGAUCAUUCCGAUACAACCCAUGUUCUCGCUCCUACUCUUGUUUACUGCAUUAAGACAACACGAUUCAAACUGCCGUGUGCUACGGUAGUUGAACCCUUAUCCUCUGCAUGACCUGUCAUUGCCACAGUAACUAGAUGAAACCCACUAGCAUGUGUAGGAGUUGAUUGAGCCAUGUUUUGUGAUUCCUACCUUGCUAUGCCUGCUAUGCUUAGAGUUGUGUCAGGUCUGGUUCAUCUGGGGAAUGGGCUAGAGUGAAAUGCUUGUGCCAGUAAAUUGUGGGAUGUGUUGAACAUGUUUUGGUAAAGGUAUCGAUGAGAGGCCAUGUAGGAGUACAUGGUGGGUUGUUUCAUUGAAGCCGUCCCUAAGAACUGAGUUCUGUAUGCGUGAAUUAAGAUUCAGCUACUACCACACAUUGGGCCCUGAAAUAUGACCCCGCUCGACUUACCGACCCCUCUCGCCUCAGUCCAGGAGUUGCAACUAGUUUCUGGUGUUUGUAGGAUAUGUGUUGGCGGCCGUGCGUAGCGCUGACCCUAGGGGUGGGCUAUGUUGCGGUAGAUACACCGUGGCACGGUGUACUGAGUCACCCGUUUGGUGUCUCGGGAACCCUGUUCACAUCGUUCGGGGCCGUUGAGGACACCCCGGCCGGAUUUCCUUGCGGAUGGAACCUGAAUAGGCGAUGACCCUGGACUAGAGACUCGUGAGGUUAGUCAGGUCGUGGUCUACACCCACGUCGGUUUUCGCUUGAAGUCUGCCGAGCACAUUUCGUGUGCAGACGCUAAGUGGUGGAAACAUGUGUGACGAAGUACACCCCUGCAGGGUAUAAAACUAUUCGAAUAGCCGUGUCCGCGGUAAAGGACUACUUGGUUGCAUAUACAGUUCAUAGACAAGUUAAUGGAUACUACUAAAAGACUCAAGAUAAGUGUGAGUACCGAGGAUGGCUCCCUCGCAGGAUACGAGGGAGGAUCCACGGUGGAGUAUUGUGAUGGUGAGUAGUGGACUCGUGUGCAAAAACUAUUUUGCUAAAAGAUUCCGUAGGAUAGCUUAGCCAAGAGUCAAAGCUGGUUUGCUGCAUAAACCCCACCACCUUCUUGAGAAUGAGCAUGUACAGUAGGUUCUGAUGUAAGACUUGCUGAGUACCUUUGUACUCAUGUUUGCUUAUUUAUUGUUUUCAGACGACAACACUGCCCCCUCCGAUGGGUUUUACGUAGACCUUGACGUCGACGAGUGACUAGCCACCCAGGUGGUGAUCCAGGCCAUGGAGGGCCCUAUGUAGAUAGACAGGCUUCGAGAAGCCUUCUUUCUUUCUAGAGUCUGUACCCAGACUAGUUGCUUCCGCAUGUGCUUGUAUGACUGUAUGACUUGAGUGUCGGGUCAUGUGACCCCUACCUGUAUGGAUAUGUUAUGUAUGGCUCCCUGGAGCCUUUAAAUAAAGUACCUGAGUUGUAGAGUUUUGUUGUGAUGCCAUGUUGUAUGUACUCAUAUCGAGCAUAUUGUAUGUAUGAUUGAAAUGCUUGGUAUGAGUGGGAUCCGACAAUCUAGUUGUUUGUCCUUCGCAGCCUUUCUUAUGGGGAAAUGUAGUCUAGUGCUCCUCGAGCCAUAGUAGUCCGCUACAGCCCGGUUCAGCGGAGUCCUACUAGCCCAGCACUACUGUUCAGGACACUUGACUAGCCGGCAUGUGUUUCACUUCGGGGAAAUGUCACGCGGUGAUCUCCGGAGUCCUGUCUAGCCUGCUACAGCCCGGGAUCCCCCGGAGUCCUGUUAGCCCAGUGCUACAGCCCGGAAUCACUCGUUGAUGACCGACAUGUUCGUUGUGAUUCAUGUAUGCCUGUCUCCAUAGGUCUGUGCCGCUUUGGGUUCACGACUAGCCAUGUCGGCCCGGGUUCUCGGUCAUAUGGAUGCUAGCGACAUUGUCAUAUACGCGAGCCAAAAGGCGCAAACGGUCCCGGGCCAUGGUAAGGCGACACCCGUGGGAUACCGUGAGUGAGGCCGCAAAGUGAUAUGAGGUGUUACCGGCUAGAUCGAUGUGGCUUAGAAUCGGGGUCCUGACAGCGUUGGCAUCAGAGCCGGACUGCCUAUAGGUUCGUUCAGCCAAACUGGUCGAUGUCGAGUCUAGAAAUGCUUUAGUUAUAUGUAAGGGAAUUGAUUGUGGGAGGGAACGUAAGGUUCUUUUACUCCUUUACCCUAUGCUUCUGAUCUGAGUCAUUCUCUUCUCAUUCAACGUGGGUUAAGGACUAGGCUCUCUUCUUCUAUCAGGUUCACGUGUUACUAAUCCGUAGUAGUUCAUAGGAUUAUUGCUACGAGUUCCAGUCCAGUUUCUACUAUUUUAGUACGUUGCUAUUUGAAUCAGAACCUUGAUAUGAUGCUGUUGAGCGGUAUUGUGAACUGUUGUGGAUGUCUCAAAUCUUUUUCUGAGCAUUUACAACCGCUAUGCUGCCCAAUUUUCCCUAGGAAUUCUGAUGUCUUUGUCUUGUGGUUGUGCUUUCAGAUGGCCAACCAUUCUCAAAAUCAAGUGGUUCGCCUGACUAGGUGCCUCGACGUGCCCGGUCAUACUGCUAUGUUGGUCCGGGUCAUGAUCGAGACAGGAUACCGUUGGUAUCCCGAAUACACUGUUGAAGAGCAGUUCCGCGACUUUAAUCAAAGCCAGUAUUUAUGCACCGUCAGGAUAUUUCCUUCCUAUCCUGGAUCUACCGAGCCCCUUCACUGUUCCUAUGGACUCGGAGUUACCAUUGAGAUGGCUGUGCAGGAUGCUGCCUAUUUCAUGAUGACCAUCUUGCGAGUCCGGACUGGCCUGCUUCGGAACACUGACUUCCGUUACAUGCCAGCUUCACUUCCGGGAGCGCAGGGGUAUCUUCAGGCUAUCUAUGCUGACUCCACUCAGGAGGACUCAUUAACUCGUACCACCGCUGAGAUGCUCGAAGAUAUGGACCGAGAGAAUCGGGCCUUGAGGCUGGAGCUCUUUAAUACCCGUGCUGAUCAUUGGGCCACAUUGACUCGGUUUGCACCCGCGGUGCAAGCGGGAUGUAUGGAUACCAGGGAUCUGUAUCCUGUGAGAGCAGCUCUGCCAGACAUGGUGGAUUGGCGUGAUGUGGGAGGCAUCACCCCACCCCUUGGUCACCGCAGGCCACCGUUUGUGGGUCCAAGACCUUAUCCUAGCCCCUAUGGUCCACAGGCUCCUCAGGACCGUCUGUUUCCGGAUGAUCACGUUGAACUUCCAGGCUAUGGAGGUGACUUCUAUGAGGACUACUACGGAGCUAUCUGAGUUAGUAGUAGUACCACUAGUAUUGUAGUAGUUGUAUCUCCACUGUCCUGUGUGACUUGUGGAAUACGACUUGGUGUGUAAUCGAUUCCGGAGGUGUAGACAAAUAAUGUAUAGGGACUCGGAAUGCCUCCGAUGAGAUGUAACGUCUACCUUCAUAGUUGUACUGUAGCAUGGGCUUGUACUAAACUAUGUAUGACGAGUAUGACCGUUGGUGUAUAUAUGGCAGUUUUAUAUUACCAUGGCAUACGAAUGAGCAUCUCUGCAUUCCGCGUUAUCCUUUACAUUCUGCACUUCCCUGUUAAGUUUGAGCCAUCCUUGUCUAAACCGUUGUCUUGUUUCCUCCUAGGAUGGUCAACACCCGCGGAAACCCUGCUGCCCCGGAGCAGGGGGAAGCCAAUGCAGCUAGAGGUGAAAAUUUGCCUCACCCGCCUUCCCUGGCCGAAGUGAUGCUGGAGGCGGAAAGGAACAAGCGUGAGACCAACCGCCUGCUGGAGCGGAUUGAGCAGAACACUGCACGCCACCCACGAAAUGACUUGGUGUCAAUCAACGACUUUAUCAAGCUGUACCCACCAAAGUUUAACCAUUCCGUCGAGCCCCUCGACGCGGAUGAUUGGCUUCGCAGCAUCACCCACAAGCUACGUUCUGCCAACGUAGCUGAAGCCGACAAGGUUACCUAUGCUGCUUAUCAUCUUGAGGGCCCCGCUAGCCAUUGGUGGGAAAACUACGAAGCUAUGCGCCCGGUCGGCCAAAUCACUACCUGGGCUGAGUUCAGCGAGGCUUUCCGUGAGCAUCACAUUCCGGAAGGUCUCAUGGAUCGCAAGAGGGAGGAGUUCUGUAACUUCACCCAAGGAAGGCUGACUGUGGAUGCAUAUAGCCGAGAAUUUGGGAACCUGGCACGCUAUGCUCCUGAAGAGGUUUCUACUGACGCCAAGAAGCAGGGAAGGUUCCGUAAGGGACUUAGCCCUGAGCUUCGCUGCGAUCUCCGUCCGCACGAGUGCACAUCCUUCCAGAAGCUGGUCAAUAAAGCUAUCAGUGCUGAGACAGGCCAGACUGAUUAUGACGCUUCACGCAAGCACUCUCGUGAUUUUGGGUCUUCAUCCGGCUCUGGAGCUCAGAAGCGCCGGGUGUGGAUUCCAAGCACCGCACUGCCAGCCAGAUUCACCCCGAGGCCAUCCUUUGAGGCGCCUCAUCCCAACCAGCAAUUUGCACCGCCCAAGCCCUAUGGUGGCCCCGCUGCUAAUGUUGCUCCACGCCCCACUAUGGUAACAUGCUUCAUGUGUGGAGAACCGGGUCACUAUAGUCGAGAGUGUCCCCAGAACAACCCCAAUCAAGCUGGAAAGUCCGUUGGCCGUGGUAAGCCCGCGGGAAAGACUUUCUAUGCCAAGCCGGCCACUACUGCACGUGGCCAUGUAAACUACGUCUCAGCCGAAGAGGCUCAUGAGGAUCCCAACGUCGUCCUUGGUACGCUCCUUGUUAACUGCCAUCCGGCAUCUGUUCUUUUCGAUACUGGAGCAUCUCAUUCAUUCAUAUCCGAGAAUUAUGCUCGGUCGCAUAACACGACAUUCUGUGACAUGCCCACUUCCAUGGUAAUUCAAACUCCGGGUUCCAAAUGGCAAACUUCUAGGGUAAGCCAUGGGAACGAAAUUCUUGUCGAUAGGCUUGUUUUCCUUGCAUCUUUAAUAGCUCUCAAGUCCUCCGACAUAAACAUCAUCUUGGGUAUGGACUGGAUGUCGGCUCAUUAUGCCAAGAUCGAUUGUGCCACUAGAACCGUUCAACUUAUUCAUCCCUCAGGCAAGACAGUUAAUGUCUUAACUCGAGUGGCCAAGCGCCAACUUUACUCUCUCAAUGCCAACCCUCUUCCAGACCUUGAGGACGUUCCGGUAGUCCGAGACUUCCCGGAUGUGUUUCCGGAAGAACUGCCAGGUGUUCCACCUGACCGGGAUGUCGAGUUUGUGAUAGACCUUGUUCCAGGAACCGUUCCAAUUGCUAGAAGACCCUACAAGAUGGCACCCUUAGAACUAGCCGAGCUUAAGAACCAACUCGAUGAGUCCUUGAACAAAGGGUUCAUCCGUCCUAGCUCCUCUCCUUGGGCUUGCCCCGUCCUCUUCGUCAAGAAGAAGGAUGGAACGGAUCGAAUGGUUGUGGAUUACCGACCUGUCAAUCUGGUCACCAUCAAGAACAAAUACCCGCUUCCCAGGAUCAACGACCUGUAUGAUCAGCUCACUGGAUCCUCAGUCUUCUCCAAGAUGGAUUUGAGGCUGGGCUACCAUCAAAUCAAAAUCAGAAACGGGGACAUUCCCAAAACGGCCUUUGUUACUCGUUAUGGCCAAUACGGGUACACCGUCAUGUCCUUCGGUUUAACCAAUGCCCCGGCCACUUUCUCCUGGUUAAUGAACUCGGUUUUCAUGGAGUACUUGGACAAAUUCGUUGUAGUAUACCUCGAUGACAUACUCAUCUACUCCAAGAAUGAAGAGGAACAUGCCGAACAUCUAAGGCUGGUAUUGAUGAAACUUCGAGAGCAUCGCCUUUAUGCCAAAUUCUCCAAGUGUGAAUUUUGGUUGUCAGAAGUGACCUAUCUAGGCCAUGUAAUCUCUGGUAAGGGUAUUGCUGUCAAUCCCGAGCGAGUUCAAGCCGUCCUUGAUUGGACUCCACCUGAAACGGUCAAGCAAGUUCGGAGUUUCCUUGGCCUAGCGAGCUAUUGCCGCCGCUUCGUCGAGAAUUUCUCCAAGGUUGCUAAACCUCUAACUGAACUCCUCAAGAAAGAUAAAAAGUUCGAGUGGACUCCGCAGUGCGAGUUCAGUUUUCAGGAAUUGAAAAGACGCCUGACAUCUGCUCCCGUACUGGUACCACCAGAUUUCUCCAAGGACUUUAUUAUCUAUUGCGACGCCUCGCGACAAGGACUAGGUUGCAUACUCAUGCAAGAUCGUCAGGUAAUUGCCUAUGCUUCAUGGCAAUUACACCCACAUGAGGAAAAUUAUCCCACACAUGAUCUAGAGCUUGCAGCUGUAGUCCAUGCACUCAAAACCUCGCGACAUUACCUCCUCGGUAAUCGUUGCGAGAUCUUCACCGAUCACCAAAGCUUGAAAUAUAUCUUCACCCAACCAGAUUUGAAUCUCAGGCAAAGACGUUGGGUCGAGUUGAUCUCGGAUUACGACUUAGGAAUAACUUACACCCCUGGCAAAGCCAAUGUCAUGGCCGAUCCGCUAAGUCGUAAGUCCUACUGUAACAACCUGCUGUUACAACAAAGUCAACCACUUCUCCAUGAGGAAUUUCGCAAGCUUAAUCUUCACAUUGUUCCUCAAGGAUUCUUGUCUACUCUGGUGGCGAAACCUACCCUUAUGGAUCAAAUCAUAGCUGCCCAAAAGCGUGAUAAGGGCAUAUCCCGGAUUAAGGAAAACAUUGCUAGCGGAGUAGCUAAAUGUUUUUCCAUGGAUGAGCAAGGUGCUGUCUUCUUUGAGAACCGCCUGGUGGUUCCCAAGAACCAACAUCUACGCCAGAUGAUCCUUAAGGAAGCUCAUGAAUCCCCUCUCACCAUUCAUCCCAGUAGUACUAAAAUGUAUCAAGACUUACGCCAGAGGUUUUGGUGGACUAGGAUGAAGAGAGAAAUCGCUCAAUACAUUGCUAAUUGCGACGUUUGUCGUCGUGUUAAAGCAGAGCAUCAACGGCCUGCUGGCACCCUUCAACCUUUGGCUAUUCCUGAAUGGAAAUGGGACAAAAUCAGUAUGGAUUUCAUCACUGGGUUUCCCAGGACCAAGAGGGGAAAUAAUGCCAUCUUCGUCGUGAUCGACCGUCUUUCCAAAGUAGCCCAUUUUCUACCUGUUCGUGAGAGUAUCACCGCUAGCCAGCUAGCUGACCUAUACAUCUCCCGAAUAGUGUCUCUUCAUGGUGUCCCAUUGGAAAUUAACUCAGACCGUGGAAGUCUCUUCACCUCUCGAUUUUGGGAAAGUUUCCAAAAUGCUAUGGGAACUCAUCUCUCCUUUAGCACCGCCUUCCAUCCUCAAUCAAGUGGUCAAGUAGAGCGAGUAAAUCAAAUUCUGGAAGAUAUGCUCCGAGCUUCUGUUAUCUCGUUCGGAAUGAGUUGGGAAAAAUGCCUUCCAUUCGCGGAGUUUGCUUAUAACAAUAGCUAUCAAGCUAGUUUGGGCAAGGCUCCCUUCGAAGUUCUCUAUGGACGAAAAUGUCGAACGCCUCUUAACUGGUCAGAAACCGGGGAAAGGCAACUCUUUGGCCCGGAUAUGAUUCAGGAAGCAGAAGAGCAGGUUCGCGUUAUUCGUGAGAAAUUGAAAACGGCCCAAUCUCGCCAAAAGAGUCAAUAUGAUCGUAAGCAUAAGCCAAUGACAUUUGAAAUUGACGAGAAAGCUUAUCUUCGGGUUACCCCGUUAAAGGGAACCCAUCGCUUCGGUAUCAAAGGCAAAUUGGCUCCUCGUUACAUUGGACCCUUUCGCAUUCUUGCCAAACGAGGAGAAGCUGCCUACCAAUUGGAACUACCUCCGCAUCUUUCCAGAGUUCACGACGUCUUCCACGUUUCGCAACUCAGGCGUUGCUUCGCGGAUCCUAUCCGUGGAGUGGACCACGAAACGCUUGAUUUACAAGAUAACCUCUCUUAUCGGGAAUACCCCGUUCGUAUCCUUGAUCAAGCCGAGCGUACCACUCGACGUCAUAAUAUCAAGUUUCUCAAGGUUCAAUGGUCACACCAUUCCGAGGAAGAAGCCACUUGGGAAAGGGAGGAUCGUCUUCGACUCGAGUACCCCGCCUUCUUCCCAGAUGAUCCUAAAUCUCGGGACGAGAUUCUAUUGAGUGGGGGUGAGUUGUCACACCCUAGCUAGUUUAUGCAUUAGAGUGUGCAUCAUGUUUACCUUCAUCAGAAAUUGAAAUGGGGAAAGCAGAACCCCCAGCACCCCCCCUGAAAUCAACUAGGGUUUACUAAAAAUAAAUUCAAUGAACCUGAAAUGCCCUUCAAAUAUGUUCACCCUCUUUGCCUUGGGUUAGAACCCUUGGGAAAAAUGGUGCAUAUAAUUUUAGGUCAACAAAAGGGGCAUUGACUUAAUUCAUAAAUAUUUGAAUUUGGGCAUUUAAAAUACUAUUAUAUAAUUCAAAUGCUCAAAUAAUGUUGGAACUAUUUUUGGGCCACUGAAAUAUUUCAGAAAGUGUCCAUAAAUAUUUUCAGGAUUUUAUAAAAUGAUUUAGUAUUUGAACUAAAUCAAAACAGAAUAACAGAAAUAGAAAAACACAAAAAAAAAUAAAGAGGGAAAGACCAUGGGCCACUUACCUGGCCCAGCGCCAGGCCACCAGCGGCCCAGCCCACCAGGCCGAUGCCAGUCGUCCCCUAGCUCCUGCCAGGAGGACGAAGGGCGUGUGCCCGCGGUGCGCCAGCACGCGCACGGCCACCGACGGCCACCUCCUGCUUCGGCCGCCUCCCCGACGUCGCUUUGGACGCCACGCAUCCCCCCCUGACCCCUCGCUCACUCUCUUCCAUCCUCAUCCCCUCCUCUGCUCUCUCUCCCGCGCAACCGCCAUGAGCCCGAGAGCGCCGACGAGGACCACCACGGCCACCGCCUCCCCCUCGCUUCCCUGACCAGCUUGGAGGCUCCGCCUCGACCCCGUCUUCCUUCUCACCGAACCACGCCCCGCCGGAAGCCCUGCAUCGUCGAAUUCAAGCUCUUCUUCAAGCUUUGGCACCGACGAUCGCCGUCGUCGAUUCGCUUGCUCCAGUGCCUCCCCGAGCUUGCCGAGGCCACCGCUGCAACUGCUGUGAGCUCCUGUGUCAUUUCCCCCUCUCCCCUGGCUCGAUUUCUUCUUCUAACACCGAUGCCCGUCGGAACCGAGAGCUCUUCGCCGCCGGCCAUGCCGCCACCGUGACCACAACCGUGCAAGCUCACUCCCGAGCACGGCAACGUGCUCCACACCUCACCAGGAGCACGUGGAACCCAUCAGUUUCCCCUCCCGUGCACCACAACGCCGAUCCGCUCAACUCCCGAACUCCGGCUGCCGCGCAAGUUGCCGCCGCCGUCGUUUUAGGCCACUAGGGCUGCUGCCGUGUGCACAGAUAGAUGCGAGCGAGUCCCAGCUCCGCGUAGAUGCCCUCCACUGGCCAUUUGGUCGCCGGAGGAGGAUUUCCGAGCCCCUCCGCCGUCUCUGGCCUUGCCGGCGACGAGCCGGGGUCAACUCCGGCGUGUUUUGACCCCGGGUCGGCUGGGUUGACUCCCCCCGGACUCACUGACGUGUGGGCCCAGGCGCCUGCCUAAUUACCGUUAGUUAAUUAGAGUUAAUAAAAAUUAGCUAAUUAGUGAGCCACUGACAUGCGGGCCCCGCCCGGCUAACCAAGUUAGUUAGGGUUAACUAACUUAGUUAGUUGAUUGUGUCACUGACCAGUGGACCCCACUGGUCAGGUUUGACAUGGAGGCGCCAGUUGACCUGCUGACAUCAGGGUGAUGUCAUGCUGACGCAAUAACUCUUUUUCUGGAUUUAAUUUUAUAUAGAAAAUUCCAGAAAAUUGCCUAAACUUCAAAAAUUCAUAGAAAUUCAACCAUAACUCCAAAUGAGACAAAUUAUAUAUGAAAAAUUAUCAGAAAAAUUCAAGGAAUCCAUCUGUACCAUUUUCAUGCAUGUUUGAACAAUGCUUGUCCUCUGUUUUGGACAAAACAAAUAAAGGGCAUUUAAAUAAUCAUAUAUGGGGUUGGAAUUUGAAUCUUGUACUCAAACCAACUCCAUUUAAAUCAUAGCUAGUUGUAUAAGCUCAAGACACAUCCAUAUUGCCAUGUCAUAGCAUGCAUCAUAUUGUUGCAUAUCGUCAUGUGUUGAUUGUGCUCGGUUGUGUUCUUCGUGGUAGGUUCUGCCUCCGAGGAUAUUCACGAGUAUCCAACUGAAGGGCAGUAUCCCGUUACCACUCCAUCAGGCAAGCAAGCAUUGAUCAUUCCGAUACAACCCAUGUUCUCGCUCCUGCUCUUGUUUACUGCAUUAAGACAACACGAUUCAAACUGCCGUGUGCUACGGUAGUUGAACCCUUAUCCUCUGCAUGACCUGUCAUUGCCACAGUAACUAGAUGAAACCCACUAGCAUGUGUAGGAGUUGAUUGAGCCAUGUUUUGUGAUUCCUACCUUGCUAUGCCUGCUAUGCUUAGAGUUGUGUCAGGUCUGGUUCAUCUGGGGAAUGGGCUAGAGUGAAAUGCUUGUGCCAGUAAAUUGUGGGAUGUGUUGAACAUGUUUUGGUAAAGGUAUCGAUGAGAGGCCAUGUAGGAGUACAUGGUGGGUUGUUUCAUUGAAGCCGUCCCUAAGAACUGAGUUCUGUAUGCGUGAAUUAAGAUUCAGCUACUACCACACAUUGGGCCCUGAAAUAUGACCCCGCUCGACUUACCGACCCCUCUCGCCUCAGUCCAGGAGUUGCAACUAGUUUCUGGUGUUUGUAGGAUAUGUGUUGGCGGCCGUGCGUAGCGCUGACCCUAGGGGUGGGCUAUGUUGCGGUAGAUACACUGUGGCACGGUGUACCGAGUCACCCGUUUGGUGUCUCGGGAACCCUGUUCACAUCGUUCGGGGCCGUUGAGGACACCCCGGCCGGAUUUCCUUGCGGAUGGAACCUGAAUAGGCGAUGACCCUGGACUAGAGACUUGUGAGGUUAGUCAGGUCGUGGUCUACACCCACGUCGGUUUUCGCUUGAAGUCUGCCGAGCACAUUUCGUGUGCAGACGCUAAGAGGUGGAAACAUGUGUGACGAAGUACACCCGUGCAGGGUAUAAAACUAUUCGAAUAGCCGUGUCCGCAGUAAAGGACUACUUGGUUGCAUAUACAGUUCAUAGACAAGUUAAUGGAUACUACUAAAAGACUCAAGAUAAGUGUGAGUACCGAGGAUGGCUCCCUCAUGUGACCCCUACCUGUAUGGAUAUGUUAUGUAUGGCUCCCUGGAGCCUUUAAAUAAAGUACCUGAGUUGUAGAGUUUUGUUGUGAUGCCAUGUUGUAUGUACUCAUAUCGAGCAUAUUGUAUGUAUGAUUGAAAUGCUUGGUAUGAGUGGGAUCCGACAAUCUAGUUGUUUGUCCUUCGCAGCCUUUCUUAUGGGGAAAUGUAGUCUAGUGCUCCUCGAGCCAGAGUAGUCCGCUACAGCCCGGUUCACCGGAGUCCUGCUAGCCCAGCACUACUGUUCAGGACACUUGACUGGCCGGCAUGUGUUUCACUUCGUCCCUAUGUCUGUCCCUUCGGGGAAAUUUCACGCGGUGAUCUCCGGAGUCCUGUCUAGCCUGCUACAGCCCGGGAUCCCCCGGAGUCCUGUUAGCCCAGUGCUACAGCCUGGAAUCACUCCUUGAUGACCGACAUGUUCGUUGUGAUUCAUGUAUGCCUGUCUCCAUAGGUCUGUGCCGCUUUGGGUUCACGACUAGCCAUGUCGGCCCGGGUUCUCGGUCAUAUGGAUGCUAGCGACAUUGUCAUAUACGCGAGCCAAAAGGCGCAAACGGUCCCGGGCCAUGGUAAGGCGACACCCGUGGGAUACCGUGCGUGAGGCCGCAAAUUGAUAUGAGGUGUUACCGGCUAGAUCGAUGUGGCUUAGAAUCGGGGUCCUGACAGAAAUGGUCGAGACAUAAAGAUUGAUAUAUUGGAAGCCUAUAUUUGGAUAUCGGAAGUGUUCCGGGUAAAAUCGAGAUUUUGCCAGAUUACCGGGAGGUUACCAGAACCCCCCGGGAGCCAUAUGGGCCUUAUUGGGCUUUAGUGGAAAGGUGAAAAGGGCUGCCAUGGUGGGCUGCACGCCUCCCCCCUCCCCUAGUCCUAUUAGGACUAGGAGAGGUGGCCGGCCACCUCUCUCUCUCUUUCCCCCUUGGGAGUCCUAUUUGGAAUAGGAUUGGGGGGGAGUCCUACUCACGGUAGGAGUAGGACUCCUCCUGCACCCUCCUCUUUGCCGGCCAGCCCCUCCCCCUUGGAUCCUUUAUAUACAGGGGCAGGGGGCACCUCUAGACACACAAGUUGAUCAUUGAGAUCGUUCCUUCGCCGUGUGCGGUGCCCCCUGCCACCAUAUUCCACCUCGAUCAUAUCGUUGUAGAGCUUAGGCGAAGCCCUGUGUCGGUAGAACAUCAAGAUCGUCACCAUGCCGUCGUGCUGAUGGAACUCCUCCACGAAGCUUUGCUGGAUCGGAGCCCGGGGAUCGUGAUCGAGCUGUACGUGUGCUAAGAACUCGGAGGUGCCGGAGUAACGGUGCUUGGAUCGGUCGGAUCGGGAAGAAGACGUACGACUACUUCCUCUACGUUGUGUCAACGCUUCCGUUGCGAUCUACAAGGGUACGUAGAUUAGACUCUCCCCCUCGUUGCUAUGCAUCACCAUGAUCUUGCGUGUGCGUAGGAAAAUUUUGAAAUUACUACGUUCCCCAACACUAUGCACCUGCAUCGUCACAUGAGUCGAUGAUAUGCAACAUAUAUAGUUGAGCAUCAGAAAGAGAUAGACUUGGCAAAAAUAGAAGCAACAUAUCAUAAGCAUAAAUAACAAAGUUCAUCGUACCCAAAAUGCCCUAACUAGAGUGAUCUUCGGUAGUCAAGGAGGAAGGUUUAAUUACAUCACAAAUAAUGUUUCGUCGUGCAUAACUCAAAGUUCCGUCAUACAGAAGGUAUGAACUAAACGGACACAUUGUCAUAUUUCGAAAAUCACUCCAACAUGGCGUGCCAUCCAUCCAAGUCAAGGAGAUAGUGCCCGAGCUUAGUGAAAGGCUUCAGGUCGAGACGCUGAGCGGCUACGCGUGUUCGGACUCUUCCCAUGACAUUUGUCCUUCUUCAUAGAACAUCCCUGUUUUUUCGACGACCUCCAUCAUGAUGAUUUGGGCAAGUUCGCACUGGAAGUGAUAUAACUCAUCUUGAAGUCGAUGAUCCUCGAUAUCUUCUAAGUUCUUUGCCCAUUGCAGAAUAUGGGCAUGGCUGAAUUUAGGUGACAUGCAAAGGUUCUGGUGAUCCUGUCUGUACUCCAUCAUGUGGUGUAGGACAUAGAACCCAUCAUCAAGAGAAUCACUCGGUUGCUGGAUGCAGCUGAAGUCGGUCUUAUGGGCCUGCCGUCCCUUUUCUUCUUGUCCUUGACCUCUCCACCCCGUGCAUCGUAGUAAAACAUAGCACUAUCGAGAACAAACUUGAUGUGGGUGUAAUCCUUUUUGUUAAUGUUCUUCGACGAGUCCACAAUAUCGGGGGUAGAGGAUGAUGAGGACGGCGCGCCUGCCGUUGCGCAAAAUAAGUACACCUCAAAUGAAUUAAACUCCAUCGUUCAAAUGAAUGAUUGAAAUCGAAGGAAGGAUAUCUGCGCGGAUGACUUACACGGGAUGAUAAGGCACGAGAAUCGCCUCCUUGUCCUUAUUGGCAAGCAUGAAAUUGACGAUGUAUUCCUCGUGUAUUCAUGGUGCUUUGCGCGGACUCCCAAGACGCCCUCGUGCAUGAAGUACGGGUCAGCGACAUAGAUAUGAGGUAUCUGCUCAACCCCGAUGAGGUAGUUCAUGUGCAAGGCAUAAAGGCGGACAAACAUAAAAUCCAGCUUCUUUAAGUGAAACAUGUUGAAGAUGUAAUCAGAUCGAAGGAAAAACUUCUUCGAGGGGAAUGUGUCGACGUACGACAAUUGCCCGGCACGUUAACCACGUAGAGAGGGUAUCCUGGAUUUUUCGAGGCGAUGAGGCCUUUCUCUAUCCGCAACACGUCGUCAUGAAGUCUCCUUAGAUCGCCGGAUCUGGCCCCUAGCGCUGCUUUCGGUAGGAUUGGUUCACCAGGAUACGCCAUUUUGCCGCUCCGGGGACAUCUAUACGGUCUUGAACCCGAGGCUGCUGAGGCGGCUGGAUCAUAGAAGCAGCUUUGUUGGCUUUCCUCAGUGUAUUCCUAGGCUUCUUUGCUACAGGAAGGUCAUCUAUGAUAUGUUCAGCCUCCAGAGGCGGCAAUUCAGGCACCGACUCAUGACGCUCAAACCCUGAGUAGGCGCCAGUAUUGAGAUACUGUUGAGUGCCAUUGUUGUCCUCAUCUAUGGCGGUGUCACCAGCGACAAAUGGAGCCUCUUCCUCACCCCGUUCGCUAUCACCCAGCACGACAGCCGGCGCUAAUUGGGUAGGUGGGGUGUUGAUGUUCAUACCUAACUGCGUGCUCGUGUGUGUGCUCCCGGCCGUCUCCAAACAAAGUAGACUCUUUGGCCACAACAGGACCCACCCAUUGCAAUCACCAAUCCCCUGCGGGAUCUCGUCGUCAUUCCCCCUAGUACCGGAGGAGCCAAAUUCUCCUGGCCUGGUUUGACACUGGCCACGGAAACUUUGUAGACGUCCGAGGGGAUCGGUCGGCCGUGGAACAAUGGUUCCUUAGGCUUCAUUAUCGUCACCUUCCCCACGUCCACCUCCUGGUAGCGGAUGUUGUACAAUAUGGUGCACGGGGUUACAUUGGCCUGCAAAGACAUUUCUGCGAUGUGAGAUAUCCGACAGGCAACAAAAAAUGGGAGAUUAUACAUUUAUUGAAGAGGGCUGGUGUGACAGAUAUAGUGAGGGCGUCGAGCUCAUCCAAAGAUGAAGCACCGCUGAGCACGUCCGGUGUCGGAGCCGGUGCGGGAGCAGGUGCAGGUGCUGGUGCAACGCUAGUCGAGCUGCUCCCGAAGAAGUCAGCAAGGGGAAAGUCCGCUGCAUUUUUUUUCUGGAUUUUGCGUGCUCGAAUUGAAAACGGCCGAAACCAAGACAGUAGACAUAUCUGCAACCACCUGUUUUGCGGCAGCUAUCGCUGUUGCGACUGUCUCAGAUGAUUUCUUCUCAAUCGGAAUCUAAACCUUCUGGCUGAUGUUUUCUUCAGUUAACCUCCGUCUUUCCUUUCGCUCCUCCGUGGUCUCACGGUAGUACUUCUUCCACGUGGCGCCGUCUACGACACCGUCCACGCGUCCAUACGACGGCCGAUUCUCCACCAGGAGUCCUUUCAAUAUGUUCAAUACCCGGUUGAAUGGAGUCUACCACUUGGGCCUCGCCAACGCCUCAGACGGCGAGUCACUUUCGGCUGCAAUCUUGUGCUGCUCUCUCUUCAAAAGGAACAAGGAUCGUUUACAAAUAUGACUAAACGUGCAGUCGAAUUGAUCAGAAACUAAAAUUACCAGCAGUCUCGUGAACUCCGUCGUGAUCGGGUCCGUCUUAAAAACCUUCUUGACUGAGUCCCAAUGGUGCCGUGCCCCGAGGACGUCACGCUCCUGCGGGACGGUGAAGUCCGCCAAGGGGUCUGGGAUGCCCAGACGUUCGCGUUCCGCGUCCUCCUUGGCCCAUAUGGACCUCUUCCCGCCGUAACCACGGCUUCCGAGGUGGUGGCGCCCCAUGUUCCUUUGUUGAAGCCCUUUCAUGUACUUCGACUUUUUUUUGGCAGCUUCGGCCUCGCAAGCCGCCUUGAAUUUUUCAAAGUGCUCUCCCGUGAUUGUCGGAUUAUCCUUUACAAUCUCGGAGUAUGGUUCCUUUUUGUCGACAAUCCGAUGUUUCAACCUUGUUUUCCAGGUGGCCAACGUGUCGCUAAACUUGGUCAUGGCGUGUUUGUUUAUCUUCUUCAUUGCCGGGUCCUUAUUUGGAUAUUUAUAAUCCUUUUCAUUCCGGCCCGGGAACAACAAUAUCUGGUGCAGCUUCUUUAGGAGGGAGGACCUCAUAUUAUCUAUCUUCUGUAGUUUCCCAUGGUUGAUCGUGGCAGUUAUCCGUACGAUGCAGCCUAUUUGAUUGCCGUAGCACGAUCGCGCUUCCUUGGGCGCUAUUGUCUGAAAAAUACGGUCGUCCAUCUCCGUGACCACCAGUCUAGUUGUCAUGAGCUGGUUUGGGCGCCGUGGCUUCUUAGCUUUCGGUUCUAGAUCAGCUCCGCUAGUCUCGGCGCCGGUCUCAGUCUCAUCGCCGGUCUGCAUGUCGGUAUCAGUCCCCGAUGCGACAGGUCGGCCCAGCAACAACAUUCGUUGAUCGUCGGCAAGGCUCAAAAAUUCAUCUGCCGCCAGGUAGACGUGUCGCAAUCACCAGAACCCUAUCCUUCAUCAUUGCUAGCCAUGUUUCCUACGAUUAUAUCUAGUCAAUUAAUUCUAGACCUAAUAAAAUGAAUAAUGACAUAAAACAGGCCAAUGUUUUGCAGGAUUACAACUCAACCCAUUGCAGAUUAGAAAACAAUCCCGUGUGAAUGCACAGGCUGACGACUAGUAUAUAUAAAGCUUAAUGGUGCCUAAGAAAGCUCGCACAAUUUUACAGUGGCUAUGGAAAUGUGUUGCCAAACUUUGACAUAAGAUUUUCGUUUGGCAUCCAGAGUUGCAAAACGCUUGUGUUGUCCUUAAUCCAUGGCCACUCUAAUUUUUCCGGCUGGGCCUUCCCUGUGGUAUCGCGGCAAGGCUUGCGUGUGUAUAUGUUUCCUUUAACUACCACUAGCACAUAUGCCCGUGCGUGCGUUGCAACGGGAGAGAUAAUGGCGUAUCCACCAAUAUAUCUAACAGCAUGACCCAACAAUAUCCGAAUGAUGUCACCCGAUGACGGCAGGAAGGCACGCACAGAGGUCUAGUAAAAACUCAUAUCAAUUGUAAGGGCAUGGUUAAUUCGCGUGAAUUCAGGGGUGUGAGAUUAGUUAGUGUUGGUCCCACAAUUGAAUUCGGGGGGUGAUUAGUUAGUGUGGGCCCACCCUCGAAUUCACGGGGGGAGACAAAAUAAUUAGGGUGAGGAGAGAUUUACGGGGCUUGGUCCCCAGAUGCGUUGUGGCAGUCAUUAUUCGAGCAUUGCAAUGCUCGCACGUGACGAGCUCUUUUUCCAAUUGUAUAUUAAGAAGCAUGCUACAGAUACAAUGUUUUUGAUACGUUUUUUGUACAAUGAUCCUGAUCUUAAAGGGCCACCUAAUUUUUAUAUCUUAAAGGCAUUAUUUGUAAGUUGUCGUGAAAAAAAUCUCGCUAAAAGGGUUGUGUUAGACCAUCUUCAGUACAUUAGAAAUAACGAAUUAUAAUUCCUUGGCAUUUGAAGAAACAAUCGCUACUUAUUUACACAUACAAUUCUUUUGGUACGAUUUUGAAAUCUUGAAGGCAUUAUUUGUAAGUUGAAGCAAUUUUGAAAUCUCACUAAAAGGUCUGUUAGACCCUCUAGAGCUUUAGAAAUAACUAAUUAUAAUUUUGCAAAAAAAAGAAAUAACUAAUUAUAAUUCCUUAAGCAUCUGACCGAAACGACCCCGAAUUAUUGUCUGGGUAGUAAUUCCUUUGCAACAUUAUUCUCUCCUUUUUUGAAGGAGCUCUUGCCUGGGUAGUAAUUCCUAUUUGCAAGGUUAUUCUCUCCUUCAUUUUUACAGGAGCUCUCCUUCCUUAUACUAAUUGGUCAUUAUCCUCUCCUUCCUUUUUCUUUUUGCCAAACUCUCUUUCCAUACUUAUGCCGCUAACCACGCCACUCUUUUUCCUUAUUUAUGCCCUUUGAUCACGCCACACAUCUCAUGAAAUCUAAGCCAUAUCACCCAUCUUUUUUCCUUAUUCUCAAAGGCGCUUUCCUCACAAACAGUAGUUCUCUAGGAUGCUUAACGAUUUUGAAACAGAAACAUAUAUAAAUCGGUAGAACGGGUUGUCAAGCAGCGAGGUGGUACUAGUUUAUAAAGAAACAAAUUAACCUUUUCUUUUUGUGUAAUGAUGCCUUGGUUCGGCUGGUUGCUGCCUUUGCCCUUGAUGUGCAGCGUUGGGAAAAGGAUGGGCGAAGUGGACGAACCAAAAACGGACAAAAUUACGGUAGUAAGAAGCGAUAGCCCAUUUAUUAGUAGGUAUAGAUAUAGAUGUCGAGGAUGAGGAUUUACUGCACACAAGUGCGGGGGCACUCAGGUCCUGGUGCCGGCCUUUUAUUUUGGCUUCCGAUUUUCAAACUUCUAUAUCUUUUAAACGAAAAGUUCAAUUUAAGUUACGUUUUCAUAUUCGUGCUUCUCGCGGCCAGCGCUUUCAAAUAAGAUCCAUUUUGCAUACAUUUUGGCUGCUUUUGGAAACAUUGCUAAGUUUCAUUGUUUGAAACUUAGUACGAGCGACCGAUAAAAUUUAAUUAUUUUGUGUCUACGACCAACAGGAGAAAUUGCUUAAAAUUACAUCUUUGAAACUGGUCAUUUUUUUACUGUGUCCUACUUCACGAAUCACGAGGCAAAUCAAGUAGGCGGCAUGCCCUGGCCGGUGAGUGCCAUUGCACUUACUUGCCCCAGCGAUUUUCCGCGUGCAUUGUAGAAUUCUUUCUCCGAGUCCUGUGAAUUAAAGAUGGUGCAGACAAAAGUAUAUCCUAUAUGCGUACAUGUGCAUGAUCAGAACAUGUUUUUACGUGCGUCUACUAUAAAUCAUGACCAUUUUUAACACAAAUCAUGACCAUUCAUGAUUAGUGAAUCAUACUGUCUUAACUUAUGUGAAAUCAUGUGGAGUAAUAUAAUAUAAUACAAUAGAUAGACAGAUCCAUGUUGUAUUAUUUUUUGUUUACAAAAAAAUCUGUAAUUACACAUUUUGAUUUAUGCAUUUGUUUACAAAAAAACAGUAACAUUUCAUGGUGGAAAGUUUGUAUUGUUUCAUACUGAACACCAAUGUUUUCCUGUAAAAGAAAAUAAUGCCUACGCAUAUGCUUUUAUAUUAUUAUUAUUCUUUCAAACUUAUUCAUAUAGUAUUUUUGAUUGUGCAACCAUAAUUUUUAUUAUCUCUCUCGUUCCACUACAUGCUCUUACUCAAUGAUUUUCUUUAUAAUGGGUGUUUUUAUUAACUCAAAAUAUAGCAUCAAGCGGAUACAGAACAUACUGAGCCACACCCGGUCUCUGCAUAACUAAGAUGCACACAGCCAAAAGCGGAAGUCUGACAAAAAUAAGAUAAGAAAAUCGACAUAUCGACAACAGUGAGUCAUAUAGUUCCGACACUAUGCCUCUGUCGAAGGAGGGGGUGGAGCGAUCUAGAGAUUAUGCUGCCUUCCAUGUUGAGUAAACACCUCCCUGGCCACUUGUUCCAACUGCAUAGACGCCGCCACGAAUAACGGUUGGUACUCUGUUCGGUGUAGCAUACACCAUGUAGGAAGUGAGUGCUCACUCCUAGUUACUGAAUUAUGUACACACUAGUAGAAAAAGGCCCAUUUGUCCCGGUUCGUAAGGCCCAUUUGUCCCAGUUGGGGAACCGGGACUAAAGGGUCGGUACUAAAGCCCUACACCUUUAGUCCCGGUUCUUACACCAACCGAGACAGAUGGGGCUCCACGUGGCCGUUGCGGCUUACCGUGGCAGGUGGGCCUUUUGUCCCGGUUGGUAGCACCAACCGGGACCAAUAAGCUACCACGCGUCAGCAUUUGAGGGGCUANNNNNNNNNNNNNNNNNNNNNNNNNNNNNNNNNNNNNNNNNNNNNNNNNNNNNNNNNNNNNNNNNNNNNNNNNNNNNNNNNNNNNNNNNNNNNNNNNNNNNNNNNNNNNNNNNNNNNNNNNNNNNNNNNNNNNNNNNNNNNNNNNNNNNNNNNNNNNNNNNNNNNNNNNNNNNNNNNNNNNNNNNNNNNNNNNNNNNNNNNNNNNNNNNNNNNNNNNNNNNNNNNNNNNNNNNNNNNNNNNNNNNNNNNNNNNNNNNNNNNNNNNNNNNNNNNNNNNNNNNNNNNNNNNNNNNNNNNNNNNNNNNNNNNNNNNNNNNNNNNNNNNNNNNNNNNNNNNNNNNNNNNNNNNNNNNNNNGGUUAAUUUUGGAGGGUUUCAUAUAUUGUGUUAGGUAGCUAAUUAAUUAAUACAGAGAAGUGUCAUCUCUUAUCUCCGUGCUUGGUCGACGCUACGUACUAUACGUACAGAGAGGCCCUCGACACGCUAGCCAGUAAGCAAAUGAAGGAAACCAUUAAGUACAGAAGUUCGUCAUGAACAUAUGCAUACAAACUAAGUGAUAUCGACCUCUCCUUCUCUGAGAGAUAGGUCGAACAACAAGUUUCCGUAUAUCUAUCCGGCGCUACUAGCUACAUAUAUACAAUAUUAAGAUCUCUUACAAUAUAAUCCCCUAAUUAUAUAUGAACUCAGCUUUCAGAUGGUAUUCUCCGGCUUUAUUGAUGACGUGGUCAAGAAAGAAUCCCUCCAAUUCCUCUUGAAUUGCUUUGAUGCGAUCUUCUGGUAGGAGUUCAUCCCGCAUCUGCCACAUCUAAUUUGAAGAAGGGGGUCAAUCACUAGUAGAAUAACAGCCAUUUGUCCUGGUUCGUAAGGCUCAUUCGUCCUGGUUGGGGAACCGAGACUAAAGGGUCGUUACUAAAGCCCUACACCUUUAGUCCCGGUUCUUACACCAACUGGGACAGAUGGGCCUCCACGUGGCCGCUGCGGCGAGCCCAGGCAGGAGGUCCUUUGGUCCCGGUUAGUGGCACUGAUACUUCUCCAACGUAUCUAUAAUUUUUGAUUGCUCCAUGCUAUUAUGUUAUCUAUUUUGGAUGUUAAUGGGCUUUAUUUUACACCUUUAUAUCAUUUUUGGGACUAACCUACUAAUCGGAGGCCCAGCCCAAAUUGUUGUUUUUUUGCCUAUUUUAGGUUUUCGAAGAAAAGGAAUAUCAAACGAAGUCCAAACGGAAUGAAACCUUCGGGAACGUGAUUUUCUCAACGAACAUGAUCCAGGAGACUUGAAGUGUGCGCCAAGAAAGAAGGGAGGAAGGCAAGAGGCAGGGGGCACGCCUACCCCCCUUGGGCGUGCCCUCCACCCUCGUGGGCCCUCCGCUGCUCCAUCGACGUACUUCUUCCUCCUAUAUAUAUCCACGUACCCCUCGAACAUCCAGGAGCACCACGAAAACCUAAUUCCACCGCCGCAACCUUCUGUACCCGAGAGAUCCCAUCUUGGGGCCUUUUCCGGAGGUCCACCGGAGGGGGCAUCGAUCACGGAGGUCCUCUACAUCAACUCCAUGGCCUAUCCAGUGAUGUGUGAGUAGUUCACUUCAGACCUACGGGUCCAUAGUUAUUAGCUAGAUGGCUUCUUCUCUCUCUUUGGAUCUCGAUACAAAGUUCUUUUCGAUUUUCUUGGAGAUCUAUUUGAUGUAACCUUAUUUUGCGGUGUGUUUGUCGAGAUCCGAUGAAUUAUGGGUUUAUGACCCAGAUUAUCUAUGAACAAUAUUUGAUUCUCCUCUAAAUUCUUUUAUGUAUGAUUGGUUUAUCUUUGCAAGUCUCUUCGAAUUAUCAGUUUGUUUUGGCCUACUAGAUUGAUCUUUCUUGCAAUGGGAGAAGUGCUUAGCUUUGGGUUCAAUCUUGCGGUGUUUGAUCCUAGUGACAGAAAGGGAACCGAUACGUAUUGUAUUGUUGCCAUCGAGGAUAAAAAGAUGGGGUUUAUAUCAUAUCGCAUGAGUUUAUCCCUCUACAUCAUGUCAUCUUCCUUAAAGCAUUACUCUGUUCUCUUGAACUUAAUACUCUAGAUGUGUGCUGGAUUGCGGUCGAUGUGUGGAGUAAUAGUAGUAGAUGCAGAAUCGUUUCGGUCUACUUGUCUCGGACGUGAUGCCUAUAUACAUGAUCAUACCUAGAUAUUCUCAUAACUAUGCUCAAUUCUGUACAAUAUGGUGCACGCGGUUACAUCGGCCUGCAAAGACAUUUCUGCGAUGUGAGACAUCCGAAAAGCAACGAAAACGGGAGAUUAUACAUUUAUUGAAGAGGGCCGGAGUGACAGAUACCGUGAGGGUCUCGAGCUCAGCCAAAGACAAAGGACAGAUGAGCACGGCCUAUGUCGGAGCCAGUGCGGGAGCCGGUGCGGGAGCAGGUGCAGGUGCAGGUGCUGGUGCAAUGCUAGUCGAGCUGCUCCUAAAGAAGUCAACAAUGGGAAAGUCCGCUACAUUUUUUCUGGAUUUUGCGUGCUCCAAUUGAAUACAGCUGGAACCAAGACAGUAGACAUAUCUGUUGGAAAUAUGCCCGAGAGCCAAUAAUAAAUUGGUUAUUAUUAUAUUUCCUUGUUCAUGAUAAUCGUUUAUUAUCCAUGCUAGAAUUGUAUUGAUAGGAAACUCAGAUACAUGUGUGGAUACAUAGACAACACCAUGUCCCUAGUAAGCCUCUAGUUGACUAGCUCGUUGAUCAAUAGAUGCUUACGGUUUCCUGACCAUGGACAUUGGAUGUCGUUGAUAACGGGAUCACAUCAUUAGGAGAAUGAUGUGAUGGACAAGACCCAAUCCAUAUCUAGCACAAGAUCGUGUAGUUCGUAUGCUAAAGCUUUUCUAAUGUCAAGUAUCAUUUCCUUAGACCAUGAGAUUGUGCAACUCCCGGAUACAGUAGGAGUGCUUUGGGUGUGCCAAACAUCACAACGUAACUGGGUGGCUAUAAAGGUGCACUACGGGUAUCUCUAAAAGUGUCUGUUGGGUUGGCACGAAUCGAGACUAGGAUUUGUCACUCCGUGUAAAUGGAGAGGUAUCUCUGGGCCCACUCAGUAGGACAUCAUCAUAAUGAGCACAAUGUGAUCAAGGAGUUGAUCAAGGGAUGAUGUCUUACGGAACGAGUAAAGAGACUUGCCGGUAAUGAGAUUGAACAAGGUAUCGGGAUACCGACGAUCAAAUCUCGGGCAAGUAUCGUACCGAUAGACAAAGAGAAUUGUAUACGGGAUUGAUUGAAUCCUUGACAUCGUGGUUCAUCCGAUGAGAUCAUUGUGGAGCAUGUGGGAGCCAACAUGGGUAUCCAGAUCCCGCUAUUGGUUAUUGACCGGAGAGUUGUCUUGGCCAUGUCUGCAUGACUCCUGAGCUCGUAGGGUCUACACACUUAAGGUUCGAUGACGCUAGGGUUAUAGGGAAAGUAUGUACGCGGUUACCGAAUGUUGUUCGGAGUCCCAGAUGAGAUCCCAGACAUCACGAGGAGUUCUGGAAUGGUCCGGAGGUAAAGAUUUAUAUAUGGGAAGUUCCGUUUUGGUCACCGGAAAUGUUUCGGGUGCUAUCGGUAACGUACCGGGACCACCGGGAGGGUCCCAGGGGUCCAUCAGGUGGGGCCACCAGCCCCGGAGGCCUACAUGGGCCAAUAGUGGGAAGGGACCAGCCCCUAGGUGGGCUGGGGCGCCUCCCGACAAGGCCCAAGUCGCCUCCAAGAGGGGAAGGGGGCAAACCCUAGGGCAGAUGGGCCCCAAGGCCCACCCUAGGUGCGCCUCCCCCUCUCCCCCUUGUAGCCGCCACCCUAGAUGGGAUCUAGGGCUGCCGCACCCCUUGGGGUGGGAACCCUAGAGGGGGCGCAGCCCCCUCCCCUCCCCCUAUAUAUACUUGAGGUAUGGGGGCUGCCCAACAUACGAUUUGAUCUCUCUCUUGGCGCAGCCCUACCCCUCUCCCUCCUCGUCUCUCAUAGUGCUUGGCGAAGCCCUGCUGGAGUUCCGCGCUCCUCCACCACCACUACCACGUCGUCGUGCUGCUGCUGGACGGACUCUUCCCAACCUCUCCUUCUCCCCUUGCUGGAUCAAGGCGUGGGAGACGUCACCGGGCUGCAGAUGUGUUGAACGCGGAGGCGCCGUGGUUCGGCGCUUAGAUCGGAAUCAACCGAGAUCUGAAUCGCUACGAGUACGGCUCCUUCAUCCGCGUUCUUGCAACGCUUCCGCUUAGCGAUCUACAAGGGUAUGUAGGUGCACUACCCUUCCCUUCGUUGCUAGGUUACUCCAUAGAUUGAUCUUGGUGAUGCGUAGAAAAUUUUAAAUUUCUGCUACGAUCCACAACAGUGGCAUCAUGAGCUAGGUCUAUGCGUAGUUUCUAUGCACGAGUAGAACAUAAAACAGUUGUGGGCGUCAAUAUUGUCAAUUACUUGCCGUUAGUAGUCUUAUCUUGAUUCGGCGGCAUCGUGGGAUGAAGCGGCCCGGACUGACCCUACACGUACGCUUACGUGAGACUUGUUCCACUGACUGACAUGCACUAGUUGCAUAAGGUGGCUAGUGGGUGUCUGUCUUUCCCACUUUAGUCAGAUCGGAUUCGAUGAAAAGGGUCCUUAUGAAGGGUAAAUAAAAAUUGGCAUACCACGUUGUCGUUUUGGCGUAGGUAAGAAAUGUUCUUGCUAGAAACCUAUAGGAGCCACGUAAAAACUUGCAACAACAAUUUGAGGACCUCUAACUUGUUUUUGCAGCAUGUGCCGUGUGAUGUGAUAUGGCCAAAAGGAUGUGAUGAAUGAUAUAUGUGAUGUAUGAGAUUGAUCAUGUUCUUGUAAUAGGAAUCACGACUUGCAUGUCGAUGAGUAUGACAACCGGCAGGAGCCAUAGGAGUUGUCUUUAUUUAUUUAUGACCUGCGUGUCAACAUAAACGUCAUGUAAUUACUUUACUUUAUUGCUAAAGCGUUAGCCAUAGUAAUGGAAGUAAUAGAUGACAAGACAACUUCAAGAAGACACGAUGAUGGAGAUCAUGAUGAUGGAGAUCAUGGUGUCAAGCCCGUGACAACGAUGAUCAUGGAGCCCCAAAGAUGGAGAUCAUAAGGAGCAAAAUGAUAUUGGCCAUAUCAUGUCACUAUUUGAUUGCAUGUGAUGUUUAUCAUGUUUUACCUCUUAUUUUCUUAGAACGACGGUAGCUUAAAUAAGAUGAUACCUCGCAAUAAUUUCAAGAAAGUGUUUCCCCUAACUGUGCACCGUUGCGAAGAUUCGUUGUUUUGAAGCACCACGUGAUGAUCGGGUGUGAUAUAUUCUAACGUUCAAAUACAACAGGUGUAAGCCAGAUUUACACACACAAUACACUUAGGUUGACUUGAUGAGCCUAGCAUUUACAGACAUGGCCUCGGAACACGGUAGACCGAAAGGUCGAGCAUGAGUCGUAUAGAAGAUACGAUCAACAUGAAGAUGUUCACCGAUGUUGACUAGUCCGUCUCACGUGAUGAUCGGCCACGGCCUAGUUGACUCGGAUCAUGUUUCACAUAGAUGACUAGAGGGAUGUCUAUCUGAGUGGGAGUUCAUUAAAUAAUUUGAUUAGAUGAACUUAAUUAUCAUGAACAUAGUCCAAAUUGUCUUUGCAAAUAUGUUGUGGAUAAAUAGCUCACGCUUUAGCUCCCUGUUUUAAUAUGUUCCUAGAGAAAAGACUAACUGGAAAGAUAUUGUAAGCAUUAACGCUGACUAGGUCUGUUGCCUGAGGAGUGUCCUCACUGCUACACAGAAGGCUUAUGUCUUUGAUGCACCGCUCGGUGUGCCAACCCCUCCGGCGUCGUCUGUGGAUGUUGUGAACACCCGACAGACACAUCCUGAUGACUACUUGAAAGUUUAGUGCACCAUACUUUACGGCUUAGAAUCGGGAUUCCAAUGACGUUUUGAACGCCAUAAGACAUAUGAGAUGUUCCAAGAGCUGAAAUUGGGAUUUCAGGCUCAUGCCCGUGUUGAGAGGUAUGGACCUCUGACAAGUGCUUUUGCCAACAAGAUGGAGUAGAAUAGCUCAGCUAGAGAGCAUGUGCUCGGAAUGUCUGGGUGCUACAAUCACUUAAAUCAAGUGGGAGUUAAGCUUCCAGAUAAGAUAGUGAUUGAUAGAGUUCUCUAGCCACUAUCACUAAGAUACUAGAUCUUCGUGAUGAACUAUGACAUGCAAGGGAUGGAGUUGAUCCCGGAGCUGUUCACGGUGCUUAAGAUCGCAAAAGGUAGAAAUCAAGAAGGAGCAUCAAGUGUUGAUGGUUUAACAAGACCACUAGUUUCAAGAAGGGCAAGGGCUAGAAGGGAAACUUCAUGAAUGGCAAACCAGUUACCAAUCAAGUGAAGGAACCCAAGGUUGAACCCAAACCCGAGACAAAGUGCUUCUAUUGUAAGGGGAACAGUCACUGGUAGCGGAACUACCCCAAAUACAUGGUAGAUAAGAAGGAUGGCAACUUCAACAAAGUAUAUACAUGUUAUUAAUGUGUACCUCACCAGUACUCUUGGUAGCACCUGGGUAUUGGAUACCGGUUCAGUUGCUAUUAUUGGUGACUUGAAGCAAAAGCUACGGACUAAACGGAGACUGGCUAAGGGCGAGGUGACGUUGUGUGGUGGAAGUGUUUCCAAAGUUGAUAAGAUCACCAUCGCAUGCUCCAUCUGCCUUUGGGAUUAGUAUUGAACCUAGAUAAAUGUUAUCAGGUGUCUACGUUGAGGAUGAAUAUGAUUAGAUCAUGUUCAUUGCAAUACGGUUAUUCAUUUAAGAUAGAGAAUAAUGGUUAUUCUGUUUACAUGAAUAAUACCUUUCAUGGUCAUGCACCCUAUGUGAAUGGUUCAUUGAAUCUCGGUCGUGGUAAUACAGAUGUUCACGCCAAAAGAUGUAGAGUUAACAAUGAUAGUACCACUUUCUUGUGGAACUGCCGCUUAGGUCAUAUUGGCAUAAGAUGCAUGAAGAAACUCCAUGUCGAUGGAUGUUUGGAGUCAAUUGAUUUUGAAUCGCUUGACACAUGCGAGCCAUGAUUCAUGGGCAGGAUGACUAAGACCCCGUUUUCAGGUAAAAUAAAACGGGCAAGUGACUUCUUGGAAAUCAUACAUGCUGAUGCAUGUGUUCCAAUCAGAAUUGAAGCGUGCGGUGGAUAUCGCUAUUUUCUCAUCUUCACUGACGAUUUGAGUAGAUAUAGGUAUAUUUACUUAAUGAAGCACAAGUCUGAAACAUUUGAAAAGUUCAAGCGAUUUUAGAGUGAAGUUAAGAACCAUCAUAUAUAAUAAGAAGAUCAAAUUCCUACGAUCUGAUCGAUGAGAAUUUCUGAGUUAUGAGUUGGGCAAUCACUUAAGACAUUGUGGAAUUGUUUCAUAGUUGAAGCCACCUGGAACAACACAGGGUAAUGGUGUGUCCGGACGUCGUAAUCGAACCUUAUGAGAUAUGGUGCGAUCUAUGAUGUCCCUUACCGAUCUACCAUUUUCAUUUUGAGGAUAUGCGUUAGAGAAAGCUGCAUUCACUUUUGAUAGGACACCAUCUAAGUCCGUUGAGAUGACGUCGUAUGAAUAUGGUUUGGCAAGAAACCAAAAUUGUCGUUUCUUAAUGUUUGGGGCUGCGAUGCUUAAGGCUUCAGGCGGAGAAGAUCGAACCCAAAAGAGGACAAACACAUCUUCAUAGGAUACCCAAAGGUGACAGUUUGGUAUACCUUCUAUCUCCAAUCUGAGGGCAAGUUGUUUGUCGCUAAGAAUGGUUCCUUUCUCGAGAAGGAGUUUCUCUCGAAAGAAUUGAGUGGGAAGAAGAUAGAACUUGAUGAGGUUGUCGAACCUUUGUUUCAACCAGAGAGUGAUGCAACACAGAAAGAUGUUUUCUGUGGCACCUACGUCUGUUGAAGAGGAAGUUAAUGAUAGUGAUCAUGAAGCUUCGGAUCAAGUUGCUAUCGAACCUCAUAGGUCGACCAGGAUAUGUACUACUCCUGAGUGGUACGGUAAUCCUGUCUUAGAUAUCAUGUUGUUAGACAACAAUGAACCCAUGAGCUAUGGAGAAGCGAUGGUGGGCCCGUAUUCCGACAAAUGGUUAGAAGCCAUGAAAUCCGAGAUAGGCUCCAUGUAUCAGAACAAAGUAUGGACUUUGGUGGACUUGCCCGAUGAUCGGCGAGCCAUUGAGAUAAAUGGAUCUUUAAGAAGAAGACGGACGUGGGCGGUAAUGUUACCAUCUAUGAAGCUCGACUUGUGGGAAAGAGUCUUUUCACAAGUUCAAGGAGUUGACUACGAUGAGAAUUUCUCACCCGUAGCGAUGCUUAAGUCCGUCGGAAUCAUGUUAGCAUUAGCUGUAUUUUUCGAUUAUGAAAUCUGACAGAUGGAUCUCAAAACAAGUUUUCUUACCAGUUUUCGUAAGAAAAAGUUGUAUGUGAUACAAUAAAAGGUUUUGUCGAUCCUAAGGAUGCUAAAAGGUAUGCUGGCUCCAGCAAUCCUUCUAUGGACUAGAGCAAGCAUCUCGAAGUUGGAAUAUAUGCUUUGAUGGAGUGAUCAAAGCUUUUAGGUUUAUACAAUGUUUGCUAGAAACUUGUAUUUACAAGAAAGUGAGUGGGAGAACUACAACAUUUCUGAUAAGUAUAUGUGGAUGACAUAUUGCUGAUUCAAAAUAAUGUAGAAUUUCUGGAAAGCAUAAACGGUUGUUUGAAGAGUGAUUUUCAAAGGCAGACCUGGAUAAAGCUGCUUACAAAUUGGGCAUCAAGAUCUGUAGAAAUAGAUCAAGACGCCUGAUGAUACUUUCAAAGAACGCACACCUUGACAUGUUUUUGAAGGAGUUCAAAAUAGAUCAGGCAAAGAAGGGGUUCUUACCUGUGUUGUAAGGUGUGAAGUUGAGUAAGACUUGAAAGCUUGACCACGACAGAAGAAAGAGGAAGGAUGAAGGUCAUCCCCUAUGCUUUUGUCAUAGGCUCUAUACGGUAUGCCAUGCUGAGUACCACACCAGAUGAGUGCCUUGCCACAUGUCUGGCAAGAGGGUACAAAGGUGAUCUAGGAGUGGAUCACCAGAUAGCGGUCAAAAUUGUCCUUAGAGGAAUAAGGAAAUGUUUCUCAGUUACGGAGCUGAUAAAGAGUUCGACAUAAAGAGUUACGUCGAUACAUGCUUAAACACCAAUCCGGAUAGCUCUGAGUAGAGAUACCAGAUACGUAUAAUGGAGCAACAAUUUGGAAUAGCUCCAAGUGGAACGUGGUAGCAGCAUCUACGAUAUGACAUAAAGUUUUGGGAAAUACAUAGGGAUCUGAAUAUUACAGACCCGUUGACUACAACCUCUCUCACAAGCAUAACAUGAUCAAACCCAGAACUCAUUGAGUGUUAAUCGCAUAGUGAUGUGAACUAGAUUAUUGAAUCUAGUAAACUCUUUAGAUGUUGGUCACAUGGCGAUGUGACCAGUGAGUGUUAAUCACAUGGCGAUGUGAACUAGAUUAUUGACUCUAGUGCAAGUGGGAGACUGUUGGAAAUAUGCCCUAGAGCUAAUAAUAAAUUGGUUAUUAUUAUAUUUCCUUGUUCAUGAUAAUCGUUUAUUAUCCAUGCUAGAAUUGUAUUGAUAGGAAACUCAGAUACAUGUGUGGAUACAUAGACAACACCAUGUCCCUAGUAAGCCUCUAGUUGACUAGCUCGUUGAUCAAUAGAUGGUUACGCUUUCCUGACCAUGGACAUUGGAUGUCGUUGAUAACGGGAUCACAUCAUUAGGAGAAUGACGUGAUGGACAAGACCUAAUCCUAAGCCUAGAACAAGAUCAUGUAGUUCGUAUGCUAAAGCUUUUCUAAUGUCAAGUAUCAUUUCCUUAGACCAUGAGAUUGUGCAACUCCCAGAUACAGUAGGAGUGCUUUGGGUGUGCCAAACGUGACAACGUAACGGGGUGGCUAUAAAGGUGCACUACGGGUAUCUCUGAAAGUGUCUGUUGGGUUGGCAUGAACCGAGACUGGGAUUUGUCACUCCGUGUAAACGGAGAGGUAUAUCUGGGCCCACUCGGUAGGACAUCAUCAUAAUGUGCACACUGUGAUCAAGGAGUUGAUCACGGGAUGAUGUAUUACGGAACGAGUAAAGAGACUUGCCGGUAACGAGAUUGAACAAGCUAUCGGGAUACCGACGAUCGAAUCUCGGGCAAGUAUCAUACCGAUAGACAAAGGGAAUUGUAUACGGGAUUGAUUGAAUCCUUGACAUCAUGGUUAAUCUGAUGAGAUCAUCGUGGAGCAUGUGGGAGCCAACAUGGGUAUCCAGAUCCCGCUGUUGGUUAUUGACCGGAGAGUUGUCUCGGCCAUGUCUACAUGACUCCCGAGCCCGUAGGGUCUACACACUUAAGGUUCGAUGACGCUAGGGUUAUAGGGAAAGUAUGUACACGGUUACAGAAUGUUGUUCGGAGUCUUGGAUGAGAUCCCGGACGUCACGAGGAGUUCCAGAAUGGUCCAGUGGUAAAGAUUUAUAUAUGGGAAGUCCCGUUUUGGUCACCGGAAAGGUUUCGGGUGCUAUCGGUAACGUACCGGGACCACCGGGAGGGUCCCAGGGGUCCAUCAGGUGGGGCCACCAGCCCCGGAGGCCUACAUGGGCCAAUAGUGGGAAGGGACCAGCCCCUAGGCGGGCUGGGGCGCCUCCCACCAAGGCCCAAGGCGCCUCCAAGAGGGGAAGGGGGCAAACCCUAGGGCAGAUGGGCCCCAAGGCCCACCCUAGGUGCGCCUCCCCCUCUCCCCCUUGUAGCCGCCACCCUAUAUGGGAUCUAGGGCUGCCGCACCCCUUGGGGUGGGAACCCUAGAGGGGGCGCAGCCCCCUCCCCUCCCCCUAUAUAUACUCGAGGUAUGGGGGCUGCCCAACAUAUGAUUUGAUCUCUCUCUUGGCGCAGCCCUACCUCUCUCCCUCCUCGUCUCUCAUAGUGCAUGGCGAAGCCCUGCUGGAGUUCCGCACUCCUCCACCACCACCACACCGUCGUUCUGCUGCUGGACGGAGUCUUCCCAACCUCUCCUUCUCCCCUUGCUGGAUCAAGGUGUGGGAGACGUCACCGGGCUGCACGUGUGUUGAACGCGGAGGCGUCGUGGUUCGGCGCUUAGAUCGGAAUUAACCGCGAUCUAAAUCGCUACGAGUACGGCUCCUUCAUCCGUGUUCUUGCAACGCUUCCGCUUAGAGAUCUACAAGGGUAUGUAGAUGCACUCCCCUUCCCUUUGUUGCUAGAUUACUACAUAGAUUGAUCUUGGUGAUGCGUAGAAAAUUUUAAAUUUCUGCUACGAUCCCCAACAAUAUCUGCAACCACCUGUUUUGCGGCAGCUACUGCUGUCGCGAAUGUCUUAGAUGAUUUCUUCUCAACCGCAAUCUCAACCUUCUUGUCGAUGUUUUCUUCAGUUAACCUCCAUCUUUCCUUUCUCUCCUCCGUGGUCUCACAGUAGUACUUCUUCCACGUGGCCCCGUCUCCGACACCGUGAACGCGUCCAUACGACGACCUAGUCUCCACCGGCAGUCCUUUCAAUAUGUUCAAUGCCCGGGUGAAUGGAGUGUCCCACUUGGGCCUCGCCAACGCCUCAGACGGUGAGUCGCUUUCAGCCACAAUCAUGUGCUUCUCUCUCUACAAAAGGAACAAGGAUCAUUUACAAAUAUGACUAAACGUGCAGUCGAAUUGAUCAGAAACUAAAAUUACCAGCAGUCUCAUGAACUCCGUCGUGAUCGGGUCCGUCUUGAAAACCUUCUUGACCGAGUUCGAAUGGUGUCGUGCCCUGAGGACGUCAUGCUCCUAUGGGACGGUGAAGUCCGCCAAGGGGUCUAGGAUGCCAGACUUUCGUGUUCCGUGUCCUGCUUGGCCCAUAUGGACCUCUUCCUGCCGUAACCACGGCUUCUGAGGUGGUGGCGCCCCAUGUUCCUUUGUUGAAGCCCCUUCAUGUACUUUGACUUUGUUUUGGCGGCUUCGGCCUCGCAAGCCGCCUUUAAUAUUUCAAAGUGCUCUCCCGUGAUUGUCGGAUUAUCCUUUACAAUCUCGGAGUAGGGUUGAUACGUCUCCAACGUAUCUAUUAUUUUUGAUUGCUCCAUGCUAUAUUAUCUACAGUUUUGGACAUUAUUGGGCUUUAUUAUCUACUUUUAUAUUAUUUUUGGGACUAACCUAUUAACCAGAGGUCCAGCCCAGAAUUGCUGUUUUUUUGCCUGUUUUAGGGUUUCGAAGAAAAGGAAUAUCAAACGGAGUCCAAACGGAAUGAAGCCUUCGGGAAUGAGAUUUUCUCAACGAACAAGACCCGGGAGACUUGGACCCUACGUCAAGACAAAANNNNNNNNNNNNNNNNNNNNNNNNNNNNNNNNNNNNNNNNNNNNNNNNNNNNNNNNNNNNNNNNNNNNNNNNNNNNNNNNNNNNNNNNNNNNNNNNNNNNNNNNNNNNNNNNNNNNNNNNNNNNNNNNNNNNNNNNNNNNNNNNNNNNNNNNNNNNNNNNNNNNNNNNNNNNNNNNNNNNNNNNNNNNNNNNNNNNNNNNCACCGACGUACUUCUUCCUCCUAUAUAUACCUACGUACCCCCAAACGAUCAUAUACGGAGCCAAAACCCUAAUUCCACCGCCGCAACUUUCUGUAUCCAUGAGAUCCCAUCUUGGCGCCUGUUCCGGAGCUCCGCCGGAGGGGGCAUCGAUCACGGAGGGCUUCUACAUCAACAGCAUAGCCUCUCCGAUGAAGUGUGAGUAGUUGACCUCAGACCUACGGGUCCAUAAUUAUUACCUAGAUGGCUUCUUCUCUCUUUUUGGAUCUCAAUACAAUGUUCUCCCCCUCUCUUGUGGAGAACUAUUCGAUGUAAUAUUCUUUUUGCGGUGUGUUUAUUGAGAUCGAUGAAUUGUGGGUUUAUGAUCAAGUCUAUCUAUGAAUAAUAUUUGAAUCUUCUCUGAAUUCUUUAAUGUAUGAUUGUUUAUCUUUGCAAGUCUCUUCGAAUUAUCAGUUUGGUUUGGCCUACUAGAUUGAUCUUUCUUACAAUGGGAGAAGUGCUUAGCUUUGGGUUCAAUCUUGCGGUGUCCUUUCCCAGUGACAGUAGGGGCAGCAAGGCAUGUAUUGUAUUGUUGCCAUCGAGGACAACAAGAUGGGGUUUUCAUCAUAUUGCAUUAUUCUAUCCCUCUACAUCAUGUCAUCUAGCUUAAGGCGUCACUCUGUUUUUAACUUAAUACUCUAGAUGCAUGCUGGAUAGCGGUCGAUGAGUGGAGUAAUAGUAGUAGAUGCAGGCAGGAGUCGGUCUACUUGUCUCGGACGUGAUGCCUAUAUACAUGAUCAUACCUAGAUAUUCUCAUAAAUAUGCUCAAUUCUGUCAAUUGCUCAACAGUAAUUUGUUCACCCACCAUAGAAUAAUUAUACUCUCAAGAGAAGCUACUAGUGAAACCUAUGGCCCCCGGGUCUAUCUUUAUCAUAUUAAUCUCCUACUACUUAGUUAUUUCCUUUGCUUUUUCCUUUGUAUUUCCUUUGCUUUUUUCCUUUGCCUUUAUUUUACUUUUCAUCUUUAUCACAAAAAUACCAAACAUAUUAUCUUUAUCAUAUCUAUCAGAUCUCACUCUCGUAAGUGGCCUUGUAGGGAUUGACAACCCCUAUUCGUGUUGGUUGUGAGGAUUUAUUUGUUUUGUGCAAUUACGAGGGACUCGCGCGUAGCCUCCUACUGGAUUGAUACCUUCGUUCUCAAAAACUGAGGGAAAUACUUACGCUACUUUGCUGCAUCAUCCCUUCCUCUUCGGGGAAAACCAACGCAGUGCUCAAGAGGUAGCAAGAAGGAUUUCUGGUGCCGUUGCCGGGGAGGUCUACGCAAAAGUGAACAUACCAAGUACCCAUCACAUACCCUUAUCUCCCGCAUUACAUUAUUUUCCAUUUGCCUCUCGUUUUCACCUCCCCCACUUCACCCUUGCUGUUUUAUUCGCCCUCUCUCUCUAUCCGCCCUCUCUUUCUCUAUUUGCCUCUUUUUUCCCGCUUGCUUUCUGUUUGCUUGUGUGUUAGUUGCUUGCUUGUCACGAUGGCUCAAGAUAAUACUAAAUUAUGUGACUUCACAAUGGCGAAAGCCUGGUUUUCGUCUUUGGCUAAAAAUAGUAUUGAUUCAUGGAAUAAGUGCAAAGAUGCUUUUAUCUCUAAGUAUUUUCCUCCUGCUAAGAUCAUCUCUCUUAGAAACGAUAUAAUGAAUUUUAAGCAACUUGAUCAUGAACAUGUUGCACAAGCUUGGGAGAGAAUGAAACUAAUGGUACAUAAUUGCCCUGCCCAUGAUUUAAAUUUGUGGAUGAUUAUACAAAAUCUUUAUGCCGGAUUGAAUUUUGCUUCUAGAAAUCUUUUAGAUUCAGCCGCGGGAGGCACUUUUAUGGAAAUCACUUUAGGAGAAACUCCUAGAUAAUAUUAUGGUCAAUUAUUCUCAACGGCAUACUGAAAGAUCUAAUAAUAAAAUGGUGCAUGCGAUAGAAGAAAUUAAUGUUUUGAGUGGAAAGAUGGAUGAACUUCUGAAAUUAUUUGCUAAUAAGAGUGUUUCUUCUGAUCCUAAUGAUAUGCCCUUGUCUAAUUUGAUUGGGAAUAAUAAUGAAUCUAUGGAUGUGGAUUUUGUUGGUAGGAACAAUUUUGGUGACAACGCGUAUAGAGGAAAUUUCAACCCUAGGCUUUAUCCUAGUAAUCUCUCUAAUAAUGAUGGUAAUUCCUACAACAAUUCUUAUGGAAAUUAUAAUAAGAUUCCCUCUGAUUUUGAAUCUAAUAUUAAAGAAUUUAUUACUUUGCAAAAGAAUUUCAAUGCCUAGAUUGAAGAAAAAUUGCUUAAGAUUGAUGAUUUGGCUAGGAACGUUGAUAGAAUUACUCUUGAUGUUGAUUCUUUGAAACUUAGAACUAUUCCACCUAAGCAUGAUGUCAAUGAGUCUCUCAAAGCCAUGAGAAUUUCCAUUGAUGAGUGCAAAGAAAGAACCGCUAGGAUGCGUGCUAAGAAAGAUGCCUUUAUAAGAGCGUGUUCUUCUCGUUCCUAUGAAAAUAAUGAUGAAGAUCUAACAGUUAUUGAUGUGUUCCCUAUUAAAUCUUUGUUUUGCAAUAUGAAUCUUGAUAAUGAUGGGACUGAAUAUGAUCCACCUUUACCUAUCAGGCGUUCCAAGAAUUCAGAAUUUGUUGAUCUUGAUGCUAAAAUUGAUAAAGGUGGGAUUGAAGAAAUUAAAACCCUUGAUGUUGCUAAACCCACUAUUAUGGAUUUCAAGGAAUUUAACUAUGAAAAUUGCUCUUUUAUUGAUUGUAUAUCCUUGUUACAAUCCAUGCUAAAUUCUCCUCAUGCUUAUAGUCAAAAUAAAGCGUUUACUAAACAUAUCGUUGAUGCCUUGAUGCAAUCUUAUGAAGAAAAACUUGAAUUGGAAGUUUAUAUCCCUAGAAAGCUUUAUGAUGAGUGGGAAUCAACUAUUAAAAUUAAAAUUAAAUAUCAUGAAUGCUAUGCUUUAUGUGAUUUAGGUGCUAGUGUUUCCAUGAUUCCAAAGACUUUGUGUGAUUUGUUAGGUUUCCGUGAUUUUGAUGAUUGCUCUUUAAACUUGCGCCUUGCGGAUUCCACUAUUAAGAAACCUAUGGGAAGAAUUAAUGAUGUUCUUAUUGAUGCAAAUAGGAAUUAUGUGCCUGUAGAUUUUAUUGUUCUUGACAUAGAUUGCAAUCUUUCAUGUCCUAUUAUUCUUGGUAGACCUUUCCUUAGAACGAUUGGUGCAAUUAUUGAUAUGAAGGAAGGAAAUAUUAGAUUCCAAUUUCCAUUAAGGAAAGUCAUGGAACACUUUACUAGAAAGUAAAUUAAAUUAACUUAGGAAUCUAUUAUGAUAGCCACUUAUGGAUUGCCUACCAAAGAUGGCAAUACCUAGAUCUAUCCUUGCUUGUUAUGCCUAGCUAGGGGCAUUAAACGAUAGCGCUUGUUGGGAGGCAACCCAAUUUUGUUUUUAUUCCUUGAUUUUUGCUCCUGUUUAGUAAUAAAUAAUUUAUCUAGCCUCUGUUUCGGUUGUGUUCUUUGUGUUUAAUUACUGUUUGUGCCAAGUAGAACCGUUAGGAAGACUUGGGGAAAGUCUUGUUACACUUGCUGUAAAAAACAGAAACUUCAGCGCUCACGAGAACUGCUGCCAUUUUUAUUUGGAAGUGCUAUUUAGUUAAUUAUUUCUGCAGAUGAUUAAUACAUAAAUUCCUCACGUCCAGCAAUUUAUUUUAGAAUUUUUGGAGUUCCAGCUCUUGAGCUAGCUACAGAUUACUACAGACUAUUCUGUUUUUGAAAGAUUCUGUUUUUUCGUGUGUUGUUUGCUUAUUUUGAUGAACCUAUGGCUAGUAAAAUAGUUUAUAAACCAUAGAGAAGUUGGAAUACAGUAGGUAUAACACCAAUAUAAAUAAAUAAUGAGUUCAUUAUAGUACCUUCAAGUGGUCUUUUAUUUUCUUUCGCUAACGGAGCUCACGAGAUUUUCUACUUUAAGUUUUGUGUUGUGAAGUUUUCAAGUUUUGGGUAAAGAUUUGGUGGAUUAUGGAACAAGGAGUGACAAGAGCCUAAGCUUGGGGAUGCCCAUGGCACCCCCAAGAUAAUCUAAGUACACAUAAAAGCCAAAGCUUGGGGAUGCCCCGGAAGUCAUCCCCUCUUUCGUCUACUUCUAUCGGUAACUUUACUUGGAGCUAUAUUUUUAUUUGCCACAUGAUAUGUGUUUUGCUUGGAGCGUCUUGUAUUAUUUGACUUGUCAGGACCCCGAUUCCAAGCCACAUCGAUCUAGACGGUAACACCUCAUAUCACUUUGCAGCCUCACGCACGAUAUUCCACGGGUGUCGCAUUACCAUGGCCUGGGACCGUUUGCGCCUUUUGGCUCACGUAUAUGAUAGUGUCGCUAGCAUCCAUAUGACAGAGAACCCGGGCCGACAUGGCUAGUCGUGAACCCAAAGCGGCACAGACCUAUGGAGACAGGCAUACAUGAAUCACAUCGAGCAUGUCGGUCAUCAGCGAGUGAUUCCGGGCUUUAGCACUGGGCUAACAGGACUCCGGGGAACCCGGGCUGUAGCAGGCUAGGCAGGACUCCGGAAGUCACCGCGUGACAUUUCCCCGAAGAGACAGACAUAGGAACAAAGUGAAUCACAUGCUGGCCAGUCAAGUGUCCUGAGCAGUAGUGCUAGGCUAGCAGGACUCUGGUGAACCGGGCUGUAGCGGACUACUAUGGCUCGAGGAACACUAGACUACAUUUCCCCAUAAGAAAGGCUGCCAAGGAUAAACAACUAGAUUUUCGGAUCCCACUCAUACCAAGCAUUUCAAUCAUACACACAAUAUGCCCGAUAUGAGUACAUACAACAUGGCAUCACAACAAAACUCUACAAAUCAAGUACUUUAUUUAAAGGCUCCAGAGAGCCAUACAUAACAUGUUCAUACAGAUAGGGGUCACAUGACCCGACACUCAAGUCAUACAAUCAUACAAGCACAUGCGGAAGCAACCGGUCUGAGUACGGACACUAGAAAGAAAGAAGGCUCCUCGAGGCCUGUUUAUCUACAUAGGGCCCUCCAUGGCCAGGAUCACCACCUGGGUGGCUAGUCACUCGUCGACGUCAAGGUCUACAUAGAACCCAUCGGAGGGGGCGGUGUUGUCGUCUGAAAACAGUAAUUAAGCAAACAUGAGUACAAAGGUACUCAGCAAGUCUUACAACAGAACCUACUAUACAUGCUUAUUCUCAAGAAGGUGGUGGGGAUAUUGCAGCAAGCCAGCUUUGACUCUUGGCUAAACUAUCCUAUGGAACUUCUCUAGUAAAAUAGUUUUCGCACACGAGUCCACUACUCACCAACACAAUACUCCACCGGGGAUCCUCCCUCGUCAUCCUACGAGAGGGCCAUCCUCGGUACUCACACUUAUCUUGAGUCUUUUAGUAGUAUCCAUUUACUUGUCUACGAACUGUAUAGGCAACCAAGUAGUCCUUUACCGCGGACGCGGCUAUUCGAAUAGUUUUAUACCCUGCAGGGGUGUACUUCGUCAUGCACGCUUUCACCACUUAUCGCCGUUUACACGACAUGUACUCGGCAACCUUCAAGCGGAAGCCCAGUGAGGGUGUCGGCCACGGCCUACCUAAACACUUAAGUCUCUAGUCCAGGUUUAUCGCCUAUCCAGGUUCCAUCCGCAGGGAGUCCGGCCGAGGUUUCCACAUACGGCCCGAACGAUGUGAACAGGGUCCCGAGACGCCAAUCGGGCACCCGGCAUACCCGGCCACGGUGUAUCUACCGCAACAUAGCCCACCCCUAGGGUCAGCACUACGCACGGCCGCCAACACAUAACCUACAAGCACCAGAAACUAUUUGCAACUCCUGGACAGAGUACUAGGGUGAUUAAGAAGCCGAGAGGGUCAAUUAAGGAUCCCAAUGCAUGGUAGUAGCUGAAUCUUAAAUCGCACAUACAGAUCUCAGUUCUUUGGGACGGUCUCAAUGAAACAACCCACCAUGUACUCCUACAUGGCCUCUCAUCGAUACCUUUACCAAAACAUGUUCAACACAUUCCUCAUAUUACCGACAUAAUCAUAUCACUCUAGCCCAUCACCCAGAUGAACCAGACCUGACACAACUCUAAGCAUAGCAGGCAUAGCAAGGUAGGAAUCACAGACAUGGCUCAAUCAACUCCUACACAUGCUAGUGGGUUUCAUCUAGUUACUGCGGCAAUGACAGAUCAUGUAGAGGAUAAGGGUUCAACUACCGUAGCACACAGUAGUUUGAAUCGCGUUGUCUUAAUCCAGUAAACAAGAGCAAAGGCGAGAACAUGGGUUGUAUCGGAAUGAUCAAUGGGUUGCUUGCCUGAUGGAGUGGUAGCGGGAUACUGCCCUUCAGUUGGAUACUCGUGAAUAUCCUCGGAGGCAGAACCUACCACGAAGAACACAUCGGAACACAAUCAACACAUGACGAUAUGCAACAAUAUGAUGCAUGCUAUGACAUGGCUAUGGUGUUGGCCUAAUGCAAGCUAAAAUAGAAAGGGAUGAACUCAUUUGAAUCAAAGAUUCAAAUAUUAGCUCAUUAAACAUGGCCUUAAUAGUGGAUUUCCUUAUUCUGCUUAAACAGCAAGGUAAACUUGUUUUUUCAUGCAUGAAACCAUUACAUAUGGAUAGAUUGAAUUUUUCUGAUAAAUUUUUCAUAUAUAAAUUAUUUCAUUUGGAGUUACGGUUGAAUUUCUAUGAUUUUUAGAAGUUUUAAACAUUUUCUGGAAUUUCCUGAAUAAAGAUAAAUCCAGAAAAUGCAUUACUGCAUCAGCAUUGCGUCAUGCUGACCUCAGCAGGUCAAAGGCGCCAGCCCAGGUCAAACCUGACUGGUGGGCCCCUUCUGUCAGUCUCUGAGUUAAAUAACAGGAUUAGAUUAACACUAAUUAGCUGUCAGUGGGGCCUGGGCCCACAUGUCAGUGACUGAUUAAAAUAAAAUUAGUUAAAACUAAUCCUAGAUUAGUUAGCAGACCGGCCCCACCUGUCAUAGACUCAGGGGGGUCUACCUGGGCCCACCCAGGGUCAAACUGGGUCAAACUCACCGGCGUUGAGCAGCCGGCGAGGCCCGAGACGGUGGCGCAGCUCGGAAAACGCCUAUAGGGCAUGAGGGAGGCCGUUCUUGGGCUCGUUGGAGAGCUCUUGCAAUCGCGCAUCUAGUGGUGGUGGUGGCCGAGCCUACGGUGGCCGGAGACGACGACGGCGAGCUCCAAGGCGGCGGCCGGAGUUCGGCCAUGUGCGGGGUGUGGGCUGCGGUGUGCAAACGUGGAAACUGAGGCGCUAGCGAGGCACUACGCGAUGCGGCAAGCAUGUUGCGUAGCACGGGAUGACCAAAUGGUCGCCGAAGCGGCACCGGCGACAAGCUCGAGCGGAGACGAGCUUCGGCCAUGGUGGAACUAUGGCCUAGAGGGUGCAAACGCGUGGAAAAGAAGAGGGGAAAGGUGGGGGAGCUCACAGGGAGGUCGAUGAGCAGCUCAGCGGGCUUGGGGGCGACCGGAGUGAGGCGAAUCGAUGAGCGGUGUCCGGUGGGUACCGAGGUUGAAGACGAUCCGAUGGCGGCGAUGCAGGGCCUCCGGCGAUGCGUGGCUCGGUGGGGAGGGCGAGGGCGUCACGGCAGAGCUUCUGGACAGGUCUGAGAGGCGAGAGGGUGACGGAGGGCGUGACUACGGCGGUGAGAGGGCGACGGGUGCGUCGGCCAUCGCGGGAGAGGGAGAGGGAGACGCGGUGGAGAGUGAGAGAGGAUGAGAGGGGGACGUGGGGGUCGCGUGGCAUUCCCUAGACGUCUCCCGGUGUCGGCGGAAGCAGGAGGUGGCCGGCGUGUGGCCGCGGGCGUCGGCCACGCGCUCCGCGUCCUUCUGGCACGAGGAGGACGACGACUGGCAGCGCCAGUAGGCUGGGCCGAGCCAGGUGGGCUGGCCAGCACAGGUAAGGCCCAGGUGGGCUUCUCCCUCUCUUUUUUUAAUUUGUUUCUGUUUUCUAUUUAACUGUAACUGUUGGGCUUUAUUUAAAAUACUAAAACAUUUCCAAAAAUCCUGAAAAUAAUUGUGGGCUCUAUUUGGAUUAUUUCCAACAGCAAACAUUUAUUUCCAGAAUUAUUUGAGCAUCUAAAUUAUUUAAUAGCAUUUAAAUGUCCAAAUUCAAAUACUUAUGAUUUAAAUCAAUGACCUUCUGUUGACCAAGAAAAAUUGUGCACCAAUUUUGCCAGAGGUUCUAACCCAAGACAAAGAGGGUGAACUUUUUAGAAGGGCAUUUCAGGUUCAUUGAAAAUAAUUUUAGUAAACCCUAGUUGUUUCCAGGGGGGUGUUGGGGGUUUGUGCCUUCCCCAACUCAAAUUUAAGAGGAAUUUAAACAUGAUGCACAUUCUAAUGCUUGAACUAGCUAGGGUGUGACAACUCACCCCCAGUCAAAAGAAUCUCGUCCUGAGAUUUAGGAUCCUCUGGAAAGAAGGUGGGGUACUCGAGUCGAAGACGAUCCUCCCUUUCCCAAGUGGCUUCUUUCUCGGAAUGGUGUGACCAUUGAACCUUGAGAAACUUGAUAUUAUGACGUCGAGUGGUACGCUCGGCUUGAUCAAGGAGACGAACGGGAUAUUAUCGUUAAGAGAGAUUAUCUUGUAGAUCAAGCGUUUUGUGGUCCACUCCACGAAUAGGAUCCGCGAAGCAACGCCUGAGUUGUGAAACGUGGAAGACAUCAUGAACUCUGGAAAGAUGCGGAGGUAGUUCCAAUUGGUAGGCAACUUCUCCUCGUUUGGCAAGAAUGCGAAAGGGUCCAAUGUAACGAGGAGCCAAUUUGCCUUUGAUACCGAAACGAUGGGUUCCUUUUAAUGGGGUAACCCGAAGGUAAGCCUUCUCGUCGACUUCAUAAGUCAUAGGCUUAUGUUUACGAUCAUAUUGACUCUUUUGACGAGAUUGGGCUGUUUUCAAUUUCUCACGAAUAACGCGAACCUGCUCUUCCGCUUCCUGAAUCAUAUCCGGUCCAAAGAGUUGUCUUUCCCCGGUUACUGACCAGUUAAGAGGCGUUCGACAUUUUCGUCCAUAGAGAACUUCGAAAGGAGCUUUGCCCAAGCUAGCUUGAUAACUAUUAUUAUAAGGAAACUCCGCGAAUGGGAGGCAUUUCUCCCAACUCAUUCCGAACAAGAUAACAUAAGCUCGGAGCAUAUCUUCCAGAAUUUGAUUGACUUGCUCUACUUGACAACUUGAUUGAGGAUGGAAGGCUGUACUAAAAGAGAGACGAGUUCCCAUAGCAUUUUGGAAACUUUCCCAAAAUCGAGAGGUGAAGAGACUCCCACGGUCUGAGUUAAUUUCCAAUGGGACACCAUGGAGAGACACUAUUCGGGAGAUGUAUAAAUCGGCUAGCUGGAUAGCAGUGAUAUUCUCACGAACAGGUAGGAAAUGGGCUACUUUGGAAAGACGGUCGAUCACGACGAAGAUGGCAUUAUUCCCUCUCUUGGUCCUGGGAAACCCAGUAAUGAAAUCCAUACUGAUUUUAUCCAAUUACCAUUCAGGAAUAGCCAAAGGUUGAAGGGUGCCAGCAGGCCGUUGAUGCUCUGCUUUAACACGACGACAGACGUUGCAGCUAGCAAUGUAUUGAGCGAUUUAUCUCUUCAUCCUAGUCCACCAAAACCUGUGGCGUAGGUCUUGAUACAUUUUAGUGCUACCGGGAUGAAUGGUGAGAGGGGAUUCAUGAGCUUCCUUAAGGAUCAAUUGGCGUAGAUGUUGUUUCUUGGGAACCACCAAACGAUUCUCAAAGAAGACAGCACCCCGCUUAUCCAUGAAAAAACAUUUAGCAACUCCACUAGUAAUGUUUUCCUUAAUCCGGGAUAUGCCCUUAUCAUACCACUGGGCGGUUAUGAUCUGAUCCAUAAGGUUAGGUUUCGCCACCAGGGUGGAUAGGAAUCCUCGAGGAACAAUGUGAAGAUUAAGCUUACGGAAUUCCUCAUGCAGAAGUGGUUGACUUUGUUGUAACAUCGGGUUGUUACAAUAGUAUUACGGCUUAGCGCAUCAGCCAUGACAUUGGCUUUGCAUGGGGUGUAGGUUAUUCCUAAGUCGUUAUCCAAGAUCAACUCAACCCAACGUCUUUGCCUGAGAUUCAAAUCUGGUUGGGUGAAGAUAUAUUUCAAGCUUUGGUGAUCGGUGAAGAUCUCGCAACGAUUACCGAGGAGGUAAUGUCGCCAAGUUUUAAGUGCAUGGACUACAGCUGCCAGCUCUAGAUCAUGUGUGGGAUAAUUUUCCUCAUGUGGGUGUAAUUGCCGUGAAGCGUAGGCAAUUACCUGAUGAUCUUGCAUGAGUAUGCAACCUAGUCCUUGUCGCGAGGCGUCGCAAUAGAUAAUAAAGUCCUUGGAGAAAUCCGGUGGUACCAGUACGGGAGAAGAUGUCAGGCGUCUUUUCAGUUCCUGAAAGUUGAACUCGCACUGUGGAGUCCACUCAAACUUUUUAUCUUUCUUGAGGAGUUCAGUUAGAGGUUUAGCAACCUUGGAUAAAUUCUCGACGAAGCGGCGGCAAUAGCUCGCUAAGCCAAGGAAGCUCCGAACUUGCUUGACCGUCUCAGGUGGAGUCCAAUCAAGGACGGCUUGAACUCGCUCGGGAUUGACGGCAAUACCCUUACCAGAGAUUACAUGGCCUAAAUAGGUUACUUCUGGCAACCAAAAUCGACACUUGGAGAACUUGGCAUAAAGGCGAUGCUCUCGAAGUUUCAUCAAUACCAGCCUUAGAUGUUCGGCAUGUUCCUCUUCAUUCUUGGAGUAGAUGAGUAUGUCAUCGAGGUAUACUACGACGAAUUUAUCCAAGUACUCCAUGAAAACCGAGUUCAUUAACCGGGAGAAGGUAGCCGGGGCAUUGGUUAAACCGAAGGACAUAACGGUGUACUCGUAUUGGCCAUAACGAGUAACAAAGGUCGUUUUGGGAAUGUCCCCGUUUCUGAUUUUGAUUUGAUGGUAGCCCAACCUCAAAUCCAUCUUGGAAAAGACUGAGGAUCCAGCGAGCUGAUCAUACAGAUCAUUGAUCCUGGGAAGCGUGUAUUUGUUCUUGAUGGUGACCAAGUUGACAGGUCGGUAAUCCACAACCAUUCGAUCUGUUCCAUCCUUCUUCUUGACGAAGAGGAUGGGGCAAGCCCAAGGAGAGGAACUAGGACGGAUGAAACCCUUUUUCAAGGACUCAUCGAGUUGGUUCUUAAGCUCGGCUAGUUCUAAGGGUGCCAUCUUGUAGGGUCUUCUAGAAAUUGGAACGGUUCUUGGAACAAGGUCUAUCACAAACUCGACAUCCCUGUCAGGUGGAACACCUGGCAGUUCUUCUGGAAAGACAUCCGGAAAGUCUCGGACUACCGGAACAUCCUCAAGGUCUAGAAGGGGGUUGAUAUUUAGGGAGUAAAGUUGGCGCUUGGCCACUCGAGUUAAGACAUUAACUGUCUUGCCCGAUGGGUAAGUUGAACGGUUCUAGUGGCACAGUCAAUCUUAGCAUAAUGAGCUGACUUCCAGUCCAUACCUAAGAUGAUGUUUAUGUCCGAGGACUUGAGAGCUAUUAAGGCUGCAAGGAAGACAAGUCUAUCGACAAGAAUUCGUUCCCAUGGCUUACUCUAGAAGUUUGCCAUCUAGAGCCAGGGGUUUGAAUUUCCAUGGUAGAGGGCAUGUCACAGAAUGUGGUGUUGUGCAAUCGAGCAUAGUUCUCGGAUAUGAAUGAAUGAGAUGCUCCAGUAUUGAAAAGAACAGAUGCCGGAUGGCAGUUAACAAGGAGCGUACUAAGGACGACGUUGGGAUCCUCAUGAGCCUCCUCGGCUGAAACAUAGUUGACAUGGCCACGUGCAGUGGUGGCCGGCUUGGCGUAGAAUGUUUUUCCGACGGGCUUACCACGGCCAACGGACUUUCCAGUUUGAUUGGGGUUGUUGUUCUGGGGACACUCUCGGCUAUAGUGACUCGGCUCUCCACACUUAAAGCAUGUCACCACAUUGGGGCGUGGAGCAGCAUUAGCAGCGGGGCCACCAUAGGGCUUGGGCGGUGCAAAUUGCUGGUUGGGACGUGGUACCUCAAAGGAUGGCCUCGGGAUGAACCUGGGUGGCAGUGCCGUGCUUGGAAUCCACACCCGGCGCUUCUCAGCUCCAGAGCCAGAUGAAGAGCCAAAAUCACGGGAGUGCUUGCGUGAAGCGUCAUAAUCAGUCUGGCUUGUCUCAGCACUGAUGGCUUUAUUGACCAACUUCUGAAAGGAGGUGCACUCGUGCAGAUGAAGAUCGCGGCGAAGCUCAGGGCUAAGUCCCUUGCGGAACCUUGCCUGCUUCUUAGCAUCAGUAGAUACCUCUUCGGGGGCAUAACGUGCCAGAUUCCCAAAUUCACGACUGUAAGCAUCCAUAGUCAGUCUUCCUUGGGUGAAGUUGAAUAACUCCUCCCUCUUGCGAUCCAUGAGACCUUCCAGAAUGUGAUGCUCACGGAAAACCUCACUGAAUUCAGCCCAAGUAGUGAUUUGGCCGACUGGGCGCAUAGCUUCGAAGUUUUCCCACCAAAGGCUAGCAGGGCCUUCGAGGUGAUAGGCAGCAUAAGUAACCUUCUCGGCUUCGGCUACGUUGGCAGAACGUAGCUUGUGGGUGAUGCUGCGAAGCCAGUCAUCCGCGUCGAGGGGCUCGACGGAAUGGUUAAACUUUGGUGGGUACAGCUUGAUAAAGUCAUUGAUUGACACCAAGUCAUUUUGCGGGUGGCGUGAAGUGUUUUGCUCAAUCCGCUCCAGCAGGCGGUUGGUCUCACGCUUGUUUCUUUCCGCCUCCAGCAUUACUUCAGCCAAAGAAGGCAUGUGAGGCAGAUUUUCACCUCUAGCAGCACUGGCUUCCCCCUGCUCCGGGGCUGCAGGGUUGCUGCGGGUGUUGACCAUCCUAGGAGAAAACAAGACAACGGUUUAGACAAGGAUGGCUCAAACUUAGCAAGGAAGUGCAUAAUGUAAUGGAUAACACGGAAUGCAGAGAUGUUCAUCCGUAUGUCAUGGUAAUAUAAAACUGCAAUAUAUAUACCAACGGUCAUACACAUCAUACAUAGUUUAGUACAAGCCCAGGCUACAGUACAACUAUGAUGAAAGACGUUACAUCUCAUCGGAGGCAUUCCAAGAUCCUAUACAUUAUUGUCUACACCUCCGGAAUUGAUUACACGCAAAGUCAUAUUCCACAAGUCACGCAGGACAGUGGAGAUACAACUACUACAAUACUAGUGGUACUACUAUGUCACGACCGGUUUUCCAAUAAAAAUAUUUAUUGAGAAACCAAUCUUUUGAGUCCAGUAUGAGGGAAAUCCUCCUCACUGGUAGACAAAAUUCUUGAUACAAUAAGCCAGUAGCAAAGAAUAUAUUACAAGGUUGAGCUAGGGCUGCUCAACAAUUUAUAACAAGCGCGCCAACAAUUAUAUAUAAUGGCGGAUAUACCACAAUGGUGUGGUGGCAUACUACUGACUCGGGGAUAAAGUGAUGGUGGAAUAACACAGUGGGGAGUGUGAUAACAUGACUCUCAAACUGGCAUCUCAUCGAGCGUCGAGGUGAGGCUCGAUGAAUUUUAUUCGGGUUGCGGAAGCGAAUAUAAUACAUUGACCGAAUCCAGGGUCGCACGAGACUGAUUGGGACUCCUCUAGGCGUCGGACUCGCUAUCGAACUAUUCAUCCAUGAGAUCGCCUUCGUCAGCAUCUGGCCAAAUCAACAAGCCAGUGAGUACUUUGAUAGUACUCGCAAGACAGUUUGGACUUAAGAUAUAACAAAUGCAUGCAUGAAUGCGUCAUGAUUAAUUCACCAAAUGUGCAUUCCAAAAAUUAGCAUAACAAAGCAAGUAAAAGGGAAACGGCGGUAGUCCGCCUGAAAUCCCAACAAAAGCAUAAAUGAAAACCGAUCGGGUGUCUGAAGCGAUGCCUCGAAAGGUGAACAAAUAAAUAAAGGAGAAAGUCAUGCCACAGUCGGGCGUCUUCACGACACCACAUAAAGGGCUUUGAAAGAAAUGCCACAGUCGGACGUCGGGGCGACAUCACAGAAAGGGCUUUAAAAGAAAUGCCACAGUCGGACGUCGGGGCGACAUCACAGAAAGGGCUUUAAAAAAAUGCCACAGUCAGAANNNNNNNNNNNNNNNNNNNNNNNNNNNNNNNNNNNNNNNNNNNNNNNNNNNNNNNNNNNNNNNNNNNNNNNNNNNNNNNNNNNNNNNNNNNNNNNNNNNNNNNNNNNNNNNNNNNNNNNNNNNNNNNNNNNNNNNNNNNNNNNNNNNNNNNNNNNNNNNNNNNNNNNNNNNNNNNNNNNNNNNNNNNNNNNNNNNNNNNNNNNNNNNNNNNNNNNNNNNNNNNNNNNNNNNNNNNNNNNNNNNCGGACGUCGGGGCGACAUCACAAAAAGGGCUUUAAAAGAAAUGCCACAGUCGGAUGUCGGGGCGACAUCACAAAAAGGGCUUUAAAAGAAAUGCCACAGUCGGACGUCGGGGUAACAUCACAGAAAGGGCUUUAAAAGAAAUGCCACAGUCGGACUUCGGGGCGACAUCACAGAAAGGGCUGUAAAAGAAAUGCCACAGUCGGACGUCGGAGCGACAUCGCAGAAAGGGUUUUAUUCACAAGUAAAUAAUAAUCAUAAUAAAUAUUCAAUUCAUGAUAAUAAACAGGUUAGUCCAUCCACAGGAAUAACAUUUAGCCGGGCUUAGCACUCAUGGGAUUCACCGGAGUCUCUGUCAUCAAACUGAUACUGUUAGGCCAAGAUGAUACGAAUUUGGACAUGGAAUAGAUGAUUCAAGGAAUGUAUGACUCUGCAGAGUUUGUACAAAAUUUUUUCCCACAGCCAACGGAUUUCCGUAGUCACGAGGGACUAGUUCCGUUUACGGUUUUUCGGAAGAAAACACAGCUAACCAAUACACACCCAUCCUACCUCUCGAUGCCAGGACUCACCCUAGACAUCGUCCAAGAAAAACUUUUGAGACGGGGAGAUCACAAUCUCGAAUAGCAUGGGAUCAAAUUUAUAUAUGCGCGCUCUAAGGGGUGCCCCCCUCUCGGUCCCAACCGGAAACACCCAUGCCCCCUGACCGGAUGACUGGCUUUAAUCCAGGGCCAUGGAACCAUCAUCCUGGCCUCUCCUUUUGGUGUGUACCAGGAAAGCGGUUUGCAACUUACUAAGCCAUAUUCCUUGCGAAAAACAUGUGGUAGUACAGGGAAGGAAAUGGGAGGAACUGGACUGGUACGGUUUGACCCUGAAGUCAUAUAGUCUGGCAUAAGACUGGCAUGCUACAACACUGCCAUCUUACCCAUCCUCAUGCCAACACAUGGCCAUUCAUACUCACAUCCAUCCACUUAUGGAUCAUCGAACUCACUUACCUCAACAUUUCAUAAAAAAAAUAACGUUCAUCGGUAUGCUCAUCAACAUGCCAUGAAACUAACUAAAUGCAAAACAUGCCAAGACACUCAUCAUAUCAAAAGUUCAAACAUGCUUGCCUGGUUCAGAGUAGUCGGAGCCUAGCUCGGUGAAGUUCGCGGCUCCGUCACCUCCUUCGGUAUCUAUGGUAUAAAGAAAAUAUAUGCGCUAUCGUAAAUUCCAAGAGGUGCACAGAAAGUAUUCCAAAUAUUUUUCAAAUAAAUAUGAUAAAAAACUAGACAAAAAUCUGAAGAGGACAGGAAAAGAAUCACUCAAAAAUUCCUUUCUGUUAAAAAGUUAUAAGGGUUUUAAUCCAAGGACUUAUCUGUAAUGAAACAGAAAGUUUCCAGGGGCUAGUUUAUAAAAACAGAAAACGCUUCGGCAGAAACUACGCCAGCCCAGAGGGAAGGCGCAUUUGGCAGAAGGCGUUUUCAGAAAACGAUUCGCUUAGACAGGAUAGAGAGGCUGACAGCGGGUCCCGCCCGUCAGGUUUAAACUUUCAAACGGGGGGGGGGGCAGAUUUCGCCGGUGCCCGAGAGCCGCGGUGGUCGCCGGCGGCGAUCCACGGCCAGGCAGGGUGAUCGGAGAUUACCAACGUGCUCACCGUGUCCUUCCGCAAUGGUGGGUGGUGGUGUUGGUCGCCGGUGAGCACCACGUCGACGCAGAGCUUGGUCGGGAAGGUUUAGGGAGUUGGGCGUCAUCGCGAAGUUGCACCGGUUCCAUUUAGGUGCUAAGCGAGCUUGGAUUGGGGUGCUAAGGGCGAAGUCGACGGAACGGGGCGGCGCGGGCCCGUCGGCGGCAGGGAGCAUGUUUCGUGCUUGCCGGGCCGCAGUGAUGGUGCCACGGGCGUGCGCUGGCAUGCAUGAGGACAUGCGGAGAGCCAGGGAGCUUUGGGUGGCGCCGAACGGCGUUCUGCCGUGGUGUGCCUUCUGUCGGCCGCCACAGGAGGUCCCGACGCCGCAGAAGACGCCGGCGAGGGCGGGCCAGCGCGCCACUGACGCCAGGAAAGCUCCAAGCACGCGUGUGAAGCUCCGGACAAGAGGGAGGGGCUGCGAGCAUCGAGCCAAAGGCACUGUGAGCAUAUGCCUGAAACUCUGAAGAAAACGACACUGUAAAACUGAAUUUUACUGAACUUUUCUGAAAAAUGCAAAGAACAGUGCAGCUCAGGUGAUCGACAGAAUGUUUUUGGCAUCUAGGGAUUUUUCCUUGAGCUAAAACUUGGUGGAGUGGCCUCUCAUUGCUCCAGUAGGCUGCCUGAAUUUUGGUGGAAUUUUUUUGGAGAAGUGUAGAUAUGAAUUUCACCAAAUUUGGCAAAUCUGGUCCAAACUUGCAGUGAGUGAAAUUGAAAUAUUUGAAAAGAAUAAGAGUGGAUCAAGAUGGUUCUAGGUUGUGGGUACUAAAGACAAUCCAGGGAAGUUGGUUUGGGAUAAAAACUCAAAGGCAAAGUGAUACUUGCUUUGAAAAUCACUUAAGCUCAAAAUAAAUGGCAGAAAUGUUUUGGGGGAUAAAAUAAUUGAAAUAAAAUCCAAAACUUGUUUGGACUUGUUGAGACAGAGAAUUUAGAUUGUUCAAAGGUGGAGGGAUGGAUUUUGAGAGGAUUUACUAUAGGAGACAUGGUAAAACCAUGGGUGUUUUCAAAAAGAAAGAAGUCCCAAAACUCCUAGGGUUUCCUUUUUUUUGAAAAAAAUAAGUUUGAGAGGGUAACAACCAGAAGGAAAAGCUCCCAAAAACUUCAACACCAAAUUUGAAAAGGGAAAAGAAAAUCCUUGACAAAGGAAAGGAAGUUUUUAAGAGGAAGGAUUUCUGGAAAAGAAAUUUUUAAAAAACCCUCUUUUAAAAUCCAACAAGGUUUUGAUAAAAACCAAAUUAAAAUUUUGGAGUGUCACAGCACUUACCCCCUUAGGAAAAAUCUCGUCCCCGAGAUUUCAGCUGAUCCUUAAAUAAGCGAGGAUGCUCUGUCCGAAGAAAAUCCUCUCUUUCCCAAGUUGUUUCACUGUCGGUGUGAUUGCUCCACUGGACUUUGAAAAACUUGAUGGUCUUCUGUCGGGUCCUCCUUUCAGACUCCUCUAAUAUUCUUACAGGACGUUCCCGAUAAGUGAGGUCUGGCUGCACGUCGAUGUUCUCAUGGGAUACUUGUUUCUCUGGGUUGCUUACGCACUUCCUCAAUUGCGAGACGUGGAACACGUCGUGGACAUCGGAUAAUUCCUCGGGUAAGUCUAGCUGGUAGGCUACCGUGCCUCUUCGUGCCCUUAUACAGAAAGGUCCGAUGAAUCUUGGUGCUAGCUUCCCUUCAAUCUUGAACCAUUGCAAUCCGCUCAUAGGGAUACUCUUAGGUAUACGAACUCACCGGGUUCGAAGCUGACCCCACGAUGUUUCUGAUCGUAAUAACUCUUCUGUCGACUUUGAGCAGUCUUAAGUCGGUCUCUGAUUAGUUUGACUUUUUCCUCGGCUUCUCUGAGCAUGUCUGGUCCGAAGAUGCGGCUGUCUCCGGUCUCUGACCAAUUUAACGGGGUACGACAUCUUCGUCCGUAUAAGGCCUCAAAUGGUGCCAUUUGCAGGCUGGCCUGGUAGCUAUUGUUGUACGCGAACUCGGCGUAUGGCAGGCUUUCUUCCCAACUAUUUUCAUAGGUGAGGACACAUGCUCUCAGCAUGUCUUCUAAAACCUGGUUUACGCGUUCUGUUUGCCCAUCGGUCUGUGGGUGGUAUGCGGUACUGAAGGCUAGUUGGGUUCCCAGAGCCUGUUGUAAAUGCUCCCAAAAGCUCGAGACGAACUGAGUGCCUCUGUCGGACAUUAUAGUCUUCGGGACACCGUGCAGACAAACUAUGCGGGAAAGAUAAAUCCUGGCAAGCCUCUGAGUGGUGUGGGUCGUCUUUAUUGGAAUAAAGUGUGCCACUUUGGUUAACCUAUCAGUGAUGACCCAUAUGGCAUCAUUCCCGUGUCGUGACCGAGGUAGUCCGACAAUGAAAUCCAUCCCUAUUUCAUCCCAUUUCCACUCAGGUAUUUUGUUCGGUUGCAGUAGUCCGGCUGGUCUCUGAUGCUCAGCUUUUAUGCGUUGACAUGAGUCGCAGCGCGCAAUGAAGGUGGCUAUGUCCCUCUUCAUACUGUGCCACCAAAAUCUUUCCUGAAUAUCUUUAUACGUUUUGGUUCCUCCAGGGUGGAUCGAGUACGAGGCGGUGUGGGCUUCAGCUAAAAUUUGCUAUUUAAGGUCUUCUAUGUUUGGCACGCAGAGUCUGUCUCCGUACCAUAAUAUUCCUUCAUUGUCUAUGACUAAUUCCGAGGCUUUGCCCAUACUCACCUUUCUUUUGAUGCCUUCGAUGCUGGGGUGACCGGGCUGAGCUCCUUUAAUUUCCCCCACAAGGUCGGGUUGUAUUUCCAAGUUUGAUAUGGUGCCUUCUGCUACCAUCAUCAAGUUGAGCUUGGCAAAUUCUUGUUGGAAUUCGGGCCUCAAUCUGUGCAAAUUGUUGUCGUCGGAGCUGGGAUUCCGACUAAGAGCAUCGGCCACUACAUUUGCUUUUCCUGGAUGGUAAUGGAUACCAACAUCAUAAUCCUUUACCAAUUCCAACCAACGUCGUUGCCGUAAGUUUAGUUCUGGCUGUGUGAAAAUAUAUUUGAGGCUUUUGUGAUCCGUAUAUAUUUCACAUCGAUUCCCAAGUAAGAAAUGCCUCCAUUCCUUGAGUGCAUGAAUAACUGCUGCCAUUUCUAAGUCAUGAGUGGGAUAAUUUUCCUCAUGCUUACGAAGUUGCCUUGAAGCGUAGGCGACAACCUUGCCUUCCUGCAUCAACACGCAUCCGAGGCCCUUUCUGGACGCGUCACAAUAUACUUCAAAAUUCUUGUGUAUGUUGGGUACAAUUAAUACCGGUGAUGUCGUUAAUUUCCGUUUUAGCUCUUGGAAACUUUUCUCGCAGGCUUCUUUCCAUUCAAACUUCUUGUCUUUCUUGAGUAACUGUGUCAUAGGCUUGGCUAUGGUGGAGAACACUUCAAUAAAACUGUGGUAAUAUCCUAACAUUCCCAAGAAACUUCGUAUGUCCGUUACGCUGGCUAGUGACAUCCAGCCAAGUAUGGCCUUGACUUUCUCUGGGUCCACUGCGAUACCGUCUUGGGUCAGUACGUGGCCUAGAAAGCCUACUUUUCUUAGCCAAAAUUCGCACUUGCUGAACUUGGCAUACAAUUGGUGUUUUCUGAGCUCUCCUAGCACAAUCUUGAGAUGUUCUGCGUGCUCUUCUGGUGUCUUGGAGUAUACCAGAAUAUCGUCGAUGAAUACCACGACGAACUUGUCCAUAAACUUCAUAAAUACUUUGUUCAUGAGGUGAACAAAAUAUGCGGGGGCGUUAGUUAAUCCAAAUGGCAUCACUGUGAACUCGUACAGUCCAUAUCUGGAGGUGAAGGCUGUUUUGGGAAUAUCUUCUGUUCGCACCUUUAAUUGAUGGUAUCCUGACCUUAAGUCAAUUUUUGAGAAUACCUUGGCCUGAGCGAGUUGAUCAAACAAAUCGUUUAUCCUUGGCAUCGGGUAUUUGUUCUUGACUGUGACCAUGUUAAGUGCUCGAUAGUCAAUACACAAUCUCAGUGUUCCAUCCUUCUUUUGGCAAAUAAAAUUGGUGAUCCCCAAGGUGAGGAGCUGGCUCGAAUGUAUCCUUUGUCUAGCAAUUCCCUUAUUUGUUUCUUCAACUCAACUAAUUUGGAUGGUGCCAUUCGGUACGGUUUCUUGUAUAUGGGGGUGGUUCCUAGUGCGAGCUCAAUGCUGAACUCUAUCUCUCGGUCUGGUGGCAUGCCUGGUUGCUCUUCAGGGAAUACGUCUGGAAAUUCACACACUACUGGAACCUUGUUUAGCUCAGAAAUGUCCACCUUAUUCAAUCUCGGUUGGCAGGGUAUUUUUCCUUCCUUGGCUGAUACUCUUAUUGUCUUCCCUUGGUGGUGUGUGAGAAUUACGGUCCUGUUGAAACAGUCGAUAAACCCCUUGUUGGUGGUUAGCCAAUCCAUCCCUAGGAUGACAUCCAGUCCUUUAUUUUCCAACACAAUAAGAUUUGCGUGAAACUCCAAUCCUUCGAACUCAAUGACCACAUUCUGACACUAAUUCUGAGUAACUUGCUGAAUCCCAGGGGACUUGAUGAUCAUGGAUUUCUCCAAAGGAAGCAUCGAAAAAUUAUUUUGCAAAGCAAAACUUUUCAAAAUGAAAGAGUGAGAAGCUCCAGAAUCAAACAAAACCGUUGCAGGUAUUGUGUUGACAGGAAACGUACCGAGUACGAUAUCCGGAGCAUUUUGUGCCUCCUCUUUGGUUACGUGGUUCAGAUGAUCCUUCCUGUGGUUGUUGUUGGGAUUGAAAUUGUUUCGCUUGGGCACUGAAUUACUGCCGCCGUUGUUCGGCUUUGGGGUUGAGUUCCUUGGCUUGGGGCACUGUUUGGCAUAGUGCCCUUCUUCUCCACAAGUGUAACAAGUAACGCCGGGGCGAUAUGUGAACUCCUUGUCCCUUGCAUGAAAAUUCUUGAUUGGGAGUGAGACGUUGGAUGAGGAUUUGUGCGUCCCACCCUUUUUGAAAUCUGUCUUGCUCCGGUGAUUGCGAGCAAGGUUAGUCUGGUCCCUUUUUCGCUUGCGGAUAUCUUCCAGACUGCGUCUCUCAUUCUCCAGAGUAAUGGCUUUGUCCACCAGUGUUUUAAAAUCAGGAAAAGUGUGCACGACCAGUUGGCAUUUAAGCGCGGGCACCAUACCGUCAAGGAAUUUCUCCAUCUUCUUGCUUUCAGUCAUACGCUCUUCAUUGGCGUAGCGGGACAAUAGAGUAAAUUGACUGUUGUAAUCUGACACUGUCAUGUUCCUUUGCUUGAGGUCGUCGAACUCUCUCUUCUUGAUUUUCAUAAUACUCUUAGGAAUGUGUGCACCACGGAAACCUUCCUUGAAAUCAUCCCAGGUUAUGUCAUUUUCAUUGGGAUGCAUGUGCAGAAAAUUCUCCCACCACGAUGCGGCUGCUCCUGUGAGAUAGUGCGGAGUAUACAGUGCUUUUUCGGGGUCUGAACAUUUUGCAAUAUCUCUAAGCCAGUCCUCGGCUUCAAGAGGUUUGUCAGUGUGAGAAAAUGUUUGGGGACGUGUCUUCUGAAGCUUAGAUAACUUGGAUUGCUGCUGAUACUGUCCAUGGUGAUUCCCCAUGUUGAUGACUUGGUUCAUCAUUUCACGAUGUUGUUGCUGACUUUGUUCAUAUAGGCGGCACAUUUGGGAAAGUGUCGUUUCACUGUCCUGUUGACUCGACUGCCCUUGUGUGAAAUUGUUGCCUGGUUGAGUGUCAUAAUUUUCCUCUGGUGGAGUAGGCAUGGAGCGAGUCCAAGGACGAGACAUUUUUCACUAUGGGGAUAUAAUUUGCAAAACUCAUAAGAAAAGCGAAAAUGGUCGCAAAAACAAAUCCAAAAUUGCACAAGGAUGGCAAAUAAUUUAAAUGACCAAGAUCACUUAAGAAAACAAAUCGAAUUGCGCACGGAGAAGGACUGCUCAUUACAUAUCUUACACGCGGGCGAUAAUUAUACAAUACAUCACUCAGGAUAUGUGUACAUAAUCCUGACAUGUUAUUUAGGCUAGUGCACUUCUCUAGUUCCUACAUGAUGCGCAAACAAGCUACUCCUCACAACCUAUGUACAUAUCUUACAAAGCGGUACAUCGCAUGACGGGCAAGCGCACUCAGCCGGAAAUGUUGACGAUCUCCUUGGCCCUGCCAAGGGUGAGGCGCAGUGAGGCUGGGGACUCGACCUCCUCCUCACUAAUAGGCUCCAGACGUGAAGAGCUGCGUCGGGUAGAUGGAGCGGGUGCCAGGGGCGGAGCAACACGAAUAGGAGUAGGCACAACGGGUGGUGCAGUGCGCGCUGGAGUGGGCGCAAUGGCCUGGUUGAACUCCUAAGUGGUAGGCGGGCGACGAGUAGGUGCAAAAGAUGCUGAUGACAAGACCAAAGUCAGUGGCGGUGCGGCGGGUAGGAGCUCCCUCCUAUUGGUGGCACAGCCAUGGAUUGAGUCCAUGCGGGCAGCUACGAAGUCGUCCACCAGGUUGUCGAAGGCUGCCUCCAGAGCCCGGAGAUACUCAAUAAGCAUCUCAAAAGCCUCAUCUUGUUCUCCUCUGGGGCAGGAGAAUGCGUAGUGACAGGUGUAAGGCACAUGGCAUGGAAGAUAGCGGUAGCGACGAGUCUUCAUCGCGGGAAGGACAUCCCUGAGGCGAGCUAUCGCCUCACGGGCUGCCAUCUGCAUAGCAUGCCUCUCCGUAGGCAUGGCUCUUCCCACGAACCGGAAGCGGCGUAACUCACCACGCCCUCCCCUGAACUGCACCGUGACCUGGUGCAUGGUCAGAUUGUCGCUGACCUUGUGCUGGUAGAGUGUGAAGACUAGGCGCACAGACAGCCCCAUCGCGACCUGAACGAUGAAGGAGAGAAGCUUGACGAACCCAUUGGGCACGUUGGCGAAGGUUUGAGACUCGCAGCUGUUGUCGGCCAUCUACAAAAGUAGGCAAAAUUCCUGCAUGGUCAGAUCAUAAAUUUAUGCUGACUGUCAGAAAAUGACUACCAUUGCAAAAAUAUAAAUUAGCUCUAUUAUGCUAAUAACGAAUUAGCGAUCGCACCUAGUGGCUUCCUACGGUCAGCCUGACUCUGAUACCAAGCUUGUCACGACCGGUUUUCCAAUAAAAAUAUUUAUUGAGAAACCAAUCUUUUGAGUCCAGUAUGAGGGAAAUCCUCCUCACUGGUAGACAAAAUUCUUGAUACAAUAAGCCAGUAGCAAAGAAUAUAUUACAAGGUUGAGCUAGGGCUGCUCAACAAUUUAUAACAAGCGCGCCAACAAUUAUACAUAAUGGCGGAUAUAACACAAUGGUGUGGUGGCAUACUACUGACUCGGGGAUAAAGUGAUGGUGGAAUAACACAGUGGGGAGUGUGAUAACAUGACUCUCAAACUGGCAUCUCAUCGAGCGUCGAGGUGAGGCUCGAUGAAUUUUAUUCGGGUUGCGGAAGCGAAUAUAAUACAGUGACCGAAUCCAGGGUCGCACGAGACUGAGUGGGACUCCUCUAGGCGUCGGACUCGCUAUCGAACUCUUCAUCCAUGAGAUCGCCUUCGUCAGCAUCUGGCCAAAUCAACAAGCCAGUGAGUACUUCAACAGUACUCGCAAGACAGUUCGGACGUAAUAUAUAACAAAUGCAUGCAUGAAUGCGUCAUGAUUAAUUCACCAAAUGUGCAUUCCAAAAAUUAGCAUAACGAAGCAAGUAAAAGGGAAACGGCGGUAGUCCGCCUGAAAUCCCAACAAAAGCAUAAAUGAAAACCGAUCGGGUGUCUGAAGCGACGCCUCGAAAGGGUGAACAAAUAAAUAAAGGAGAAAAUCAUGCCACAGUCGGGCGUCUUUGCGACACCACAUAAAGGGCUUUAAAAGAAAUGCCACAGUCGGACGUCGGGGCGACAUCACAGAAAGGGCUUUAAAAGAAAUGCCACAGUCGGACGUCGGGGCGACAUCACAGAAAGGGCUUUAAAAAAAUGCCACANNNNNNNNNNNNNNNNNNNNNNNNNNNNNNNNNNNNNNNNNNNNNNNNNNNNNNNNNNNNNNNNNNNNNNNNNNNNNNNNNNNNNNNNNNNNNNNNNNNNNNNNNNNNNNNNNNNNNNNNNNNNNNNNNNNNNNNNNAACCGAUCGGGUGUCUGAAGUGACGCCUCGAAAGGUGAACAAAUAAAUAAAGGAGAAAAUCAUGCCACAGUCGGGCGUCUUAGCGACACCACAUAAAGGGCUUUAAAAAAAAUGCCACAGUCGGACGUCGGGGCGACAUCACAGAAAGGGCUUUAAAAGAAAUGCCACAGUCGGACGUCGGGGCGACAUCACAGAAAGGGCUUUAAAAGAAAUGCCACAGUCGGACGUCGGGGCGACAUCACAGAAAGGGCUUUAUUCACAAGUAAAUAAUACUCAUAAUAAAUAUUCAAUUCAUGAUAAUAAACANNNNNNNNNNNNNNNNNNNNNNNNNNNNNNNNNNNNNNNNNNNNNNNNNNNNNNNNNNNNNNNNNNNNNNNNNNNNNNNNNNNNNNNNNNNNNNNNNNNNNNNNNNNNNNNNNNNNNNNNNCAGAAAGGGCUUUAAAAAAAUGCCACAGUCAGACGUCGGGGCGACAUCACAGAAAGGGCUUUAAAAGAAAUGCCACAGUCAGACGUCGGGGCGACAUCACAAAAAGGGCUUUAAAAGAAAUGCCAUAGUCGGACGUUGGGGCGACAUCACAGAAAGGGCUUUAAAAGAAAUGCCACAGUCGGACGUCGGAGCGACAUCGCAGAAAGGGCUUUUAUUCACAAGUAGAUAAUACUCAUAAUAAAUAUUCAAUUCAUGAUAAUAAACAGGUUAGUCCAUCCACAGGAAUAACAUUUAGCCGGGCUUAGCACUCAUGGGAUUCACCGGAGUCUCUGUCAUCAAACUGAUACUGUUAGGCCAAGAUGAUACGAAUUUGGACAUGGAAUAGAUGAUUCAAGGAAUGUAUGACUCUGCAGAGUUUGUACAAAUUUUUUUCCCACAGCCAACGGAUUUCUGUAGUCACGAGGGACUAGUUCCGUUUACGGUUUUUUGGAAGAAAACACAGCUAACCAGUACACACCCAUCCUACCUCUCGAUGCCAGGACUCAGCCUAGACAUCGUCCAAGAAAAACUUUUGAGAUGGGGAGAUCACAAUCUCGAAUAGCAUGGGAUCAAAUUUAUAUACGCGCGCUCUAAGGGGUGCCCCCCUCUCGGUCCCAACCGGAAACACCCAUGCCCCCUGACCGGAUGACUGGCUUUAAUCCAGGGCCAUGGAACCAUCAUCCCGGCCUCUCCUUUUGGUGUGUACCAGGAAAGCGGUUUGCAACUUACUAAGCCAUAUUCCUUGCGGAAAACAUGUGGUAGUACAGGGAAGGAAAUGGGAGGAACUGGACCGGUAGAGUUUGACCCUGAAGUCAUAUAGUCUGGCAUAAGACUGGCAUGCUACAACACUGCCAUCUUACCCAUCCUCAUGCCAACACAUGGCCAUUCAUAAUCACAUCCAUCCACUUAUGGAUCAUCGAACUCACUUACCUCAACAUUUCAUAAAAAAAUAACGUUCAUCGGUAUGCUCAUCAACAUGCCAUGAAACUAACUAAAUGCAAAACAUGCCAAGACACUCAUCAUAUCAAAAGUUCAAACAUGCUUGCGUGGUUCAGAGUAGUUGGACCCUAGCUCGGUGAAGUUCGCGGCUCUGUCACCUCCUUCGGUAUCUACGGUAUAAAGAAAAUAUAUGCGCUAUCGUAAAUACCAAGAGGUGCACAGAAAGUAUUCCAAAUAUUUUUCAAAUAAAUAUGAUAAAAAACUAGACAAAAAUCUGAAGAGGACAGGAAAAGAAUCACUCAAAAAUUCCUUUCUGUUAAAAAGUUAUAAGGGUGUGAAUCCAAGGACUUAUCUGUAAUGAAACAGAAAGUUUCCAGGGGCUAGUUUAUAAAAACAGAAAAUGCUUCGGCAGAAACUACGCCAGCCCAGAGGGAAGGCGCAUUUGGCAGAAGGCGUUUUCAGAAAACGAUUCGCUUAGACAGGAUAGAGAGGCUGAUAGCGGGUCCCGCCCGUCAGGUUUAAACUUUCAGACGGGGGUGGCAGAUAUCGCCGGUGCCCGAGAGCCGCGGUGGUCGCCGGCGGCGAUCCACGGCCAGGCAGGGUGAUCGGAGAUUACCAACGUGCUCACCGUGUCCUUCCGCAACGGUGGGUGGUGGUGUUGGUCGCCGGCGAGCACUACGUUGACGGCGGUCUUGACUCCGGCGGACGAUGGUUCGGGCGUUGAUGGAUCUCGCCGAGGAGGGCUGCAAGGAUCAAAUUGAGGUGGGGGUUAGAGCACUAGGUGUAAGAGAAGGCUACGGAUGAGGUUUGGGCGCCGGAGAUGGCCUCACCGGAGUGAAUCGAGGUGGAGGCCGAGGCGGAGCGAGGCGGCCGGAGUUGGGGAAGGAGACCUCCUCGAGGUCCUCCUGGUGGCUUGGCAGGGUCCUGGAGAGGUGCAGUGAAGGUGUGGGUCUCGUGAGCGAGCUCGGGGUCCUUUUUAUAGGCGAGCCGAGGCGGUGGCCGUGAAUGGGGAUCUCCGGCGAAGGUUACGGCGGCGCAGAGCUUGGUCGGGAAGGUUUAGGGAGUUGGGCGUCAUCGCGGAGUUCCACCAGUUCCAUUUAGGUGCUAAGUGAGCUUGGAUUGGGGUGCUAAGGGCGAGCUCGAUGGAACAUGGCGGCGCGGGCCCGUCGGCGGCAGGGAGCACGUUCCGUGCUUGCCGGGCCGCGGUGAUGGUGCCACGGGCGUGCGCUGGCAUGCAUGAGGCCACGCGGAGAGCCAAGGAGCUUUGGGCGGCACCGAACGGCGUUCUGCCGUGGUGUGCCUUCUGUCGGCCGCCACAGGAGGUCCCGACGCCGCAGAACACGCCGGCGAGGGCGGGCCAGCGCGCCACCGACGCCAGGAAAGCUCCAAGCACGCGUGUGAAGCUCCGGACAAGAGGGAGGGGCUGCGAGCAUCGAGCCAAAGGCACUGUGAGCAUGUGCCUGAAACUCUGAAGAAAACGACACUGUAAAACUGAAUUUUACUCAACUUUUCUAAAAAAUGCAAAGAACAGUGCAGCUCAGGUGUUCGACAGAAUGUUUUUGGCAUCUAGGGAUUUUUCCUUGAGCUAAAACUUGGUGGAGUGGCCUCUCAUUGCUCCAGUAGGCUGCCUGAAUUUUGGUGGAUUUUUUUUUGGAGAAGUGUAGAUAUGAAUUUCACCAAAUUUGGCAAAUCUGGUCCAACUUGCAGUGAGUGAAAUUUGAAAUAUUUGAAAAGAAGAAGAGUGGAUCAAGAUGGUUCUAGGUUGUGGGUACUAAAGACAAUCCAGGGAAGUUGGUUUGGGGUAAAAACUCAAAGGCAAAGUGAUACUUGCUUUGAAAAUCACUUAAGCUCAAAAUAAAUGGCAGAAAUGUUUUGGGGGAUAAAAUAAUUGAAAUAAAAUCCAAAACUUGUUUGGACUUGUUGAGACAGAGAAUUUAGAUUGUUCAAAGGUGGAGGGAUGGAUUUUGAGAGGAUUUACUAUAGGAGACAUGGUAAAACCAUGGGUGUUUUCAAAAAGAAAGAAGUCCCAAAACUCCUAGGGUUUCCUUUUUUUUGAAAAAAAUAAGUUUGAUAGGGUAACAACCAGAAGGAAAAGCUCCCAAAAACUUCAACACCAAAUUUGAAAAGGGAAAAGAAAAUCCUUGUCAAAGGAAAGGAAGUUUUUAAGAGGAAGGAUUUCUGGAAAAGAAAUUUUUAAAAAAACCCUCUUUUAAAAUCCAACAAGGUUUUGAUAAAAACCAAAUUAAAAUUUUGGAGUGUCACAACCUACUAACUCAGAUAGCUCCAUAGUAGUCCUCAUAGAAGUCACCUCCAUAGCCUGGAAGUUCAACGUGACCAUCCGGGAACAGACGGUCUUGAGGAGCCUGUGGACCAUAGGGGCUAGGAUGGGGUCUUGGACCAACAAACGGUGGCCUGCGGGGACCACGGGGUGGGGUGAUGCCUCCCACAUCACGCCAAUCCACCACGUCUGGCAAAGCAGACCUCACAGGAUACAGAUAUCUUGUAUACAUACAUCCAGCUUGCACCGCAGGUGCAAACCGAGUCAAUGUGGCCCAAUGAUCAGCACGGGUAUUAAAAAGCUCCAGCCUCAAGGCCCGAUUCUCUCGGUCCUUAUCUUCGAGCAUCUCGGCAGUGGUACGAGUUAAUGAAUCCUCCCGAGUGGAGUCAGCAUAGAUAGCCUGAAGAUACCGUUGCGCUCCCGGAAGUGAAGCUAGCAUGUAUCGGAAGUCGGUGUUCCGAAGCAGGCCAGUCCGGACUCGCAUGAUGGUCAUCAUGGAAUAGGCAGCAUCCUGCACAGCCAUCUCAACAGUAACCCCGACUCUCGGAAUAACUGACGGUGCAGAAAUACUGGCUUUGAUUAAAGUCUCGGAAUUGCUCUUCGACGGUGUAUUCGGGAUACCAACGGUAACCCGUCUCGAUCAUGACCCGGACUAACAUAGCAGUAUGACCGGGCACGUCGAGGCACCGGGUCAGGCGAACCACUUGGUUUUGAGCACGGUUGGGCAUUUUAAAGCACAACCACAAUGCGAAGACAUCAGAAUUUCUAGGGAAAAUUGGACCGCAUAACAGCUGUAAAUGCUCAGAAAAAGAUUUGAGACAUCCACAACAGUUCGCAAUACCACUCAACAACAUCAUAUCAAGGUUCUGAUCCAAAUAGCAACAUACUAAAAAUAGUAGAAACUGAACUGGGCUUGUAACAACAAUCCUAUAAGCUACUACGGAUUGGUAACACGUGAACCUGAUAGAAGAAGAGAGCCUAGUCCUUAACCCAUGUUGAAUGAGAAGGGAAUGACUCAGAUAAGAGGCAUAGGGUAAAGGAGUAAAAGAGCCUUAUGUUCCCUCCCACAAUCAAUUCCCCUACAUAUAACUAAAGCAUUUCUAGACUCGGCAUCGACCAGUUUGGCUCAACGAACCUACAGGCAGUCCAGCUCUGAUGCCAAAGCUGUCAGGACCCCGAUUUCAAGCCACAUCGAUCUAGCCGGUAACACCUCAUAUCACUUUGCGGCCUCACGCACGAUAUUCCACGGGUGUCGCCUUACCAUGGCCCGGGACCGUUUGUGCCUUUUGGCUCACGUAUAUGAUAGUGUCGCUAGCAUCCGUAUGACAGAGAACCCGGGCCGACAUGGCUAGUCGUGAACCCAAAGCGGCACAGACCUAUGGAGACAGGCAUACAUGAAUCACAUCGAGCAUGUCGGUCAUCAGCGAGUGAUUCCGGGCUGUAGCACUGGGCUAACAGGACUCCGGGGAACUCGGGCUGUAGCAGGCUAGGCAGGACUCCGGAAGUCACCGUGUGACAUUUCCCCGAAGGGACAGACAUAGGAACGAAGUGAAUCACAUGCCGGCCAGUCAAGUGUCCUGAGCAGUAGUGCUGGGCUAGCAGGACUCCGCUGAACCGGGCUGUAGCGGACUACUAUGGCUCGAGGAACACUAGACUACAUUUCCCCAUAAGAAAGGCUGCAAAGGAUAAACAACUAGAUUGUGGGAUCCCACUCAUACCAAGCAUUUCAAUCAUACACACAAUAUGCCCGAUAUGAGUACAUACAACAUGGCAUCACAACAAAACUCUACAACUCAAGUACUUUAUUUAAAGGCUCCAGAGAGCCAUACAUAACAUGUUCAUAUAGAUAGGGGUCACAUGACCCGACACUCAAGUCAUACAAUCAUACAAGCACAUGCGGAAGCAACGGGUCUUGAAAGUGCGUUAUAUCGGCUAGGGGGGGGGGUGAAUAGGCGAUUUUUAUGGAAGUCUUCAAAACGUGGAAGUUAUGAAGACAAACAGAGUGAACAAGCCUAUCACUAUGCAGCGGAAGUUAGAUUACACAACGCAAGCCAUGGUCAAGUAUACAAUAUAGUGAAAGCACAGUGACAAAUAGCUUCAGUGUAAUGAGGAUCAGGUUGGAAGAAGUUAUGAAGCCAAACAGAUCAUACAGUCAAGUUGUGAAGACAGAAGAUAAAGCAAGCAUGCAAUAGCUUCACAAUGUGUACUGGUAAGUAAAGGGAGGCGAAGAUGAAACCAGUGACACGUUGAAGACAAUGAUAUGUUGGACCAGUUCCAGUUGCUGUGACAACUGUACGUCUGGUUGGAGCGGCUAGGUAUUUAAACAAAAGGACACACAGUCCCGGACACCCAGUCCUGAACACGCAGCUCAGGACACCCAGUCCUCACCGUUUUCUCCUUGAGCUAAGGUCACACAGACCCCGCCCAAUCACUCUGGUAAGUCUUCAAGGUAGACUCCCAAACCUUCACAGACUUUGUUCACCGGCAAUCCACAAUUCCUCUUGGAUGCUCAGAACGCGACGCCUAACUGUCUGGAGGAUGCACAGUCCUCAAGUGUAAUAAGUCUUCAGAUCACUCAGACAAGAAGACUUAAGUGAUGCCCAAUUACUCUGGCUCUGGGUGGUUAGGGCUUUUCUCCUCACUAAGGAUUUUCUCUCAAUGGCUUCGAGGUGGGUUGCUCUCAAACGACAAAAGCCGUGCACUGAAAUCUGAGCAGCCAACCGUUUAUGGUUGUAGGGGUGGACUAUUUAUAGCCGCUUGGCAACCCUGACCUGAUUUGUCCGAAAUGACCCUGGGUCACUAAGGAACUGACACGUGUACUAACGGUCGGAUUUUGAACUCUCACGGCAACUUUACUUGGGCUGCAAGUAAAGCUGACUUUUCUGACUCUGGACAAGAUUUUCUCUCAUUGUCUUCACUCGAAGACAUAGGAUUUGAAUUAGGCAUCAUUUCAGUCAUCCUGACUGGUUCUCUUGGACCCCACUUAACAGUACGGUGGUUCCUAUGACACAACAUGAAUAAAGUAAAACUACAAAGGAUCUAAGUCUUCGAGUUCCAAAGGCUUCAUGGGGAGUCUUCAUAUGUCAUUGUCUUCGACAUGAAUGUCUUCAUGAACCACCAUUGUCUUCAAUGUCUUCGUACAUUUUUCGGGGUCAUCUCUGGUAACUAAACCGAAUCAAUGAGGGACUUCUACCUGUGUUAUCCUGCAAUUCUCACAAACACAUUAGUCCCUCAACUAGGUUUGUCGUCAAUACUCCAAAACCAACUAGGGGUGGCACUAGAUGCACUUACAAUCUCCCCCUUUUUGGUGAUUGAUGACAAACUAGUUGAAGUUUUCAACGGGGAAUAUAAUUUGUGAAAUUGUAAAGGAAUUGUCUUCAUAAGCUGCAAGGGCUCCCCCUGAGGAUGUGCAUAUAAGUGAUUUGCUUUUGGAACGCGAAUGCACAUAGCAGGUUGUAUUUGUGGGAAUCCACUUCAACUUAUGAUGACAAUCCAUCAUGCAUGUAAACAUAUAAGAAGAUAAUGAUAUGCAUAAUGAAAAAUGGACGCCUGCGAAAUGAUAUAAGUGCGGAAAUUAUCGUCGUACAUGCGGAAUUUAUCUUCGCAAAAACACAGUGGCAAACAUAGUAGCAGACGACCAUCAAGUUUAAGUGUUACAACUCAAAGAACCAAAUGUAGCAAAACGAGAGUUGUAAGCACGAAGCAAAAUAUAAUAAAGCACCAGCCCUUAUUAUUGACCCGCUUGAAGACUAUAAACAUCAUAUGCUUCUCCCCCUUUUGUCAGUGAUGACCAAAAAGGUUUGAAGGCAUAGAGUUUUCUACGUGUUCCCAGGCGCAGCAGGGUCGAUGGAGGCGUUUGGUGGAGCUGGCGAGCUUGGUGCAGUGAUGAUGCGCGCUGAAGAAGGUGGUGGUGAUGUAGCAUCGUCUUCUUCCUCAAUGAUUUUUCCAGUCACUAUGGCAGCAGAGGAAGAGAACUCUGAUUCUUCAAGCGACGGAGUUCCACGCAACACAGCUCUUCUGGGGGGUGUGGAGUCAAACUUGAAUCUCUCUUUGAAGCCAUCCUCUUGCAGUUCAGCUUCAGUGCACAUCAUUGUGAGGCCUUUCCAAGUGCGGCGACAGGUUUCAUGUGCGACAAAGGCAUUCUUGGUGGCCAGAUUCCUGAUGCGAUUGACUUCUUGCAUGAUACUGCGCAUCUGCCUUUUGAGCCAGUCGUGAUGCCUAUCUUGCUUUUGGUGCAGAGCCACAAGAAGUUCACGGUCAGUGAGUGUACGAGCGCGUUUCUUGGGUCUCUGUGCAGCUGUGCUGUCAGUGGCUUCAGUUGAUGCAGGGGCACGCGUGGUGCCAGCCAUUGGAUAGACUCUGGAAAUGGCUUCAACACCUUCAUCAUGCUGAGUGAAGCUCUGGUGUUCUACAUUCUGAAGACUUAAUGGCUGCUUGGCAGGCUCAGGAUAAAUCGCUUCAGCAGAGGUGUCCACAUCAGGUAAGAAGAUUCUGUGGUUGCGGGCAGAGUGUUGAUAGGAUAUGGUAGAGUGGAGCUUGAUGAGCCUCAUAACCCAUGGAGCAUAAAUCUUCAGACCAAAGAGAUCUGAGCCAAACGCUGCUAGUUGACGUAUAAAGAGAUCCUGGGCAUUGAAGCAUUUGCCAUGCAGGAUGCAGAAGAUGAGAGUCUUCAUGGCACCUUCAACCUUGGCAUAUCGAGAGUGCCCCUUAAUGGGCCAUAGAGUCCGCCUGAUGAUGUGAUAGAUAGUUCUAGGCAGGUACUCUAAGUCUUCAACGAAGAACUCGGUUGGGUAAGGUGCGUCAGGAGGCAAUGGCUUCAUCAUUGAGAGCAUCUGACUCAUAUUUGGCUCAGGUCGCUGAAAUAUGCUCUCAACUGCUUCAGCAUGGAGUUGGCAGCCUUCUUCGAAGAGUUCGCCUGGAGUGGGUAGGCCGGUGAGCUCAAUGAUAUCAAAUGCAUUGGCUUCAUGAUGGACGUUGCCGGUCAUCCACUCCAGGACCCAAGUCUUUGGAUCUUUGUUGUAGCCUUUGAUGUGCAGUGUGGCAUAGAACUGGAGCAGAAGCUCUUCAUUCCAGUGCUCUUCAUCCGUGACAAACGGCAGCAGGCCAACUUGCUUGAAGCAGUCCAGUGCUUCUUCCAGACCAGGCAGACCAGCAAUAGCUUCAACCUCAAGGCGCUGGUGUGGAAAGAUACGGCCUUGGUUGUAGAGGACGCAGAAGUAGUAGCUGCGCUGUGGGUAGCUCCAGAACCUAUCUAACACAAUCCGUUCCCUUGAGUAAGGGUUCUUGGAGCGGUUGAAGAAGGUGUUACCUGCCCUGAAGCUAUUGACAUUAAAGGAGCCAGGAGCGGUGGCAGGACCUGGGAACCUUGGCAGUCGUGGGAUUGGCUUCUGUACCUGGGGCCUGUGCGCAACAUGAUAGUUGAACUGUGGACCGGCAGCAGACUCAGGCACAGAAGGGUCAGAGGCAGAAGCUUCAGUAUCUCUUGAAGCUGUUGGUUGGUCGGGCUCCACAAAUGCUUCAGUAUUGGGUGUGGCAGCCGCAGUGGUGUCAGCCUCAUCACGUGUAGUGAGAGGGAUGGAUUCAGGUACGUUCUCCUUGAGAACUUCUUCUUGUUGGUGUGGGGGAGAUGGAGCUUGAGGUUCUUCAUGCUCUUCUUCAUGUUCUUCGGCUGAUGCAGCCGGAAUGUCGUCAGCAGUCUGAGCCCUUGGCCCUUUGCGAAGCCUACGGAAUGCAGGCAACGCCGGUGGAGUUGCAGUGGGCUGGGGCUCAUCCUCUUCCUCCUGCGGGCGAUCUGCCCAUGAUGCAUCUUGGGUGAUUGGCGUCAAGGGACGACCAAUGCUGAUCAUUUCACUCGUUUCGAGCUGAGGAAGGACUGCAUCACCUUGCACAUUGUCUUGGAGACCAAUGUCUUCAGCAGCGUUGGAGUCGGCUGCUGGAAUGUCUUCAGCAUGCGGAGCCUUUGUGAGAGCAGGCUCAUGCACGGUCAGCUGACGAUCUUCAUGAGGAAAGCAAACGGAGAGGGGUUCGACUAUCAAGGGCUCUGUGGGAGCAGCCCGAGACUUCUUGUUCUUGCGCUUCUUGAUGGUGGGGUCUAAAGGAGAGGCUUCAGGGUGUUUCCUCUUCCUUGCUUCAGCUUCGGCUGUCCUUGUCUUCUUAACCUAUGAAGCGGUUGAGCGGUGCUUUGGCUUCGAGCCAGGCUUGGCAGUGGGGAAGACAAUCGGAACAGCUUCUUGUCGUGGGGCCUCUUGUUCAGCCACAGUGGGCUUCUUCUUUUUCUUAGCGGCCAUCCUGGGGUCGAUGCUGGGACGCCCAAGCGCCUUUCGCUUCUCGGACUCAUUGUAGGCCUGCACACAGAGAUCAGCCAAAUUCUUCAUGCGCUCACGUGAACCCUGAGCCUCUGCACGUUUCUGCAUAAAGUUUUCCUUCAACUCGUGCAGCAUGACUUUGAAGUCUUUGACUUCUUGGACGCUGAGCGUGGCCAUGUUCUGCUUGAACUGAGCCUUUUCAAAAUCUAUCUUCUGCUUCAGUUCCACUAUGCGCUGGGCAAUUGCGAGUUCUGAAGCAAUAGCUCCUUGGAAGGCUACGCUGAGGCCAAUGGGCAGCUGCAGAUCAUGGAAGCUGAUGUUGGGUGUAUCAAACCACUCAUCAAUGAAGUUGUGGAUGAUUGCUGCAUCGAACAAAGGCAGAUUGUUGAAGAUUUCAGCCUCCUCCUUGCUCUUGAUUAGCUGCUCAAGAGCGUCAUCGGCAAGAUCGUCGUCACUUGACAGAUCAAUGGCCUCGCAGCGCAGAACGGCUGCGGCAGUGAGCUCUUUGUCAGUAUGUGGCUGAUGCUUCUUGGCUUCUUGGGGCUUGGAGACUCGUGAUAAGUCUUCAGACUGCACACUUGCUUCAGGAGGUGCAGUGGCCAAUGGCUUCGCUCUGGAGAUCUUGGGAGAAGCGGCUGGCUUGGAAGCUUUUGGCUUCUUCUUCAUCUGCUUCGGCUCCGGGGCAGCAGGAGCGUCAUCAGACUCAGUGUCUACUGGAGGGUCGUUCACGGCAGUCCCUUGGACUAGAAUGCGAGUGAUGAGGCCUUUGAGAUUGGCAUACGGCCCGAUGACAUUGGGAUUUGCAUCGCGUGUGCCAUCCGCCCUUGGCUUAGAGGGACCAGGGUUGAAGUCCAGUCCAAACUCCUUCUUGUUUUGCUUCGCAGAGUUCUGAGCAAAUUGGAAGUUGCGCUUGAAGAGAUUGUCAUCGCGACACCAGAGAAGUGAUGACGGAUGUGCCUCAGCUGGCUGUGGUCCUCUGACCAUGCAUGGAUAGAAGCCUUGAGCAAUGGCUUCGUCUCUGGACCGGGGUACGAGAUUUUUGUACAAGACAUCUCCCCAUGGCCUCUGGAUGGCGCACUUCUCUGCAUAUUCCUUGGCGACGAAGCGGUAUUGGAACCACUGCUCUGCCCAAUAUCUUCGAAUCCAUUGGAUUCGUGUCUAGCGCUGACCAUAGCUCUCUUCAGGAUCAGUUUGGUACAUUUCUGCCAAAUCUUCAGGCAGAUCUUUAGACGUUUCACCACGUCUCUGUCUGCCUCCCUUCCUUGCUGGUUUUUCUGUUGCCAUGAAGCUUAACUUGGAAGGCUUCAAGAGAUUCAAAGUCUUCAAAGGCUUCCUUUUGCUUGACCAACAGGAACUUGCUUCGGGUGAAUUGAUGUGACGCUGUAGGAACUCUGCAAAUGAAUGCAGACUAUGAGAACCAAAAGAUUCUCCCACGGACAUGUACCUGUGACAGCAUUAAGGUGCGAGGGAAGGGGAAGAGGUCAUAUGCAUUCUCAAAAGAUUUUGAAGAUAAAUCAGUUUAGAAGAUAUUGACCUCAUCAUGCGAAGACAUUCACUUUAUAGAAAAGAAGUUGGUUCCAGAUUUGUACGAACCCAUAGAUCAGUACAAGUGAGGAAUCUAACUACUUCAUGAAGAACAAGUGAAUAUACUAGGCACGUUAUGAGAUACAGAUGAGAGGGAUUAAACUUUUGUGAAUGGAAACCUCUUUUGGCAGAAAGUGAUGGAGCUAUAGGAUCAAAAGAGGCUGUAAAAAGACUUGUUAUUUACCAGACUUGGAACUGCUAGACGAGGUGAGAGUUGAGGCCGAGCAGUUCGAUCCUCCGUGCCCUAACUUGGCGACGGAAGACACCUAGGGCGACGGCGGAGAGACUGAUGUCCGCUGUCGGCGUGAGAACGGCAUCGGAGAGGUUGCGGCAGUGAAGCACUUCGUCGCCGGCGUCGUUGAGAGUUAGCGGUGGCGCUAGGGUUUGUGCGAGGGUGGAAGAAGAGAUAAUGACCGCAGUGAAACGUGUAUUUAUAGGGAUAUGGGCGGCACUGCGCUAUUACUCAGGUGCCCCUGGCGAUUCGCAUCUGAUCAGUACGUGGCCAGCAUGCGGAAUUGUGGGGGCAGUUUCACCCCACGCACGCCUGGUUUGUCGGAAGCCGUUCCUACUUCUCUGGAUUUCUUGUUGAUGAAAAAACAUUAAAAUCUGUUUUAAAGUUUGUCUCUGUGUCUUCUUCUGACAAGGAUGCAGUGAAGACAUUCGACAGUUUCAAUAGAAUGCAUAGACUUGGAGAGAUAGAGUUUGAGGUAGGAAGCAUGGAGAGGUUAGGGUCCGAUCACAUUCACUUAGUUCAAAAGAUUCAAACAAGAAGACAUAGCUAUAAGUGAAUGCUGUAGAGGACAGAACACCAGUACAUAUAUAAUCAACAUAGUGAAGAUAAUCAUGAAGACAUGUUGAGAUUGAAGCUAAACCAAAUGUGAAGACAUAGCAAAUGUAAUGCCAUGAGUGAAACACUUCAAGCAGAAAAAUUUGGUGGUGGCGCUACCCACCGUAUAGGAAGUAUUGGACCCAGACACGGCGCACAAUUAUCGUGGCGCUCCGAGGUCAAAUUCCACGUUAAUGUGUUCACACUUAGAAUGUAUGUCUUCAUUGAUUGAAGAUAUACGUUACUUCGUGUGUUGCACAUCUAAGUCAUCAUCAUGCAUAAGUGUUAGGAUGUGUGCCUGAUCACAGGACAUUUGAGGAUUCCAAGAUAUUUAGCUCACACCGUAACUUGCAAAAUCUCUUCUCAUCCAAGGGCUUGGUGAAGAUAUCUGCCAAUUGCUCUUUAGUGUUGACGUGUAUGAUAUCAAUGUCUUCCUUUGCAACAUGAUCUCUGAGAAAAUGAUGACGAAUUUCAAUGUGCUUUGUCUUCGAGUGCUGAACUGGGUUGUUGGCGAUCUUGAUGGCACUUUCGUUGUCGCAGUAAAGUGGCACUUGCUUCAGAUGAAUGCCAUAAUCCUUGAGGGUUUGCUUCAUCCAUAGAAGCUGAGCGCAGCAGGAUCCAGCAGCAAUGUAUUCAGAUUCAGCAGUGGAGAGAGAUACACAGUUCUGCUUCUUUGAAGACCAACAGACAAGUGAUCGCCCAGAAAGUGACAUGUGCCUGAUGUGGACUUCCGAUCAACCUUGUCACCAGCGUAAUCAGCGUCCGAAAAUCCAACCAGAUCAAACUCUGAGCCCUUUGGAUACCAUGACCCUAGAGUUGGGGUGUGAGCCAAAUAUCGAAGAAUUCGCUUCACAGCUAAGUGAUGCGACUCCUUUGGUGCCGCUUGAAACCGAGCACACAUGUAAACACUAAGCAUAAUAUCUGGCCUAGAUGCACAUAAAUAAAGCAAAGAACCAAUCAUGGAGCGGUAUACCUUUUGAUCGAACUCUUUACCAUUGUCGUCAGGACCCAGAUGAUGUUUGGCUGGCAUUGGUGUUGUGAAGCCUUUGCAGUCUUGCAUACCGAACUUCUUCAGGCAGUCUUUGAGAUAUUUCUCUUGAGAUAUGAAGAUGCCAUUGCGUUGUUGCCGUAUCUGAAGACCGAGGAAGAAUUUCAGCUCCCCCAUCAUAGACAUCUGAUAUUGCUCUUGCAUCAUAUAUCCGAACUCCUCACUGUACUUCUGAUUGGUGCAGCCGAAGAUAAUGUCAUCCACGUAUAUUUGGCACACAAACAGUUCACCAUCAUAUGUCUUUGUGAAGAGAGUGGGAUCCAGGGAACCAGGUAUGAAGCCUUUGCUCUUCAGGAAGUAUUUGAGUGUAUCAUACCAGGCCCGAGGGGCUUGUUUGAGGCCAUAUAGUGCCUUUUUGAGCUUGUACACCAUGUCAGGAUGUUUUGGAUCUUCAAACCCAGGUGGUUGUGCAACAUACACUUCUUCUUCAAUUUUGCCAUUGAGGAAGGCACUUUUUACAUCCAUUUGAUACAGGAUUAUGUUGUGAUGAUUUGCAUAGGCCAGCAGUAUACGGAUGGCUUCAAGUCUGGCAACAGGAGCAAAUGUUUCAUCGAAGUCAAUGCCUUCGAGUUGAGUAUAUCCUUGAGCAACGAAACGAGCCUUGUUUCUGACGACUUGGCCAUGCUCAUCUUGCUUGUUGCGGUAUAUCCAUUUGGUGCCUAUUAUGUUAUGCUUCCAUGGAUCAGGACGCUUAACCAACUCCCAUACAUUGUUCAGCUCAAAUUGUUGAAGCGCUUCUUGCAUAGCUUGAAUCCAUUCAGGUUCCAUAAAGGCUUCAUCAAUUUUCCUGGGUUCUGUCAUUGAAACGAAUGCGAAGUGUCCGCAGAAGUUUGCCAGUUGAGUUGCCCUUGAAUGAGUCAGUGGACCAGGUGCAUUGAUGCUAUCAAUUAUUCUGCAAUCUGCACUUCAUUGGCAACAUGAGGAUGUAGGGGUCGAAGACUUUGCUCUUGCUGAUCUACGUUGUCAUGGGGAGGAAUGUCUUCAGGCUGAGCGUUGUCUUCAUGUGGAUCAGGUGCUGAGAUGAUAAGUUCUUCUUCAGGACGAGCUUCAGAAGGUAUAAUUUCUCCAGUUCCCAUUAGCUUGAUUGAUUCACUGGCUGGAACUUCAUCUAGCACAUCUGGUAGUUGCUCUCUUUGUGACCCAUUGGUCUCAUCGAACCGCACAUCCACUGUUUCAACCACUUUGUAGUGGAAGAGAUUGGAGACUCUGUAGGAGUGCGAAUCCUUUCCAUAUCCAAGCAUGAAGCCCUCAUGUGCUUUUGGAGCAAAUUUUUAGGUGUGGUGAGGGUCCUUGAUCCAGCAUCUUGAUCCAAAUACUCUAAAGUACCUUACAUUUGGCUUCUUGCCAGUCAGAAGUUCAUAAGAUGUCUUGUUCAGCAGCUUGUGAAGAUAUACACGGUUGAUAGUAUGGCAUGCAGUGUCAAUGGCUUCAGUCCAGAAUUUUCUUGGUGUCUUGUACUCAUCUAACAUUGUUCUGGCCAUCUCAAUGAGUGUUCUGUUCUUGUGUUCGACGAUGCCAUUCUGUUGUGGCGUGUAUGGAGCUGAGAAUUCAUGAGUGAUGCCCAAUGUAUCAAGAUAUGUGUCAAGGCCGGUGUUCUUGAAUUCUGUGCCAUUGUCACUUCUGAUGUGCUUUAUCUUGGCGCCAUAAUUGUUCAUUGCCCGAUUUGCGAAGCGUCUGAAGACAUCCUGCACUUCAGUCUUGUAAAGGAUUAUGUGCACCCAAGUAUAUCUAGAGUAAUCAUCAACAAUGACGAAGCCAUAGAGGCAAGCAGUAGUGGAGAAAGUUGAGUAGUGAGUGGGACCGAAGAGAUCCAUGUGAAGCAGUUCGAAGGGUUGAGUAGUGGUCAUGAUUUUCUUCGAAGGAUGUUUUGCCCUUGUCAUCUUCCCAGCUUCACAGGCACCGCAUAAGUGAUCUUUCUUGAACUUGACGCCCUCGAUGCCUAUGACAUGCUUCUUCUUCGCAAGGGUGUGGAGGUUCCUCAUGCCAGCAUGCCCAAGUCUUCGAUGCCAAAGCCAGCAUUCUGAAGCCUUUGCGAGAAGACAAACUGCAAGCUGUGGCCCUGCUGAGAAAUCUACCACGUACAAAUCAUCUUUUCGAUACCCUUCAAACUCUAGAGACUUGUCAGAUUCCAUUAGUACCAGACAACGAUAUUUUCCAAAGAUUACAAUCAUGUUUAAAUCGCAAAGCAUUGAGACAGACAUUAAGUUGAAGCCAAGGGACUCAACAAACAUGACUUUAUCCAUGUGUUGAUCCUUUGAGAUUGCAACUCUACCUAGACCCAGUACCUUACUUUUACCAGUGUCAGCGAAUGUGAUGUGGCUCUUGUCAGAUGGACGUAAGGUUGAGUCCAUAAAGAGACUUCUUUUGCCAGUCAUGUGAUUUGUACACCCAUUGUCAAUAAUCCAUUCUGAAGACUCUGAAGUCACUGGUGUCGUACCCUACAGUGCAGUUAGGGGGAUAGGCUUCACGAAGAGUGUUGUGAAGCAAAAACAUUUGACGAACCAGUGGAUUAUGAAAACUUAGAUCCAGGUUAGGACAAGUAGGGAGAGUAGCAUGCGAUUCAGGUAUGAAAUACAUAGUGAUGCCAUUCGGGCAUUUGAUCUUGCGCCCACAAGAUUUUUAAGGUCCCCAGCAAUAGCAUCAGAAGAUUUUGGUUUUGUGCUGGAGACCUUUCCCUGCAAAAGAGAGUUAAGCUUUCUUAACCACCCACAUCUUCAAGGGUGGCUUAGAAGCAAACAGUCUAGCAGGUGGGCAAUAGUACUCAUAAGAAUAGGCAGAAUAGUUUUUGGUCAUAUGAGAAUGACGGUUUGAAGAACCGCUCUCAUAUGCCUGAGCAUGGUUUCCCUGCAAAACAUUUGUGUUAGUGCGACUCAAAUGAGUCCUCUGCCUGUAUGAAGCCUUUGGACCAUAUAUGAAGCCUUUGGUCCGAGGUUUGUCUUCUUCAUGUGAGGUGUCAUGAGGACAUUCACAGGAAGAUUCUCAAGACACGUUUUUGGAACCCAGAUCUUCUUCAUAGGCGGUCCAUUCCUGCAGUUAGUACCAAUGUACCUGGCAAAUACUUCACCAUUCUGAUUCCUGAACAGUUUAUAGUUUGCAUCAAAGGAUUCAUCAAUGAUAAUUGGAUUAGCACAAGUGAAGCCAGAUAGAUUGGAUGGAUCUGCUGAGGAUUCCUUUGCAGCAACCCAUGUGGUUUUGGGGUACUGCUCAGGUUUCCAGUAAGAGCCAUCUGCAUUAAUUUUCCUCACGAACCCAACACCCUCCUUCCUAGGGUUUUGGUUCAGAAUCUGCUUCUUGAGGACAUCACAUAAUGUCUGAUGUCCUUUGAGACUUUUGUACAUCCCUGUUUCAAGCAAUGUCUUCAACCUAGCAUUUUCAUCAGCAAUAGCAGUGGUAUCCUCAGUAGAGGGGUUAGUUACCACUUCAACAGUUGCAACAGCAGUAGCAGUGGAACAUUCAGCAACAGAAAUAGCAUUAUCACAAUCAAUGCAUUUAAGGCAUGGUGGUUCAAAUCCUUCCUGAACAGAACUGAUCUGUUCGGCUCGAAGUGACUCGUUUUCCUUUUGAAGAUCUUCAUGAUCCGUUUUUCAAGAUGUUGCUUCUUUUGAAGAUAAUCAUAGGAAAGCUUUUCAUGAGUAGUUGAGAGAGUCUCAAGACGAUCUUCGAGUUCCUGAUACUUAACAUGAAGAUUUUUUAUGUCUUCAAUUAAGGAUUCAGAACGAGUCAUUUCAGCACCCAACAGAUCAUCGCUUCUGUCUAACAGUUUUUGAAUAUGUUCCAUGGCCUUUUGUUGUUCAGUUGCAAUUUUAGCAAGUGUUUUGUAACUGGGUUUUGAAUCACAAUCAGAGUCAUCGUCACUAGAUGUUUGAUAGUGAGUAGUGCGUGUGUUUACCUUGGCACCACGUGCCAUGAAGCAGUAGGUAGGAGUAGAGUCGUCCUUGUCAUUUGCAUCGGUGAUGGUGAUGGAGUCAUUGUCUUCAGUGUUGAAGAUGGACUUGGCGACGUAGGCUGUAGCCAGACUCGCAAUGCCUGAAUCAGACUCCUCCUCAGACUCCACCUCUGCCUCCUCAGAAGCGGACUCCUCCUCUGAAUCCAUUUCCUUGCCAACAAACGCACGAGCCUUGCCAGAUGAACUCUUCUUGUGUGAUGAAGACUUUGAGGAAGACUUGGACGAAGACUUUGAGUAUUUCUUUGUCUUCUUAUCGUCAGAGUCAUAUUCCAUGCUCUAAUUCUUCUUUCUGUUCUCAUUGUCCCACUGUGGACACUCAGAGAUGAAGUGUCCAGUUUUCUUGCACUUGUGACAUGUUUUCUUCUUGUAGUCAUGCGCAGAAGCUUCAUCAUUCCUUGAGCUUGAUCGUGAAGACUUUCUGAAGCCUUUCUUCUUGGUGAAUUUCUGGAACUUCUUCACUAGCAUUGCAAGUUCCCUUCCAAUGUCUUCAGGAUCAUCAGAACUGCUGUCAGAUUCUUCUUCAGAUGAGGACACAGCUUUUGCCUUCAAGGCACGAGUUCGCCCAUAGUUUGGACCGUAGAUAUCUCUUUUCUCAGAAAGCUGAAACUCAUGUGUGUUGAGCCUCUCAAGUAUGUCAGACGGAUCGAGUGUCUUGAAGUCUGGAUGUCAAAUGAACUGUCAAGUGAUCUUAGCAGCGUCUUAACGAUUUCAUGUUUGGUGAUCUCAGUGGCGCCGAGGGCUUGAAGCUCAUUUGUGAUGUCAGUGAGCCGGUCAAAUGUGUGAUGGACAUUCUCAUUGUCAUUUCGCUUGAAGCGGUUGAAGAGAUUGCGAAGAACACUGAUUCUCUGAUCUCUCUGGGUUGAGAUGCCUUCAUUGACCUUGGAGAGCCAGUCCCAAACCAGCUUGGAUGUCUUCAAGGCACUCACACGGCCGUACUGUCCCUUGGUCAGAUGACCACAGAUAAUAUUCUUGGCAGUGGAGUCCAGUUGAGUGAACUUCUUGACAUCAGCCGCAGUGACACCUUCUCCAGCCUUGGGAACGCCGUUUUUGACGACAUACCAUAGGUGGACGUCAAUGGCUUCAAGAUGCAUGCGCAUCUUAUUCUUCCAGUAGGGAUAUUCAGUUCCAUCGAAGACGGGGCACGCAGCGGAGACUUUAAUUAUCCCUGCAGUCGACAUAGCUAAAACUUUAGGUGGUUAAACCAAAUCACACAGAACAAGGGAGCACCUUGCUCUGAUACCAAUUGAAAGUGCGUUAUAUCGGCUAGGGGGUGAAUAGGUGAUUUUAAUGAAAGUCUUCAAAACGUGGAAGUUAUGAAGACAAACAGAGUGAACAAGCCUAUCACUAUGCAGCGGAAGUUAGAUUACACAACGCAAGCCAUGGUCAAGUAUACAAUAUAGUGAAAGCACGGUGACAAAUAGCUUCAGUGUAAUGAGGAUCAGGUUGGAAGAAGUUAUGAAGCCAAACAGAUCAUACAGUCAAGUUGUGAGGACAGAAGAUAAAGCAAGCAUGCAAUAGCUUCACAAUGUGUACUGGUAAGUAAAGGGAGGCGAAGAUGAAACCAGUGACACGUUGAAGAGAAUGAUAUGUUGGACCAGUUCCAGUUGCUGUGACAACUAUACGUCUGGUUGGAGCGGCUAGGUAUUUAAACCAAAGGACACACAGUCCCGGACACCCAGUCCUGAACACGCAGCUCAGGACACCCAGUCCUCACCGUUUUCUCCUUGAGCUAAGGUCACACAGACCCCGCCCAAUCACUCUGGUAAGUCUUCAAGGUAGACUCCCAAACCUUCACAGACUUCGUUCACCGGCAAUCCACAAUUCCUCUUGGAUGCUCAGAACGCGACGCCUAACCGUCUGGAGGAUGCACAGUCCUCAAGUGUAAUAAGUCUUCAGAUCACUCAGACAAGAAGACUUAAGUGAUGCCCAAUUACUCUGGCUCUGGGUGGUUAGGGCUUUUCUCCUCACUAAGGAUUUUCUCUCAAAGGCUUAGAGGUGGGUUGCUCUCAAACGACAAAAGCAGUGCACUGAAAUCUGAGCAGCCAACCGUUUAUGGUUGUAGGGGUGGACUAUUUAUAGCCGCUUGGCAACCCUGACCUGAUUUGUCCGAAAUGACCCUGUGUCACUAAGGAACUGACACGUGUACUAACGGUCGGAUUUUGAACUCUCACGGCAACUUUACUUGGGCUGCAAGUAAAGCUGACUUGUCUGACUCUGGACAAGAUUUUCUCUCAUUGUCUUCACUCGAAGACAUAGGAUUUGAAUUAGGCAUCACUUCAGUCAUCCUGACUGGUUCUCUUGGACCCCACUUAACAGUACGGUGGUUCCUAUGACACAACAUGAAUAAAGUAAAACUACGAAGGAUCUAAGUCUUCGAGUUCCAAAGGCUUCAUGGGGAGUCUUCAUAUGUCAUUGUCUUCGACAUGAAUGUCUUCAUGAACCACCAUUGUCUUCAAUGUCUUCGUACAUUUUUAGGGGUCAUCUCUGGUAACUAAACCGAAUCAAUGAGGGACUUCUACUAGUGUUAUCCUGCAAUUCUCACAAACACAUUAGUCCCUCAACUAGGUUUGUCUUCAAUACUCCAAAACCAACUAGGGGUGGCACUAGAUGCACUUACAGGUCUGGGUACAGACACUAGAAAGAAAGAAGGCUCCUCGAGGCCUGUCUAUCUACAUAGGGCCCUCCAUGGCCAGGAUCACCACCUGGGUGGCUAGUCACUCAUCGAAGUCAAGGUCUACAUAGAACCCAUCGGAGGGGGCGGUGUUGUCGUCUGAAAACAGUAAUUAAGCAAACAUGAGUACAAAGGUACUCAGCAAGUCUUACAACAGAACCUACUAUACAUGCUUAUUCUCAAGAAGGCGGUGGGGAUAUUGCAGCAAGCCAGCUUUGACUCUUGGCUAAACUAUCCUACGGAACUUCUCUAGUAAAAUAGUUUUCGCACACGAGUCCACUACUCACCAACACAAUACUCCAACGGGGAUCCUCCCUCAUCAUCCUACGAGAGGGCCAUCCUCGGUACUCACACUUAUCUUGAGUCUUUUAGUAGUAUCCAUUUACUUGUCUAUGAACUGUAUAGGCAACUAAGUAGUCCUUUACCGCGGACGCGGCUAUUCGAAUAGUUUUAUACCCUGCAGGGGUGUACUUCGUCAUACACGCUUUCACCACUUAUCGCCGUUUACACGACAUGUACUCGGCAACCUUCAAGCGGAAGCCCAGCGAGGGUGUCGGCCACGGCCUACCUAAACACUUAAGUCUCUAGUCCUGCUUUAUCGCCUAUCCAAGUUCCAUCCGCAGGGAUUCCGGCCGAGGUUUCCACAUACGGCCCCGAACGAUGUGAACAGGAUCCCGAGACGCCAAACGGGUGCCCGGCAUACCCGGCCACGGUGUAUCUACCACAACAUAGCCCACCCCUAGGGUCAGCGCUACGCACGGCCGCCAACACAUAACCUACAAACACCAGAAACUAUUUGCAACUCCUGGAGAGAGUACUAGGGUGAUUAAGAAGCCGAUAGGGUCAAUUAAGGAUCCCAAUGCAUGGUAGUAGCUGAAUCUUAAAUCAUACAUACAGAUCUGAGUUCUUAGGGACGGUCUCAAUGAAACAACCCACCAUGUACUCCUACAUGGCCUCUCAUCGAUACCUUUACCAAAACAUGUUCAACACAUUCCUCAUAUUACCGACAUAAUCAUAUCACUCUAGCCCAUCACCCUGAUGAACCAGACCUGACACAACUCUAAGCAUAGCAGGCAUACCAAGGUACAAAUCACAUACAUGGCUCAAUCAACUCCUACACAUGCUAGUGGGUUUCAUCUAGUUACUGUGGCAAUGAAAGGUCAUGCAGAGGAUAAGGGUUCAACUACCGUAGCACACAGCAGUUUGAAUCGCGUUAUCUUAAUGCAGUAAACAAGAGUAGAGGCGAGAAUAUGGGUUGUAUCGGAAUGAUCAAUGGGUUGCUUGCCUGAUGGAGUGGUAGUGGGAUACUGCCCUUCAGUUGGAUACUCGUGAAUAUCCUCGGAGGCAGAACCUACCACGAAGAACACAUCGGAACACAAUCAAUACAUGACGAUAUGCAACAAUAUGAUGCAUGCUAUGACAUGGCAAUAUGAAUGUGUCUUGGCCUAAUGCAAGCUAAAAUAGAAAGGGAUGAACUCAUUUGAAUCAAAGAUACAAAUAUUAUCUCAUUAAACAUGGCCUUAAUAUUGCAUUUACUUAUUCUGCUUAAACAGAAAGGUAAACUUGUUUUGUCAUGCAUGAAACCAUUACAGGUGGAUAGAUUGAAUUUUUCUGAUAAUUUUUCAUAUAUAAAUUAUUUCAUUUGGAGUUACAGUUGAAUUUCUAUGAUUUUUAGAAUUUUUAAACAUUACUGCGUCAGCAUUGCGUCAUGCUGACCUCAGCAGGUCAAAGGCGCCAGCCCAGGUCAAACCUGACUGGAGGGCCCCUUCUGUCAGUCUCUUAAUUAAAUAACAGGACUAGAUUAACACUAAUUAGCUGUCAGUGGGGCCUGGGCCCACAUGUCAGUGACUGAUUAAAAUAAAAUUAGUUAAAACUAAUCCUAGAUUAGUUAGCAGACCAGCCCCACCUAUCAUAGACUCAGGGGGGGUCUACCUGGGCCCACCCAGGGUCAAACUAGGUCAAACUCGCCGGCGUUGAGCCGCCGGCGAGGCCCGAGACGGUGGCGCAGCUCGGAAAACGCCUAUAGGGCACGAGCGAGGCCGUUCUUGGGCUCGUUGGAGAGCUCUUGCAGUCGCGCAUCUAGUGGUGGUGGUGGCGGGCCUACGGUGGCCGGAGACGACGACGGCGAGCUCCAAGGCAGCGGCCGGAGUUCGGCCAUGUGCGGGGUGUGGGCUGCGGCGUGCAAACUUGGAAACUGAGGCGCUAGCGAGGCACUACGCGAUGCGGCAAGCACGUUGCGUAGCACGGGAUGACCAAAUGGUCGCCGGAGCGGCGCCAGCGACAAGCUCGAGCAGAGACGAGCUUCGGCCAUGGUGGAACUAUGGCCUAGAGGGUGCAAACGCAUGGAAAAGAAGAGGGGAAAGGUGGCGGACCUCACGGGGAGGUCGAUGAGUAGCUCAGUGGGCUCGGGGGUGACCGGAGCGAGGCGAAUCGAUGAGCGGCGUCCGGCGGGUACCGAGGUUGAAGACGAUCCGAUGGCGGCGAUGCAGGGCCUCCGGCGAUGCGUGGGGAGGGCGAGGGCGUCACGGCGGAGCUUCUGGACAGGUCAGAGAGGCGAGGGGGUGACAGAGGGCGCGACUACGGCGGUGAGACGGCGACGGGUGCAUCGGCCAUCGCGGGAGAGGGAGAGGGGGACGUGGGGGAGAGUGAGAGAGGAUGAGAGGGGGACAUGUGGGUCGCGUGGCAUUCCCUGGACGUCUCCCGGCGUCGGCGAAAGCAGGAGGUGGCCGACGUGUGGCCGCGGGCGCCGGCCACGCGCUCCGCGUCCUUCUGGCGCGAGGAGGACGACGACGGGCAGCGCCAGUAGGCUAGGCCGAGCCCGGUGGGCUGGCCAGCACAGGUAAGGCCCAGGUGGGCUUCUCCCUCUCUUUUUUUAAUUUGUUUCUGUUUUCUAUUUAACUGUAACUGUUGGGCUUUAUUUAAAAUACUAAAAUAUUUCCAGAAAUCCUGAAAAUAAUUGUGGGCUCUGCUUGGAUUAUGUCCAACAGCAAACAUUUAUUUCCAGAAUUAUUUGAGCAUUUAAAUUAUUUAAUAGCAUUUAAAUGCCCAAAUUCAAAUACUUAUGAUUUAAAUCAAUGACCUUCUAUUGACCUAGAAAAAUUGUGCAUCAAUUUUGCCAGAGGUUCUAACCCAAGACAAAGAGGGUGAACUUUUUAGAAGGGCAUUUCAGGUUCAUUGAAAAUAAUUUUAGUAAACCCUAGUUGUUUCCAGGGGGUGUUGGGGGUUUCUCCCUUCCCCAAUUCAAAUUUAAGAGGAAUUUAAACAUGAUGGAGAUUCUAAUGCUUGAACUAGCUAGGGUGUGACAUGACUCUUUAUUUGUUAGUUUACCAUAAUCAUCCUUGCUGUACACACCUUUUGAGAGGGCCAUACAUGAUUUGGAAUUUGUUAGAAUACUCUAUGUGCUUCGCUUAUAUCUUUUGAGUUAUAUAGUUUUGCUCUAGUACUUCACUUAUAUCUUUUAGAGCACGGUGGUGGAUUUGUUUUAUAAAAACUAUUGAUCUCUCAUGCUUCACUUACAUUAUUUUGAGAUGCUUAAUAGCAUGGUAAUUUGCUUAAAAUCUUAAUAUGCUAGGUAUUCAAAGUUAGUAAAAUUUUCUUAAGAGUGUUUUGAAUACUAAGAGAAGUUUGAUGCUUGAUGAUUGUUUUGAGAUAUGGAGGUAAUAAUAUCACAGUCAUGCUAGUUGAGUAGUUGUGAAAUUGAGAAAUACUUGUGUUGAAAUUUGCACGUAUGGUAAACGUUGUGUAACAAAUUUGAAACAUGAGGCGUUAUUUGAUUGUCUUCCUUAUGAGUGGCGGUCGGGGACGAGCGAUGGUCUUUUCCUACCAAUCCAUCCCCCUAGGAGCAUGCGCGUAGUACCUAGGUUUUUGAUGACUUGUAGAUUUUUGCAAUAAGUAUGUGAGUUCUUUAUGACUAAUGUUGAGUCCAUGAAUUAUACGCACUCUGACCCUUCCAUCCUUGCUAGCCUCUUAGGUACCAUGCAUUGCCCUUUCCCACAUUGAGUGUUGGAGCAAACUUCGCCGGUGCAUCCAAACCCCGUGAUAUGAUAUGCUCUUUCACACAUAAACCUCCUUAUAUCUUCCUCAAAACAGCCACCAUACCUACCUAUUAUGGCAUUUCCAUAGCCAUUCCGACAUAUAUUGACAUGCAACUUUCCACCAUUCCGUUCAUCAUGACACAUUCAUCAUUGUCAUAUUGCUUAGCAUAAUCAUGUAGUUGACAUAGUAUUUGUGGCAAGGCCACCGUUCAUAAUUCUUUCAUACAUGUCACUAUUGGUCCAUUGCAUAUCCCAGUACACCGCCGGAGGCAUUCAUAUAGAGUCAUACUUUGUUCUAGUAUCGAGUAGAAAUUAUUGAGUUGUAAAUAAAUAGAAGUGUGAUGAUCAUCAUUAAUAGAGCAUGGUCCCAAAAAUAUAAAAAAGGAAGGGCCAAAAAAAGGCCAAAUAAAAAAAUGUAAAAAAGGGGGGCAAUGCUACUAUCCUUUUUUCCACACUUGUGAUUCAAAGUAGCACCGUAAUCUUCAUGAUAGAGAGUAUCUUGAUUUGUCAUUUUCAUCUACUAGUGGGAAUUUUUCAUUAUAGAACUUGGCCUGUAUAUUCCAACAAUGGGCCUCCUCAAGUUCCCUAGGUCUUCGUGAGCAAGCAAGUUGGAUGCACACCCACUUAGUUUCUUUUGUUGAGCUUUCAUACAUUUAUAGCUCUAGUGCAUCUGUUGCAUGGCAAUCCCUACUCCUUGCAUUAACAUCAAUCGAUGGGCAUCUCCAUAGCCCAUUGAUUAGCCUCGUUGAUGUGAGACUUUAUCCUUUUUGUCUUCUCCACAUAACUCCAGUCAUUAUAUUCUAUUCCACCCAUAGUGUUAUGUCCAUGGCAUGCAAUCAUAUAUUGCGUGAAAGUUUAUAGGUUUGAGAUCACUAAAGUAUGAAACAAUUGCUUGGCUUCUCAUCGGGGUUGUGCAUGAUGAGAGCAUUCUUGUGUGACCAAAAUGAAGCAUGAUUAAACUAUAUGAUUUUGUAGGGAUGAACUUUCUUUGGCCAUGUUAUUUUGAGAAGACAUAAUUGCUCAGUUAGUAUGCUUGAAGUAUUAUUAUUUUUAUGUCAAUAUGAACUUUUGUCUUGAAUCUUUCGGAUCUGAAUAUUCAUACCACAAUUAAGAAGAUUUACAUUAAAAUCAUGCCAACUAGCACUCUGCAUCAAAAAUUCUGUUUUUAUCAUUUACCUACUCAAGGACGAGCAGUAAUUAAGCUUGGGGAUGCUUGAUACGUCUCCAACGUAUCUAUAAUUUUUGAUUGCUCCAUGCUAUAUUAUCUACUGUUUUGGACAAUAUUGGGCUUUGUUAUCCACUUUUAUAUUAUUUUUGGGACUAACCUAUUAACCAGAGGCCCAGCCCAGAAUUGUUGUUUUUUGCCUGUUUUAGGGUUUCGAAGAAAAGGAAUAUCAAACGGAGUCCAAACGGAAUGAAACCUUCGGGNNNNNNNNNNNNNNNNNNNNNNNNNNNNNNNNNNNNNNNNNNNNNNNNNNNNNNNNNNNNNNNNNNNNNNNNNNNNNNNNNNNNNNNNNNNNNNNNNNNNNNNNNNNNNNNNNNNNNNNNNNNNNNNNNNNNNNNNNNNNNNNNNNNNNNNNNNNNNNNNNNNNNNNNNNNNNNNNNNNNNNNNNNNNNNNNNNNNNNNNNNNNNNNNNNNNNNNNNNNNNNNNNNNNNNNNNNNNNNNNNNNNNNNNNNNNNNNNNNNNNNNNNNNNNNNNNNNNNNNNNNNNNNNNNNNNNNNNNNNNNNNNNNNNNNNNNNNNNNNNNNNNNNNNNNNNNNNNNNNNNNNNNNNNNNNNNNNNNUGUUGCUCCACCGACGUACUCCUUCCUCCUAUAUAUACCUACGUAUCCCCAAACGACCAUGUACGGAGACAAAACCCUAAUUCCACCGCCGAAACUUUCUGUAUCCACGAGAUUCCAUCUUGGCGCCUGUUCCGGAGCUCCGCCGGAGGGGGCAUCGAUUAUGGAGGGCUUCUACAUCAACACCAUAGCCUCUCCGAUGAAGUGUGCGUAGUUGACCUCAGACCUACGGGUCCAUAGUUAUUACCUAGAUGGCUUCUUCUCUCUUUUUGGAUCUCAAUACAAUGUUCUUCCCCUCUCUUGUGGAGAACUAUUCGAUGUAAUCUUCUUUUUGCGGUGUGUUUGUUGAGACCGAUGAAUUGUGGGUUUAUGAUCAAGUCUAUCUAUGAAUAAUAUUUGAAUCUUCUCUGAAAUAUUUUAUGUAUGAUUGGUUAUCUUUGCAAGUCUCUUCGAAUUAUCAGUUUGGUUUGGCCUACUAGAUUGAUCUUUCUUGCAAUGGGAGAAGUGCUUAGCUUUGGGUUCAAUCUUGCGGUGUCCUUUCCCAGUGACAGUAGGGGCAGCAAGGCACGUAUUGUAUUGUUGGCAUCGAGGACAACAAGAUGGGGUUUUCAUCAUAUUUUAUGAGUCUUUCCCACUACAUCAUGUCAUCUUACUUAAGGCGUUAAUCUGUAUUUAACUUAAUACUCUAGAUGCAUGCUGGAUAGCGGUCGAUGAGUGGAGUAGUAGUAGUAGAUGCAGGCAGGAGUCGGUCUACUUGUCUUGGACGUGAUGCCUAUAUACAUGAUCAUACCUAGAUAAUCUCAUAACUAUGCUCAAUUCUGUCAAUUGCUCAAUAGUAAUUUGUUCACCCACCGUAGAAUACUUAUGCUCUCGAGAGAAGCCACUAGUGAAACUUAUGGCCCCCGGGUCUAUCUUUAUCAUAUUAAUCUCCUACUACUUAGUUAUUUCCUAUGCUUUUUUACUUUGCCUUUAUUUUACUUUGCAUCUUUAACACAAAAAUACAAAAAAAUUAUCUUUAUCAUAUCUACCAAAUCUCACUCUCGUAAGUGGCCGUGUAGGGAUUGACAACCCCUAUUCGCGUUGGUUGCGAGGAUUUAUUUGUUUUGUGCAGGUACGAGGGACUGGCGCAUAGCCUCCUACUGGAUUGAUACCUUGGUUCUCAAAACCUGAGGGAAAUACAUACACUACUUUGCUGCAUCAUCCCUCACUCUUCGGGGAAAACCAACGCAGUGCUCAAGAGGUAGCAAGGGUUCCUUUUUGUCGACGAUCUGAUGUUUCAACCUUGUUUUCCAGGCGGCCAACGCGUCGCUAAACUUGGUCAUGGCGUGUUUUUUUAUCUUCUUCAUUGCCAGGUCCUUAUCUGGAUCUUUAUUAUCCUUUUCAUUACGGUCCGGGAACAAGAAUAUCUGGUGCAGCCUCUUUAGGAGGGAGGGCCUCAUAUUAUCUAUCUUCUGUAGUUUCCCAUCGUUGAUCGUGGCAGUUGUCCAUACAAUGCAACCUAUUUGAUUGCCGUAGCACGAUCGCGCUUCCUCAGGCGCUAUUGUCUCAAAAAUACCGUCGUCCAACUCCGUGACCACCAGUCUAGUACUCAGGAGCUGGUUUGGGCGCCGUGGCCUCUUUGCUUUCGGUUCUAGACCAACUCCGCUAGUCUCGGCGCCGGUCUCAGUCUCAUCGCCGGUCUGCAUGUCGGUAUCAGUCCCCGAUGCGACAACACAGUCGCUGCAACAUGGGUAAGGGAGACCUCCGCGCGUUUGUACAUAGGCACAGGGUGAAUCCCGGUGAGAGAUGGCCAUUGGCGCAUGCAAGUAGACGACGACGUCCCCGACGAAGAGCAGCCGGCCAGCUCGCCUCACUCUCCUUUGAUUAGAAAUGAAAGAUUGGGAAGAAGCAGACUGGAGCCUGCAGGGAAAGGAUAAGGUGACGAUGCAGUCUCCACUCGUUCGGGGCGACACACGUACUGAAUGUAUGAGAAACGUGACGUGGCAGAGACCCCAAGAUACUCCCUCCAUUUAUUUUUAGUCUGCAUAUAAAGUUUGGUCAAAGUCAAGAUUUGUAAAUUUUAACUAACUUUAUAAUAAAAAAAUAUCAACAUUCACAAUAUGAAAUCAAUAUUACCAGAUGUGUCAUGAAAUGUAUUUCCAUACUAUAUAGUUUUGGUAUUGUAGAUGUUCAUAUUUUUUAUAUAAAUGGGAAGUAGAGGCACUCUUGCAUAUAAUGAAGUUUAUAAUAUAUGUGCUUAUAUUGUACUACAAUUGUUUGAAUAGCUUAGCAUAUGUUCAGAUGUAUGAUAUCUGUAAUUUAAGCGCUUGAAUUUUACAUAUAAAUAUUUAUUAAUAAAUAUGUACCCCUAUAAUAGCUAGGCCGUGCAUUUGCACGGGUAGAUGACUAGUGAUUACAAUCUUGUUUGUGUGCAAGUCAAGCUUAUCUAGUUUACACGUAACAACUUGUAGAACGUUACAAAAUUUAUGCUUGCUAAUAACUUCUAGAACACUACAACACUUGACAUGUAAAAGGAAUUUGACGAGUCAUGGCCUACUAAAGCAAGUUACAUUACUAGUCUUAUCUAUCUUAACAGACCACACAAGAUUACAAACUAAGUACCGUGACAGCCAUGCUUAUCUAGUUUAUGCGUAACAAUUUGCAGAAAAUUACAAACUUAGUUUCAGAAAAAUAGGCAAUCUAGAUUAGUGUUUGAGCUGUAAAGUGAAUAAGAUGAGUCAUGCAUGUUAUCACACCUUUUUGGUGGUGGAAUGAUAGUGCAACAACAAGGAACUUUAAUGACCAGUCCAAGAAUACACUUGUAAGUAGUGCUACCAAACAGAACAUACCAAAUGAUGAUUUUUAGAAGCAUCCAAGCACUUUCCACACAAACAAAUGCCAAUUGUGAAAGAGAUCAUUCCAUGGCAGCUAUAAAUAGCCCCAUAGCAUGACGAUCAUCCUUCCUCAUCCAUCAUUCUUAUUAGUAGAGCGCAUCAUUUAAGCCAAGCAAGCUGUGGUCAAUACAAAUCCACCAUGAAGACCUUUCUCAUCCUUGCCCUCCUUGCUAUCGUGGCGACCACCGCCACAACUGCAGUUAGAGUUCCAGUGCCACAAUUGCAGCCACAACAUCCAUCUCAGCAACAGCCACAAGAGCAAGUUCCAUUGGUACAACAACAACAAUUUCUAGGGCAGCAACAACCAUUUCCACCACAACAACCAUAUCCACAGCCGCAACCAUUUCCAUCACAACAACCAUAUCUGCAACUACAACCAUUUCCGCAGCCGCAACUACCAUAUUCGCAGCCACAACCAUUUCGACCACAACAACCAUAUCCACAACCGCAACCACAGUAUUCGCAACCACAACAACCAAUUUCACAGCAGCAGCAGCAGCAGCAACAACAACAACAACAACAACAACAACAAAUCCUUCAACAAAUUUUGCAACAACAACUGAUUCCAUGCAUGGAUGUUGUAUUGCAGCAACACAACAUAGCGCAUGGAAGAUCACAAGUUUUGCAACAAAGUACUUACCAGCUGUUACAAGAAUUGUGUUGUCAGCACCUAUGGCAGAUCCCUGAGCAGUCGCAGUGCCAGGCCAUCCACAAUGUUGUUCAUGCUAUUAUUCUGCAUCAACAACAAAAACCACAACAACAACCAUCGAGCCAGGUCUCCUUCCAACAGCCUCUGCAACAAUAUCCAUUAGGCCAGGGCUCCUUCCGGCCAUCUCAGCAAAACCCACAGGCCCGGGGCUCUGUCCAGCCUCAACAACUGCCCCAGUUCGAGGAAAUAAGGAACCUAGCGCUACAGACGCUACCCGCAAUGUGCAAUGUCUACAUCCCUCCAUAUUGCACCAUCGCGCCAUUUGGCAUCUUCGGUACUAACUGAGAAGAAAAUAACUCUAGUACUAGAUAUAUGAAACACCGUUUUCUCAGUCCAUGGUUUGGUCGUUGUAGCGGUGAAAAAAUAAUGUGACAUGCACUAUCAGGUAAGAACCCGAACUAUACUAGUUCAAACUUGGGAAUAAAAGACAAACACAGGUCUUGUCUACAUAUUUAUGUUGCAUCUAUUUAUAUAUUAAAAGUAAUAUAAGGUGAACCAGGAGCAAGGUAAAUAUGCUAGAAAAUUGCACGUUAAUUAGAAAUUACUAGCCCUCGAUCUGAUAAAUCUUAACGAACAUAUAUAAUGCUCUGGGCCUCCAACGACUGUACGUGACACAUCUGAACGAACAUAUGUUAAAGAAAAUAUAUUUGGUAAAUGGUGGGCUUCUUUAAAAAGAGAACUCACGUACAUGCACCAACUAAGAAAAACACAUACAUGUAAACGGGAAAAGGAUGAGAUUUUCUCACGUACGUGCUCCCUGGCUCCACCCCGUUGAAAAAAUAUACAUCUGGAGGCCACUUUGUUUCCUCAUCAAAAAAACUUACGUUAAAAAGAUUGCAUGCAUCCCAGGGAAAAUAGUCAAGAAGAAGUCGGACUUUUCCUUACAAAAACAAGGAACGUGUUAAGUUGACUUCAAAGAAAAAAGGAACAUGUUAAGUUAAAAAAAAACAAGAAACCUGUUAAGUUAGAAAAAAAACAAGGAACGUGUUGUCCAAGGAAAGAGGAAGAAGAAAGUUGGUUUCAGUGAGUCAUGUGAAUUGUAGAAGAAAUAGGUAAACAAGGCUAGCUCCCCUGGGGGUUGUCAUAUUACAAUCAUUUGUAUUACUUUCCUACCAAUCCUGAACUAGCUAUGACCCUUAUAGCGAGCCUCACUUUACCGUUUCAGAUAGAAACAUAUGGCAGUACUGUACGUACUCGAGAGAAGUUGCUCCCUUCCAUGACAAGGACUAGUUAAGUUUCACUAUCUCCUUUCUCAACUCACUAUAUCCCAGCGGCGGAUUAAUAUAUAUACGUUGAAAAGCAAGGGGAUAAAUUGAACGAAAUGAAGAGCAAUCCAGAAUCCUAUUUUGUAUAUGUGUCAAAUCUUACAAAAAAAAAAGAAUACACACACGUACGUUCAUGCACUUGGAAAAUAGAAAAAAAAGGAACAUCACGUAUGUAUACACUUCGGAAACUCAUUACAUGACCAUGUCUGAUAUACUCCUCUAAUGCUUCAUAUUAGUGCCUAAUAAUUUAUAUUUAAAAUUCAAUUUACUGAUCAAAUAUCCCCACUGUUUAAAUUUUAAUUUGGCACAUUGUUUGGCUAUAGUAUGAACCUAAAUUUCCUCUUAUUAUUAUAUAUCAUGGUAAUAAUCCAAAGGCGACUAAUCUGCGCCGGCGCACCGGCGCAAUCAAUUCCGCUGGACACAGCGCGGCCGUUUGAUUAGAUUGCAUUUAACCGUCAGAUCUGGAAUCGUUUUCUUUCCAAUUAAACAGAUUCAACCAAACAGCAGAGGGGAAAACAAAGCAGCGCCGCCGCCAACACUAGCCAUGGACGACCGAUGUAGCAAAACCUUGAAGAACCGCCGCCGGUCGCCACCCUCGCUGCUGGUCGCCGCCCUCGCCGUCGGUCACCGCCGGUCGCCGCCCUCGCCGCACUCGUGGUUGCAGGCUUGCAUCUCCGCCUCCGGGGGACAUGGCCGCAUGUCCGGUAGCGCCGGCCGCCGGCCGGUGCACCUGUCGUUGUGGUCGCGCUGUACCUCGCCGUGUGCCCUCCCGUGGCUCUUGCUGGUUCCAACAAAAAACGAUACCGGUUGUAGCAAAAAAAUAUCGCUUCCAGCAAAAAAGCUUACCGCUACAGCCCGCCAUCGUCAUUGUAGCAAAAAUGUUAACCCGAUGUAGCUUCUGUGGUUGCCGACUGCAGCAAAAAAUGACAUGGUUGUAGCAAAACACAAAAGAAAAACGCCGGCCGGCCUCUGUGUAUGGUGGUAACAAACCCCAUAGCCGGUGGUAGCGAAAAACUUCAUAGUGCGCAGCAAAAAAAUGUUGUCACCCGUCGUCGAGGUUGCAUCAUCUUCAUGAAUUAUGUCGCAAAAAAACGUUGUCGCCGGUAGUAGCAAAUGAAGCCGCCGGUAGUAGCAAAACAAGACACUGGUUCCAGCCAAAAAAAAUCAGCGACAGAACCUUUGGUUGGUUCCAACAAAAAAACUUGUCGGUCGUAACAUCCCUCGCCGCCGGAUGUAGCAUCUCCCGGGGCUGGUUGCAACACUCCAUAAAAAAAAGUUGUCUAUGAGCGCAUCCAUGGUGACUGCUGCACCGUCAGCAACGAGGGGAAGAGGAGGCAAUGAAAAUCGUUCGAGUCAUAGCUCCACAGGACGCGGCUGCAGCAUGGGGAGUCCAAAAAUCUGUCACAAGCAACAUGCGCCUCGCCAUCCUCCUGCGCAGGAGAGAGAAGAAAAAGGAAUAAGAGGAAGAAGAAAGAAAACGGGAGAAAGAAAAAAGAAACGAUUGGUGGUUGGCUCAGGCAAUUAGUCAAGCGAGGGGCACGCGGGGCGCAGGAUACAGCGCAAUCGAACGAAGCGCGCGCGUCCGGCGAAGACUCGGCCGGACUGCCGGCUGGAAACGUUUCCCUAAUCCAAAGGCUUUAUCUGAAUGACAACUCGUCUGGGUUACCGGCUAACUAGAAAAAAGAUAAAUAUGCUAGAGAAUUUCAUAAUAAUUAGAAAUAUCUAGCCUUUAAUUAUGUAAAUCAGAAAAUCACAACCGUUGGAUUUACUUUAAAGGUAAAUUUCUCUAAAUUCCCACCAUUGCCAGUAUGUAGAAACAUGUGCUGCUUCAAUUCUCCCAUAAUCACCAAUCAAUCAACAACACAAAACAUACCUCAGUUAAAAAAACUGAACAAAAAAAAAGAAAAAAGAAGAAAGGACAAGAUACACGCAUGUACACGACAGCCUUGGCUUGAAACACAUCAGUAGAUCAAGUGUCCGCCUCCCUUACACAGAAUAAACUCAUAGGGAAGAAAAUAAUUGUGCAACCUAACCUUAUACGUACUAUUCUAUCCUCACGUCCCAUGAGGUUUACUAGCCUACCGCCGCCGCAUCAUGCCAUCCCCUCCUUUCAGCUCCCAUGCUUUCCAGCACCCUCAUUGCCGCGCCACUACUUGCCUAGGGAUAUUGCUGCUCAGACCGUGGAGCUUAACCUGCUUCUUCUUCAGCAAAUAUGGUACUGCUUUAGGAUCCUUCUCACAUCAGCACGUAUGGGCCUCAUUAUACUGCAGCUCCUGGACCUCCUACAAUUGGUUGGCUAUGGCCAGUUGAUCGAUGUGCCGAAGUCCAGGUCUGUUUGCUGGCACAUAUGCUUUGGAAAUAGGCCACUAUGUUUGUACUUCAAAAUUGUUUCUGUAUUCUUGAGUGGUACAUCCUUUUAAGCGCCAGUUUUUUAUGUCAAUUCAUGCUGACAACACUUAACCUAGCCUUUCAUCUUCACGUACUAAAUACAGGAGCAAGUAAAAACAACAGACCACCUAAUUGCUCUGCAUGUACUACAUAGGAAAAUUUGUCAUGUUCUACGAUCGCACCAUCCCACACUUCUCUCUUGGUAUGGGCGCCAAUUGAGGGAUUGAUAAAACUGAAACGAAGACGUCACGGGGCUGGAAGUACCGCUAGCCUGGUUUGCACUGCAACCUACUCAACGCCAUCAGAAACUAGCAACUGAGGCAGUUGUUGAUCGAUUCUCUCAAAUUGCUCUCAUGUAAGUACUACCCCUUGCAUGUGCGUACAUACCUUUGUUCCAUUCUCAAACAGAUAGAACAUUUAUGAUCGGUGCAUGGCUAUUUUUCAUCACAUGACAUCCAGAUAACAAGCAUGAAAGGACUACAUUGGAGAUCAAAAAAUAUUGGUUCCUGGCUAGAGGACCACUACCUAUGGACUUGUCUCCAUAGAAUUUGUUCCCAAGAUGUUAUUUUAAUUAACCUCUUUAGCUUUCUUCCAUUGCAAACGGUGAUGUGCAUCUUGGUAUAUACGUGACCAUCUUGCACAUGUAUACACAAGAGGCUCAGACGGAGGUGCUGGAUUCUGGACGAGGGAAUAUGAAGCAGCAGUGAGCGAAGAGUAAAUAAUGGUGGGAGUACCGAUUGGUGUUAUGAAGAAAAAUGCCAUCCAAAGAUUGAUUAGUGUCAUGGAAGAUUAAUUUCUGAAUGCGAAUAUAUAUGUUACAUUGGUUUGGAUCUUUUUGAGAUAAUUGCACAUAAAUUAGGUUCUUUCUUAUUUCAUAUGUAUACCUUAUUUCAGUAAAAGUUCACAACGAACUUAGUAGGACAAAUAUAAUUUUGUUUGUUCUUUCUGUUGUCCGCCACCAAAGCUCAAUUUGAACUCUCUAGAAAUGGACAAUGAUUUAUGCAUUCUAUAUCUUCUUGAUUCAUUAGCCAUGACAAGGAAAUAAAAGGAUUGACUGAUAUAGCAUAACUUUGGAACGAUCUGUUCGUAGAGGUUACUACAAAUUAGAGUAGUGUCUGCUGGAAUUUUGCCAGUAGGUCUUUGGCCCAAAGCCCAACUAAAAUUCUGAAAUUCUCUUGGCUCAUUUAUGCACACAUGUGAGUUGAGUGAGUGAGACUAAAGUUUAGUCCCACCCCGGAGUUGAGAGAGAGUUGCACCUCUUUAUAAGGUGAGCUCUUCUACCACUUGUAUGAGCAUGAGAAGAGGAGACCUACACGCGCGCUCCUCCUCCUCGCUCGCCACGCCUCGCCGCGCCGCGCCGCGGGUUGCGGGAUUGAGCCGAGCCGAGGACGUUGUCUAUAUUUUUGCUGCUCGGGAAAAAUUAAUGAGUCAUUAAUUAAUAAUUAAUGGACGCAUUAAUUACUGAACCGUUUCCGAUUUUUUUGGAUCGUGACGAAUCGGACGCGGGGUUUACUCCCAGGACCUACCCGGCCCGCACUAUAUAGUCAGGCAGACGUCUACCCUAGCCGCCGCCGCUUCAUAUGGUUUCUCACCAUCGUUACAGAUCAUUGCGCCACCAAGCAAGUUUUCUCCAUCCCUCCUUUCGGCGUGCACCGGGAGAAGGGAUAGCAGACCUCCGGAACCCCGCCUCUCGUGAUCCUGUACGGGAGAGGGGCGAUCAGGCUUUUGGGGAGCACACUCGCACUACUGUUGGCAGCGACGACUUCGCAAACGAGGACUUCUUCCCCGACCUCGGCAACCUCAUCCUCGACGACAUGGGCGACAACGUCAACGCCGGCGGUGCUACACCCACUGCACCGUAUGUUAUUCUCUCCUUCUUGUUCGAGGUCGUGGUAGAAUUCAAAGUAUAUGUGCCCUAGAUGUGAUCUGUUCAUCUACUAUGGUAGUUCGCAUGAUUAGUUUAAUCUCUGCUAUUGCUGUCAUGAUCUAUUUCCUAUUUAUUCGGAUUAAAUCUCGUAGUAAUUUGCUCAUUUUUCCAACAAUCCAAAAACCUGAUUAAUGGAAAUUUACUCCGAGUGGUUUUGCUGCGCAUCUGAAAGCCGCUUGCCUUUAAGGGGGCGCAAUAUAAGAGGUGGCUCACAAGAGUAGUCUACUGGUUUCAGAUCAUGGGCUGCUAUGACGCCACCAAGGGCAAGCCUGAGGGCGAUCUUAAUCCAGCACAGCUGGAUGCUAUGACAACGGCAAGAACACGUGGGCUACGCUCGAGGCCAAGUUUGGUGCCUCGGACGCCGGCAGCGAGUUGUACGUCAUGGAGCAAUUCUAUGACUCCAAGAUGACUGAUGAGCGCCCUGUUGUACAGCAGGCUCAUGAGAUACAGUUGCUCGCAAAAGAACUUGAGUACUUCAUGUUGGGGAACGUAGUAAUUUCAAAAAAAUUCCUACGCACACGCAAGAUCAUGGUGAUGCAUAGCAACGAGGGGGAGAGUCUGAUCUACGUACCCUUGUAGAUCGCAACGGAAGUGUUGACACAGCGUAGAGGAAGUAGUCGUACGUCUUCUUCCCGAUCCGACCGAUCCAAGCACCGUUACUCCGGCACCUCCGAGUUCUUAGCACACGUUCAGCUCGAUGACGAUCCCCGGGCUCCGAUCCAGCAAAGCUUCGGGGAGGAGUUCCGUCAGCACGACGGCGUGGUGACGAUCUUGAUGUUCUACCGACGCAGGGCUUCACCUAAGCACUACAACGGUAUGAUCGAGGUGGAAUAUGGUGGCAGGGGGCACCGCACACGGCUAAGGAACGAUCUCAAUGAUCAACUUGUGUGUCUAGAGGUGCCCCCUGCCCCCGUAUAUAAAGGUUGCCAGGGGGAGGGCUGGCCGGCCAAGCUAUGGAGGCGCAGGAGGAGUCCUACUCCUACCGGGAGUAGGACUCCCCCCAAUCCUAUUCCUAAUAGGACUCCCAAGUGGAAAGAGAGGGAGAGAGGUGGCCGGCCACCUCUCCUAGUCCUAAUAGGACUAGGGGAGGGGGGAGGCGUGCAGCCCACCUUGGGCUGCCCCUUUCACCUUGCCACUAAGGCCCAAUAAGGCCCAUUUGGUUCCCGGGGGGUUCCGGUAACCUCCCGGUACUCCGGUAAAAUCCCGAUUUCUCCCGAAACACUUCCGAUGUCCAAACAUAGGCUUCCAAUAUAUCAAUCUUGAUGUCUCGACCAUUUCGAGACUCCUCAUGAUGUCCGCGAUCACAUCCGGGACUCCGAACAACCUUCGGUACAUCAAAAUGCAUAAACUCAUAAUAACUGUCAUCGUAACGUUAAGCGUGCGGACCCUACGGUUCGAGAACAAUGUAGACAUGACCGAGACACGUCUCCGGUCAAUAACCAAUAGCGGGACCUGGAUGCCCAUAUUGGCUCCUACAUAUUCUACGAAGAUCUUUAUCGGUCAGACCGCAUAACAACAUACGUUGUUCCCUUUGUCAUCGGUAUGUUACUUGCCCGAGAUUCGAUCAUCGGUAUCCAAUACCUAGUUCAAUCUCGUUACCGGCAAGUCUCUUUACUCGUUCUGUAAUACAUCAUCCCGCAACUAACUCAUUAGUUGCAAUGCUUGCAAGGGUUGUAUAAUGUGCAUUACCGAGAGGGCCCAGAGGUACCUCUCCGACAAUCGGAGUGACAAAUCCUAUUCUCGAAAUACGCCAACCCAACAUCUACCAUUGGAAACACCUGUAGUACUCCUUUAUAAUCACCCAGUUACGUUGUGACGUUUGGUAGCACCCAAAGUGUUCCUCCGGCAAACGGGAGUUGCAUAAUCUCAUAGUCAUAGGAACAUGUAUAAGUCAUGAAGAAAGCAAUAGCAACAUACUAAACGAUCGGGUGCUAAGCUAAAGGAAUGGGUCAUGUCAAUCAGAUCAUUCAUCUAAUGAUGUGAUCCCAUUAAUCAAAUAACAACUCUUUGUCCAUGGUUCGGAAACAUAACCAUCUUUGAUUAACGAGCUAGUCAAGUAGAGGCAUACUAGUGACACUCUGUUUGUCUAUGUAUUCACACAUGUAUUAUGUUUCCGGUUAAUACAAUUCUAGCAUGAAUAAUAAAUAUUUAUCAUGAUAUAAGGAAAUAAAUAAUAACUUUAUUAUUGCCUCUAGGGCAUAUUUCCUUCAGUCUCCCACUUGCACUAGAGUCAAUAAUCUAGAUCACAUCACCAUGUGAUUAACAUCGAUAGUUCACAUCAUCAUGUGAUUAACACCCAUAGUUCACAUCGCCAUGUGACCAACACCCAAAGGGUUUACUAGAUUCAGUAAUCUAGUUCACAUUGCUAUGUGAUUAACACCCAAAGAGUACUAAGGUGUGAUCAUGUUUUGCUUGUGAGAGAAUCUUAGUCAACGGGUCUGCCACAUUCAGAUCCACAUGUAUUUUGCAAAUUUCUAUGUCAACAAUGCUCUGCAUGGAGCUACUUUAGCUAAUUGCUCCCACUUUCAAUAUGUAUCUAGACCGAGACUUAGAGUCAUCUAGAUUAGUGUCAAAACUUGCAUCGGCGUAACCCUUUACGACGAAUCUUUUUAUCACGUCCAUAAUCGAGAAACAUAUCCUUAUUUCACUAAGGAUAAUUCUGACCGAUGUCCAGUGAUCUACUCCUAGAUCACUAUUGUACUCCCUUGCCAAAUCAGUGCCGGGUAUACAAUAGAUUUGGUAUACAGCAUGUCAUACUUUAUAGAACCUAUGGCCAAGGCAUAGGGAAUGACUUUCAUUCUCUUUCUAUCUUCUGCCGUGGUUGGGCUUUGAGUCUUACUCAACUUCACACCUUAUAAUACAGGCAAGAACUCUUUCUUUGACUGCUCCAUUUUGAACUACUUCAAAAUCUUGUCAAGGUAUGUACUCAUUGAAAAAACUUAUCAAGCGUCUUGAUCUAUCUCUAUAGAUCUUGAAGCUCAAUAUGUAAGCAGCUUCACCGAAGUCUUUCUUUGAAAAACUCCUUUCAAACACUCCUUUAUGCUUUAUAGAAUAAUUCUACAUUAUUUCCGAUUAACAAUAUGUCAUUCACAUAUACUUAUCAGAAAUGUUGUAGUGCUACCACUCACUUUCUUGUAAAUACAGGCUUCACCGCAAGUCUGUAUAAAACUAUAUGCUUUGAUCAACUCAUCAAAGCAUAUAUUCCAACUCCGAGAUGCUUGCACCAGUCCACAGAUGGAUCGCUGGAGCUUGCACAUUUUGUUAGCACCUUUCGGAUUGACAAAACCUUCUGUUGCAUCAUGUACAACUCUUCUUUAAUAAAUCCAUUAAGGAAUGCAGUUUUGUUUAUCCCUUUGCCAGAUUUCAUAAAAUGCGGCAAUUACUAACAUGAUUCGGACAGACUCAAGCAUAGAUACGAGUGAGAAGCUCUCAUCGUAGUCAUCACCUUGAACUUGUCGAAAAACUUUUGCGACAAUUCUAGCUUUGUAGAUAGUAACACUACUAUCAGCGUCCGUCUUCCUCUUGAAGAUCCAUUUAUUCUCAAUUGCUUGCCGAUCAUCGGGCAAGUCAACCAAAGUCCAAACUUUGUUCUCAUACAUGGAUCAUAUCUCAGAUUUCAUGGCCUCAAACCAUUUCGCGGAAUCUGGGCUCAUCAUCGCUUCCUCAUAGUUCGUAGGUUCGUCAUGGUCAAGUAACAUGACCUCCAGAACAGAAUUACCGUACCACUCUGGUGCGGAUCUCACUCUAGUUUACCUACGAGAUUCCGUAGUAACUUGAUCUGAAGUUACAUGAUCAUCAUCAUUAGCUUCCUCACUAAUUUGUGUAGUAGUCACAAGAACAGAUUUUUGUGAUGAACUACUUUCCAAUAAGGUAGAAGGUACAAUUACCUUAUCAAGUUUUCUACUUUCCUCCCACUUACUUCUUUCAAGAGAAACUCCUUCUCUAGAAAGGAUCCAUUAUAAGCAACGAAUGUCUUGCCUUAGGAUCUGUGAUAGAAGGUGUACCCAACAGUCUCCUUUGGGUAUCCUAUGAAGACAUAUUUCUCCGAUUUGGGUUUGAGCUUAUCAGGAUGAAACUUUUUCUCAUAAGCAUCGCAACCCCAAACUUCAAGAAACGACAACUUUGGUUUCGUGCCAAACCAUAGUUCAUAAGGCGUCGUCUCGACGGAUAUAGAUGGUGCCCCUUUUUUUAACGUGAAUGCAGCUGUCUCUAAUGCAUGACCCCAAAAACGAUAGUGGUAAAUCGGUAAGAAACAUCAUAGAUUGCACUAUAUCCAAUAAAGUACGGUUAUGGCGUUCGGACACACCAUUAUGCUGUGGUGUUCCAGGUGGCGUGAGUAGUGAAACUAUUUCACAUUGUUUUAACUGAAGACCAAACUUGUAACUGAAAUACUCUUUUCCACGAUCAGAUCGUAGAAACUUUAUUUUCUUGUUACGAUGAUUUUCCACUUCACUCUGAAAUUCUUUGAACUUUUCAAAUGUUUCCGACUUAUGUUUUAUCAAAUAGAUAUACUCAUAUCUGCUCAAAUCAUCUGUGAAGAUCAGAAAAUAAUGAUACCUAUCGCGAGCCUCAAUAUUCAUCGGACCACAUACAUCAGUAUGUAUGAUUUCCAACAAAUCUGUUGCUCGCUCCAUUGUUCAGAAGAACAAAGUCUUAGUCAUCUUGCCCAAAAGGCAUGGUUCGCAAGCAUCAAGUGAUUCCGAAAGCCCAUCAGCAUGGAGCGCUUUAUACCAAUAUGACCUAAACGGCAGUGCCACAAAUAAGUUGCACUAUCAUUAUUAACUCUGCAUCCUUUGGUUUCAAUAUUAUGAAUAUGUGUAUCACUACGAUCGAGAUCCAACGAACUUGUUUCAUUGGGUGUAUGACCAUCGAAGGUUUUAUUCAUGUAAACAGAACAACAAUUAUUCUCUGACUUUAAUGAAUAACCGUAUUGCAAUAAAUAUGAUCAAAUCAUAUUCAUGCUCAACGCAAAAACCAAAUAACACUUAUUUAAGUUCAACACUAAUCCCGAAAGUAUAGGGGAGUGUGCGAUGAUGAUCAUAUCAAUCUUGGAACUACUUCCAACACACAUCGUCACUUCACCCUUAACUAGUCUCUAUUUAUUCUGCAACUCCUGUUUUGAGUUACUACUCUUAGCAACUGAACCAAUAUCAAAUACUAAGGGGUUGCUAUAAACACUAGUAAAGCACACAUCAAUAACAUGUAUAUCAAAUAUACUUUUGUUCACUUUGCCAUCCUUCUUAUCCGCCAAUCACUUGGGGUAGUUCCGCUUCUAGUGACCAGUCCCUUUGCAGUAGAAGCACUUAGUCUCAGGCUUAGGAUCAGACUUGGGCCUCUUCACUUGAGCAGCAACUUGCUUGCCGUUCUUCUUGAAGUUCCCCUUCUUCCCUUUGCCCUUUUCUUGAAACUAGUGGUCUUGUCAACCAUCAACACUUGAUGUUUUUCUUGAUUUCUACCUUCGUUUAUUUCAGCAUCACGAAGAGCUUGGGAGUUGUUUCUGUUAUCCCUUGCAUAUUAUAGUUCAUCACGAAGUUCUACUAACUUGGUGAUGGUGACUAGAGAAUUCUGUCAAUCACUAUCUUAUCUGGAAGAUUAACUCCCACUUGAUUCAAGCGAUUUUAGUACCCAGACAAUCUGAGCACAUGCUCACUAGUUGAGCGAUUCUCCUCCAUCUUUUAGCCAUAGAACUUGCUGGAAACUUCAUAUCUCUCAACUCGGGUAUUUGCUUGAAAUAUUAACUUCAACUCUUGGAACAUCUCAUAUGGUCUAUGACGUUCAAAACGUCUUUGAAGUCCCGAUUCUAAGCCAUUAAGCAUGGUGCACUAAACUAUCAAGUAGUCAUCAUAUUGAGCUAGCCAAACGUUCAUAACGUCUGCAUCUGCUCCUGCAAUAGGUUUGUCACCUAGCGGUGCAUCAAGGACAUAAUUCUUCUGUGCAGCAAUGAGGAUAAAACUCAGAUCACGGAUCCAAUCCGCAUCAUUGCUACUAACAUCUUUCAACACAAUUUUCUCUAGGAACAUAUCAAAAUAAACACAGGGAAGCAACAACGCGAGCUAUUGAUCUAUAACAUGAUUUACAAAAUACUACCAGGACUAAGUUCAUGAUAAAUUUAAGCUCAAUUAAUCAUGUUACUUAAGAACUCCCACUUAGAUAGACAUCCCUCUAAUCCUCUAAGUGAUCACGUGAUCCAAAUCAACUAAACCAUAACCGAUCAUCACGUGAAAUGGAUUAGUUUUCAAUGGUGAACAUCAUUAUGUUGAUGAUAUCUACUAUAUGAUUCACGCUCGACCUUUCGGUCUCCGUGUUCCGAGGCCAUAUCUUUAUAUGCUAGGCUCGUCAAGUUUAACCUGAGUAUUCUGCGUGUGCAAAACUGGCUUGCACCAGUUGUAGAUGGACGUAGAGCUUAUCACACCCGAUCAUCACGUGGUGUCUGGGCACGACGAACUUUGGCAACGGUGCAUACUCAGGGAGAACACUUCUUGAUAAUUUAGUGAGAGAUCAUCUUAUAAUGCUACCGUCAAUCAAAGCAAGAUAAGAUGCAUAAAAAGAUAAACAUCACAUGCAAUCAAUAUAAGUGAUAUGAUAUGGCCAUCAUCAUCUUGUGCUUGUGAUCUCCAUCUCCGAAGCACCGUCAUGAUCACCAUCGUCACCGGCGCGACACCUUGAUCUCCAUCGUAGCAUCGUUGUCGUCUCGCCAAUCUUAUGCUUCCACGACUAUCGCUACCGCUUAGUGAUAAAGUAAAGCAUUACAUCGCGAUUGCAUUGCAUACAAUAAAGCGACAACCAUAUGGCUCCUGCCAGUUGCCGAUAACUCGGUUACAAAACAUGAUCAUCUCAUACAAUAAAAUUUAGCAUCAUGCCUUGACCAUAUCACAUCACAACAUGCCCUGCAAAAACAAGUUAGACGUCCUCUACUUUGUUGUUGCAAGUUUUACGUGGCUGCUACGGGCUUAAGCAAGAACUCAUCUCACCUACGCAUCAAAACCACAACGAUAGUUUGUCAAAUAGAUUCCGUUUUAACCUUCUCAAGGACCGGGCGUAGCCACACUUGGUUCAACUAAAGUUGGAGAGACAGUCGCCCGCAAGCCAUCUAUGUGCAAAGCACGUCGAGGGAACCGGUCUCGCGUAAGCGUACGCGUAAGGUUGGUCCGGGUCGUCUCGUCCAACAAUACCGCCGAACCAAAGUAUGACAUGCUGGUAGGCAGUAUGACUUGUAUCGCCCACAACUCACUUGUGUUCUACUCGUGCAAAUAAUAUCAAACCAUAAAACCUAGGCUCGGAUGCCACUGUUGGGGAACGUAGUAAUUUCAAAAAAUUUCCUACGCACACGCAAGAUCAUGGUGAUGCAUAGCAACGAGGGGGAGAGUCUGAUCUACGUACCCUUGUAGAUCGCAACGGAAGCGUUGACACAACGUAGAGGAAGUAGUCGUACGUCUUCUUCCCGAUCCGACCGAUCCAUGCACCGUUACUCCGGCACCUCUGAGUUCUUAGCACACGUUCAGCUCGAUGACGAUCCCCGGGCUCCGAUCCAGCAAAGCUUCGGGGAGGAGUUCCGUCAGCAUGACAGCGUGGUGACGAUCUUGAUGUUCUACCGACGCAGGGCUUCGGCUAAGCACUACAACGGUAUGGUCGAGGUGGAAUAUGGUGGCAGGGGGCACUGGACACGGCUAAGGAACGAUCUCAAUGAUCAACUUGUGUGUCUAGAGGUGCCCCUACCCUCGUAUAUAAAGGUUGCCAGGGGAGGGCUGGCCGGCCAAGCUAUGGAGGCGCAGGAGGAGUCAAACUCCUACCGGGAGUAGGACUCCCCCCCCCCAAUCUUAUUCCUAAUAGGACUCCCAAGGGGAAAGAGAGGGAGAGAGGUGGCCGGCCACCUCUCCUAGUCCUAAUAGGACUAGGGGAGGGGGGAGGCGCGCAGGCCACCUUGGGCUGCCCCUUUCACCUUUCCACUAAGGCCCAAUAAGGCCCAUUUGGUUCCCGGGGGUUCCGGUAACCUCCCGGUACUCCGGUAAAAUCCCGAUUUCUCCCGGAACACUUCCGAUGUCCAAACAUAGGCUUCCAAUAUAUCAAUCUUUAUGUAUCGACCAUUUCGAGACUCCCCGUCAUGUCCAGGAUCACAUCCGGGACUCCGAACAACCUUCGGUACAUCAAAAUGCAUAAACUCAUAAUAACUGUCAUCGUAACGUUAAGCGUGCGGACCCUACGGUUCGAGAACAAUGUAGACAUGACCGAGACACGUCUCCGGUCAAUAACCAAUAGCGGGACCUAGAUGCCCAUAUUGGCUCCUACAUAUUCUACGAAGAUCUUUAUCGGUCAGACCGCAUAACAACAUACGUUGUUCCCUUUGUCAUCGGUAUGUUACUUGCCUGAGAUUCGAUCGUCGGUAUCCAAUACCUAGUUCAAUCUCGUUACCGGCAAGUCUCUUUACUCAUUCUGUAAUACAUCAUCUCGCAACUAACUCAUUAGUUGCAAUGCUUGCAAGGCUUGUAUAAUGUGCAUUACCGAGAGGGCCCAGAGGUACCUCUCCGACAAUCGGAGUGACAAAUCCUAUUCUCGAAAUACGCCAACCCAACAUCUACCAUUGGAAACACCUGUAGUACUCCUUUAUAAUCACCCAGUUACAUUGUGAUGUUUGGUAGCACCCAAAGUGUUCCUCCGGCAAACGGGAGUUGCAUAAUCUCAUAGUCAUAGGAACAUGUAUAAGUCAUGAAGAAAGCAAUAGCAACAUACUAAACGAUCGGGUGCUAAGCUAAUGGAAUGGGUCAUGUCAAUCAGAUCAUUCAUCUAAUGAUGUGAUCCCAUUAAUCAAAUAACAACACUUUGUCCAUGGUUAGGAAACAUAACCAUCUUUGAUUAACGAGCUAGUCAAGUAGAGGCAUACUAGUGACACUCUGUUUGUCUAUGUAUUCACACAUGUAUUAUGUUUCUGGUUAAUACAAUUCUAGCAUGAAUAAUAAAUAUUUAUCAUGAUAUAAGGAAAUAAAUAAUAACUUUAUUAUUGCCUGUAGGGCAUAUUUCCUUCACUUCAAGUGUGUGUUGCCGAACAAAUUUGUUGCCGGAGGCAUCAUUGCCAAGCUUCCACCUUCGUGGAACAAUUUUGCUACUUCCCUGAAACACAAGAGACAGGAGUUUUUCGUUGCGGAUCUCAUUGGUACUCUUGAUGUUGAAGAGAAGGCGAGAGCAAAGGAUACACGUGCUCGAGUUGCUGAGGGAGGUUCUAGUGCCCACAUGGUACAGAAGAAGAUCUUCCAGCCCAACAAGUUCAAAAACAACAAGAACAAAACUUAGGGCAAAGGCAAGUUUGAUACAAAGAACAAGCCAUCACAUUCUACCAACUUCAAGAAGAACUCUCAUAAGAAGGGGAAGGGACUUUGCCAUGUCUGCGGUGAUCCUAAUCACUGGGCUCCGAAGUGUCCUAACCGCUUUGAGGAGCGCGAACAUGAGAAGAGCGGCAAGUCUGCUAAUGUUGUCAUCGGUGAUACUGAUAUGAAGGAAUCAGGGUACGGUAUUUUUCCUACCAUCCUUUCAGUAUUCCAAAUCCCUGAUUGGUUAAUUGACAUCGGUGCCAAUGUACAUGUUUGUGCUGAUGCCUCCAUGUUUUCUUCUUACCAGGCCACUUGGACUUCUCCUGUGCUGAUGGGGAACGGGUCACAUGCCAUCGUUCGAGGUGUUGGUGCGGUCAAUCUGAAGUUUACUUCGGGGAAGACCGUGCGUCUGAAGAACGUUCAUCAUGAGCCGUCCAUCAAUAAAAAUCUCGUUAGCGGUUCCCGUUUAUGUCGAGAUGGUUUUAAGUUGGUUUUCGAAUCCAAUAAAGUUAUAAUUUCUAAGUAUGGACAAUUUGUUGGAAAAGGCUAUGAGAGCGGAGGCUUGUUUCGCCUGUCUUUGUCAGAUAUUUGCACUAAAGUUAUUAAUAAUGUUUGCCACAACAAUGAGUCUGAUAUUUGGCAUUCACGACUUUGUCACAUUAACUUUGGUUGCAUGACCCGGCUAGCCAAUAUGAAUUUAAUUCCGAAAUCUCUACUGUCAAAGGCUCUAAGUGCCAAGUAUGUGUGAAAGCUAAGCAACCUCGCAAAUCCCAUAAGACUGCAGAGGCGACAGACUUGGCGCCACUAGAGCUUAUACAUUCUGAUAUUUGUGAGAUGAAUGGCGUGUGGACAAAAGGUGGAAAGAGAUACUUCAUGACGUUGAUUGAUGACUCCACUAGAUAUUGUUAUGUGUAUCUUAUGAAAUCAAAAGAUGAGGCUUUGGCUUUCUUCAAAAACUAUAAAGCUGAGGCAGAGAACCAACUUGAUCGAAAAAUUAAACGGCUUAGGUCCGAUCAUGGUGGAGAGUAUUUUUCCAAUGAAUUUGAUCUAUUUUGUGCGGAACAUGGUAUAAUCCAUGAGAGGAUGCCUCCCUACUCACCCCAGUCAGAUGCGGUAGCCGAAAGAAAGAACCAAACUCUAACUGAUAUGGUUAACACCAUGUUAGACACUUCGGGUCUAUCCAAGGAAUGGUGGGGGGAGGCGCUAAUGACUGCGUGUCAUGUCCUAAACCGAGUUCCCACAAAGCAUAAGACCAUGACUCCAUUUGAGGAAUGUUAAAGGAAAAGGUUGAAACUCUCUUACCUACGUACUUGGGGUUGUUUGGCGAAAGUCAAUAUACCAAUUCCCAAGAAGCGCAAGCUUGGACCAAAAACCGUGGGUUGUGUUCUUCUUGGGUAUGCUUUUCAUAGCAUCGGCUAUAGAUUUUUGAUAAUAAAAUCUGAGGUAUCCGACAUGCAUGUUGGUACGAUUAUGGAGUCGAAUGAUGCAACUUUCUUUGAGGACAUAUUUCCUAUGAAGGAUAUGUUGAGUUCAUCAAAUCAGGAGACACCUACUCCACCUAGUGAGGAAUUCACUGUAAUUCCUGAACCCACCAUUGCGAUGGAACACAUAGAGAAUCCUGUUGAGGGUGACAAUGGAACUCCUGUGAGGAGUAAGAGACAUAGGACUACAAAGUCCUUUGGUGAUGAUUUCAUUGUGUACCUCGUGGAUGACACACCCAGGACUAUUUCAGAAGCCUGUGCAUCUCUUGAUGCUGACUACUGGAAGGAAGCUGUACAUAGCGAGAUGGAUUCCAUCUUAGGUAACAGAACCUGGGAGAUCACUGACCGUCCUUAUGGGUGAAAACCUGUAGGAUGUAAGUGGGUGUUCAAGAAGAAGCUUAGACCUGAUGGUACGAUUGAAAAGUACAAGGCACGGCUUGUGGCCAAGGGUUAUACCCAGAAAGAAGGUGAAGACUUCUUUGAUACUUACUCACCCGUGGCUAGAAUGACCACAAUUUGGGUGCUACUAUCACUUGUUGCCUCACAUGGUCUUCUCGUUCAUCAAAUGGACGUUAAGACAGCUUUCCUCAAUGGAGAGUUGAAGGAGGAAAUUUACAUGGAUCAGCCAGAUGGUUUUGUAGUACCUGGUUAGUAAGGAAAGUUGUGCAAGUUAUUAAAGUCUUUAUAUGGCCUUAAACAAGCUCCUAAAGAGUGGCAUGAGUAGUUUGAAAGAACAUUAACUGCUGCCGGCUUUGUAGUAAACGAUGGUGACAAGUGCGUGUACUAUCGCUAUGGUGGUGGCGAAGGAGUUAUUCUUUGUCUGUAUGUCGACGACAUAUUGAUCUUUGGAACGAAACUUGAUUUAAUCAAGGAGGUUAAGGAUUUCUUAUCUCGCUAUUUUGAGAUGAAGGAUCUAGGAGUAGUUGAUGUUAUCUUAAACAUCAAGCUGUUGAGAGAUGAGAAUGAUGGGAUCACACUGCUUCAGUCUCACUAUGUGGAAAAGGUCUUGAGUCGUUUUGGGUAUAGCGACUGCACACCUUCUCCAACUACAUAUGAUGCUAGCAUGUUGCAUCGAAAGAAUCGACGGAUUGCUAGAGAUCAACUGAGGUAUUCUCAUAUUAUUGGCUCGCUUAUGAUUUGGCGAGUGCCACGAGGCCAAACAUCUCGUUUGCUGUUAGCAAGCUGAGUCGAUUUGUGUCAAAACUAGGAGAUGAUUAUUGGCAUGCGCUUGAGAGAGUUAUGCGCUAUUUGAAAGGCACCGCGAGCUAUGGGAUUCACUACACCGGGUAUCCAAGGGUACUGGAGGGUUAUAGUGACUCAAACUGGAUAUCUGAUGCUAAUGAGAUUAAGGCCACAAGUGGUUAUGUUUUUACACUUGGUGGUGGCGCUGUUUCUUGGAAGUCCUGCAAGCAGACCAUCUUAAUGAGGUCAACUAUGGAAGCAGAACUCACAACAUUAGAAACUGCUACUGUUGAAGCAGUGUGGCUUCGUGAGCUCUUGAUGGACUUUCCUAUGGUUGAAAAACCAAUACCCCCUAUCCCAAUGAACUGUGAUAAUCAAACUGUGAUCGUCAAGAUAAACAGUUCUAAGGACAAUAUGAAGUCCUCAAGGCAUGUGAAGAGGAGACUGAAAUCUGUUAGAAAAUUGAGGAACUCCGGAGUUAUUACGUUGGAUUAUAUCCAAACGUCAAAAAAAUUGGCAGAUCCCUUCACAAAGGGUCUAUCACGUAAUGUGAUAGAUAAUGCAUCGAUGGAGAUGGGUUUGAGACCCACCGCAUGAGUUGUCCAUAGUGGUAACCCACUCUUUGUGAUCGGAGAUCCCGUGAAGUAGAAGUGGGAGACAAGCUGUUGGUCAGCUGGGAGGAGAGUAUCCCUAUAUUACCUGUCCCACUCCAUGAAGAUGCAACACUCUCCUAAUCUGCAUGGCAGGUUGAUACUUAUCUUAAUGUGUUCCAAGUGGCUUAUUCGGGUAAGCAGAGAUGUUGUCCUGCGGAACAUCUUCUGAGGAACACACCUAUAUGAAUUUGAUUGUUAACGUCGCAGUCUGUGAGAAUUGGGUGUUCUCUAAUAAAUUCAUGAAAAGGCCCUGGAGUAUGACGUAUAAGCUCCACCCGCAGGGAAGCCUUGCGGCAGCCCAGUAUCGGUCAAGAAUUUGUGUGAAACUAGUCUCGCAGAAAAUUUGUAGUUCAAGGCAUAGUCCACUAUUCAAGUUGUGAUCUAGUGUAGCAUAAAUCUCUAAGUGGAAGUUCAACUUCAAAGUCUCCACUAAGCCCCGGUAUAUAAACAAUGUUUUGGAACUAAAUGAUGAGAUGUGCCAAUGAGACUUUGUGGGGGAUUGUUGGAAUUUUGCUAGUAUGCCUUUGGCCCAAAGCCCAACUAAAAUUCUGAAAUUCUCUUCGCCCAUUCAUGCACACAUGUGAGUGGAGUGAGUGAGACUAAAGUUUAGUCCCACCCCGGAAGUUGAGAGAGAGCACCUCUUUAUAAGGUGAGCUCUUCUACCACUUGUAUGAGCAUGAGAGUAGGAGACCUACACACGCGCUGCUCCUCCUCGCUCACCACGCCACGCCUGGUCACGACGCGCCGCGGGUUGCGGGAUUGAGCCGAGCCGAGGUCAGAGCUAUGCACGUUGUCUAUUUUUUGCUACCCCGGAAAAUUAAUGAGUCAUUAAUUAAUAAUUAAUGGACGUGUUAAUUACUAAACCGUUUCCGAUUCUUUUGGAUCAUGACGACUCGGACGUGGGGUUUACUCCCACGACCUACCAGGCCCGCACUAUAUAGUCCGGCAGACGUGUACCCUAGCUGUCGCCGCUUCGUAUGGUUUCUCACCACCGUUCCAGAUCAUUGCGUCGCCAAGCAAGUCUUCUCCAUCCCUCCUUUCGGCGUGCACCGGGAGAAGGGACAGCAGGCCUCCGGAACCCCGCCUCUCGUGAUCCUGUAUGGGAGAGGGGCGAUCAGGUUUUUGGGGAGCGCACUCGCGCGACUUCUGGCAGCGACGACUUCGCGAAUGACGACUUCUUCCCUGACCUCGGCAACCUCAUCCUCGACGACAUGGGCGACAACGUCAACGCCGGCGGUCCUGCACCCGCUGCACCGUAUGUUAUUCUAUCCUUCUUGUUCGAGAUCGUGGUAGAAUUCAGGUUUCUAGUAUAUGCCCUAGAUGUGAUCUGUUCAUCUACUAUGCUAGUUCGCAUGAUUAGUUUAAUCUCUGCUAUUGCUGUCAUGAUCUAUUUCCUAUUUAUUCGGAUUAAAUCUCGUAGUAAUUUGCUCAUUUUUCCAAUAGUACCAUCUAAUAGAUGAUGUAAAUCUCCUCUAGUUUGACGUUGUUGAGCUAAUUUACAAAAAAAAAACCUCAUCAUUAUUGGACGUCCUUAACAGCUCAAGAACAAGUUGGGGUCGAACUAAUGGAUUUUACACUUUUACAUUAAAGGUUUAGCUAAAGCUAGCAGGUGUUUUUAAACCUGAAUUUUUUUUUCCUCCUGAAUUUCUUUGUAUUUUCUUAUUGACACUAUUUAUACAAUCAUCUGACAAAGAUUAGCUAAAGAUGUUUGUAGAUACGUUGAAACCUGAAAAGCUUCUUUGGUUAUCCUUUUAAUAGUUCUACGUUUAAUUUCUCAUAGGUCAUAAUUCUUAUGUAAUACCAAGAUGCAUUGUGGUAGUGUACAUGUGUUCAAUUCAGGUUGUUAUUCACAAUUUGCGACAAAAUUUAGCUCACGCUACAUUUAAAUAUGUUGAAAUGUGAAUGCUCUUUUUCUUCUCCUUUCUACACCUUGCAUCGGAUUGCAUCCCUUUAGUUAUCCAACAUUUUGUACAACAUGUAGAGAUUAGGAAGUUCAUCAUAGUUUGUCUAUUUCCGUGCUAAUAAAUGUAUGAAAUCUGCAUUUCCAAGCUACUAGGACAAGUAAAAAAUAAUAAUUUUACUAUAGGAUUCAAAAACAGCAGUUCUGAAGUGCACUUUAUUUAUUUUUGAAAGUGAUCACAUUUUGUUUCAUUUUUCUAUAGACAAAUCUACUAAUACAUACUCACGAUAAAACUAUAAAAAUUCUAGUCCGCACAUUGGGCGGGCCACCCGGCUAGUUAGUCUAAAGAUAACAAAAUGAGUCUGGAAUUUGAAUUAAAUUGAAGUAUUUUCUUGGACUUUCAAAUUAAGUUUUAUUAAAGUAGUAAGGACUAUCCACAUCCUUGGCUUGCCCCUGAUCAAUUAUUUCCAGAGAAGCAUUCGAUUCAUCAAUCAAUUACAUUGAUUUUAGUGGCUGGUACUUCUCCUCAACAUCAGUAUAUUCACCGUGGCCACUCCAAAUCGGCAAGAAUGAGGUACCAGUGCUCUGCAGCAGUGCAAGCUAAUUGCUUCUCAUGUGAAGGGGUGCGGGCGCAGGAGAGGUAUUUCUGGUGGGCCAAGGGACUAAGAAGCGACUGUGGCAGCGGUAUAGAUGCCCGCAAAGCCCCAUAGUUUGUUUUUCGUUUACAGGAAAAAUGCACAUCCAUACCAACCUUGGGAAUAUAGGACCGUAUUGGAUGGAAAACCAUGUCCGGAUGGUUGCGAGCGGUUUGAGGGUUAGCUUUUGUAACGCCCGGUUAGUUAUGCUAUAGCAAUUCCCUGCUAAUGAUGUCACGUCACCACGAUUACUAUUGUUAACCUCACAAUGAUUCAAUCCCCUUCAAAUUCAAAUUUAAAAUAAAGGUAAACAUCAAAAGUUUUCAAACAUUAAAACUAAAAUCUUUGAGAGGUGACAAAUAAUGCAUAAGUAAUUAUGGUGGAGAAACCACACUUUAAUCAAAUGUUUAAAUACUCUAAAAUGAAAAAAACAGUUGCUUAAACUAUUAUUUAAAUGCUUUUAAAAUAGUAAAAAUCUUCUAACUAAAUUAUUUGGGUACCAAACUUUUGGUGGCAGUGGUAUAUUUAGUAGAAUUAAUUUAGAUGCUAAUUAUAUAAUUUACAAAAUUAGAGUAAAUUGAAAAAUAGGAUAAAACGGAAAAGGAAAGACAAAACAAAUAAAAGCAAAAGGGGCCAACCCCUCGCUGGGCCUCGACCUAGCUGCCACUAGGCUAGCUAGGCUGGCCCCGGCGCCUCCCUUAACCCCCCCCCCCACUCCCCAUCGAACCCAAGCCCGAUCGCCCCACUUCCCCCACACCCCCUCGCCAGCCUCCCCACCUCUUGAUCCCAUCUGGAUCGGGGAGGGUAUUGCCCCCAUCGACCCCGUUGCCGUCGCCGGAUUGCCCGCCGAUGUCGCCAGGCCUCCUCCCCGCCGCCCGUCUCCGGCUCGCCUCCCCUCUCGCUCCUCUUCCCCGACCCGAUCUAGAUCGUGAACGAGCAAUGAGCUCGAAGCCCCCUUCACCGGCGCCAUCACCGUGCGCCACCACCACCGCCUGAGGACCUCACCGUCGCCGAAUCUAGCGUCGCCUCCUCGUAUCCCUCCCCUACUCGCGUCCUCAAGCCAGGACGAGCCCCUUCUCGGCAACGCUGUGAGACGCCCCCGUUUCCCUCCUCUUUCCACCGCGUUCAUCGCGCCGCCCGCCGUGCCCCUCGCCGUGCGCACGCCCACCACCGCACCAGCCCCCGCUCCGCGCACGACCCUACCCGCGCCCGCGCCAUGAUCCCCUUUUCCGCCCUACCUUCCUGCGCUCGCCGCGGUCCCGAUGCUCCCCCGCGCCCUCUUUCGGGGGCGCCGACCUCCCCUGUCCCGCUGCUCGGCGCCGUGCCUCGCAAUCGCUCUACUGCUAAGUUACUACUGCGCUGCGGCCGUCGCCUCUUCCUUCUGCUCCGCUAGCGCCGAAGCUCCCGAUUGGCUCCACCACUUCUCACGUUAAACCGCCGGCCUAAAUGGCCUAACCCCGGGCUAAUGAACCCCCACUAACCCACUGACACCGGGACCCACAUUCCCUAAUUAACCAUUUAAUAAAUUAAAACUCUUAAAUUAACAUUAGUGUAUGACAUGUGCGUCCCCUAUUAAUUAAUAAUUUUACUGCUAGUUUUCUUAGUUUCUGUUUUUCUGCAUAUUUCUUUUGUAUUUGAACAGGCUUUAUACAAUAAUAUUUAGCGUCUCAUACACAUACAAAUGUAAUUAUAGCAUAUACAUACAAAUAGUCUCAUCAAAUCAUGUGAUCAUCAUAAUCAUCAUCCAUCACAAAGUGAUCUCUCGUCAUCAUCUCGAAAAUAGCGAUACUAGUCUCGAUUACUUGCAACUACAUCGUCAUCCAUCUAAACAAUGAUAUACGCGAGAAGAGCUAUCACUAUGAGUGAGAGCGGAACUAUGCAGUACAUGAGUUUGUAUCCCUCUCUCACAUUAGCGUGAACCUAAACUAACUACUGGCUGUUGCUCGGAAACCGGAAAACGGUACACCUGGGCCUGACACUCCGGCCACUCGUCGUAUACUCCUGGCGUAGCACUUCUUCGCCAUCGAUGAUCUAUGCACCUGCAUCGUCACAUGAGUCGAUGAUAUGCAACAUAUAUAGUUGAGCAACAGAAAGAGACAGACGUGGCAAAAGUAGAAGCAACAUAUCAUAAGCAUAAAUAACAAAGCUCAUCGUACGCAAAAUGCCCUAACUAGAGUGAUCUGCGCUAGUCAAGGAGGACGGUUUAAUUACAUCACAAAUAAUGUUUCGUCGUGCAUUACUCAAAGUUCCGUCAUACAGAAAGUAUGAACUAAAUGGACACAUUGUCAUAUUUCGAAAAUCACUCCCACAUGUCGUGCCAUCCAUCCAAGUCAAGGAGAUAGUGCCCGAGCUUAGUGAAAGGCUUUAGGUCAAGAUGCUGAGUGGCUACGCGUGUUCGGACGUCUUCCCACGACAUUUGUCCUUCUUCAUAGAACAUCCCUGUUUUUUCGACGACCUCCUUCAUCACUAGAAGAAAAAGGGCCUGUUGUCCCGGUUCUGGAACCGGGACUAAAGGGUCGGUACUAAUGCCCUGUCCCUUUAGUCCCGGUUCAAUCCAGAACCGGGACAGAUGGGCCUCCACGUGGCCUGUGCGCGGAGCCCAGGCAGGAGACCCUUUGGUCCCGGUUGGUGGCACCAACCGGGAACAAUAGGCAUCCACGCGUCAGCAUUUCUGUGGUUGGGGUUUUUGUUNNNNNNNNNNNNNNNNNNNNNNNNNNNNNNNNNNNNNNNNNNNNNNNNNNNNNNNNNNNNNNNNNNNNNNNNNNNNNNNNNNNNNNNNNNNNNNNNNNNNNNNNNNNNNNNNNNNNNNNNNNNNNNNNNNNNNNNNNNNNNNNNNNNNNNNNNNNNNNNNNNNNNNNNNNNNNNNNNNNNNNNNNNNNNNNNNNNNNUGGUGUUUCAUAUAUUGUGUUAGCUAGCUAUAAUUAAUAGAGAAAAGUGUCCUCUCUUAUGUCCGUGCUUGGUCGACGCUACGUACUAUACAUACGUAUAGAGAGGACUAGACACGCUAGCUAGCUAGUAAGCAAACGAAGGAAACAGAAGAUCGUCAUGAACAUAUAUGCAUACAGGACUAGACACGCUAGCUAGCUAGUAACCAAACGAAGUUCAACUAGUAAUGGCGCACCACUCCCACGGUGCGCCAUUAGUAGUUUUGAAAAAAAUUAAUUUUUUUUUUUACUAAUGGCGCACUGUGGAUGUGGUGCGCCAUUAGUAUUUGGACACUAAUGGCGUACCAACACAUGGUGCGCCAUUAGUAUAUAGUAAUGGCGCACCACAGGUCUGGUGCGCCAUUAGUGUCAAUUCCAUCUAUAGCCCUUUUCCUAGUAGUGUUAGGGACGGUCUCAAUGAAACAACCCACCAUGUACUCCUGCAUGGCCUCUCAUCGAUACCUUUACCGAAACAUGUGCAACACAUUCCUCAUAUUACCGACAUAAUCAUAUCACCCUAGCCCAUCACCCAGAUGAACCAGACCUGACACAACUAUAAGCAUAGCAGGCAUAGCAAGGUAGGAAUCACAUACAUGGCUCAAUCAACUCCUACACAUGCUAGUGGGUUUCAUCUAGUUACUGUGGCAAUGACAGGUCAUGGAGAGGAUAAGGGUUCAACUACCGUAGCACACAGCAGUUUGAAUGGCGUUGUCUUAAUGCAGUAAACAAGAGCAGAGGCGAGAACAUGGGUUGUAUCGGAAUGAUCAAUGGGUUGCUUGACUGAUGGAGUGGUAGUGGGAUACUACCCUUCAGUUGGAUACUCGUGAAUAUCCUCGGAGGCAGAACCUACCACGAAGAACACAUCGGAACACAAUCAACACAUGACGAUAUGCAACACUAUGAUGCAUGCUAUGACAUGGCAUUAUGAAUGUGUCUUGGCCUAAUGCAAGCUAAAAUAGAAAGGGAUGAACUCAUUUGAAUCAAAGAUUCAAAUAUUAGCUCAUUAAACAUGGCCUUAGUAGUGCAUUUCCUUAUUCUGCUUAAACAGCAAGGUAAACUUGUUUUGUCAUACAUGAAACCAUUACAGAUGGAUGUAUUGAAUUUUUCUGAUAAUUUUUCAUAUAUAAAUUAUUUCAUUUGGAGUUACGGUUGAAUUUCUAUGAUUUUUAGAAGUUUUAAACAUUUUCUGGAAUUUCCUGAAUAAAAAUAAAUCCAGAAAAUGCAUUACUGCGUCAGUAUUGCAUCAUGCUGACCUCAGCAGGUCAAAGGCGCCAGCCCAGGUCAAAACUGACUGGUGGGCCCCUUCUGUCAGUCUCUCAGUUAAAUAAUAGGAUUAGAUUAACACUAAUUAGCUGUCAGUGGGGCCUGGGCCCACAUGUCACUGACUGAUUAAAAUAAAAUUAGUUAAAACUAAUCCUUGAUUAGUUAGCAGACCGGCCCCUCCUGUCAUAGACUCAGGGGGGUCUACCUGGGCCCACCCAGGGUCAAACUGGGUCAAACUCGCCGGCGUUGAGCCGCCGGCGAGACCCGAGACGGUGGCGCAGCUCGGAAAACGCCUACAGGGCACGAGCGAGGCCGUUCUUGGGCUCGUUGGAGAGCUCUUGCAGCCGCGCAUCUAGUGGUGGUGGGGGCCGGAGACGACGACGGCGAGCUCCAAGGCGGCGGCUGGAGUUCGGCCAUGUGCGGGGUGUGGGCUGUGGCGUGCAAACGUGGAAACUGAAGCGCUAGCGAGGCACUACGCGAUGCGGCAAGCACGUUGCAUAGCACGGGAUGAUCCAAUGGUCGCCGGAGCGGCGCCGGCGACAAGCUCGAGCCGAGACGAGCUUCGGCCAUGGUGGAACUAUGGCCUAGAGGGUGCAAACGCGUGGAAAAGAAGAGGGGAAAGGUGGCGGAGCUCACAGGGAGGUCGAUGAGCAGCUCAAUGGGCUCGGGGGUCACCGGAGUGAGGCGAAUCGAUGAGCGGCGUCCGGCGGGUACCGAGGUUGAAGACGAUCCGAUGGCGGCGAUGCAGGGACUCCGGCGAUGCGUGGCUCAGUGGGGAGGGCGAGGGCGUCACAGCGGAGCUUCUGGACAGGUCAGAGAGGCGAGGGGGUGACGGAGGGCGCGACUACGGCGGUGAGACGGCGACGGGUGCGUCGGCCAUUGCGGGAGAGGGAGAGGGAGACAAGUGGGAGAGUGAGAGAGGAUGAGAGGGGGACGUGGGGGUCGCGUGGCAUUCCCUGGACGUCUCCCAGCAUCGGCGGAAGCAGGAGGUGGCCGGCGUGUGGCCGCGGGCGCCGGCCACGCGCUCCACGUCCUUCUGGCGUGAGGAGGACGACGACUGGCAGCGCCAGUAGGCUGGGCCGAGCCAGGGGGCUGGCCAGCACAGGUAAGGCCCAGGUGGGCAUCUCCCUCUUUUUUUUAAUUUGUUUCUGUUUUCUAUUUAACUGUAACUGUUGGGCUUUAUUUAAAAUACUAAAACAUUUCCAAAAAUCCUGAAAAUAAUUGUGGGCUCUGUUUGGAUUAUUUCCAACAGCAGACAUUUAUUUCCAGAAUUAUUUGAGCAUUUAAAUGCCCAAAUUCAAAUACUUAUGAUUUAAAUCAAUGACCUUCUAUUGACCUCGAAAAGUUGUGCACCAAUUUUGCCAGAGGUUCUAACCCAAGACAAAGAGGGUGAACUUUUUAGAAGGGCAUUUCAGGUUCAUUGAAAAUAAUUUUAGUAAUCCCUAGUUGUUUCCAGGGGGGUGUUGGGGGUUUCUGCCUUCCCCAAUUCAAAUUUAAGAGGAAUUUAAACAUGAUGCACAUUCUAAUGCUUGAUCUAGCUAGGGUGUGACAACUCACCCCCACUCAAAAGAAUCUCAUCCCGAGAUUUAGGAUCCUCUGGAAAGAAGGUGGGGUACUCGAGUCGAAGACGAUCCUCCCUUUCCCAAGUGGCUUCUUUCUCGGAAUGGUGUGACCAUUGAACCAUGAGAAACUUGAUAUUAUGACGUCGAGUAGUAUGCUCGGCUUGAUCAAGGAUACGAACGGGAUAUUCCUGAUAAGAGAGGUUAUCUUGUAGAUCAAGCGUUUCGUGGUCCACUCCACGGAUAGGAUCCGCGAAGCAACGCCUGAGUUGUGAAACGUGGAAGACAUCAGGAACUCUGGAAAGAUGCGGAGGUAGUUCCAAUUGGUAGGCAACUUCUCCUUGUUUGGCAAGAAUGCGAACGGGUCCAAUGUAACGAGGAGCCAAUUUGCCUUUGAUACCGAAACGAUGGGUUCCUUUUAACGGGGUAACCCGAAGGUAAGCCUUCUCAUCGACUUCAUAAGUCAUAGAGUUAUGUUUAUGAUCAUAUUGACUCUUUUCACGAGAUUGGGCUGUUUUCAAUUUCUCACGAAUAACGCGAACCUGCUCUUCCGCUUCCUGAAUCAUAUCCGGGCCAAAGAGUUGUCUUUCCCUGGUUUCUGACCAGUUAAGGGGUGUUCGAUAUUUUCGUCCAUAGAGAACUUUGAAAGGAGCUUUGCCCAAGCUAGCUUGAUAACUAUUGUUAUAAGCAAACUCUGCGAAUGGGAGGCAUUUCUCCCAACUCAUUCUGAAUGAGAUAACAGAAGCUCAGAGCAUAUGUUCCAGAAUUUGAUUGACUCGCUCUACUUGACCACUUGACUGAGGAUGGAAGGCGGUACUAAAAGAGAGACGAGUUCCCAUAGCAUUUUGGAAACUUUCCCAAAAUCGAGAGGUGAAGAGACUCCCACGCUCUGAGUUAUUUUCCAAUGGGACACCAUGGAGAGACACUAUUCGGGAGAUGUAUAAAUCGGCUAGCUGGCUAGCAGUGAUACUCUCACGAACAGGUAGGAAAUGGGCUACUUUGGAAAGACGGUCGAUGAUGACGAAGAUGGCAUUAUUCCCUCUCUUGGUCCUGGGAAACCCAGUAAUGAAAUCCAUACUGAUUUUAUCCCAUUUCCAUUCAGGAAUAGCCAAAGGUUGAAGGGUGCCAGUAGGCCGUUGAUGCUCUGCUUUAACACGAAUACAGACGUCACAGCUAGCAAUGUAUCGAGCAAUUUCUCUCUUCAUCCUAGUACACCAAAACCUCUCGCGUAGGUCUUGAUACAUUUUUGUGCUACCGGGAUGAAUGGUGAGAGGGGAUUCAUGAGCUUCCUUAAGGAUCAAUUGGCGUAGAUGUUGUUUCUUGGGAACCACCAAACGGUUCUCAAAGAAGACAGCACCCCGCUUAUCCAUGGAAAAACAUUUAGCAACUCCGCUAGCAAUGUUUUCCUUAAUCCGGGAUAUGCCCUUAUCAUACCGCUGGGCAGUUAUGAUCUGAUCCAUAAGGUUAGGUUUCGCCACCAGGGUGGAUAGGAAUCCUCGAGGAACAAUGUGAAGAUUAAGCUUACGGAAUUCCUCAUGGAGAAGUGGUUGACUUUGUUGUAACAUCAGGUUGUUACAACAGGAUUUACGGCUUAGCGCAGCAGCCAUGACAUUGGCUUUGCCCGGUGUGUAGGUUAUUCCUAAGUCGUAAUCCGAGAUCAACUCAACCCAACGUCUUUGCCUGAGAUUCAAAUCUGGUUGGGUGAAGAUAUAUUUCAAGCUUUGGUGAUCGGUGAAGAUCUCGCAACGAUUACCGAGGAGGUAAUGUCGCGAAGUUUUAAGUGCAUGGACUACAGCUACCAGCUCUAGAUCAUAUGUGGGAUAAUUUUCCUCAUGUGGGUGUAAUUGCCAUGAAGCGUAGGCAAUUACCUGAGGAUCUUGCAUGAGUAUGCAACCUAGUCCUUGUCGCAGAUGUCAGGCGUCUUUUCAGUUCCUGAAAGCUGAACUCGCACUGUGGAGUCCACUCGAACUUUUUAUCUUUCUUGAGGAGUUCAAUUAGAGGUUUAGCAACCUUGGAGAAACUCUCGCCGAAGCGGCGGCAAUAGCUCGCUAAGCCAAGGAAGCUCCAAACUUGCUUGACCGUCUCAGGUGGAGUCCAAUCAAGGACCGCUUGAACUCGCUCGGGAUUGACGGCAAUACCCUUACCAGAGAUUACAUGGCCUAGAUAGGUUACUUCUGGCAACCAAAAUUCACACUUGGAGAACUUGGCAUAAAGGCGAUGCUCUCGAAGUUUCAUCAAUACCAGCCUUAGAUGUUCGGCAUGUUCCUCUUCAUUCUUGGAGUAGAUGAGUAUGUCAUCGAGGUAUACUACGACGAAUUUAUCCAAGUACUCCAUGAAAACCGAGUUCAUUAACCGGGAGAAGGUAGCCGGGGCAUUGGUUAAACCGAAGGACAUAACGGUGUACUCGUAUUGGCCAUAACGAGUAACAAAGGCCGUUUUGGGAAUGUCCCCGUUUCUGAUUUAGAUUUGAUGGUAGCCCAACCUCAAAUCCAUCUUGGAAAAGACUGAGGAUCCAGCGAGCUGAUCAUACAGAUCGUUGAUCCUGGGAAGUGGGUAUUUGUUCUUGAUGGUGACAAAGUUGACAGGUCGGUAAUCCACAACCAUUCGAUCUGUUCCAUCCUUCUUCUUGACGAAGAGGAUGGGGCAAGCCCAAGGAGAGGAACUAGGACGGAUGAAACCCUUUUUCAAGGACUCAUCGAGUUGGUUCUUAAGCUCGGCUAGUUCUAAGGGUGCCAUCUUGUAGGGUCUUCUAGAAAUUGGAACGGUUCCUGGAACAAGGUCUAUCACAAACUCGACAUCCCUGUCAGGUGGAACACCUGGCAGUUCUUCUGGAAAGACAUCCGGAAAGUCUCGGACUACCGGAACAUCCUCAAGGUCUGGAAGGGGGUUGGCAUUUAGGGAGUAAAGUUGGCGCUUGGCCACUCGAGUUAAGACAUUAACUGUCUUGCCCAAUGGGUGAGUAAGUUGAACGGUUCUAGUGGCACAGUCAAGCUUAGCAUAAUGAGCUGACAUCCACUCCAUACCUAAGAUGAUGUUUAUGUCCGAGGACUUGAGAGCUAUUAAGGAUACAAGGAAGACAAGUCUAUCGACAAGAAUUUCGUUCCCAUGGCUUACUCUAGAAGUUUGCCAUCUAGAGCUAGGGGUUUGAAUUUCCAUGGUAGAGGGCAUGUCACAGAAUGUCGUGUUGUGCAAUCGAGCAUAGUUCUCGGAUAUGAAUGGAUGAGAUGCUCUAGUAUCGAAAAGAACAGAUGUCGGAUGGCAGUUAACAAGGAGCGUACCAAGGACGAGGUUGGGAUCCUCAUGAGCCUCCUCGGCUGAAACAUAGUUGACAUGGCCACGUGCAGUGGUGGCUGGCUUGGCGUAGAAUGUUUUCCCCGCGGGCUUACCACGGCCAACGGACUUUCCAGUUUGAUUGGGGUUGUUGUUCUGGGGACACUCUCGGCUAUAGUGACCCGGCUCUCCACACUUAAAGCAUGUCACCACAUUGGGGCGUGGAGCAGCAUUAGCAGUAGGGCCACCAUAGGGCUUGGGCGGUGCAAAUUGCUGGUUGGGACGUGGUGCCUCAAAGGAUGGCCUCGGGAUGAACCUGGGUGGCAGUGCCGUGCUUGGAAUCCACACCCGGCGCUUCUGAGCUCUAGAGCCGGAUGAAGAGCCAAAAUCACGGGAGUGCUUGCAUGAAGCGUCAUAAUCAGUCUGGCCUUUCUCAGCACUGAUGGCUUUAUUGACCAACUUCUGAAAGGAGGUGCACUCGGGCAGACGAAGAUCGCGGUGAAGCUCAGGGCUAAGUCCCUUGCGGAACCUUGCCUGCUUCUUAGCAUCAAUAGAUACCUCUUUAGGGGCAUAACGUGCCAGAUUCCGAAAUUCACGACCGUAAGCAUCCACAGUCAGUCUUCCUUGGGUGAAGUUGCAGAACUCCUCCCUCUUGCGAUCCAUGAGACCUUCCAGAAUGUGAUGCUCACCGAAAGCCUCACAGAAUUCAGCCCAAGUAGUGAUUUGGCCGACCGGGCGCAUAGCUUCGAAGUUUUCCCACCAAAGGCUAGCAGGGCCUUCGAGGUGAUAGGCAGCAUAAGUAACCUUGUCGGCUGCGGCUGCGUUGGCAGAACGUAGCUUGUGGGUGAUGCUGUGAAGCCAGUCAUCCACAUCGAGGUACUCGACGGAAUGGUUAAACUUUGGUGGGUAUAGCUUGAUAAAGUCAUUGAUUGACACCAAUCAUUUCGUGGGUGGCGUGCAGUGUUCUGCUCAAUCCGCUCCAACAGGCGGUUGGUCUGACGCUUCUUUAUUUCCGCCUCCAGCAUUACUUCGGCCAGAGAAGGCGGGUGAGGCAGAUUUUCACCUCUAGCAGCACUGGCUUCCCCCUGCUCCAGGGCAGCAGGGUUGCUGCGGGUGUUGACCAUCCUAGGAGAAAACAAGACAACGGUUUAGACAAGGAUGUCUCAAAUUAGCAAGGAUGUGCAGAAUGUAAUGGAUAACACGGAAUGCAGAGAUGUUCAUCCGUAUGUCAUGGUAAUAUAAAACUGCCAUAUAUAUACCAACGGUCAUACACAUCAUACAUAGUUUAGUACAAGCCCAGGCUACAAUACAACUAUGAUGAAAGACGUUACAUCUCAUCGGAGGCAUUCCAAGCUCCUAUACAUUAUUGUCUACACCUCCAAAAUUGAUUACACGCAAAGUCAUAUUCCAAAAGUCACGCAGGACAGUGGAGAUACAGCUACUACAAUACUAGUGGUACUACUACUAACUCAGACAGCUCCGUAGUAGUCCUCAUAGAAGUCACCUCCAUAGCCUGGAAGUUCAACGGGACCAUCCGGGAACAGACGGUCCUGAGGAGCCUGUGGACCAUAGGGGCUAGGAUGGUGUCUUGGACCAACAAACGGUGGCCUGCGGGAACCACGGGGUGGGGUGAUGCCUCCCACAUCACGCCAAUCCACCACGUCUGGCAAAGCAGACCUCACAGGAUACAGAUCCCUUGUAUCCAUACAUCUAGCUUGCACCGCAGGUGCAAACCGAGCCAAUGUGGCCCAAUGAUCAGCACGGGUAUUAAAAAGCUCCAGCCUCAAGGCCCGAUUCUCUCGGUCCUUAUCUUCGAGCAUCUCAGCAGUGGUACGAGUUAAUGAAUCCUCCUGAGUGGAGACAGCAUAGAUAGCCUGAAGAUACCCUUGCGCUCCCGGAAGUGAAGCUGGCAUGUAUCGGAAGUCGGUGUUCCGAAGCAGGCCAGUCCGGACUCGCAUGAUGGUCAUCAUGUAAUAGGCAGCAUCCUGCACAGCAAUCUCAACAGUAACCCCGAGUCCAUAGGAAUAGUGAAGGGGCUCGGUAGAUCCAGGAUAAGAAGGAAAUAUCCUGACAGUGCAGAAAUACUGGCUUUGAUUAAAGUCUCGGAAUUGCUCUUCGACGGUGUAUUCGAGAUACCAACGGUAACCCGUCUCGAUCAUGACCCGGACUAACAUAGCAGUAUGACCGGGCACGUCGAGCCACCGGGUUAGGCGAACCACUUGGUUUUGAGCACGGUUGGCCAUCUGAAAGCACAACCACAAUGCAAAGACAUCAGAAUUUCUAGGGAAAAUUGGACAGCAUAACAGCUGUAAAUGCUCAGAAAAAGAUUUGAGACAUCCACAACAGUUCGCAAUACCACUCAAUAACAUCAUAUCAAGGUUCUGAUCCAAAUAGCAACAUACUAAAAAUAGUAGAAACUGAACUGGGGCUUGUAACAACAAUCCUAUAAGCUACUACGGAUUAGUAACACGUGAACCUGAUAGAAGAAGAGAGCCUAGUCCUUAACCCACGUUGAAUGAGAAGGGAAUGACUCAGAUAAGAGGCAUAGGGUAAAGGAGUAAAAGAGACUUACGUUCCCUCCCACAAUCAAUUCCCCUACAUAUAACUAAAGCAUUUCCAGACUCGACAUCGACCAGUUUGGCUCAACGAACCUACAAGCAGUCUGGCUCUGAUGCCAACGCUGUCAGGACCCCGAUUCCAAGCCACAUCGAUCUAGCCGGUAACACCUCAUAUCACUUUGCGGCCUCACGCACGAUAUUCCACGGGUGUCGCCUUACCAUGGCCCGGGACCGUUUGCGCCUUUUGGCUCACGUAUAUGAUAGUGUUGUUAGCAUCCAUAUGACAGAGAACCUGGGCCGACAUGGCUAGUCGUGAACCCAAAGCGGCACAGACCUAUGGAGACAGGCAUACAUGAAUCACAUCGAGCAUGUCGGUCAUCAGCGAGUGAUUCCGGGCUGUAGCACUGGGCUAACAGGACUCCGGGGAACCCGGGCUGUAGCAGGCUAGGCAGGACUCCGGAAGUCACCGCGUGACAUUUCCCCGAAGGGACAGACAUAGGAACGAAGUGAAUCACAUGCCGGCCAUUCAAGUGUCCUAAGUAGUAGUGCUGGGCUAGCAGGACUCCGGUGAACCAGGCUGUAGCGGACUACUAUGGCUCGAGGAACACUAGACUACAUUUCCCCAUAAGGAAGGCUGCCAAGGAUAAACAACUAGAUUGUUGGAUCCCACUCAUACCAAGCAUUUCAAUCAUACACACAAUAUGCCCGAUAUGAGUACAUACAACAUGGCAUCACAACAAAACUCUACAACUCAAGUACUUUAUUUAAAUGCUCCAGAGAGCCAUACAUAACAUGUUCAUACAGAUAGGGGUCACAUGACCCGACACUCAAGUCAUACAAUCAUACAAGCACAUGCGGAAGCAACCGGUCUGAGUACAGACACUAGAAAGAAAGAAGGCUCCUCGAGGCCUGUCUAUCUACAUAGGGCCCUCCAUGGCCAGGAUCACCACCUGGGUGGCUAGUCACUCGUCGAUGUCAAGGUCUACAUAGAACCCAUAGGAGGGGGCGGUGUUGUCGUCUGAAAACGGUAAUUAAGCAAACAUGAGUACAAAGGUACUCAGCAAGUCUUACAACAGAACCUACUAUACAUGCUUAUUCUCAAGAAGGUGGUGGGGAUAUUGCAGCAAGCCAGCUUUGACUCUUGGCUAAACUAUCCUACGGAACAUCUCUAGUAAAAUAGUUUUCGCACACGAGUCCACUACUCACCAACACAAUACUCCACCGGGGAUCCUCCCUCGUCAUCCUAUGAGAGGGUGUCGGGGGUGUCUGAUCCCUCGCACACCUAUGGGGAUCAGCGGACCGAGCCCCUUUUGGUUCGGUAGGGGGCGGUGGAUGCACAAAGAGUAGAUCGAGGCGAAACACAUGAGCGAGACAAUCGAUUUACCCAGGUUCGGGCCACACGGAUGCGUAAAACCCUACUCCUGCUUUGGUGGUUGUAUUGAGUUUUUUCUCGGGAGCAGCUGGCGAGACCGAGCGUGAGAAUGGCUGUCCCCCCCCUGUUGCGCAUGGGCCUCCUUUUAUAUGUCUAAGGGGUCACCGACACGUGGCAACAGAGGUAAGGGUAAAAAUGUAAAAGGGGUGGUAGUUGGCUCCACCGCCUACAUGUCGCAUCCUACCUAACUCUGACGGCAGGGGACAAGGGCAUUAAAUGCCCGUCUGUGUCACCUUGACGGCCCAGAGAGGGACCACUAGGAACGCCACCGUUUGCCACGACGGUUCCUUGUCAGCGUCUGCUUGCCAUUGCAUGCCCCCGGCUGCACAGCCUCCCGCCACGUACGCCAGGAAUGGCCCCAGGGCGACACGUUGGUGGGUGAGCUGGAGCGCGGGCUGCGGGGUAGUGGCUUGCCGCGGCAAGUGCCUUGCCGCGGGUGUUGUCUUGUCACGUCCGGGAGCUUGCCGCUCACCGGGUCUUGUCGGGGCACGCGGUGCGCCGCAGCGAGUCUCUUGAGAUGCUUUGGUUGUCUUCCCGGCAAGCUCCUCUUGCCGGGGUCUCGUCUCCUUCCCGGCAAGCUCCUCUUGCCGGGGCCUUGUUCCCUUCCCGGCAAGCUCCUCUUGCCGGGGCCUUGUUUGGAUCUUGGAUACUUUGUUCUUGAAUGGCUCCAGAGGAACCAUGGAGGGUCUUGGCGGUCGCCCGGCAAGCCUUGCCGCGGGUCGCUGCGACUACCCAUGCACAAGUUCGGGGUACUAAGGUACCCGUACUUUAGCACACCGACAGGAGCCCCCAGGCCUGGGCCAUACACGGUGCCGAGCGCUGUUGGGCCAGGCCCAAAACAGUGCAAGGGCACGCGCGGCCUGGGUCACGCCAUAACUGAUUCCGUAUCCACCGCGCUCUCCCCAAACGGCACGCGUCAAACGCGGCAUCGUGGGAGAGAUCGUGGGCGGUUUUCGAGGUGCCCACUCCCCACGAUCACGGGGUGGGGAGAGACCGCCCCAUCCGUCGCCUCGGUUCUGCACGCCUGCCACGCGGUUCCCGUGCACUUGGGGUCGCGGGCGGCGGAAGCGGGAAACGGGGCCGUCGUGGGUCGAGGGAGUGGGUCGGCCCCGGCUCCCCGCGUCUUGAUUCGCUGAGCGGGGCGGCCGAGCCCCCACCUUGCUCCUUUAUAAAGAGCGGGAGGGGAGGACGGGAGCCUGCAUCCUCCCAUCUUCUCCUUCCUUCAGCUCCUGCUCCCCUCCCCCCAUUCGCCAUGGAGAGAGGGAACCCUGGUCCUUCGUCAGUGGCGGCAAGGGUUGCCGCCAGGCAGCGCAUCCCUCCCUCUCCCGCACCCGUGGCGGCGGAGCCAGCCAUAAGGGGAAGAGGGAGGGGGCGAAGUCGUGGACGAGGCCGUGGCGCUCGGGGAAGAGGUGGGCGAGGCGGCGCGUCGGCUUCGCCUCCGCCGGCGGCUCUUCUUCCCGCGGUGGCCCAUGCCGGGGACGACCCUUGCGAGUUAUUCGUCAGGCUGCGCCGGGCGCCCCGCCGUCGCCUCUGACUCCCGGAUCCGUUUGCGGAAGUGGUGGAGUUGGACCCGCCCGAGACGCUGAGGCUGCAGAUGAGGGCUGUGGGAUCAGCGGCACGCGGGUCCGCGCCGAAUUCCCAGCCCCCGGCGUGAUUUAUCUUGGCCGAGGGUGGAAGACGUUCGCCCGCAUCCACAGCUUGACACCGGGGCUGACCCUCCACUUCAAGUUGGUGGAGGGUGAUCUCCUCUCCGUCAAGGUCUUCGGGUGCUUCAGCGUCCGGGCCCGGUGCUGCGUGGAAAGCUCCUCCGAUAGCGAAGGCUCCUCCUCGAGCAAGAGUGACGAGGAGGGAACGACAGCGGCGACGAGGGGAGCGGGCGGCAGGAUGGCGGGUCCGACUAGGUGUCGGGCGCCGCUCCGCGCGGCACCAGCAACCCCAUCAUCCGGGUCGCCGGCUCCUUGAACUCCCCGGGGGCGUCUCCUUGGGCGGCUGGCGUAGGGAGGCUGCGAAAGAGGAAGAGGGCAGGCGGCAAGGCCGUCAGGUCGGAGUACGAUGGCGUGGUGCCCUCGACAGCGUGCUGACGUCCUGCCGCCUCGUCUUCGAGCCCCCCUUCCGGCGCUGCCAUCACCAUCCAGCCUUGAAGGCCCCCGGGAUGUUCUCUUGGUGUCUUCUGGCACCCGUAGUUCCCCUAGGCACUCCUUUUGCCCUUCUCGCCUCCUUGACCUACCUCCUGAAAAGAGGGGCAGGAAAGAGAUUACGGGCAUCUUAUCUUUUUGAUUUGUAAGCCCUCGGGCCUUAGUUGCAUCUAAAACUUGUAAUCCUCUCUUUCAUGUUUUCCAUUCUCCAUGUACUGUACCUGCGUGGAAUGUUUUAAUGAAAAGGGGAUGCUUGCCAGGUUACUCGUCUCGCGGGUAGAACCCAUGCCAAGGAGCAAAUCCUUGGUAUCUCACAGAUAGACACUCCCUCCCCAGCAACAGGCCCUGCCACAUACCCACGUCGCUCGACCUUUCUCACGCUCUUGACGGAGGCAGAGACGAGGCGGGUGCGGCCCCUCGUUUCAUCCCUUUCCCGCCGCGACUGCGACCAAAGCUUGGCCCUGGGGCCCCAGGGACCAAAGCUAAGGGAGCACGGUGGCUUUCGGGAAGAAGCGAGGUUUUGUAUUCCCAGUCCAAAAGAGAAUGCACGAAGAGGGAUGAAAGACUUAUCUGAGACUGCAGCCCCCGGCAACUCUGGCUUGCCGUGGGGUGAACCUUGGUACUUGCAGCCUCCAGCAACUCUGGCUUGCCGGGGUUCGGAUGCCGGCACGUCCUUCUUCUCCCUUUCGUCCUCACGCGGUCCGACAAGGAUAUGCAAGCCCUGCGAACCAAAGGAAACAAAGGAAGGACAAAGGGACGCACACUAGACCUCUAAGUUAGGGGUUAGCUGCUGUUAGGCACUAUCAACCCUAACCGAGGACUCGACUCGACCUAGCAUGCAUGCUGUAACUCUGGGCGCCAGCGCUUCAUUAUCUUGUGCUCAAGGUCUGUGCCUGGCUUUGUACAAAGGAUUACAUGCAACAGCGUCAAGACUUGUACAAAAGGGUGGUUGCCGGACAGGGUCCGACAACCGCGCCUUACGGGUAAAACUUACAAAGAAGCUUGAUAUUCCAGGAGUUGCUCACUAGUACGCCAUCUUCGGUCUCCAGGCGGACAGUGCCAGGCCUGGUGACUCGUUUCACCCGGUAAGGGCCUUCCCACUUCGGCGUCAACUUGUUGGAAUUCUUGGCGGACUGAACGCGCCGAAGAACAAGGUCGCCUUCCUCGAGGCUCCUAGCAUUAACUUUGCGGCUAUGAUAGCGGCGCAAAGCUUGCUGGUAGCGAGCGGCUCGCACAGCAGCCUGGAGACGAUCUUCCUCAAGGAGCAGCGCGUCAUCUUGCCGCAGCUGCUCUUGCUCAAGCUCAUCAUAGCACUCGAGGUGACCCGUAUACGAGUUCCAUGGGGAUAACUGCCUCCGCUCCAUAGACUAGAGCGAAGGGUGUCUGCCCGGUGGCUCGAUUUGGCGUCGUCCUGAUCGACCAAAGAACCACCGGCAGCUCCUUGAUCCAGUUGCGUCCGCGCUUGUGCAGCCUGUCAAAUGUUCUGGUCUUGAGCCCGUGCAGCACUUCAGCAUUCGCCCUCUUAGCUUGGCCGUUGCUUCUCGGGUGAGCGACAGAAGCAAAGCAGAACUUGGCGCCAAGAUCUUGGACGUACUGCAUGAAGGCGCGGCUUGUAAAUUGUGUACCGUUGUCGGUGAUUAUCCUGUUAGGGAUUCCGAAACGGCAAACAAUCGACCUGAAGAAUUUGAUCGCGGACUGCGCCGUCACCUUCCUCACUGGUUCCACUUCCGGCCACUUUGUGAACUUGUCGAUUGCAACGUACAAGUACUCAAAGCCCCCGACGGAUCGGGGGAAGGGGCCGAGGAUAUCGAGCCCCCAGACCGAAAAUGGCCAGGAUAAAGGGAUCGUCUGGAGAGCUUGAGCUGGCUGGUGUAUCUGCUUGGAAUGGAACUGGCACGCUUCACACUUGGUUACUUGUGCAGUUGCAUCCUGGAGGGCUGUCGGCUAGAAGAAGCCUUGUCGGAAUGCUUUUCCGACAAGAGCUCUUGCGCCAAUGUGGUGACCACAUAUGCCUCCAUGUAUCUCUGCCAACAGCUUCUGUCCAUCUUCCCGAGGAAUACACUUCAAUUUCACACCGUUGAGUCUUCUUCUGCACAGUGUGUUGUCAACAAACUGGUACAUACUGGACUGCCGGGCUACUCUUUCUGCUUCUUCUGGUUCCUCGGGAAGCUCUCCUGUCUGAAGGAAACGGACGGUCUGCUACGCCCAUGUUGGAGCCUGUGGCUCGACAACAAGGACUAAAGGCACAUCUGCUGCUGUGGGAACGCCUACUUCUACGGCAGGAGCCUGCGACUCUGCCGGAGCUUGACAUUCCCCGACAAGCUUGCCGGAGCAGAGCUUGCCGGGAGUGUCUGCUGCAAUGGAACAAACCCUGGGGCUUGCCGGAGUAGACUGCUCCUCAGCACUCUUGGCGUCGAUCUUGGGGACCUUCUUGGCGGCGUCUUCGGGGAGCUUUGCCGGGAGAUAGUCACCAGAGAUCAACUUCCUCUUCUUGCUCUGUCCACUUGAUGGUGCCACGGAUGGCUGAGUUAGCUUGAGCACAAAGGUCCCUGGUUCCACAGGUAACUUAAGUGCUGCGCACUUUGACAGGCGAUCGGCAAUGUCAUUCUCAGCUCUUGGAACAUGUUCCAUUUGCAGGCUGUCAAAGCGCUCUUCCAGCUUCCUCACUUCAUCAACGUAAGCUUCUAUCAAUGGACUUUGGUAAUCUUUGUUCACUUGGCGGACGACAAGCUGCGAGUCACCCCUAACAAUGAGCUUCUUAAUCCCAAGUUCUGCCGCGAUCCUGAGACCGGCAAGCAAGCCUUCUUACUCUGCAGUAUUGUUUGUCGCUUGCUCCUUGGGAAAGUGCAUCUGGACUAUGUACUUGAGGUGCUCCCUGGUGGGUGCGACAAGCAGUACACCAGCACCGGCGCCUUGCAGCGAGAAAGCACCGUGAAAGUACAUGAGCCACUCUUUGCUUGCUUCCUUGGCGGGGAUGCUCGUCUCCGGAAUUUCUUCGUCUGGAGUUGGCGUCCACUCUGCUAUUAACUCUGCCAAUGCUCCGCUCUGGAUUGUUGAUGUACUCUCAAACUUGAGGCCAAAGCUUGACAGUUCCAGUGCCCACUCGACAAUCCUGAAUGUUGCUUCUGGAUUUUGCAAUAUCCUUUUCAGCGGAAAGCGAGUGACAACUGUGAUCUCGUGUGCUUGGAAGUAAUGACGUAGCUUUCUCGAGGCCAUGAGGAGGCCGAAAAGCAGCUUCUGCACACUAGAGUACCUUGACCUAGCCCCCUGUAAAAGGGAGCUGACAAAGUAAACUGGGUGCUGCACCAUUUUCUUCUGUAUCUCCUCUUGUAUCUGCGCAGAUCCUUGGUUGUCGGGACCAGAGCUUGUCGGGGAAGCCCCCUGCUUGUCGCUGGAUGUGCUUGCCGCGGCCGCUGGCUCGUCGUCGGCCUCCCUUUCCGCUACUAACGCAGCACUAACCACUUGAUUGGUUGCCGCUAUGUACAGGAGCAACUUCUCUUGUGGUUUAGGCGCGACAAGUGUUCGGGUGGACGACAGGUAUCUCUUCAAGUCUUGCAGCGCAGCCUCCGCUUCCGGAGUCCAUCUCAUUGGACCUGCCUUUUUCAAAAUUUGAAAAAGGGCAGGGCGCGCUCAGCAGACCAAGGGAUAAACCUGCUAAGAGCAGCUACGCAGCCGGCAAGCUUCCGUACAUCCGUGACGCGCUUUGGUGCUUCGAUCUGCUCAAUGGCCCUGAUCUUGUCGGGGUUGGCUUCGAUUCCCCGCUGAGACACGAAGAACCCGAGAAGCUUGCCGAAAGGGACUCCAAACACACACUUCUCGGGGUUGAGCUUGAGGUUGAUCUUGCGCAGAUAUGCAAAAGUCUCUUCUAAGCCUUGGAUCAGAGUUGCCCUGUCUUUGCUUUUGACCACUAUAUCAUCCAUGUAAGCUUCUACAUUUCUGUGUAUCUAUGGCUUCAAAGCAAUAUGGACUACUCUGGCAAAUGUUGAACCAGCAUUCUUUAAUCCGAAAGGCAUCCGUACGAAACAGUACGUGCCACAUCGAGUAAUGAAUGCGGUUUUCUCCUCAUCCUCUUCCGCCAUGAAGAUCUAAUGGUAUCCUGAGUAUGCAUCAAGAAAUGAAAGCAACUCACAUCCGGCCGUGGAGUCAACAAUCUGGUCAAUGCGCGGCAAGGGAAAUGGAUCUUUUGGACAAGCUUUAUUAACAUCAGUAAAGUCAAUACAAAGCCUCCAUUUCCCAUUCGCCUUGCGCACUACAACCGGAUUGGCCAACCACAUGGGAUGGAGCACCCCUCUAACGAGGCCUGCUGCUUCCAAUUUCUUGAUUUCUUCGGCUAUGAAUUCUUGGCGCUCCACCGCCUGUUUCCUGACCUUCUGCUUGACGGGCCGCGCAUGAGGACAAACUGCAAGGUGGUGCUCAAUUACCUCCCUGGGAACACCGGGGAUGUCAGACGGUUGCCAUGCAAACACGUCGACAUUCGCCCGCGGGAAAGUAACGAGUGCGCUUUCCUAUUUAGGGUCAAGCGUGGCACUGAUGGUGAAGGUACCACCAGUGCCGUCCUCCUUGGCGGGCACCUUCUUGGUAAGUGGUGGAGCGGCCAUCGUCUUCUUACUCUUGCAGCCGGAGCUCGAUGGUGCGUCCUCGACGGCAGCGCAGCACUCCGAAGAGGUGCGCCUGCCGGAGUAGGCAUCAGAGCACUCGCCGGGCUUGGUCUUCUUCUUGCCGGUGGAGCUCGAUGGUGCGUCCUCGACGGUAGCGCAGCACUCCGAAGAGGCGCGCUUGCUGGAGUGGGUACUAGAGCUCUUGCCGGACUUGGUCUUCUUCCCCCUGGGAGCUUCAGCGGCAAGUGUCUCGCGGUCUGUCGCGGCGGCAGCUUCCCGGUAGAUCUUGUCGGCGCAGAUAAGGGCGUCCUUCUUGUCGCCAGGGACAGAGAUGACGCUUAUCGGGCCCGGCAUCUUGAGCAUGUUGUAGGCAUAGUGAUAGGCUGCCAUUAACUUGGCGAGCGCGGGACGGCCAAGUAUCCCAUUGUAGGGCAAUGGGAAAUCGGCAACGUCGAAGGUGACCCUCUCAGUCCUGAAGUUCAUCUCACUGCCGAAUGUCACCGGCAGCGCGACUUUUCCCUUCGGCUUGCUCCUUCCCGGGUUAAUUCCUUGGAAUGUACCGGUUUCUUCGAGCUCACUGUCUGGGAUCUGGAGUUUCUGGAGCACAGCGGAGGAGAUCAGAUUCAGGCCGGCCCCGCCGUCAACUAGCAUCUUGGUGACCUUGAGGUUGCGGAUUGUUGGGGAAACCAACAACGGCAAGCACCCGACCGCAGUCGUGCGAUCAGGGUGGUCCUCAAUGUCAAAGAUGAUCGGCGUGCUGGACCACUUCAGAAGCUUGCGUGAUUCGACAGGUGGCUCUGCCGCAUUAACUUCCCGGAGCCACUGUUUGAGUUGGCGGUGGGAAGUGUGCAGAGAAGCGCCACCGUCAACACACAAGACUUCUGUAGCCUUCUGAAACUCCUGCUCGCUGUUCUCAACAUCAUCCAUGUCUUCGUCGUCGUCUUCGUCUUCGUCCUUAUCGCGGCCGCGAGGAGGUCUGUCUCCUUGCCGCUGCUUGGCCUUGCCACGGCUCCCUCCCGGGCCAGCGCGGUUCUUGCCGGCUUCUCCAUCGCCUCCUUGGGCUCUCUCCUUGUCGCGCCGCUCGUACUCACCUCUUUGUUGCUGGACAAGCUGCUCGACCCUCUUGCAGUUCUGGAGAUCAUGGCCCUUGGUGCGGUGGAUCUUGCAGUACUGCUUGUCGGAGCUGCCCUGCUUGUCGGCGGCCGCCACAGCCUGGCAGUUGGUACACGCGGCAACCUCUUUGCCGGAGCUGACAACUUUGGCUUGCUUGGCGGGGCCGUCAUCGCUGGACUGCUCAACGACCAGUACCUCUUUGCCGCUCUUCUUCUUGUUGGGCCUCCGGUUUUUGCUUGCCGGGGCGGCAUCCUCACUGUCAGAUAUCCCUGCUCUAGCAUCCUCUCCGGGGAGUUUCCUCCCUUCUUCAGCGCGUGCGCACUUGUCGGCCAGGGCGUACAGCUCGCUGACGUCCUUGAUCCUGCUCAUCGCCAUCUCCUCCCGCAUCCUGCAAUUACGCAUGUUCUGAUGGAACGCGCUGAUAACCGCGGUAGGGUGGAUGUCUGGGAUGUUGCGCUGCACGCGGCUGAAUCUCUGGAUAUACUUGCGCAAAGGUUCUCCUUCCUUCUGGGCAAGCAGGUGGAGGUCACUCUCUUGGCCGUGUGGUUUGUGGCCGCCUGUAAAGGCGCCGACAAACUGGUGGCACAAAUCCGCCCAAGAGGAUAUGGAGUUGUCCGGCAAGUGCAUGAGCUAGGAUCUGACUUCGGGCUUGAGCACGAGCGGGAAGUAGUUGGCAAGGACCUUGUCGUCUCGUCCCCGGCAGCUUGCACCGCAAUGGUGUAGAUGCUGAGGAACUCCGACGGGUGUGACUUGCCGUCGUACUUCUCCGGCACGUCUGGCUUGAAAUGCUUCUGGUUGGGCCACUGGACUUGCCGCAGCUCAUGGGUGAACGCGGGACAACCCGCCGCGUACGGCAAGUUACCUGGCUCUCCGGGUGCAUGCAUGUCAACAGAGGGCCCAGCGCACAGGUCAGAUUGACGCCGCGCUUCCCUUCGGCGCUCGAUGCAUGUUCAAGUGUCUUCUUGCUGUCUCUGAUGAAGAACUUGGCGUUGAUCGCGGUGAGCUCGCGGAUCUGACGACGCGGUGGAGUAGCCGUCGAGGUGGAUCCGGUGAGUCGGCGAUCUCGGCCUUCGGGGCGGAGAGUGCACAGUGGUUGCACCCUCACCGGUCUUGUCGCCACCGGCUCGCGCCUGGCUGACUUGCCGCGGCAGCGAUGCGCUCUGCUGCCGUGGGUUGUCACCAUUGGCGCAGCCGAUGAUGCUCUGAAUAGUGGCCCUCCAGUCAUCGAUCUUCUCUAGUGCUGGAGGGUAGUCUAGGAGCAGCUGGGCACGCGCCAACGGUUCCGUCGGAGUGGUGGGCGGCGGCAGCGAACGGUGCGAGGAGCGAGAUAUGCUCGGACUCCUAACCACGUUAGAAGGAGCAACAUCCCGUCCAAGCGACCGCGCCGCGCUCGCGCCAGCACGUUGGCGUGCCUGCUGAUCCUGAGCACUUCGGGAUCCGCCAGCUUGAUCUUGGCCCAGCAGGCGUAUGGUACAGUGGGUACCAUGACGCUACUGGUCCCGCGCCUCCUGGGAUGGGCGCGGUGCGUGUACGGACACCGAGGUCUCGGAGUGCGCGCGGUCGUCGUGGGAGGCGACCGCGCUACCGACGUGCGCCGCAGCCAGGCACUUGGACCUGGCAGUGCCAUGAGUCUCCCCGUCGGCGCCCGCCCUUCCGCCGGCGCCUACUUCACCCGCCGUUCGCUCCGGCGAUGGCGGGCUCGACGCGGACGGAGCGGCUACCUCCGAAGCCUUCUUCUUCGGCGGCAUGUUGAUGAAGACGAUGAAGAUUCGGCUCGCGCGAACGCCGGAUCAGGUUCGCACUACCUCGACGCACCCCCUACCUGGCGCGCCAAAGAUGUCGGGGGUGUCUGAUCCCUCGCACACCUAUGGGGAUCGGCGGACCAAGCCCAUUUUGGUUCGAUAGGGGGCGGUGGAUGCACAAAGAGCAGAUCAAGGCGAAACACACGAGCAAGACGAUUGAUUUACCCAGGUUCGGGCCGCACGGAUGCGUAAAACCCUACUCCUGCUUUGGUGGUUGUAUUGAGUUUUUGCUCGGGAGCGGCGAGUGCUACAGUACACUCAAGCAGCUGGCGAGACCGAGCGUGAGAAUGGCUGUCCCCCUCCCCCUGUUGCGCAUGGGCCUCCUUUUAUAUGUCUAAGGGGUCACCGAUACGUAGCAACAGAGGUAAGGGUAAAAAUGUAAAAGGGGUGGUAGUUGGCUCCACCGCCUACAUGUCGCAUCCUACCUAACUCUGAUGGCAGGGGACAAGGGCAUUAAAUGCCCGUCUGUGUCACCUUGACGGCCCAGAGAGGGACCGCUAGGAACGCCACUGUUUGCCACAACGGUUCCUUGUCAGCGUCUGCUUGCCACCGCAUGCCCCCGGCUGCACAGCCUCCCGCCACGUACGCCAGGAAUGGCCCCAGGGUGACACGUUGGUGCGUGAGCUGGAGCGCGGGCUGCGGGGUAGUGGCUUGCCGCGGUAAGUGCCUUGCCGCGGGUGUUGUCUUGUCGCGUUCGGGAGCUUGCCGCUCACUGGGUCUUGUCGGGGCGUGCGGUGCGCCGCAGCGAGUCUCUUGAGAUGCUUUGGUUGUCUUCCCGGCAAGCUCCUCUUGCCGGGGUCUCGUCUCCUUCCCGACAAGCUCCUCUUACCGGGGCCUUGUUCCCUUCCCGGCAAGCUCCUCUUGCAGGGGCCUUGUUUUUCUCUUGGAUACUUUGUACUUGAAUGGCUCCAGAGGAACCAUGGAGGGUCUUGGCGGUCGCCCGGCAAGCCUUGCCGCGGGUCGCUGCGACUGCCCGUGCACAAGUUCGGGGUACUAAGGUACCCCUACUUUAGUACACCAACAGAGGGCCAUCCUCGGUACUCACACUUAUCUUGAGUAUUUAGUAGUAUCCAUUUACUUGUCUAUGAACUGUAUAGGCAACCAAGUAGUCCUUUACCGCGGACGUGGCUAUUCGAAUAGUUUUAUACCCUGCAGGGGUGUACUUCGUCAUACACGCUUUCACCACUUAUCGCCGUUUACACGACAUGUACUCGGCAACCUUCAAGCGGAAGCCCAGCGAGGGUGUCGGCCACGGCCUACCUAAACACUUAAGUCUCUAGUCCAGGUUUAUCGCCUAUCCAGGUUCCAUCGGCAGGGAGUGCGGCCGAGGUUUCCACAUACGGCCCCGAACGAUGUGAACAGGGUUCCGAGAUGCCAAACGGGCGCCCGGCAUACCCGGCCAGGUGUAUCUACCGCAACAUAGCCCACCCCUAGGGUCAGCGCUACGCACGGCCGCCAACACAUAACCUACAAACCCAGAAACUAUAUGCAACUCCUGGACAGAGUACAAGGGUGAUUAAGAAGCCGAGAGGGUCAAUUAAGGAUCCCAAUGCGUGGUAGUAGCUGAAUCUUAAAUCAACAUACAGAUCUCAGUUCUUAGGGACGGUCUCAAUGAAACAACCCACCAUGUACUCCUACAUGGCCUCUCAUCGAUACCUUUACCAAAACAUGUUCAACACAUUCCUCAUAUUACCGACAUAAUCAUAUCACCCUAGCCCAUCACCCAGAUGAACCAGACCUGACACAACUCUAAGCAUAGCAGGCAUAGCAAGGUAGGAAUCACAUACAUGGCUCAAUCAAAUCAUACACAUGCUAGUGGGUUUCAUCUAGUUAUUGUGGCAAUGACAGGCCAUGUAGAGGAUAAGGGUUCAACUACCGUAGCACACAACAGUUUGAAUCGCGUUGUCUUAAUGAAGUAAACAAGAGCAGAGGCGAGAACAUGGGUUGUAUCGGAAUGAUCAAUGGGUUGCUUGCUUGAUGGAGUGGUAGUGGGAUACUGCCCUUCAGUUGGAUACUCGUGAAUAUCCUCGGAGGUAGAACCUACCACGAAGAACACAUCGGAACACAAUCAACACAUGACGAUAUGCAACAAUAUGAUGCAUGCUAUGACGUGUCUUGGCCUAAUGCAAGCUAAAAUAGAAAGGGAUGAACUCAUUUGAAUCAAAGAUUCAAAUAUUAGCUCACUAAACAUGGCCUUAGUAGUGCAUUUCCUUAUUCUGCUUAAACAGCAAGGUAAACUUGUUUUGUCAUGCAUGAAACCAUUACAGAUGGAUAGAUUGAAUUUUUCUGAUAAUUUUUCAUAUAUAAAUUAUUUCAUUUGGAGUUACGGUUGAAUUUCUAUGAUUUCUAGAAGUUUUAAACAUUUUCUGGAAAUUCCUGAAUAAAAAUAAAUCCAGAAAAUGCAUUACUACGUCAGCAUUGCGUCAUGCUGGCCUCGGCAGGUCAAAGGCGCCAGCCCAGGUCAAACCUGACUGGUGGGCCCCUUCUGUCAGUCUCUCAGUUAAAUAACAGGAUUAGAUUAACACUAAUUAGCUGUCAGUGGGGCCUGGGCCCACAUGUCAGUGACUAAUUAAAAUCAAAUUAGUUAAAACUAAACCUAGAUUAGUUAGCAGACUGGCCCCACCUGUCAUAGACUCAGGGGGGGUCUACCUGGGCCCACCCAGGGUCAAACUCGCCGGCGUUGAGCCGCCGGCGAGACCCGAGACGGUGGCGCAGCUCGAAAAACGCCUACAGGGCACGAGCGAGGCCGUUCAUGGGCUCGUUGGAGAGCUCUUGCAGUCGCGCAUCUAGUGGUGGUGGUGGCCGGGCCUACGGUGGCCGGAGACGACGACGGCGAGCUCCAAGGCGGCGGCCGGAGUUCGGCCAUGUGCGGGGUGUGGGCUGUGGCGUGCAAACGUGGAAACUGAGGCACUAGCGAGGCACUACGCGAUGCGGCAAGCACGUUGCGUAGCACGGGAUGACCAAAUGGUCGCCGGAGCGGCGCCGGCGACAAGCUCGAGCGGAGACGAGCUUCGGCCAUGGUGGCACUAUGGCCUAGAGGGUGCAAACGCGUGGAAAAGAAGAGGGGAAAGGUGGCGGAGCUCACAGGCAGGUCGAUGAGCAGCUCAGUGGGCUCGGGGGCGACCGGAGUGAGGCGAAUCGAUGAGCGGCGUCCGGCGGGUACCGAGGUUGAAGACAAUCCGAUGGCGGCGAUGCAGGGCCUCCGGCGAUGCGUGGCUCGGUGGGGAGGGCGGGGGCGUCACGGCGCAGCUUCUGGACAGGUCAGAGAGGCGAGGGGGUGACGGAGGGCGCGACUACGGCGGUGAGACGGCGAUUAGAAAGAAAGAUUUGGUUCACUCGUACGUGAAAAAAGGAACAAGCGCUUGAUGCCUUCCUUUGCAUCGAUGCCAGACGCGGUGCUGGGAAUCGACAAGAUAACCGCCAAUCUACCAGGAUUAAAUUCCUAGCGCCUCCUUCUAGCGCCUCCCACUGAAAAUGCCCUAACGAUUUUUGAGGGAUUUUUUUACUGUGUCCUACUUCACGAAUCACGAGGCAAAUCAAGUAGGCGGCAUGGCCUGGCCGGUGAGUGCCAUUGCACUUACUUGCCCCAGCAAUUUUCCGCGUGCAUUGUAGAAUUCUUUCUCCGAGUCCUGUGAAUUAAAGAUGGUGCAGACAAAAGUAUAUCCUGUAUGCGUACAUGUGCAUGAUCAGAACAUGUUUUUACGUGCGUCUACUAUAAAUCAUGACCAUUUUUAACACAAAUCAUGACCAUUCAUGAUUAGUGAAUCAUACUGUCUUAACUUAUGUGAAAUCAUGUGGAGUAAUAUAAUAUAAUAUAAUAGAUAGAUAGAUCCAUGUUGUAUUAUUUUUUGUUUACAAAAAAUAUCUGUCAUUACACAUUUUGAUUUAUGCAUUUGUUUACAAAAAAAACAGUAACAUUUCAUGGUGGAAAGUUUGUAUUGUUUCAUACUGAACACCAAUGUUUUCCUGUAAAAGAAAAUAAUGCCUACGCAUAUGCUUUUAUAUUAUUAUUAUUCUUUCAAACUUAUUCAUACAGUAUUUUUGAUUGUGCAACCAUAAUUUUUAUUGUCUCUCUCGUUCCACUACAUGCUCUUACUCAAUGAUUUUUUUUAUAACGGGUGUUUUUAUUAACUCAAAAUAUAGUAUCAAGCGGAUACAAAACAUAAUGAGCCACACCUGGUCUCUGCAUAACUAAGAUGCAUACAGCUAAAAGCAGAUGUCUGACAAAAAUAAGAUAAGAAAAUCGACAUAUCGACAACAGUGAGUCAUAUAGUUCCGACACUAUGCCUCUGUUGAAGGACGGGGUGGAGCGAUCUGAAGAUUAUGCUGCCCUCCAUGUUGAGUAAAUACCUCCCUGGCCACUUGUUCCAACCGCAUAGACGCCGCCACGAAUAAUGGUCGGUACUCUGUUCGGUGUAGCAUACACCAUGUAGGAAGUGAGUGCUCACUUCUAGUUACUAAAUUAUGUACACACUAAUAGAAAAAGGGCCAUUUGUCCCGGUUCGUAAGGCCCAUUUGUCCCAGUUGGGGAACCGGGACUAAAGGGUCGGUACUAAAGCCCUACACAUUUAGUCCCGGUUCUUACACCAUCCGAGACAGAUGGGGCUCCACGUGGCCGCUACAGCUUGCCGUGGCAGGGGGGCCUUUUGUCCCGGUUGGUAGCACCAACCGGGACCAAUAAGCUACCACGCGUCAGCAUUUGAGGGCUAGGUUUUUUGUUUUUUUUCNNNNNNNNNNNNNNNNNNNNNNNNNNNNNNNNNNNNNNNNNNNNNNNNNNNNNNNNNNNNNNNNNNNNNNNNNNNNNNNNNNNNNNNNNNNNNNNNNNNNNNNNNNNNNNNNNNNNNNNNNNNNNNNNNNNNNNNNNNNNNNNNNNNNNNNNNNNNNNNNNNNNNNNNNNNNNNNNNNNNNNNNNNNNNNNNNNNNNNNNNNNNNNNNNNNNNNNNNNNNNNNNNNNNNNNNNNNNNNNNNNNNNNNNNNNNNNNNNNNNNNNNNNNNNNNNNNNNNNNNNNNNNNNNNNNNNNNNNNNNNNNNNNNNNCAAAUGAAGUAAACCAUUAAGUACAGAAGUUCGUCAUGAACAUAUGCAUACAAACAUAAGUGAUAUCGACCUCUCCUUCUCCGACAGAUAGGUCGAACAACAAGUUUCCGUAUAUCUAUCCGGCGCUACUAGCUACAUAUAUACAAUAUUAAGAUCUCUUACAAUAUAAUCCCCUAAUUAUAAAUGAACUCAGCUUCGAGAUGGUAUUCUCCGGCUUUAUUGAUGACGUGGUCAAGAAAGAAUCCCUCCAAUUCCUCUUGAAUUGCUUUGAUGCGAUCUUGUGGUAGGAGUUCAUCCCGCAUCUGCCACAUCUAAUUUGAAGAAGGGGGUCAAUCACCAGUAGAAUAACAGCCAUUUGUCCUGGUUCAUAAGGUUAAUUUGUCCCGGUUGGGGAACCGAGACUAAAGGGUCGUUACUAAAGCCCUACACCUUUAGUCCUGGUUCUUACACCAACUGGGACAGAUGGGCCUCCAUGUGGCUGCUGCGGCGAGCCCAGGCCGGAGGUCCUUUGGUCCCGGUUAGUGGCACUGAUACGUCUCCAACGUAUCUAUAAUUUUUGAUUGCUCCAUGCUAUUAUGUUAUCUAUUUUGGAUGUUAAUGGGCUUUAUUUUACACCUUUAUAUCAUUUUUGGGACUAACCUACUAAUCGGAGGCCCAACCCAAAUUGCUGUUUUCUGCCUAUUUUAGGUUUUCGAAGAAAAGGAAUAUCAAACGGAGUCCAAACGGAAUGAAACCUUCGAGAACGUGAUUUUCUCAACGAACAUGAUUCAGGAGACUUGGAGUGUGCGCCAAGAAACAAGGGAGGAAGGCACGAGGCAGGGGGGGCGCGGCUACCCUCUUGGGCACGCCCUCCACCCUCGUGGGCCCUCCGCUGCUCCACCGACGUACUUCUUCCUCCUAUAUAUAUCCACGUACCCCCAAACAUCCAGGAGCACCACGAAAACCUAAUUCCACCGCUGCAACCUUCUGUACCCAAGAGAACCCAUCUUGGGGCCUUUUCUGGAGGUCCACCGGAGGGGGCAUCGAUCAGGGAGGGCCUCUACAUCAACUCCAUGGCCUCUCCGGUAAUGUGUGAGUAGUUUACUUCAGACCUACGGGUCUAUAGUUAUUAGCUAGAUGGCUUCUUCUUCUCUCUUUGGAUCUCAAUAAAAAGUUCUCCUCGAUUUUCUUGGAGAUCUAUUCGAUGUAACCUUCUUUUGCAGUGUGUUUGUCGAGAUCCGAUGAAUUGUGGGUUUAUGAUCCAGAUUAUCUAUGAACAAUAUUUGAUUCUCCUAUGAAUUCUAUUAUGUAUGACUGGUUUAUCUUUGCAAGUCUCUUCGAAUUAUCAGUUCGGUUUGGCCUACUAGAUUGAUUUCUUGCAAUGGGAGAAGUGCUUAGCUUUGGGUUCAAUCUUGUGGUGUUUGAUCCCAGUGACAGAAAGGGAACCAAUACGUAUUGUAUUGUUGCCAUCGAGGAUAAAAAGAUGGGGUUUAUAUCAUAUCGCAUGAGUUUAUCCCUCUACAUCAUGUCAUCUUCCUUAAAGCAUUACUAUGUUCUCUUGAACUUAAUACUCUAGAUGCAUGCUAGAUAGCGGUCCAUGUGUCGAGUAAUAGUAGUAGAUGCAGAAUCGUUUCGGUCUACUUGUCUAGGACGUGAUGCCUAUAUACAUGAUCAUACCUAGAUAUUCUCAUAACUAUGCUCAAUUCUGUACAAUAUGGUGCACGGGGUUACAUCGGCCUGUAAAGACAUUUAUGCGAUGUGAGACAUCCGAAAAGCAACGAAAACGGGAGAUUAUACAUUUAUUGAAGAGGGCCGGUGUGACAGAUACCGUGAGGGCGUCGAGCUCAGCCAAAGACGACGGACAGCUGAGCACGGCCUGUGUCAGAGCCGGUGCGGGAGCAAGUGCAGGUGCAGGUGCUGGUGCAACGCUAGUCGAGCUGCUCCUGAAGAAGUCAACAAUGGGAAAGUCCGCUGCAUUUUUUCUGCAUUUUGCGUGCUCCAAUUGAAAAUGGCUGGAACCAAGACAGUAGACAUAUCUGCAACCACCUGUUUUCCAGCAGCUACCGCUGUCGCGACUGUCUCAGAUGAUUUCUUCUCAACCGCAAUCUCAACCUUCUUGUCGAUGUUUUAUUCGGUUAACCUCCAUCUUUCCUUUCUCUCCUCUGUGGUCUCACGGUAGUACUUCUUCCACGUGGCCCCGUCUCCGACACCGUGAACGCGUCCAUACGACGACCGAGUCUCCACCGGGAGUCCUUUCAAUAUGUUCAAUGCCCGGUUGAAUGGAGUGUCCCACUUGGGCCUUGCCAAUGCCUCAGACGGCGAGUCGCUUUCGGCCGCAAUCUUGUGCUGCUCUCUUUACAAAAGGAACACGGAUCAUUUACAAAUAUGACUAAACGUGCAGUCAAAUUGAUCAGAAACUAAAAUUACCGGCAGUCUCAUGAACUCCGUCGUGAUCGGGUCCGUCUUGAAAACCUUCUUGACUUAGUCCCAAUGGUGCCGUGCCUUGAGGACGUCAUCCUCCUACGGGAUGGUGAAGUCCGCCAAGGGGUCUGGGAUGCCAGAUUUUCGCAUUCCGUGUCCUCCUUGGCCCAUAUGGACCUCUUCCUGCCGUAACCACUGCUUCCGAGGUGGUGGCGCCCCAUGUUCCUUUGUGGAAGCCCCUUCAUGUACUUCGACUUUGUUUUGGCAGCUUCGGCCUCGCAAGCCGCCUUGAAUAUUUCAAAGUGCUCUCCCAUGAUUGUCAGAUUAUCCUUUACAAUCUCGGAGUAGGGUUGAUACGUCUCCAACGUAUCUAUUAUUUUUGAUUGCUCCAUGCUAUAUUAUCUCCUAUUUUGGACAAUAUUGGGCUUUAUAAUCGACUUUUAUAUUAUUUUUGGGACUAACCUAUUAACCGGAGGCCCAGCCUAGAAUUGUUGUCUUUUGCCUGUUUUAGGGUUUCGAAGAAAAGGAAUAUCAAACGGAGUCCAAACGGAAUGAAACCUUCGGGAACGUGAUUUUCUGAACGAACAAGACCCAGGAGACUUGGACCCUAUGUCAAGACACAAAAGAGGAGGACACGAGGUAGGGGGCGCACCUACCCCCCCCCCCCCCUCGAGGCACGCCCUCCACCCUCGUGGGGCCCCUGUUGCUCCACCGAUGUACUCCUUCCUCCUAUAUAUACCUACGUACCCCCAAACGAUCAGAUACAGAGCCAAAACCCUAAUUCCACUACCGCAACUUUCUGUAUCCACGUGAUCCCAUCUUGGGGCCUGUUCCGGAGCUCCGCCAGAGGGGGCAUCGAUCACGGUGGGCUUCUACAUCAACACCAUAGCCUCUCCGAUGAAGUGUGAGUAGUUCACCUCAGACGUACGGGUCCAUAGUUAUUACCUAGAUGGCUUCUUCUCUCUUUUUGGAUCUCAAUACAAUGUUCUCCCCCUCUCUUGUGGAGAACUAUUCGAUGUAAUCUUCUUUUUGCGGUGUGUUUAUUGAGACCGAUGAAUUGUGGGUUUAUGAUGAAGUCUAUCUAUGAAUAAUAUUUGAAUCUUCUCUGAAUUCUUUUAUGUAUGAUUGUUUAUCUUUGCAAGUCUCUUUGAAUUAUCAGUUUGGUUUGGCCUACUAGAUUGAUCUUUCUUACAAUGGGAGAAGUACUUAGCUUCGGGUUCAAUCUUGCGGUGUCCUUUCCCAAUGACAGUAGGGGCAGCAAGGCAUGUAUUGUAUUGUUGCCAUCGAGGACAACAAGAUGGGGUUUUCAUCAUAUUGCAUGAGUCUAUCCCUCUACAUCAUGUCAUCUUGCUUAAGGCGUUACUCUGUUUUUAACUUAAUACUCUAGAUGCAUGCUGGAUAGCGGUCGAUGAGUGGAGUAAUAGUAGUAGAUGCAGGGAGGAGUCGGUCUACUUGUCUCAAACGUGAUGCCUAUAUACAUGAUCAUACCUAGAUAUUCUCAUAACUAUGCUCAAUUCUGUCAAUUGCUCAACAGUAAUUUGUUCACCCACCAUAGAAUAAUUAUGCUCUUGAGAGAAGCCACUAGUGAAACCUAUGGCCCCUGGGUCUAUCUUUAUCAUAUUAAUCUCCUAUUACUUAGUUAUUUCCUUUGCUUUUUCCUUUGCCUUUAUUUUACUUUUCAUCUUUAUCACAAAAAUACCAAACAUAUUAUCUUUAUCAUACCUAUCAGAUCUCACUCUCGUAAGUGGCUGUGUAGGGAUUGACAACCCCUAUUCGCGUUGGUUGCGAGGAUUUAUUUCUUUUGUGCAAGUACGAGGGACUCGCGCGUAGCCUCCUACUGGAUUGAUACCUUGGUUCUCAAAAACUGAGGGAAAUACUUACGCUACUUUGCUGCAUCAUCCCUUCCUCUUCGGGGAAAACCAACGUAGUUCUCAAGAGCUGGCAAGAUGGAUUUCUGGCGCCGUUGCCGCGGAGGUCUACGCAAAAGUCAACAUACCAAGUACCCAUCACAUACCCUUAUCUCCCUCAUUACAUUAUUUGCCAUUUGCUUCUCGUUUUCCUCUUCCCCACUUCACCCUUGCCUUUUUAUUCGCCCUCUCUCUCUAUCCUCCCUCUCUUUCUCUAUUUGCCUCUUUUUCCCUACUUGCUUUCUGUUUGCUUGUGUGUUAGUUGCUUGCUUGUCACGAUGGCUCAAGAUAAUACUAAAUUACGUGACUUCACCAAUACCAACAACAAUGAUUUUAUUAGCACUCCGAUUUCUCCUCUUACCGAUGCUGAAUCUUGAGAAAUUAAUACUGCUUUGCUGAAUCUUGUCAUGAAAGAUCUGUUUUCCUGCCUUCCUAGUGAAGAUGCCGCUACCCACAUAAAUAGAUUCGUUGAUUUGUGUGACAUGCAAAAGAAGAAAGGUGUGGAUAAUGAUAUUGUUAAAUUGAAGCUAUUUCCUUUUUCGCUUAGAGAUCGUGCUAAAGCUUGGUUUUCGUCUUUGCCUAAAAAUAGUAUUGAUUCAUGGAAUAAGUGCAAAGAUGCUUUUAUCUCUAAGUAUUUUCCUCCUGCUAAGAUCAUCUCUCUUAGAAAUGAUAUUAUGAAUUUUAAGCAACUUGAUCAUGAACAUGUUGCACAAGCUUGGGAGAGAAUGAAACUAAUGAUACGUAAUUGACCUGCCCAUGGUUUAAAUUUGUGGAUGAUUAUACCAAAUUUUUAUGCCGGAUUGAACUUUGCUUCUAGAAAUCUUUUAGAUUAGGCCGCAGGAGGCACUAUUAUGGAAAUCACUUUAGGAGAAGCUACUAAACUCCUAGAUAAUAUUAUGGUUAAUUAUUCUCAACGGCAUACCGAAAGUUCUACUAAUAAAAAGGUGCAUGCGAUAGAAGAAAUUAAUGUUUUGAGUGGAAAGAUGGAUGAACUUCUGAAAUUAUUUGCUAAUAAGAGUAUUUCUUCUGAUCCUAAUGAUAUGCCCUUGUCUACUUUGAUUGAGAAUAAUAAUGAAUCUAUGGAUGUGGAUUUUGUUGGUAGGAACAAUUUUGGUAACAACGCGUAUAGAGGAAAUUUCAACCCUAGGCCUUAUCCUAGUAAUCUCUCUAAUAAUUAUGGUAAUUCCUACAGCAAUUCUUAUGGAAAUUAUAAUAAGAUGCAUACUGAUUUUGAAUCUAAUAUUAGAGAAUUUAUUACUUUGCAAAAGAAUUUCAAUGCUUUGAUUGAAGAAAAAUUGCUUAAGAUUGAUGAUUUGGCUAGGAACAUUGAUAGAAUUACUCUUGAUGUUGAUUCUUUGAAACUUAGAUCUAUUCCACCUAAGCAUGAUGUCAAUGAGUCUCUCAAAGCCAUGAGAAUUUCCAUUGAUGAGUGCAAAGAAAGAACCACUAGGAUGCGUGCUAAGAAAGAUGCCUUUAUAAGAGCGUGUUCUUCUAGUUCCUAUGAAAAUAAUGAUGAAGAUCAAAAAGUUAUUGAUGUGCUCCCUAUUAAAUCUUUGUUUUGCAAUACGAAUCUUGAUAAUCAUGGGACUGAAUAUGAUCCACCUUUACCUAGAAGGCGUUCCAAGAAUUCAGAAUUUGUUGAUCUUGAUGGUAAAACUGAUAAAGGUGGGAUUGAAGAAAUUAAAACCCUAGAUGUUGCUAAACCCACUAUUAUGGAUUUCAAGGAACUUAACUAUCAAAACUGCCCUUUGAUUGAUUGUAUAUCCUUGUUACAAUCCGUGCUAAAUUCUCCUCAUGCUUAUAGUCAAAAUAAAGCAUUUACUAAACAUAUCGUUGAUGCCUUGAUGCAAUCUUAUGAAGAAAAACUUGAAUUGGAAGUUUCUAUCCCUAUAAAGCUUUAUGAUGAGUGGGAACCAACUAUUAAAAUUAAAAUUAAAUAUCAUGAAUGCUAUGCUUUAUGUGAUUUUGUGUGCUAGUGUUUCCACGAUUCCAAAGACUUUGUGUGAUUUGUUAGGUUUCCAUGAUUUUGAUGAUUGCUCUUUAAACUUGCACCUUGCGGAUUCCACUAUUAAGAAACCUAUGGGAAGAAUUAAUGAUGUUCUUAUUGUUGCAAAUAGCAAUUAUGUUCCCGUAGAUUUUAUUGUUCUUGACAUAGAUUGCAAUCUUUCAUGUCCUAUUAUUCUUGGUAGACCUUUCCUUAGAACGACUGGUGCAAUUAUUGAUAUGAAGGAAGGAAAUAUUAGAUUCCAAUUUCCAUUAAGGAAAGGCAUGGAACACUUUCCUAGAAAGUAAAUUAAAUUACCUUAUGAAUCUAUUAUGAUAGCCACUUAUGGAUUGCCUACCAAAGAUGGCAAUACCUAGAUCUAUCCUUGCUUGUUAUGCCUAGCUAGGGGCGUUAAACGAUAGCGCUUGUAGGGAGGCAACCCAAUUUUAUUUUUACUCCUUGAUUUUUGCUCCUGUUUAGUAAUAAAUAAUUUAUAUAGCCUCUGUUUUGCUUGUGUUCUUUGUGUUUAAUUAGUGUUUGUGCCAAGUAGAACCGUUAGGAAGACUUGGGGAAAGUCAUGUUACACUUGCUGUAAAAAACUGAAACUUCAGCGCUCACGAGAACUGCUGCCGUUUUUAUUUGGAAAGUGCUAUUUAGUUAAUUAUUUUUUCAGAUAAAUUCCUCACAUCCAGAAAUUUAUUUUAGAAUUUUUGGGGUUCCAGCUCUUGAGCUAGCUACAGAGUACUACCGACUGUUCUGUUUUUGAAAGAUUCUGUUUUUCGUGUGUUGUUUGCUUAUUUUGAUGAAGCUAUGGCUAGUAAAAUAUUUUAUAAACCAUAGAGAAGUUGGAAUACAGUAGGUAUAACACCAAUAUAAAUAAAUAAUGAGUUCAUUACAGUACCUUGAAGUGGUCUUUUAUUUUCUUUCGCUAACGGAGCUCAUGAGAUAUUCUACUUUAAGUUUUGUGUUGUGAAGUUUUCAAGUUUUGGGUAAAGAUUUGAUGCAUUAUGGAACAAGGAGUGACAAGAGCCUAAGCUUGGGGAUGCCCAUGGCACCCCCAAGAUAAUCUAAGUACACCUAAAAGCCAAAGCUUGGGGAUGCGCCGGAAGUCAUCCCCUCUUUCAUCUACUUCUAUCGGUAACUUUACUUGGAGCUAUAUUUUUAUUCGCCACAUGAUAUGUGUUUUGCUUGGAGCGUCUUGUAUUAUUUGAGUCUUUAUUUGUUAGUUUACCACAAUCAUCCUUGCUGUACACACCUUUUGAGAGAGUCAUACAUGACUUGGAAUUUGUUAGAAUACACUAUGUGUUUCGCUUAUAUCUUUUGAGUUAUAUAGUUUUGCUCUAGUACUUCACUUCUAUCGUUUAGAGCACGGUGGUGGAUUUGUUUUAUAGAAACUAUUGAUCUCUCAUGCUUCACUUAGAUUAUUUUGAGAUUCUUAAUAGCAUGUUAAUUUGCUUAAAAUCCUAAUAUGCUAGGUAUUCAAAGUUAGUAAAAUUUUCUUAAGAGUGUUUUGAAUACUAAGAGAAGUUUGAUGCUUGAUGAUUGUUUUGAGAUAUGGAGGUAAUAAUAUCAAAGUCAUUCUACUUGAGUAGUUGUGAAAUUGAGAAAUACUAGUGUUGAAGUUUGCAUGUCCCGUAGCACGCACGUAUGGUAAACGUUGUGUAACAAAUUUGAAACAUGAGGUGUUAUUUGAUUGUCUUCCUUGUGAGUGGCGGUCGGGGACAAGCUAUGGUCUUUUCCUACCAAUCUAUCCCCCUAGGAGCAUGCGCGUAGUACCAAGGUUUUUGAUGACUUGUAGAUUUUUGCAGUAAGUAUGUGAGUUCUUUAUGACCAAUGUUGAGUCCUUGAAUUAUACGCACUCUCACCCUUCCAUCCUUGCUAGCCUCUUCGGUACCGUGCAUUGCCCUUUCCCACAUUGAGAGUUGGAGCAAACUUCGCCAGUGCAUCCAAACCCCGUGAUAUGAUACGCUCUUUAACACAUAAACCUCCUUAUAUCUUCCUCAAAAUAGCCACCAUACCUACCUAGUAUGGCAUUUCCAUAGCCAUUCCGACAUAUAUUGCCAUGCAACUUUCCACCAUUCCGUUCAUCAUGACACAUUCAUCAUUGUCAUAUUGCUUAGCAUAAUCAUGUUGUUGACAUAGUAUUUGUGGCAAGGCCACCGUUCAUAAUUCUUUCAUACAUGUCACUCUUGGUCCAUUGCAUGUCCCGGUACACCGCCGGAGGCAUUCAUAUAGAGUCCUACUUUGUUCUAGUAUCGAGUAGUAAUUAUUGAUUCGUAAAUAAAUAGAAGUGUGAUGAUCAUCAUUAAUAGAGCAUGGUCCCAAAAAGAAAAAAAGGAAGUGCCAAAAAAGGCCAAAUAAAAAAAUAUAAAAAAGGGGGGCAAUGCUACUAUCCUUUUUUUCCACACUUGUGCUUCAAAGUAGCACCGUAAUCUUCAAGAUAGAGAGUCUCUUGAUUUGUCACUUUCAUAUACUAGUGGGAAUUUUUCAUUAUAGAACUUGGCUUGUAUAUUCCAAUAAUGGGCCUCCUCAAGUGCCCUAGGUCUUCGUGAGCAAGCAAGUUGGAUGCACACCCACUUAGUUUCUUUUGUUGAGCUCUCAUACAUUUAUAGCUCUAGUGCAUCCGUUGCAUGGCAAUCCCUACUCAUUGCAUUAACAUCAAUUAAUGGGCAUCUCCAUAGCCCAUUGAUUAGCCUCGUUGAUGUGAGACUUUCUCCUUUUUGUCUUCUCCACAUAACCCCACUCAUUAUAUUCUAUUCCACCCAUAGUGUUAUGUCCAUGGCUUGCAAUCAUAUAUUGCAUGAAAGUUUAUAGGUUUGAGAUCACUAAAGUAUGAAACAAUUGCUUGGCUUGUCAUCGGGGUUGUGCAUGAUGAGAGCAUUCUUGUGUGACGAAAAUGAAGCAUGACUAAACUAUAUGAUUUUGUAGGGCUGAACUUUCUUUGGCCGUGUUAUUUUGAGAAGACAUAAUUGCUCAGUUAGUAUGCUUGAAGUAUUAUAAUUUUAUGUCAAUAUGAACUUUUGUCUUGAAUGUUUCAGAUCUGAAUAUUCAUACCACAAUUAAAAAGAAUUACAUUAAAAUCAUGCCAUGUAGCACUCCGCAUCAAAAAUUCUGUUUUUAUCAUUUACCUACUCGAGGACGAGCAGGAAUUAAGCUUGGUGAUGCUUGAUACGUCUCCAACGUAUCUAUAAUUUUUGAUUGCUCCAUGUAUAUUAUCUAUUGUUUUGGACAAUAUUGGGCUUUAUUAUCCACUUUUAUAUUAUUUUUGGGACUAACCUAUUAACCGGAGGCCCAGCCCAGAAUUGUUGUUUUUUGCCUGUUUUAGGGUUUCGAAGAAAAGGAAUAUCAAACGGAGUCCAAACGGAAUGAAACCUUCGGGAACGUGAUUUUCUCAACGAACAAGACCUAGGAGACUUGGACCCUCCAUCAAGACAUAAAAGAGGAGGCCACGAGGUAGGGGGCGUGCCUACCCCCCCCCCCCCCGGCGCGCCCUCCACCCUCGUGGGCCCCCCUGUUGCUCCACCGACGUACUCCUUCCUCCUAUAUAUACCUACUAUUGGGGAACGUAGCAGAAUUUUAAAAUUUUCUAUGCAAGAUCAAUCUAUGGAGUCAUCUAGCAACGAGGGAGAGAGGAGUGCAUCUACAUACCCUUGUAGAUCGCGCGCGGAAGCGUUCAAGAGAACGGGGUUGAUGGAGUCGUACUCGUCGUGAUCCAAAUCACCGAUGACCAAGUGCCGAACGGAUAGCACCUCCGCGUUCAACACACGUACGGUUGGGAAGACGUCUCCUCCUUCUUGAUCCAGCAAGGGGGAAGGAGAGGUUGAUGAAGAUCCAGCAGCACGAUGGCAUGGUGGUGGAUGCAGCAGGAUCCCGGCAGGGCUUCGCCAAGUGCAAGCGGGGAGGAGAGGUGUUACGGAAGGAGAGGGAGGCGCCAAGAGAAAGGGUGCGGCUACCCUCCCUCCCCCCCUCUUUAUAUAGGGGCCUUGGGGGGCGCCGGCCCUAGGAGAUGGAUCUCCAAGGGGGGCGAAGGCCAAGGGGUGGCUUCCCCCCCAAGCCAAGUGGGGGGCGCCCCCACCCCUAGGGUUUCCCAACCCUAGGUGCAGGGGAGGCCCAAGGGGGGCGCACCAGCCCACUAGGGGCUGGUUCUGCUCCCAAUUCAGCCCAUGGGGCCCUCCGGGAUGGGUGGCCCCACCCGGUGGACCCCCGGGACCCUUCCGGUGGUCCUGGUACUAUACCGGUGACCCCCGAAACCUUUCCGAUGGCCGAAACUGUACUUCCUAUAUAUAAAUCUUUACCUCCGGACCAUUCCGGAACUCCUCGUGAUGUCCGGGAUCUCCUCCGGGACUCCGAACAUAUCCUGGGUUACUACAUACUAAUAUCUCUACAACCCUAGCGUCACCGAACCUUAAGUGUGUAGACCCUACGGGUUCGGGAGACAUGCAGACAUGACCGAGACGCCUCUCCGGUCAAUAACCAACAGCGGGAUCUGGAUACCCAUGUUGGCUUCCACAUGCUCCAUGAUGAUCUCAUCGGAUGAACCACGAUGUCGAGGAUUCAAUCAAUCUGUAUACAAUUCCCUCUGUCAAUCGGUAGGUUACUUGCCCGAGACUCGAUCGUCGGUAUCCCAAUACCUCGUUCAAUCUCGUUACCAGCAAGUCACUUUACUCGUGCCGUAAUGCAUGAUCCCAUGAUCAACCACUUGGUCACAAUGAGCUCAUUAUGAUGAUGCAUUACCGAGUGGGCCCAGAGAUACCUCUCCGUCAUACGGAGUGACAAAUCCCAGUCUCGAUUCGUGCCAACCCAACAGACACUUUCAGAGAUACCUGUAAUGUUCCUUUAUAGUCACCCAGUUACGUUGUGACAUUUGGCACACCCAAGGCACUCCUACGGUAUCCGGGAGUUGCCCAAUCUCAUGGUCUAAGGAAAUGAUACUUGACAUUCGGAAAAGCUACAGCAAACGAACUACACGAUCUUUGAGCUAUGCUUAGGAUUGGGUCUUGUCCAUCACAUCAUUCUCCUAAUGAUGUGAACCCGUUAUCAAUAACAUCCAAUGUCCAUAGUCAGGAAACCAUGACUAUCUUUUGAUCAACGAGCUAGUCAACUAGAGGCUCACUAGGGACGUGUUGUCUUCUAUGUAUUCACACAUGUAUUACGAUUUCCGGAUAACACAAUUAUAGCAUGAACAAUAGACAAUUAUCAUGAACAAAGAAAUAUAAUAAUAACCAUUUUAUUAUUGCCUCUAGGGCAUAUUUCCAACAGUCUCCCACUUGCACUAGAGUCAAUGUCUAGUUACAUUGUGAUGAAUCGAACACCCUUGAAGUUCUGGAGUUGAUCAUAUUUUUCUCUAGGGAGAGGUUUAGUCAAUGGAUCUGCCACAUUCAGGUCCGUAUGUACUUUACAAAUCUCUAUGUCUCCAUUUUGAACAACUUCACGAAUGGAGUUGAAGUGACGCUUGAUAUGCCUGGUCUUCCUGUGAAACCUGGGCUCCUUGGCAAGUGCAAUAGCUCCAGUGUUGUCACAGAAUAGAGUCAUCGGGCACGGUGCAUUGGGUAUGACUCCUAGGUCGGUAAUGAACUCCUUCACCCAGACUGCUUCUUGUCCUGCCUCCGAGGCUACCAUGUACUCCGCUUCACAUGUAGAUCCCGCCACAACGCUUUGCUUGCAACUCCACCAGCUUAUUGCCCCACCAUUCAAAAUAUACACGUAUCCGGUUUCCGACUUAGAGUCAUCCAGAUCUGUGUCGAAGCUAGCAUCGACGUAACCCUUUACGACGAGCUCUUCGUCACCUACAUAAACGAGAAACAUAUCCUUACUCCUUUUUAGGUACUUGAGGAUAUUCUUGACCGCUGUCCAUGUUAGGGAACGUUGUAAUUUCAAAAAAAUUCCUACGCACACGCAAGAUCAUGGUGAUGCAUAGCAACGAGGGGAGAGUCUGAUCUACGUACCCUUGUAGAUCGCAACGGAAGCGUUGACACAACGUAGGGGAAGUAGUCGUACGUCUUCUUCCCGAUCCGACCGAUCCAAGCACCAUUACUCCGGCACCUCCGAGUUCUUAGCACACGUUCAGCUCGAUGACGAUCCUCGGGCUCCGAUCCAGCAAAGUGUCGAGGAAGAGUUCCGUCAGCACGACGGCGUGGCGACAAUCUUAAUGUACUACCGACGCAGGGCUUCGCCUAAGCACUACAACAGUAUGAUCGAGGUGGAAUUUGGUGGCAGGGGGCACCGAACACGGCUAAGGAACGAUCUCAAUGAUCAACUUGUGUGUCUAGAGGUGCCCCCUGCCCCCGUAUAUAAAGGUUGCCAGGGGGUGGGCUGGCCGGCCAAAGGAGGAGGGCGCAGGAGGAGUCCUACUCCUACCGGGAGUAGGACUCCCCCCCCCAAUCCUAUUCCUAAUAGGACUCCUCGAGAGAGAGAGAGGGAGAAGGGGGCCGGCCACCUCUCCUAGUCCUAAUAGGACUAGGGGAGGGGGGAGGCGCGCAGCCCACCUUGGGCUGCCCCUUUCGCCUUUCCACUAAGGCCCAAUAAGGCCCAUUUGGUUCCCGGGGGGUUCCGGUAACCUCCCUAUACUCCGGUAAAAUUCCCGAUUUCACCCGGAACACUUCCGAUGUCCAAACAUAGGCUUCCAAUAUAUCAAUCUUUAUGUCUCGACCAUUUCGAGACUCCUCGUCAUGUCCGUGAUCACAUCCGGGACUCCGAACAACCUUCGGUACAUCAAAAUGCAUAAACUCAUAAUAACUGUCAUCGUAACGUUAAGCGUGCGGACCCUACGGUUCGAGAACAAUGUAGACAUGACCGAGACACGUCUCCGGUCAAUAACCAAUAGCGGGACCUGGAUGCCCAUAUUUGCUCCUACAUAUUCUACAAAGAUCUUUAUCGGUCAGACCGCAUAACAACAUACGUUGUUCCCUUUGUCAUCGGUAUGUUACUUGCCCGAGAUUCGAUCGUCGGUAUCCAAUACCUAGUUCAAUCUCGUUACUGGCAAGUCUAUUUACUCGUUCCGUAAUACAUCAUCUCACAACUAACAUCUUAGUUAUAAUGCUUGCAAGGCUUCUGUGAUGUGUCUUACCGAGAGGGCCCAGAGAUACCUCUCCGACAAUCGGAGUGACAAACCCUAAUCUCGAAAUACGCCAACCCAACAUCUACCAUUGGAGACACCUGUAGUACUCCUCUAUAAUCACCCAGUUAUGUUGUGACGUUUGGUAGUACCCUAAGUGUUCCUCCGGCAAACGGGAGUUGCAUAAUCUCAUAGUCAUAGGAACAUGUAUAAGUCAUGAAGAAAGCAAUAGCAACAUACUAAACGAUUGGGUGCUAAGCUAAUGAAAUGGGUCAUGUCAAUCAGAUCAUUCAACUAAUGAUGUGACCUCGUUAAUCAAAUAACAACUCUUUGUUCAUGGUUAGGAAACGUAACCAUCUUUGAUUAACGAGCUAGUCAAGUAAAGGCAUACUAGUGACACUCUGUUUGUCUAUGUAUUCACACAUGUAUUAUGUUUCCGGUUAAUACAAUUCUAGCAUGAAUAAUAAACAUUUAUCAUGAUAUAAGGAAAUAAAUAAUAACUUUAUUAUUGCCUCUAGGGCAUAUUUCCUUCAGUCUCCCACUUGCACUAGAGUCAAUUAUCUAGAUUACACAGUAAUGAUUCUAACACCCAUGGAGCCUUGGUGCUGAUCAUGUUUUGCUCAUGGAAGAUGCUUAGUCAACGGGUCUGCAACAUACAGAUCCGUAUGUAUCUUGCAAAUCUCUAUGUCUCCCACCUGGACUAGAUCCCGGAUGGAGUUGAAGCGUCUCUUGAUGUGUUUGGUCCUUUUGUGUAAUCUGGAUUCCUUUGCUAAAGCAAUUGCACCAGUAUUGUCACAAAAGAUUUUCAUUGGACCCGAUGCACUAGGUAUGACACCUAGAUCGGAUAUGAACUCCUUCAUCCAGACUCCUUCGUUCGCUGCUUCCGAAGCAGCUAUGUACUCCGCUUCACAUGUAGAUCCCGCUACGACGCUUGUUUAGAACUGCACCAAUUGACAGCUCCACCGUUUAAAGUAAACACCUAUCCGAUUUGCAAUUUAGAAUCGUCCGGAUCAGUGUCAAAGCUUGCAUCAACGUAACCUCUUACGGUGAGCUCUUUGUCACCUCCAUAUACGAGAAACAUAUCCUUAGUCCUUUUCAGGUACUUCAGGAUGUUCUUGACCGUUGUCCAGUGAUCCACUCCUGGAUUACUUUGGUACCUCCCUGCUAAACUUAUAGCAAGGCACACAUCAGGUCUGGUACACAGCAUUGCAUACAUGAUAGAGCCUAUGGCUGAAGCAUAGGGAACAUCUUUCAUUUUCUCUCUAUCUUCUGCAGUGGUCGGGCAUUGAGUCUGACUCAACUUCACACCUUGUAACACAGGCAAGAACCCUUUCUUUGCUUGAUCCAUUUUGAACUAAUUCAAAAUCUUGUCAAGGUAUGUGCUUUGUGAAAGUCCAAUUAAGCGUCUUGAUCUAUCUCUAUAGAUCUUUAUGCCUAAUAUGUAAGCGGCUUCCCCGAGGUCUUUCAUCGAAAAACUUUUAUUCAAGUAUCCCUUUAUGCUAUCCAGAAAUUCUAUAUCAUUUCCAAUCAGCAAUAUGUCAUCCACAUAUAAUAUCAGAAAUGCUACAGAGCUCCCACUCACUUUCUUGUAAAUACAGGCUUCUCCAAAAGUCUGUAUAAAGCCAAAUGCUUUGAUCACACUAUCAAAGCGUUUAUUCAAACUCCGAGAGGCUUGCACCAGUCCAUAAAUGGAUCGCUGGAGCUUGCACACUUUGUUAGCUCCCUUUGGAUCGAUAAAACCUUCUGGUUGCAUCAUAUACAACUCUUCUUCCAGAAAUCCAUUCAGGAAUGCAGUUUUGACAUCCAUCUGCCAAAUUUCAUAAUCAUAAAAUGCGGCAAUUGCUAACAUGAUUCUGACAGACUUAAGCAUCGCUACGGGUGAGAAGGUCUCAUCGUAGUCAACCCCUUGAACUUGUCGAAAAACUUUUGCGACAAGUCGAGCUUUAUAGACAGUAAUAUUACCGUCAGCGUCAGUCUUUUUCUUGAAGAUCCAUUUAUUCUCAUUUGCUUGCCGAUCAUCAGGCAAGUCAACCAAAGUCCAUACUUUGUUCUCAUAUAUGGAUCCCAUCUCAGAUUUCAUGGCUUCAAGCCACUUUGCGGAAUCUGGGCUCACCAUCGCUUCUUCAUAGUUCGUAGGUUCAUCAUGAUCUAGUAGCAUGACUUCCAGAAUUGGAUUACCGUACCACUCUAGUGCGGAUCUCACUCUGGUUGAUCUAUGUGGUUCAGUAGUAUCUUGUCCUAAAGUUUCAUGAUCAUCAUCAUUAGCUUCCUCACUAAUUGGUAUAGGUGUCGCAGAAACAGUUUUCUGUGAUGUACUAUUUUCCAAUAAGGGAGCAGGUACAGUUACCUCGUCAAGUUCUACUUUCCUCCCACUCACUUCUUUCGAGAGAAACUCCUUCUCUAGAAAUGAUCCAUUCUUAGCAACGAAUGUCUUGCCUUCGGAUCUGUGAUAGAAGGUGUACCCAACAGUCUCCUUUGGGUAUCCUAUGAAGACACAUUUCUCCGCUUUGGGUUCGAGCUUAUCAGGUUGAAGCUUUUUCACAUAAGCAUCGCAGCCCCAAACUUUAAGAAACGACAACUUUGGUUUCUUGCCAACACUACAGGAAUCGGCUACUUUGCCAUGUGCCACGGCGGACGGCAAAGGCCCGAACGGCGGACGGCAAAGGCCUUUGCCGUCAGCGGCGGACGGCAAAAGGCUCCGGCAAAGUAGGCUUCGGUAAACAGGUUCUUUGCCGUCUACUAUUGACGGCAAAGUCUUUGCCGUCUGCGGCGGACGGCAAAGAGAGAGCAGCAGACGGCAAAGACGGCGGACGGCAAUAAUUGCGCUGUCAGUCCGUUAAGUGGCUAACGGAAGGCCUUUGCCGUCCGCCGCUGACGGCAAAAUUUCUAGGGUCUUUGCCGUCCGCCGUAUGAUGUCAUCUACACGUCACUACGUGGCAGGUUCUUUGCCGUCUGCCACUGACGGCAAAGUCUUUGCUGUCUGCCACUGUAGGCAAACUGACCAAAUGGGUCAGCUCCCAGGAAGCACAGGUGGACGCCACGUGGCUUCUUUGCCAUCCGCGGCAGACGGCAAAGAGCCCGUUGCCGUCGGUGGUAGACGGCAAAGAGCCUGCAUAUUGGCUCUUUUUUCUGUUUUUUCAUAUACCCAACCAUUUUCACAGCAAAUAGAUGAUACAUAUAUAUUUUUCACAUGGCAAGUUCACAGCAAACAUAUGAGAUAUCCAACACAUAUAAUUGCAUCAUACAUGCAUAGUUCCAUCAACCAUACAUAGCAAGUUCGACAUACAUGCAUCCAACCAUACAUAUUACAAUAGUGUCAUCCUACCAUACAUGCAUAGUUCAUAGAUACAAAGGAAACAUAGUUCAUCCAAACAAGCACUCCAUCUAUGCAAGCUUCCGUGAAGUGAAUGAAUUCUGCAAAAUGGGAAAUAAGAAAGUUAGAAGAAGAAGAUUGGAAGAAGAAGAAGUAGAAGAAGAAUAUAUAUAUAUAUAUGACAUUUAUGCGCUAAUUUAGGUGAAAUUGAUCAUUUGUGAGCUAACUUAGGUGAAAUGGAUCGUUUAUGAGCUAACCUAGGUGCAAUGGAUCGCUUAUGAGCAAACUUAAGUAAAAUGCAUCAUUUUAGAGGUAACCUAGGUAAGAUGGAUCAUUUUGGAGCUAACCUAGGUAAAAUGGGUCAUUUUAGAGCUAACUUCGGUAGAAUGGAUCAUUUAUGAGCUAGGUAAGGUUAAAUGGAUCAUUUUAGAACUAACUUAGGUAAAAUGGAUCGUUUAUGAGCUAACUUAGGUAAAAUGGAUCGUUUUUGAGCUAACUAAGGUGAAAUGAAUCGUUUUUGAGCUAACUAAGGUGAAGGGCAUCAUUUUUGAGCUAACUAAGGUGAAAUGGAUCGUUUUUGAGCUAACUAAGGUGAAAUGAAUCGUUUUUGAGCUAACUAAGGUAAAAUGGAUCGUUUUUGAGCUAACUUAGGUGAAAUGGAUCGUUUUUGAGCAAACUUAGGUGAAAUGGNNNNNNNNNNNNNNNNNNNNNNNNNNNNNNNNNNNNNNNNNNNNNNNNNNNNNNNNNNNNNNNNNNNNNNNNNNNNNNNNNNNNNNNNNNNNNNNNNNNNNNNNNNNNNNNNNNNNNNNNNNNNNNNNNNNNNNNNNNNNNNNNNNNNNNNNNNNNNNNNNNNNNNNNNNNNNNNNNNNNNNNNNNNNNNNNNNNNNNNNNNNNNNNNNNNNNNGGAUCGUUUUUGAGCUAACUAAGGUGAAAUGGAUCAUUUUUUAGCUAACUAAGGUGAAAUGGAUCGUUUUUGAGCAAACUUAGGUGAAAUGGAUCAUUUAAGAGCUAAUUUAGGUGAAAUGGAUUGUUUUUGAGCUAACUAAGGUGAAAUGGAUCGUUUUUGAGCAAACUUAGGUGAAAUGGAUCAUUUAAGAGCUAAUUUAGGUGAAAUGGAUCGUUUUUGAGCAAACUUAGGUGAAAUGGAUCAUUUAAGAGCUAAUUUAGGUGAAAUGGAUCGUUUUUAGCUAACUUAGGUGAAAUGGAUCGUUUAGGAGCUACUCUAGGUAAAUUGGGUCAUUUUAGAGCUAACUUGGAUAAACUAGAUCACUUAUAAGCUAACCUAGGUAAGAUGGGUCAUUUUGGAGCUAACUUAGGUAAAAUGGAUCGUCUAUGAGCUAACUAAGCUAAUUAUGCAAUUUUUGACAUAAGUAAGCUAAGUAUAGAUUGUUUUAGAGCUAACUUAGGUAAAAUGGAUGGUUUUGGAGGUCAGUAAGCUUAUUUAGUCAUUUUGGAGGAGAAGAAGCUAAGUCUACGUCAUUAUGGUAAGCAUUGGAGGAAAUAAAGCUAAGUCUAGGUCUUUAUGCAUGUGUUAAGCAAAACACUAGAUAAACUUACCAAGAUCCAGGAGGUGUAGGAGUGGGGUGGCUCGUGUCGGUAGCUGGAGAAGGAUCGUGCGAUGCUUGUCUGGAGUUACGCUGCACCAAAGAUCAUUUCCAAUGUCUUGUUAGCAUGAUGACACUCAAAUGUUAAGACUAGUAAGUAAUGUCCAUUCAAAUAAAACUCACCGUGGUCCCAGGAGCAAUCACUGGCAUCGGCGGAGCGGUCUGACCUGUCUUCUCGCACACAGACUGCACAUUUGGUUUUGACGACUCAGUCAUACUAGUUAGUAAUGAGACAAACACUACAUGAAUGUUUUGGCUAAUCUGCAGAUGAAACUUACCACAAGGAGCUCGUACAUGGCCCUUGCCUGCAUGUCAUUCCGUGCCCUCUCCUCCUCCACCAUCUUUGUCGUCCUCUCCUCCAACUCCCGCUGCCUCUCCGCCGCCUCCGCCAGAAGUUUCUCCGUUCUAUCUCUCUCACUCUGUAUGGCAGCCUGCAACACCACUCACAUGACAAUUUGUAAUCAUUGAUGGAAGCGCACACAAUGUAAUGGAGAAAGAUAACUGAGUAUGUAUCACUAACCUUGAUGGCGACUUGCACUGGCCGUUCACGAGGCCUUAUCUUAGGAGCGGAGCUCGACUGGCGCGCCUUGAUCUCCGAGAGAGUGCUAGGACAACGGAUAAGUCCAUCUCCAAUGGCUAUGGAGCCAUGGGACCUCCCGUCACCAGAUAUCAUCAACAGCUCUGGAUCAAUGGGACCCUGGCUCGGGUUAAAGUCCUCCCCUUUCCUCGCCUUCCCCUCAUCUCUAUAUCUCACGAGCUUGUUGUGGGAGGAGAUGUUGGUGAAGUUGUUUGCAUCAUCGAGGUCAGACUGAGAGAAAGCCUUGACUUUCUUGAAAGAGGCAGUGUGGGCCAUGGCAUACAGGUCGUACACCUCUGGCACCUUAUCCGCCUUAUUAUAGCAUGCCUGAAAGAGAGAAACAAUGAAAAUUAGUAAUUAAAGGGCUCAAGCUAGCAUGAUGAAUGAAUUGCAUGAAUCAUGAAGCAAACCACAUACCCAGUUGCGCCCGAACUGAUAUAAGUUGGAGCUGCCUUGAUGGUGUGGCACACCUUCCAUUUUUGCACGUUUGUCCUUGGCCUCCUUGUGGGGGGCUAGCCAUCGUUGUGAGCACCACUCAUCGACCAACACCUCCCAACAAUCCAUCCGAUCCGCACACCAUCUCGGAGGCGCCUAAGUUAGCAAAUAGAAACUUGAGCGCUACGGCUAAGAAUUACUAAAUGAAGGAACUUAAGUAGAGAAGGCCUUGAGAAUUACCUUCAUGUAAUGCUCCUUACUCAGGAACUUAUCGCAGCAUGCCGGCUUGGUCUUCUUGAUACCACGCAAGGCGUAGUAGUCUCGAACAGCCUGCACCCGAGCCUCGUGCCGUAAGUUCUGGAGUAGGCGCUUGCAGACGUUCUCGAUAACAUGUGCCGCGUCCUCCUCGUAUCCCUCCUCACACCUGUAGAAUGUCUGCAAUCAAAUGAGACAAUGUUGAUUAGUACAAUUAAUAACUAGCUAGUUGAAGAUUUUUAAAUGUGUAAAGGAGAAAUUACCCAGAACUUUCUGAUCACCAUGUCUGCCCUCGUGUCACACACGACACCGUCGAUAAUCUCAUUUGGCAGGGCCGGGGCAGCCACGUAGUGCUCCCAGCUCAAUCCAAGCUCUGGAAGCCGACCCUCACCAGGCAACGUGACAAACCCCGGGAAGUUUUGCCGGCAAAGAACUCCAAGGACGGAGUUGGGCCGGCGGACACUAUGAUGGUGGUCCCAACCCCUGCAGCAUGACAAGGCCAACGCAUUAGUUAUUUGAAAAAAUGUGAAUGCACAAGGUACAAAAAUAUUAAAUGCACUUACGUACCUCUCCCCAUCAGGGAAAAUCAACCACCUCUGCUCGCGGGUCACCGGCACGGACGGGAGCCGUGUAGCACCACGCUGGUAGACGGUGCCCCCCUCCUCCUCAAGAUCAGUCGGCUCCCCGCCAUCAUCAGCAUGACCACUCGGCUCCUUGGGCUGAUCCGGCCAGGUACCCCAUCCGGACGUGUGCUCCUCCGGGGUCAUGUGGGCCGAACUCUCGUGGGCUGAAGACCCGUGGACCGGAGGCUCAUGGACCGGAGUUCGUGUAGCCUCCUCCUCGGACGAGUCCACCCUAGCAGUCACGUGCUUGGGUGAAACGGUUGGGGGUGGCGGCGAGGAAGGCACCGUAGCAGUCACCCUACCUCCUCUCCCAGGACCACGUGCCCCACCUCCUCUCUUCCUACCUCGUCCCCUGCUGGGCACCAUGGUCGACGAAGAAGGGCCCGGCGGUGUGGCCAUACUGUCCAGCAACGCUCGGCGGAGAGGUGCGUCUGGAAUGGAAGACCUCAGACCACGCUCCCGACCAGUGCCCACCAUCUUUCAACACCUGCCAUGACAAACAGUAAAUGAAAUUAGUACAACAUAAAAAAGGACCGACAUGAAUAAUAAUAUGUGUAUCACUUAAGUGUAUCAUCAUCAAGUACAACAUAAAAAAAUGUAAUACCGGACACUACUAAUAAUCUCGAUCAGUAUCAUCAAUAAAUGCAUAAUCAUCAUCAUCACUAUAAUCAAUGACGGGCUCAUAGGGUUCAUUGGCAUCAACAUGUGCAAGGCCACCUUGACGUAAUCGGUCAAGCAUUGACAGGUCAUCCGCAGCAGUAACCUCUUCUUGUUCCGGCUCUUCUUGUUCCUCCUCUGGGGUGAUGUCGGAUUCAUUGUCGCUGUCUACUUCAAUGUUUUGGGGUGAAGUAUAGCGGUUCUUGAAACGCUUUUUGGAAAGACGUGUCUCUUGGAAGAAUUCUCCUUCAUAUGUGUCUGGGUUAAUGUGAGGUUCAUAAUCCUCUUCCUUUGCGGGAGAAAGUCUAGCACGUGGCGGCACUUCAUAAACGACAUCCCAACCUUUCAGAUUUGGAUUAGUUUGGCAGGCCCACGGUAGAUAGAAUACUUGGGUCGCCUGUUGAGCCAUAAUAUAGACAUCAAGAACAUCUAAACGAGUGCUUUGGUUGAUUUCAACUAGCCCUACAUGUUCAUGAGUCCUUCUAGUCUCGUUUGGCUGAAACCAAUAACAUUUGAAGACUACGACAUUUUGUGGGUUUUCACCAUAGAACAGAAGUUCAUAAAUUGCUUCAACUCUCCCAUAAUACUCGGUACCUCCUUUGCCGAUAGCAGAUACACAACAAUUUGUUGACUUUGGGUCCGCCAUAGAUAGCUCUUUGCCAUAGGUACGAAAGCGAUACCCGUUGAUGUCGUACUUGUCAAAUGAACGGACCUUAUAGUCAAAACCAUUAGCGACUUGUCUCAAUUCGGCGUCCAUAGAGUCUGGAUUAGCCUACAGGUUUAAUAUGAAAGGAUUGUUGCAUUAUGCACAAAUUAGCGAAUGAAAUGAAAUUGUCUAAUAGAAAUUACCGUUUGUUUGAACCAAGAGAUGAAACCGGGAUAGCCACCUCCUUGCUUUGCGAGAAGCUCAUACUCUUCGACAGAAUCCUUUUGGAUCUCCGCUCCAUACGAGAAUAUGGUGACGUAUCGACUGUAUGACAUAUCCAGGAAUAAGAGUAGUUCAAAGGAAAUAGAAGUUGCGAAACAAUGUAUCGAGAACUUACUCGAUGUACGGCCGCACUUCUAUCAGGUUGUUGAAGAUAUACAAUGAAAUGGUCCGCCAUUCUUUGUUAUCCAAAGAUACUGGAUGUGAAACACCAGCUGGUGCGAGAUUCCCUUUGAAUAGGCUGAGGUUGGAUCCACCCUUUUUAGGCUCGUCAGCAUUGUACCGAGGCUUCGGAUUAUGCAAAUGACGAUUUUUGGCUUCGUAGUGCGCUGUUACGAAGUUUGCCACCUCCUCUGUGAUGAAUGCCUCAGCCAUCGAUGCUUCAAUUCUACGUUUAUUUUUACAUUUUUCUCGAAGCGUGUUCUGCAUCCUCUCAGUUGGGUAGCACCAACGAUUUUGCACGGGCCCCCCCAAUCUUGCCUCGGUCGGGAGAUGCAAAAUCAAAUGCUGCAUUGGAUUAAAGAAGCCCGGUGGAAAGAUUUUCUCUAACUUGUAGAUCAACUCCGGCGCCAACUCUUCCAUUUCUUCUAGCACGCCAGGAGAUAGUUAUUUCGCACAAAGAACACGGAAGAAAUAGCUGAGUUCUGCCAGUACUAGCCAUUCAUCCUCAGGGAUGAAGCCACGCAACAUCACCGGCAUUACCCGCUCAAUCCAUAUUUGCUCCCCUCUUUAGAUUCGCUGCAUACCCAUCGGGGAACAUCAACUGCUGUUGCACCCACAAGAGAAUUUCCCUCAUAGCUGGCCUUCCAAGAUUGAACCAUGCCUUUGGCUUCGUCUAGUUCUGCUUUCCUUUCGGUUCUUUCAUGUUUUGUAACGGCCUAUCACAUAGCGCCUCCAGAUCGACUCUAGCCUUAGUAUUAUCCUUUGACUUCCCAUCCAUGCCGAACAAUGUACCAAAAAGUGCCUCGGUGAUAUUCUUCUCAGUGUGCAUCACGUCGAUGUUGUGUGGGCAAAGGAGGUCUUUGAAGUAAGGCAGAUCCCAUAAGCAUGUUUUGUGAGUCCACGCAUGCUUAGUAUUAUACCCCUUGAAGUACCCUGGACAUUGUGGAUCUGGCUCGAGAGCGUUUAACUGAUCCAGGGUCUGUUGGCCUGUCAAUGCAGGUGGUGCAGAGUUUUUGACAACUCUACCCCUGAUGAAGUUCUUCUUGUCUUCCCUGAACUUAUGGCGAGGAUCCAGGAACUGUCUAUGCAUGUCGAAGCAAGAAAACUUGCGACCGGCCUGAAGCCAACGAAACUCAAGAGCUCCCUGGCAUGUGGGGCACGGGAACCUUCCAUGCACACACCAGCCAAUGAAUAGCGCAUACGCCGGCAAGUCAUGCGUCGAGUACAUGUACUAGACACGCAUUAUGAAGUUCCGUUUGCUAAAGGCAUCGUAUGUCUUGAACCCAUUAUCCCAAGCUUCUUGCAAUUCGUCCUUAAGCGGCUGCAUGUACACAUUCAUAUUUUUGCCCGGAUAGUUGGGUCCUGGAAAUAUCAACGUUAGGAAAAUGUUCUUUCUUUGCAUAAUCUGUGCGGGGGGGAGAUUGAGUGGAAAGACAAAUACGGGCCAACAACUGUAUUGGGCUGCCAUCAUACCAAACACACUGAACCCAUCCGUGCUGAUGCCGACUCGAGAAUGCCUCGGAUCUGCCGCUUUGUCAGCAUGUAAUUCAUCAAACUUUUUCCACGCAACACCAUCCGAUGUGUGUACCAUCAUCAGAUUCCCAUCUGCAUCUAGUGCGGUUCUUUUGCCUGUUUUGUGCCAUGUCAUCUGUCUGGCCGUCUCUUUGACCAUGAAAAGACGUUGAAGUCUUGGUACAAUUGGCAUAUACCGAAGAACACUAACGGGGAUUUUGGUCUGUGUCUUCUCACCCAUACCGUUGUCUACCACAAUAUACCUGGAAGACUUGCAAAUGGGACAAUAGUUCAAGUCCGCAUAGUCAAGCCUAAAUAAGGCACAUCCUUUCUCACAGGCAUGUAUCUUCUCAUAGGGCAUCUUCAGUGCAUGGAGGAUUUUGUCCGACUGGUACAGGUUUGCAGGCAUUACAUGUCCUUUGGGUAGAAAGCGUCCAAAUACUGUCAUAAUUGCGUCAUAGCAUUCUCUACCCAAGUUGAACUGAGCCUUCAGAGCCAUUACUUGUGAGAUGGCAUCCAACUGACAAAGCUCAGUGUGCUCGCGGAGCGGACGUUUCGAAGACUCCAACAUUUCAUUGAAGGCCUUUGCAGAUUCCUCCAUCUCCUCGUCCGAAUCCCGAGCAUCAUCAUAGUCUUGCACCAUGUUUUCCAUCCCGGUACCAUGCUCGUCGGUGCGACGACGAUCCACCUCAGCUCGGUCACGUUGGGCAGACUCACCAUGAAAUGUCCAGACCGUAUAAUCGGGCGUAAAACCACUCUUCUGCAGGUGUUUGCCCAUUUCAGCCUCUCUCUUCUUUUCCCAAUUGCCGCACCGGAAAUAGGGGCACCAGGUUUUCUUUUGGCCAUUUGCAAAUGCGGCUUGCACAAACCCCUUAGUUUUUGUGAACCAUUCAGCGCUCCAUUUGUUCUGACCAGUGUGACCGGUAUACAUCCAAGCACGGUCACUCAUCUUGACUUUCAGAGCUACUGGACACACAACAAUUAUAUAUGUAAUUCACCAUGUAUAUAUUCAUCAGUUGAUCUACUGUGUCAAUUUUAUUACGUCCAUGCAACCUACACUCUAAUAGGUAAUGAUAGGUCCUAAUCCCACCCGUGUAUGUGUAGAUUGGGUUCAUUUUCCCAUGCUAUGCUCCGGAUCCGACGCAAAAUUUCGGCAGCACCUCCCCGUUAUUCUCCUGAUACACGUCUCUGCAAUAAACAGAGAGGAUGUGUACCCGGAGAACAACAGGGGAGGCACUGACGAAAUAUAUGCGUCGGAUCCGGAGCAAAGCAUAUGGGAAAACGAACCCAAUCUACACAUACUCGGGCUGUCCAUGGAUAGCGUUGGACAAUUCGAAAGAAUCAAGGUUAUAAAUAUGCAAAUGCAUGCAUAUUUAUAAAUAUGACGCUUUCGAAUGGGAGACACAUAUUGGUUACGCAUACUGAUGAUUCAAGACACAUAUAUAGCUAGCUAUCAAGUUUCAUCGGAAUAGAUCAAAUAAUUAAUGGGGGAGGAGGACUUGUCAUUUGUGCUCACCCACGAACGAAGGGCAGAGCUCGUCAAACGCACGGCGAGGUCGUCGAACACCAAACCUCGCAGCGAUGAAACAACUGCACAUUUAAAACUACACGAUCAACACAAUUAUAUAUGAUGUUUUUCAUAACUAAAUCGAAAAAUAUAUAACCUAACUAAUAAUUCACAAAUAUAUGACCCCGUCGGCCUCUGGAAGGCCGAAGAACACCUUAAUUUUCGGGAGGUGUCGGUGGUCGGGGUGCCCUGUCGGUGUCGGGGUGCCGUGUCGGGGUCGGGGUCUCGGGGUCGGGGUGUCGGGUCGGGGUGCCNNNNNNNNNNNNNNNNNNNNNNNNNNNNNNNNNNNNNNNNNNNNNNNNNNNNNNNNNNNNNNNNNNNNNNNNNNNNNNNNNNNNNNNNNNNNNNNNNNNNNNNNNNNNNNNNNNNNNNNNNNNNNNNNNNNNNNNNNNNNNNNNNNNNNNNNNNNNNNNNNNNNNNNNNNNNNNNNNNNNNNNNNNNNNNNNNNNNNNNNNNNNNNNNNNNNNNNNNNNNNNNNNNNNNNNNNNNNNNNNNNNNNNNNNNNNNNNNNNNNNNNNNNNNNNNNNNNNNNNNNNNNNNNNNNNNNNNNNNNNNNNNNNNNNNNNNNNNNNNNNNNNNNNNNNNNNNNNNNNNNNNNNNNNNNNNNNNNNNNNNNNNNNNNNNNNNNNNNNNNNNNNNNNNNNNNNNNNNNNNNNNNNNNNNNNNNNNNNNNNNNNNNNNNNNNNNNNNNNNNNNNNNNNNNNNNNNNNNNNNNNNNNNNNNNNNNNNNNNNNNNNNNNNNNNNNNNNNNNNNNNNNNNNNNNNNNNNNNNNNNNNNNNNNNNNNNNNNNNNNNNNNNNNNNNNNNNNNNNNNNNNNNNNNNNNNNNNNNNNNNNNNNNNNNNNNNNNNNNNNNNNNNNNNNNNNNNNNNNNNNNNNNNNNNNNNNNNNNNNNNNNNNNNNNNNNNNNNNNNNNNNNNNNNNNNNNNNNNNNNNNNNNNNNNNNNNNNNNNNNNNNNNNNNNNNNNNNNNNNNNNNNNNNNNNNNNNNNNNNNNNNNNNNNNNNNNNNNNNNNNNNNNNNNNNNNNNNNNNNNNNNNNNNNNNNNNNNNNNNNNNNNNNNNNNNNNNNNNNNNNNNNNNNNNNNNNNNNNNNNNNNNNNNNNNNNNNNNNNNNNNNNNNNNNNNNNNNNNNNNNNNNNNNNNNNNNNNNNNNNNNNNNNNNNNNNNNNNNNNNNNNNNNNNNNNNNNNNNNNNNNNNNNNNNNNNNNNACUAAAUCUAAACCUAAAACAAAACUAAAACUAAACCUAAAACUAAAACUAAAACUAAAUCUAAACUAAAACUAAAAAGGAAAAAAACAGAAAAAAAAUAGAAAAAAGGAGGUUGGGGCUCACCUUCUGCAGCGCCGGUGGAGGAGGGGGCGGGGCGGUGGAGGAGCUGGCUGGGGCGCGGGGCGGCCUGGGGCGGCGCGGGGCCGGGCCCGAUGCGGUGGGGCGCGGGGCGGCGGUGCGUGCGGACCCUAUGGUUCGAGAACAAUGUAGACAUGACCGAGACACGUCUCCGGUCAAUAACCAAUAGCGGGACCUGGAUGCCCAUAUUGGCUCCUACAUAUUCUACGAAGAUCUUUAUCGGUCAGACCGCAUAAUAACAUACGUUGUUCCCUUUGUCAUCGGUAUGUUACUUGCCCGAGAUUCGAUUGUCGGUAUCCAAUACCUAGUUCAAUCUCGUUACUGGCAAGUCUCUUUACUCGUUCCAUAAUACAUCAUCUCACAACUAACAUCUUAGUUAUAAUGCUUGCAAGGCUUAUGUGAUGUGUCUUACCAAGAGGGCCCAGAGAUACCUCUCCGACAAUCGGAGUGACAAACCCUAAUCUCGAAAUACGCCAACCCAACAUCUACCAUUGGAGACACCUGUAGUACUCCUUUAUAAUCACCCAGUUACGUUGUGACGUUUGGUAGUACCCAAAGUGUUCCUCCGGCAAACGGGAGUUGCAUAAUCUCAUAGUCAUAGGAACAUGUAUAAGUCAUGAAGAAAGCAAUAGCAACAUACUAAACGAUCGGGGGCUAAGAUAAUGAAAUGGGUCAUGUCAAUCAGAUCAUUCAACUAAUGAUGUGACCUCGUAAAUCAAAUAACAACUCUUUGUUCAUGGUUAGGAAACAUAACCAUCUUUGAUUAACGAGCUAGUCAAGUAAAGGCAUACUAGUGACACUCUGUUUGUCUAUGUAUUCACACAUGUAUUAUGUUUCCGGUUAAUACAAUUCUAGCAUGAAUAAUAAACAUUUAUCAUGAUAUAAGGAAAUAAAUAAUAACUUUAUUAUUGCAUCUAGGGCAUAUUUCCUUCAGUCCAGUGUUCCAUGCCGGGAUUACUUUGGUACCUUCCUACCAAACUUACGGCAAGGUUUACAUCAGGUCUGGUACACAGCAUAGCAUACAAGAUAGACCCUAUGGCCGAGGCAUAGGGGACGACACUCAUAUUUUCUCUAUCUUCUACCGUGGUCGUGCAUUGAGCCGUGCUCAAUCUCGUACCUUGCAAUAUAGGCAAGAACCCCUUCUUUUACUGAUCCAUUUUGAACUUCUUCAAUAUCUUGUCAAGGUACGUACUCUGUGGAAGACCAAUGAGGCGUCUCGAUCUAUCUCUAUAGAUCUUGAUGCCUAAUAUAUAAGCAGCUUCUCCAAGAUCCUUCAUUGAAAAACACUUGUUCAAGUAGGCCUUUAUGCUUUCCCAGAAUUCUAUAUCAUUUCCCAUCAACAAUAUGUCAUCCACAUCCAAUAUGGGAAAUUCUACAAAGCUCCCACUCAGUUCUUGUAAAUGCAGGCUUCUCCAUAAGUCUGCGUAAACCCAAACGCUUUGAUCAUCUCAUCAAAAUGAAUGUUCCAACUCCGAGAUGCUUGCACCAGCCCAUAAAUCGAGCGUUGGAGCUUGUACACCUUGUCAGCAUUCUUAGGAUCGACAAAACCUUCUGGCUGCAUCAUAUACAAUUCUUCCUUAAGGAAACCAUCAAGGACUGUUGUUUUGACGUCCAUUUGCCAUAUCUCAUAAUCAUAGAAUGCGGCAAUUGCUAACAUGAUUCGGACGGACUUCAGCUUCGCUACGGGUGAGAAAGUCUCAUCAUAGUCAACCCCUUGUACUUGCCGAUAACCCUUAGCGACAAGCCGAGCUUUAUAGAUGGUCACAUUACCAUCCGCGUCUGUCUUCUUCUUAAAGAUCCAUUUAUUUUCUAUGGCUCGCCGACCAUCGGGCAAGUCAGUCAAAGUCCAUACUUUGUUUUCAUACAUGGAUCUUAUCUCGGAUUUCAUGGCUUCCAGCCAUUUCUCGGAAUCCGGGCCCGCCAUUGCUUCUUCAUAGUUCGAAGGUUCACCGUUGUCUAACAACAUGAUUUCCAAGACAGGGUUGCCGUACCACUCUGGUGCGGGACGUGUCCCCGUGGACCUACGAAGUUCAGUAGCAACUUGAUCUGAAGUUUCAUGAUCAUCAUCAUCAACUUCCUCUCUAGUCGGUGCAGGCACCUUAGGAACAUUUUCUUGAGCUGCGCCACUUACCGGUUCAAGAGGUAAUACUUCAUCAAGUUCUACUUUCCUCCCACUUAUUUCUUUCGAGAGAAACUCUUUCUCUAGAAAGGACCCAUUCUUGGCAACAAAGAUCUUGCCUUCGGAUCCGAGGUAGAAGGUAUACCCAAUAGUUUCUUUAGGGUAUCCUAUGAAGACGCAUUUUUCCGAUUUGGGUUCGAGCUUUUCAGGUUGAAGUUUCCUGACAUAAGCAUCGCAUCCCCAAAGUUUUAGAAAUGACAUCUUAGGUGUCUUCCCAAACCAUAAUUCAUACGGCGUCGUCUCAACGGAUUUCGACGUAGCCCUAUUUAAAGUGAAUGCGGCAGUCUCUAAAGCAUAGCCCCAAAAUGACAGCGGUAAAUCAGUAAGAGACAUCAUAGAUCAUACCAUAUCUAAUAGAGUGCGAUUAUGACGUUCGGACACACCAUUACGCUGAGGUGUUCCAGGCGGCGUGAGUUGUGAAACUAUUCCACAUUUUCUUAAGUGUGUGCCAAAUUCGUGACUCAAGUAUUCUCCCCCACGAUCUGAUCGCAAGAACUUGAUUUGCCUGUCAUGUUGAUUCUCAACCUCACUUUGAAAUUCCUUGAACUUUUCAAAGGUCUCAGACUUGUGUUUCAUUAAGUAGACAUACCCAUAUCUACUCAAGUCAUCAGUGAGGGUGAGAACAUAACGAUAGCCACCACGAGCCUCAACACUCAUUGGACCGCACACAUCAGUAUGUAUGAUUUCCAAUAAGUUGGUUGCUCGCUCCAUUGUUCUUGAGAAAGGAGUCUUGGUCAUUUUACCCAUGAGGCAUGGUUCGCACGUGUCAAAUGAUUCGUAAUCAAGAGACUUUAAAAGUCCAUCUGCAUGGAGCUUCUUCAUGCGUUUGACACCUAUGUGACCAAGGCGGCAAUGCCACAUGUGGGACUAUCAUUAUCAACCUUACAUCUUUUGCUAUUCACACUAUGAAUAUGUGUAACAUUAUGCUCGAGAUUCAUUAAGAAUAAACCAUUCACCAAUGGAGCAUGACCAUAAAACAUAUCUCUCAUAUAAAUAGAACAACCAUUAUUCUCGGAUUUAAAUGAGUAGCCAUCUCAAAUUAAACGAGAUCCUGAGACAAUGUUCAUGCUCAAAGCUGGCACUAAAUAACAAUUAUUGAGGUUUAAAACUAAUCCCGUAGGCAAAUGUAGAGGCAGCGUGCCGACGGCGAUCACAUCGACCUUGGAACCAUUCCCGACGCGAAUCGUCACCUCGUACUUCGCCAGUCUCCGUUUAUUCCGCAGCUCCCGCUUUGAGUUACAAAUGUGAGCAACUGCACCGGUAUCAAAUACCCAGGAGCUACUACGAGUACUGGUAAGGUACACAUCAAUUACAUGUAUAUCACAUAUACCUUUAGUGUUGCCGGCCUUCUUGUCCGCUAAGUAUUUGGGGCAGUUCUGCUUCCAGUGACCACUUCCCUUGCAAUAAAAACACUCAGUCUCGAGCUUGGGUCCAUUCUUUGGCUUCUUCCCGGCAACUUGCUUAGCGGGCGCGGCAACUCCCUUGCCGUCCUUCUUGAAUUCUUCUUACCCUUGCCUUUCUUGAACUUAGUGGUUUUAUUCACCAUCAACACUUGAUGUUCCUUUUUGAUUUCCACCUCUGCUGAUUUCAGCAUUGAAUAUACCUCAGGAAUGGUCUUUUCCGUCCCCUGCAUAUUGAAGUUGAUCACAAAGCUCUUGUAGCUUGGUGGAAGCGACUGAAUGAUUCUGUCAAUGACCGCGUCAUUCGGGAGAUUAACUCCCACCUGAGUCAAGCGGUUAUGCAACCCAGACAUUUUGAUUAUGUGCUCACUGACAGAUCUAUUUUCCUCCAUAUUACAGCUGAAGAACUUGUCGGAGACUUCAUAUCUCUCGACCCGGGCAUGAGCUUGAAAAACCAUUUUCAGCUCUUCGAACAACUCAUAUGCUCCGUGUCUCUCAAAAUGCUUUUGGAGCCCCGGUUCUAAGCUGUAAAGCAUGCCGCACUGAACGAGGGAGUAAUCAUCAGCACGUAACUGCCAAGCGUUCAUAAUGUCUUGGUUCUCUGGGACAGGUGUGUCACCUAACGGUGCUUCUAGGACAUAAUCUUUCUUGGCAGCUAUGAGGAUGAUCCUCAGGUUCUGGACCCAGUCCGUAUAGUUGCUGCCAUCGUCUUUCAGCUUGGUUUUCUCCAGGAACGCGUUGAAAUUGAGGACAACGUGGGCCAUUUGAUCUACAAGACAUAUUGUAAAGAUUUUAGACUAAGUUCAUGAUAAUUAAGUUCAUCUAAUCAAAUUAUACAAUGAACUCCCACUCAGAUAGACAUCCCUCCAGUCAUCUAAGUGAAACAUGAUCCGAGUUAACUAGGCUGUGUCGGAUCAUCACGUGAGACGGACUAGUCAACAUCGGUGAACAUCUUCAUGUUGAUCGUAUCUUCUAGACGACUCAUGCUCGACCUUUUAGUCUUCUAUGUUCCGAGGCCAUGUCUGUACAUGCUAGGCUCGUCAAGUAAACCUAAGUGUAUUGCGUGUGUAAGUCUGGCUUACACCCGUUGUAUUCGAACGUUAGAAUCUAUCACACUCGAUCAUCACGUGGUGCUUCGAAACAACGAACCUUCACAAUGGUGCACAGUUAGGGGGAACAGUUUCUUGAAAUUAUUUCGAGGGAUCAUCUUAUUGAAGCUACCGUCGUUCUAAGCAAAUAAGAUGUAAAACAUGAUAAACAUCACAUGCAAUCAAAUAGUGACAUGAUAUGGCCAAUAUCAUUUUCUCCUUUUGAUCUCCAUCUUCGGGGGUCCAUGAUCAUCAUUGUCACUGGCAUGACACCAUGAUCUCCAUCAUCAUGUCUUCUUGAAGUUGUCUCGUCAUCUAUUACUUCUACUACUAUGGCUAACGCUUUAGCAAUAAAGUAAAGUAAUUACAUGACGUUUAUGUUGACACGCAGGUCAUAAAAAAUAAAGACAACUCCUAUGGCUCCUGCCGGUUGUCAUACUCAUCGACAUGCAAGUCGUGAUUCCUAUUACAAGAACAUGAUCAAUCUCAUACAUCACAUAUAUCAUUCAUCACAUCCUUUUGGCCAUAUCACAUCACACGACACAUGCUGCAAAAACAAGUUAGACGUCCUCUAAUUGUUGUUGCAAGUUUAUACAUGGCUGCUAUAGGUUUCUAGCAAGAACGUCUCUUACCUAUGGCAAAACCACAACGUGAUAUGCCACUUUCUAUUUACCCUUCAUAAGGACCCUUUUCAUCGAAUCCGAUCUGACUAAAGUGGGAGAGACAGACACCCGCCAGCCACCUUAUGCAACUAGUGCAUGUCAAUCGGUGGAACCAGUCUCACAUAAGCGUACGUGUAAGGUCGGUCCGGGCCGCUUCAUCCCAUGAUGCCACCGAAUCAAGAUAAGACUAGUAACGGCAAGCAAAGUGACAAUAUCCACGCCCACAACUGCUUUGUGUUCUACUCGUGCAUAGAAACUACGCAUAGACCUAGCUCAUGAUGCCACUGUUGGGGAAUGUAGCAGAAUUUUAAAAUUUUCUAUGCAUCACCAAGAUCAAUCUAUGGAGUCAUCUAGCAAUGAGGGAGAGAGGAGUGCAUCUACAUACCCUUGUAGAUCGCGCGCGGAAGUGUUCAAGAGAACGGGGUUGAUGGAAUCGUACUCGUCGUGAUCCAAAUCACCGAUGACCAAGUGCCUAACGGACAGCACCUCCGCGUUCAACACACGUCCUUUUGGGAAGACGUCUCCUCCUUCUUGAUCCAGCAAGGGGGAAGGAGAGGUUGAUGAAGAUCCAGCAGCACCACGACGUGGUGGUGGAUGCAACAGGAUCCCGGCAGGGCUUCACCAAGCGGAAGCGGGGAGGAGAGGUGUUACGGAGGGAGAGAGAGGCGCCAAGAGCAAGGUUGCGGCUGCCCUCCCUCCCCCCCUCUUUAUAUAGGGGCCAUGGGGGGGCGCCGGCCCUAGGAGAUGGAUCUCCAAGGGGGGCGAAGGCCAAGGGGUGGCUCCCCCCCCCCCAAGCCAAGUGGGGGGCGCCCCCACCCCUAGGGUUUCCCAACCCUAGGCGCAGGGGAGGCCCAAGGGGGGCGGACCAGCCCACUAGCGGCUGGUUCCCCUCCCAAUUCAUCCCAUGGGGCCCUCCGGGAUGGGUGGCCCCACCCGGUGGACCCCCGGGACCCUUUCGGUGGUCCCGGUACAAUACUGGUGACCCCCGAAACCUUCCCGAUGGCCGAAACUGUACUUCCUAUAUAUAAAUCUUUACCUCCAGACCAUUCCGGAACUCCUCGUGACGCCCGGGAUCUCAUCCGGGACUCCGAACAACUUUCGGGUUACUAUAUACUAAUAUCUCUACAACCCUAGCGUCACUGAACCUUAAGUGUGUAGACCCUACGGGUUUCGGAGACAUGCAGACAUGACUGAGACGCCUCUCCAGUCAAUAACCAACAGCGGGAUCUGGAUACCCAUGUUGGCUCCCACAUGCUCCAUGAUGAUCUCAUCAGAUGAACCACGAUGUCGAGCAUUCAAUCAAUCUGUAUACAAUUCCCUUUGUCAAUCAGUACGUUACUUGCCCGAGACUCGAUCAUCGGUAUCCCAAUACCUUGUUCAAUCUUGUUACCGGCAAGUCACUUUACUCAUACCAUAAUGCAUGAUCCCGUCAUCAACCACUUGGUCACAUGAGCUCAUUAUGAUGAUGCAUUACCGAGUGGGCCCAGAGAUACCUCUCCAUCAUACGGAGUGACAAAUCCCAGUCUCGAUUCAUGCCAACCCAAUAGUCACUUUCAGAGAUACCUGUAAUGUAACUUUAUAGUCACCCAGUUACGUUGUGACGUUUGGCACACCCAAGGCACUCCUACGAUAUCUGGGAGUUUUGUUGGAAAUAUGCCCUAGAGGCAAUAAUAAAAGCAUUAUUAUUAUAUUUCCUUGUUCAUGAUAAUUGUCUUUAUUCAUGCUAUAAUUGUGUUAUCCGGAAAUCGUAAUACAUGUGUGAAUAACAGACACCAACAUGUCCCUAGUAAGCCUCUAGUUAACUAGCUCGUUGAUCAACAGAUAGUCAUGGUUUCCUGACUAUGGACAUUGGAUGUCAUUGAUAACGAGCUCACAUCAUUAGGAGAAUGAUGUGAUGGACAAGACCCAAUCAUAAACAUAGCAUAAAGAUCGUGUAGUUCGUUUGCUAGAGUUUUUCCAAUGUCAAGUAUACUUUCCUUAGACCAUGAGAUCGUGUAACUCCCGGAUACCGUAAGAGUGCUUUGGGUGUACCAAACAUCACAACGUAACUGGGUGACUAUAAAGGUAUACUACGGGUAUCUCCAAAAGUGUCUGUUGGGUUGACACGGAUCAAGACUGGGAUUUGUCACUCCGUAUGACGGAGAGGUAUCACUGGGCCCACUCAGUAAUGCAUCAUCAUAAUGAGCUCAAAGUGACCAAGUGUCUGGUCACGGGAUCAUGCAUUACGGUACGAGUAAAGUGACUUGCCGGUAACGAGAUUGAACGAGGUAUUGGGAUACCGACAAUCGAAUCUCGGGCAAGUAACAUACCGAUUGGCAAAGGGAAUUGUAUACGGGGUUGCCUGAAUCCUCGAUAUCGUGGUUCAUCCGAUGAGAUCAUCGUGGAGCAUGUGGGAGCCAACAUGGGUAUCCAGAUCCCGCUGUUGGUUAUUGACCGAAGAGUCGUCUCGGUCAUGUCUGUCUGUCUCCCGAACCCGUAGGGUCUACACACUUAAGGUUCGGUGAUGCUAGGGUUGUAGGAAUAUGUAUAUGCAGUAACCCGAAUGUUGUUCGGAGUCCCGGAUGAGAUCCCGGACGUCACGAGGAGUUCCGUAAUGGUCCGGAGGUAAAGAAUUAUAUAUGGGAAGUGCUAUUUCGGCCAUCGGGACAAGUUUUGGGGUCACCGGUAUUGUACCGGGACCACCGGAAGGGUCCCGGGGGUCCACCGGGUGGGGCCACCUAUCUCGGAGGGCCCCAUGGGCUGAAGUGGGAAGGGACCCAGCCCAAAGUGGGCUGGGGUGCCUCUCCCCUAGGGCCCAUGCGGCUAGGGUUUGGGGGAAACCCUAAAAGGGGGCGCCCCCUUGCUUGGGGGGCAAGCCCCCCACCCCUUGGCCGCCGCCCCCCCCUCCCCCUAGGAAAAUAGAUCUCCUAGGGCCGGCGCCCCCCCCCCUUGGCCCUCCUAUAUAUAGUGGGGGAGGGAGGGCUAUUCUCUCAUGCCUUUGGUUGCCUCCCUCUCCCUCUCCGACACCUCCUCCUCCUCCAUAGUGCUUGGCGAAGCCCUGACGGAGUUCUGCAGCUCCACCAUCACCACGCCGUCGGUCUGCUGCUGGAGCCAUCUUCCUCAACCUCUUCUUCCCUCUUGCUGGAUCAAGAAGAAGGAGACGUUACGCUAACCGUACGUGUGUUGAACGCGGAGGUGCCGUCCGUUCGGCGCUAGGAUCUCUGGUGAUUUGAAUCACGUCGUGUACGACUACUUCAUCCACGUUCUUUGAACGCUUCCGCUCGCGAUCUACAAAGGUAUGUAGAUGCAUCCGAUGACUCGUUGCUAGAUGAACUCAUAGAUAGAUCUUGGUGAAACCGUAGGAAAUUUUUUGUUUUCUGCAACGUUCCCCAACAGUGGUAUCAGAGCUAGGUCUAUGCGUAGUUCUUCUUGCGCGAGUAGAACACAAUUUGUUGUGGGCGUAGAUGUUGUCAACUUUCUUGCCGCUACUAGUCUUAUCUUGCUUCGACGGUAUUGUGGGAUGAAGCGGCCCGGACCAACCUUACACGUAUGCUCACGUGAGACAGGUUCCACCGACAAACAUGCACUAGUUGCAUAAGGUGGCUAGCGGGUGCCUGUCUCUCCUACUUUAGUUGGAGCGGAUUCGAUGAGAAGGGUCCUUAUGAAGGGUAAAUAGAAGUUGAAAAAUCACGUUGUGGCUUUCACGUAGGUUAGAAAACGUUCUUGCUAGAACCCUACUUCAGCCACGUAAAACUUGCAACAACAAUUAGAGGAUGUCUAACUUGUUUUUGCAGCAAGUGCUUUGUGAUAUGAUAUGGCCAAAGUUGUGAUGAAUAAUACAUAUGUGAUGUAUGAGAUGUUCGUGCUAUUGUAAUAGGAAUCACGACUUGCAUGUCGAUGAGUAUGACAACCGGCAGGAGCCAUAGGAGUUGUCUUUAUUCUUUUAUAUGACCUGCGUGUCAUUGAGAAACGCCAUGUAAAUUACUUUACUUUAUUGCUAAACACGUUAGCCUUAGUAGUAGAAGUAAUAGUUGGCGAGCAACUUCAUGGAGACACGAUGAUGGAGAUCAUGAUGAUGGAGAUCAUGGUGUCAUGCCGGUGACAAGAUGAUCAUGGAGCUCCAAGAUGGAGAUCAAAGGAGCUAUGUGAUAUUGGCCAUAUCAUGUCACUAUUAUUAUUUGAUUGCAUUUGAUGUUUAUCAUGUUUUGCAUCUUGUUUACUUAGAACGACGGUAGUGAAUAAGAUGAUCCCUCAUAAUAAUUUCAAGCAAGUGUUCCCCCUAACUGUGCACCGUUGCGACAGUUCAUUGCUUCAAUGCACCACGUGAUGAUCGGGUGUUUGAUUCAAACGUUCACAUACAACGGGUGUAAGACAGAUUUACACAUGCAAACACUUAGGUUGACUUGACGAGCCUAGCAUGUGUAUAGACAUGGCCUCGGAACACAGAAGACCAAAAGGUCGAGCAUGAGUCGUAUAGAAGAUACGAUCAACAUGAAGAUGUUCAUCGAUGUUGACUAGUCCGUCUCACGUGAUGAUCGGACACGGCCUAGUUGACUCGGAUCAUGUUAUACUUAGAUGACUAGAAGAGGGAUGUCUAUCUAAGUGGGAGUUCAUUCAAUAAUUUGAUUAGAUGAACUUAAUUAUCAUGAACUUAGUCUAAAAUCUUUGCAAUAUGUCUUGUAGAUCAAAUGGCCAACGUAGUCCUCAACUUCAACGCGUUCCUAGAGAAAACCAAACUGAAAGAUGAUGGCAGUAACUAUACGGAAUGGGUCUGGAACCUGAGGAUUAUCCUCAUAGCUGCCAAGAAAGAUUAUGUCCUACAAGCACCGCUAGGUGAAGCUCCCGUCCCAUGGAACCAAGAUGUUAUGAACGCUUGGCAGACACGUGCUGAUGACUACUCCCUCGUUCAGUGCGGCAUGCUUUACAGUUUAGAGCCGGGGCUCCAAAAGCGUUUUGAGAGACAUAGAGCAUAUGAGAUGUUCGAAGAGCUGAAAAUGGUGUUUCAAGCUCAUGCCCGGGUCGAGAGAUAUGAGGUCUCCGACAAAUUCUUCAGUUGUAAGAUGGAGGAAAAUAGUUCUGUCAGUGAGCACAUACUCACUAUGUCUGGGUUACAUAAUCGCUUGACUCAGCUGGGAGUUAAUCUCCUGGAUGAUGCGGUCAUUGACAGAAUCCUCCAGUCGCUUCCACCAAGCUACAAGAGCUUUGUGAUGAACUUCAAUAUGCAGGGGAUGGAAAAGACCAUUCCUGAGGUAUUUACAAUGCUGAAAUCAGCAGAGGUAGAAGUCAAGAAGGAACAUCAAGUGUUGAUGGUCAAUAAAACCACUAAGUUCAAGAAGGGCAAGGGUAAAAAGAACUUCAAGAAGGACGGCAAGGGAGUUGCCGCGCCCGGCAAGCAAGCUGCCGGGAAGAAGCCAAAGAAUGGUCCCAAGCCCGAGACUGAGUGCUUUUAUUAUAAGGGAAGCGGUCACUGGAAGCGGAACUGCCCCAAAUACUUAGCGGACAAGAAGGCCGGCAAAACAAAAGGUAUAUGUGAUAUACAUGUAAUUGAUGUGUACCUUACCAGUACCCGUAGUAGCUCCUGGGUAUUUGAUACUGGUGUAGUUGCUCACAUUUGUAACUCAAAGCAGGGGCUGCGGAAUAAGCGGAGACUGGCGAAGGACGAGGUGACGAUGCGCGUCGGGAAUGGUUCCAAGGUCAAUGUAAUCGCCGUCGGCACGUUACCUCUAUAUUUACCUUCGGGAUUAGUUGUAAACCUUAAUAAUUGUUAUUUAGUACCAGCUUUGAGCAUGAACAUUGUAUUGGGAUCUCGUUUAAUUCAAGAUGGCUACUCAUUUAAAUCCGAGAAUAAUGGUUGUUCUAUUUAUAUGAGAGAUAUGUUUUAUGGUCAUGCUCCUAUGGUGAAUGGUUUAUUCUUAAUGAAUCUCGAGCGUAAUGCUACACAUAUUCAUAGUGUGAGUACCAAAAGAUGUAAGGUUGAUAAUGAUAGUCCCACAUACUUGUGGCACUGCCGCCUUGGUCACAUAGGUGUCAAACGCAUGAAGAAGCUCCAUGCAGAUGGACUUUUAGAGUCUCUUGAUUAUGAAUCAUUUGACACGUGCGAACCAUGCCUCGUGGGUAAAAUGACCAAGACUCCGUUCUCAGGAACAAUGGAGCGAGCAACCAACUUAUUGGAAAUCAUACAUACUGAUGUGUGCGGUCCAAUGAGCGUUGAGGCUCGCGGUGGCUAUCGUUAUGUUCUCACCCUCACUGAUGACUUGAGUAGAUAUGGGUAUGUCUACUUAAUGAAACACAAGUCUGAAACCUUUGAAAAGUUCAAGGAAUUUCAGAGUGAGGUUGAGAAUCAACGUGACAGGAAAAUCAAGGUUCUACGAUCAGAUCAUGGAUGCGAAUACUUGAGUCACGAAUUUGGCACACACUUAAGAAAAUGUGGAAUAGUUUCACAACUCACGCCGCCUGGAACACCUCAGCGUAACGGUGUGUCCGAACGUCGUAAUCGCACUCUAUUAGAUAUGGUACGAUCUAUGAUGUCUCUUACCGAUUUACCACUAUCUUUUUGGGGCUAUGCUUUAGAGACUGCCGCAUUCACUUUAAAUAGGGCUCCGUCGAAAUCCGUUGAGACGACACCGUUUGAAUUAUGGUUUGGGAAGAAACCUAAGCUGUCGUUUCUAAAAGUUUGGGGAUGCGAUGCUUAUGUCAAGAAACUUCAACCUGAAAAGCUCGAACCCAAGUCGGAAAAAUGCGUCUUCAUAGGAUACCCUAAAGAAACUGUUGGGUAUACCUUCUACCUCAGAUCCGAAGGCAAGAUUUUUGUUGCCAGGAAUGGAUGCUUUCUAGAGAAGGAGUUUCUCUCGAAAGAAGUAAGUGGGAGGAAAGUAGAACUUGAUGAAGUGUUACCUCUUGAACCGGAAAAUGGCGCAACUCAAGAAAAUGUUCAUGAGGUGCCUGCACCGACUAGAGAGGAGGUUAAUGAUGAUGAUCAUGAAACUUCUGAUCAAGUUGCUACUGAACUUCGAAGGUCCAUAAGGACACGUUCCGCACCAGAGUGGUACGGCAACCCUGUCUUGGAAAUCAUGUUGUUAGGCAACGGUGAACCUUCGAACUAUGAAGAAGCGAUGGCGGGCCCGGAUUCCGACAAAUGGCUAGAAGCCAUGAAAUCCGAGAUAGGAUCCAUGUAUGAAAAUGAAGUAUGGACUUUGACUGACUUGCCCGUUGAACGGCGAGCCAUAGAAAAUAAAUGGAUCUUUAAGAAGAAGACAGACGCGGAUGGUAAUGUGACCAUCUAUAAAGCUCGGCUUGUCGCUAAGGGUUAUCGACAAGUUCAAGGGGUUGACUACGAUGAGACUUUCUCACCGGUAGCGAAGCUGAAGUCCGUCCGAAUCAUGUUAGCAUUUGCCGCAUUCUACGAUUAUGAGAUAUGGCAAAUGGAUGUCAAAACGGCAUUAAUUAAUGGUUUCCUUAAGGAAGAAUUGUAUAUGAUGCAGCCGGAAGGUUUUGUCGAUCCUAAGAAUGCUGACAAGGUGUGCAAGCUCCAACGCUCGAUUUAUGGGCUGGUGCAAGCAUCUCGGAGUUGGAACAUUCGCUUUGAUGAGAUGAUCAAAGUGUUUGGGUUUACUCAGACUUAUGGAGAGGCCUGCGUUUACAAGAAAGUGAGUGGGAGCUCUGUAGCAUUUCUCAUAUUAUAUGUAGAUGACAUACUUUUGAUGGGAAAUGAUAUAGAACUCUUGGACAGCAUCAAGGCCUACUUGAAUAAGAGUUUUUCAAUGAAGGACCUUGGAGAAGCUGCUUAUAUAUUAGGCAUCCAGAUCUAUAGAGAUAGAUCAAGAUGCCUCAUAGGUCUUUCACAAAGCACAUACCUUGAUAAGAUAUUGAAGAAGUUCAAUAUGGAUCAAUCUAAGAAGGGGUUCUUGCCUGUGUUACAAGGUAUGAAAUUGAGCUCAGCUCAAUGUCCGACCAUGGCAGAAGAUAUAGAAGAGAUGAGUGUCAUCCCCUAUGCCUCAGCCAUAGGUUCUAUUAUGUAUGCCAUGCUGUAUACCAGACCUGAUGUAAACCUUGCCGUAAGUUUGGUAGGAAGGUACCAAAGUAAUCCCGGCAAGGAACACUGGACAGCGGUCAAGAAUAUCCUGAAGUACCUAAAAAGGACUAAGGAAAUGUUUCUCGUUUAUGGAGGUGACGAAGAGCUCGUCGUAAAGGGUUACGUCAACGCUAGCUUCGACACAGAUCUGGAUGACUCUAAGUCACAAACCGGAUACGUGUAUAUUUUGAAUGGUGGGGCAGUAAGCUGGUGCAGUUGCAAGCAGAGCGUCGUGGCGGGAUCUACAUGUGAAGCGGAGUACAUGGCAGCCUCGGAGGCAGCACAUGAAGCAAUUUGGGUGAAGGAGUUCAUCACCGACCUAGGAGUCAUACCCAAUGCGUCGGGGCUGAUCAAGCUCUUCUUUGACAACACUGGAGCUAUUGCACUUGCCAAGGAGCCCAGGUUUCACAAGAAGACAAGGCACAUCAAGCGUCGCUUCAACUCCAUUCGUGAAAAUGUUCAAGAUGGAGACAUAGAUAUUUGUGAAGUACAUACGGACCUGAAUGUAGCAGAUCCGUUGACUAAACCUCUCCCUAGAGCAAAACAUGAUCAACACCAGAAUUCCAUGGGUGUUCGAUUCAUCACAAUGUAACUAGAUUAUUGACUCUAGUGCAAGUGGGAGACUGUUGGAAAUAUGCCCUAGAGGCAAUAAUAAAAGCAUUGUUAUUAUAUUUCCUUGUUCAUGAUAAUUGUCUUUAUUCAUGCUAUAAUUGUGUUAUCCGGAAAUCGUAAUACAUGUGUGAAUAACAGACACCAACAUGUCCCUAGUAAGCCUCUAGUUAACUAGUUCGUUGAUCAACAGAUAGUCAUGGUUUCUUGACUAUGGACAUUGGAUGUCAUUGAUAACGAGAUCACAUCAUUAGGAGAAUGAUGUGAUGGACAAGACCCAAUCAUAAACAUAGCAUAAAGAUCGUGUAGUUCGUUUGCUAGAGUUUUUCCAAUGUCAAGUAUCCUUUCCUUAGACCAUGAGAUCGUGUAACUCCCGGAUACCGUAAGAGUGCUUUGGGUGUACCAAACGUCACAACGUAACUGGGUGACUAUAAAGGUAUACUACGGGUAUCUCCGAAAGUGUCUGUUGGGUUGACACGGAUCUAGACUGGGAUUUGUCACUCCGUAUGACGGAGAGGUAUCACUGGGCCCACUCGGUAAUGCAUCAUCAUAAUGAGCUCAAAGUGACCAAGUGUCUGGUCACGGGAUCAUGCAUUACGGUACGAGUAAAGUGACUUGCCGGUAACGAGAUUGAAUGAGGUAUUGGGAUAACGACGAUCGAAUCUCGGGCAAGUAACAUAUCGAUUGGCAAAGGGAAUUGUAUACGGGGUUGCUUGAAUCCUCGACAUCGUGGUUCAUCCAAUGAGAUCAUCGUGGAGCAUGUGGGAGCCAACAUGGGUAUCCAGAUCCCGUUGUUGGUUAUUGACCGGAGAGUCGUCUCGGUUAUGUCUGCCUGUCUCCCGAACCCGUAGGGUCUACACACUUAAGGUUCAGUGACGCUAGGGUUGUAGGAAUAUGUAUAUGCAGUAACCCGAAUGUUGUUCGGAGUCCCGGAUGAGAUCCCGGACGUCACGAGGAGUUCCGGAAUGGUCCGGAGGUAAAGAAUUAUAUAUGGGAAGUGGUAUUUCGGCCAUCGGGACAAGUUUCGGGGUCACCGGUAUUGUACCGGGACCACCGGAAGGGUCCCGGGGGUCCACCGGGUGGGGCCACCUAUCCCGGAGGGCCCCUUGGGCUGAAGUGGGAAGGGACCCAGCCCAAAGUGGGCUGGGGCGCCUCUCCCCUAGGGCCCAUGCGGCUAGGGUUUGGGGGAAACCCUAAAAGGGGGCGCCCCCUUGCUUGGGGGGCAAGCCCCCCACCCCUUGGCCGCCGCCGCCCCCCCCCCCUAGGAGAAUAGAUCUCCUAGGGCCGGCGCCCCCCCCCUUGGCCCUCCUAUAUAUAGUGGGGGAGGGAGGGCUAUUCUCUCACGCCUUUGGUUGCCUCCCUCUCCCUCUCCAACACCUCCUCCUCCUCCAUAGUGCUUGGCGAAGCCCUGACGGAGUUCUGCAGCUCCACCAUCACCACGCCGUCGUGCUGCUGCUGGAGCCAUCUUCCUCAACCUCUUCUUCCCUCUUGCUGGAUCAAGAAGAAGGAGACGUUACGCUAACCGUACGUGUGUUGAACGCGGAGGUGCCGUCCGUUCGGCGCUAGGAUCUCCGGUGAUUUGAAUCACGUCGUGUACGACUACUUCAUCCACGUUCUUUGAACACUUCCGCUCGCGAUCUACAAAGGUAUGUAGAUGCAUCCGAUGACUCGUUGCUAGAUGAACUCAUAGAUAGAUCUUGGGGAAACUGUAGGAAAAUUUUCUGCAACGUUCCCCAACAAGUUUCACAAUCUCAUGGUCUAAGGAAAUGAUACUUGACAUUCGGAAAAGCUACAGCAGAUGAACUACACGACCUUUGAGCUAUGCUUAGGAUUGGGUCUUGUCCAUCACAUCAUUCUCCUAAUGAUGUGAUACCGUUAUGAAUGACAUCCAAUGUCCAUAGUCAGGAAACCAUGACUAUCUUUUGAUCAACAAGCUAGUCAACUAGAGGCUCACUAGGGACGUGUUGUGGUCUAUGUAUUCACACAUGUAUUACGAUUUCCGGAUAACACAAUUAUAGCAUGAACAAUAGACAAUUAUCAUGAACAAAGAAAUAUAAUAAUAACCAUUUUAUUAUUGCCUCUAGGGCAUAUUUCCAACACCUACGUACCCCCAAACGAUCAUAUACGGAGCCAAAACCCUAAUUCCACCGCCGCAACUUUCUGUAUCCACGAGAUCCCAUCUUGGGGCCUGUUCCGGAGCUCCGCCAGAGGGGGCAUCGAUCACGGAGGGCUUCUACAUCAACACCAUAGCCUCUCCGAUGAAGUGUGAGUAGUUCACCUCAGACCUACGGUUCCAUAGUUAUUAGCUAGAUGGCUUCUUCUCUCUUUUUGGAUCUCAAUACAAUGUUCUCCCCCUCUCUUGUGGAGAACUAUUCGAUGUAAUCUUCUUUUUGCGGUGUGUUUGUUGAGACCGAUGAAUUGUGGGUUUAUGAUCAAGUCUAUCUAUGAAUAAUAUUUGAAUCUUCUCUGAAUUCUUUUAUGUAUGAUAGGUUAUCUUUGAAAGUCUUUUCGAAUUAUCAGUUUGGUUUGGCCUACUAGAUUGAUCUUUCUUGCAAUGGGAGAAGUGCUUAGCUUUGGGUUCAAUCUUGCGGUGUCCUUUCCCAGUGACAGUAGGGGCAGCAUGGCACGUAUUAUAUUGUUGCCAUCGAGGACAACAAGAUGGAGUUUUCAUCAUAUUGCAUGAGUCUAUCCCUCUACAUCAUGUCAUCUUGCUUAAGGCCUUAAUCUGUUUUUAACUUAAUACUCUAGAUGCUUGCUGGAUAGCGGUCGAUUAGUGGAGUAAUAGUAGUAGAUGCAGGCAGGAGUCGGUCUACUUGUCUCGGACAUGAUGCCUAUAUAUAUGAUCAUACCUAGAUAUUCUCAAAACUAUGCUCAAUUCUGUCAAUUGCUCAACAAUAAUUUGUUCACCCACCGUAGAAUACUUAUGCUCUCGAGAGAAGCCACUAGUGAAACCUAUGGCCCCCGGGUCUAUCUUUAUCAUAUUAAUCUCCUACUACUUAGUUAUUUCCUUUGCUUUUUACUUUGCCUUUAUUUUACUUCGCAUCUUUAUCACAAAAAUACGAAAAAAAUUAUCUUUAUCAUAUCUAUCAAAUCUCACCCUCGUAAGUGGCCGUUUAGGGAUUGACAACCCCUAUUCGCGUCGGUUGUGAGGAUUUAUUUGUUUUGUGCAGGUACAAGGGACUCGCGCGUAGCCUCCUACUGGAUUGAUACCUUGGUUCUCAAAACCUAUUUGAUUGCCGUAGCACGAUCGCGCUUCCUCGGGCGCUAUUGUCUCAAAAAUACCGUCGUCCAUCUCCGUGACCUCCAGUCUACUACUCAUGAGCUGGUUUGGGCGCCGUGGCCUCUUUGCUUUCGGUUCUAGACCAGCUCCGCUAGUCUCGGCGCCUGUCUCAGUCUCAUCGCCGAUCUGCAUGUCGGUAUCAGUCCCCGAUGCGACAUCACAGUUGCUGCAACAUGGGAAAGGGAGACCACGUCAGUGCUGGGGGGUCUGAAAAUCGGAACACACUUUCGCGCGUUGCGGGCCGCCUCUCAGACAGCUACUGGGGAGGCGGCGGAGUACCUGGGUGCGCGGCGAAUCCCCGGGAACUCGGUGACCAACUUCCUUCCCGUGUGGCGCAUGGAGACGACGGCGACCCCGGCGAAGAGCAGCUUAGCCGCGAGCUGCACAGCCUCGUCCACCUCCUAAGUUGGGACCUCCGUGCGAGCGUUGCGGGGCCGCCACUCGGAUGGCUUCUGGAAGGCGGUUGUACAUGGGCACAUGGUGAAUCCCGGCGAGAGCUUGCCAUUGGCGCGCUCAAGUAGACGACGACGUCCUCGACGAAGAGCAGCCCGGCCAGCUCGCCUCACUAUCGUUUGAUUAGAAAUGAAAGAUUGGGAAGAAGCAGACUUGAGCCUGCAGGGAAAGGAUAAGGUGACGAUGCAGUCUCCACUCGUUCGGGGCGACACUCGUACUGAAUGUAUGAGAAAUCUGACGUGGCAGAGACCCCAAGAUACUCCCUCCAUUUAUUUUUAGUCUGCAUAUAAAGUUUGGUCAAAGUCAAGAUUUGUAAAUUUUAACUAACUUUAUAAUAAAAAAAUAUCAACAUUCACAAUAUGAAAUCAAUAUUACCAGAUGCGUCAUGAAAUGUAUUUCCAUACUAUAUAGUUUUGGUAUUGUAGAUGUUCAUAUUUUUUUAUAUAUAUGGGAAGUAGAGGCACUCUUCUAUACUAUAUUCAGAUGUAUGAUAUCUGUUAUUUAAGCGCUUGAAUUUUACAUACGAAUAUUUAUUAUUAAAUAUGUACCCCUACAAUAGCUAGGCCGUGCAGUUGCACGGGUAGAUGACUAGUGAUUACAAUCUUGUUUGUGUGCAAGUCAAGCUUAUCUAGUUUACACGUAACAACUUGUAGAACAUUACAAAAUUUAUGCUUGCUAAUAACUUUUAGAACACUACAACACUUGACAUGUAAAAGGAAUUUGACUGAGUCAUGGCCUACUAAAGCAAGUUACAUUACUAGUCUUAUCUAUCUUAACAGACCACACAAGAUUACAAACUAAGUACCGUGACAGCCAUGCUUAUCUAGUUUAUGCGUAACAAUUUGCAGAAAAUUACAAACUUAGUUUCAGAAAGAUAGGCAAUCUAGAUUAGUGUUUGAGCUGUAAAGUGAAUAAGAUGAGUCAUGCAUGUUAUCACACCUUUUUGGUGGUCGAAUGAUAGUGCAACAACAAGGAACUUUAAUGACCAGUCCAAGAAUACACUUGUAAGUAGUGCCACCAAACAGAACAUACCAAAUGAUCAUUCCAUGGCAGCUAUAAAUAGCCCCAUAGCAUGACGAUCAUCCUUCCUCAUCCAUCAUUCUCAUAAGUAGAGCACAUCAUUUAAGCCAAGCAAGUUGUGGUCAAUACAAAUCCACCAUGAAGACCUUUCUCAUCCUUGCCCUCCUUGCUAUCGUGGCGACCACCGCCACAACCGCAGUUAGAGUUCCAGUGCCACAAUUGCAGCCACAAAAUCCAUCUCAGCAACAGCCACAAGAGCAAGUUCCAUUGGUACAACAACAACAAUUUCUAGGGCAGCAACAAACAUUUCCACCACAACAACCAUAUCCACAGCUGCAACCAUUUCCAUCACAACAACCAUAUCUACAGCUGCAACCAUUUCCGCAGCCGCAACUACCAUAUUCGCAGCCACAACCAUUUCGACCACAACAACCAUAUCCACAACCGCAACCACAGUAUUCGCAACCACAACAACCAAUUUCACAGCAUCAACAGCAGCAGCAGCAACAACAACAACAACAACAACAACAACAAAUCCUUCAACAAAUUUUGCAACAACAACUGAUUCCAUGCAUGGAUGUUGUAUUGCAGCAACACAACAUAGCGCAAGGAAGAUCACAAGUUUUGCAACAAAGUACUUACCAGCUGUUGCAAGAAUUGUGUUGUCAGCACCUAUGGCAGAUCCCUGAGCAGUCGCAGUGCCAGGCCAUCCACAAUGUUGUUCAUGCUAUUAUUCUGCAUCAACAACAACAAAAACAACAACAACAACAACAACAACAACCAUCGAGCCAGGUCUCCUUCCAACAGCCUCAGCAACAAUAUCCAUUAGGCUAGGGCUCCUUCCGGCCAUCUCAGCAAAACCCACAGGCCCAGGGCUCUGUCCAGCCUCAACAACUGCCCCAGUUCGAGGAAAUAAGGAACCUAGCGCUACAGACACUACCUGCAAUUUGCAAUGUCUACAUCCCUCCAUAUUGCACCAUCGCGCCAUUUGGCAUCUUCGGUACUAACUGAGAAGAAAAUAACUCUAGUACUAGAUAUAUGAAACACCGUUUUCUCAGUCCAUGGUUUGGUCGUUGUAGCGGUGAAAAAAUAAUGUGGCAUGCACUAUCAUGUAAGAACCCAAACUAUACUAGUUCAAACUUGGGAAUAAAAGACAAACACAGGUCUUGUCUACAUAUUUAUGUUGCAUCUAUUUAUAUAUUAAAAGUAAUAUAAGGUGAACCAGGAGCAAGGUAAAUAUGCUAGAAAAUUGCACGUUAAUUAGAAAUUACUAGCCCUCAAUCUGGUAAAUCUUAACAAAUAGAAUUAUCUUGACCGUUAGAUUUAUGUAACAUAUAUAAUGCUCUGGGCCUCCAACGACUGUACGUGACACAUCUGAACGCACAUAUCUUAAAGAAAAUAUAUUUGGUAAAUGGUGGGCCUCUUUAAAAAGAGAACUCACGUACAUGCACCAACUAAGAAAAACACAUACAUGUAAACGGGAAAAGGAUGAGAUUUUCUCACGUACGUGCUCCCUGGCUCCACCCCGUUGAAAAAAUAUACAUCUGGAGGCCACUUUGUUUCCUCAUCAAAAAAAAACUUACGUUAAAAAGAUUGCAUGCAUCCCAGGGAAAAUAGUCAAGAAGAAGUCGGCUCUUCCUUACAAAAACAAGGAACGUGUUAAGUUGACUUCAAAGAAAAAAGGAACAUGUUAAGUUAAAAAAAACAAGAAACCUGUUAAGUUAGAAAAAAACAAGGAACGUGUUGUCCUAGGAAAGAUAUGUGUCAAAUCUUACAAAAAAAAAGAAUACACACACGUACGUUCAUGCACUUGGAAAAUAGAAAAAAAAGGAACAUCACGUAUGUAUACACUUCGGAAACUCAUUACAUGACCAUGUCUGAUAUACUCCUCUAAUGCUUAAUAUUAGUGCCUAAUAAUUUAUAUUUAAAAUUUAAUUUACUGAUCAAAUAUCCCCACUGUAUAAAUUUUAAUUUGGCACAUUGUUUGGCUAUAGUAUGAACCUAAAUUUCCUCUUAUUAUUAUAUAUCAUGGUAAUAAUCCAAAGGCGACUAAUCUGCGCCGGCGCACCGGCGCAAUCAAUUCGGCCCGACACAGCGCGGCCGUUUGAUUAGAUUGCAUUUAACCGUCAGAUCUGGAAUCAUUUUAUUUCCAAUUAAACGGAUUCAACCAAACAGCAGAGAGGAAAACAAAGCAGCGCCGCCGCCAACACUAGCCAUGGACGACCGAUGUAGCAAAACCUUGAAGAACCGCCGCCGGUCGCCACCCUUGCCGCUGGUCGCCGCCCUCGCCGCCUGUGUUUCUCAUCGGCUUCAUGCAUGCAACAACAUGCACUCGUGAUUGCAGGCUUGCAGCUCCGGCUCUGGGGGACAUGGCCGCAUCUCCAGUAGCGCCGGCCGCCGGCCGCAGCACCUGUCGUUGUGGUCACGCUGUACCUCGCCGUGUGCCCUCCCAAGGAUCUUGCUGGUUCCAACAAAAAACGAUACCUGUUGUAGCAAAAAAGUUUAUCGCUUCCAGCAAAAAAGCUUACCGCUACAGCCCGCCAUCAUCAUUGUAGCAAAAAUGUUAACUCGAUGUAGCUUCUGUGGUUGCCGACUGCAGCCAAAAAUGACGUGGUUGUAGCAAAACACAAAAGAAAAACUCCGGCCGUCCGCUGUGUAUGGUGGUAACAAACCCUAUAGCCGGUGGUAGCGAAAAACUUCAUUGUUUGCAGCAAAAAAAUGUUGUCGCCCAUCGUCGAGGUUGCAUCAUCUUCAUGAAUUAUGUCGCAAAAAAACGUUGUCGCCGGUAGUAGCAAAUGAAGCCGCCGGUAGAAACAAAACAAGACACUGGUUCCAGCCAAAAAAAAAUCAGCGACAGAACCUUUUGUUGGUUCCAACAAAAAAACUUGUCGGUUGUAGCAUCCCUCGCCGCCGGAUGUAGCAUCUCCCAGGGCUGGUUGCAACACUCCAUAAAAAAAGGUUGUCUACGAGCGCAUCCAUGGCAACUGCUGCACCGUCAGCAACGAGGGGAAGAGGAGGCAAUGAAAAUCGUUCGAGUCGUAGCUCCACAGGACGCGGGUGCAGCAUAGGGAGUCCAAAAAUCUGUCACAAGCAAGAUGCGCCUUGCCAUCCUCCUGCGCAGGAGAGAGAAGAAAAAGGAAUAAGAGGAAGAAGAAAGGAAACGGGAGAAAGAAAAAAAGAAACGAUUGGUUGUGGGCUCAGGCAAUUAGUCAAACGAGGGGCACGCGGGGCCGCAGGAUACAGCGCAAUCGAACGAAGUGCGCGCGUCUGGCCGAAGACUCAGCUGGACUGCCGGCUGGAAAUGUUUCCCUAAUACAAAGGCUUUUCUGAAUGACAAGUCGUCUGAGUUAUCGGCUAACUAGAAAAAAGAUAAAUAUGCUAGAUAAUUCCAUAAUCAUUAGAAAUAUCUAGCCUUUAAUUAUGUAAAUCAGAAAAUCACAACCGUUGGAUUUACUUUAAAGGUAAAUUUCUCUAAAUUCCCACCAUUGCCAGUAUGUAGAAACAUGUGCUGCUUCAAUUCUCCCUUAAUCACCAAUCAAUCAACAACAGAAAACAUACCGCAGUUCAAAAAACUGAACAAAAAAAAGAAAAAAAGAAGAAAGGACAAGAUACACGCAUGUACACGACAGCCUUGGCUUGAAACACAUCAGUAAAUCAAGUGUCCACCUCCCUUACACAGAAUAAAUUCUAGGGAAGAAAAUAAUAGUGCAACCUAACCUUAUACGUACUAUUCUAUCCUCACGUCCCAUGAGGUUUACUAGCCUACUGCCGCCGCAUCAUGCCAUCCUCUCCUUUCAGCUCCCAUGCUCUCCAGCACCCUCCUUGCGGCGCCACUACUCGCCUAGGGAUAUUGCUGCUCAGACCGUGGAGCUUAACCUGCUUCUUCUUCAGCAAAUAUGGAACUGCUUUAGGAUCCUUCUGACAUCAGCGCGUAUGGGCCUCAUUAUACUGCAGCUCCUGGACCUCCUACAAUUGGUUGGCUAUGGCCAGUUGAUCGAUUUGCUGAUGUCCAGGUCUGUUUGCUGGCACAUAUGCUUUGGAAAUAGGCCACUAUGUUUGUACUUCAAAAUUGUUUCUGUAUUCUUUAGUGGUACAUCCUUUUAAGCGCCAGUUUUUUAUGUUAAUUCAUGCUGACAACACUUAACCUAGCCUUUCAUGUUCACGUACUAAAUACAGGAGCAAGUAAAAACAACAGACCACCUAAUUGCUCUGCAAGUUCUACAUAGGAAAAUUUGUCAUGUUCUACGAUCGCACUAUCCCACCCUUCUCUCUUGGUAUGGGCGCCAAUUGAGGGAUUGAUAAAAUUGAAACGAAGCCGUCACAGGGCUGGAAGUACCGCUAGCCUGGUUCGCACUGCAACCUACCCAACGCCAUCAGAAACUAGCAACUGAGUCAGGUGUUGAUCGAUUCUCUCAAAUUGCUCUCAUGUAAGUACUACCCCUUGCAUGUGCGUACAUACCUUUGUUGCAUUCUCAAACAGAUAGAACAUGUAUGAUCGGUGCAUGGCUAUUUUUCAUCACAUGACAUCCAGAUAACAAGCAUGAAAGGACUACAUUGGAGAUCAAAAAAUAUUGGUUCCUGGCUAGAGUACCACUACCUAUGGACUUGUCUCCAUAGAAUUUGUUCCCAAGAUGUUAUUUUAAUUAACCUCUUUAGCUUUCUUCCAUUGCAAACGGUGAUGUGCAUCUUGGUAUAUACGUGACCAUCUUGCACAUGUAUACACAAGAGGCUCAGACGGAGGUGUUGGAUUCUGGACGAGGGAAUAUAAAGCAGGAGUGAGCGAAGUGUAAAUAAUGGUGGGAGUACCGAUUGGUGUUAUGAAGAAAAAUGCCAUCAAAAGAUUGAUUAGUGUCAUGGAAGAUUAAUUUCUGAAUGCGAAUAUAUAUGUUACAUUGGUUUGGAUCUUUUUGAGAUAAUUGCACCUAAAUUAGGUUCUUUCUUAUUUCAUAUGUAUACCUUAUUUCAGUAAAAGUUCACAACGAACUUAGUAGGACAAAUAUAAUUUUGUUUGUUCUUUCUGUUGUCCGCCACCAAAGCUCAAUUUGAACUCUCUAGAAAUGGACAAUGAUUUAUGCAUUCUAUAUCUUCUUGAUUGAUUAGCCAUGACAAGGAAAUAAAAGGAUUGACUGAUAUAGCAUAACUUUGGAACGAUUAGAGGUUACUACAAAUAAGAGUAGUGUCUGUUGGAAUUUUGCUAGUAGGCCUUUGGCCCAAAGCCCAACUAAAAUUCUGAAAUUCUCUUGGCUCAUUUAUACACACAUGUGAGUUGAGUGAGUGAGACUAAAGUUUAGUCCCACCCCGGAAGUUGAGAGAGAGUUGCACCUCUUUAUAAGGUGAGCUCUUCUACCACUUGUAUGAGCAUGAGAAGAGGAGACCUACACGCGCGCUCCUCCUCCACGCUCGCCACGCCUCGUCGCGCCGCGCCGUGCCGCGGGUUGCGGGAUUGAGCCGAGCCGAGGACGUUUUCUAUAUUUUUGCUGCUCGGGAAAAAUUAAUGAGUCAUUAAUUAAUAAUUAAUGGACACAUUAAUUACUGAACCGUUUCCGAUUUUUUUGGAUCGUGACGACUCGGACGUGGGGUUUACUCCCAGGACCUACCCGGCCCGCACUAUAUAGUCAGGAAGAUGUCUACCCUAGCCGCCGCCGCUUCGUAUGGUUUCUCACCAUCGUUACAGAUCAUUGCGCCGCCAAGCAAGUUUUCUCCAUCCCUCCUUUCGGCGUGCACCGGGAGAAGGGACAGCAGACCUCCGGAACCCCGCCUCUCGUGAUCCUAUACGGGAGAGGGGCGAUCAGGUUUUUGGGGAGCGCACUCGCAUGACUGCUUGCAGCGACGACUUCGCAAACGACGACUUCUUCCCCGACCUCGGCAACCUCAUCCUCGACGACAUGGGCGACAACGUCAACGCCGGCGAUGCUACACCCACUGCACCGUAUGUUAUUCUCUCCUUCUUGUUCGAGAUCGUGGUAGAAUUCAUGUUUCUAGUAUAUGUGCCCUAGAUGUGAUCUGUUCAUCUACUAUGGUAGUUCGCAUGAUUAGUUUAAUCUCUGCUAUUGCUGUCAUGAUCUAUUUCCUAUUUAUUCGGAUUAAAUCUCUUUGUAAUUUGCUCAUUUUUCCAACAAUCCAAAAACCUGAUUAUAGGAAAUUUACUCCGAGUGGUUUUGCUGCGCAUCUGAAAGCCGCUUGCCUUUAAGGGGGCGCAAUAUAAGAGGUGGCGCACCAGAGCAGUCUACUGGUUUCAGAUCAUGGGCUGCUAUGACGCCACCAAGGGCAAGCCUGAGGGCGAUCUUAAUCCAGCACAGCUGGAAGCUUUCAAGAAGAUCAAUACCCUCUUUAAAGGCACGCUUCUGAGUGUUCUUGAUGACUCCAUUGUAGAUUCGUAUAUGUCGUUUGACAACGGCAAGAACAUGUGGGCUACGCUCGAGGCCAAGUUUGGUGCCUCGGACGCCGGCAGCGAGUUGUACGUCAUGGAGCAAUUAUAUGACUCCAAGAUGACUGAUGGGCGCCCUGUUGUACAUGGGCGACUUCUUCCCCGACCUCGGCAACCUCAUCCUCGACGACAUGGGUGACAACGUCAAUGCCAGCGGUGCUACACCCACUGCACCGUAUGUUAUUCUAUCCUUCUUGUUCGAGAUCGUGGUAGAAUUCAGAUUUCUAGCAUGUUCCCUAGAUGUGAUCUGUUCAUCUACUAUGCUAAUUCGCAUGAUUAGUUUAAUCUCUGCUAUUGCUGUCAUGAUCUAUUUCCUAUUUAUUCGGAUUAAAUCUCGUAGUAAUUUGCUCAUUUUUCCAACAGUGCCAUCCAAUAGAUGAUGUAAAUCUCCUCAAGUUUGACGUUGUUGAGCUAAUUUACAAAAAAAACCUCAUCAUUAUUGGAUGUCCUUAACAGCUCAAGAACAAGUUGGGGUCGAAAUAAUGGAUUUUACACUUUUACAUUAAAGGUUUAGCUAAAGCAAGCAGGUGUUUUUAAAACUGAAUUUUUUCCUCCUGAAUUUCUUUGUAUUUUCUUAUUGACACUAUUUAUACAAUCAUCUGACAAAGAUUAGCUAAAGCUGUUUGUAGAUACGUUGAAACCUGAAAAGCUUCUUUGGUUAUCCUUUUAAUAGUUCUACGUUUAUUUUCUCAUAGGUCAUAAUUCUUAUGUAAUACCAAGAUGCAUUGUGGUAGUGUACAUGUGUUAAAUUCAGGUUGUUAUUCACAAUUUGCGACAAAAUUUAGCUCACGCUACAUUUAAAUAUGUUGAAAUGUGAAAGCUCUUUUUCUUCUCCUUUCUACACCUUGCAUCGGAUUGCAUCCCUUUAGUUAUCCAACAUUUUGUUCAACAUGUAGAGAUUAGGAAGUUCAUCAUAGUUUGUCUAUUUCCGUGCUAAUAAAUGUAUGAAAUCUGCAUUUCCAAGCUACUAGGACAAGUAAAAAAUAAUAAUUUUACUAGAGGAUUCAAAAACAGCAGUUCUGAAGUGCACUUUAUUUAUUUGUGAAAGUGAUCACAUUUUGUUUCAUUUUUCUAUAGACAAAUCUACUAAUACAUACUCACGAUAAAACUAUAAAAGUUCUAGUCCGCACAUUGGGCGGGCCACCCGGCUAGUUAGUCUAAAGAUAACAAAAUGAGUCUGGAAUUUGAAUUAAAUUGAAGUAUUUUCUUGGACUAUCCACAUCCUUGGCUUGCCCCUGAUCAAUUAUUUCCAGAGAAGCAUUCAAUUCAUCAAUCAAUUACAUUGAUUUUAGUGGCUAGUACAUCACCUCAACAUCAGUAUAUUCACCGUGGCCACUCCAAAUCGGCAAGAAUGAGGUACCAGUGCUCUGGAGAAGUGCAAGCUAAUUGCUUCUCAUGUGAAGGGGUGCGGGCGCGGGAGAGGUAUUUCUGGUGGGCCAAGGGACUAAGAAGCGACCGUGGCAGCGGUACAGAUGCCCGCAAAGCCUCAUAAUUUGUUUUUGGUUUACAGGAAAAAUGCACAUCCAUACUGGCCCGGGGAAUAUAGCACUGUAUUGGAUGGAAAACAAUGUCCGGAUGGUUGUGUGCGGUUUGAGGGUUAGCUUUUGUAACGCCCGGUUAGUUAUGCUAUAGCAAUUCCCUGCUAAUGAUGUCACGUCACCACGAUUACUGUUGUUAACCUCACAAUGAUUCAAUCUCGUUCAAAUUCAAAUUUAAAAUAAAGGCAAACAUCAAAAGUUUUCAAACAUUAAAACUAAAAUCUUUGAGAGGUGACAAAUAAUGCAUAAGUAAUUAUGGUGAAGAAACCACACUUUAAUCAAAUGUUUAAAUACUCUAAAAUGAAAAAAAAACAGUGACUUAAACUAUUAUUUAAAUGCUUUUAAAAUAGUAAAAAUCUUCUAACUAAAUUAUUUGGGUACCAAAACUUUUGGUGGCAGUGGUAUAUUUAGUAGAACUAAUUUAGAUGCUAAUUAUAUAAUUUACAAAAUUAGAGUAAAUUGAAAAAUAGGAUAAAACGAAAAAAGGAAAAACAAAACAAAUAAAAGCAAAAGGGGGCAACCCCUCGCUGGGCCUCGGCCUAGCUGGCCACUAGGCUAGCUAGGCUCGCCCCGCCGCCUCCCUUAACCCCCCACUCCCCGUCGAACCCAAGCCCGAUCGCCCCACUUCCCCCACACCCCCUCGCCGGUCUCCCCACCUCUUGAUCCCAUCUGGAUCGGGGAGGGUAUUGCCCCCAUCGAACCCGUUGCUGUCGCCGGAUCGCCCGCCGACGUCGCCAGGCCUCCUCCCCGUCGCCCGUCUCCGGCUCACCUCCCCUCUCGCUCCUCUUCCCUGACCCGAUCUGGAUCGUGAACGAGCAAUGAGCUCGAAGCCCCCCUUCACCGGCGCCAUCACCGUGCGCCACCACCACCGCCUGAAGACCUCACCGUCGCCGAACCUUGCGUCGCUGUAACACCCUCGAUGCGACUAUAUCUCCCACGUGUCGAGGCACGACUUAGAGGCAUAAUCGCAUUGAAGGCAUAUGUCGCAAGUGAGGUAGUCUUCACACAACCCAUGUAAUAUAAUAAGGGAAAGAGAUACAUAGUUGGCUUACACUCGCCACUUCACACAAUUACAUGAAUAAAACAUUACAUCAACCAAGUACACUCAUGGUCCGACCACGGAACCAAAAUAAAGAAGAACCCCAAAAGCGACAAAGGUCCCCGAUCGACCCCAACUGGGCUCCACUACUGAUCAAUUAGAACGAAACAGCUCAACGGACAAAGUCUUCAUCGAGCUCCUCCUGAGCUUGGUUGCGUCCUGCUCGGACUCAUCGGCACCUCCAAGCUGGUUUUGGAAGUAUCUGUGAGCCACGGGGACUCAGCAAUCUCGCACCCUCGCGAUCAAGACUAUUUAAGCUUAUGGGUAAGGUAAAGGUAUGAGGUGGAGCUGCAGCAAGCGACUAGCAUAUAUGGUGGCUAACCUAUUCGCAAAUGAGAGCGAGAAGAGAAGGCAAAGCACGGUCGAUAAAAGUAUGAUCAAGAAGUGAUCCUAGACUACCUACGUCAAGCAUAACUCCAACAACCGUGUUCACUUCCCGGACUCCGCCGGAAAAAGACCAUCACGGUUACACAUGCUGUUGAUUCAUUUUAAUUAAGGUCAAUUUUAGAUUUUCUACAACCGGACGUUAACAAAUUCCCAUCUGCCCAUAACCGCGGGCACGGCUUUCGAAAGUUCAAAUCCCUGCAGGGUGUCCCAACUUAGCCCAUGACAAGCUCUCACGGUCAACGAAGGAAUAGACCUCCACCCGAGAUAUUCCGAUCAGACUCGGUAUCCCAGUACAACAAGACAUUUCGACAGGGUAAAACUAAACCAGCAACACCGCCCGAUGCGCCGACAUCCUGAUGGGAGCUGCACAUAUCUCGUUCUCAGGGCAACACUGGAUUGUCUAAACUUCCGGUAGGCCAGCCCAGAGUUGCCCCUGGUGGCCACCGGCGGCUGACGGUUUGGACCAACACUUAGACAAGCACUGGCCCGGGGGGGUUAAAAAACGAUGACCCUCAGGAGCGCGACUCCCAAGGGAAAAGAAAAGGCUAGGUGGCAAAUGGUAAAGCCAAUGUUGGGCAUUGCUGGCAAAGCUUUACUUAAGGCGAACUGUCAAGGGGUUCCCAUUAUAGCCCAACCGCGUAAGGGACGCAAAGUCCAGGAACAUAACACUGAUAUGACGGAAACUAGGGCGGCAAGAGUGGAACAAAACACCAGGCAUAAGGCCGAGCCUUCCACCCUUUACCAAGUAUAUAGAUGCAUUAAUUAAAUAAGAUAUAUAGUGAUAUCCCAACAAGUAAACAAAUGUUCCAACAAGGAACGGCCUCCAAUCUUCACCUGCAACUAACAACGCUAUAAAAGGGGCUGAGCAAAGCGGUAACAUAGCAAUUCAACGGUUUGCUAGGACAAUGGUGGGUUAGGGGCUGAACAUGGCAAUUUGGGAGGCUGACAAGCAAGUGGUAGGCAUUGUAGCAAUGGCAUAGCAAAAGAGUGAGCAUACUAGCAUAGCAAAGAUAGUAGUGACUUCGAGGGUAUGAUCAUCUUGCCUGAAAUCCCGCAAGGAAGAAGAACGAGUCCAUGAAGAAGACAAACGGGCGUAGUCGAACGGGUCCUCACAAUCACGACGUUAUCGGAACCAACCCGAAGAAGCAAUCACCGGAAAAGAAGCACACACAACAUAGUAAACACCCAACACAUCAACAUGGCAAGAUGCACAAUCGAGUAUGAUGCAUGUCCGGUUUAAAGAGGCAUGGCAUGGCAAAGUGCACAAACAACCCUACAAAUUAAGUGGAGCUCAAUAUGCAACGGUUGCAUAUUGACGAAACACCACGUCAAUUAUUUAGUUCGAUCUCGUUUAUGUACCCAACAAUAUUAAAUGUUGUUAAAACAUGGCAAGAGGGGAAACAUGAUGAAACUAUCUAAUCUAGGCAAGUUUAAAUGAGGCCGGAAGCAACGAACAACAAUUCCGGAAAAUCCUCAUGUGUAAAUAUUAGGUUAGGUCCUGAUCUGUCCUAAACACAAUUUAAGCGUUGUUUAACAUGCAAGAUGAGGCCACCACGUUAAACUAGGCAAAAUUCUACCCGAUUUACAUAUAAAGAUUAUUAAAAUCGGAGUUACGGUUAAUUAGAUAUGAAUAAAAUCAUUUUAGCAUGGCAUGGGAGCAAACUUAAACAAACAUCAUUUUAGACAUUUUUUAAUUGUUGUUAUCAUGAUGCGGAUGACAUGAACAAGUUUAACGCAAUUUUAAUUAAGACUUGACAAGAGCAUUAUCAUGAAGCAUUGUCACCGUGGUGGAAGGAAAAAGGGGGUGCCACGGCAACGAAUCCGAAAAUGAUGCCAUGGCAACAUAUCGGUUCCGGUAACUCGAUUGAGAUCCCGGUGCAAACGAAAAAAACGACGGGAGCGUGACACGCGAUAGGAGGUGGGGUGAUCCCGGAUAUCGGGUUCCCACAAUAUGGUGACAAAGCAAAAGAGGGGCGACGUGCACCGAACAACUCCGACACGGAGCAAACACGAGCAUUUCAUACAUCACACAUGCAUUCGUUCACGGGCAUCGUUCCGGCGGUUAUACCUUUGAAGCGAGCAUCAUCGAAACGGAUCGAGUUCGACGGUAGGGGUACACGUGUCGACGAGGAAGUAGUUGUACACGGGGUCGUCGUGGGAAGUAGUCAUUCUCGCGAUGGUAGUGGAAGUAGGGGUACAUGACGACGUAGAGGUGCUCGCGACGGUAGUCGUUCACGUUUGCGUUUCACGGGUCUUCGGCGACGGUUGUCGUACAUGGUCCACAAGACGUCGAUCGUUCGGGGUCCGAUUUGCGGAUCUUGCCGACAUGAAGGGGUACUUGGCGUUCUCCGGACUUGCUGGUCUCGUCGAAACGAAGGGGUACUUGGUACAAUCCUCGUAGUCGUGCACUUGUCGUCAAGGGACUAGAUGGAUCCGAGGCUUCCGGAGGCGACGGUAGUGGGACUUGGUGAAUCCGAGUUCUUCAGAGGUCGUCAUGGUACUUGGUGAAAUCCUCGGAGAUGGACUUGACGCACGAAAGGUCUUCGGUGCCACGGUACUUGUCUGAUCACACACGGAGAUGCAUCGAUGGAUCUCUGACUCGUCCUGGCGAUGGACGAACUUGGCGAAAACCCCGAAGGCGGUCUUGAGCUUCCCUGGUUACCGCACCUUGGCAGAGACCAGAGGAACGACGAGGCCAGCGGGCAGCAACCGAAGAUGCCUGAGGUCUGUGGGCGUCCAGAUCAGGUGGCCUUCUGGCUAGGCAAGGACGACGAGGAGGAUGCCGAGGCGCGGGGACGAGGUAGGAGGCGGCACGGGAGCACGGCGCGGGCGUGGGCGCUCCUGGUGGGCGCAGAGGACGACGACGGCAGGCCAUGGCAGGGGCGGAGGCGCGGUUCCCUGGACCGGUAGGGCCGCGGCGGCGCUGUGGUGCCCGGCGGCCUCGGCGACGCGGCGAGGGAGGGGAUCCGGCGGGGCGCGAGGGAGCUCGGUGGCGGCGCAGGCUGCAGUGCCCGACAGAUGGAGGAGGCGCGGCAGGGUGGCUCCGGCCAGGGCACGGCGCGGGGAGCGCAAGACGGCGGCGAGGAGGCCGAUGAGGCUCCGACCUGGUACUUGGAUCGAAGGAGGAGGGAGGAUGAGGGGAGCCGGAGGGAGAUCGAGAGGGGGGUUCGAGCAGCUGGGGAUGGGGAUCGGGCUGCGAGGGAAAAUGGGGGUCGGGCACGAGAGAGAGAGAUCGAGGGGAGAUGGCGGCGCUGCGGGAACGAGAGGGAGAUGAGUGUGGUGCAGGAGCUGGGCUUCGGGCCUUCUAGGGUUAGGAGGGAGUGGGCCAGGGAGGCCGGCCGAGGAGAGAGAGGCCCAGGUGGGCAGGGGCGCGGCCUGCGGGGAAGGAUGGGCCUAGGGAGGCCUGAGGCUGCAGCUGGGCUGGACUCUCUUUCCCUCUUUCUCUAAUUUUCUUUAGCAGCAAAUGAUUAAAGAGAAAGAAAAGAAAGAGGGGGUUAGGGAAAGGAGUCGGACACGCGGAUAAUUUUCCCGGACUCACAAAAUUGCACUUGUUCCGAGAAAAAUGAAGUGGGCAAGAUUGCAAGAAUUAAAUUCAAGGACAAUUGAAUUUAAUUAGAAAGGUUGCACAAGGACUAGGAUUUAGGAGAGUCCAAAAAUGUUGAGAAAUUAGGAGGAGCCUCAAUAAAUGGGAAAAGAGAUGUUGGCAAAGUUUGGGGACCAAACUUGAAGUAGAAAGGGAGUGGGGAUUUUUCCAGUGUGUUUUGGUUAAUUCCGAAAGAAUGGAAUAUUUUAUAAUAGCCCCACUAAUAUCGGGACGAUAUGUUAUAAAGAGAAGUCAUCCUUCCCUCGAUUUAAAUGGAUCGAAGAUCCAUAUGAAUUAUUUAGUUGAGAUGCAAAAGAUUAUGACAUGAUGACAUGAUGCAAUGCACAUGAUGACGUGACAUGGUGCAACACGCAAGCACAUGACAACGCAACAACAUCGAAUAACUGCACGACACCUGGCACAUCGGUCUCGGGGCGUUACAGUCGCCUCCUUGUAUCCCCCCCCUACUCGCAUCCUCAAGCCAGGCCGAGCCCCUUCUCGGCAACGCUGUGAGACGCCCCCGUUUCCCUCCUCUUUCCACCGCAUUCACCGCGCCGCUCGCCGUGCCCGUCGCCGUGCGUGAGCCCACCACCGCACCAGCCCCCGCUCCGCGCACGACCCUACCCGCGCCCGCGCCAUGAUCCCCUUUUCCGCCCUACCUUCACGCGCUCGCCGCGAUCCCGAUGCUCCCCCGCGCCCUCUUUCGGGCGCGCCGACUGCCCCUGUCCUGGUGCUCGCCGCCGUGCCUCGCCACCGCUCUACUGCUACGUUACUACUGCGCUGCGGCCGCCGCCUCUUCCCGCUGCUCCGCUAGCGCCGGAGCUCCCGGUUGGCUCCACCACUGCUCACGUUAAACCGCCGGCCUAAAUGGCCUAACCCCCGGCUAAUGAACCCCCACUAACCCACUGACACCGGGACCCACAUUCCCUAAUUAACCAUUUAAUAAAUUAAAACUCUUAAAUUAACAUUAGUGUAUGACAUGUGCGUCCCCUGUUAAUUAAUAAUUUUACUGCUAGUUUUAUUAGUUUCUGUUUUUUCUGCAUAUUUCUUUUGUAUUUGAACAGGCUUUAUACAAUAAUAUUUAGCGUAUCAUACACAUACAAAUGUAAUCAUAGCAUAUACAUACAAAUAGUCUCAUCAAAUCAUGUCAUCAUCAUAAUCAUCAUCCAUCACAAAGUGGUCUCUCGUCAUCAUCUCGAAAAUAGCGAUACAAGUCUCGAUUACUUGCAACUACAUCGUCAUCCAUCUAAACAAUGAUAUACGCGAGAAGAGCUCUCACUAUGAGUGAGAGCGGAACUAUGCAGUACAUGAGUUUGUAUCCCUCUCUCGCAUUAGCGUGAACCUAAACUAACGACUCGCUGUUGCUCGGAAACCGGAAACCGGUACACCUGGGCCUGACACUCCGGCCACUCGUCGUAUACUCCUGGCGUAGCACUUCUUCGCCAUCGAUGAUCUAUGCACCUGCAUCGUCACAUGAGUCGAUGAUAUGCAACAUAUAUAGUUGAGUAACAGAAAGAGACAGACUUCGCAAAAAUAGAAGCAACAUAUCAUAAGUAUAAAUAACAAAGUUCAUCCUACCCAAAAUGCCCUAACUAGAGUGAUCUUCGCUAGUCGAGGAGGACGGUUUAAUUACAUCACAAAUAACGUUUCGUCGUGCAUAACUCAAAGUUCCGUCAUACAGAAAGUAUGAACUAAACGGACACAUUGUCAUAUUUCGAAAAUCACUCCAACAUAUCGUACCAUCCAUCCAAGUCAAGGAGAGAGUGCCCGAGCUUAGUGAAAGGCUUGUGGUCGAGACGCUGAGCGGCUACGCGUGUUCGAAAGUCUUCCCACGUCAUUUGUCCUUCUUCAUAGAACAUCCCUGUUUUUUCGACGACCUCCUUCAUGAUGAUUUGGACAAGUUCGCACUGGAAGUGAUAUAACUCAUCUCGAAGUGGAUGAUCCUCGAUAUCUCCUAAGUUCUUUGCCCAUUGCAGAAUAUGGGCAUCGCUGAAUUUAGGUGACAUGCAAAGGUUCCGGUGAUCUCGUCUAUACUCCAUCAUAUGGACAUAGAAUCGAUCAUCAAGAGAAUCACUCGGUUGCUGGAUGCAGCUGAAGUGGGUCUUAUGGGCCUGCCGUCCCUUUUCUUCUUGUCCUUGACCUCUCCACCCCGUGCAUCGUAGUAAAACGUAGCACUGUCGAGAAUAGACUUGAUGUGGGUGUAAUCCUUUUUGUUAAUGUUCUUCGACGAGUCCACAGUAUCGGGGGUAGCGGAUAAUGAGGACGGCGCUGAAGGAAAUAUGCCCUAGAGGCAAUAAUAAAGUUAUUAUUUAUUUCCUUAUAUCAUGAUAAAUGUUUAUUAUUCAUGCUAGAAUUGUAUUAACCGGAAACAUAAUACAUGUGUGAAUACAUAGACCAACAGAGUGUCACUAGUAUGCCUCUACUUGACUAGCUCGUUAAUCAAAGAUAGUUAUGUUUCCUAACCAUGAACAAAGAGUUGUUAUUUGAUUAACGAGGUCACAUCAUUAGUUGAAUGAUCUGAUUGACAUGACCCAUUCCAUUAGCUUAGCACCCGAUCGUUUAGUAUGUUGCUAUUGCUUUCUUCAUGACUUAUACAUGUUCCUAUAACUAUGAGAUUAUGCAACUCCCAUUUACCGGAGGAACACUUUGGGUACUACCAAACGUCACAACGUAACUGGGUGAUUAUAAAGGAGUACUACAGGUGUCUCCAAUGGUAGAUGUUGGGUUGGCGUAUUUCGAGAUUAGGGUUUGUCACUCCGAUUGUCGGAGAGGUAUCUCUGGGCCCUCUCGGUAAUGCACAUCACAUAAGCCUUGCAAGCACUGCAACUAAUAUGUUAGUUGUGAGAUGAUGUAUUACGGAACGAGUAAAGAGACUUGCCAGUAACGAGAUUGAACUAGGUAUUGGAUACCGACGAUCGAAUCUCGGGCAAGUAACAUACCGAUGACAAAGGGAACAACGUAUGUUGUUAUGCGGUCUGACCGAUAAAGAUCUUCGUAGAAUAUGUAGGAGCCAAUAUGGGCAUCCAGGUCCCGCUAUUGGUUAUUGACCGGAGACGUGUCUCGGUCAUGUCUACAUUGUUCUCGAACCGUAGGGUCCGCACGCUUAAUGUUACGAUGACAGUUAUUAUGAGUUUAUGCAUUUUGAUGUACCGAAGGUUGUUCGGAGUCCCGGAUGAGAUCACGGACAUGACGAGGAGUCUUGAAAUGGUCGAGACGUAAAGAUUGAUAUAUUGGAAGCCUAUGUUUGGACAUAGGAAGUGUUCCGGGUGAAAUCGGGAUUUUACCGGAAUACCGGAAGGGUUACCGGAACCCCCCGGGAGACUAAUGGGCCUAUUGGGCCUUAGUGGAAAAAGAGAAAAGGGGCAGCCCAUAGCUGGCCGGCGCCCCCCCCCUUUCCCCAAGUCCUAGUAGGACUAGGAGAAGGGGCCGGCCCCCCCUCUUUCUCCUUUCCCCCCGAGAGUCCUAAUUGGAAUAGGAUUGGAGGGAGGAGUCCUACUCCCGGUGGGAGUAGGACUCCCCUGCGCCUCCCUCUCCCUGGCCGGCCGGCCCCCCUUCCUCCAACCUUUAUAUACGGGGGCAGGGGACACCCCAAGACACACAAGUUGAUCCUUGAGAUCGUUCCUUAGCCGUGUGCGGUGCCCCCUGCCACCAAAUUCCACCUCGAUCGUACCGUUACAGUGCUUAGGCGAAGCCCUGCGUCGGUAGUACAUCAAGAUCGUCACCACGCCGUCGUGCUGACGGAACUCUUCCUCGACACUUUGCUGGAUCGGAGCCCGAGGAACGUCAUCGAGCUGAACGUGUGCUAAGAACUCGGAGGUGCCGGAGUAACGGUGCUUGGAUCGGUCGGAUCGGGAAGAAGACGUACGACUACUUCCUCUACGUUGUGUGAUCGCUUCCGCAGUCGGUCUGCGUUGGUACAUAGACAACACUCUCCCCUCUCGUUGCUGUGCAUCACCAUGAUCUUGCGUGUGCGUAGGAAAAUUUUCGAAAUUACUGCGUUCCCCAACAGGCGCGCCCGCCGCUGCGCAAAAUAAGUACACCUCCAAUUAAUUACACUCCAUCGUUCAAAUGAAUGAUUGAAAUCGAAGGAAGGAUAUCUGCGCGGAUGACUUACACGAGAUGAUAAGCCAUGAGAAUCGCCUCCUUGUCCUUAUUGGCAAGCAUGAAAUCGACGAUGUAUUCCUCGCGUAUUCACGGUGCUUUGCACGGACUCCCAAGAAGCCCUCGUGCAUGAAGUACGGGUCAGCAACACAGAUAUGAGGUAUCUGCUCAACCCCGAUGAGGUAGUUCAUGUGCAAGGCAUAAAGGCGGACAAACGUAAAAUCCAGCUUCUUUAAGUGAAACAUGUUGAAGAUGUAAUCGAAUCGAAGGAAAAACUUCUUCGAGGGGAAUGUGUCGACGUACGACAAUUGCCGCGGCACGUUAACCACGUAGAGAGGGUAUCCUGGAUUUUUCGAGGCGAUGAGGCCUUUCUCUAUCCGCAACACGUCGUCAUGAAGUCUCCUUAGAUUGCCGGAUCUGGCCCCUAGUGCUGCUUUCGGUAGGAUUGGUUCACCGGGAUACGCCAUUUUGCCGCUCCGGGGAUAUCUAUACGGUCUUGAACCCGAGGCUGCUGAGGCGGCUGGAUCAUAGAAGCAGCUUUGUUGGCUUUCCUCGGUGUAUUCCUAAGCUUCUUUGCUACCGGAAGGUCGUCUAUAAUAUGUUCAGCCUCCGGAGGCGGCAAUUCAAGCACCGACUCAUGACGCUCAAACCCUUAGUAGGCGCCAGUAUUGAGAUACUAUUGAGUGUCAUUGUCAUCCUCAUCUAUGGCGGUGUCACCAGCGACAAAUGGAGCCUCUUCCUCACCCCGUCCGCUAUCACCCAGCACGACAGCCGGCGCUAAUUGGGUAGGUGGGGUGUUGAUGUUCAUACCUAACUGCGUGCUCGUGUGUGUGCUCCCGGCCGUCUCCAAACAAAGCAGACUCUUUGGCCACAAUAGGACCCACCCAUUGCAAUCACCAAGCCGCUGCGGGAUCUUGUCGUCAUUCCCCCUAGUACCGGAGGAGCCAAAUUCUCCUGGCCUGGUUUGACACUGGCCACGGAAACUUUGAAGAUGUCCAGGGGGAUCGAUCGGCCGUGGAACAAUGGUUCCUUCAGCUUCAUUAUCGUCACCUUCCCCACGUCCACCUCCUGGUAGCGGAUGCUGUACAAUAUGGUGCACGGGGUUAUAUUGGCCUGCAAAGACAUUUCUGUGAUGUGAGAUAUCCGAAAGGCAACGGAAAUGGGAGAUUAUACAUUUAUUGAAGAGGGCCGGUGUGACAGAUACCGUGAGGGCGUCGAGCUCAGCCAAAGACGAAGCACCGCUGAGCACGUCUGGUGUCGGAGCCGGUGCCGGAGCAGGUGCGGGAGCCCGUGCGGGAGCAGGUGUAGGUGCCGGUGCAACGCUAGUUGAGCUACUCCCGAAGAAGUCAGCAAGGGGAAAGUCUGCUGUAUUUUUUUCUGGAUUUUGCAUGCUCCAAUUGAAAACGGCCGGAACCAAGACAGAAGACAUAUCUGGAACCACCUGUUUUGCGGCAGCUAUCGCAGUUGUGACUGUCUCAGAUGAUUUCUUCUCAACCGCAAUCUCAACCUUCUGGUUGAUGUUUUCUUCAGUUAACCUCCGUCUUUCCUUUCUCUCCUCUGUGGUCUCACGGUAGUACUUCUUCCAUGUGGCGCCGUCUUCGACACCGUGCACGCGUCCAUACGACGGCCGAUUCUCCACCGGGAGUCCUUUCAAUAUGUUCAAUGCCCGAUUGAAUGGAGUGUUCCACUUGGGCCUCGCCAACACCUCAGACGGUGAGUCACUUUCGGCUGCAAUCUUGUGCUGCUCUCUCUACAAAAGGAACAAGGAUCGUUUACAAAUAUGACUAAACGUGCAGUCGAAUUGAUCAGAAACUAAAAUUACCGGCAGUCCCAUGAACUUCGUCGUGAUCAGGUCAGUCUUGAAAACCUUCUUGACUGAGUCCCAAUGGUGUCGUGCCCCGAGGACGUCAUGCUCCCGCGGGACGGUGAAGUCCGCCAAGGGGUCUGGGAUGCCCAGACUUUCGCGUUCCGCGUCCUCCUAUGCCCAUAUGGACCUCUUCCCGCCGUAACCACGGCUUCCGAGGUGGUGGCGCCCUAUGUUCCUUUGUUGAAGCCCCUUCAUGUACUUCGACUUUUUUUGGCAGCUUCGGCCUCGCAAGCCGCCUUGAAUUUUUCAAAGUGCUCUCCCGUGAUUGUCGGAUUAUCCUUUACAAUCUCAGAGUAUGGUUCCUUUUUGUCGACAAUCCGAUGUUUCAACCUUGUUUUCCAGGUGCCCAACGCGUCACUAAACUUGGUCAUGGCGUGUUUGUUUAUCUUCUUCAUUGCCGGGUCCUUAUUUGGAUCUUUAUAAUCCAUUUCAUUCCGGCCCGGGAACAACAAUAUCUGGUGCAGCUUCUUUAGGAGAGAGGGCCUCAUAUUAUCUAUCUUCUGUAGUUUCCCAUCAUUGAUCGUGGCAGUUGUCCGUACGAUGCAGCCUACUUGAUUGCCGUAGCACGAUCGCGCUUCCUCGGGCGCUAUUGUCUGAAAAACACUGUCGUCCAUCUCCGUGACCACCAGUCUAGUAGUCAUGAGCAGGUUUGGGCGCCGUGGCUUCUUUGCUUUCGGUUCUAGACCAGCUCCGCUAGUCUCGGCGCCGGUCUCAGUCUCAUCGCCAGUCUGCAUGUCGGUAUCAGUCCCCGAUGCGAUAGGUCGGCCCAGCAACAACAUUCGUUGAUCGUCGGCAAGGCUCAAAAAUUCAUCUGCCGCCAGGUAGACGUGUCGCAAUCACCAGAACCCUAUCCUUCAUCGUUGCUAGCCAUGUUUCCUACGAUUAUGCCUAGUCAAUUAAUUUUAGACCUAAUAAAAUGAAUAAUGACAUAAAACAGGCCAAUGUUUUGCAGGAUUACAACUCAACCCAUUGCAGAUUAGAAAACAAGCCCGUGUGAAUGCACAGGCUGACCACUAGUCUAUCUAUACCUAUACCUACCUAUACUAAUUACAGACUCCCAAGUAAUUCCCACGUUAAUUAGUAAUUAAGAGCCGUUAAUCUUGUGGGACCAAAUUAUUACGACAGUCCACGAUCUCUUUUCUCUCUGUGUAAAAAAAAAGGUCCACGAUCUCUUUUCUCCGUUGUAAAAGAUAAAGGCAACUCAGGUCCACGAUCUCUUUUCACGGUUGUGAAAGAUAAAGACAACUCCCGUCUUCUUCUAAUCUAUAGUUCUAUACCUCCACGACCCCUUCCUCUCCCCAUUUAAAAGGAACAAGCUGAACCAAUAUCUAAGCAUGCAAUUGGUUCCUGUGCGGUCUUGACCUUCCAUCCGUCCACUGCUCGAUCGGCCCUCCCUCAACUACAAGCUGACAAGCCACCAUCGCCAUCCAGCGGCACGCCACCGUUCAUGCAUGUGUUUUUGCCCUUCAAUCUGAAGGAGAUGCGUUGGCUACUCAAGUAACUCUGUUUGUUUUGUUCAAACCAAUUUCGUUAAUUCGGUUCUUUGAUUAUCUUAUUGACAUGGCCUGUGAGUUUUGUGCUAGUGAUACAGGGCCUGUCUACUAGAUUCUCUCCUUGCAACUUCUAUUGUUGUCUCGAUUUGGUGUGGUCAAGAUCCUUGCCCCACCACAAGCAGCACCUUUGCACCAUCGGGGAAAUCUGUCAUAGCAAACAGAGGUAUGUAACAUGCUUUGGUGUUUUCCUCUUUCGUUUAGAUCACUAGAGUUGCUCAACCACACCAUUCAUUGAUUAGUAGUUGGCCUGAGAAGUUGCUCGGUCACCUGCAGCGUCUGAUCCCCUUCUUGACCCUCUCAUUCUGGUCAUUAUCCACCGGCAGGUCAAUGCCAAACGGAUCGUUCGUUGCCGCCACCUUGCGGAGACCGAUGUUUGGCUGCCCUCCUGCCAUCCUGGCGCUCUGGUACCGGUCACUGUGCCGUUGUUCUAGAAGAACUAUGUCACACGAAGCGAGAUAUCUUCUUACUAAUCUGGAACAUAAGUGUUUCUUCUUACUAGGAUUCGCUCACCGGUGCAUUCAUCUCUUUUUGGAAAAUACGGCCUUCAUAUUUCACACGCCUAUACAUGGGUGCUGUCCCAACAAUAAUCCAUCUAAUCCAUGAUGCACAUUCAUGAAGACUGAUGUGACUGAAUUAAUAUAUCAAUCUGGUGCUUCCGGAUCAGCACUUGAAGAAGCAACCCCUUUAGUUCAUAAAUAUAUCAUACGAAAGUCAGGGGAGAAAUCAACUAAGUCAUGUGUGCUUUUCUAAUUAUUUACUAUACACUAAUUCCAUUUUUUCAGUAGAAGGCUAGGAUACGUGGAUUGUGGCAGCACAGAAGUAAACCGAUGAGCUACGUUGGCCGUUCACCAGUCAUCGGAUCAGCAGCCAUGUCGACCAGAGGGACGGAACAGUUCUAUAUUAGGCGAUGGAUACAUGUGGAAGCAACUAAGCAUAUGUGGAUGCAUGUGAUCGCAUAGGUAAGGCCAUAGCUGUUCAAGCCCUACAGGAUCUUUAUUGCUGGUUUUAAUUAUGAGUUUACAACACCAUCUAUACAUACUACUUAUCCAUUUAUUUCCUUACCUUCUUUGUUUCUUUCUCUCCUUGAUCCCCUGUCAAAAGGGCAUCAACAUCCAUAUGCGCAACGGCACACGCAACAAACUAUGACUUCGGUUGCAUGUCCAACGGCAACCACAGUACAUGAUGAUAUCAUGUUUGCUGCAAGACGAAGUACAAGUUCAUAAUUUGGUCUUUUGCAUGGUCCCUUAGUAAAUUCACUUCUGCUUCGGUACACCCCCCCUAAACACAUAGACGGCCCAGAUUAGUCGAUACCUCUUCAUAAGUAAGGGCAUGAUGGUCAUAUAUUAAAAACCAUUCGUCCCCUGUAUAUGUGUACAGUGAGAUGGGCCGGCCCAUCUUUCCCUUUUUUUCUGAUUUGAUCCUGACAGGAAUCGAACCAGAUAGUUCCUGGUACAUAGUUGGACGUGAUAACCAACCAGCCGACUUAGGCACCUAUGGUUAGAUAGUUCUUUCUCGUCCUUUUCUUCUUUCCUCUUUCCUCUUUCUUAUUUCCUUUUUUCUUGUUUUUUCAAACGUUGUUUUGGGUUUUCAUUUCCCUUUUUUUCUUUUUCGUUUUCUUUUCCUUUUUAUGUUCCUUUUGUUUUACCUUUUCUUUUGCAAUGUGCAAAAUUUUUCAGUUUCCUUUAUAAAAAAUUAAUGAACCUUUUUUAAUAUUGAUGAUUUUUUUUUCAAAGUCGAUGAACUUUAUUCAAGAUUGAUGAUUUUUUUCUAAAUUGAUGAACCUUUCUCAAGAUGAAUAUAGUUUUUUCAAAGUAGAAGAUUUUUUUUCAAAAUUGAUAAAAUUUUGCAAAAUCGAUGAUUUUAAAAAAAUCAUGAACUUUUUUCAAAUCCUUGUACUUUUUUUAAUCAAGAUGCAUGGGUUAUUUUUAAUUCAUGGAACUUUUAAUUUACGGACAUUUUGCCAAUCCGCUUAUUUUUUUCAAGUCCAUGAACUUUUCCAAAAGGGCGAACCCUUUUUUAUAGUCAAUGGUCAAAGGUCAAGCAUGUCAAUGGUCAACUUUUUGUCCAGGUUAACCAUGAAGAAGUUUUUUUUUGGUCGAACCACGAAGAAGCGAUCGAGCGUAUGCUCUUGGCGAGCGACAGCUGAUCGCUCCUGUAGUUUGGCCAGCCCAUGAAAGGUGGUGUUCAAGCGAUGUGUCCACUAAGUAGCGCAGAAAGCGGUGACUAGGCGCUCCCACUGUACAGGGAGUAGCGUCGCACAAACCGGCGCACACACCCCUUCGUCCAAGGUCUGGCCCAUUUUCCUUUUCUAUUUUUACCUUGAAAAAAUAGGUGCAUGAAGUAGGAUUCAAACUAUGAACCUUUGUGAUUACUUCCACCCACUAUAACAAACUAGGAUAGCUCACUUCUUGCGUCUAAUUACUUCUUUUUUAGAGCAUCUUCUCAGUCUGUUUUUUCUUUUGCUUUUGUUUGGCCUUUUUAUUCCGUUUUAUUCAUUUUUUAUUUGUCUUUGUUUCUUCUUAUUUUCAUUUUGUUAAAUUCAUGAUUUUUUAAAUCUAUGAGCUUAUUUUAAGGAUGUUGAGAAAUAACAUGCUCCCAGACAAAACCUUCUGGCCUACCGGAUACUCUUUGUAGAACAUGGUAUAGUUUUGGACAUCAUUCAAAUGAUCCCAACUUUUGUAGGAUGGUGGGCAUUUCCCGUGGUAGGCAUCAUUGACAGGUUUGAAUGACUUCUGACACCGUAUGCAAGUUGCGACACGUCCGAUCAUUUAUCGGUCUUUUUUCACCGGAAAAACUCUAGAAAAUGCAAAACUUGUUGAGAAUCCAAAAAACUUAGCUUGGUGUCUUGAAUUGGUCGUACAAGGCCAUGAAAAAAUUUGGGGCCAUUUCAAGGAUGUCAAGAAACAACGUGCUCUCAAACAGAGCCUUCUGGCAACCGAACACCCUUCAUUGAACAUGGUCUAGUUUUGGACAUUCUUGAAAUGACCCCAACUUUUUGAAGUAGAUGAGCAUGCCCAUGGUAGACAUCCAUGUCAAGUUUGAAUGAUUUCUGACACCGUAUGCAAGUCGCGACACGUCCGGCCAUUUAUCGACCUUUUUUGGCCGAGGAAACUCCAGAAAAUGCAAAAUUCAUCAAAAAACAAAACAACUUGGCAUGGUGCACUUAGUUGGCCAUACAAGGUCAUAUAAAAAAUUGGGGCAAUUUCAUGGGUGUGGAAACACAACAUGCUCUCAGACGGAGCUUUCUGACCUACCUGAUGAAGGAAAUAUGCCCUAGAGGCAAUAAUAAAGUUAUUAUUUAUUUCCUUAUGUCAUGAUAAAUAUUUAUUAUUCAUGCUAGAAUUGUAUUAACCGGAAACAUAAUACAUGUGUGAAUACAUAGACAAACAGAGUGUCACUAGUAUGCCUCUACUUGACUAGCUCGUUAAUCAAAGAUGGUUAUGUUUCCUAACCAUGGACAAAGAGUUGUCAUUUGAUUAACGGGAUCACAUCAUUAGUUGAAUGAUCUGAUUGACAUGACCCAUUCCAUUAGCUUAGCACCCGAUUGUUUAGUAUGUUGCUAUUGGUUUCUUCAUGACUUAUACAUGUUCCUAUAACUAUGAGAUUAUGUAACUCCCGUGUGCCGGAGGAACACUUUGUGUGCUACCAAACGUCACAGCAUAACUGGGUGAUUAUAAAGGUGCUCUACAGGUGUCUCCAAAGGUACAUGUUGGGUUGACGUAUUUCGAGAUUAGGAUUUGUCACUCCGAUCGUCAGAGAGGUAUCUCUCGGCCCUCUCGGUAAUGCACAUCACUUAAGCCUUGCAAGCAUUGCAACUAAUGAGUUAGUUGCGGGAUGAUGUAUUACGGAACGAGUAAAGAGACUUGCCGGUAAUGAGAUUGAACUAGGUAUUGGAUACCGACGAUCGAAUCUUGGGCAAGUAACAUACCGAUGACAAAGGGAACAACGUAUGUUGUUAUGCGGUCUGACCGAUAAAGAUCUUCGUAGAAUAUGUAGGAGCCAAUAUGGGCAUCCAGGUCCCGCUAUUGGUUAUUGACCGGAGACAUGUCUCGGUCAUGUCUACAUUGUUCUCGAACCCGUAGGGUCCGCACGCUUAAGGUUUCGAUGACAGUUAUAUUAUGAGUUUAUACGUUUUGAUGUACCGAAGGUUGUUCGGAGUCCCGGAUGUCAUCACGGACAUGACGAGGAGUCUCGAAAUGGUCGAGACAUAAAGGUUGAUAUAUUGGAAGCCUAUGUUUGGAUAUCGGAAGUGUUCCGGGUGAAAUCGGGAUUUUACCGGAGUACCGGGAGGUUACCGGAACCCCCCGGGAGAUAUAUGGGCCUUAGUGGGCCUUAGUGGAAAAGAGAAGAGGCAGCCAGAGAUGGGCCGCGCACCCCUCCCCUCCCUUGGUCCGAAUAGGACAAGGAGAGGGGGCCGGCCCCCUUNNNNNNNNNNNNNNNNNNNNNNNNNNNNNNNNNNNNNNNNNNNNNNNNNNNNNNNNNNNNNNNNNNNNNNNNNNNNNNNNNNNNNNNNNNNNNNNNNNNNNNNNNNNNNNNNNNNNNNNNNNNNNNNNNNNNNNNNNNNNNNNNNNNNNNNNNNNNNNNNNNNNNNNNNNNNNNNNNNNNNNNNNNNNNNNNNNNNNNNNNNNNNNNNNNNNNNNNNNNNNNNNNNNNNNNNNNNNNNNNNNNNNNNNNNNNNNNNNNNNNNNNNNNNNNNNNNNNNNNNNNNNNNNNNNNNNNNNNNNNNNNNNNNNNNNNNNNNNNNNNNNNNNNNNNNNNNNNNNAUCCUACUCCCGGAGGGAGUAGGACUCCUCCUGGCGCGCCUCUCCUAGGCCGGCCGCACCCCUCCCCCCCCUUGAGCCUUUAUAUACGGAGGCAGGGGCACCCCAGAGGAACACAAGUUGAUCCACGUGAUCAUAUUCUUAGCCGUGUGCGGUGCCCCUGCCACCAUAGUCCUCGAUAAUAUUGUAGUGGUGCUUAGGCAAAGCCCUGUGACAGUAGUACAUCAAGAUCGUCACCACGCCGUCGUGCUGACGGAACUCUUCCCCGACACUUUGCUGGAUCGGAGUCCGGGGAUCGUCAUCGAGCUGAACGUGUGCUAGAAUCGGAGGUGCCGUAGUUUCGGUGCUUGAUUGGUCGGGCCGUGGAGACGUAUGACUACAUCAACCAAACGCUUCCGUUGUUGAUAUACAAGGGUACGUAGAUCACAUUCUCCCCUCUCGUUGCUAUGCAUCACCAUGAUCUUGCGUGUGCGUAGGAUUUUUUUUGAAAUUACUACGUUCCCCAACACCUGAACACCCUCAUUUGAACAUGGUCAGUUUUUAGAUAUCCUUCAAAAGACCACAACUUUUCCAAAAAGGUGAGCAUGCACAUGGUAGGCAUAUAUGCCAAGUUUGAACGAUUUUUGACACUGUAUGCUAGUUGCGACACGUUCGGCAAUUUUCGCCAUUUUUUGACAAAGAAAUCUCCAGAAAAUGUAGAAUUUUUAGAAAACCAAAAAACCCUGGCAUGGUGCCUUGAAUUCUUCAUACAAGCCAGUGAAAAAAAAUAGGUCAUUUGACGGAUGUCGAGAAAAAACAUGCUCCCAAACGGAGCCUUCUUACCUACCCCUACACCCUAUGUUGAACAUGGUGAUUUUUUCUACACGAACACAAAAAAAAUGUUCGAGAAAAUUCAAAAAAUUUUCUUUCAAAUUUUUAUUCGUAUUUUUCUUGAAGUUCCAAAUUUAAUAGUGAAUUUUCCUAAAAUGUUAAAUCAAAAAUGUUCGUGUGGAAAAUUUUGUUUGCUCUUUGUAAAAAUGUUUGUGUUUUGACAUUAUGAGCAAUUUGAAAAUACAAAUACAUUCUGAGGAAUUCAUAAAUGUCGCAUUUUGAAGUAAUUGUUCGUAGUUUCAGAAAAUGUCCGUGUUUUCAGUUUUAUAUCUCUUUUAAGAAAAUGUUCGUAUUUAAAAAAAAUUGUUUGUAGUUUCAAGAAAUGUUCUCGUUUUCAAUUCUGCUCUUAUUUUUCUAAAACAAAGUUUGAGAGUCUGAAACAUUGCUCACUAAAGGUUUGAAUUUUAAAAAUAUGUUCACAGAUUUUGAAAUUUUUUGGGUUUAAAGCAUAUUUACUUUGUCAAACAGAAAUUCACAUACGGAAUUUUGAAAAAAAUAAUCGUUUUUGGACUAGUGAUGUUAUGCACUCGCGGGAGCUUGUGUGUUAGAUCCGCGCACCCAUUUUAGUAUUUGUGAAUUGGUGUUGAAGUGUUGCCGCUCUAGCUAAUUCUUUAGGUGUGACACUGCUAUUGUGUCGGUUGCGUUAGGCAGGCGAAGUGGCUAGGGCGUAAUUUUUGUUGAUUUUCCAGCCCAAAUGGAUCGGCCCAGGUUAUCUGUGCCUGUGUCCUGCGAACAUAUGGCACAUUCCAGCGUACGUACGAAAAUGGAUAGGAUUUGUCAAAAGUCUAAAUUACCCAUUAUACGCUUUGUGAGGGGGGUGUAUCGAAGCGUUUCUCCACAUAAAUUAUAUUUGUCCACAUACACCACAUACAUAAAAACAGGUAGAAGCGGUUGCAUGGUGAAAAUGUCCUCUCAAUAUGCAUGCCUAUGAAUACUAUCACCAGAAAGCCAAGGACUAACAAUUAUUCAGGGGUCAAGAUUGAAGACAGACGUCCAAGAUUGGAAGUCGGCCGGCCUAAGAGGGGCAAAACCAUUGUACAUUAUAUUGUAUGGACCUAGCAAGAUCCUAAAGAUAAGUGAUAAUGGAGAUCAUGGGGGCCACCCUUAUAACCAUAUGUCCAAAUGUUCUUAUUUGUUUAUUUUUCUUUUCUCUUUUCGGAAGAAUCCAUCCUGCCUCUAUGGUCAUCCUGACCACUUCGUAUUGUUAUCUAAUCUCCUCCCUUAAUUAAUAUAAAGAAUUACCGCAGCUGAAUUCACUAAAAAAAGUAUUCAGUUUAUUUUAAUUUAUUCAACUAUUAUGGCAUAUCAAUUGGAUUGCAAGUUCUUGGCGGUUGCAUUUGAAUCAUAUUUGAUGUGCACAAAGGCUUCAGUGUCAAGGUGGUCGGACGAGUAUUUAUGUCCAUUAUAUAUGCGUUAGCUUGAGAUCAUCAGGCACCUGUUAUGCAUCUGUCCAGUUAAAAGGAUGUUCAGACUCAGGCUUGCCCUACCAUAUAUGGCUGUGACACUCUGAACCAAGCAAGUUGGUCAUAUAUGUCGAGCACUAUUAACUCUUUGGAAGAAGAUCCACCAAGUACAGAAAACAAAUCAAAUAUCUUCUUAACCUUAUCACCAGAAAAAUUAGCAAGAGAUGAAUAGUAACAUUUUAAAGAAGAAAGAUAUGUUUGAAAAGGGAUAUAUAUUAUGGCGACGAUUAGAACAGCCCUUGACGAAUGGUGCCUAGCCUGCGAAAGUUUCUUAUGAAUAUAGUCAACACUCUAUAUCAACUGUUGUAAGAUUUUAGAAAUAUUUUUGGGGACAUAUGAUACAUGUCUAUUAUACAUAUGAUUCAACAGAAGUUUGAUUGAAUACAUAUUUAAAACGUGACUGACUUCUAUAUGGACGGAGUAUUUCACAAAGGACUCACUGCCAACUGUGUGAAUAUUCCAAGAUAGUUAGUGCACAUAAAUGUUCAAAUCCAUAGCUGCAUAAAUAUACAAAAGCAAUGUGUUAGACCACUACACAUGCUUCUGAAAGGAGGCAAAAAAAUGUAUGCUUGAUUGAUGACCGUUCAUGCAUGAAAUUAAUUUUUGAUUUCUAAUUAUUUUGGUCAUAUAAUGGAAAUAGAGACAUUAUAAAGAUCCAACAGCAUGCUAUCACACACGUGUGAACACAGACACACACAAAUAACAUUUGCCGAGCACUCACAAAUAAAAGGUGUGGCUACUCUUGGGUGUUCUACAGCUGGCUUAAAAAAACACGUAUGAAACAUGAUCCCCAAAAAUCUGAAAUUCGCAACAUAUGAAAAUCCACCCUCAAACAUAUUUCUAGUGUCUCAAUUCUUUUAGUUUCAGAUGGUAUGUCCAGCCAAAGUAGUUGUACACAUACAUUACUAUGUUCUAUUAUUUGAGAUUCUAAGAGAACAUUUAGUAACUAGCCCGUGCGAUGCACGGGUUCACGACUAGUAUAUAUAAAGCUUAAUGGUGCCUAAGAAAGCUCGCACAAUUUUACAGUGGCUAUGGAAAUGUGUUGCCAAACUGAGACAUAAGAUUUUCAUUUGGCAUCCAGAGUUGCAGACCGCUUGUGUUAUCCUUAAUCCAUGGCCACUCUAAUUUUUCCGGCUGGGCCUUCCCUGUGGUACCGCGGCAAGGCUUGCGUGUGUAUAUGUUUCCUUUAACUACCACUAGCACAUAUGCCCAUGCGUGCGUUGCAAUGGGAGAGAUAAUGGCAUAUCCACCAAUAUAUCUAGCAGCAUGACCCAACAACAUCCGAAUGAUGUCACCCGACGACGGCAGGAAGGCACGCACAGAGGUCUAGUAAAAACUCAUCAAUUGUACGGGCAUGGUUAAUUCGCGUGAAUUCAAGGGUGUGAGAUUAGUUAGUGUUGGUCCCACAAUUGAAUUCGGGGGGUGAUUAGUUAGUGUGGGCCCACCCUUGAAUUCACCGGGGGAGACAAAAUAAUUAGGGCGAGGAGAGAUUUACGGGGCUUGGUCCCCAGAUGCGUUGCGGCAGUCAUUAUUCGAGCAUUGCAAUGCUCGCACGUGAGGAGCUCCUUUUCCAAUUGUAUAUUAAGAAGCAUGCUAUAGAUACAAUGUUUUUGAUACAUUUUUGUACGAUGAUCCUGAUCUUAAAGGGCCUUCUAAUUUUUAAAUCUUAAAGGCAUUAUUUGUAAGUUGUCGUGAAAAAAAUCUCGCUAAAAGGGUUGUGUUAGACCAUCUUCAGUACAUUAGAAAUAACGAAUUAUAAUUCCUUGGCAUUUGAACAAACAAUCCCUACUUAUUUACACAUACAAUACUUUUGGUAUGAUUUUGAAAUCUUGAAGGCAUUAUUGUAAGUUGAAGCAAUUUUGAAAUCUCACUAAAAGGUCUGGUAAGCUUUAGAAAUAACUAAUUAUAAUUUUGCAAAAAAAAGAAAUAACUAAUUACUAAUUUUGGUAUGAUUUAUUGUCUGGGUAGUAGUUCCUUUGCAACAUUAUUCUCUCCUUUCUUGAAGGAACUCUUGCCUGCUCCCUCGCCAUGCUCCCAUCCAUGCUCCCACUCCAUCCUAUGGUUGUCCUUUUUUCCUUUUUCUUUCUAAACUAAUCAUCUCCCCCCCUGAUUUUAAGGGGAUGGGGCCGGGCCUUAUUUUGUUCCAAUUAAAUCAUGCCACGUAUGCGGGAGCAUUUUGUCCCUCCUUCUAGCGCCUCCCACUGAAAAUGCCCUAAAAGUUUUUGAGGGAUUUUUUUACUGUGUCCUACUUCACGAAUCACGAGGCAAAUCAAGUAGGCGGCAUGGCCUGGCCGGUGAGUGCCAUUGCACUUACUUGCCCCAGCGAUUUUCCGCCUGCAUUGUAGAAUUCUUUCUCCGAGUCCUGUGAAUUAAAGAUGGUGCAGACAAAAGUAUAUCCUAUAUGCGUACAUGUGCAUGAUCAGAACAUGUUUUUACGUGCGUCUACUAUAAAUCAUGACCAUUUUUAACACAAAUCAUGACCAUUCAUGAUUAGUGAAUCAUACUGUCUUAACUUAUGUGAAAUCAUGUGGAGUAAUAUAAUAUAAUAUAAUAGAUAGAUAGAUCCAUGUUGUAUUAUUUUUUGUUUACAAAAAAUAUCUGUCAUUACACAUUUUGAUUUAUGCAUUUGUUUACAAAAAAACAGUAACAUUUCAUGGUGGAGAGUUUGUAUUGUUUCAUACUGAACACCAAUGUUUUCCCGUAAAAGAAAAUAAUGCCUACGCAUAUGCUUUUAUAUUAUUAUUAUUCUUUCAAACUUAUUCAUAUAGUAUUUUUGAUUGUGCAACCAUAAUUUUUAUUAUCUCUCUCGUUCCACUACAUGCUCUUACUCAAUGAUUUUUUUAUAAUGGGUGUUUUUAUUAACUCAGCCAAAACAUAAUGAGCCACAUCCGGUCUCUGCAUAACUAAGAUGCACACAGCCAAAAGCAGAAGUCUGACAAAAAUAAGAUAAGAAAAUCAACAUAUCGACACCAGUGAGUCAUAUAGUUCCGACACUAUGCCUCUGUUGAAGGACGGGGUGGAGCGAUCUGGAGAUUAUGCUUCCCUCCAUUUUGAGUAAAUACCUCCCUGGCCACUUGUUCCAACCGCAUAGACGCCGCCACGAAUAAUGGUUGGUACUCUGUUCGGUGUAGCAUACACCAUGUAGGAACUGAGUGCUCACUCCUAGUUACUAAAUUAUGUACACACUAGUAGAAAAAGGGCCAUUUGUCCCGGUUCGUAAGGCCCAUUUGUCUCAGUUAGGGAACCGGGACUAAAGGGUCGGUACUAAAGCCCCACACCUUUACUCCCGGUUCUUACACCAACCGAGACAGAUGGGGCUCCACGUGGCCGCUGCGGCUUGCCAUGGCAGGGGGGCCUUUUGUCCCGGUUGGUAGCACCAACCGGGACCAAUAAGCUACCACGCGUCAGCAUUUGAGGGGCUUGGGUUUUUGUUUUUCUUCUGAAGGGGAGGGGAGGGGUGUUGGGGGUUUUGGGGGGUUUUGUAUGGUUAAUUUUGGGGGGUUUCAUAUAUUGUGUUAGGUAGUAAUUAAUUAAUAGAGAGAAGUGUCCUCUCUUAUCUCCGUGCUUGGUCGACGCUACGUACUAUACGUAUAGAGAGGCCCUCGACACACUUGCCAGUAAGCAAAUGAAGGAAACCAUUAAGUACAGAAGUUCGUCAUGAACAUAUGCAUACAAACAUAAGUGAUAUCGACCUCUCCUUCUCUGAGAGAUAGGUCGAACAACAAGUUUCCGUAUAUCCAUCCGGCGCUACUAGCUACUUAUAUACAAUAUUAAGAUCUCUUACAAUAUAAUCCCCUAAUUAUAUAUGAACUCAGUUUCCAGAUGGUAUUCUCGGGCUUUAUUGAUGACGUGGUCAAGAAAGAAUCCCUCCAAUUCCUCUUGAAUUGCUUUGAUGCGAUCUUGUGGUAGGAGUUCAUCCCGCAUCUGCCACAUCUAAUUUGAAGAAGGGGGUCAAUCACUAGUGGAAUAACAGCCAUUUGUCCAAGUUCAUAAGGCUCAUUUGUCCCGGUUGGGGAACCGAGACUAAAGGGUCGUUACUAAAGCCCUACACCUUUAGUCCCGGUUGUCGGUGUCAAAACCGGCGGAUCUCGGGUAGUUGGUCCCGAACUGUGCGUCUAGGCCGGAUGGUAACAGGAGGCAAGGAACACAAUGUUUUACCCAGGUUCGGGCCCUCUCGAUGGAGGUAAAACCCUACGUCCUGCUUGAUUAAUAUUGAUGAUAUGGGUAGUACAAGAGUAGAUCUACCACGAGAUCAAGGAGGCUAAACCCUAGAAGCUAGCCUAUGGCAUGAUUGUUGUGUAUGGAGUUGAUUGCCUACGGACUACAACCCUCCGGUUUAUAUAGACACCGGAUAGGGUUAGGGUUACAUAGAGUCGGUUACAAUGGUAGGAGAUCUUGAAUAUCCGCAUCGCCAAGCUUGCCUUCCACGCCAAGGAAAGUCCCAUCCGGACACGGGACAAAGUCUUCAAUCUUGUAUCUUCAUAGUCCAGGAGUCCGGCUACCCGAACACCCCCUAAUCUAGGACUCCCUCAGUAGCCCCUGAACCAGGCUUCAAUGACGACGAGUCCGGCGUGCAAAUUGUCUUCGGCAUUGCAAGGCGGGUUCCUCCUCCACGUCCUUCAUAGAAGAUUGUAAACACCAAGAGUAGUGUCCGGCUCUGCAAAAUAAGCUUCCACAUAUUUCCGUAGAGAGAAUAAUAUUAACACAAAUCAAAUCUGCUGACGUAUUCCGCAGUGCGUCAUCACACUGCAGCCAAGUCCUUCACUCGAAUCGUUUUCACUUUUCCACCUCAGCGUGUUUUGCGAGGCGGUUUCCUUGGCACGUCUUGUCAAAGUAGAUAUCGUGUACCCCCCUUUUACGGGAUUCUCAUCAAUACAGACAUGGGUAACCCAACCGCGCCACUUAUCUCGACGCUUGGGAGGCAAGCGAGUUUUACUAGGCAGGUGGGGACGCACAACCGCAUCUACCCAUAUAAGGGGAUAAGGAUCCACCUUUUUACCUACGCCUUCUUCCUCCUUUGCCUAUCCAUCUCCUGCGCACCCGAGCUCCAGCGCCCAAGCCCGCACUUCCCACCUCGACCUUCUCCAGCAAUGUCCGGAGCGGGAGGCAAGUGGAUGGUCUCUACCACCACGGAGGGUAAAAUCAAGAAGCUAAGGAAGGCCGGAUACCUGUCCAAGGACAUCGCGCACUGGCUUCCCGAAGAGGGGCAGCUUCUCCCCACCCCAAGGCCCCAUGAGAGGGUAGUAUUUCUCCCCCACUUCCUCCGCGGACUGGGUUUUCCACUCCACCCAUUUGUCCGGGGGCUCAUGUUCUACUACGGCCUGGAUUUCCACGAUCUGGUCCCGAACUUCAUCCUCAACAUCUCGGCGUUUAUCGUCUUUUGCGAGGCUUUUCUCCGCGUCCGCCCUCAUUUCGGCCUCUGGCUCAAGACCUUCAACGUCAAGCCCAAGGUGGUGUGCGGCAGCCAGGCGGAGUGCGGAGGCGCCAUGGUGGGCAAGAUGGCCAAUGUCAUAUGGUUCGAGGGCUCUUUUGUGGAGACCCUAAAGGGAUGGCAAUCUGGGUGGUUUUACAUCACCGAGCCGCGCGAUCCGAAAUGGACCGCAGCCCCCGAGUUCCGAUCCGGACCCCCCAAGCGGCUUGUGUCCUGGAAAGAGACGGGCCUGUCAUGGGGUGACGAAAAUGAGGUGACCGGAUUGCAAACAUGCAUCCAGUCCCUGGUGAACAAGCCAGUCUGGCUUGUUAAUGUAAUCCAGGUUAUGCUCGUCCGCCGGAUCCUCCCGUGCCAACAACGGGAUUUUAAUCUAUGGGAGUUCGACCCGGUGCAGCAUCAAACCCUCAGCAGGCUCUUCGACACGACGUACGAAGACGCCUGGAAGAUGCUAUUAAAGGGCGUCGAGGCUCCCGCAUCCGCUUCCGAGGACCGCGAAUACAGCUCGCAGCGUCACGCUAGCGAGGUAAGCCAUCUACACCUUUUAUAGGAUGUUCAAGCUUUUUUCAUAGUUUGACUCUAUGUGGGAUCUAAACUCCCUUACCUUUGAAAGGCUUGGCGGGCAAUAUCCGGACCGAUUAACUGUCCGGCUCCGCUGCCCGAAGACCCAGCCCCAGCUCUACUAGUGAAGCUGCUGGUUCCGGAGCCUUAUGUGGUGCCGAAGACGAAGGCCAAGAAGAAGAAGACCACAGGGACUCGAAAGAGUGCAUGCAACGUGGUGGUGUCGGACUCGUCAUCUGACGAGUCCAAGACGCCCUCCUCCCAUGAAAACGAGGAGGAGGAAGAAGAAAACUCCCCCCCCCCCCCAGCGGAGGGAGGAGAGAAGAGGAAGGCCGCCCCAACGGGGGAGGCCGAGGGGUCUAGGAAAAGGAAGACCCCUCCGCCAGACUACGCCCCCGACGCCGAAGAGGGCGAAGAGGAGUGGCCGAACAGGGCCAAACGUCCGGCGAAAUCGUAAGUUCGGAUAUCAGAGUAACUCAUGAUGUUCCUUUGUUGCACAGCUUUCCCUAAUGUCGAAUGUAAUUAUGCAGUCCGCCCCGGGCCAAAUUCGACGAAUCAUCGUGCGGCUCCCUGGACUCAUCGGACGUGAACUCAGUUCCGCCCGCUGUCUCCCCCCGCACUGUGGACGACGCCGAAGUGGCGUCGCGACAAGCCCCGGGGCAGGAGGAGGUGGUCCCGGAGGAGCCACAAGGCAACCUCCCGGACUCCAGGAGUGAAGGGGACAAGACCCCCCAGGGCUCCAAGUCUGGCUUUGAGCCGGACACCGCACCGGAAUCUACAACAGUUCCGGACCGCGGUAGGCGAACUCCUUCCAAGAGGAGUAAGCCUUCUGAGCCGGCGUCCUCCGUCCAGCCGAAGGCGCCGGAAAAUCUGCUGGAGGAGCUUAAGGGCGCCUCCAUCGACGAGGAGCACCAUGCCAUCAUGAGUAUGGUGGUCCAGAAGGUUCGGUCCGCCAAAAGCGGACUGACUGAAGCUUGUAAAAAUAUGUAAAAAUAUUACCGUAUAGACAGUAGCCCCUGAUGCUCUGUUUGGCGUUCGGAAAGAAAAGCUGGAUAGAGGAUCUAUUAAAUAUCGCAGGAGUCUAACUAAAAAGCAGUCAAUAUACGUAUGCAGGCUUCGCUGCUGGCCACCGCUGCACUGACUGCGGAGGUGGGUGCCCUGAAACAGGGCCUCGAGCGGACCGAGCAAGAGCUCGGCCUUGCCAAACGGCAGCUCGAGGAGAAAGAAGGUAAGAAAUACCUUACAGAAAAAGUGCCUAUAAAAAGACCUGAUUGCAAAAAAUAACAGGAUUGUACUGCUUAUUGUAGGGGCCACGACUGAGGUGGCGACCCUCAAGCAGGCGCUGUCCGAGGCCAAAAAGAAAACGGCCGUGGAGUGCACCGAGCGAGAGAAACUUGAGGCCCAGGUCAGCGAGGUGCAGCAGGAGCUUCAGGCUCUCAUGAAAAAACAUGAGAGUUUGGAGCUUGAGUCCAAGACGCAAGCGUAUGAGCUCGCGGCGGCCCUUGAGACUGCCAAGUCUGCCAAGGCCGAAGCCCAAAAGGCCCUCCAAGAGUUGGAGGAGAUGAAAAAGAUAGCGGCGGGUAAGGCAUUCUUUAUGCAAAGCAGAAGUAUAAAAGUGAAGUACUUGUUACUUACCCGAAUCCAGAGCUCUCCAGGGGCAUUCGCAGAUCUUCCCCGCGGCGUAUCUGACGCCGCUGCAUUCUACCGAGCCGAAGAGGGCAGCUCGACGGAGAAGGUGUUCUGGUUUCAGUAUGCUGAGGCCGGACACCCUGUGCCCUUGAGCGACCAGCUGAAACAGCUGGUCGAGCUCCACAAGGCGGCCGAGCAGGCCAUGAAGGGCUUCAUAGUUCGGCUGUGGCCCGGAGAGGCCCUGCCUGGGAGCUACUUCGGGUUGGUGUGGCGACUGGUGGAGGCCUGUCCAAGGCUCGAGGUCAUUAAGUGCUCCGUCUGCAUCGAAGGUGCCCGUAGGGCCCUUGCCCGUGCAAAGGUGCACUGGGGCAAGCUGGACGGUGAGAAGCUUGUGAGGGACGGGCCGCCGCCGGGGAAGGAGCAUCGCAAGCCCGAGAACUACUAUAAGGAUGUUCUAGCGGGUGCCCGCCUUGUGGCGGAUGAAUGUACCAAGGAUGUAAUUUUUUAAUGAACUCGCUCGUGUUUAUCCUGUGUGCUGAAAAGUUGUUCAUAUGCGCUAAGCAAUGCUUGUUGAAUUUAAAAUAUUACUUUCUGUGCGGCCGUUUAUCAAAAAUUGAGAGAUGGCCAGUCGGCGGCUUCUGCCCCCAUGCCACUAGUGCUGGGGUGUUCGGGAUAAACCUGAGCGCUCUUUUUCCCAUAGUUGGAUCCUUCGAGGGAGGCGCUCAGCACAACGAACCAGGCAAUCGGACUAUAAUGCUUGAACACUCUAACUUAGCCAUAGAACUCUAUAAUUUUAAAUUUCGGCGAAGCCCCUAGUUCGGAAGACCGAGUUCGGGGCGCUAUCCACGCCUUGGCCGGACAAAGCCGGCUCCUCGCUCGAAGCGGCAUAAGUCUUUAGGGACUCGAAAAACCUGUCGAACAGCGACCGGUCUCUCACCAUAUCAUGACAGUCAGUUUUACCUUUCUCCACUGAGGUGCUUAACCCAGCUCAACCGGGGCACAAUCGCAGUGGUUCUCCUAGUGCUACCUUAGCCGAUAUAGCGGAACGUAAGGCACCAAAACAUAGGAGCCAGGCAAACGCAACUAUUGACCCAAAUCAUGAUACGGAGCCGAUGCAUAUAGUGCUAUAAGUUCGGGGUGCCGUACUUGUGAAAGUGUACGGACUUCUCACGCCAUAUUUAUGGGUACUAAAGCCCCUGACGUAUUUUGCCGUACCACGGUGUACGGGUGCAACAUGUCAUAAACAUAUAUAUGAAAAGGUGAUAAUGCGAAAAAUAGACAGAAAGCUAUCCAUUGUUUAUAGAGAGGCUAUUUAUCAAAGCCGAACGAUACAAAUAGUGCGGUAAGCAAAAAAUAUUGGACUAUUUAGUAUGUCCUGACCAGGAGCAGGCCGCGGAAUUGUGUUUAAAACAGGUAUACCGCUCGUAACAGAGACCACCUGGGAGUUCCAUAAUGCGGCAUGGCUUGUCUUCCUCCCUGGAUCUUGCAUCGUUUGUGCGGCCGUCGAAUUGCCGAACAGGUCGUCCGAAGUAUGGAGUCCUGAAAGUAAGAAAAAAAUUAAAAAAAGAAUCCGGCAGCCCCUAGUACGUUUUAAGUCGUAUUUUGGGCGUGCCGUUAUUGCCCCUUCCCCUGUGCCCAUGGUAUUUCAAGGGCGUAGUUAUGUACGCGGGGUACUGGUUUCGCUAUGUCGCGAAAGCUGGGGUUGGGGCCACAUUGCUACGCUUGCUUAGAGUGUGCCAGGCGGUCCUGCUGUGGGUUACUCCAGGGGCGCCUGGCAGUGUCUGGCUUUUUAAUGGCCGGACUAGAGAAUUGCCUGAGAAGGCUACUUUGUACCUCCGCUGCGAGAGCCGCCGUAUGCUCCCCCAUAUGGAGGGAGCGUUCGGUGUUUCCGUUGACCGUAAUUACUCCUCGAGGGCCUGGCAUCUUGAGCUUGAUAUAUGCGUAGUGCAGCACCGCAUUGAACUUUGAGAAUGCAGUUCGUCCGAGCAGGGCGUGAUAGCCACUGCGAAACGGGACUAUAUCGAAGAUUAACUCUUCGCUUCGGAAAUUGUCCGGGGAUCCGAAGACCACGUCAAGUGUUACUGAGCCUGUACAGUUGGCUUCUACACCUGGUAUAAUGCCUUUAAAGGUCGUUCUUGUGGGCUUAAUCCUUGAGGGAUCUAUGCCCAUUUUCCGCACUGUAUCCCGAUAAAGCAGGUUCAGGCUACUGCUGCCGUCCAUGAGGACUCUUGUGAGAUGAAAUCCGUCGAUGAUUGGGUCGAGAACCAAUGCGACGAAGCCGCCAUGACGGAUGCUAGUGGGAUGGUCCCUUUGAUCAAAAGUGAUUGGGUAGGAGGACCAUGGGUUGAACUUUGGGGCGACUGGCUCCAUCGCGUAUAUGUCUCGCAGCGCACGCUUCCGCUCCCGCUUGGGAAUGUGGGUUGCAUUUAUCAUGUUCACCGUCCGCACUUGUGGGGGAAAGCCCUUCUGUCCAUUGUUGUUCGGCGGCUUGGGAUCCUCAUCGUCGUUGUGCAGCCCCUUUUUCUCUGUUUUUGGCCCUUAACUUGCCUGCCUGCUUGAACACCCAACAAUCCCUAUUAGUGUGAUUGGCUGGCCUUUCGGGGGUGCCAUGUAUCUGGCACAAGCGAUCGAGUAUUCGGUCCAAACUGGACGGGCCCUGAGUAUUCUUUUUGAAUGGCUUUUUCCGCUGACCGGAUUUAUAGCCUUUGAAUCCGGCAUUGACUGCCGUGUCUUCAUUGCUGUUGCUGCUAACGCGGCGUUUUUGCUUAUUCCGACGUGUCCUGCCACUUUUGUCCUUGGUAUCCGAAUUACCAGGGUUCUUUGAUAAGUUGUUACUGCGAGCUAGCCAGCUAUCUUCUCUCGCGCAAAAGCGGGUCAUGAGUGUCGUGAGGGCUGCCAUGGAUUUCGGCUUUUCCUGUCCCAGGUGCCGGGCAAGCCACUCGUCGCAGAUGUUAUGCUUCAAGGCUGCCAGGGCCUCUGCGUCCGGAUAGUCGACUAUCUGGUUUUUCUUUGUUAGGAACCAUGUCCAGAAUUGUCUGCCGAUUCCUCUGGCUGCUGAAUUAUGUGGCUUAAGUCGUCGGCAUCCGGUGGUCGCACGUAAGUGCCCUAGAAGUUGUCGAGGAAUGCGGCUUCCAGGUCCUCCCAAGAACCGAUUGAGUCUGCUGGCAAGCUGUUAAGCCAAUGCCGGGCCGGUCCUUUAAGUUUGAGCAGGAGCUAUUUGAUGGCGUGUAGAUCAUCGCCGCGUGCCAUGUGGAUGUGAAGGAGAUAAUCCUCGAUCCAUACCGCCAGAUCUGUUGUGCCAUCGUAUGAUUCGAUGUUUACGGGUUUGAAACCCUCUCGGAUUUUAUGAUCCAUUACUUCGUUCGUGAAGCAUAGCGGGUGUGCGGCGCCUCUGUAUUGGGCUAUAUCAUGACGCAGCUCGGAAGAGCUAUGUCUGUUGUGUUCGGCCCGGCCGGAUUUGUUGUAUCCGGAGUGAAGAUCAUUGUCACAUGCUGUAGGGUGGCUGCGCGAUCCGUAGAUCGAUCUUUUUUGUCUUGCCUUAUCCUCCAGUAUGUCUCGCAGAUCGGGCGCAUUUUCCCGUGCCUUAUUUACGCACCGUCGGGGCAUGGCUUGGGUGGAGGGCCGAGAGGCCUCUCUGUCGCGGCCGUGAGGUGGCCGGUCUGCCAUGUCAUUCGCUGGUGACGUAGGUACUUCCUCCUCUGAUCGGGGUAGCGGCCUGCGCUUCGGGUAACUCUUGGAGGGGCGUUCGUGUUCAUACUCUUCGGCUGCAAGGACUUCAGUCCAUCUGUCAGCUAGCAAAUCUUGGGCGGCUGUAAGCUGUUGCUGCUUUUUCUGGAGGCUGCUUGCCAUGGCUAAAAGCCUGUGUUUAAAACGCUCUUGUUCGGCGGGGUCUGAUGGUAUGACGAAUUUGUCGUCAUCGAGGCUUGCCUCGUCUCCAGAGGGAGGCGUAUAGUUAUCAUCCUCGACUUCUCGGUCUGCCGCUCUCUCAUGAGGGCUGGCUACUCCAUCUCCCUGUGCCGAAUCUUGCUGAGGUGGGUGUUCUUCGGCGUUAUCCGGGGUAGUAUUAUCUCCCGUGCCGGAAUCACCGUUUUUGCUUUGGCUGUUUCUUGGGGGCGUCAUCCCCCACUAUUCCAUCACCAUCUCCAUCUUUUGGAGUAUCCACCAUAUAUAUGUCAUAUGACGAGGUGGCCUUCCAGCGCCCUAUAGGUGUUGGUUCCUAUUCGUCUCCUACUUCGUCGUCCAUGCCGUCGAUGUCUUCGGAGCCGAAGUCACGCAUGUCGGUUAAAUCAUCGACAGUGGCUACAAAGUGGGUGGUGGGUGGGCUUUGAAUUUCCUCAUCGUCCGUAUCCCACCCUCGCUGACCGUAGUCCGGCCAGGGCUCUCUUGAUAAAGAGAGAGACUUAAGAGAAUUCCGGAUGUCACCAAAAGGCGAAUGCUGAAAGAUGUCUGCGGCGGUGAACUCCAUUAUCGGCGCCCAAUUGGAUUCGAUUGGCAGGGGCGCAGGGGGUUUGGAGUCCGGGAAGGAGUCCGGAUCCUCGGAGUCACGGGUCGUCCAGAGUGCGGGGCUAGCGUUCAGCUCGAUCGCUUUCGGGAUCGCAGCCCCUGAGGUGACGUCCAGCCACUCAUCCUCGAUUGGCGCAAUAGGCAUCGAGUUAGGGGUCAGAACCGAUGCGUGUGCGGCCUCCAGGACACUGUCCGGGGGCAGAGCUAGAUCAUGCCCCUCGAGAUAGUGCGGCGCGCUUGACCGUGGCUCGAGCCCGUCGAAGAUCAAGUCUCCGCGGAUGUCAGCCGUGUAGUUUAAGCUUCCAAACCUGACUUGAUGGCUAGGGGCGUAGCUUUCGAUCUGCUCCAGGUGGCCGAGCGAAUUGGCCCGCAGAGCAAAGUUGCCGAAGACGAAGAUCUGUUCGGGGAGAAAAGUAUCACCCUCGACCGCAUCGUUGUUGAUGAUCAAAGGAGCCAUCGGGCCUAAAGGCGACGACACAGAGGAACUCUCAAUGAAAGCACCAAUGUCGGUGUCAAAACCGGCGGAUCUCGGGUAGUGGGUCCCGAAUUGUGCGUCUAGGCCGGAUGGUAACAGGAGGCAGGGAACACGAUGUUUUACCCAGGUUCGGGCCCUCUUGAUGGAGGUAAAACCCUACGUCCUGCUUGAUUAAUAUUGAUGAUAUGGGUAGUACAAGAGUAGAUCUACCACGAGAUCAAGGAGGCUAAACCCUAGAAGCUAGCCUAUGGCAUGAUUGUUGUGUAUGGAGUUGAUUACCUACGGACUACAACCCUCCAGUUUAUAUAGACACCGGAUAGGGUUAGGGUUACAUAGAGUCGGUUAUAAUGGUAGGAGAUCUUGAAUAUCCACAUCGCCAAUCUUGCCUUCCACGCUAAGGAAAGUCCCAUCCGGACACAGGACAAAGUCUUCAAUCUUGUAUCUUCAUAGUCCAGGAGUCCGGCUGAAGGUCUAGUCCGGCUACCCGAACACCCCCUAAUCCAGGACUCCCUCACCGGUUCUUACACCAACUGGGAGAGAUGGGCUUCCACGUGGCCGCUGCGGCGAGCCCAGGCAGGAGGUCCUUUGGUCCCGGUUAGUGACACUGAUACGUCUCCGACAUAUCUAUAAUUUUUGAUUGCUCCAUGCUAUUAUGUUAUCCAUUUUGGAUGUUAAUGGGCUUUAUUUUACACCUUUAUAUCAUUUUUGGGACUAACCUACUAAUUGGAGGCCAAACCCAAAUUGCUGUUUUUUUUGCCUAUUUUAGGUUUUCGAAGAAGAGGAAUAUCAAACGGAGUCCAAACGGAAUGAAAACUUCGGGAACGUGAUUUUCUCAACGAACAUGAUCCAGGAGACUUGGAGUGUGCGCCAAGAAAUAAGGGAGGAAGGCACGAGGCAGGGGUCGCGCCUACCCCCCUUGGGCGUGCCCUCCACCCUCGUGGGCCCUCCACUGCUCCACCGACGUACUUCUUCCUCCUAUAUAUAUACACGUACCCCCCCAAACAACCAGGAGCACCAUGAAAACCUAAAUCCACCGCCGCAACCUUCUGUACCCGAGAGAUCCCAUCUUGGGGCCUUUUCCGGAGGGGGCAUCGAUCACGGAGGGCCUCUACAUCAACUGCAUGGCCUCUCCGAUGAUGUGUAAGUAGUUUACUUCAGACCUACGGGUCCAUAGUUAUUAGCUAGAUGGCUUCUUCUCUCUCUUUGGAUCUCAAUACAAAGUUCUCCUCGAUGUUCUUGGAGAUCUAUUCGAUGUAAUCUUCUUUUGCGGUGUGUUUGUCGAGAUCCGAUGAAUUGUAGGUUUAUGAUCCAGAUUAUCUAUGGACAAUAUUUGAUUCUCCUCUGAAUUCUUUUAUGUAUGAUUCGUUUAUCUUUGCAAGUCUCUUCGAAUUAUCAGUUUGGUUUGGCCUACUAAAUUGAUCUUUCUUGCAAUGGGAGAAGUGCUUAGCUUUGGGUUCAAUCUUGCGGUGUUCGAUCCCAGUGACUGAAAGGGAACCGAUAUUUAUUGUAUUGUUGCCAUCGAGGAUAAAAAGAUGGGGUUUAUAUCAUAUUGCAUGAGUUUAUCCCUCUACAUCAUGUCAUCUUCCUUAAAGCAUUACUCUGUUCUCUUGAACUUAAUACUCUAGAUGCAUGCUGGAUAGCGGUCGAUGUGUGGAGUAAUAGUAGUAGAUGCAGAAUCGUUUCAGUCUACUUGUCUCGGACCUGAUGCAUAUAUACAUGAGCAUAACUAUAUAUUCUCAUAACUAUGCUCAAUUCGAUCAAUUGCUCGACAGCAAUUCGUUUACCCACCGUAAUACUUAUGCUCUUGAGAGAAGCCACUAGUGAAACCUAUGGCCUCGGGGUCUAUCUUCUAUCAUAUUAAUCCUCCAAUACUUAGUCAUUUCUAUUUCUAUUUAUUUUAUUUUGCAUCUUUUAUUUCUCUUUAUCAUAAAAAUACCAAAAAUCUUAUCUUAUCAUAUCUAUCAGAUCUCACUGUCGUAAGUGACCGUGAAGGGAUUGACAACCCCUUUAUCGCGUUGGUUGCGAUGUUCUUAUUUGUUUGUGUAGGUUCGUGGGACUUGAGCAUGAUCUCCUACUGGAUUGAUACCUUGGUUCUCAAAAACUAAGGGAAAUACUUACGCCGAUUUAUUUCAUCACUCUUUCUUCUUCAAGGGAAAACCAACGCAAUGCUCAAGAGGUAGUGUCGGUGUCAAAACCGGCGGAUCUCGGGUAGUGGGUCCUGAACUGUGCGUCUAGGCCGGAUGGUAACAGGAGGCAGGGAACACGAUGUUUUACCCAGGUUCGGGCCCUCUUCAUGGAGGUAAAACCCUAUGUCCUGCUUGAUUAAUAUUAAUGAUAUGGGUAGUACAAGAGUAGAUCUACCAUGAGAUCAAGGAGGCUAAACCCUAGAAGCUAGCCUAUGGUAUGAUUGUUGUAUAUGGAGUUGAUUGCCUACGGACUACAACCCUCCGAUUUAUAUAGACACCGGAUAGGGUUAGGGUUACAUAGAGUCGGUUACAAUGGUAGGAGAUCUUGAAUAUCCGCAUCGCCAAGCUUGCCUUCCACGCCAAGGAAAGUCCCGUCCGGACACGGAACGAAGUCUUCAAUCUUGUAUCUUCACAGCCCAGGAGUCCGGCUGAAGGUAUAGUCCGGCUAUCCGAACACCCCCUAAUCCAGGACUCCCUCAGUAGCCCCUGAACCAGGCUUCAAUGACGACGAGUCCGGCACGCAAAUUGUCUUCGGCAUUGCAAGGCGGGUUCCUCCUCCAAGUCCUUCAUACAAGAUUGUAAGCACCAAGAGUAGUGUCCGACUCUGCAAAAUAAGCUUCCACAUAUCGCCAUAGAGAGAAUAAUAUUAACACAAAUCAAAUCCGCUGACGUAUUCCGCAGUGCGUCAUCACACUACAGCCAAGUCCUUCACUCGAAUCGUUUUCACUUUUCCACCCCAGUGUGUUUUGCGAGGUGGUUUCCUUGGCACGUCUUGUCAAAGCAGAGAUCGUGUCCCCUUUGUUUACGGGAUUCUCGUUAAUACGGACGUGGGUAACCCAACCGCGCCACUUAUCAUGGCGCUUGGGAGGCAAGCGAGUUCUACUAGGCUGGUGGGGACGCAUAGUCGCAUCCGCCCAUAUAAGGGGAUAAGGAUCCACCUUUUUACCUAUGCCUUCUUCCUCCUUUGCCUAUCCAUCUUCUGCGCACCCGAGCUCUAGUGCCCCAUCCCGCGCUUCCUACCUCAACCCUCUCCAACAAUGUCCGGAGCGGGAGGCAAGUGGAUGGUCUCCUCCGUCACGAAGGGCCAUGUCAAAAGGUUAAGGAAGGCCGGAUACUUGUCCAAAGACAUCGCGCACCGGCUUCCUGAGGAGGGGCAGCUUCUCCCCACCCCAAGGCCCCAUGAGAGGGUAGUAUUUCUUCCCCACUUCCUCCGCGGACUGGGUUUUCCUAUCCACCCAUUUGUCCGCGGGCUCCUGUUCUACUAUGGCCUAGAUUUCCAUGAUCUGGCCCCGAACUUCAUCCUGAAUAUCUCGGCAUUUAUCGUCGUGUGCGAGGCUUUCCUCUGCAUUCGCCCCCAUUUCAGCCUCUGGCUCAAGACCUUCAACGUCAAGCCAAAGGUGGUGCGCGGUAACCAGGCGGAGUGCGGAGGUGCCAUGGCGGGAGAAAUUGCCAACGUCCUAGGGCUCGAGGGCUCCUUUGUGGAGACCUUGAAGGGGUGGUAGUCAGGGUGAUUUUACAUCACCGAGCCACGCGAUCCGAAGUGGAUCGCAGCCCCUGAAUUCCGAUCCGGACCCCCUACACGGCUCACGUCCUGGAAGGAGACGAGCUUGUCGUGGGGCGACGAAGGAGAGUUGACCGGACUGCAAAAAUGCAUCCAGUCCCUGGUGAACAAGCAGCUCAAGCUUGUCAACGUAAUCUAGGUCAUGCUCGUCCGCCGGAUCCUUCCGUGUCAAGAACGGGACAUCAAUUUGUGGGAGUUCAACCCGGUGCAGCAACGAACUCUGAGAAGGCUCUUUGACACGACGUACGAAGUUGUCUGGAGGGGGCUAACCAAAGGCGCCGAGGCUCCCACAUCCGCCUCCGAUGACCGCGGAUUCAGCUCGCAGCGUCCUGCUGGCGAGGUAAGAUAUUUCCAUCUUUUACAGGAUAUUAAGUUUUUUCAUAGUUGACUCUAUGCGGGAUCUAAACUCCCUCACCUUUGACAGGAUUGGCGGGAGAAGUCCGGACAGAUUAACUGCCCGGCUCCCUUGCCAAGCCGGAGAAGAGGGCCAAGAAGAAGAAGGCCACGGGGACUCGAAAGAGUUCCUGGCAUAUGGUGGUGUCGGACUCGUCGUCCGACGAGUCCGAGAUGCACUCCUCCCGUGAAUACGAGGAGGAAGAAGAAACCUCUCCCCCUCCAGCGGGGGGAGGAGAGAAGAGGAAGGCCGCCCCAGUAGGGGAGGCCGAGGGGUCCAAGAAGAGGAAAACCCAUCCGCCGGACUACGUCCCCGACACCGACGAGGACGAAGAGGAGUGGCCGGACAGGGCCAAGCGUCCGGCGAGAUCGUAAUUCUUCGGAUACCAGAGUAACUCGUGAUAUUCCUUUUGUUGCACAGGUUUCGCUAAUGUCAGAUAUAAUCAUGCAGUCCACCCAAGGACGGGCACGACGAGUCGUCGAGCGGCUCCCUGGAUUCAUCGGACGCGAAUUCAGUUCCGCCUACUGCUUCCCCCUAUGCUGCAGAUGACGCCGAAGUGGCGUCGCGACAAGCUCCGGGGCGAGAGGAGGUGGUCCAGGAGGAGUCGCGAGGUGACCUCCCGGACUCCAGGAGUGAAGGGGACAAGACCCCCAUGGGCUCCAAGUCCGGCUUUAAGCUGGACACUGCGCCGGAAUCAUCAAUGGUUCCGGACCGCGGUAGGCGAACUCCUGCCAAGAGGAGCAAGCCUACUGAGCCGGCAUCCUCCGUCCAGCCGGAGGCGCCGCACAAUCUGGUGGAGGAGCUUAAGGGCGCCUCCAUCGACGAGGAGCAUCGUGCCGUCAUGAGUACGGUGAUCCAGAAGGUUCGGUCCGCCAAAAGCGGACUGACUGAAGCUUGUGCUAGCCUUCUAACAGGCUUCGAGGUAAGUAAAAAUAUGUAAAAAUAUUACCGUAUAGACAGUAGCCCCUGAUGCUCUGUUUGGCGUUUGUAAAGAAAAGCCAAAUAGAGGAUCUAUUAAAUAUCCCAGGAGUCUAACUAAAAAGGAGUCAAUAUACGUAUGUAGGCUUCGCUGCUGGCCAUCGCCGCACUGACUGCGGAGGUGGGUGCCCUUAAGCAGGGCCUCCAGCGGACCGAGCAAGAGCUCGGCCUUGCCAAACGGCAGCUCGAGGAGAAAGAAGGUAAGAUAUACCUUAGAGAAAAAGUGCCUAUAAAAAGGCUUGAUUGCAAAAAGAGUAACAGGAUUGUACUGCUUAUUGUAGGGGCUACGACUGAGGUGGCGACCUUUAAGCAGGUGUUGUCUGAGGCCGAAAAGAAAACGGCCGCGGAGCGCACCGAGCGAGACAGACUUGGGGCUCAGGUCAGCGAGGUGCAGCAAGAGCUUCAGGCUCUCAUGAAAAAACAUGAGAGUUUGGAGCUGGAAUCGAAGGCGCAAGCAUCCGAGCUUGCAAUGGCCCUAGAGGCUGCCAAGUCUGCCAAGGCCGAAGCCCUAAAGGCCCUCCAAGAGUUGGAGGAGAUGAGGAAGAUAGCAGCGGGUAAGGCAUUCUUUAUGCAAAGCAGAAAUAUAAAAGUGAACUACCUGUUACUUACCCAAAUCCGAAGCUCUCCAGGGGCAUUCGCAGAUCUUCCCAGCAGCGUAUCCGACGCCGCCGCAUUCUGCCAAGCUGAAGAGGGUAGCUCGACGGAGAAGGUGUUCUGGUUUCAGUAUUCUAAGGCCGGACACCCUGUGCCCUUGAGCGACCAGCUGAAACAGCUGGUUGAGCUCCACAAGGCGGCCGAGCAGGCCAUGAAGGGCUUCAUAGUUCGGCUGUGGCCCGGAGAGGCCCUACUUGGGAGCUAUUUCGGGCUAGUGCGGCGGCUUGUGGAGGCCUGUCCGAGGCUUGAGGUCAUCAAGUGCUCCGUCUGCAUCGAAGGUGCCCGUCGGGCCCUUGCCCGUGCAAAGGUGCACUGGGGUAAGCUGGAUGGUGAGAAGCUUGUGAAGGACGGGCCGCCGCCGGGGAAGGAGCAUCGCAAGCCCGAGAACUACUACAAGGAUGUUCUUGCAGGUGCCCGCCUUGUGGCGGAUGAAUGUACCAAGGAUGUGAUAUUUGAAUGAACUCGCUCGUGUUUAUCCUGUGCGCUGAAAACUUGUUCAUAUGCGCUAAGCAAUGCUUAUUGAAUUUAAAAUAUUACUUUCUGUGCGGCCAUUUAUCAAAAAUUGAGAGAUGGCCAGUCGUCGGCUUUUGCCCCCGUGCCACUAGUGCUGGGGUGUUCGGGAUAAACCUGAGCGCUCUUUUUCCCAUAGUUGGGUCCUUCGAGGGAGGCGCUCACCACAACGAAUCAGGCAAUCAGACUAUAAUGCUUGAACACUCUCACUUAGCCAUAGAGCUCUAUAAUUUUAAAUUUCGGUGAAGCUCCUAGUUUGGAAGACCGAGUUCGGGGCGCUAUCCACGCCUUGGCCGGACAAAGCCAGCUCCUCGCUCGAAGCGGCAUAAGCCUUUAGGGACUCGAAAAACCUCUCGAACAGCGACUGGUCUCUCGCCACAUCAUGACAGUCAGUUUUAGCUUUCUCCACUGAGGUGCUUAACCCAGCUGAACCGGGGCACAAUCGCAGUGGUUCUCCUAGUGCUACCUUAGCCGAUAGAGCGGAACGUAAGGCACCAAAACAUAGGAGCCGGGCAAACCCAACUAUUGACCCAAAUCAUGAUUCGGAGCCGAUGCAUAUAGUGCUAUAAGUUCGGGGUGCCGCACUUGUGAAAGCGUACGGACUUCUCACACCAUUAUGAGGGGUUCUGAAGCCCCUGGCGUGUUUGCCAUACCAUGGUGUACGGGUGCAAUCAUGUCAUUUAAUAAACAUAAAUGUGAAAAGAAGACAACGCAAAAAAUAGACUAGAAGCUAAGCAUUGUUUAUAGAGAGGCUAUUUAUCAAAGCCGGACGAUACAAAUACUGAAGUAAGCAAAAGAUAUUGGACUAUUCAGUAUGUCCUGACCAGGGGCAGGCCGCGGAAUUGUAUUUAAAACAGGUAUACCGCUCGUAACAGAGACCACAUGGGAGUUCCAUAAUGCGUCAUGGCUUGUCUGCCUCCCUGGAUCUUGCAUCGUUUGUGCGGCAGUCGAAUAUCCGAACAGGUCAUCCGAAGUAUGGAGUCCUGAAAGAAGAAAAAAUUAAAAAAAGAAUCCGGCAGCCCCUAGUACGUAUUAAGCCGUAUUUUGGGCAUGUCGUUAUUGUGCCCCUUCUCCUGUGCCCAUGGUAUUUCAAGGGCGUAGUUAUGUCCGCGAGGUACUGGUUUCGCUAUGUCGCGAAAGCUGGGGUUGGGGCCGCAUUGCUACGCUUGCUCAGAGUGUGCCAGGCGGUCCUGCUGUGGGUUACUCCGGGCGUGCUUGGCAGUGCCUGGCUUUUUAAUGGCCGGACCGGAGAAUUGCCUGAGAAGGCUACUUUGUACCUCCGCUGCGAGAGCCACCGUAUGCUCCUCCAUACGGAGGGAGCGUUCGGUGUUUCCGUUGACCGUAAUUACUCCUUGAGGGCCUGGCAUCUUGAGCUUGAGAUAUGCGUAGUGCGGCACCGCGUUGAUCUUUGCGAAUGCGGUUCGUUCGAGCAGGGCAUGAUAGCCACUGCGAAACGGUACUAUAUCGAAGAUUAACUCUUCGCUUCGGAAAUUAUCCGGGGACCUGAAGACCACAGCAAGUGUUACUGAGCCUGUACAAUUGGCUUCUACACCUGGUAUAACGCCUUUAAAGGUUGUUCUUGUGGGCUUAAUCCUUGAGGGAUCUAUGCCCAUUUUCCGCACUGUAUCCUGAUAAAGCAGGUUCAGGCUAAUGCCGCCGUCCAUGAGGACUCUUGUGAGAUAAAAUCCUUCGAUGAUUGGGUCGAGAACCAAUGCGGCAAAGCCGCCAUGACGGAUGCUAGUGGGAUGGUCCCUUCGAUCGAAAAUGAUCGGGCAGGAGGACCAUGGGUUGAACUUUGGGGCGACUGGCUCCAUCGCAUAUACGUCCCGUAGUGCAUGCUUCCGCUCCCGCUUGGGAAUGUGGGUUGCGUAUAUCAUGUUCACCGUCCACACUUGUGGGGGAAAGCCCUUCUGUCCAUUGUUGUUCGGCGGCUUGGGCUCCUCCUCGUCGCUGUGCAGCCCCUUGUCUCUAAUUUCGGCCCUUAACUUGCCUGCCUGCUUGAACACCCAACAAUCCUGUUAGUGUGAUUGGCUGGCCUUUCGGGGGUGCCAUGUGUCUGGCAUAAGCGAUCGAGUAUUCGGUCCAAACUGGACGGGCCCUGAGUAUUCUUUUUGAAUGGCUUUUUCCGCUGACCGGAUUUAUAGCCUUUGAAUCCGGCAUUGACUGCCGUGUCUUCAUUGCUGUCGCUGCUAACGCGGCGUUUUUGCUUAUUCCGACGUGUCCUGCCACUUUUGUCCUUGGUAUCCGAAUUACCAGGGUUCUUUGAUAAGUUGUUACUGCGAGCUAGCCAGCUGUCUUCUCCCGCGCAAAAGCGGGUCAUGAGUGUCAUGAGGGCUGCCAUGGAUUUCGUCUUUUCCUGUCCCAGGUGCCGGGCAAGCCACUCGUCGCAGAUGUUAUGCUUCAAGGCUGCCAGGGCCUUUGCGUCCGGACAGUCGACUAUCUGGUUUUUCUUUGUUAGGAACCGUGUCCAGAAUUGUCUGGCCGAUUCCUCUGGCUGCUGAAUUAUGUGGCUUAAGUCGUCGGCAUCCAGUGGUCGCACGUAAGUGCCCUGGAAGUUGUCGAGGAAUGCGGCUUCCAGGUCCUCCCAAGAACCGAUUGAGUCUGCUGGCAAGCUGUUAAGCCAAUGCCGGGCCGGUCCUUUAAGUUUGAGCGGGAGGUAUUUGAUGGCGUGUAGAUCAUCGCCGCAUGCCAUGUGGAUGUGAAGGAGAUAAUCCUCGAUCCAUACCGCCGGAUCUGUUGUGCCAUCGUAUGAUUCGAUGUUUACGGGUUUGUAACUCUCUGGGAUUUUAUGAUCCAUUACUUCAUUCGUGAAGCAUAGUGGUUGUGCGGGUCCUCUGUAUUGGGCUAUAUCACGACGCAGCUCGGACGAGCUAUGUCUGUUGUGUUCGGCCCGGGGCCGGAUUUGUCGUAUCCGGAGUGAAGAUCAUUUUCCCGUGCCUUAGUUGAGCGGUGUCGGGGCAUGCCUUGGGUGGAGGGCCGAGACGCCUCUCUGUCGGGGCCGCGAGGUGGCCGGUCUGCCAUGUCAUGCGCUGGUGAUGUAGGUGCUUCCUCCUCUGAUCGGGGUAGCUGCCUGCGCUUCGGGUAACUCUUGGAGGGGCGUUCGAGUUCAUACUCUUCGGCCGCAAGGACUUCAGUCCAUCUGUCAGGUAGCAAAUCUUGGGCAGCUCUAAGCUGUUGCUGCUUUUUCUUGAGGCUGCUUGCCGUGGCUAAAAGCCUGCGUUUAAACGCUCUUGUUCGGCGGGGUCUGAUUGUAUGACGAAUUCGUCGUCAUCGAGGCUUGCCUCGUCUUCGGAGGGAGGCGUAUAGUUAUCAUCCUCGACCUCUCAGUCUGCCGCUCUCUCAUGAGGGCUGGCUUCUCCAUCUUCCUGUGCCGAAUAUUGCUGAGGUUGGUGUUCUUCGGCGCUAUCCGGGGUAGUAUUAUCUCUCGUGUCAGAAUCACCGUUUUUGCUUUGGCGGGAUUUAGGGUGGCGCCGCUGGUGCCGGUGCUUUGGUUGUUUCUUGGGGGCGUCAUCCCCCACUGUUCCAUCGCCAUCUCCAUCUUUUGGAGUAUCCACCAUAUAUAUGUCAUACGACGAGGUGGCCUUCCAGCGCCCUACAGGUGCUGGUUCCUAUUCGUCUCCUACAUUGUCGUCCAGGCCGUCAAUGUCUUUGGAGCUGAAGUCAAGCAUGUCGGUUAGAUCGUCGAUACUGGCUACAAAGUGGGUGGUGGGUGGGCUUUGAAUUUCCUCAUCGUCCGUAUCCCACCCUCGCUGACCGUAGUCCGGCCAGGGCUCUCCUGAUAAAGAGAGAUACUUAAGAGAAUUCAGGAUGUCGCCAAAAGGCGAAUGCUGAAAGAUGUCUGUGGCGGUGAACUCCAUUAUCGGCGCCCAAUCGGAUUCGAUUGGCAGGGGCGCGGGUGGUUUGGAGUCCGGGGAGGAGUCCAGAUCCUCGGAGUCACCGGUCGUGCAGAGUGCGGGGCUAGCAUUCGGCUCGAUCGCUUUCGGGAUCGCAGCCCCCGAGGUGACGUCCAACCGCUCAUCCUCGAUUGGCGCAAUAGGUUCCGAGUUAGGGGUCGGAACCGAUGCGUGUGCGGCCUCCAGGACACUGGCCGGGGGCAGAGCUAGAUCAUGCCCCUCGGGAUAGUGCGGCGCGCUUGGCCGUGGCUCGAGCCCGUCGAAGAUCAAGUCUCCAUGGAUGUCUGCCGUGUAGUUUAAGCUUCCAAACCUGACUUGAUGGACAGGGGCGUAGCUUUCGAUCUGCUACAGGUGGCCGAGCGAAUUGGCUCGCAGAGCGAUGCCGCCGAAGACGAAGAUCUGUCCGGGGAGAAAAGUCUCACCCUGGACCGCAUCGUUGUUGAUGAUCAAAGGAGCCAUCGGGCCUAAAGGUGACGAGACAGAGGAACUCUCAAUGAAAGCACCAAUGUCGGUGUCAAAACCAGUGGAUCUCGGGUAGUGGGUCGCGAACUGUGCGUCUAGGCCGGAUGGUAACAGGAGGCAGGGAACACGAUGUUUUACCUAGGUUCCGGCCCUCUUGAUGGAGGUAAAACCCUAUGUCCUGCUUGAUUAAUAUUGAUGAUAUGGGUAGUACAAGAGUAGAUCUACCACGAGAUCAAGGAGGCUAAACCCUAGAAGCUAGCCUAUGGUAUGAUUGUUGUAUAUGGAGUUGAUUGCCUACGGACUACAACCCUCCGGUUUAUAUAGACACCGGAUAGGGUUAGGGUUACAUAGAGUCAGUUACAAUGGUAGGAGAUCUUGAAUAUCCACAUCGCCAAGCUUGCCUUCCACGCCAAGGAAAGUCCCGUCCGGACCCGGGACGAAGUCUUCAAUCUUGUAUCUUCAUAGCCCAGGAGUCCGGCUGAAGGUAUAGUCCGGCUACCCGAACACCCCCUAAUCCAGGACUCCCUCAGGUAGCAAGAUGGAUUUCUGGCGCCGUUGCCGGGGAGACUCGCGCCAAGUAAAGACAUACCAAGUACCCAUCACAAACCCUUAUCCCUCGCAUUACAUUAUUUUCCAUUUGCCUCUCGUUUUCCUCUCCCCCACUUCACCCUUGCCGUUUUAUGCGCCCUCUCUUUUUUCCUUCGCCUCUUUUCCACUUGCUUUGUCAUUAUGGCUAGUCCUUUAUCUACUCCUUUGUCUCCCGAGAAUGAAGUUCUUAAUUUUAAACAAAGGGAGGGAGAAAAUCUAAAAGAUGCUUGGUACAGAAUUUGCAACACGCAAAUUAGAUCUACUAGGAAACAAUCUACUUUUGUUCUUCUUCACAAUUUUUAUGUAGGCAUCACACCUAGGAAUAGAUAUAUUCUUGAUGCCAUUACCGGAGGGAAUUUCUUGGGUAGCCAUACUUUUGAUUCUUAUAAUGCUAUGAUAGAUCUGUUUGGCCCACCACCUCUUUUGGUUAAUGGAACUAUUUUAACUUUGGAACAUGUGAUGCAAUGGCUUGAAAUUAGUGAAAAUAAAGUUGCCACCAUAGAGUUAAUUGAAAAUUUGGAUAGAAAGAUCCACAACCAAAUUACCCAAUACGGAUCUAAGUUAGGAGUUGCUCUUAAAAGUUUUAAAGAAAAGGGACCUAUGGUUAAUGAAAAGAUAGAAAAAGAUUCCACUAGAAUUGUUAAAUUGAGGAUAUUAUUACCAACCUUGGGUCUUCCUUUUCUUCUAUUAUAAAUACUCUACCUAAUGCUAAGAUUGCCAAACUAAUGUAUGUUACAAAAAAUAAUGGUGAAACUUCUAAUAAGGAAAAUGCGGAUCUCAAAUCCAUAAGUGUUCACCCCAAUUUUCUCACUAUCCUGAAGGAACCUUUUGCUACAAAUGAUUUUCUUGAUUUCGUACCUAGGAGUUUGAUAAUUAAUAAAAACCAAGAAACUCCUAAAAGUUAUUGGUGUCUUAUUGAAGAAUCACCUUCCAAAGACGGCAAUACCUAGGUCUAUCUUCGCUUUUAUGCCUAGCUAGGGGCGUUAAACGAUAGCGCUUGUUGGGAGGCAACCCAGUUUUAUUUUUAUUCCUUGCUUUUUGCUCCUAUUUAGUAAUAAAUAAUUUAUGUAGCCUCUGUUUUGGUUUGUGUUUUUUGUGUUUAAUUUGUGUUUGUGCCAUGUAGAACCGUUGGGUAGACUUGGGGAAAGUCUUUUUGAUCUUGCUGUAAAAAACAGAAACGUUAGCGCUCACGAGAAUCGCUGACAUUUUUAUUUGGAAAGUGAUAUUUAGAUAAUUAUUUUUGCAGAUGAUUAAUAGAUAAAUUCCUCACGUCUAGAAAUUUAUUUUAUAAUUUUUGGGGUUACAGAAGUUUGCGUUAGGUACAGAUUACUACAGACUGUUCUGUUUUUGACAGAUUAUGUUUUUCGUGUAUUGUUUGCUUAUUUUGAUGAAUCUAUGGCUAGUAAAAGAGGUUAUAAACCGUAGAGAAGUUGGAAUACAGUAGGUUUAACACCAAUAUAAAUCAAGAUUGAGUUCAUAACAGUACCUUGAAGUGGUGUUUUGUUUUCUUUCGCUAACGGAGCUCACGAGAUUUUCUAUUUGAGUUUUCUGUUGUGAAGUUUUCAAGUUUUGGGUAAAGAUUUGAUGGAUUGUGGAACAAGGGGUGGCAAGAGCCUAAGCUUGGGGAUUCCCAUGGCACACCAAGGUAAAAUUCAAGGACACCAAAAAGCCUAAGCUUGGGGAUGCCCCGGAAGGCAUCCCCUCUUUCGUCUUCGUCUAUUGGUAACUUUACUUGGAGCUAUAUUUUUAUUCACCACAUGAUAUGUGUUUUGCUUGGAGCGUCUUGUAUGAUUUGAUUAUUUGAUUUUUAGUUUACCAAAAUCAUCCUUGCUGUACACACCUUUUGAGAGAGACUCACAUGAUUGGGAAUUUAUGAGAGUACUCGAUGUGCUUCACUUAUAUCUUUUGAGCUAUAUGGUUUUUGUUCUAGUUCUUCACUUAUAUAUUUUAGAGCACGGCGGUGGUUUUAUUUUAUAGAAAUAAUUGUUCUCUCAUGCUUCACUUAUAUUAUUUUGAGAGUCCUUUAGAACAACAUGGCAAUAAUAAAACUGUCAUACAAGUGCAUUGAAUACUAUGAGAAGUUUGAUACUUGAUAAUUGUUUUGAGAUAUGGAGAUGGUGAUAUUAGAGUCAUGCUAGUUGUGUAGUUGUGAAUUUGAGAAAUACUUGUGUUGAAGUUUGUGAUUCCCGUAGCAUGCACGUAUGGUGAACCGUUAUGUGACGAAGUCGGAGCAUGAUUUAUUUGUUGAUUGUCUUCCUUAUGAGUGGCGGUCGGGGAUGAGCAAUGGUCUUUUACUACCAAUCUAUCUCCCUAGGAGCAUGGGCAUAAUACUUUGCUUUGAUAACUUGUAGAUUUUUGCAAUAAGUAUGUGAGUUCUUUCUGACCAAUGUUGAGUCCAUGGAUUAUACGCACUCUCACCCUUCCACCAUUGCUAGCCUCUCUAAUACCGCGCACUUCUCGCCGAUAUCAUACACCCACCAUAUACCAUCCUCAAAACAGCCACCAUACCUACCUAUUAUUGCAUUUCCAUAGCCAUUCCGAGAUAUAUUGCCAUGCAACUUUUCAUCGUUCCAUUAUUAUGACACACUUCAUCAUUGUCAUAUUUGCUUGCAUGAUCAUGUAGUUGGCAUUGUAUUUGUGCAAAGCCACCGUUAAUAAUUCUUCAUACAUGUCACUCUUCAUUCACUUCAUAUCCCGGUACACCGCCGGAGGCAUUCACAUAGUCAUAUUUUGUUCUAAGUAUCGAGUUGUAAUUCUUGAGUUGUAAGUAAAUAAAAGUGUGAUGAUCAUCAUUAUUAGAGCAUUGUGCCAAGUGAGGAAAGGAUGGAGACUAUGAUUCCACAACAAGUCGGCAUGAGACUCCAGACGAAAAUAAAAAAAGAGGGGAAAAAGAGAAAGGCCAUAGAAAAAGAAGGCCCAAAAAAUGAGAGAAAAAGAGAGAAGGGGCAAUGUUACUAUCCUUUUUCCACACUUGUGCUUCAAAGUAGCACCAUCAUCUUCAUGAUAGAGAGUCUCCUAUGAUAUCACUUUCAUAUACUAGUGGGAAUUUUUCAUUAUAGAACUUGGCUUGUAUAUUCCAAUGAUGGGCUUCCUCAAAUUGCCCUAGGUCUUCGUGAGCAAGCAAGUUGGAUGCACACCCACUUAGUUUCUUUUGUUGAGCUUUCAUACACUUAUAGCUCUAGUGCAUCCGUUGCAUGGCAAUCCCUACUCACUCACAUUGAUAUCUAUUAAUGGGCAUCUCCAUAGCCCGUUGAUACGCCUGUUCCGGAGCUCCGCCGGAGGGGGCAUCGAUCACGGAGGGCUUCUACAUCAACAGCAUAGCCUCUUCGAUGAAGUGUGAGUAGUUGACCUCAGACCUAUGGGUCCAUAGUUAUUACCUAGAUGGCUUCUUUUCUCUUUUUGGAUCUCAAUACAAUGUUCUCCCCCUCUCUUGUGGAGAACUAUUCGAUGUAAUCUUCUUUUUGCGGUGUGUUUAUUGAGACCGAUGAAUUGUGGGUUUAUGAUCAAGUCUAUCUAUGAAUAAUAUUUGAAUCUUCUCUGAAUUCUUUUAUGUAUGAUUGUUUAUCUUUGCAAGUCUCCUCGAAUUAUCAGUUGGUUUGGCCUACUAGAUUGAUCUUUCUUACAAUGGGAGAAGUGCUUCGCUUUGGGUUCAAUCUUGCGGUGUCCUUUCCCAGUGACAAUAGGGGCAGCAAGGCAUGUAUUGUAUUGUUGCCAUCGAGGAAAACAAGAUGAGGUUUUCAUCAUAUUGCAUGAGUCUAUCCCUCUACAUCAUGUCAUCUAGCUUAAGGCGUUACUCUGUUUUUAACUUAAUACUCUAGAUGCAUGCUGGAUAGCGGUCGAUGAGUGGAGUAAUAGUAGUAGAUGCAGGCAGGAGUCGGUCUACUUGUCUCGGACGUGAUGCCUAUAUACAUGAUCAUACCUAGAUAUUCUCAUAAAUAUGCUCAAUUCUGUCAAUUGCUCAACAGUAAUUUGUUCACCCACCAUAGAAUAAUUAUGCUCUCGAGAGAAGCUACUAGUGAAACCUAUGGCCCCCGGGUCUAUCUUUAUCAUAUUAAUCUCCUACUACUUAGUUAUUUCCUUUGCUUUUUCCUUUGCCUUUAUUUUACUUUUCAUCUUUAUCACAAAAAUACCAAACAUAUUAUCUUUAUCAUAUCUAUCAGAUCUCACUCUCGUAAGUGGCCGUGUAGGGAUUGACAACCCCUAUUCACGUUGGUUGCGAGGAUUUAUUUGUUUUGUGCAAGUACGAGGGACUCGCGCGUAGCCUCCUACUGGAUUGAUAUCUUGGUUCUCAAAAACCGAGGGAAAUACUUACGCUACUUUGCUACAUCAUCCCUUCCUCUUCGGGGAAAACCAACGCAGUGCUCAAGAGGUAGCAAGAAGGAUUUCUGGUGCCAUUGCCAGGGAGGUCUACGCAAAAGUUAACAUACCAAGUACCCGUCACAUACCCUUAUCUCCCGCAUUAUAUUAUUUGCCAUUUGCCUCUCGUUUUCACCUCCCCCACUUCACCCUUGCCGUUUUAUUCGCCCUCUCUCUCUAUCCUCCCUCUCUUUCUCUAUUUGCCUCUUUUUUCCCGCUUGCUUUCUGUUUGCUUGUGUGUUAGUUGCUUGCUUGUCACGAUGGCUCAAGAUAAUACUAAAUUAUGUGACUUCACCAAUACCAACAACAAUGAUUUUAUUAGCACUCCGAUUGCUCCUCUUAUCGAUGCUGAAUCUUGUGAAAUUAAUACUGCUUUGCUGAAUCUUGUCAUGAAAGAUCUGUUUUCCGGCCUUCCUAGUGAAGAUGCCGGUACCCACCUAAAUAGAUUCAUUGAUUUGUGUGACAUGCAAAACAAGAAAGGUGUGGAUAAUGAUAUUGUUAAAUUGAAGCUAUUUCCUUUUUCGCUUAGAGAUCGUGCUAAACUUGGUUUUCGUCUUUGCCUAAAAAUAGUAUUGAUUCAUGGAAUAAGUGCAAAGAUGCUAUUAUCUCUAAGUAUUUUCCUCCUGCUAAGAUCAUCUCUCUUAGAAACGAUAUUAUGAAUUUUAAGCAACUUGAUCAUGAAUAUGUUGCACAAGCUUGGGAGAGAAUGAAACUAAUGGUACGUAAUUGCCCUGCCCAUGAUUUAAAUUUGUGGAUGAUUAUACAAAAUUUUUAUGCCGGAUUGAAUUUUGCUUCUAGAAAUCUUUUAGAUUCGGCCGCGGGAGGCACUUUUAUGGAAAUCACUUUAGGAGAAGCUACUAAACUCCUAGAUAAUAUUAUGGUUAAUUAUGCUCAACGGCAUACUAAAAGAUCUAAUAAUAAAAAGGUGCAUGCGAUAGAAGAAAUUAAUGUUUUGAGUGGAAAGAUGGAUGAACUUCUGAAAUUAUUUGCUAAUAAGAGUGUUUCUUCUGAUCCUAAUGAUAUGCCCUUGUCUACUUUGAUUGAGAAUAAUAAUGAAUCUGUGGAUGUGGAUUUUGUUGGUAGGAACAAUUUUGGUAACAGCGCGUAUAGAGGAAAUUUCAACCCUAGGCCUUAUCCUAGUAAUCUCUCUAAUAAUUACGGUAAUUCCUACAACAAUUCUUAUGGAAAUUAUAAUAAGAUGCCCUCUAAUUUUGAAUCUAAUAUUAAAGAAUUUAUUACUUUGCAAAAGAAUUUCAAUGCCUUGAUUGAAGAAAAAUUGCUUAAGAUUGAUGAUUUGGCUAGGAACGUUGAUAGAAUUACUCUUGAUGUUGAUUCUUUGAAACUUAGAUCUAUUCCACCUAAGCAUGAUGUCAAUGAGUCUCUCAAAGCCAUGAGAAUUUCCAUUGAUGAGUGCAAAGAAAGAACCGCUAAGAUGCGUGCUAAGAAAGAUGCCUUUAUAAGAGCGUGUUCUUCUAGUUCCUAUGAAAAUAAUGAUGAAGAUCUAAAAGUUAUAGAUGUGUUCCCUAUUAAAUAUUUGUUUUUCAAUAUGAAUCUUGAUAAUGAUGGGACUGAAUAUGAUCCACCUUUACCUAUAAGGCGUUCGAAGAAUUCAGAAUUUGUUGAUCUUGAUGCUAAAAUUGAUAAAGGUGGGAUUGAAGAAAUUAAAACCCUAGAUGUUGCUAAACCCACUAUUAUGGAUUUCAAGGAAUUUAACUAUGAAAAUUGCUCUUUGAUUGAUUGUAUAUCCUUUUUACAAUCCGUGCUAAAUUCUCCUCAUGCUUAUAGUCAAAAUAAAGCGUUUACUAAACAUAUCGUUGAUGCCUUGAUGCAAUCUUAUGAAGAAAAACUUGAAUUGGAAGUUUCUAUCCCUAGAAAGCUUUAUGAUGAUUGGGAACCAACUAUUAAAAUUAAAAUUAAAUAUCAUGAAUGCUAUGCUUUAUGUGAUUUGGGUGCUAGUGUUUCCACGAUUCCAAAGACUUUGUGUGAUUUGUUAGGUUUCCGUGAUUUUGAUGAUUGCUCUUUAAACUUGCGCCUUGUGGAUUCCACUAUUAAGAAACCUAUGGGAAGAAUUAAUGAUGUUCUUAUGGAUGCAAAUAGGAAUUAUGUGCCUGUAGAUUUUAUUCUUCUUGACAUAGAUUGCAAUCUUUCAUGUCCUAUUAUUCUUGGUAGACCUUUCCUUAGAAUGAUUGGUACAAUUAUUGAUAUGAAGGAAGGAAAUAUUAGAUUCCAAUUUCCAUUAAGGAAAUUCAUGGAACACUUUACUAGAAAGUAAAUUAAAUUACCUUAUGAAUCUAUUAUGAUAGCCACUUGUGGAUUGCCUACCAAAGAUGGCAAUACCUAGAUCUAUCCUUGCUUGUUAUGCCUAGCUAGGGGCGUUAAACGAUAGCGCUUGUUGGGAGGCAACGCAAUUUUGUUUUUAUUCCUUGAUUUUUGCUCCUGUUUAGUAAUAAAUAAUUUAUCUAUCCUCUGUUUUGGUUGUGUUCUUUGUGUUUAAUUAGUGUUGGUGCCAAGUAGAACCGUUAGGAAGACUUGGGGAAAGUCUUGUUACACUUGCUGUAAAAAACAGAAACUUCGGCGCUCAUGAGAACUGCUGCCAUUUUUAUUUGGAAAGUGCUAUUUAGUUAAUUAUUUCUGCAGAUGAUUAAUAGAUAAAUUCCUCACGUCCAGAAAUUUAUUUUAGAAUUUUUGGGGUUCCAGCUCUUGAGCUAGGUACAGAUUACUACAGAUUGUUCUGUUUUUGAAAGAUUCUGUUUUUUCGUGUGUUGUUUGCUUAUUUUGAUGAACCUAUGGCUAGUAAAAUAGUUCAUAAACCAUAGAGAAGUUGGAAUACAGUAGGUAUAACACCAGUAUAAAUAAAUAAUGAGUUCAUUAUAGUACCUUGAAGUGGUCUUUUAUUUUCUUUCGCUAACGGAGCUCACGAGAUUUUCUACUUUAAGUUUUGUGUUGUGAAGUUUUCAAGUUUUGGGUAAAGAUUUGAUGGUUUAUGGAACAAGGAGUGACAAGAGCCUAAGCUUGGGGAUGCCCAUGGCACCCCCAAGAUAAUCUAAGUACACCUAAAAGCCAAAGCUUGGGGAUGCCCCGGAAGUCAUCCCCUCUUUCGUCUACUUCUAUCGGUAACUUUACUUGGAGCUAUAUUUUUAUUCGCCACAUGAUAUGUGUUUUGCUUGGAGCGUCUUGUAUUAUUUGACUCUUUAUUUGUUAGUUUACCACAAUCAUCCUUCCUGUACACACCUUUUGAGAGAGCCAUACAUGAUUUGGAAUUUGUUAGAAUAGUCUAUGUGCUUCGCUUAUAUCUUUUGAGUUAUAUAGUUUUGCUCUAGUACUUCACUUAUAUAUUUUAGAGCACGGUGGUGGAUUUGUUUUAUAAAAACUAUUGAUCUCCCAUGCUUCACUUAGAUUAUUUUGAGAUGCUUAAUAGCAUGGUAACUUGCUUAAAAUCCUAAUAUGCUAGGUAUUCAAAGUUAGUAAAAUUUUCUUAAGAGUGUUUUGAAUACUAAGAGAAGUUUGAUGCUUGAUGAUUGUUUUGAGAUAUGGAGGUAAUAAUAUCAAAGUCGUGCUAGUUGAGUAGUUGUGAAAUUGAGAAAUACUUGUGUUGAAAUUUGCAUGUCCCGUAGCAUGCACGUAUGGUAAAUGUUGUGUAACAAAUUUGAAACAUGAGGUGUUAUUUGAUUGUCUUCCUUAUGAGUGGCGGUCGGGGACGAGCGAUGGUCUUUUCCUACCAAUCUAUCCCCCUAGGAGCAUGCGCGUAGUACCGAGGUUUUUGAUGACUUGUAGAUUUUUGCAAUAAGUAUGUGAGUUCUUUAUGACUAAUGUUGAGUCCAUGAAUUAUACGCACUCUCACCCUUCCAUCCUUGCUAGCCUCUUUGGUACCAUGCAUUGCCCUUUCCCACAUUGAUUGUUGGAGCAAACUUCGCCGGUGCAUCCAAACCCCGUGAUAUGAUACGCUCUUUCACACAUAAACCUCCUUAUAUCUUCGUCAAAAAAGCCACCAUACCUACCUAUUAUGGCAUUUCCAUAGCCAUUCCGACAUAUAUUGCCAUGCAACUUUCCACCAUUCCGUUCAUCAUGACACAUUCAUCAUUGUCAUAGUGCUUAGCAUAAUCAUGUAGUUGACAUAGUAUUUGUGGCAAGGCCACCGUUCAUAAUUCUUUCAUACAUGUCACUCUUGGUCCAUUGCAUAUCCCGGUACACCGCUGGAGGCAUUCAUAUAAGUCAUACUUUGUUCUAGUAUCGAGUAGUAAUUAUUGAGUUGUAAAUAAAACGAAGUGUGAUGAUCUUAAUUAAUAGAGCAUGGUCCCAAAAAGAGAAAAAAGGAAGGGCCAAAAAAAGGCCAAAUAAAAAAAUAUAAAAAGGGGGGCAAUGCUACUAUCCUUUUUUCCACACUUGUGAUUCAAAGUAGCACCGUAAUCUUCAUGAUAGAGAGUAUCUUGAUUUGUCACUUUCAUAUACUAGUGGGAAUUUUUCAUUAUAGAACUUGGCUUGUAUAUUCCAACAAUGGGCCUCCUCAAGUGCCCUAGGUCUUUGUGAGCAAGCAAGUUGGAUGCACACCCACUUAGUUUCUUUUGUUGAGCUUUCAUACAUUUAUAGCUCUAGUGCAUCCGUUGCAUGGCAAUCCCUACUCCUUGCAUUAACAUCAAUCGAUGGGCAUCUCCAUAGCCCAUUGAUUAGCCUCGUUGAUGUGAGACUUUCUCCUUUUUGUCUUGUCCACAUAACUCCACUCAUUAUAUUCUAUUCCACCCAUAGUGUUAUGUCCAUGGCUUACAAUCAUAUAUUCCGUGAAAGUUUAUAGGUUUGAGAUCACUAAAGUAUGAAACAAUUGCUUGGCUUGUCAUCGGGGUUGUGCAUGAUGAGAGCAUUGUUGUGUGACAAAAAUGAAGCAUGACUAAACUAUAUGAUUUUGUAGGGAUGAACUUUCUUUGGCCAUGUUAUUUUGAGAAGACAUAAUUGCUUAGUUAGUAUGCUUGAAGUAUUAUUAUUUUUAUGUCAAUAUGAACUUUUGUCUUGAAUCUUUCGGAUCUGAAUAUUCAUACCACAAUUAAGAAGAAUAACAUUAAAAUCAUGCUAAGUAGCACUCUGCAUCAAAAAUUCUGUUUUUAUCAUUUACCUACUCGAGGACGAGCAGGAAUUAAGCUUGGGGAUGCUUGAUACGUCUCCAACGUAUCUAUAAUUUUUGAUUGCUCCAUGCUAUAUUAUCUACUGUUUUGGACAAUAUUGGGCUUUAUUAUCCACUUUUAUAUUAUUUUUGGGACUAACCUAUUAACCGGAGGCCCAGCCUAGGAUUGCUGUUUUUUGCCUAUUUUAGGGUUUCGAAGAAAAGGAAUAUCAAACGGAGUCCAAACGGAAUGAAACCUUCGGGAACGUGAUUUUCUCAACGAACAAGACCCAGGAGAAUUGGACCCUCCGUCAAGACACAAAAGAGGAGGCCACGAGGUAGGGGGCGUGCCUACCCCCCCGGCGCGCCCUCCACCCUCGUGGGCCCCCUGUUGCUCCACCGACGUACUCCUUCCUCCUAUAUAUACCUACGUACCCCCAAAUGAUCAUAUACGGAGCCAAAACCCUAAUUACGCUGCCGCAACAUUCUGUAUCCACGAGAUCCCAUCUUGGUGCCUGUUCCGGAGCUCCGUCAGAGGGGGCAUCGAUCAUGGAGGGCUUCUACAUCAACACCAUAGCCUCUCUGAUGAAGUGUGAGUAGUUGACCUCAGACCUACGGGUCCAUAGUUAUUACCUAGAUGGCUUCUUCUCUCUUUUUGGAUCUCAAUACAAUGUGCUCCCCCUCUCUUGUGGAGAACUAUUCGAUGUAAUCUUCUUUUUGCGGUGUGUUUGUUGAGACCGAUGAAUUUUGGGUUUAUGAUCAAGUCUAUCUAUGAAUAAUAUUUGAAUCUUCUCUGAAUUCUUUUAUGUAUGAUUGGUUAUCUUUGCAAGUCUCUUCGAAUUAUCAGUUUGGUUUGGCCUACUAGAUUGAUCUUUCUUGCAAUGGGAGAAGUGCUUAGCUUUGGGUUCAAUCUUGCGUGUCCUUUCCCAGUGAUAGUAGGGGUAGCAAGGCACGUAUUGUAUUGUUGCCAUCGAGGACAACAAGAUGGGGUUUUCAUCAUAUUUUAUGAGUCUAUCCCUCUACAUCAUGUCAUCUUACUUAAGGCGUAAUAGUAGUAGAUGAGUGGAGUAAUAGUAGUAGAUGCAGGCAGGAGUCGGUCUACUUGUCUCGGACGUGUUGCCUAUAUACAUGAUCAUACCUAGAUAAUCUCAUAACUAUGCUCAAAUCUAUCAAUUGCUCAAUAGUAAUUUGUUCAUCCACCGUAGAAUACUUAUGCUCUCGAGAGAAGCCACUAGUGAAACCUAUGGCCCCCGGGUCUAUCUUUAUCAUAUUAAUCUCCUACUACUUAGUUAUUUCCUUUGCUUUUUUACUUUGCCUUUAUUUUACUUUGCAUCUUUAUCACAAAAAUAAAAAUAUCUUUAUCAUAUCUAUCCAAUCUCACUCUCGUAAGUGGCCGUGUAGGGAUUGACAACCCCUAUUCACGUUGGUUGCGAGGAUUUAUUUAUUUUGUGCAGGUACGAGGGACUGGCGCAUAGCCUCCUACUGGAUUGAUACCAUGGUUCUCAAAACCUGAGGGAAAUACUUAUGCUACUUUGCUGCAUCAUCCCUCACUCUUCGGGGAAAACCAACGAAGUGCGCAAGAGGUAGCAAGGGUUCCUUUUUGUCGACGAUCUGAUGUUUCAACCUUGUUUUCCAGGCGGCCAACGCAUCACUCAACUUGGUCAUGGCGUGUUUGUUUAUCUUCUUCAUUGCCAGGUCCUUAUCUGGAUCUUUAUUAUCCUUUUCAUUACGGUCCGGGAACAAGAAUAUCUGGUGCAGCUUCUUCAGGAGGGAGGGCCUCAUAUUAUCUAUCUUCUAUAGUUUCCCAUCGUUGAUCAUGGCAGUUGUCCGUACAAUGCAACCUAUUUGAUUGCCGUAACACGAUUGCGCUUCCUCGGGUGCUAUUGUCUCAAAAAUACUGUCGUCCAUCUCCGUGACCACCAGUCUAGUACUCAUGAGCUGGUUUAGGCGUCGUGGCCUCUUUGCUGUCGGUUCUAGACUAACUCCCCUAGUCUCGGCACCGGUCUCAGUCUCAUCGCCGGUCUGCAUGUCGGUAUCAGUCCCCGAUGCGACAACACAGUCGCUGCAACAUGGGUAAGGGAGACCACAUCAGUGCUGGGGGUCCGAAAAUUGGGACACACUUUCGCGCGUCGCGGGCCGCCUCUCAGACAGCUAAUGGGGAGGCGGCGGAGUACCUGGGUGCGCGGCGAAUCCCCAAGAACUCGGUGACCAACUUCCUUCCCGUGUGGCGCAUGGAGACGACGGCGACCCUGGCGAAGAGCAGCUUAGCCGCGAGCUGCACAGCCUCGUCCACCUCCUAAGUUGGGACCUCCGUGCGAGCGUUGCGGGGCCGCCGCUCGGAUGGCUUCUGGAAGGCCGUUGUACAUGGGCACAGGGUGAAUCCCGACGAGAGCUGGCCAUUGGCGCGCGCAAGUAGACGACGACGUCCCCGACGAAGAGCUGCCCGGCCAGCUCGCCUCACUCGCCUUUGAUUAGAAAUGAAAGAUUGGGAAGAAGCAGACUUGAGCCUGCAGGGAAAGGAUAAGGUGACGAUGCAGUCUCCACUCGUUCGGGGCGACACGCGUACUGAAUGUAUGAGAAACGUGACGUGGCAGAGACCCCAAGAUACUCCCUCCAUUUAUUUUUAGUCUGCAUAUAAAGUUUGGUCAAAGUCAAGAUUUGUAAAUUUUAACGAACUUUAUAAUAAAAAAAUAUCAGCAUUCACAAUAUGAAAUCAAUAUUACCAGAUGCGUCAUGAAAUGUAUUUCCAUACUAUAUAGUUUUGGUAUUGUAGAGGCACUCUUCCAUAUAAUGAAGUUUAUAAUAUAUGUGCUUAUAUUGUAUUACAAUUGUUUGAAUAGCUUAGCAUAUGUUCAGAUGUAUGAUAUCUGUAAUUUAAGCGCUUGAAUUUUACAUAUAAAUAUUUAUUAAUAAAUAUGUACCCCUAUAAUAGCUAGGCCGUGCCGUUGCACGGGUAGAUGACUAGUGAUUACAAUCUUGUUUGUGUGCAAGUCAAGCUUAUAUAGUUUACACGUAACAACUUGUAGAACAUUACAAAAUUUAUGCUUGCUAAUAACUUCUAGAACACUAGAACACUUGACAUGUAAAAGGAAUUUGACGAGUCAUGGCCUACUAAAGCAAGUUACAUUACUAGUCUUAUCUAUCUUAACAGACCACACAAGAUUACAAACUAAGUACCGUGACAGCCAUGCUUAUCUAGUUUAUGCGUAACAAUUUGCAGAAAAUUAGAAACUUGGUUUCAGAAAAAUACGCAAUCUAGAUUAGUGUUUGAGCUGUAAAGUGAAUAAGAUGAGUCAUGCAUGUUAUCACACCUUUUUGGUGGUGGAAUGAUAGUGCAACAACAAGGAACUUUAAUGACCAGUCCAAGAAUACACUUGUAAGUAGUGCCACCAAACAGAACAUACCAAAUGAUGAUUUUUAGAAGCAUCCAAGCACUUUCCACACAAACAAAUGCCAAUUGUGAAAGAGAUCAUUCCAUGGCAGCUAUAAAUAGCCCCAUAGCAUGAGGUUCAUCCUUCCUCAUCCAUCAUUUUCAUUAGUAGAGCGCAUCAUUUAAGCCAAGCAAGCUGUGGUCAAUACAAAUCCACCAUGAAGACCUUUCUCAUCCUUGCCCUCCCUGCUAUCGUGGCGACCACCGCCACAACUGCAGUUAGAGUUCCAGUGCCACAAUUGCAGCCACAAAAUCCAUCUCAGCAACAGCCACAAGAGCAAGUUCCAUUGGUACAACAACAACAAUUUCUAGGGCAGCAACAACCAUUUCCACCACAACAACCAUAUCCACAGCCGCAACCAUUUCCAUCACAACAACCAUAUCUGCAGCUGCAACCAUUUCCGCAGCCGCAACUACCAUAUUCGCAGCCACAACCAUUUCGACCACAACAACCAUAUCCACAACCGCAACCACAGUAUUCGCAACCACAACAACCAAUUUCACAGCAGCAGCAGCAGCAGCAACAACAACAACAACAACAACAACAACAACAAAAGCAAAUCCUUCAACAAAUUUUGCAACAACAACUGAUUCCAUGCAUGGAUGUUGUAUUGCAGCAACACAACAUAGCGCAUGGAAGAUCACAAGUUUUGCAACAAAGUACUUACCAGCUGUUGCAAGAAUUGUGUUGUCAGCACCUAUGGCAGAUCCCUGAGCAGUCGCAGUGUCAGGCCAUCCAAAAUGUUGUUCAUGCUAUUAUUCUGCAUCAACAACAAAAACAACAACAACAACCAUCGAGCCAGGUGUCCUUCCAACAGCCUCUGCAACAAUAUCCAUUAGGCCAGGGCUCCUUCCGGCCAUCUCAGCAAAACCCACAGGACCAGGGCUCUGUCCAGCCUCAACAACUGCCCCAGUUCGAGGAAAUAAGGAACCUAGCGCUACAGAUGCUACCUGCAAUGUGCAAUGUCUACAUCCCUCCAUAUUGCACAAUCGCGCCAUUUGGCAUCUUCGGUACUAACUGAGAAGAAAAUAACUCUAGUACUAGAUAUAUGAAACACCGUUUUCUCAGUCCAUGGUUUGGUCAUUGUAGCGUCGAAAAAAUAAUGUGACAUGCACUAUCAUAUAAGAAUCCGAACUAUACUAGUUCAAACUUGGGAAUAAAAGACAAACACAUGUCUUGUCUACAUAUUUAUGUUGCAUCUAUUUAUAUAUUAAAAGUAAUAUAAGGUGAACCAGGAGCAAGGUAAAUAUGCUAGAAAAUUGCACGUUAAUUAGAAAUUACUUGCCCUCGAUCUGGUAAAUCUUAACAAAUAGAAUUAUCUUGACCGUUAGAUUUAUAUAACAUAUAUAAUGCUCUGGGCCUCCAACGACUGUACGUGACACAUCUGAACGAACAUAUGGUAAAGAAAAUAUAUUUGGUAAAUGGUGGGCCUGUUUAAAAAGAGAACUCACGUACAUGCACCAACUAAGAAAAACACAUACAUGUAAACGGGAAAAGGAUGAGAUUUUCUCACGUACGUGCUCCCUGGCUCCACCCCGUUGAAAAAAUAUACAUCUGGAGGCCACUUUGUUUCCUCAUCAAAAAAACUUACGUUAAAAAGAUUGCAUGCAUCCCAGGGAAAAUAGUCAAGAAGAAGUCGGACUUUUCCUUACAAAAACAAGGAACGUGUUAAGUUGACUUCAAAGAAAAAAGGAACAUGUUAAGUUAAAAAAAAACAAGAAACCUGUUAAGUUAGAAAAAAACAAGGAACGUGUUGUCCAAGGAAAGAUAUGUGUCAAAUCUUACAAAAAAAAAGAAUACACACACGUACGUUCAUGCACUUGGAAAAUAGAAAAAAAGGAACAUCACGUAUGUAUACACUUCGGAAACUCAUUACAUGACCAUGUCUGAUAUACUCCUCUAAUGCUUAAUAUUAGUGCCUAAUAAUUUAUAUUUAAAAUUUAAUUUACUGAUCAAAUAUCCCCACUGUUUAAAUUUUAAUUUGGCACAUUGUUUGGCUAUAGUAUGAACCUGAAUUUCCUCUUAUUAUUAUAUAUCAUGGUAAUAAUCCAAAGGCGACUAAUCUGCACCGGCGCACCGGCGCAAUCAAUUCGGCUGGACACAGCGCGGCCGUUUGAUUAGAUUGCAUUUAACCAUCAGAUCUGGAAUCGUUUUCUUUCCAAUUAAACGGAUUCAACCAAACAGCAGAGGGGAAAACAAAGCAGCGCCGCCGCCAACACUAGCCAUGGACGACCGAUGUAGCAAAACCUUGAAGAACCGCCGCCGGUCGCCACCCUCGCCUCUGGUCGCUGCCCUCGCCGUCGGUCACCGCCGGUCGCCGCCCUCGCCGCCUGCGUUUCUCAUCGGCUUCAUGCAUGCAACAACAUGCACUCGUGGUUGCAGGCUUGCAUCUCCGGCUCCGGGGACAUGGCCGCAUCUCCGGUAGCGCCGGCCGCCGGCCGCAGCACCUGUCGUUGUGGUCGCGCUGUACCUCGCCGUGUGCCCUCCCGAGGCUCUUGCUGGUUCCAACAAAAAACGAUACCUGUUGUAGCAAAAAAGUAUCGCUUCCAGCAAAAAAGCUUACCGCUACAGCCCGCCAUCGUCAUUGUAGCAAAAAUGUUAACCCGAUGUAGCUUCUGUGGUUGCCGACUGCAGCAAAAAAUGACAUGGCUGUAGCAAAACACAAAAGAAAAACACUGGCCGGCCGCUGUGUAUGGUGGUAACAAACCCUAUAGCCGGUGGUAGCGAAAAACUUCAUAGUGUGCUGCAAAAAAAUGUUGUCACCCGUCGUCGAGGUUGCAUCAUCUUCAUGAAUUAUGCCGCAAAAAAACGUUGUCGCCGGUAGUAGCAAAUGAAGCCGCCGGUAGUAGCAAAACAAGACACUGGUUCCAGCCAAAAAAAAAAUCAGCGACAGAACCUUUGGUUGGUUCCAACAAAAAAACUUGUCGGUUGUAACAUCCCUCGCCGCCGGAUGUAGCAUCUCCCGGGGCUGGUUGCAACACUCCAUAAAAAAAGUUGUCUAUGAGCGCAUCCAUGGUGACUGCUGCACCGUCAGCAAUGAGGGGAAGAGGAGGCAAUGAAAAUCAUUCGAGUCAUAGCUCCACAGGACGCGGCUGCAGCAUGGGGAGUCCAAAAAUCUGUCACAAGCAACAUGCGCCGCGCCAUCCUCCUGCGCAGGAGAGAGAAGAAAAAGGAAUAAGAGGAAGAAGAAAGGAAACAGGAGAAAGAAAAAAGAAAGGAUUGGUGGUUGGCUCAGGCAAUUAGUCAAGCGAGGGGCACGCGGGGCCGCAGGACACAGCGCAAUCGAACGAAGCGCGCGCGUCCGGGCGAAGACUCGGCCGGACUGCCGUCUGGAAACGUUUCCCUAAUCCAAAGGCUUUAUCUGAAUGACAAGUCGUCUGGGUUACCGGCUAACUAGAAAAAAGAUAAAUAUGCUAGAGAAUUCCAUAAUAAUUAGAAAUAUCUAGCCUUUAAUUAUGUAAACCAGAAAAUCACAACCGUUGGAUUUACUUUAAAGGUAAAUUUCUAUAAAUUCCCACCAUUGCCAGUAUGUAGAAACAUGUGCUGCUUCAAUUCUCCCAUAAUCACCAAUCAAUCAACAACACAAAACAUACCUCAGUUAAAAAAACUGAACAAAAAAAAGAAAAAAAGAAGAAAGGACAAGAUACACGCAUGUACACGACAGCCUUGGCUUGAAACACAUCAGUAGAUCAAGUGUCCGCCUCCCUUACACGUACGUCCCAUGAGGUUUACUAGCCUACCGCCGCCGCAUCAUGCCAUCCUCUCCUUUCAGCUCCCAUGCUCUCCAGCACCCUCAUUGCGGCGCCACUACUCGCCUAGGGAUAUUGCUGCUCAGACCGUGGAGCUUAACCACAUCAGCAUCAGCACGUAUGGGCCUCAUUAUACUGCAGCACGUAUUGCGCCCCCUUAAGUCCAGGUCUGUUUGCUGGCACAUAUGCUUUGGAAAUAGGCCACUAUGUUUGUACUUCAAAAUUGUUUCUGUAUUCUUGAGUGGUACAUCCUUUUAAGCGCCAGUUUUUUAUGUUAAUUCAUGCUGACAACACUUAACCUAGCCUUUCAUGUUCACGUACUAAAUACAGGAGCAAGUAAAAACAACAGACCACCUAAUUGCUCUGCAUGUACUACAUAGGAAAAUUUGUCAUGUUCUACGAUCGCACCAUCCCACCCUUCUCUCUUGGUAUGGGCGCCAAUUGAGGGAUUGAUAAAACUGAAACGAAGACGUCACAGGGCUGGAAGUACCGCUAGCCUGGUUUGCACUGCAACCUACCCAACGCCAUCAGAAACUAGCAACUGAGUCAGGUGUUGAUCGAUUCUCUCAAAUUGCUCUCAUGUAAGUACUACCCCUUGCAUGUGCGUACAUACCUUUGUUGCAUUCUCAAACAGAUAGAACAUGUUUGAUCGGUGCAUGGCUAUUUUUCAUCACAUGACAUCCAGAUAACAAGCAUGAAAGGACUACAUUGGAGAUCAAAAAAUAUUGGUUCCUGGCUAGAGUACCACUACCUAUGGACUUGUCUCCAUAGAAUUUGUUCCCAAGAUGUUAUUUUAAUUAAUCUCUUUAGCUUUCUUCCAUUGCAAACGGUGAUGUGCAUCAUGGUAUAUACGUGACCAUCUUGCACAUGUAUACACAAGAGGCUCAGAUGGAGGUGCUGGAUUCUGGACGAGGGAAUAUGAAGCAGGAGUGAGCGAAGAGUAAAUAAUGGUGGGAGUACCGAUUGGUGUUAUGAAGAAAAAUGCCAUCCAAAGAUUGAUUAGUGUCAUGGAAGAUUAAUUUCUGAAUGCGAAUAUAUAUGUUACAUUGGUUUGGAUCUUUUUGAGAUAAUUCCACCUAAAUUAGGUUCUUUCUUAUUUCAUAUGUAUACCUUAUUUCAGUAAAAGUUCACAACGAACUUAGUAGGACAAAUAUAAUUUUGUUUGUUCUUUCUGUUGUCCGCCACCAAAGCUCAAUUUGAACUCUCUAGAAAUGGACAAUGAUUUAUGCAUUCUAUAUCUUCUUGAUUGAUUAGCCAUGACAAGGAAAUAAAAGGAUUGACUGAUAUAGCAUAACUUUGGAACGAUUAGAGGUUACUACAAAUAAGAGUAGUGUCUGUUGGAAUUUUGCUAGUAGGCCUUUGGCCCAAAGCCCAACUAAAAUUCUGAAAUUCUCUUGGCUCAUUUAUGCACACAUGUGAGUUGAGUGAGUGAGACUAAAGUUUAGUCCCACCCUGGAAGUUGAGAGAGAGUUGCACCUCUUUAUAAGGUGAGCUCUUCUACCACUUGUAUGAGCAUGAGAAGAGGAGACCUACACGCGCGCUCCUCCUCCACGCUCGCCACGCCUCGUCGCGCCGCGCCGUGCCGCGGGUUGCGGGAUUGAGCCGAGCCGAGGACGUUUUCUAUAUUUUUGCUGCUCGGGAAAAAUUAAUGAGUCAUUAAUUAAUAAUUAAUGGACACAUUAAUUACUGAACCGUUUCCGAUUUUUUUGGAUCGUGACGACUCGGACGUGGGGUUUACUCCCAGGACCUACCCGGCCCGCACUAUAUAGUCAGGAAGACGUCUACCCUAGCCGCCGCCGCUUCGUAUGGUUUCUCACCAUCGUUACAGAUCAUUGCGCCGCCAAGCAAGUUUUCUCCAUCCCUCCUUUCGGCGUGCACCGGGAGAAGGGACAGCAGACCUCCGGAACCCCGCCUCUCGUGAUCCUAUACGGGAGAGGGGCGAUCAGGUUUUUGGGGAGCGCACUCGCAUGACUGCUGGCAGCGACGACUUCGCAAACGACGACUUCUUCCCCGACCUCGGCAACCUCAUCCUCGACGACAUGGGCGACAACGUCAACGCCGGCGGUGCUACACCCACUGCACCGUAUGUUAUUCUCUCCUUCUUGUUCGAGAUCAUGGUAGAAUUCAUGUUUCUAGUAUAUGUGCCCUAGAUGUGAUCUGUUCAUCUACUAUGGUAGUUCGCAUGAUUAGUUUAAUCUCUGUUAUUGCUGUCAUGAUCUAUUUCCUAUUUAUUCGGAUUAAAUCUCGUAGUAAUUUUCUCAUUUUUCCAACAAUCCAAAAACCUGAUUAUAGGAAAUUUACUCCGAGUGGUUUUGCUGCGCAUCUGAAAGCCGCUUGCCUUUAAGGGGGCGCAAUAUAAGAGGUGGCGCACCAGAGCAGUCUACUGGUUUCAGAUCAUGGGCUGCUAUGACGCCACCAAGGGCAAGCCUGAGGGCGAUCUUAAUCCAGCACAGCUGGAAGCUUUCAAGAAGAUCAAUACCCUCUUUAAAGGCACGCUUCUGAGUGUUCUUGAUGACUCCAUUGUAGAUUCGUAUAUGUCGUUUGACAAUGGCAAGAACAUGUGGGCUACGCUCGAGGCCAAGUUUGGUGCCUCGGACGCCGGCAGCGAGUUGUACGUCAUGGAGCAAUUCUAUGACUCCAAGAUGACUGAUGGGCGCCCUGUUGUACAGCAGGCUCAUGAGAUACAGUUGCUCGCAAAAGAACUUGAGUACUUCAAGUGUGUGUUGGCGAACAAAUUUGUUGCCGGAGGCAUCAUUGCCAAGCUUCCACCUUCGUGGAACAAUUUUGCUACUUCCCUGAAACACAAGAGACAGGAGUUUUUCGUUGCGGAUCUCAUUGGUACUCUUGAUGUUGAAGAGAAGGCGAGAGCAAAGGAUACACGUGCUUGAGUUGCUAAGGGAGGUUCUAGUGCCCACAUGGUACAGAAGAAGAACUUCCAGCCCAACAAGUUCAAAAACAACAAGAACAAAACUUAGGGCAAAGGCAAGUUCGAUACAAAGAACAAGCCAUCACAUUCUACCAACUUCAAGAAGAACUCUCAUAAGAAGGGGAAGGGACUUUGCCAUGUCUAUGGUGAUCCUAAUCACUGGGCUCCGAAGUGUCCCAACCGCUUUGAGGAGCGCGAACAUGAGAAGAGCGGCAAGUCUGCUAAUGUUGUCAUCGGUGAUACUGAUAUGAAGGAAUCAGGGUACGGUAUUUUUCCUACCAUCCUUUCAGUAUUCCAAACCCCUGACUGGUUAAUUGACACCGGUGCCAAUGUACAUGUUUGUGCUGAUGCCUCCAUGUUUUCUUCUUACCAGGCCACUGGGACUUCUCCUAUGCUGAUGGGGAACGGGUCACAUGCCAUCGUUCGAGGUGUUGGUACGGUCGAUCUGAAGUUUACUUCGGGGAAGACCGUGCGUCUGAAGAACGUUCAUCAUGUGCCGUCCAUCAAUAAAAAUCUCGUUAGCGGUUCCCGUUUAUGUCGAGAUGGUUUUAAGUUGGUUUUCGAAUCCAAUAAAGUUAUAAUUUCUAAGUAUGGACAAUUUGUUGGAAAAGGCUAUGAGAGCGGAGGCUUGUUUCGCCUGUCUUUGUCAGAUAUUUGCACUAAAGUUAUUAAUAAUGUUUGCCACAACAAUGAGUCUGAUAUUUGGCAUUCACGACUUUGUCACAUUAACUUUGGUUGCAUGACGCGGCUAGCCAAUAUGAAUUUAAUUCCGAAAAUCUCUACUGUCAAAGGAUCUAAGUGCCAAGUAUGUGUGCAAGGUAAGCAACCUCGCAAGUCCCAUAAGACUGCAGAGGCAACAGACUUGGCGCCACUAGAGCUUAUACAUUCUGAUAUUUGUGAGAUGAAUGACGUGUUGACAAAAGGUGGAAAGAGAUACCUCAUGACGUUGAUUGAUGACUCCACUAGAUAUUGUUAUGUGUAUCUUAUGAAAUCAAAAGAUGAGGCUUUGGCUUUCUUCAAAAACUAUAGAGCUGAGGCAGAGAACCAACUUGAUCGAAAAAUUAAACGGCUUAGGUCCGAUCAUGGUGGAGAGUAUUUUUCCAAUGAAUUUGAUCUAUUUUGUGCGGAACAUGGUAUAAUCCAUGAGAGGAUGCCUCCCUACUCACCCCAGUCAGAUGGGGUAGCCGAAAGAAAGAACCAAACUCUAACUGAUAUGGUUAACACCAUGUUAGACACUUCGGGUCUAUCCAAGGAAUGGUGGGGGGAGGCGCUAAUGACUGCGUGUCAUGUCCUAAACCGAGUUCCCACAAAGCAUAAGACCAUGACUCCAUUUGAGGAAUGUUAAAGGAAAAGGUUGAAACUCUCUUACCUACGUACUUGGGGUUGUUUGGCGAAAGUCAAUAUACCAAUUCCCAAGAAGCGCAAGCUUGGACCAAAAAUCGUGGGUUGUGUUCUUCUUGGCUAUGCUUUUCAUAGCAUCGGCUAUAGAUUUUUGAUAAUAAAAUCUGAGGUAUCCGACAUGCAUGUUGGUACGAUUAUGGAGUCGAAUGAUGCAACUUUUUUUGAGGACAUAUUUCCUAUGAAGGAUAUGUCGAGUUCAUCAAAUCAGGAGACACCUACUCCAUCUAGUGAGGAAUUCAUUGUAAUUCCUGAACCCACCAUUGCGAUGGAACACAUUGAGAAUCCUGUUGAGGGUGACAAUGGAACUCUUGUGAGGAGUAAGAGACAUAGGACUACAAAGUCCUUUGGUGAUGAUUUCAUUGUGUACCUCGUGGAUGACACACCCAGGACUAUUUCAGAAGCCUGUGCAUCUCUUGAUGCUGACUACUGGAAGGAAGCUGUACGUAGCGAGAUGGAUUCCAUCUUAGGUAACGGAACCUGGGAGAUCACUGACCGUCCUUAUGGGUGAAAACCUGUAGGAUGUAAGUGGGUGUUCAAGAAGAAGCUUAGACCUGAUGGUACGAUUGAAAUGUACAAGGCACGGCUUGUGGCCAAGGGUUAUACCCUGAAAGAAGGUGUAGACUUCUUUGAUACUUACUCACCCGUGGCUAGACUGACCACAAUUGGGUGCUACUAUCACUUGUUGCCUCACAUGGUCUUCUCGUUCAUCAAAUGGACGUUAAGAACGCUUUCCUCAAUGGAGAGUUGAAGGAGGAAAUUUACAUGGAUCAGCCAGAUGGUUUUGUAGUACCUGGUUAGUAAGGAAAGGUGUGCAAGUUAUUAAAGUAUUUAUAUGGCCUUAAACAAGCUCCUAAAGAGUGGCAUGAGUAGUUUGAAAGAACAUUAACUGCUACCGGCUUUGUAGUAAACGAUGGUGACAAGUGCGUGUACUAUCGCUAUGGUGGGGGCGAAGGAGUUAUUCUUUGUUUGUAUGUCGACGACAUAUUGAUCUUUCGAACCAAACUUGAUUUAAUCAAGGAGGUUAAGGAUUUCUUAUCUCGCUGUUUUGAGAUGAAGGAUCUAGGAGUAGCUGAUGUUAUCUUAAACAUCAAGCUGUUGAGAGAUGAGAAUGGUGGGAUCACACUGCUUCAGUCACACUAUGUGGAAAAGGUCUUGAAUCGUUUUGGGUAUAGCGACUGCACACCUUCUCCAACCCCAUAUGAUGCUAGCAUGUUGCAUCGAAAGAAUCGACGGAUUGCUAGAGAUCAACUGAGGUAUUCUCAUAUUAUUGGCUCGCUUAUGUAUUUGGCGAGUGCCACGAGGCCAAACAUCUCGUUUGCUGUUAGCAAGCUGAGUCGGUUUGUGUCAAAACCAGGAGAUGAUCAUUGGCAUGCACUUGAGAGAGUUAUGUGCUAUUUGAAAGGCACCGCGAGCUAUGGGAUUCACUACACCGGGUAUCCAAGAGUACUGGAGGGUUAUAGUGACUCAAACUGGAUAUCUGAUGCUAAUGAGAUUAAGGCCACAAGUGGUUAUGUUUUUACACUUGGUGGUGGCGCUGUUUCUUGGAAGUCCUGCAAGCAGACCAUCUUAAUGAGGUCAACUAUGGAAGCAGAACUCACAACAUUAGAAACUGCCACUGUUCAAGCAGUGUGGCUUCAUGAGCUCUUGAUGGACUUUCCUAUGAUUGAAGAACCAAUACCCCCUAUCCCAAUGAACUGUGAUAAUCAAACUAUGAUCGUCAAGAUAAAUAGUUCUAAGGACAAUAUGAAGUCCUCAAGGCAUGUGAAGAGGAGACUGAAAUCUGUCAGAAAAUUGAGGAACUCCGGAGUUAUUACGUUGGAUUAUAUCCAAACGUCAAAAAAAUUGGCAGAUCCCUUCACAAAGGGUCUAUCACGUAAUGUGAUAGAUAAUGCAUCGAUGGAGAUGGGUCUGAGACCCACCGCAUGAGUUGUCCAUAGUGGUAACCCACUCUUUGUGAUCGGAUAUCCCGUGAAGUAUAAGUGGGAGACAAGCUGUUGGUCAGCUGGGAGGAGAGUAUCCCUAUAUUACCUGUCCCACUCCAUGAAGAUGCAAUACUCUCCUAAUCUGCAUGGCAGGUUGAUACUUAUCUUAAUGUGUUCCAAGUGGCUUAUUCGGGUAAGCAGAGAUGUUGUCCUGCAGAACAUCUUCUGAGGAACACACCUAUAUGAAUUUGACUGUUAACGUCGCAGUCUGUGAGAAUUGGGUGUUCUCUAAUAAAUUCAUGAAAAGGCCCUGGAGUAUGACGUAUACGCUCCACCCGCAGGGAAGCCUUGCGGCAGCCCAGUAUCGGUCAAGAAUUUGUGUGAAACUAGUUGCGCAGAAAAUUUGUAGUUCAAGGCAUAGUCCACUAUUCAAGUUGUGAUCUAGUGUAGCAUAAAUCUCUAAGUGGAAGUUCAACUUCACAGUCUCCACUAAGCCCCGGUAUAUAAACAAUGUUUUGGAACUAAAUGAUGAGAUGUGCCAAUGAGACUUUGUGGGGGAUUGUUGGAAUUUUGCUAGUAGGCCUUUGGCCCAAAGCCCAACUAAAAUUCUGAAAUUGUCUUGGCCCAUUCAUGCACACAUGUGAGUGGAGUGAGUGAGACUAAAGUUUAGUCCCACCCCGGAAGUUGAGAGAGAGCACCUCUUUAUAAGGUGAGCUCUUCUACCACUUGUAUGAGCAUGAGAAUAGGAGACCUACACACGCGCUCCUCCUCCUCGCUCGCCACGCCACCCCUCGUCACGACGCGCCGCGGGUUGCGGGAUUGAGCCGAGCCGAGGACAGAGCUAUGCACAUUGUCUAUUUUUUGCUACCCGAAAAAAUUAAUGAGUCAUUAAUUAAUAAUUAAUGGACACGUUAAUUACUAAACCGUUUUCGAUUCUUUUGGAUCAUGAAGACUCGGACAUGGGGUUUACUCCCACGACCUACCGGGCCCGCAUUAUAUAGUCCGGCAGACGUCUACCCUAGCUGCCGCCGCUUCAUAUGGUUUCUUACCACCGUUCCAGAUCAUUGCGCCGCCAAGCAAGUCUUCUCCAUCCGUCCCUUCGGCGUGCAUCGGGAGAAGGGACAACAGGCCUCCGGAACCCCGCCUCUCGUGAUCCUGUACGGGAGAGGGGCGAUCAGGUUUUUGGGGAGCGCACUCGCGCGACUGCUGGCAGCGACGACUUCGCGAAUGACGACUUUUUCCCUGACCUCGGCAACCUCAUCCUCGACGACAUGGGCGACAACGUCAACGCCGGCGGUGCUGCACCCGCUGCACCUUAUGUUAUUCUAUCCUUCUUGUUCGAGAUCAUGGUAGAAUUCACGUUUCUAGUAUAUGCCCUAGAUGUGAUCUGUUCAUCUACUAUGCUAGUUCGCAUGAUUAGUUUAAUAUCUGCUAUUGCUGUCAUGAUCUAUUUCCUAUUUAUUCGGAUUAAAUCUCGUAGUAAUUUGCUCAUUUUUCCAAUAGUACCAUCUAAUAGAUGAUGUAAAUCUCCUCUAGUUUGACGUUGUUGAGCUAAUUUACAAAAAAAACCUCAUCAUUAUUGGACGUCCUUAACAGCUCAAGAACAAGUUGGGGUCGAACUAAUGGAUUUUACACUUUUACAUUAAAGGUUUAGCUAAAGCUAGCAGGUGUUUUUAAACCUGAAUUUUUUUCCUCCUGAAUUUCUUUGUAUUUUCUUAUUGACACUAUUUAUACAAUCAUCUGACAAAGAUUAGCUAAAGCUGUUUGUAGAUACGUUGAAACCUGAAAAGCUUCUUUGGUUAUCCUUUUAAUAGUUCUACGUUUAUUUUCUCAUAGGUCAUAAUUCUUAUGUAAUACCAAGAUGCAUUGUGGUAGUGUACAUGUGUUAAAUUCAGGUUGUUAUUCACAAUUUGCGACAAAAUUUAGCUCACGCUACAUUCAAAUAUGUUGAAAUGUGAAAGCUUUUUUUUCUUCUCCUUUCUACACCUUGCAUCGGAUUGCAUCCCUUUAGUUAUCCAACAUUUUGUACAACAUGUAGAGAUUAGGAAGUUCAUCAUAGUUUGUUUAUUUCGGUGCUAAUAAAUGUAUGAAAUCUGCAUUUCCAAGCUACUAGGACAAGUAAAAAAUAAUAAUUUUACUAUAGGAUUCAAAAACAGCAGUUCUGAAGUGCACUUUAUUUAUUUUUGAAAGUGAUCACAUUUUGUUUCAUUUUUCUAUAGACAAAUCUACUAAUACAUACUCACGAUAAAACUAUAAAAGUUCUAGUCCGCACAUUGGGCGGGCCACCCGGCUAGUUAGUCUAAAGAUAACAAAAUGAGUCUGGAAUUUGAAUUAAAUUGAAGUAUUUUCUUGGACUUUCAAAUUGAGUUUUAUUAAAGUAGUAAGGACUAUCCACAUCCUUGGCUUGCCCCUGAUCAAUUAUUUCCAGAGAAGCAUUCAAUUCAUCAAUCAAUUACAUUGAUUUUAGUGGCUGGUACUUCUCCUCAACAUCAGUAUAUUCACCGUGGCCACUCCAAAUCGGCAAGAAUGAGGUACCAGUGCUCUGGAGCAGUGCAAGCUAAUUGCUUCUCAUCUGAAGGGGUGCGGCCGCAGGAGAGGUAUUUCUGGUGGGCCAAGGGACUAAGAAGCGACUGUGGCAGCGGUAUAGACGCCCGCAAAGCCCCAUAAUUUGUUUUUGGUUUACAGGAAAAAUGCACAUCCAUACCAGCCUGGGGAAUAUAGGACCGUAUUGGAUGGAAAACCAUGUCCGGAUGGUUGCGAGCGGUUUAAGGGUUAGCUUUUGUAACGCCCGGUUAGUUAUGCUAUAGCAAUUCCCUGCUAAUGAUGUCACGUUACCACGAUUACUGUUGUUAACCUCACAAUGAUUCAAUCCCCUUCAAAUUGAAAUUUAAAAUAAAGGCAAACAUCAAAAGUUUUCAAAUAUUAAAACUAAAAUCUUUGAGAGGUGACAAAUAAUGCAUAAGUAAUUAUGGUGGAGAAACCACACUUUAAUCAAAUGUUUAAAUACUCUAAAAUGAAAAAAAACAGUUGCUUAAACUAUUAUUUAAAUGCUUUUAAAAUAGUAAAAAUCUUCUAACUAAAUUAUUUGGGUACCAAACUUUUGGUGGCAGUGGUAUAUUUAGUACAACUAAUUUAGAUGCUAAUUAUAUAAAAAGGAAAAGCAAAAGGGGGCAACCCCUCGCUGGGCCUCGGCCUAGCUGCCACUAGGCUAGCUAGGCUGGCCCCGCCGCCUCCCUUAACCCCCCCCCCCCACUCCCCAUCGAACCCAAGCCCGAUCGCCCCACUUCCCCCANNNNNNNNNNNNNNNNNNNNNNNNNNNNNNNNNNNNNNNNNNNNNNNNNNNNNNNNNNNNNNNNNNNNNNNNNNNNNNNNNNNNNNNNNNNNNNNNNNNNNNNNNNNNNNNNNNNNNNNNNNNNNNNNNNNNNNNNNNNNNNNNNNNNNNNNNNNNNNNNNNNNNNNNNNNNNNNNNNNNNNNNNNNNNNNNNNNNNNNNNNNNNNNNNNNNNNNNNNNNNNNNNNNNNNNNNNNNNNNNNNNNNNNNNNNNNNNNNNNNNNNNNNNNNNNNUUGAUCCCAUCUGGAUCGGGGAGGGUAAUGCCCCAAUCGACCCCGUUGCCGUCGCGGGAUUGCCCGCCGACGUCGCCAGGCCUCCUCCCCGCCACCCGUCUCCGGCUCGCCUCCCCUCUCGCUCCUCUUCCCCGACCCGAUCUGGAUCGUGAACGAGCAAUGAGCUCGAAGCCCCCUUCACCGGCGCCAUCACCGUGCGCCACCACCACCGCCUGAAGACCUCACCGUCGCCGAACCUUGCGUCGCCUCCUCGUAUCCCUCCCCUACUCGCGUCCUCAAGCCAGGCCGAGCCCCUUCUCGGCAACGCCGUGAGACGCCCCCGUCUCCCUCCUCUUUCCACUGCGUUCACCGCGCCGCCCGCCGUGCCCCUCGCCGUGCGCACGCCCACCACCGCACCAGCCCCCGCUCCGCGCACGACCCUACCCGCGUCCGCGCCAUGAUCCCCUUUUCCACCCUACCUUCCUGCGCUCGCCGCGGUCCUGAUGCUCCCCCGCGCCCUCUUUUGGGGGCGCCGACUGCCCCUGUCCCACUGCUCGCCGCCGUGCCUCGCCAUCGCUCUACUGCUAAGUUAUUGCUGCGCUGCGGCCGUCGCCUCUUCCCGCUGCUCCGCCAGCGCCGAAGCUCCCGAUUGGCUCCACCACUUCUCACGUUAAACCGCCGGCCUAAAUGGCCUAACCCCCGGCUAAUGAACCCCCACUAUCCCACUGACACCGGGACCCACAUUCCCUAAUUAACCAUUUAAUAAAUUAAAACUCUUAAAUUAACAUUAGUGUAUGACAUGUGCGUCCCCUAUUAAUUUAUAAUUUUACUGCUAGUUUUAUUAGUUUCUGUUUUUUCUGCAUAUUUCUUUUGUAUUUGAACAGGCUUUAUAUAAUAAUAUUUAGCGUCUCAUACACAUAUAAAUGUAAUUAUAGCAUAUACAUACAAAUAGUCUCAUCAAAUCAUGUCAUCACCAUAAUCAUCAUCCAUCACAAAGUGAUCUCUCGUCAUCAUCUCGAAAAUAGCAAUACAAGUCUCGAUUACUUGCAACUACAUCGUCAUCCAUCUAAACAAUGAUAUACGCGAGAAGCGCUAUCACUAUGAGUGAGAGCGGAACUAUGCAGUACAUGAGUUUGUAUCCCUCUCUCACAUUAGCGUGAACCUAAACUAACUACUGGCUGUUGCUCGGAAACCGGAAACCGGUACACCUGGGCCUGACACUCCGGCCACUCGUCGUAUACUCCUGGCGUAGCACUUCUUCGCCAUCGAUGAUCUAUAAACCUACAUCGUCAGAUGAGUCGAUGAUAUGCAACAUAUAUAGUUGAGCAACAGAAAGAGACAGACUUGGCAAAAAUAGAAGCAACAUAUCAUAAGCAUAAAUAACAAAGUUCAUCGUACGCAAAAUGCCCUAACUAGAGUGAUCUUCGCUAGUCGAGGAGGACGGUUUAAUUACAUCACAAAUAAUUUUUCGUCGUGCAUAACUCAAAGUUCCGUCAUACAGAAAGUAUGAACUAAAUGGACACAUUGUCAUAUUUCAAAAAUCACUCCCACAUGUCGUGCCAUCCAUCCAAGUCAAGGAGAUAGUGCCCGAGCUUAGUGAAAGGCUUUAGGUCGAGACGCUGAGCGGCUAUGCGUGUUCGGACGUCUUCCCACGACAUUUGUCCUUCUUCAUAGAACAUCCCUGUUUUUUCGACGACCUCCUUCAUCACUGGAAGAAAAAGGGCCUGUUGUCCCGGUUCUGGAACCGGGACUAAAGGGUCGGUACUAAUGCCCUGUCCCUUUAGUCCCGGUUCAAUCCAGAACCAGGACAGUUGGGCCUCCACGUGGCCUGUGCGCGGAGCCUAGGCGGGAGACCCUUUGGUCCAAUAAGCAUCCACGCAUCAGCAUUUAUGUGGUUGGGGUUUUUGUUUUUUUUGAAGGGGGGGGCAUUGGGGGUUUUGGGGGGUUAAUUUUGGUGUUUCAUAUAUUGUGUUAGCUAGCUAUAAUUAAUAGAGAGAAUUGUCCUCUCUUAUGUCCGUGCUUGCUCGACGCUACGUACUAUACAUACGUAUAGAGAGGACUAGACACGGUAGCUAGCUAGUAAGCAAACGAAGGAAAUAGAAGAUCGUCAUGAACAUAUAUGCAUACAGAGAGAAGUAAUAUCGACCACCUCUCCUUCUCCGAGAGAUUGGUCGAACAACAAGUUCUCAUAUAUCUAUCCGACACUACCGGCUACAUAUAUACAAUAAUUAUCUCUUACAAAUAUAAUCAUACGGAUUCAGGGUCCACAUAGUAUUCUCUGUCUUCAAGGAUCACGUGGUCAAGAAAGAAUGCCGCCAAUUCCUCUUGAAUUGCUCGCAUGCGAGCUGGUGCUAGGAGUUCAUCCCGCUUCCGAAACAUCUAAUUUAAAGAAGGGGGUUAAUACAUAUAUACAUAUAUAUAUAUAUAUAUAUAUAUAUAUAUAUAUAUAUAUAUAUAUAUGAAUGAAUGAAACUCAACACGAAUGAUGGUAAUAAAAUAAAAUUGUGAAUGUUGUUAUUUACGUACUUCAUAUUGUUCGUCAGUGUAGCCCCGCUCAUAGGUCGUGUGGCGGAUGGACUCGCAAACGUAGUAUCCACAGAAAUCAUUCCUUUGUUCCUGCCACAACCACUUUAUAAGAAAUAGAGGUCAAUCAAACUGAUAAGCAAGAAUGCCAAAUGGUAUUGAUGAAACUUGUCAGGACCCCGAUUCCAAGCCACAUCGAUCUAGCCGGUAACACCUCAUAUCACUUUGCGGCCUCACGCACGAUAUUCCACGGGUGUCGCCUUACCAUGGCCCGGGACCGUUUGCGCCUUUUGGCUCACGUAUAUGAUAGUGUUGCUAGCAUCCAUAUGACAGAGAACCCGGGCCGACAUGGCUAGUCGUGAACCCAAAGUGGCACAGACCUAUGGAGACAGGCAUACAUGAAUCACAUCGAGCAUGUCGGUCAUCAGUGUGUGAUUCCGGGCUGUAGCACUGGGCUAACAGGACUCCGGGGAACCCGGGCUGUAGCAGGCUAGGCAGGACUCCGGAAGUCACCGCGUGACAUUUACCCGAAGGGACAGACAUAGGAACGAAGUGAAUCACAUGCCGGCAAGUCAAGUGUCCUGAGCAGUAGUACUGGGCUAGCAGGACUCCGGUGAACCGGGCUGUAGCGGACUACUAUGGCUCGAGGAACACUAGACUACAUUUCCCCAUAAGAAAGGCUGCCAAGGAUAAACAACUAGAUUGUCGGAUCCCACUCAUACCAAGCAUUUCAAUCAUACACACAAUAUGCCCGAUAUGAGUACAUACAACAUGGCAUCACAACAAAACUCUACAACUCAAGUACUUUAUUUAAAGGCUCUAGAGAGCCAUACAUAACAUGUUCAUACAGAUAGGGGUCACAUGACCCGACACUCAAGUCAUACAAUCAUACAAGCACAUGCGGAAGCAACCGGUCUGAGUACAGACACUAGAAAGAAAGAAGGCUCCUCGAGGCCUGUCUAUCUACAUAGGGCCCUCCAUGGCCAGGAUCACCACCUGGGUGGCUAGUCACUCGUCGAUGUCAAGGUCUACAUAGAACCCAUCGAAGGGGGCUGUGUUGUCGUCUGAAAACAGUAAUUAAGCAAACAUGAGUACAAAGGUACUCAGCAAGUCUUACAAAAGAACCUACUAUACAUGCUUAUUCUCAAGAAGGUGGUGGGGAUAUUGCAGCAAGCCAGUUUUCACUCUUGGCUAAACUAUCCUACAGAACUUCUCUAGUAAAAUAGUUUUCGCACACGAGUCCACUACUCACCAACACAAUACUCCACCGGGGAUCCUCCCUCGUCAUCCUAUGAGAGGGCCAUCCUCGGUACUCACACUUAUCUUGACUAUUUUAGUAGUAUCCAUUUAAUUGUCUAUGAACUGUAUAGGCAACCAAGUAGUCCUUUACCGCGGACGCGGCUAUUCGAAUAGUUUUAUACCCUGCAGGGGUGUACUUCGUCAUACAUGCUUUCACCACUUAUCGUCGUUUACACGACAUGUACUCGGCAACCUUCAAGCGAAAGCCCAGCGAGGGUGUCGGCCACGGCCUACCUAAACACUUAAGUCUCUAGUCCAGGUUUAUCGCCUAUCUAGGUUCCAUCCGCAGGGAGUCCGGGCGAGGUUUCCACAUACGGCCCCGAACGAUGUGAACAGGGUCCCGAGACGCCAAACGGGCGCCCGGCAUACCCGGCCAUGGUGUAUCUACCGCAACAUAGCCCACCCUUAGGGUCAGCGCUACGCACGGCCGCCAACACAUAACCUACAAACACCAGAAACUAUUUGCAACUCCUAGACAGAGUACAAGGGUGAUUAAGAAGCCGAGAGGGUCAAUUAAGGAUCCCAAUGCAUGGUAGUAGCUGAAUCUUAAAUCACACAUACCGAUCUCAGUUCUUAGGGACGGUCUCAAUGAAACAACCCACCAUGUACUCCUACAUGGCCUCUCAUCGAUACCUUUACCAAAACAUGUUCAACACAUUCCUCAUAUUACCGACAUAAUCAUAUCACCCUAGCCCAUCACCCAGAUGAACCAGACCUGACACAACUAUAAGCAUAGCAGGCAUAGCAAGGUAGGAAUCACAUACAUGGCUCAAUCAACUCCUACACAUGCUAGUGGGUUUCAUCUAGUUACUGUGGCAAUGACAGGUCAUGCAGAGGAUAAGGGUUCAACUAUCGUAGCACACAGCAGUUUGAAUCACAUUGUCUUAAUGCAGUAAACAAGAGCAGAGGCAAGAACAUGGGUUGUAUCGGAAUGAUCAAUGGGUUGCUUGACUGAUGGAGUGGUAGUGGGAUACUGCCCUUCAGUUGGAUACUCAUGAAUAUCCUCGGAGGCAGAACCUACCACGAAGAACACAUCGGAACACAAUCAACACAUGAUGAUAUGCAACAAUAUGAUGCAUGCUAUGACAUGGCAAUAUGAAUGUGUCUUGGCCUAAUGCAAGCUAAAAUAGAAAGGGAUGAACUCAUUUGAAUCAAAGAUUCAAAUAUUAGCUCAUUAAACAUGGCCUUAGUAGUGCAUUUCCUUAUUCUGCUUAAACAGCAAGGUAAACUUGUUUUUUCAUGCUUGAAACCAUUACAGAUGGAUAUAUUGAAUUUUUCUGAUAAUUUUUCAUAUAUAAAUUAUUUCAUUUGGAGUUACGGUUGAAUUUCUAUGAUUUUUAGAAGUUUCAAACAUUUUCUGGAAUUUCUUGAAUAAAAAUAAAUCCAGAAAAUGCAUUACUGCGUCAGCAUUGCAUCAUGCUGACCUCCGCAGGUCAAAGGCACCAGCCUAGGUCAAACCUGACUGGUGGGCCCCUUCUGUCAGUCUCUCAGUUAAAUAACAGGAUUAGAUUAACACUAAUUAGCUGUCAGUGGGGCCUGGGCCCACAUGUCACUGACUGAUUAAAAUAAAAUUAGUUAAAACUAAUCCUAGAUUAGUUAGCAAACCGGCCCCACCUGUCAUAGACUUAGGGGGGGUCUACCUGGGCCCACCCAGGGUCAAACUGGGUCAAACUCGCCGGCGCAGCUCGGAAAACGCCUACAGGGCACGAGCGAGGCCGUUCUUGGGCUCAUUGGAGAGCUCUUGCAGUCGCGCAUCUAGUGGCGGUGGUGGCCGGAGACGACGACGGCGAGCUCCAAGGCGGCGGCCGGAGUUCGGCCAUGUGCGGGGUGUCGGCUGUGGCGUGCAAACGUGGAAACUGAGGCACUAGCGAGGCACUACGCGAUGCGGCAAGCACGUUGCAUAGCACGGGAUAAUCAAAUGGUUGCCGGAGCGGCACCGGUGACAAGCUCGAGCGGAGACGAGCUUCGGCCAUGGUGGAACUAUGGCCUAGAGGGUGCAAACGCGUGGAAAAGAAGAGGGGAAAGGUGGCGGAGCUCACAGGGAGGUCGAUGAGCAGCUCAGUGGGCUCGGGGGCGACAGAAGUGAGGCGAAUCGAUGAGCAGCGUCCGGCGGGUACCGAGGUUGAAGACGAUCCGAUGGCGGCGAUGCAGGGCCUCCGGCGAUGCGUGGCUCGGUGGGAAGGGCGAGGGGGUGACGGAGGGCGCGACUACGGCGGUGAGACGGCGACGGGUGCGUCGGCCAUCGCGGGAGAGGGAGAGGGAGAUGAGUGGGAGAGUGAGAGAGGAUGAGAGGGGGACGUGGGGGUCGCGUGGCAUUCCCUGGACGUCUCCCGGCAUCGGCGGAAGCAGGAGGUGGCCGGCGUGUGGCCGCGGGCGCCGGCCACGCGCUCUGCGUCCUUCUGGCGCGAGGAGGACGACGACUGGCAGCGCCAGUAGGCUGGGCCGAGCCAGGUGGGCUGGCCAGCACAGGUAAGGCUCAGGUGGGCUUCUCCCUCUUUUUUUUAAUUUGUUUCUGUUUUCUAUUUAACUGUAAAUGUUGGGCUUUAUUUAAAAUACUAAAACAUUUCCAAAAAUCCUGAAAAUAAUUGUGGGCUCUGUUUGGAUUAUUUCCAAUAGCAAACAUUUAUUUGCAGAAUUAUUUGAGCAUUUAAAUGCCCAAAUUCAAAUACUUAUGAUUUAAAUCAAUGACCUUCUGUUGACCUAGAAAAGUUGUGCACCAAUUUUGCCAGAGGUUCUAACCCAAGACAAAGAGGGUGAACUUUUUAGAAGGGCAUUUCAGGUUCAUUGAAAAUAAUUUUAGUAAUCCCUAGUUGUUUCCAGGGGGGUGUUGGGGGUUUCUGCCUUCCCCAAUUCAAAUUUAAGAGGAAUUUAAACAUGAUGCACAUUCUAAUGCUUGAACUAGCUAGGGUGUGACAACUCACCCCCACUCAAAAGAAUCUCGUCCCGAGAUUUAGGAUCCUCUGGAAAGAAGGUGGGGUACUCGAGUCGAAGACGAUCCUCCCUUUCCCAAGUGGCUUCUUUCUCGGAAUGGUGUGUCCAUUGAACCUUGAGAAACUUGAUAUUAUGACGUCGAGUGGUACACUCGGCUUGAUCAAGGAUACGAACGGGAUAUUCCCGAUAAGAGAGGUUAUCUUGUAGAUCAAGCAUUUCGUGGUCCACUCCACGGAUAGGAUCCGCGAAGCAACGCCUGAGUUGUGAAACGUGGAAGACAUCAUGAACUCUGGAAAGAUGCGGAGGUAGUUCCAAUUGGUAGGCAACUUCUCCUCGUUUGGCAAGAAUGCGAAAGGGUCCAAUGUAACGAGGAGCCAAUUUGCCUUUGAUACCGAAAUGAUGGGUUCCUUUUAAUGGGGUAACCCGAAGGUAAGCCUUCUCGUCGAUUCAUAAGUCAUAGGCUUAUGUUUACGAUCAUAUUGACUCUUUUGACGAGAUUGGGCUGUUUUCAAUUUCUCACGAAUAACGCGAACCUGCUCUUCCGCUUCCUGAAUCAUAUCCGGGCCAAAGAGUUGUCUUUCCCCGGUUUCUGACCAGUUAAGAGGCGUUCGACAUUUUCGUCCAUAGAGAACUUCGAAAGGAGCUUUGCCCAAGCUAGCUUGAUAACUAUUGUUAUAAGCAAACUAUGCGAAUGGGAAGCAUUUCUCCCAACUCAUUCCGAAUGAGAUAACAGAAGCUCGGAGCAUAUCUUCUAGAAUUUGAUUGACUCGCUCUACUUGACCACUUGAUUGAGGAUGGAAGGCGGUACUAAAAGAGAGACGAGUUCCCAUAGCAUUUUGGAAACUUUCCCAAAAUCGAGAGGUGAAGAGACUCCCACGGUCUGAGUUAAUUUCCAAUGGGACACCAUGGAGAGACACUAUUCGGGAGAUGUAUAAAUCGGCUAGCUGGCUAGCAGUGAUACUCGCACGAACAGGUAGGAAAUGGGCUACUUUGGAAAGACGGUCGAUCACGACGAAGAUGGCAUUAUUCCCUCUCUUGUUCCUGGGAAACCCAGUAAUGAAAUCCAUACUGAUUUUAUCCCAUUUCCAUUCAGGAAUAGCCAAAGGUUGAAGGGUGCCAGCAGGCCGUUGAUGCCCUGCUUUAACACGAUGACAGACGUCGCAGCUAGCAAUGUAUCGAGCGAUUUCUCUCUUCAUCCUAGUACAUCAAAACCUCUGGCGUAGGUCUUGAUACAUUUUAUUGCUACCGGGAUGAAUGGUGAGAGGGGAUUCAUGAGCUUCCUUAAGGAUCAAUUGGCGUAGAUGUUGUUUCUUGGGAACCACCAAACGGUUCUCAAAGAAGACAGCACCCCGCUUAUCCAUGGAAAAACAUUUAGCAACUCCGCUAGCAAUGUUUUCCUUAAUCCGGGAUAUGCCCUUAUCAUACCGCUGGGCAGUUAUGAUCUGAUCCAUAAGGUUAGGUUUCGCCACCAGGGUGGAUAGGAAUCCUCGAGGAACAAUGUGAAGAUUAAGCUUACGGAAUUCCUCAUGGAGAAGUGGUUGACUUUGUUGUAACAUCAGGUUGUUACAAUAGGAUUUACGGCGUAGUGCAGCAGCCAUGACAUUGGCUUUGCCCGGUGUGUAGGUUAUUCCUAAGUCGUAAUCCGAGAUCAACUCAACCCAACGUCUUUGCCUGAGAUUCAAAUCUGGUUGGGUGAAGAUAUAUUUCAAGCUUUGGUGAUCGGUGAAGAUCUCGCAACGAUUAAGUGCAUGGACUACAGCUGCCAGCUCUAGAUCAUGUGUGGGAUAAUUUUCCUCAUGUGGGUGUAAUUGCCGUGAAGCGUAGGCAAUUACCUGACGAUCUUGCAUGAGUAUGCAACCUAGUCCUUGUCGCGAGGCGUCACAAUAGAUAAUAAAGUCCUUGGAUAAAUCAGGUGGUACCAGUACGGGAGCAGAUGUCAGGCGUCUUUUCAGUUCCUAAAAGCUGAACUCGCACUGUGGAGUCUACUCGAACUUUUUAUCUUUCUUGAGGAGUUUAGUUAGAGGUUUAGCAACCUUGGAGAAAUUCUCGACGAAGCGGCGGCAAUAGCUCGCUAAGCCAAGGAAGCUCCAAACUUGCUUGACCGUCUCAGGUGGAGUCUAAUCAAGGACGGCUUGAACUCGCUCGGGAUUGACGGCAAUACCCUUACCAGAGAUUACAUGGCCUAGAUAGGUUACUUCUGGCAACCAAAAUUCACACUUGGAGAAUUUGGCAUAAAGGCGAUGCUCUCGAAGUUUCAUCAAUACCAGCCUUAGAUGUUCGGCAUGUUCCUCUUCAUUCUUGGAGUAGAUUAGUAUGUCAUUGAGGUAUACUACGAUGAAUUUAUCCAAGUACUCCAUGAAAACCGAGUUCAUUAGCCGGGAGAAGGUAGCCGGGGCAUUGGUUAAACCGAAGGACAUAACGGUGUACUCGUAUUGGCCAUAACGAGUAACAAAGGCCGUUUUGGGAAUGUCCCCGUUUCUGAUUUAGAUUUGAUGGUAGCCCAACCUCAAAUCCAUCUUGGAAAAGACUGAGGAUCCAGCAAACUAAUCAUACAGAUCAUUGAUCCUGGGAAGUGGGUAUUUGUUCUUGAUGGUGACCAAGUUGAUAGGUCGGUAAUCCACAACCAUUCGAUCUGUUCCAUCCUUCUUGACGAAGAGGACGGGGCAAGCCCAAGGAGAGGAACUAGGACGGAUGAAACCCUUUUUCAAGGACUCAUCGAGUUGGUUCUCAAGCUCGGCUAGUUCUAAGGGUGCCAUCUUGUAGGGUCUUCUAGAAAUUAGAAUGGUUCCUGGAACAAGGUCUAUCACAAACUCGACAUCCCUGUCAGGUGGAACACCUGGCAGUUCUUCUGGAAAGGCAUCCGGAAAGUCUCGGACUACCGGAACAUCCUCAAGGUCUGGAAGGGGGUUGGCAUUUAGGGAGUAAAGUUGGCACUUGGCCACUCGAGUUAAGACAUUAACUGUCUUGCCCGAUGGGUGAGUAAGUUGAACGGUUCUAGUGGCACAGUCAAUCUUAGCAUAAUGAGCUGACAUCCAGUCCAUACCUAAGAUGAUGUUUAUGUCCGAGGACUUGAGAGCUAUUAAGGAUGCAAGGAAGACAAGUCUAUCGACAAGAAUUUCGUUCCCAUGGCUUACUCUAGAAGUUUGCCAUCUAGAGCCAGGGGUUUGAAUUUCCAUGGUAGAGGGCAUGUCACAGAAUGUCGUGUUGUGCAAUCGAGCAUAGUUCUCGGAUAUGAAUGAAUGAUAUGCUCCAGUAUCGAAAAGAACAGAUGCCGGAUGGCAGUUAACAAGGAGCGUACCAAGGACGACGUUGGGAUCCUCAUGAGCCUCCUCGGCUGAAACAUAGUUGACAUGGCCACGUGCAGUGGUGGCUGGCUUAGCGUAGAAUGUUUUUCCCGCGGGCUUACCACGGCCAACGGACUUUCCAGUUUGAUUGGGGUUGUUGUUCUGGGGACACUCUCGGCUAUAGUGACCCGGCUCUCCACACUUAAAGCAUGUCACCACAUUGGGGCGUGGAGCAGCAUUAGCAGCGGGGCCACCAUAGGGCUUGGGCGGUGCAAAUUGCUGGUUGGGACGUGGUGCCUCAAAGGAUGGCCUCGGGAUGAACCUGGGUGGCAGUGCCGUGCUUGGAAUCCACACCCGGCGCUUCUGAGCUCCAGAGCCGAUGAAGAGCCAAAAUCACGGGAGUGCUUGCGUGAAGUGUCAUAAUCAGUCUGGCCUUUCUCAGCACUGAUGGCUUUAUGGACCAACUUCUAAAAGGAGGUGCACUUGUGCAGACGAAGACCACGGUGAAGCUCAGGGCUAAGUCCCUUGCGGAACCUUGCCUGCUUCUUAGCAUCAGUAGAUACCUCUUCAGGGGCAUAACGUGCCAGAUUCCCAAAUUCACGACUGUAAGCAUCCACAGUCAGUCUUCCUUGGGUGAAGUUGCAGAACUCCUCCCUCUUGCGAUCCAUGAGACCUUCCGGAAUGUGAUGCUCACGGAAAGCCUCACUGAAUUCAGCCCAAGUAGUGAUUUGGCCGACCGGGCGCAUAGCUUCGAAGUUUUCCCACCAAAGGCUAGCAGGGCCUUUGAGGUGAUAGGCAGCAUAAGUAACCUUGUCGGCUUUGGCUACGUUGGCAGAACGUAGCUUGUGGGUGAUGCUGUGAAGCCAGUCAUCCACGUCGAGGGGCUCGACGGAAUGGUUAAACUUUGGUGGGUACAUCUUGAUAAAGUCAUUGAUUGACACCAACUCAUUUCGCGGGUGGCGUGCAGUGUUCUGCUCAAUCCGCUCCAGCAGGCGGUUGGUCUCACGCUUCUUUCUUUCUGCCUCCAGCAUUACUUCGGCCAGAGAAGGCGGGUGAGGCAGAUUUUCACCUCUAGCAGCACUGGCUUCCCCCUGCUCCGGGGCAACAGGGUUGCUGCGAGUAUUGACCAUCCUAGGAGAAAACAAGACAACGGUUUAGACAAGGAUGGCUCAAACUGAGCAAGGAUGUGCAGAAUGUAAUGGAUAACACGGAACACAGAGAUGUUCAUCCGUAUGUCAUGGUAAUAUAAAACUGCCAUAUAUAUACCAACGGUCAUACACAUCACACAUAGUUUAGUACAAGCCCAGGCUACAGUACAACUAUGAUGAAAGACGUUACAUCUCAUCGGAGGCAUUCCAAGCUCCUAUACAUUAUUGUCUACACCUUCGGAAUUGAUUACACGCAAAGUCAUAUUCCAAAAGUCACGCAGGACAGUGGAGAUACAACUACUACAAUACUAGUGGUACUACUACUAACUCAGACAGCUCCGUACUAGUCCUCAUAGAAGUCACCUCCAUAGCCUGGAAGUUCAACGUGACCAUCCGGGAACAGACGGUCCUGAGGAGCCUGUGGACCAUAGGGGCUUGGAUGGGGUCUUGGACCAACAAACGGUGGCCUGCGGGGACCACAGGGUGGGGUGAUGCCUCCCACAUCACGCCAAUCCACCACGUCUGGCAAAGCAGACCUCACAGGAUACAAAUCCCUUGUAUCCAUACAUCCAGCUUGCACCACAGGUGCAAACCGAGUCAAUGUGGCCCAAUGAUCAGCACGGGUAUUAAAAAGCUCCAGCCUCAAGGCCUGAUUCUCUCGGUCCUUAUAUUCGAGCAUCUCGGCAGUGGUACGAGUUAAUGAAUCCUCCUGAGUGGAGUCAGCAUAGAUAGCCUGAAGAUACCCUUGCGCUCCCGGAAGUGAAGCUAGCAUGUAUCGGAAGUCGGUGUUCCGAAGCAGGCCAGUCCGGACUCGCAUGAUUGUCAUCAUGGAAUAGGCAGCAUCCUGCACAGCCAUCUCAACAGUAACCCCGAGUCCAUAGGAACAGUGAAGGGGCUCGGUAGAUCCAGGAUAAGAAGGAAAUAUCUUGACGGUGCAGAAAUACUGGCUUUGAUUAAAGUCUCAGAAUUGCUCUUCGACGGUGUAUUCGGGAUACCAACGGUAACCCGUCUCGAUCAUGACCCGGACUAACAUAGCAGUAUGACCGGGCACGUCGAGCCACCGGGUCAGGCGAACCACUUUGUUUUGAGCACGGUUGGGCAUCUGAAAGCACAACCACAAUGCAAAGACAUCAGAAUUUCUAGGGAAAAUUGGACAGCAUAACAGCUGUAAAUGCUCAGAAAAAGAUUUGAGACAUCCACAACAGUUCGCAAUACCACUCAACAACAUCAUAUCAAGGUUCUGAUCCAAAUAGCAGCAUACUAAAAAUAGUAGAAACUGAACUGGGGCUUGUAACAACAAUCCUAUAAGCUACUACGGAUUAGUAACACGUGAACCUGAUAGAAGAAGAGAGACUAGUCCUUAACCCACAUUGAAUGAAAAGGGAAUGACUCAGAUAAGAGGCAUAGGGUAAAGGAGUAAAAGAGCCUUACGUUCCCUCCCACAAUCAAUUCCCCUACAUAUAACUAAAGCAUUUCCAGACUCGACAUCGACCAGUUUGGCUCAACGAACCUACAGGCAGUCCGGCACUGAUGCCAACGCUGUCAGGACCCCGAUUCCAAGACACAUCGAUCUAGCUGGUAACACCUCAUAUCACUUUGCGGCCUCACGCACGAUAUUCCACGGGUGUCGCCUUACCAUGGCCCGGGACCGUUUGCGCCUUUUGGCUCACGUAUAUGAUAGUGUCGCUAGCAUCCAUAUGAUAGAGAACCCGGGCCGACAUGGCUAGUCGUGAACCCAAAGAGGCACAGACCUAUGGAGACAGGCAUACAUGAAUCACAUCGAGCAUGUCGGUCAUCAGCGAGUGAUUCCGGGCUGUAGCACUGGGCUAACAGGACUCCGGGGAACCCGGGCUGUAGCAGGCUAGGCAGGACUCCGGAAGUCACCGCGUAACAUUUCCCCGAAGGGACAGACAUAGGAAUGAAGUGAAUCACAUGCCGGCAAGUCAAGUGUCCUGAGCUGUAGUGCUGGGCUAGCAGGACUCUGGUGAACCGGGCUGUAGCGGACUACUAUGGCUCAAGGAACACUAGACUACAUUUCCCCAUAAGAAAGGCUGCCAAGGAUAAACAACUAGAUUGCCGGAUCCCACUCAUACCAAGCAUUUCAAUCAUACACGCAAUAUGUCCGAUAUGAGUACAUACAACAUGGCAUCACAACAAAACUCUACAACUCAAGUACUUUAUUUAAAGGCUCUAGAGAGCCAUACAUAACAGGUUCAUACAGAUAGGGGUCACAUGACCCGACACUCAAGUCAUACAAUCAUACAAGCACAUGCGGAAGCAACCGGUCUGAGUACAGACACUAGAAAGAAAGAAGGCUCCUCGAGGCCUGUCUAUCUACAUAGGGCCCUCCAUGGCCAGGAUCACCACCUGGGUGGCUACUUACUCGUCGACGUCAAGGUCUACAUAGAACCCAUCGGAGGGGGCGGUGUUGUCGUCUGAAAACAGUAAUUAAGCAAACAUGAGUACAAAGGUACUCAGCAAGUCUUACAACAGAACCUAGUAUACAUGCUUAUACUCAAGAAGGUGGUGGGGAUAUUGCAGCAAGCCAGCUUUGACUCUUGGCUAAACUAUCCUACGGAACUUCUCUAGUAAAAUAGUUUUCGCACACGAGUCCACUACUCGCCAACACAAUACUCCACAGGGGAUCCUCCCUCGUCAUCCUAUGAGAGGGCCAUCCUCGGUACUCACACUUAUCUUGAGUAUUUUAGUAGUAUCCAUUUACUUGUCUAUGAACUGUAUAGGAAACCAAGUAGUCAUACACGCUAUUCGGAUAGUUUUAUACCCUGCAGGGGUGUACUUCGUCAUACACGCUUUCACCACUUAUCGCCGUUUACAUGACAUGUACUCGGCAACCUUCAAGCGGAAGCCCAGCGAGGGUGUCGGCCACGGCCUACCUAAACACUUAAGUCUCUAGUCCAGGUUUAUCGCCUAUCCAGGUUCCAUCCACAGGGAGUCCGGCCGAGGUUUCCACAUACGGCCCCGAACGAAGUGAACAUGGUUUCGAGACGCCAAACGGGCGCCCGGCAUACCCGGCCACGGUGUAUCUACCGCAACAUAGCCCACCCCUAGGGUCAGCGCUAUGCACGGCCGCCAACACAUAACCUACAAACACCAGAAACUAUUUGCAACUCCUGGACAGAGUACAAGGGUGAUUAAGAAGUCGAGAUGGUCAAUUAAGGAUCCCAAUGCAUGGUAGUAGUGAAUCUUAAAUCGCACAUACAGAUCUCAGUUCUUAGGGACGGUCUCAAUGAAACAACCCACCAUGUACUCCUACAUGGCCUCUCAUCGAUAUCUUUACCAAAACAUGUUCAACACAUUCCUCAUAUUACCGACAUAAUCAUAUCACCCUAGCCCAUCACCCAGAUGAACCAGACCUGACACAACUCUAAGCAUAGCAGGCAUAGCAAGGUAGGAAUUAUAUACAUGGCUCAAUCAACUCCUACACAUGCUAGUGGGUUUCAUCUAGUUACUGUGGCAAUGACAGGUCAUGCAGAGGAUAAGGGUUCAACUACUGUAGCACACAGCAGUUUGAAUCACGUUGUCUUAAUGCAGUAAACAAGAGCACAGGCGAGAACAUGGGUUGUAUCGGAAUGAUCAAUGGGUUGCUUGCUUGAUGGAGUGGUAGUGGAAUACUGCCCUUCAGUGGGAUACUCGUGAAUAUCCUCGGAGCCAGAACCUACCACGAAGAACACAUCGGAACACAAUCAACACAUGACGAUAUGCAACAAUAUGAUGCAUGCUAUGACGUAUCUUGGCCUAAUGCAAGCUAAAAUAGAAAGGGAUGAACUCAUUUGAAUCAAAAAUUCAAAUAUUAGCUCAUUAAACAUGACCUUAGUAGUGCAUUUCCUUAUUCUGCUUAAACAGCAAGGUAAACUUGUUUUGUCAUGCAUGAAACCAUUACAGAUGGAUAGAUUGAAUUUUUCUGAUAAUUUUUCAUAUAUAAAUUAUUUCAUUUGGAGUUACGGUUGAAUCUCUAUGAUUUUUAGAAGUUUUAAACAUUUUCUGGAAAUUACUGAAUAAAAAUAAAUCCAAAAAAUGCAUUACGGCGUCAGCAUUGUGUCAUGCUGACCUCAGCAGGUCAAAGGCGCCAGCCCAGGUCAAACCUGACUGGUGGGCCCCUUCUGUCAGUCUCUCAGUUAAAUAACAGGAUUAGAUUAACACUAAUUAACUGUCAGUGGGGCCUGGGCCCACAUGUCAGUGACUGAUUAAAAUAAAAUUAGUUAAAACUAAUCCUAGAUUAGUUAGCAGACCGGCCCCACCUGUCAUAGACUCAGGGGGGUCUACCUGGGCCCACCCAGGGUCAAACUGGGUCAAACUCGCCGGCGUUGAGCCGCCGGCGAGACCCGAGACAGUGGCGCAGCUCGGAAAACGCCUACAGGGCACGAGCGAGGCCGUUCUUGGGCUCGUUGGAGAGCUCUUGCAGUCGCGCAUCUAGUGCUGGUGGUGGCCGGGCCUACGGUGGCCGGAGACGACGACGGCGAGCUCCAAGGCGGCGGCCGGAGUUCGGCCAUGUGCGGGGUGUGGGCUGCGGCGUGCAAACGUGGAAACUGAGGCGCUAGCGAGGCACUACGUGAUGCGGCAAGCACGUUGCGUAGCACGGGAUGACCAAAUGGUCGCCGGAGCGGCGCUGACGACAAGCUCGAGCGGAGACGAGCUUCGGCCAUGGUGAAACUAUGGCCUAGAGGGUGCAAACGCGUGGAAAAGAAGAGGGGAAAGGUGGCGGAGCUCACAGGGAGGUCGAUGAGCAGCUCAGUGGGCUCGGGGCGACCGGAGUGAGGCGAAUCGACGAGCGGCGUCCGGCGGGUACCGAGGUUGAAGACAAUCCGAUGGCGGCGAUGCAGGGCCUUCGGCGAUGCGUGGCUCGGUGGGGAGGGCGAGGGCGUUACGGCGGAGCUUCUGGACAGGUCAGAGAGGCGAGGUGGUGAUGGAGGGCGCGACUAUGAUGGUGAGACGGCGAUUAAAAAGAAAGAUCUGGUUCACUCGUACGUGAAAAAAGUAGCAAGCGCUCGAUGCCUUCCUUUGCAUCGAUGCCAGACGCGGUGCUGGGAAUCGACAAGAUAACCGCCAAUCUACCACGAUUAAAUUCCUAGCGCCUCCUUCUAGCGCCUCCCACUGAAAAUGCCCUAAAGGUUUUGGAGGGAUUUUUUUACUGUGUCCUACUUCACGAAUCACGAGGCAAAUCAAGUAGCCGGCAUGGCCUGGCCGGUGAGUGCCAUUGCACUUACUUGCCCCAGCAAUUUUCCGCGUGCAUUGUAGAAUUCUUUCUCCGAGUCCUGUGAAUUAAAGAUGGUGCAGACAAAAAUAUAUCCUAUAUGCGUACAUGUGCAUGAUCAGAACAUGUUUUUACGUGCGUCUACUAUAAAUCAUGACCAUUUUUAACACAAAUCAUGACCAUUCAUGAUUAGUGAAUCAUACUGUCUUAACUUAUGUGAAAUCAUGUGGAGUAAUAUAAUAUAAUAUAAUAAAUAGAUAGAUCCAUGUUGUAUUAUUUUUUGUUUACAAAAAAUAUCUGUCAUUACACAUUUUGAUUUAUGCAUUUGUUUACAAAAAAAACAGUAACAUUUCAUGGUGGAAAGUUUGUAUUGUUUCAUACUGAACACCAAUGUUUUCCUGUAAAAGAAAAUAAUGCCUACGCAUAUGCUUUUAUAUUAUUAUUAUUCUUUCAAACUUAUUCAUACAGUAUUUUUGAUUGUGCAACCAUAAUUUUUAUUGUCUCUCUCGUUCCACUACAUGCUCUUACUCAAUGAUUUUUUUAUAACGGGUGUUUUUAUUAACUCAAAAUAUAGUAUCAAGCGGAUACAAAACAUAAUGAGCCACACCUGGUCUCUGCAUAACUAAGAUGCACACAGCCAAAAGCAGAUGUCUGACAAAAAUAAGAUAAGAAAAUCGACAUAUCGACAACAGUGAGUCAUAUAGUCCCGACACUAUGCCCCCGUUGAAGGACGGGGUGGAGCGAUCUGGAGAUUAUGCUGCCCUCCAUGUUGAGUAAAUACCUCCCUGGCCACUUGUUCCAAACGCAUAGACGCCGCCACGAAUAAUGGUCGGUACUCUGUUCAGUGUAGCAUACACCAUGUAGGAAGUGAGUGCUCACUCCUAGUUACUAAAUUAUGUACACACUAGUAGAAAAAGGGCCAUUUGUCCCGGUUCGUAAGGCCCAUUUGUCCCAAUUGGGGAACCGGGACUAAAGGGUCGGUACUAAAGCCCUACACCUUUAGUCCCGGUUCUUACACCAACCGAGACAGAUGGGGCUCCACGUGGCCGCUACAGCUUGCCGUGGCAGGGGGGCCUUUUGUCCCGGUUGGUAGCACCAACCGGGACCAAUAAGCUACCACGCGUCCGCAUUUGAGGGGCUAGGGUUUUUGUUUUUUUUCUGAAGGGGGGGGGGUGGGUUUGUAUGGUUAAUUUUGGGGGGUUUCACAUAUUGUGUUAGGUAGCUAAUUAAUUAAUAGAGAGAAGUGUCCUCACUUAUCUCCGUGCUUGGUCGACGCUACGUACUAUACGUAUAGAGAGGCCCUCAACACGCUAGCCAGUAAGCAAAUGAAGUAAACCAUUAAGUACAGAAGUUCGUCAUGAACAUAUGCAUACAAACAUAAGUGAUAUCGACCUCUCCUUCUCCGAGAGAUAGGUCGAACAACAAGUUUCCGUAUAUCUAUCCGGCGCUACUAGCUACAUAUAUACAAUAUUAAGAUCUCUUACAAUAUAAUCCCCUAAUUAUAUAUGAACUCAGCUUCCAGAUGGUAUUCUCCGGCUUUAUUGAUGGCGUGGUCAAGAAAGAUUCCCUCCAAUUCCUCUUGAAUUGCUUUGAUGCGAUCUUGUGGUAGGAGUUCAUCUCGCAUCUGCCACAUCUAAUUUGAAGAAGGGGGUCAAUCACCAGUAGAAUAACAACCAUUUGUCCUGGUUCAUAAGGUUAAUUUGUCCCGGUUGGGGAACCGAGACUAAAGGGUCUUUACUAAAGCCCUACACCUUUAGUCCUGGUUCUUACACCAACUGGGACAGAUGGGCCUCCAUGUGGCUGCUGCGGCGAGCCCAGGCCGGAGGUCCUUUGGUCCCGGUUAGUGGCACUGAUACGUCUCCAACGUAUCUAUAAUUUUUGAUUGCUCCAUGCUAUUAUGUUAUCUAUUUUGGAUGUUAAUGGCUUUAUUUUACACCUUUAUAUCAUUUUUGGGACUAACCUACUAAUCGGAGGCCCAACCCAAAUUGUUGUUUUCUACCUAUUUUAGGUUUUCGAAGAAAAGGAAUAUCAAACGGAGUCCAAACGGAAUGAAACCUUCGAGAACGUGAUUUUCUCAAUGAACAUGAUUCAGGAGAAUUGGAGUGUGCUCCAAGAAACAAGGGAGGAAGGCACGAGGCAGGGGGCGCGCCUACCCCCUUGGGCGCGCCCUCCACCCUCGUGGGCCCUCCGCUGCUCCACCGACGUACUUCUUCCUCCUAUAUAUAUCCACGUACCCCCAAACAUCCAGGAGCACCACGAAAACCUAAUUCCACCGCUGCAACCUUCUGUACCCGAGAGAUCCCAUCUUGGGGCCUUUUCCGGAGGUCCACCGGAGGGGGCAUCGAUCAUGGAGGGCCUCUACAUCAACUCCAUGGCCUCUCCGGUGAUGUGUGAGUAGUUUACUUCAGACCUAGGGGUCUAUAGUUAUUAGCUAGAUGGCUUCUUCUUCUCUCUUUGGAUCUCAAUACAAAGUUCUCCUCGAUUUUCUUGGAGAUCUAUUUGAUGUAACCUUCUUUUGCGGUGUGUUUGUCGAGAUCCGAUGAAUUGUGGGUUUGUGAUCCAGAUUAUCUAUGAACAAUAUUUGAUUCUCCUAUGAAUUCUAGUAUGUAUGAUUGGUUUAUCUUUGCAAGUCUCUUCGAAUUAUCAGUUUGGUUUGGCCUACUAGAUUGAUUUCUUGCAAUGGGAGAAGUGCUUAGCUUUGGGUUCAAUCUUGCAGUGUUUGAUCCCAGUGACAGAAAGGGAACCGAUACGUAUUGUAUUGUUGCCAUCGAGGAUAAAAAGAUGGGGUUUAUAUCAUAUCGCAUGAGUUUAUCCCUCUACAUCAUGUCAUCUUCCUUAAAGCAUUACUAUGUUCUCUUGAACUUAAUACUCUAGAUGCAUGCUGGAUAGCGGUCCAUGUGUCGAGUAAUAGUAGUAGAUGCAGAAUCGUUUCGGUCUACUUGUCUCGGACGUGAUGCCUAUAUACAUGAUCAUACCUAGAUAUUCUCAUAACUAUGUUCAAUUCUGUACAAUAUGGUGCACGGGGUUACAUCGGCCUGCAAAGACAUUUCUGCGAUGUGAGACAUCCGAAAAGCAACGAAAACGGGAGAUUAUACAUUUAUUGAAGAGGGCAGGUGUGACAGAUACCGUGAGGGCGUCGAGCUCAGCCAAAGACGAUGGACAGCUGAGCACGGCCUGUGUCAGAGCCGGUGCGGGAGCAGGUGCAGGUGCAGGUGCUGGUGCAACGCUAGUCGAGCUGCUCCUGAAGAAGUCAACAAUGGGAAAGUCCGCUGCAUUUUUUCUGCAUUUUGCGUGCUCCAAUUGAAAAUGGCUGGAACCAAGACAGUAGACAUAUCUGCAACCACCUGUUUUCCGGCAGCUACCGCUGUCGCGACUGUCUCAGAUGAUUUCUUCUCAACCGCAAUCUCAACCUUCUUGUCGAUGUUUUAUUCGGUUAACCUCCAUCUUUCCUUUCUCUCCUCCGUGGUCUCACGGUAGUACUUCUUCCACGUGGCCCCGUCUCCGACACCGUGAACGCGUCCAUACGACGACCGAGUCUCCACGGGGAGUCCUUUCAAUAUGUUCAAUGCCCGGUUGAAUGGAGUGUCCCACUUGGGCCUUGCCAAUGCCUCAGACGGCGAGUCGCUUUCGGCCGCAAUCUUAUGCUGCUCUCUCUACAAAAGGAACACGGAUCAUUUACAAAUAUGACUAAACGUGCAGUCGAACUGAUCAGAAACUAAAAUUACCAGCAGUCUCAUGAACUCCGUCGUGAUCGGGUCCGUCUUGAAAACCUUCUUGACUGAGUCCCAAUGGUGUCGUGCCCUGAGGACGUCAUGCUCCUACGGGACGGUGAAGUCCGCCAAGGGGUCUGGGAUGCCAGAUUUUCGCGUUUCGUGUCCUCCUUGGCCCAUAUGGACCUCUUCCUGCCGUAACCACUGCUUCCGAGGUGGUGGCGCCCCAUGUUCCUUUGUGGAAGCCCCUUCAUGUACUUCGACUUUGUUUUGGCAGCUUCGGCCUCGCAAGCCGCCUUGAAUAUUUCAAAGUGUUCUCUAGUGAUUGUCAGAUUAUCCUUUACAAUCUCGGAGUAGGGUUGAUACGUCUCCAACGUAUCUAUUAUUUUUGAUUGCUCCAUGCUAUAUUAUCUACUGUUUUGGACAUUAUUGGGCUUUAUUAUCUACUUUUAUAUUAUUUUUGGGACUAACCUAUUAACCGGAGGCCCAGCCUAGAAUUGUUGUUUUUUGACUGUUUUAGGGUUUCGAAGAAAAGGAAUAUCAAACGGAGUCCAAACGGAAUGAAACCUUCGGGAACGUGAUUUUCUGAAUGAACAAGACCCUGGAGACUUGGACCCUACGUCAAGACACAAAAGAGGAGGACACGAGGUAGGGGGCGCGCCUAACCCCCCCCCCCCCUCGAGGCACGCCCUCCACCCUCGUGGGGCCCCUGUUGCUCCACCGACGUACUCCUUCCUCCUAUAUAUACCUACGUACUUCCAAACGAUCAGAUACGGAGCCAAAACCCUAAUUCCACUGCCGCAACUUUCUGUAUCCACGAGAUCCCAUUUGGUGCCUGUUCCGGAGCUCCGCCGGAGGGGGCAUCGAUCACGGAGGGCUUCUACAUCAACACCAUAGCCUCUCCGAUGAAGUGUGAGUAGUUCACCUCAGACGUACCGGUCCAUAUUUAUUACCUAGAUGGCUUCUUCUCUCUUUUUGGAUCUCAAUACAAUGUUCUCCCCCUCUCUUGUGGAGAACUAUUCGAUGUAAUCUUGUUUUUGCAGUGUGUUUAUUGAGAUUGAUGAAUUGUGGGUUUAUGAUCAAGUCUAUGUAUGAAUAAUAUUUGAAUCUUCUCUAAAUUCUUUUAUGUAUGAUUGUUUAUCUUUGCAAGUCUCUUCGAAUUAUCAGUUUGGUUUGGCCUACUAGAUUGAUCUUUCUUACAAUGGGAGAAGUGCUUAGCUUUGGGUUCAAUCUUGCGGUGUCCUUUCCCAAUGACAGUAGGGGCAGCAAGGCAUGUAUUGUAUUGUUGCCAUCGAGGACAACAAGAUGGGGUUUUCAUCAUAUUGCAUGAGUCUAUCCCUCUACAUCAUGUCAUCUUGCUUAAGGCGUUACUCUGUUUUUAACUUAAUACUCUAGAUGCAUGCUGGAUAGCGGUCGAUGAGUGAAACCUAUGGCCCCCGGGUCUAUCUUUAUCAUAUUAAUCUCCUACUACUUAGUUAUUUCCUUUGCUUUUUCCUUUGCCUUUAUUUUACUUUUGAUCUUUAUCACAAAAAUACCAAACAUAUUAUCUUUAUCAUAUCUAUCAGAUCUCACUCUCGUAAGUGGCUGUGUAGGGAUUGACAACCCCUAUUCGCGUUGGUUGCGAGGAUUUAUUUGUUUUGUGCAAGUACGAGAGACUCGCGCGUAGCCUCCUACUGGAUUGAUACCUUGGUUCUCAAAAACUGAGGGAAAUACUUACACUACUUUGCUGCAUCAUCCUUCCUCUUCGCGGAAAACCAACGUAGUGCUCAAGAGCUGGCAAUAAGGAUUUCUGGCGCCGUUGCCGGGGAGGUCUAAGCAAAAGUCAACAUACCAAGUACCCAUCACAUACCCUUAUCUCCUGCAUUACAUUAUUUUCCAUUUGCCUCUCGUUUUCCUCUCCCCCACUUCACCCUUGCCGUUUUAUUCGCCCUCUCUCUCUCUCUCUAUCCUCCCUCUCUUUCUCUAUUUGCCUCUUUUUUCCCACUUGCUUUCUGUUUGCUUGUGUGUUAGUUGCUUGCUUGUCACGAUGGCUCAAGAUAAUACUAAAUUACGUGACUUCACCAAUACCAACAACAAUGAUUUUAUUAACACUCCGAUUGCUCCUCUUACCGAUGCUGAAUCUUGAGAAAUUAAUACUGCUUUGCUGAAUCUUGUCAUGAAAGAUCUGUUUUUCGGCCUUCCUAGUGAAGAUGCCGCUACCCACCUAAAUAGAUUCGUUGAUUUGUGUGACAUGCAAAAGAAGAAAGGUGUGGAUAAUGAUAUUGUUAAAUUGAAGCUAUUUCCUUUUUCGCUUAGAGAUCGUGCUAAAGCUUGGUUUUCGUCUUUGCCUAAAAAUACUAUUGAUUCAUGGAAUAAGUGCAAAGAUGCUUUUAUCUCUAAGUAUUUUCCUCCUGCUAAGAUCAUCUCUCUUAGAAACGAUAUUAUGAAUUUUAAGCAACUUGAUCAUGAACAUGUUGCACAAGCUUGGGAGAGAAUGAAACUAAUGAUACGUAAUUGCCCUGCCCAUGGUUUAAAUUUGUGGAUGAUUAUACCAAAUUUUUAUGCCGGAUUGAACUUUGCUUCUAGAAAUCUUUUAGAUUAGGCCGCGGGAGGCACUUUUAUGGAAAUCACUUUAGGAGAAGCUACUAAACUCCUAGAUAAUAUUAUGGUUAAUUAUUCUCAACGGCAUACCGAAAGAUCUACUAAUAAAAACGUGCAUGCGAUAGAAGAAAUUAAUGUUUCGAGUGGAAAGAUGGAUGAACUUCUGAAAUUAUUUGCUAAUAAGAGUAUUUCUUCUGAUCCUAAUGAUAUGCCCUUGUCUACUUUGAUUGAGAAUAAUAAUUAAUCUAUGGAUGUGGAUUUUGUUGGUAGGAACAAUUUUGGUAACAACGCGUACAGAGGAAAUUUCAACCCUAGGCCUUAUCCUAGUAAUCUCUCUAAUAAUUAUGGUAAUUCCUACAACAAUUCUUAUGGAAAUUAUAAUAAGAUGCCCUCUGAUUUUGGAUCUAAUAUUAGAGAAUUUAUUACUUUCCAAAAGAAUUUCAAUGCUUUGAUUGAAGAAAAAUUGCUUAAGAUUGAUGAUUUGGCUAGGAACGUUGAUAGAAUUACUCUUGAUGUUGAUUCUUUGAAACUUAGAUCUAUUCCACCUAAGCAUGAUGUCAAUGAGUCUCUCAAAGCCAUGAGAAUUUCCAUUGAUGAGUGCAAAGAAAGAACCACUAGGAUGCGUGUUAAGAAAGAUGCCUUUAUAAGAGCGUGUUCUUCUAAUUCCUAUGAAAAUAAUGAUGAAGAUCAAAAAGUUAUUGAUGUCCUCCCUAUUAAAUCUUUGUUUUGCAAUAUGAAUCUUGAUAAUCAUGGGACUGAAUAUGAUCCACCUUUACCUAGAAGGCGUUCCAAUAAUUCAGAAUUUGUUGAUCUUGAUGCUAAAAUUGAUAAAGGUGGGAUUGAAGAAAUUAAAACCCUAGAUGUUGCUAAACCCACUAUUAUGGAUUUCAAGGAACUUAACUAUGAAAACUGCCCUUUGAUUGAUUGUAUAUCCUUGUUACAAUCCGUGCUAAAUUCUCCUCAUGCUUAUAGUCAAAAUAAAGCAUUUACUAAACAUAUUGUUGAUGCCUUGAUGCAAUCUUAUGAAGAAAAACUUGAAUUGGAAGUUUCUAUCCCUAUAAAGCUUUAUGAUGAGUGGGAACCAACUAUUAAAAUUAAAAUUAAAUAUCAUGAAUGCUAUGCUUUAUGUGAUUUGUGUGCUAGUGUUUCCACGAUUCCAUAGACUUUGUGUGAUUUGUUAGGUUUCCGUGAUUUUGAUGAUUGCUCUUUAAACUUGCACCUUGCGGAUUCCACUAUUAAGAAACCUAUGGGAAGAAUUAAUGAUGUUCUUAUUGUUGCAAAUAGCAAUUAUGUGCCCGUAGAUUUUAUUGUUCUUGACAUAGAUUGCAAUCUUUCAUGUCCUAUUAUUCUUGGUAGACCUUUCCUUAGAACGACUGGUGCAAUUAUUGAUAUGAAGGAAGGAAAUAUUAGAUUCCAAUUUCCAUUAAGGAAAGGCAUGGAACACUUUCCUAGAAAGUAAAUUAAAUUACCUUAUGAAUCUAUUAUGAUAGCCACUUAUGGAUUGCCUACCAAAGAUGGCAAUACCUAGAUCUAUCCUUGCUUGUUAUGCCUAGCUAGGGGCGUUAAACGAUAGCGCUUGUUGGGAGGCAACCCAAUUUUAUUUUUAUUCCUUGAUUUUUUCUCCUGUUUAGUAAUAAAUAAUUUAUAUAGCCUCUGUUUUGGUUCUGUUCUUUGUGUUUAAUUAGUGUUUGUGCCAAGUAGAACCGUUAGGAAGACUUGGGGAAAGUCUUGUUACACUUGCUGUAAAAAACUGAAACUUCAGCGCUCACGAGAACUGCUGCCAUUUUUAUUUGGAAAGUGCUAUGUAGUUAAUUAUUUUUCAGAUGAUUAACAGAUAAAUUCCUCACGUCCAGAAAUUUAUUUUAGAAUUUUUGGGGUUCCAGCUCUUGAGCUAGCUACAGAGUACUACAGGCUGUUCUGUUUUUGAAAGAUUCUGUUUUUCGUGUGUUGUUUGCUUAUUUUGAUGAACCUAUGGCUAGUAAAAUAGUUUAUAUACCAUAGAGAAAUUGGAAUACAGUAGGUAUAACACCAAUAUAAAUAAAUAAUGAGUUCAUUACAGUACCUUGAAGUGGUCUUUUAUUUUCUUUCGCUAACGGAGCUCAUGAGAUUUUCUACUUUAAGUUUUGUGUUGUGAAGUUUUCAAGUUUUGGGUAAAGAUUUGAUGGAUUAUGGAACAAGGAGUGACAAGAGCCUAAGCUUGGGGGUUCCCAUGGCACCCCCAAGAUAAUCUAAGUACACCUAAAAACCAAAGCUUGGGGAUGCGCCGGAAGUCAUCCCCUCUUUCAUCUACUUCUAUCGGUAACUUUACUUGGAGCUAUAUUUUUAUUCGCCACAUGAUAUGUGUUUUGCUUGGAGCGUCUUGUAUUAUUUGAGUCUUUAUUUGUUAGUUUACCACAAUCAUCCUUGCUGUACACACCUUUUGAGAGAGCCAUACAUGAUUUGGAAUUUGUUAGAAUACUCUAUGUGCUUCGCUUAUAUCUUUUGAGUUAUAUAGUUUUGCUCUAGUACUUCACUUAUAUCUUUUAGAGCACGGUGGUGGAUUUGUUUUAUAGAAACAAUUGAUCUCUCAUGCUCCACUUAGAUUAUUUUGAGAUUCUUAAUAGCAUGUUAAUUUGCUUAAAAUCCUAAUAUGCUAGGUAUUCAAAGUUAGUAAAAUUUUCUUAAGAGUGUUUUGAAUACUAAGAGAAGUUUGAUGCUUGAUGAUUGUUUUGAGAUAUGGAGGUAAUAAUAUCAAAGUCGUUCUCGUUGACUAGUUGUGAAAUUGAGAAAUACUUGUGUUGAAGUUUGCAUGUCCCGUAGCACGCACGUAUGGUAAACGUUGUGUAACAAAUUUGAAACAUGAGGUGUUAUUUGAUUGUCUUCCUUGUGAGUGGCGGUCGGGGACGAGCGAUGGUCUUUUCCUACCAAUCGAUCCCCCUAGGAGCAUGCGAAUAGUACCAAGGUUUUUGAUGACUUGUAGAUUUUUGCAGUAAGUAUGUGAGUUCUUUAUGACUAAUGUUGAGUCCAUGAAUUAUACGCACUCUCACCCUUCCAUCCUUGCUAGCCUCUUCGGUACCGUGCAUUGCCCUUUCCCACAUUGAGAGUUGGAGCAAACUUCGCCAGUGCAUCCAAACCCCGUGCUAUGAUACGCUCAUUCACACAUAAACCUCCUUAUAUCUUCCUCAAAACAGCCACCAUACCUACCUAUUAUGGCAUUUCCAUAGCCAUUCCGACAUAUAUUGCCAUGCAACUUUCCACCAUUCCGUUCAUCAUGACACAUUCAUCAUUGUCAUAUUGCGUAGCAUAAUCAUGUAGUUGACAUAGUAUUUGUGGCAAGGCCACCGUUCAUAAUUCAUUCAUACAUGUCACUCUUGGUCCAUUGCAUGUCCCGGUACACCGCCGGAGGCAUUCAUAUAGAGCCAUACUUUGUUCUAGUAUCGAGUAGUAAUUAUUGAGUCGUAAAUAAAUAGAAGUGUGAUGAUCAUCAUUAAUAGAGCAUGGUCCCAAAAAGAAAAAAAAGGAAGGGCCAAAAAAAGGCCAAAUAAAAAAAUAUAAAAAAGGGGGCAAUGCUACUAUCCUUUUUUUCCAAACUUGUGCUUCCAAGUAGCACCGUAAUCUUCAAGAUAGAGAGUCUCUUGAUUUGUCACUUUCAUAUACUAGUGGGAAUUUUUCAUUAUAGAACUUGGCUUGUAUAUUCCAACAAUGGGCGUCCCCAAGUUCCCUAGGUCUUCGUGAGCAAGCAAGUUGGAUGCACACCCACUUAGUUUCUUUUGUUGAGCUUUCAUACAUUUAUAGCUCUAGUGCAUCCGUUGCAUGGCAAUUCCUACUCCUUGCAUUAACAUCAAUCAAUGGGCAUCUCCAUAGCCCAUUGAUUAGCCUCGUUGAUGUGAGACUUUCUCCUUUUUGUCUUCUCCACAUAACCCCACUCAUUAGAUUCUAUUCCACCCAUAGUGUUAUGUCCAUGGCUUGCAAUCAUAUAUUGCGUGAAAGUUUAUAGGUUUGAGAUCACUAAAGUAUGAAACAAUUGCUUGGCUUGUCAUCGGGGUUGUGCAUGAUGAGAGCAUACUUGUGUGACGAAAAUGAAGCAUGACUAAACUAUAUGAUUUUGUAGGGGUGAACUUUCUUUGGCCAUGUUAUUUUGAGAAGACACAAUUGCUCAGUUAGUAUGCUUAAAGUAUUAUUAUUUUAUGUCAAUAUGAACUUUUGUCUUGAAUGUUUCAGAUCCGAAUAUUCAUACCACAAUUAAGAAGAAUUACAUUAAAAUCAUGCCAAGUAGCACUCCACAUCAAAAAUUCUGUUUUUAUCAUUUACCUACUCGAGGACGAGCCGGAAUUAAGCUUGGGGAUGCUUGAUACAUCUCCAACGUAUCUAUAAUUUUUGAUUGCUCCAUGCUAUAUUAUCUACUGUUUUGGACAAUAUUGGGCUUUAUUAUCCACUUGUAUAUUAUUUUUGGGACUAACCUAUUAACCGGAGGCCCAGCCCAGAAUUGUUGUUUUUUGCCUGUUUUAGGGUUUCGAAGAAAAGGAAUAUCAAACGGAGUCCAAACGGAAUGAAACCUUCGGGAACGUGAUUUUCUCAACGAACAAGAUCUAGGAGACUUGGACCCUCCAUCAAGACAUAAAAGAGGAGGCCACGAGGUAGGGGGCGUNNNNNNNNNNNNNNNNNNNNNNNNNNNNNNNNNNNNNNNNNNNNNNNNNNNNNNNNNNNNNNNNNNNNNNNNNNNNNNNNNNNNNNNNNNNNNNNNNNNNNNNNNNNNNNNNNNNNNNNNNNNNNNNNNNNNNNNNNNNNNNNNNNNNNNNNNNNNNNNNNNNNNNNNNNNNNNNNNNNNNNNNNNNNNNNNNNNNNNNNNNNNNNNNNNNNNNNNNNNNNNNNNNNNNNNNNNNNNNNNNNNNNNNNNNNNNNNNNNNNNNNNNNNNNNNNNNNNNNNNNNNNNNNNNNNNNNNNNNNNNNNNNNNNNNNNNNNNNNNNNNNNNNNUGGGCCCCCCUGUUGCUCCACCGACGUACUCCUUCCUCCUAUAUAUACCUACUAUUGGGGAACGUAGCAGAAUUUUAAAAUUUUCUACGCAUACCAAGAUCAAUCUAUGGAGUCAUAUAGCAACGAGGGAGAGAGGAGUGCAUCUACAUACCCUUGUAGAUCGCGCGCGGAAGCGUUCAAGAGAACGGGGUUGAUGGAGUCGUACUCGUCGUGAUCCAAAUCACCGAUGACCAAGUGCCGAAUGGACAGCACCUCCGCGUACAACACACGUACGGUUGGGAAGACGUCUCCUCCUUCUUGAUCCAGCAAGGGGGAAGGAGAGGUUGAUGAAGAUCCAGCAGCACGACGGCGUGGUGGUGGAUGCAGCAGGAUCCCGGCAGGGCUUCGCCAAGCGCAAGCGGGGAGGAGAGGUGUUACGGAAGGAGAGGGAGGCGCCAAGAGCAAGGGUGCGGCUGCCCUCCCUCCCCCCCCUCUUUAUAUAGGGGCCUUGGGGGGGCGCCGGCCCUAGGAGAUGGAUCUCCAAGGGGGGCGAAGGCCAAGGGGUGGCUUCCCCCCCAAGCCAAGUGGGGGGCGCCCCCACCCCUAGGGUUUCCCAACCCUAGGCGCAUGGGAGGCCCAAGGGGGGCGCACCAGCCCACUAGGGGCUGGUUCUGCUCCCAAUUCAGCCCAUGGGGCCCUCCGGGAUGGGUGGCCCCACCCGGUGGACCCCCGGGACCCUUCCGGUGGUCCUGGUACAAUACCGGUGACCCCCGAAACCUUCCCGAUGGCCGAAAUUGUACUUCCUAUAUAUAAAUCUUUACCUCCGAACCAUUCCGGAACUCCUCGUGACGUACGGGAUCUCAUCCGGUACUCCGAACAUAUCCUUGGUUACUACAUACUAAUAUCUCUACAACCCUAGCGUCACCGAACCUUAAGUGUGUAGACCCUACGGGUUCGGGAGACAUGCAGACAUGACAGAGACGCCUCUCCGGUCAAUAACCAACAGCGGGAUCUGGAUACCCAUGUUGGCUCCCACGUGCUCCACGAUGAUCUCAUCGGAUGAACCACGAUGUCGAGGAUUCAAUCAAUCUGUGUAGAAUUCCCUUUGUCAAUCGGUACGUUACUUGCCCGAGACUCGAUCGUCGGUAUCCCAAUACCUCGUUCAAUCUCGUUACCAGCAAGUCACUUUACUCGUGCCGUAAUGCAUGAUCCCAUGAUCAACCACUUGGUCACAAUGAGCUCAUUAUGAUCAUGCAUUACCGAGUGGGCCCAGAGAUACCUCUCCGUCAUACGGAGUGACAAAUCCCAGUCUCGAUUCGUGCCAACCCAACAGACACUUUCGGAGAUACCUGUAAUGUACCUUUAUAGUCACCCAGUUACGUUGUGACGUUUGGCACACCCAAGGCACUCCUACGGUAUCCGGGAGUUGCCCAAUCUCAUGGUCUAAGGAAAUGAUACUUGACAUUCGGAAAAGCUACAGCAAACGAACUACACGAUCUUUGAGCUAUGCUUAGGAUUGGGUCUUGUCCAUCACAUCAUUCUCCUAAUGAUGUGAACCCGUUAUCAAUGACAUCCAAUGUCCAUAGUCAGGAAACCAUGACUAUCUUUUGAUCAACGAGCUAGUCAACUAGAGGCUCACUAGGGACGUGUUGUCGUCUAUGUAUUCACACAUGUAUUACGAUUUCCGGAUAACACAAUUAUAGCAUGAAAAAUAGACAAUUAUCAUGAACAAAGAAAUAUAAUAAUAACCAUUUUAUUAUUGCCUCUAGGGCAUAUUUCCAACAGUCUCCCACUUGCACUAGCGUCAGUAGUCUAGUUACAUUUUGAUGAAUCCAACACCCAUGAAGUUCUGGAGUUGAUCAUGUUUUGCUCUAGGGAGAGGUUUAGUCAAUGGAUCUGCCACAUUCAGGUCCGUAUGUACUUUACAAAUCUCUAUGUAUCCAUUUUGAACACUUUCAUGAAUGGAGUUGAAGUGACGCUUGAUAUGCCUGGUCUUCCUGUGAAAUCUGGGCUCCUUGGCAAGUGCAAUAGCUCCAGUGUUGUCACAGAAUAGAGUCAUCGGGCCCGGUGCAUUGGGUGUGACUCCUAGGUCGGUAAUGAACUCCUUCACCCAGAUUGCUUCUUGUGCUGCCUCCGAGGCUGCCAUGUACUCUGCUUCACAUGUAGAUCCCGCCACAACGCUUUGCUUGCAACUCCACCAGCUUACUGCCCCACCAUUCAAAAUAUACACGUAUCCGGUUUCCGACUUAGAGUCAUCCAGAUCUGUGUCGAAGCUAGCAUCAACGUAACCCUUUACGACGAGCUCUUCGUCACCUCCAUAAACGAGAAACAUAUCCUUAGUCCUUUUUAGGUACUUGAGGAUAUUCUUGACUGCUGUCUAGUGUUCCAUGCCGGGAUUACUUUGGUACCUUCCUACCAAACUUACGGCAAGGUUUUCAUCAGGUCUGGUACACAGCAUAGCAUACAUGAUAGACCCUAUGGCCGAGGCAUAGGGGAUGACACUCAUCUUUUCUCUAUCUUCUGUCGUGGUCGUGCAUUGAGCCUCGCUCAAUCUCGUACCUUGCAAUACAGGCAAGAACCCUUCUUUUACUGAUCCAUUUUGAACUUCUUCAAUAUCUUAUCAAGGUAUGUACUCUGUGAAAGACCAAUGAGGCGUCUCGAUCUAUCUCUAUAGAUCUUGAUGCCUAAUAUAUAAGCAGCUUCUCCAAGAUCCUUCAUUGAAAAACACGUGUUCAAGUAGGCCUUUAUGCUUUCCAAGAAUUCUAUAUCAUUUCCCAUCAACAAUAUGUCAUCCACAUCCAAUAUGAGAAAUGCUACAAAGCUCCCACUCACUUUCUUGUAAAUGCAGACUUCUCCAUAAGUAUGCGUAAACCCAAACGCUUUGAUCAUCUCAUCAAAACGAAUGUUCCAUCUCCGAGAUGCUUGCACCAGCCCAUAAAUCGAAUGUUGGAGCUUGUACACCUUGUCAGCAUUCUUAGGAUCGACAAAACCUUCCGGCUGCAUCAUAUACAAUUCUUCCUUAAGGAAACCAUUAAGGAAUGUUGUUUUGACGUCCAUUUGCCAUAUUCAUAAUCAUAGAAUGCGGCAAUUGCUAACAUCGUAGUCAACCCCUUGAACUUGCCGAUAACCCUUAGCGACAAGCCGAGCUUUAUAGAUGGUCACAUUACCAUCCGCGUCUGUCUUCUUCUUAAAGAUCCAUUUAUUUUCUAUGGCUCGCCGAUCAUCGGGCAAGUCAGUCAAAGUCCAUACUUUGUUUUCAUACAUGGAUCUUAUCUCGGAUUUCAUGGCUUCCAGCCAUUUGUUGGAAUUCAGGCCCGCCAUCGCUUCUUCAUAGUUCGAAGUUCACCGUUGUCUAACAACAUGAUUUCCAAGACAGGGUUGCCGUACCACUCUGGUGCGGGACGUGUCCCCGUGGACCUACGAAGUUCAGUAGCAACUUGAUCUGAAGUUUCAUGAUCAUCAUCAUCAAUUUCCUCUCUAGUCGUUGCAGGCACCUUAGGAACAUUUUCUUGAGCUGCGCCACUUACCGGUUCAAGAGGUAAUAAUACUUCAUCAAGUUCUACUUUCCUCCCACUUAUUUCUUUCGAGAGAAACUCUUUCUCUAGAAAGGACCCAUUCUUGGCAACAAAGAUCUUGCCUUCGGAUCUGAGGUAGAAGGUAUACCCAAUAGUUUCUUUAGGGUAUCCUAUGAAGACGCAUUUUUCCAAUUUGGGUUCGAGCUUUUCAGGUUGAAGUUUCCUUACAUAAGCAUCGCAUCCCCAAACUUUUAGAAAUGACAUCUUAGGUGUCUUCCCAAACCAUAAUUCAUACGGUGUCAUCUCAACGGAUUUCGACGGAGCCCUAUUUAAAGUGAAUGCGGCAGUCUCUAAAGCAUAGCCCCAAAAUGACAGCGGUAAAUCGGUAAGAGACAUCAUAGAUCGCACCAUAUCUAAUAGAGUGCGAUUAUGACAUUCCGACACACCAUUACGCUGAGGUGUUCCAGGCGGCGUGAGUUGUGAAACUAUUCCACAUUUUCUUAAGUGUGUGCCAAAUUCGUGACUCAAGUAUUCUCCCCCACGAUCUGAUCGCAAGAACUUGAUUUGCCUGUCACGUUGAUUCUCAACCUCACUUUGAAAUUCCUUGAACUUUUCAAAGGUCUCAGACUUGUGUUUCAUUAAGUAGACAUACCCAUAUCUACUCAAGUCAUCAGUGAGGGUGAGAACAUAACGAUAGCCACCGCGCCUCAACACUCAUUGGACCGCACACAUCAGUAUGUAUGAUUUCCAAUAAGUUGGUUACUCGCUCCAUUGUUCCUGAGAACGGAGUCUUGGUCAUUUUACCCAUGAGGCAUGGUUCGCACGUGUCAAAUGAUUCGUAAUCAAGAGACUUUAAAAGUCUAUCUGCAUGGAGCUUCUUCAUGCGUUUGACACCUAUGUGACCAAGGCGGCAAUGCCACAAGUAUGUGGGACUAUCAUUAUCAACCUUACAUCUUUUGGUAUUCACACUAUGAAUAUGUGUAACAUUAUGCUCGAGAUUCAUUAAGAAUAAACCAUUCACCAAUGGAGCAUGACCAUAAAACAUAUCUCUCAUAUAAAUAGAACAACCAUUAUUCUCGGAUUUAAAUGAGUAGCCAUCUCAAAUUAACCGAGAUCCUGAUACAAUGUUCAUGCUCAAAGCUGGCAGUAAAUAACAAUUAUUGAGGUUUAAAACUAAUCCCAUAGGCAAAUGUAGAGGCAGCGUGCCGACGGCGAUCACAUCAACCUUGGAACCAUUCCCGACGCACAUCGUCACCUCGUCCUUCGCCAGUCUCCGUUUAAUCCGCAGCUCCUGCUUUGAGUUACAAAUGUGAGCAACUGCACCGGUAUCAAAUACCCAGGAGCUACUACGAGUACUGGUAAGGUACACAUCAAUUACAGGUAUAUCACAUAUACCUUUAGUGUUGCCGGCCUUCUUGUCCGCUAAGUAUUUGGGGCAGUUCCGCUUCCAGUGACUACUUCCCUUGCAAUAAAAACACUCAGUCUCGAGCUUGGAUCCAUUCUUUGGCUUCUUCCCGGAAACUUGCUUAGCGGGCGCGGCAACUCCCUUGCCGUCCUUCUUGAAUUCUUCUUACCCUUGCCUUUCUUGAACUUAGUGGUUUUAUUCACCAUCAACACUUGAUGUUCCUUUUUGAUUUCCACCUCUGCUGAUUUCAGCAUUGAAUAUACCUCAGGAAUGGUCUUUUCCAUCCCCUGCAUAUUGAAGUUGAUCACAAAGCUCUUGUAGCUCGGUGGAAGCGACUGAAGGAUUCUGUCAAUGACCGCGUCAUUCGGGAGGUUAACUCCCAGCUGAGUCAAGCGGUUAUGCAACCCAGACAUUUUGAUUAUGUGCUCACUGACAGAACUAUUUUCCUCCAUCUUAUAGCUGAAGAACUUGUCGGAGACUUCAUAUCUCUCGACCCGGGCAUGAGCUUGAAAAACCAUUUUCAGCUCUUCGAACAUCUCAUAUGCUCCAUGUCUCUCAAAAUGCUUUUGGAGCCCCGGUUCUAAGCUGUAAAGCAUGCCGCACUGAACGAGGGAGUAAUCAUCAGCACGUAACUGCCAAGCGUUGAUAAUGUCUUGGUUCUCUGGGACAGGUGCGUGACCUAACGGUGCUUCUAGGACAUAAUAUUUCUUGGCAGCUACGAGGAUGAUCCUCAGGUUCCGGACCCAGUCCGUAUAGUUGCUGCCAUCGUCUUUCAGCUUGGUUUUCUCUAGGAACGCGUUGAAAUUGAGGACAACGUGGGCCAUUUGAUCUACAAGACAUAUUGUAAAGAUUUUAGACUAAGUUCAUGAUAAUUAAGUUCAUCUAAUCAAAUUAUACAAUGAACUCCCACUCAGAUAGACAUCCCUCCAGUCAUCUAAGUGAAACAUGAUCCAAGUUAACUAGGCUGUGUCGGAUCAUCACGUGAAACGGACUAGUCAACAUCGGUGAACAUCUUCAUGUUGAUCGUAUCUUCUAUACGACUCAUGCUCGACCUUUCGGUCUUCUGUGUUCCGAGGCCAUGUCUGUACAUGCUAGGCUCGUCAACUAAACCUAAGUGUAUUGCGUGUGUAAAUCUGGCUUACACCCGUUGUAUUCGAACGUUAGAAUCUAUCACACUCGAUCAUCACGUGGUGCUUCGAAACAACGAACCUUCGCAACGGUGCACAGUUAGGGGGAACACUUUCUUGAAAUUAUUUCGAGGGAUCAUCUUAUUUAAGCUACCGUCGUUCUAAGCAAAUAAGAUGUAAAACAUGAUAAACAUCACAUGCAAUCAAAUAGUGACAUGAUAUGGCCAAUAUCAUUUGCUCCUUUUGAUCUCCAUCUUUGGGGCUCCAUGAUCAUCGUUGUCACCAGCAUGACACCAUGAUCUCCAUCAUCAUGUCUUCUUGAAGUUGUCUCGUCAUCUAUUACUUCUACUACUAUGGCUAAUGCUUUAGCAAUAAAGUAAAGUAAUUACAUGACGUUUAUGUUGACACGCAGGUCAUAAAAAAAUAAAGACAACUCCUAUGGCUCCUGCCGGUUGUCAUACUCAUCGACAUGCAAGUCGUGAUUCCUAUUACAAGAACAUGAUCAAUCUCAUACAUCACAUAUAUCAUUCAUCACAUCCUUUUGGCCAUAUCACAUCAGACGGCACAUGCUGCAAAAACAAGUUAGACGUCCUCUAAUUGUUGUUGCAAGUUUUUACAUGGCUGCUAUAGGUUUCUAGCAAGAACGUGUCUUACCUACGCCAAAACCACAACGUGAUAUGCCAAUUUCUAUUUACCCUUCAUAAGGACCCUUUUCAUCGAAUCCGAUCUAACUAAAGUGGGAGAGAUAGACACCCGCCAGCCACCUUAUGCAAGUAAUGCAUGUCAAUCGGUGGAACCAGUCUCACGUAAGCGUACGUGUAAGGUCGGUCCGGGCCGCUUCAUCCCACGAUGCCGCCGAAUCAAGAUAAGACUAGUAACGGCAAGCAAAGUGACAAUAUCCACGCCCACAACUGCUUUGUGUUCUACUCGUGCAUAGAAACUACGCAUAGACCUGGCUCAUGAUGCCACUAUUGGGGAAUGUAGCAGAAUUUUAAAAUUUUCUACGCAUCACCAAGAUCAAUCUAUGGAGUUAUCUAGCAAUGAGGAAGAGAGGAGUGCAUCUACAUACCCUUGUAGAUCGCGCGCGGAAGCGUUCAAGAGAACGGGGUUGAUGGAGUCGUACUCGUCGUGAUCCAAAUCACCGAUGACCAAGUGCCGAACGGACAGCACCUCCGCGUUCAACACACGUCCGGUUGGGAAGACGUCUCCUCCUUCUUGAUCCAGCAAGGGGGAAGGAGAGGUUGAUGAAGAUCCAGCAGCACGACGGCGUGGUGGUGGAUGCAACAGGAUCCCGGCAGGGCUUCGCCAAGCGCAAGCGGGGAGGAGAGGUGUUACGGAGGGAGAGAGAGGCGCCAAGAGCAAGGGUGCGGCUGCCUUCCCUCCCCCCUCUUUAUAUAGGGGCCAUGGCGGGCGCCGGCCCUAGGAGAUGGAUCUCCAAGGGGGGCGAAGGCCAAGGGGUGGCUCCCCCCCCCAAGCCAAGUGGGGGGCGCCCCCACCCCUAGGGUUUCCCAACCCUAGGCGCAGGGGAGGCCCAAGGGGGCGCACCAGCCCACUAGGGGCUGGUUCCCCUCCCAAUUCAGCCCAUGGGGCCCUCCGGGAUGGGUGGCCCCACCCGGUGGACCCCCGGGACCCUUCCGGUGGUCCCGAUACAAUACCGGUUACCCCCGAAACCUUCCCGAUGGCCGAAACUGUACUUCCUAUAUAUAAAUCUUUACCUCCAAACCAUUUCAGAACUCCUCGUGACGCCCGGGAUCUCAUCCGGGACUCCGAACAACUUUCGGCUUACUACAUACUAAUAUCUAUACAACCCUAGCGUCACCGAACCUUAAGUGUGUAGACCCUACGGGUUUCGGAGACAUGCAGACAUGACUGAGACGCCUCUCCAGUCAAUAACCAACAGCGGGAUCUGGAUACCCAUGUUGGCUCCCACAUGCUCCACGAUGAUCUCAUCGGAUGAACCACGAUGUCGAGCAUUCAAUCAAUCUGUAUACAAUUCCCUUUAUCAAUCAGUACGUUACUUGCCCGAGACUCGAUCGUCAGUAUCCCAAUACCUUGUUCAAUCUCGUUACCGGCAAGUCACUUUACUCAUACCAUAAUGCAUGAUCCCGUGAUCAACCACUUGGUCACAUUGAGCUCAUUAUGAUGAUGCAUUACCGAGUGGGCCCAGAGAUACCUCUUCAUCACGCGGAGUGACAAAUCCCAGUCUCGAUUCAUGCCAACCCAAUAGACACUUUCGGAGAUACCUGUAAUGUACCUUUAUAGUCACCCAGUUACGUUGUGACGUUUGGCACACCCAAGGCACUCCUACGGUAUCCGGGAGUUUCACAAUCUCAUGGUCUAAGGAAAUGAUACUUGACAUUCGGAAAAGCUACAGCAGAUGAACUACACGACCUUUGAGCUAUGCUUAGGAUUGGGUCUUGUCCAUCACAUCAUUCUCCUAAUGAUGUGAUCCCAUUAUCAAUGACAUCCAAUGUCCAUAGUCAGGAAACCAUGACUAUCUUUUGAUCAACAAGCUAGUCAACUAGAGGCUCACUAGGGACGUGUUGUGGUCUAUGUAUUCACACAUGUAUUACGAUUUCCGGAUAACACAAUUAUAGCAUGAACAAUAGACAAUUAUCAUGAACAAAGAAAUAUAAUAAUAACCAUUUUAUUAUUGCCUCUAGGGCAUAUUUCCAACACCUACGUACCCCCAAACGAUCAUAUACGGAGCCAAAACCCUAAUUCCACCGCCGCAACUUUCUGUAUCCACGAGAUCCCAUCUUGGGGCCUGUUCCGGAGCUCCGCCAGAGGGGGCAUCGAUCACGGAGGGCUUCUACAUCAACACCAUAGCCUCUCUGAUGAAGUGUGAGUAGUUCACCUCAGACCUACGGUUCCAUAGUUAUUAGCUAGAUGGCUUCUUCUCUCUUUUUGGAUCUCAAUACAAUGUUCUCCCCAUCUCUUGUGGAGAACUAUUCGAUGUAAUCUUCUUUUUGCGGUGUGUUUGUUGAGACCGAUGAAUUGUGGGUUUAUGAUCAAGUCUAUCUAUGAAUAAUAUUUGAAUCUUCUCUGAAUUGUUUUAUGUAUGAUAGGUUAUCUUUGCAAGUCUCUUCGAAUUAUCAGUUUGGUUUGGCCUACUAGAUUGAUCUUUCUUGCAAUGGGAGAAGUGCUUAGCUUUGGGUUCAAUCUUGCGGUGUCCUUUCCCAGUGACAGUAGGGGCAGCAAGGCACGUAUUAUAUUGUUGCCAUCGAGGACAACAAGAUGGAGUUUUCAUCAUAUUGCAUGAGUCUAUCCCUCUACAUCAUGUCAUCUUGCUUAAGGCGUUAAUCUGUUUUUAACUUAAUACUCUAGAUGCUUGCUGGAUAGCGAUCGAUUAGUGGAGUAAUAGUAGUAGAUGCAGGCAGGAGUCGGUCUACUUGUCUCGGACGUGAUGCCUAUAUACAUGAUCAUACCUAGAUAUUCUCAUAACUAUGCUCAAUUCUGUCAAUUGCUCAACAAUAAUUUGUUCACCCACCGUAGAAUAUUUAUGCUCUCGAGAGAAGCCACUAGUGAAACCUAUGGCCCCGGGUCUAUCUUUAUCAUAUUAAUCUCCUACUACUUAGUUAUUUCCUUUGCUUUUUACUUUGCCUUUAUUUUACUUUGCAUCUUUAUCACAAAAAUACGAAAAAAAUUAUCUUUAUCAUAUCUAUCAAAUCUCACUCUCGUAAGUGGCCGUGUAGGAAUUGACAACCCCUAUUCGCGUUGGUUGCGAGGAUUUAUUUGUUUUGUGCAGGUACGAGGGACUCGCGCGUAGCCUCCUACUGGAUUGAUACCUUGGUUCUCAAAACCUGAGGGAAAUACUUACGCUACUUUGCUGCAUCAUCCCUUCCUCUUCGGGGAAAACCAAGGCAGUGCUCAAGAGGUAGCAAGGGUUCCUUUUUGUCGACGAUCCGAUGUUUCAACCCUGUUUUCCAGGUGGCCAACGCGUCGCUAAACUUGGUGACGGCGUGUUUGUUUAUCUUCUUCAUUGCCAGGUCCUUAUCUGGAUCUUUAUUAUCCUUUUCACUGCGGUCUGGGAACAAGAUUAUCUGGUGCAGUUUCUUAAGGAGGGAGGGCCUCAUAUUAUCUAUCUUCUGUAGUUUCCCAUCGUUGAUCGUGGCAGUUGUCCGUACGAUGCAACCUAUUUGAUUGCCGUAGCACGAUCGCGCUUCCUCGGGCGCUAUUGUCUCAAAAAUACCGCCGUCCAUCUCCGUGACCGCCAGUCUACUACUCAUGAGCUGGUUUGGGCGCUGUGGCCUCUUUGCUUUCGGUUCUAGACCAGCUCCGCUAGUCUCGGCGCCUGUCUCAGUUUCAUCAUCGGUCCGCAUGUCGGUAUCAGUCCCCGAUGCGACACCACAGUUGCUGCAACAUGGGUAAGGGAGACCACGUCAGUGGUGGGGGGUCUGAAAAUCAGAACACACUUUCGCGCGUCGCGGGCCGCCUCUCAGACAGCUACUGGGGAGGCGGUGGAGUACCUGGGUGCGCGGCGAAUCCCCGGGAACUCGGUGACCAACUUCCUUCCCGUGUGGCGCAUGGAGACGACGGCGACCCCGGCGAAGAGCAGCUUAGCCGCGAGCUGCACAGCCUCGUCCACCUCCUAAGUUGGGACCUCCGCGCGAGCGUUGCGGGGCCGCCACUCGGAUGGCUUCUGGAAGGCGGUUGUACAUGGGCACAUGGUGAAUCCCGGCGAGAGCUGGCCAUUGGCGCGCGCAAGUAGACGACGAUGUCCUCGAAGAAGAGCAGCCCGGCCAGCUCGCCUCACUAUCCUUUGAUUAGAAAUGAAAGAUUGGGAAGAAGCAGACUUGAGCCUGCAGGGAAAGGAUAAGGUGACGAUGCAGUCUCCACUCGUUCGGGGCGACACUCGUACUGAAUGUAUGAGAAACGUGACGUGGCAGAGACCCCAAGAUACUCCCUCCAUUUAUUUUUAGUCUGCAUAUAAAGUUUGGUCAAAGUCAAGAUUUGUAAAUUUUAACUAACUUUAUAAUAAAAAAAUAUCAACAUUCACAAUAUGAAAUCAAUAUUACCAGAUGCGUCAUGAAAUGUAUUUCCAUACUAUAUAGUUUUGGUAUUGUAGAUGUUCAUAUUUUUUUAUAUAUAUGGGAAGUAGAGGCACUCUUCUAUAUAAUGAAGUUUAUAAUAUAUGUGCUUAUAUUGUACUAUAAUUGUUUGAAUAACUUAGCAUAUAUUCAGAUGUAUGAUAUCUGUAAUUUAAACGCUUGAAUUUUACAUAUGAAUAUUUAUUAAUAAAUAUGUACCCCUAUAAUAGCUAGGCCGUGCAGUUGCACGGGUAGAUGACUAGUGAUUACAAUCUUGCUUGUGUGCAAGUCAAGCUUAUCUAGUUUACACGUAACAACUUAUAGAACAUUACAAAAUUUAUGCUUGCUAAUAACUUCUAGAACACUACAACACUUGACAUGUAAAAGGAAUUUGAUGAGUCAUGGCCUACUAAAGCAAGUUACAUUACUAGUCUUAUCUAUCUUAACAGACCACACAAGAUUACAAACUAUGUACCGUGACAGCCAUGCUUAUCUAGUUUAUGCGUAACAAUUUGCAGAAAAUUACAAACUUAGUUUCAGAAAGAUAGGCAAUCUAGAUUAGUGUUUGAGCUGUAAAGUGAAUAAGAUGAGUCAUGCAUGUCAUCACACCUUUUUGGUGGUGGAAUGAUAGUGCAACAACAAGGAACUUUAAUGACCAGUCCAAGAAUACACUUGUAAGUAGUGCCACCAAACAGAACAUACCAAAUGAUGAUUUUGAGAAGCAUCCAAGCACUUUCCACACAAACAAAUGCCAAUUGUGAAAGAGAUCAUUCCAUGGCAGCUAUAAAUAGCCCCAUAGCAUGACGAUCAUCCUUCCUCAUCCAUCAUUCUCAUAAGUAGAGCACAUCAUUUAAGCCAAGCAAGUUGUGGUCAAUACAAAUCCACCAUGAAGACCUUUCUCAUCCUUGCCCUCCUUGCUAUCGUGGCGACCACCGCCACAACUGCAGUUAGAGUUCCAGUGCCACAAUUGCAGCCACAAAAUCCAUCUCAGCAACAGCCACAGGAGCAAGUUCCAGUGGUACAACAACAACAAUUUCUAGGGCAGCAACAACCAUUUCCACCACAACAACCAUAUCCACAGCCGCAACCAUUUCCAUCACAACAACCAUAUCUGCAGCUGCAACCAUUUCCGCAGCCGCAACUACCAUAUUCGCAGCCACAACCAUUUCAACCACAACAACCAUAUCCACAACCGCAACCACAGUAUUCGCAACCACAACAACCAAUUUCACAGCAGCAGCAGCAGCAGCAGCAGCAGCAACAACAACAACAACAACAACAACAACAACAACAACCACAACAAAUCCUUCAACAAAUUUUGCAACAACAACUGAUUCCAUGCAUGGAUGUUGUAUUGCAGCAACACAACAUAGCGCAAGGAAGAUCACAAGUUUUGCAACAAAGUACUUACCAGCUGUUGCAAGAAUUGUGUUGUCAGCACCUAUGGCAGAUCCCUGAGCAGUCGCAGUGCCAGGCCAUCCACAAUGUUGUUCAUGCUAUUAUUCUGCAUCAACAACAAAAACAACAACAACAACAACAACAACAACAACCAUCGAGUCAGGUCUCCUUCCAACAGCCUCAGCAACAAUAUCCAUUAGGCCAGGGCUCCUUCCGGCCAUCUCAGCAAAACCCACAGGCCCAGGGCUCUGUCCAGCCUCAACAACUGCCCCAGUUCGAGGAAAUAAGGAACCUAGCGCUACAGACACUACCUGCAAUUUGCAAUGUCUACAUCCCUCCAUAUUGCACCAUCGCGCCAUUUGGCAUCUUCGGUACUAACUGAGAAGAAAAUAACUCUAGUACUAGAUAUAUGAAACACCGUUUUCUCAGUCCAUGGUUUGGUCGUUGUAGCGGUGAAAAAAUAAUGUGGCAUGCACUAUCAUGUAAGAACCCAAACUAUACUAGUUCAAACUUGGGAAUAAAAGACAAACACAGGUCUUGUCUACAUAUUUAUGUCGCAUCUAUUUAUAUAUUAAAAGUAAUAUAAGGUGAACCAGGAGCAAGGUAAAUAUGCUAGAAAAUUGCACGUUAAUUAGAAAUUACUAGCCCUCAAUCCGGUAAAUCUUAACAAAUAGAAUUAUCUUGACCGUUAGAUUUAUGUAACAUAUAUAAUUCUCUGGGCCUCCAACGACUGUACGUGACACAUCUGAACGCACAUAUGUUAAAGAAAAUAUAUUUGGUAAAUGGUGGGCCUCUUUAAAAAGAGAACUCACGUACAUGCACCAACUAAGAAAAACACAUACAUGUAAACGGGAAAAGGGCUCCACCCCGUUGAAAAAAUAUACAUCUGGAGGCCACUUUGUUUCCUCAUAAAAAAAAACUUACGUUAAAAAGAUUGCAUGCAUCCCAGGGAAAAUAGUCAAGAAGAAGUCGGACUCUUCCUUACAAAAACAAGGAACGUGUUAAGUUGACUUCAAAGAAAAAAGGAACAUGUUAAGUUAAAAAAAACAAGAAACCUGUUAAGUUAGAAAAAAACAAGGAACGUGUUGUCCUAGGAAAGAUAUGUGUCAAAUCUUACAAAAAAAAGAAUACACACACGUACGUUCAUGCACUUGGAAAAUAGAAAAAAAAAGGAACAUCACGUAUGUAUACACUUCGGAAACUCAUUACAUGACCAUGUCUGAUAUACUCCUCUAAUGCUUAAUAUUAGUGCCUAAUAAUUUAUAUUUAAAAUUUAAUUUACUGAUCAAAUAUCCCCACUGUUUAAAUUUUAAUUUGGCACAUUGUUUGGCUAUAGUAUGAACCUAAAUUUCCUCUUAUUAUUAUAUAUCAUGAUAAUAAUCCAAAGGCGACUAAUCUGCGCCGGCGCACCGGCGCAAUCAAUUCGGCCCGACACAGCGCGGCCGUUUGAUUAAAUUGCAUUUAACCGUCAGAUCUAGAAUCAUUUUAUUUCCAAUUAAACGGAUUCAACCAAACAGCAGAGGGGAAAACAAAGCAGCACCGCCGCCAACACUAGUCAUGGACGACCGAUGUAGCAAAACCUUGAAGAACCGCCGCCGGUCGCCACCCUCGCCGCUGGUCGCCGCCCUCGCCGCCUGCGUUUCUCAUCGGCUUCAUGCAUGCAACAACAUGCACUCGUGAUUGCAGGCUUGCAGCUCCGGCUCCGGGGGACAUGGCCGCAUCUCCGGUAGCGCCGGCCGCCAGCCGCAGCACCUGUCGUUGUGGUCACGCUGUACCUCGCCGUGUGCCCUCCCAAGGCUCUUGCUGGUUCCAACAAAAAACGAUACCUAUUGUAGCAAAAAAGUUUAUCGCUUCCAGCAAAAAAGCUUACCGCUAUAGCCCGCCAUCAUCAUUGUAGCAAAAAUGUUAACUCGAUGUAGCUUCUGUGGUUGCCGACUGCGGCCAAAAAUGACGUGGUUGUAGCAAAACACAAAAGAAAAACGCCGGCCGUCCGCUGUGUAUGGUGGUAACAAACCCUAUAGCCGGUGGUAGCGAAAAACUUCACUGUUUGCAGCAAAAAAAUGUUGUCGCCCGUCGUCGAGGUUGCAUCAUCUUCAUGAAUUAUGUCGCAAAAAAACGUUGUCGCCGGUAGUAGCAAAUGAAGCCGCCGGUAGUAACAAAACAAGACACUGGUUCCAGCCAAAAAAAUCAGCGACAGAACCUUUUGUUGGUUCCAACAAAAAAACUUGUCGGUUGUAACAUCCCUCGCCGCCGGAUGUAGCAUCUCCCAGGGCUAGUUGCAACACUCCAUAAAAAAAGUUGUCUAUGAGCGCAUCCAUGGCAACUGCUGCACCGUCAGCAACGAGGGGAAGAGGAGGCAAUGAAAAUCGUUCGAGUCGUAGCUCCACUGGACACGGCUGCAGCAUGGGGAGUCCAAAAAUCUGUCACAAGCAAGAUGCGCCUCGCCAUCCUCCUGCGCAGGAGAGAGAAGAAAAAGGAAUAAGAGGAAGAAGAAACGAAACGGGAGAAAGAAAAAAAGAAACGAUUGGUUGUGGGCUCAGGCAAUUAGUCAAAUGAGGGGCACGCGGGGCCGUAGGAUACAGCGCAAUCGAACGAAGUGCGCGCGUCCGGCCGAAGACUCAGCUGGACUGCCGGUCCAGCUGGAAAUGUUUCCCUAAUACAAAGGCUUUUCUGAAUGACAAGUCGUCUGAGUUAUCGGCUAACUAGAAAAAAGAUAAAUAUGCUAGAUAAUUCCAUAAUAAUUAGAAAUAUCUAGCCUUUAAUUAUGUAAAUCAGAAAAUCACAACCGUUGGAUUUACUUUAAAGGUAAAUUUCUCUAAAUUCCCACCAUUGCCAGUAUGUAGAAACAUGUGCUGCUUCAAUUCUCCCUUAAUCACCAAUCAAUCAACAACUGAAAACAUACCUCAGUUAAAAAAACUGAACAAAAAAAAGAAAAAAAGAAGAAAGGACAAGAUACACGCAUGUACACGACAGCCUUGGCUUGAAACACAUCAGUAGAUCAAGUGUCCGCCUCCCUUACACAGAAUAAAUUCUAGGGAAGAAAAUAAUAGUGCAACCUAACCUUAUACGUACUAUUCUAUCCUCACGUCCCAUGAGGUUUACUAGCCUACUGCCGCCGCAUCAUGCCAUCCUCUCCUUUCAGCUCCCUCCUUGCGGCGCCACUACUCGCCUAGGGAUAUUGCUGCUCAGACCGUGGAGCUUAACCUGCUUCUUCUUCAGCAAAUAUGGAACUGCUUUAGGAUCCUUCUGACAUCAGCGCGUAUGGGCCUCAUUAUACUGCAGCUCCUGGACCUCCUACAAUUGGUUGGCUAUGGCCAGUUGAUCGAUGUGCUGAAGUCCAGGUCUGUUUGCUGGCACAUAUGCUUUGGAAAUAGGCCACUAUGUUUGUACUUCGAAAUUGUUUCUGUAUUCUUCAGUGGUACAUCCUUUUAAGCGCCAGUUUUUUAUGUUAAUUCAUGCUGACAACACUUAACCUAGCCUUUCAUGUUCACGUACUAAAUACAGGAGCAAGUAAAAACAACAGACCACCUAAUUGCUCUGCAAGUUCUACAUAGGAAAAUUUGUCAUGUUCUACGAUCGCACCAUCCCACCCUUCUCUCUUGGUAUGGGCGCCAAUUGAGGGAUUGAUAAAACUGAAACGAAGACGUCACAGGGCUGGAAGUACCGCUAGCCUGGUUCGCACUGCAACCUACCCAACGCCAUCAGAAACUAGCAACUGAGUCAGGUGUUGAUCGAUUCUCUCAAAUUGCUCUCAUGUAAGUACUACCCCUUGCAUGUGCGUACAUACCUUUGUUGCAUUCUCAAACAGAUAGAACAUGUAUGAUCGGUGCAUGGCUAUUUUUCAUCACAUGACAUCCAGAUAACAAGCAUGAAAGGACUACAUUGGAGAUCAAAAAAUAUUGGUUCCUGGCUAGAGUACCACUACCUAUGGACUUGUCUCCAUAGAAUUUGUUCCCAAGAUGUUAUUUUAAUUAACCUCUUUAGCUUUCUUCCGUUGCAAACGGUGAUGUGCAUCAUGGUAUAUACGUGACCAUCUUGCACAUGUAUACACAAGAGGCUCAGACGGAGGUGCUGGAUUCUGGACGAGGGAAUAUGAAGCAGGAGUGAGCGAAGAGUAAAUAAUGGUGGGAGUACCGAUUGGUGUUAUGAAGAAAAAUGCCAUCCAAAGAUUGAUUAGUGUCAUGGAAGAUUAAUUUCUGAAUGCGAAUAUAUAUGUUACAUUGGUUUGGAUCUUUUUGAGAUAAUUGCACCUAAAUUAGGUUCUUUCUUAUUUCAUAUGUAUACCUUAUUUCAGUAAAAGUUCACAACGAACUUAGUAGGACAAAUAUAAUUUUGUUUGUUCUUUCUGUUGUCCGCCACCAAAGCUCAGUUUGAACUCUCUAGAAAUGGACAAUGAUUUAUGCAUUCUAUAUCUUCUUGAUUGAUUAGCCAUGACAAGGAAAUAAAAGGAUUGACUGAUAUAGCAUAACUUUGGAACGAUCUGUUCGUAGAGGUUACUACAAAUUAGAGUAGUGUCUGUUGGAAUUUUGCUAGUAGGCCUUUGGCCCAAAGCCCAACUAAAAUUCUGAAAUUCUCUUCGCUCAUUCAUGCACACAUGUGAGUGGAGUGAGUGAGACUAAAGUUUAGAGAGAGUUGCACCUCUUUAUAAGGUGAGCUCUUCUACCACUUGUAUGAGCAUGAGAAGAGGAGACCUAUACACGCGCUCCUCCUCCUCGCUCACCACGUCUCGUCACGCCGCGCCGCGCCGCGGAUUGCGGGAUUGAGCCGAGCCGAGGACGUUGUCUAUAUUUUUGCUGUUUGGGAAAAAUUAAUAAGUCAUUAAUUAAUAAUUAAUGGAUGCGUUAAUUACUGAACCAUUUUCGAUUCUUUUGGAUCGUGACGACUCGGACGUGGGGUUUACUCCCACGAUCUACCCGGCCCACACUAUAUAGUCAGGCAGACGUCUACCCUAGCCGCCGCCACUUCGUAUGGUUUCUCACCACCGUUACAGAUCGUUGCGCCGCCAAGCAAGUUUUCUCCAUUCCUCCUGUCGGCAUGCACUGGGAGAAGGGACAGCAGGCCUCCGGAACCCCGCCUCUCGUGAUCCUGUACGGGAGAGGGGCGAUCAGAUUUUUGGGGAGCGCACUCGCACGACUGCUGGCAGCGACGACUUCGCAAACGACGACUUCUUCCCCGACCUCGGCAACCUCAUCCUCGACUUCUGCACCGUAUGUUAUUCUAUCCUUCUUGUUCGAGAUCGUGGUAGAAUUCAGAUUUCUAGCAUGUUCCCUAGAUGUGAUUUGUUCAUCUACUAUUCUAAUUCGCAUGAUUAGUUUAAUCUUUGCUAUUGCUGUCAUGAUCUAUUUCCUAUUUAUUCGGAUUAAAUCUCGUAGUAAUUUGCUCAUUUUUCCAACAGUGCCAUCUAAUAGAUGAUGUAAAUCUCCUCAAGUUUGACGUUGUUGAGCUAAUUUACAAAAAAAACCUCAUCAUUAUUGGAUGUCCUUAACAGCUCAAGAACAAGUUGGGGUCGAAAUAAUGGAUUUUACACUUUUACAUUAAAGGUUUAGCUAAAGCAAGCAGGUGUUUUUAAACCUGAAUUUUUUUCCUCCUGAAUUUCUUUGUAUUUUCUUAUUGACACUAUUUAUACAAUCAUCUGACAAAGAUUAGCUAAAGCUGUUUGUAGAUACGUUCAAACCUGAAAAGCUUCUUUGGUUAUCCUUUUAAUAGUUCUACGUUUAUUUUCUCAUAGGUCUUAAUUCUUAUGUAAUACCAAGAUGCAUUGUGGUAGUGUACAUGUGUUAAAUUCAGGUUGUUAUUCACAAUUUGCGACAAAAUUUAGCUCACGCUACAUUUAAAUAUGUUGAAAUGUGAAAGCUCUUUUUCUUCUCCUUUCUACACCUUGCAUCGGAUUGCAUCCCUUUAGUUAUCCAACAUUUUGUACAACAUGUAGAGAUUAGGAAGUUCAUCAUAGUUUGUCUAUUUCCGUGCUAAUAAAUGUAUGAAAUCUGCAUUUCCAAGCUACUAGGACAAGUAAAAAAUAAUAAUUUUACUAUAGGAUUCAAAAACAGCAGUUCUGAAGUGCACUUUAUUUAUUUGUGAAAGUGAUCACAUUUUGUUUCAUUUUUCUAUAGACAAAUCUACUAAUACAUACUCACGAUAAAACUAUAAAAGUUCUAGUCCGCACAUUGGGCGGGCCACCCGGCUAGUUAGUCUAAAGAUAACAAAAUGAGUCUGGAAUUUGAAUUAAAUUGAAGUAUUUUCUUGGACUAUCCACAUCCUUGGCUUGCCCCUGAUCAAUUAUUUCCAGAGAAGCAUUCAAUUCAUCAAUCAAUUACAUUGAUUUUAGUGGCUGGUACUUCUCCUCGACAUCAGUAUAUUCACCGUGGCCACUCCAAAUCGGCAAGAAUGAGGUACCAGUGCUCUGGAGCAGUGCAAGCUAAUUGCUUCUCAUGUGAAGGGGUGCGGGCGCGGGAGAGGUAUUUCUGGUGGGCCAAGGGAUAAGAAGCGACCGUGGCAGCGGUACAGACGCCCGCAAAGCCCCAUAAUUUGUUUUUGGUUUACAGGAAAAAUGCACAUCCAUACCGGCCUGGGGAAUAUAGCACUGUAUUGCAUGGAAAACCAUGUCCGGAUGGUUGUGAGCGGUUUGAGGGUUAGCUUUUGUAACGCCCGGUUAGUUAUGCUAUAGCAAUUCCCUGCUAAUGAUGUCACGUCACCACGAUUACUGUUGUUAACCUCACAAUGAUUCAAUCCCGUUCAAAUUCAAAUUUGAAAUAAAGGUAAACAUCAAAAGUUUUCAAACAUUAAAACUAAAAUCUUUGAGAGGUGACAAAUAAUGCAUAAGUAAUUAUGGUGAAGAAACCACACUUUAAUCAAAUGUUUAAAUACUCUAAAAUGAAAAAAAAACAGUGACUUAAACUAUUAUUUAAAUGCUUUUAAAAUAGUAAAAAUCUUCUAACUAAAUUAUUUGGGUACCAAACUUUUGGUGGCAGUGGUAUAUUUAGUAGAACUAAUUUAGAUGCUAAUUAUAUAAUUUACAAAAUUAGAGUAAAUUGAAAAAUAGGAUAAAACGGAAAAAGGAAAGACAAAACAAAUAAAAGCAAAAGGGGGCAACCCCUCGCUGGGCCUCGGCCUAGCUGGCCACUAGACUAGCUAGGCUGGCCCCGCCGCCUCCCUUAACCCCCCACUCCCCAUCGAACCCAAGCCCGAUCGCCCCAUUUCCCACACACCCCCUCGCUAGUCUCCCCACCUCUUGAUCCCAUCUGGAUCGGGGAGGGUAUUGCCCCCAUCAACCCCGUUGCCGUCGCCGGAUCGCCCGCCGACGUCGGCAGGCCUCCUCCCCGUCGCCCGUCUCCGGCUCACCUCCCCUCUCGCUCCUCUUCCCCGACCCGAUCUGGAUCGUGAACGAGCAAUGAGCUCGAAGCCCCCCUUCACCAGCGCCAUCACCGUGCGCCACCACCACCACCUGAAGACCUCACCGUCGCUGAACCUUGCGUCGCCUCCUUGUAUCCCUCCCCUACUCGCAUCCUCAAGCCAGGCCGAGCCCCUUCUCGGCAACGCUGUGAGACGCCCCCGUUUCCCUCCUCUUUCCACCGCGUUCACCGCGCCGCCCGCCGUGCCCCUCGCCGUGCAUGAGCCCACCACCGCACCAGCCCCCGCUCCGCGCACGACCCUACCCGCGCCCGCGCCAUGAUCCCCUUUUCCGCCCUACCUUCACGCGCUCGCCGCGAUCCCCAUGCUCCCCCGCGCCCUCUUUCGGGGGCGCCGACUGCCCCUGUCCCGGUGCUCGCCGCCGUGCCUCGCCACCGCUCUACUGCUACGUUACUACUGCGCUGCGGCCGCCGCCUCUUCCCGCUGCUCCGCUAGCGCCGAAGCUCCCGGUUGGCUCCACCACUGCUCACGUUAAACCGCCGGCCUAAAUGGCCUAACCCUCGGCUAAUGAACCCCCACUAACCCACUGACACCGGGACCCACAUUCCCUAAUUAACCAUUUAAUAAAUUAACAUUAGUGUAUGACAUGUGCGUCCCCUGUUAAUUAAUAAUUUUACUGCUAGUUUUAUUAGUUUCUGUUUUUCUGCAUAUUUCUUUUGUAUUUGAACAGGCUUUAUACAAUAAUAUUUAGCGUAUCAUACACAUACAAAUGUAAUCAUAGCAUAUACAUACAAAUAGUCUCAUCAAAUCAUGUCAUCAUCAUAAUCAUCAUCCAUCACAAAGUGGUCUCUGGUCAUCAUCUCGAAAAUAGCGAUACAAGUCUCGAUUACUUGCAACUACAUCGUCAUCCAUCUAAACAAUGAUAUACACGAGAAGAGCUCUCACUAUGAGUGAGAGCGGAACUAUGCAGUACAUGAGUUUGUAUCCCUCUCUCGCAUUAGCGUGAACCUAAACUAACGACUGGCUGUUGCUCGGAAACCGGAAACCGGUACACCUGGGCCUGACACUCCGGCCACUCAUCGUAUACUCCUGGCGUAGCACUUCUUCGCCAUCGAUGAUCUAUGCACCUGCAUCGUCACAUGAGUCGAUGAUAUGCAACAUAUAUAGUUGAGCAACAGAAAGAGACAGACUUGGCAAAAAUAGAAGCAACAUAUCACAAGUAUAAAUAACAAAGUUAAUGUUUUGCAGGAUUACAACUCAACCCAUUGCAGAUUAGAAAACAAGCCCGUAUGAAUGCACAGGCUGACGACUAGUCUAUCUAUACCUAUACCUAUACCUAUACCUAUACCUACCUAUACUAAUUACAGACUCCCAAGGAAUUCCCACGUUAAUUAGUAAUUAGGAGUCGUUAAUCUUGUGGGACCAAAUUAUUACGACAGUCCACGAUCUCUUUUCUCUCUGUGUAAAAAAAGGUCCACGAUCUCUUUUCUCGGUUGUAAAAGAUAAAGGCAACUCAGGUCCACGAUCUCUUUUCACGGUUGUGAAAGAUAAAGACAACUCCCGUCUUCUUCUAAUCUAUAGUUCUAUACCUCCACGACCCCUUUCUCUCCCCAUUUAAAAGGAACAAGCUGAACCAAUAUCUAAGCAUGCAAUUGGUUCCUGUGCGGUCUUGACCUUCCAUCCGUCCACUGCUCGAUCGGCCCUCCCUCAACUACAAGCUGACAAGCCACCAUCGCCAUCCAGCGGCACGCCACCGUUCAUGCAUGUGUUUUUGCCCUUCAAUCUGAAGGAGAUGCGUUGGCUACUCAAGUAACUCUGUUUGUUUUGUUCAAACCAAUUUCGUUAAUUCGGUUCUUUGAUUAUCUAAUUGACAUGGCCUGUGAGUUUUGUGCUAGUGAUACAGGGCCUGUCUACUAGAUUCUCUCCUUGCAACUUCUAUUGUUGUCUCGAUUUGGUGUGGUCAAGAUCCUUGCCCCACCACAAGCAGCACCUUUGCACCAUCGGGGAAAUCUGUCAUAGCAAACAGAGGUAUGUAACAUGCUUUGGUGUUUUCCUCUUUCGUUUAGAUCACUAGAGUUGCUCAACCACACCAUUCAUUGAUUAGUAGUUGGCCUGAGAAGUUGCUCGGUCACCUGCAGCGUCUGAUCCCCUUCUUGACCCUCUCCUUCUGGUCAUUAUCCACCGGCAGGUCAAUGCAAAACGGAUCGUUCGUUGCCGCCACCUUGCGGAGACCGAUGUUUGGCUGCCCUCCUGCCAUCCUGGCACUCUGGUACCGGUCACUGUGCCGUUGUUCUAGAAGAACUAUGUCACACGAAGCGAGAUAUCUUCUUACUAAUCUGGAACAUAAGUGUUUCUUCUUACUAGGAUUCGCUCACCGGUGCAUUCAUCUCUUUUUGGAAAAUACGGCCUUCAUAUUUCACACGCCUAUACAUGGGUGCUGUCCCAACAAUAAUCCAUCUAAUCCAUGAUGCACAUUCAUGAAGACUGAUGUGACUGAAUUAAUAUAUCAAUCUGGUGCUUCCGGAUCAGCACUUGAAGAAGCAACCCCUUUAGUUCAUAAAUUUAUCAUACGAAAGUCAGGGGAAAAAUCAACUAAGUCAUGUGUGCUUUUCUAAUUAAUUACUAUACACUAAUUCCAUUUUUUUCAGUAGCAGGCUAGGAUACGUGGAUUGUGGCAGCACAGAAGUAAACCGAUGAGCUACAUUGGCCGUUCACCAGUCAUCGGAUCAGAAGCCAUGUCGACCAGAGGGACGGAACAGUUCUAUAUUAGGCGAUGGAUACAUGUGGAAGCAACUAAGCAUAUGUGGAUGCAUGUGAUCGCAUAGGUAAGGCCAUAGCUGUUCAAGCCCUACAGGAUCUUUAUUGCUGGUUUUAAUUAUGAGUUUACAACACCAUCUAUACAUACUACUUAUCCAUUUAUUUCCUUACCUUCUUUGUUUCUUUCUCUCCUUGAUCCCCUGUCAAAAGGGCAUCAACAUCCAUAUGCGCAACGGCACACGCAACAAACUAUGACUUCGGUUGCACGUCCAAUGGCAACCACAGUACAUGAUGAUAUCAUGUUUGCUGCAAGACGAAGUACAAGUUCAUAAUUUGGUCUUUUGCAUGGUCCCUUAGUAAAUUAUAUUUGUCCACAUACACCACAUACAUAAAAACAGGUAGAAGCGGUUGCAUGAUGAAAAUGUCCUCUCAAUAUGCAUGCCUAUGAAUACUAUCACCAGAAAGCCAAGGACUAACAAUUAUUCAGGGGUCAAGAUUGAAGACAGACGUCCAAGAUUGGCAGUCGGCCGGCCUAAGAGGGGCAAAACCGUUGUACAUUAUAUUGUAUGGACCUAGCAAGAUCCUAAAGAUAAGUGAUAAUGGAGAUCAUGGGGGCCACCCUUAUAACCAUAUGUCCAAAUGUUCUUAUUUGUUUAUUUUUCUUUUCUCUUUUCGGAAGAAUCCAUCCUGCCUCUAUGGUCAUCCUGACCACUUCGUAUUGUUAUCUAAUCUCCUCCCUUAAUUAAUAUAAAGAAUUACCGCAGCUGAAUUCACUAAAAAAAGUAUUCAGUUUAUUUUAAUUUAUUCAACUAUUAUGGCAUAUCAAUUGGAUUGCAAGUUCUUGGCGGUUGCAUUUGAAUCAUAUUUGAUGUGCACAAAGGCUUCAGUGUCAAGGUGGUCGGACGAGUAUUUAUGUCCAUUAUAUAUGUGUUAGCUUGAGAUCAUCAGGCACCUGUUAUGCAUCUGUCCAGUUAAAAGGAUGUUCAGACUCAGGCUUGCCCUACCAUAUAUGGCUGUGACACUCUGAACCAAGCAAGUUGGUCAUAUGUGUCGAGCACUAUUAACUCUUUGGAAGAGGAUCCACCAAGUACAGGAAACAAAUCAAAUAUCUUCUUAACCUUAUCACCAGAAAAAUUAGCAAGAGAUGAAUAGUAACAUUUUAAAGAAGAAAGAUAUGUUUGAAAAGGGAUAUAUAUUAUGGCGACGAUUAGAAGAGCCCUUGACGAAUGGUGCCUAGCCUGCGAAAGUUUCUUAUGAAUAUAGUCAACACUCUAUAUCAACUGUUGUAAGAUUUUAGAAAUAUUUUUGGGGACAUAUGAUACAUGUCUAUUAUACAUAUGAUUCAACAGAAGUUUGAUUGAAUACAUAUUUAAAACGUGACUGACUUCUAUAUGGACGGAGUAUUUCACAAAGGACUCACUGCCAACUGUGUGAAUAUUCCAAGAUAGUUAGUGCACAUAAAUGUUCAAAUCCAUAGCCUGCAUAAAUAUACAAAAGCAAUGUGUUAGACCACUACACAUGCUUCUGAAAGGAGGCAAAAAAAUGUAUGCUUGAUUGAUGACCGUUCAUGCAUGAAAUUAAUUUCUGAUUUCUAAUUAUUUUGGUCAUAUAAUGGAAAUAGAGACAUUAUAAAGAUCCAACAGCAUGCUAUCACACACGUGUGAACACAGACACACACAAAUAACAUUUGCCGAGCACUCACAAAUAAAAGGUGUGGCUACUCUUGGGUGUUCUACAGCUGGCUUAAAAAAACACGUAUGAAACAUGAUCCCCAAAAAUCUGAAAUUCGCAACAUAUGAAAAUCCACCCUCAAACAUAUUUCUGGUGUCUCAAUUCUUUUAGUUUCAGAUGGUAUGUCCAGCCAAAGUAGUUGUACACAUACAUUACUAUGUUCUAUUAUUUGAGAUUCUAAGACAACAUUUAGUAACUAGCCCGUGCGAUGCACGGGUUCACGACUAGUAUAUAUAAAGCUUAAUGGUGCCUAAGAAAGCUCGCACAAUUUUACAGUGGCUGUGGAGAUGUGUUGCCAAACUGAGACAUAAGAUUUUCGUUUGGCAUCCAGAGUUGCAGACCGCUUGUGUUAUCCUUAAUCCAUGGCCACUCUAAUUUUUCCGGCUGGGCCUUCCCUGUGGUACGGCAGCAAGGCUUGCGUGUGUAUAUGUUUCCUUUAACUACCACUAGCACAUAUGCCCGUGCGUGCGUUGCAAGGGGAGAGAUAAUGGCGUAUCCACCAAUAUAUCUAGCAGCAUGACCCAACAACAUCCGAAUGAUGUCACCCGACGACGGCAGGAAGGCACACACAGAGGUCUAGUAAAAACUCAACAAUUGUACGGGCAUGGUUAAUUCGCGUGAAUUCAAGGGUGUGAGAUUAGUUAGUGUUGGUCCCACAAUUGAAUUCGGGGGCUGAUUAGUUAGUGUGGGCCCACCCUUGAAUUCACCGGGGGAGACAAAAUAAUUAGGGUGAGGAGAGAUUUACGGGGCUUGGUCCCCAGAUGCGUUGCGGCAGUCAUUAUUCGAGCAUUGCAAUGCUCGCACGUGAGGAGCUCUUUUUCCAAUUGUAUAUUGAGAAGCAUUGCUACAGAUACAAUGUUUUUGAUACGUUUUUGUACGAUGAUCCUGAUCUUAAAGGGCCUUCUAAUUUUUAAAUCUUAAAGGCAUUAUUUGUAAGUUGUCGUGAAAAAAAUCUCGCUAAAAGGGUUAUGUUAGACCAUCUUCAGUACAUUAGAAAUAACGAAUUAUAAUUCCUUGGCAUUUGAACAAACAAUCCCUACUUAUUUACACAUACAAUACUUUUGGUAUGAUUUUGAAAUCUUGAAGGCAUUAUUUGUAAGUUGAAGCAAUUUUGAAAUCUCACUAAAAGGUCUGUUAGACCAUCUAUAGCUUUAGAAAUAACUAAUUAUAAUUUUGCAAAAAAAAGAAAUAACUAAUUAUAAUUCCUUAAGCAUCUGACCGAAACGACCCCGAUUUAUUGUCUGGGUAGUAAUUCCUUUGCAACAUUAUUCUCUCCUUUCUUGAAGGAACUCUUGCCUGGGUAGUAAUUCCUUUGCCCACGUAUUUGCAAGGUUAUUCUCUCCUUCAUUUUUACAGGAGCUCUCCUUCCUUAUACUAAUUGGUCAUUAUCCUCUCCUUCCUUUUUCUUUUUGCCAAACUCUCUUUCCAUAUUUAUGCCGCUAACCACGCCACUCUUUUUCCUUAUUUAUGCCCUUUGAUCACGCCACACAUCUCAUGAAAUCUAAGCCAUAUAUAUCACCCAUCUUUUUUCCUUAUUCCGGUGCUUUCCUCACAAACAGUAGUUCUCUAGGAUGCUUAACGAUUUUGAAACAGAAACAUAUAUAAAUCGGUAGAACGGGUUGUAAAGCAGCGAGGUGGUACUAAUUUAUAAAGAAACAAACCUUUUCUUUUUGUGUAAUGAUGCCUUGGUUCGGCUGGUUGCGUUGGGAAAAGGACCGGCGAAGUGGGCGAACCAAAAACGGAUAAAAUUACGGUGGUAAGAAGCGAUAGCCCUUUUAUUAGUAGGUAUGAGGAUGUCUAGGAUGUCUAGGAUGAGGAUUUACUGCACACAAGUGCGGGGGCACUCAGGUCCUGAUGCCGCCUUUUUAUUUUGGCUUCCGAUUUUCAAACUUCUAUAUCUUUUAAACAAAAAAUUCAAUUUAAGUUACGUUUUCAUAUUCGUGCUUCUCGCGGCCAGCGCUUUCAAAUAAGAUCCAUUUUGCAUACAUUUUGGUGGCUUUUGGAAACGGGCGAAUAGCUCCUAUGCGACGUUGUUGGUGUGUAUUGUCUCUCAUGCGACGUUGUUGGCUGUAAUAGCUCUCAUGCGACAUCUGCGUUGGAAAAAAUAGCUCCCAUGCGACACACCAUUUACGCGGCUAGUUGGCUGUUAGUUAGGCUGAGGUUUGGUUAGGACACUGGGGGUUAUGUGCUCUGACUGGUGGGGUCCACCUAUGGUCACGUAGACAAGAGUCAACCGUCCACGACUCGACCUGGGACUGUGUGACCGUGCUCGACUCACCCGUGCUGGACUGAGUGAGCGGUGCCGCCGUAAGCAUCUUCUCCGACAGCGGUUUCUUCUCCGCGGUGGUGGAGCGCAUUUCUCGGCAGCGGCAGAGCUAUUGCGAGGUGAGCCCGAAACCCUAGUCCCACUCCCCAGAAUUUUGGGGGAUCUGUGGCCUCAUGCUGCCCUCUGUUUCUUGGCGAUUUAGAAUCGGGCUCCAUUGGAUCCGGGGGUUGUUUCUUCUCCGUGGCCCGGUGGUGGAGCGCCUAUCUCUGUAGCGGCUAUUGCGAGUGAGUAUUUUCCAAACACUACUCGCAUUCCACUAAAUUUUGGAUAAAUCUGUGGCCUCAUGCUGCCCCUAUUUCUUGGCGUUUUAGAAUCUCGAUUGGAUAGGAGAUGGAGCGAGGGCUGGAUGAGAUGGAGCGAGGAGACAGUGCUUCAAAUCGGUAAUGCCACACUCUUUUCUUGGCGAUUUAGAAUCGAACUCGAUUUGGUAGUGACUGCCGCCGCUGCCUGCCAUUGACAAAACAGGGGAGGUUCAAGUUCUGCCACCACAUUCACAAUUAUAGUGGAAUUUUUUCCCUGUAAAGCCAAGCUCAGUGAUGGCAGUGUCCAAGACAUUGAUAGAGAUACCACCGUGAGGUUCGAUGUCGAAUUUGCAGAUGUUGAUCCCCAGGAAUUGGAGAGCAUGAAGGAGAAGGCCGUGGGCAAUUUGGUGGAGAGAAUUGGGGAGAAUAUUGUUUGGGGUCCAGAACAAGAGGUAUGUCUGCAACGUUUCGAUAACUAUAAUGGUGAAUAUGUGAGAAUUGAAGAUGGAGAAUCCAUGGUUGCUGAAAUUGAUCAGCAAGAAGGGUGGGCAACUAAACAAGUAACAUUUUAUGCAGAGCUAAUUGAUCUACAAACUCAUUCCAGAGUUGGUUAUGUGCAAUCAAAGAGGGCUGCACAGAUGGAAGAUGAUGAGUGGGUUUCACAAAAGAAGAUGUUGGCAUUGUUGACUGAACCGACUGUAGUAGCUGAAGAUACAGGGAUUGAUGCAGAUGGAGAGGAGGGAACCCAUGGUGCUAGGAAGAUUGUUGUUGACUGGAAUGUAGUAGAGUUGAAUGAAAAAACAGAUUUGGUCAUUACACCAAUAUCUGACAUUGAUAUGGCCGAAAUGUUUGGCAUUCAAGUUGAUGACAAAGAUAAGGAGAAGGAUGACAGUUCUUUGCCUGCUGAAGGAACAUAGGCCCUAGAAAUGCAAAUGAGGAUGAAGAACAGCUGAUGAGAGAGGCUGCAGAUGAUGUGGAUGAUGCAGAUGAUAAUGAGUUGGUUUGUUUGUAUGACAAAGAGAACCCAGUUAUUGAGGUGGGAAAGUUGUGGCCAAGCAUGAAGGAGUUUAGGAUGUCUUUCAGGACCUAUGCAGUGAAAAAGAGUUUGAUGCCAAGACUAUGUGGACUGAUUGAAAGAAAUUUUAUGCUCGGUGCAAAGGUUAUGAUGGUGGUGGCAAUCCUUGCAAAUGGUACUUGUCUGCCAGACUACAACCUGAUUGAAGUACAGUAAGGGUAAAUCAAAUACCACACCAGCAUACAUGUAUGACCACUUCACAGAGAGUUUCAAAGAUGACAUCACAGCUUUGGGUUACAGAGAAGAUUACUCCUAUUUUAGCCAAGACUCCAAACACUACUGCAAAGAGGCUUAAAGUUGACUUGGAGAAGCUGUACCCCAUCCAGCUGCAAUAUACCACAGUGUGGAAAGCAAAACAAAGGGCCAUGAAAUCAUUGUAUGGUGACUGGGCAAAUACAUUUAGGAUGUUGUAUAGUUUUAAAGCAGAGGUGGAGAAGAGGUCACCUGGGAGUGUGGUGGAGAUAGAUACAGAGGUAACAGAGGAUGUCAUGGUUUUAUUCAGCAAGUUUUUUAUGUGUUUGAAGCCAUGCAUAGAUGGAUUCAAAGCAGGUUGUCGUCCAUAUUUGAGCAUAGACUCAUCUUUUUUGACUGGAAAGUGGAAUGGUCAGUUGGCUGCAUGCAAUGCUCUAGAUGGACGCAACUGGAUGUUCCCAAUUGCAAUAGGAAUGUUUCAAUCAGAGACAGAGGCAUCAUGGAUAUGGUUCAUGAUGCAACUGAAAAGAUGUAUAGGGCCAGUUUCUCCUUUAGCCAUCCACACAGAUGCAUGUAAAGGGUUCGAAAAUGCAGUAAAAAAUGUUGUCCCCCAUGCUGAGCAGAGGGAGUGCUUUGGACAUAUGUGGAUGAAUCUGAUAAAAAAAUUAGAGGAGAUGAAUUUGGGCGCAUGUGGCCAGCAGCAAGAUCCUACACCAGACAGACACAUUCCUAUCACCUUGGUAAGAUAUUGGCAUCAUGUAGUGAUAAUGAAUUUGCUUCAUGGUUGAACACCCGCCAUUCUCUGUUGUGGUAUAGAUCAGGUUUUAAUACUGCCAUAAAAUGUGAUAAUAUCAAUAACAACUUGGCAGAAAGUUUUAACAACAAAGUGAAGGAUUUGAAAGACUUGCCUGUGCAUGACAUGGUGGACCAAAUAAGGAUCAUGAUCAUGCGUUUGUGGGAGUUGAGAGGAAAAAUUGCUAAUAUUUUGGAAGGGGACAAGCUUCCAGCAGUGGUACAAUAGGUGGUCAACAGGAGUAGAAAUCUUUCACAUCUAUCUGUUGAGAAAUCUUCCUUGUGGGGUGCUGAAGUUAGAGAUACAAAGAGUGGCAAGAGGCAUGUGGUAAAUACUGAGUUGCAUGAGUGUACUUGCCGAGAGUGGCAACACACUGGAAAACCAUGUGAGCAUGCCAUACUUUUUUUGGCAUCUAAACCCAGGUUAAAUAUGCACCCAUAUUUGCAUGAGUAUUAUUCAGUACAAAAAUUCAAAGCUGCAUAUGCAAGUCCAAUUCCUGCACUGACUGACCAAUCUCAGUGGCCUGAGGUGGAAAUAGAAUUUACCUUGUGUCCCCUGUCACUAGAAGAAAGGCUGGGAGGCCUAAACAGAGCAGAUUCAAAGCUUGGUUUGAGAAAGGUGGUUGUAGUAAGAAGGGGAAAAAAGAAAAGAAAAAGAAUGAUAAGCCCAAAAGGGCUCAAAAAGGUAAGAAAAAUAGGUGCAAGUUGUGUGAGGUACUUGGGCACAGAAUUGGUUCAUCCAAGUGCAUCUAUACUCCUCAGAGGACAAAGUAUGUUCAUGUUACUGUUUUUACAAGUUUUUGAUUUUGUUACUUGUUCUAGUAUCUAACCAAGUCAAAUGCUUUAUUUUUUAGGAGGAAGCGUGCAGAAAAAGCCCCACCUCUUGUUGUUGAACAAUGCUGGCCAGUGAAAAAAGCAAGACUCAAUGGCUAUAUAGAAGGAAGAGCACUAAGCAGAUAAUGUUUGGUGACAAAGAUAUGGAGCUAACUGAAACUGUUACUGCUGAACAUGAGCUAAGUGUUUCUGUUUUGGACGAUGUGAUGCAUACUGAAUCUGUUUUGCAGACGCUAGGGCAAUCUGAAACUGUUGCAGAUGAAGCAACGGUUGUGCUGCCAUGCGAAUCUGCUUUGACAACUGUGUUGCCAUGUUUGGAGGUUGUGCUGCCAAGUGUUGAGUUGCAAACUGAAGUAGUUGAACAAUUUGUGCCAUCUACUCAAUCUGCAGAAGUGCAAACUGAAGAAGUGCAAACUGAAGAAGUGGGACAUGGUCAGGUGAAAAAGUUGAGGGGGCCUAGUGGAGUUUGCAAGGGGCCAAAAAGCAAGAGCAUCAACAUCAACAAACUAUGCGCCGUGGAACCAAACGAUGGAAAAAAGCAGAAGAAAUCGAGUGGUAGAAAGAAGCAAAAGAAAUAGAGUCGAAAUCAUUCAAAUUUGAUGUGAAAACUUAAGUUUGUUGUCAUUUGAUGUGAAAACUUAUGUUCUUUCAUGUGAAAACUUAUGUGCUAUGAUGUUGAUUUGACUUGAAAUAAAAUUCAAAUUUGAACCGACAUUCAAAUUUGAACCUAUCUCCAAAUUUUUUUGAGUUCAUUUGUUUGUUCUGUGAUGUUGCAUCGUUUUAUGUACUACUAUGCACUUUGUGAAGUCCAACUCAUAGUCACUGAAAAUGCUGUACAAACAGGCUCCAAAGUAAGGGAAAACGGCCCCAUUUCUAAGCAAGUUUUUUUCGAUCUUCUCAAAAUCACCCAAAAAAGAUUUUCUUAGCUUAUAUUAUACCUAUAUAGGAUCAAUACAAAGUCUCACCUUUUUUGAAUAAGUAUUCAUAUUAUUUAAUUUAUUUUUGAAAAAACACCCUUUAAUACAAAGUCAGCAAUAAAACAAGUUUAAAAAUUUUAAAUGCAAAAAUAACUUCAGAUCCUCCUUAGUCACUCUAAAAUGAAGCUAAGGUGAUGUUUUUUGAUUUUUUUGCAUUUUCAAAACCUCAAACCCUCUUCUCACUCCUUUGAACUCUAUGCAACCUCAGUCGAGAUAGUCCAAUUUGUGAAGGUUUUUUCAUGCAAAGAUCAUUAGAUCAAGUUUAUCAUUUUAUAUCAUAACUAUGUAACAUAAAAAGGCUAUAUGCGCAGGUUUUUCAUUUUUUAGAUUUUUUUGAAUUAGUUAUACACAUUUGAAUGUUCGGUCAAACCUUUCAAAACCCCGUUGACUGCCUCAAAACCCCAUGUAACCCUAGCGCCAAACGUCCACCGUCGAUCUAACCCUAACGCCAAACUGCGGCCGUCGGAUGGGACUUCUAGAAGGAUUCCGCGGGGGCGAUCCAUGGGCUCCAAUCUGAUUGGCCAUUGUUUUUUCUCUCUGACGAACAGAUAACGUUGAGCGGGGGAGCAUCUAAGUGACCGUUGGGCCGAGUGGAUUGGGCCUGGCAAAGCCUGGCGUGCGUGCACACGGCUGUUGAGAGGGGGGAUGGGCUGCAUGCGAGCGGGUCAAUGACAUGUGGGCCAUCCUUGUCCCAUGCAUGCCAUGCAACGUCGCAGCCUAGCUAUUCUUUGCUCGUGAAAGCCUAGCCAUUUGCAUGCGGGCUUGCAUGCACGCAUCGACGCAGAGUACGGCAAGGGUGCAGCGUAUAGGUACGUCGCAUCUAAGCUAUUUUAACAAAUGCAUGUUUGAACGAGAUGGACGCGUCGGUGGUGCAGCUCCUUUUUCAGUGUCACGCGCGGAUGAACGGGCCUGUUUCCCAUGCGGCAUCACCGCCGAUGCAAGUGCCCGUGCCUCUUUGGAUGCUCUGGCCGCCGUUUUUUGAAUUAAUGCCCGCAAUUACUUAUGCCAUGCGAACGGAGAAGAGAAAAAGAUCGAGAAGGGGCACCGUGUACACAUUGACCAUGGUUGCAAUGCGGCUAUAAAAGGGCACCAUUUCCUCAUCCUCUCACACUCAUCUCUCAAGCCUCCUCCCCUUCUUCUUUUCGAGCCAAAUCCACCACUCGAGCCACCAUGCAGUUCAACGGCCCUACCUACCGUCGCCCUUGCACCGUGCCGGAGAGGCAGUACCCAGCCGGAGUCGUCGUGGAGAACAGCCUGAGGGUGUGGGCCAUCUCUAGGUGGAGGGGCCCUAGAGAGUUGGCUCGCUUCUUCCUCCAAGCUGGCUACCGCCACCUCCCUCCGGGCACUCCGCCCAUGUUCCACCUCCACGAGCAGUACGAUGGCAAUGCCGGCCCCGACGGCUUCGUCAUCGGCCUCUAUGUCACCUUCACCAACCCCUACGACGCUCACCACCUCCCCGGGGAGGUGUUCUGGUGUGGAUGCGAGUUUAUCGCGUUCACGACCUACAACAUCUUCACCAACUUCCACCACAUCUUCCCUCACCACAACGGCAUGCACACCCUCCCCUAUCAGAUGCCGGAGGACGACGAGUGAGGGGCCCAAGGAGGAGGGUCCAAGGAGUGGCAAGGAGGAGGGGCCAAGGAGUUGUUCAAGCGGCGAGUCUUCUAUCUAUCUAGUUUGGGGCUCUAGUUUGUGUUUGUGUUGGUUCGGGCGUGUGUGCCCGUGUCUUUUAUAUAUCUAGUUUUAAUUAUUUUACUUUCAUGUUUUAUGAACUAUAUGUAGUGGGGGGAUGCCCCUCUAUAAGUUUUAUCUAUCUAUGCUACUAGGGUACCCGAUGCCCCUCUAUCUAUCUAUAUGUUUUUUCGGUCCUAAAGUUUCUCCAUUGCAUUUUAUUUAUGUGGCCAUGUGUACUAAAAAACAAUUGAUCUGGUAUCUAAAAUGUACGUUACCAAGAAAUUGACAAUAAAGAUUAUAUACUGUACUACAUAAUCAUACAGUUGGUAUACAAUGCAUUUGAAGACAAUGGGCAAGAAAAAUGCUAAUUAUCUGGUGCUGGUGACAUGCGUAAGUGUUGUCUGAUGUUUAAAUCAUGCUUGCUAUGUCAUUUUUUGCUGCCAAACAUGGCAUUAGCGAGAAAGGUCAUUUGGGCACUGAAUGUAUUAAAGUAUACACCAUAUAUAAAAAUGUCUAGCCAAAAGAUUUGGGUGUACAACUGUACACCAAUGACCAAGUAUGGAUCCGCCCCUGGUUGUAAGGGGAUGCCCCUCUAUGUUGUAAGGAGAUGCUACUAGGGGCACACUAGAUGUCUUCUUUUUUUGAGAGAGGCACAACCUUUUUCGGUUGAAACACACGAGUAAAAACUUUGAAAACACCAUAGCACAAGUAAAAAAAUAUAUUAAGAAAUGGUGCUUGGUUGAAAUAAACUAGAACCAAACAAUUGCAACUUUCUUGGUUCACAAAGACUGCUCAAAUAAUUAUCUCAAAUAGCUUAUGCAUAAAAAUAUCUCAAAUAAUUAUUAGAUGAGUUAUCUCAAAAAAGGUGACUGCAGGAAACUUAAAAUUUGUGAAAUGAUCUAAAGCCGAAAAGAUAUAUCGAUGAAUUAUCUCAAAUAGCUUAUGCAUAAAAAUAUCUCAAAUAAUUAUUAGAUGAGUUAUCUCAAAAAAGGUGACUGCAGGAAACUUAAAAUUUGUGAAAUGAUCUAAAGCCGAAAAGAUAUAUCGAUGUCAAUGACCGUGUGCACUUUUUUUGCACUCCUUUUAUCAAUGGGCCUGGAUAUGUUCUAUUCGGCCCUGCCUAACUUCUAUAUGGGCCUGGCCUUUUCGGGCAACUAUGGACGAACCUUUUUUUUCCUUUUCUCCCUCUACCACUGAAACUGAAACUGAUGACGAACUGAAGAACUAAAAAACGGGGCCGAAACAGAGUGGAGAGGACAUGCUGAAUUCGUACAACGCAACACUUUUAUUCAAAUAUACAUAUCAUUAGGAUUACAAAUGAUGCCCAAUCUAUUCACUUACGACUAAUUAUCAUCACAUAAACAAAUGCGAGAGCAAUUACACAAACAUAAAAAAGUCCGGCCAUCAGCCCCAUCAAAUUGCCCUGCUUCUGCAAUUUGAUGAGUUUCUUCAUCUGCUUGUUUAGCUUCUUCAGCUCUGCCGUCACUACUGCAUCCCCCACAGUAGCCCCAAUGGAAUGGGCACAUCCAGGGGCCCCAGAUCCAGAAGCGCCCGAUCCAAACUUGCCCAACUUCUCCACCUCCAGCGGUAAAUCGAGCUCCCCUGAUGCACCCUCCAGUUGAAUCCGCUCUAUGUACUCAUUUAGCCACUCAAAAUGGGUGCAUUGCUUCAAUUUCUGAAAUUGGAAAGAUGAACCCUAAAUCCCAAAUCCGAUGAAAAAUGGGGAAAAAUUGUGAUAUGAAAUUGGGAUACAAAAACCAAAAUUGGCAUAUUGAGAAGUAAAAUCUCACCUUUCCCUGCUCUGGUUUGCUCUCGCAUUUCACGAAUUCCCGCCCAAGGUUGCCAUUCUUGUCGGUCGUUGUGACUAGCCGCUUCAGGGGUGUGAUACGUGGGCCUGCAGGGCACCUUGUCAUGGGCACUGCGCCAUAGCGCGGCCAUGAGCGGCGGGAGGCUGAAGCGGAGCUCGACAUUGCUAGGUCGCGGCCCGGAACGGCGUUGCUGCGCGUCGUCGCCGGAGAAGAAGAACAACAACGGUCGGGGAGGGGGGGUGGGGGCGGGGGCGAGGAUGGGCCACGGCUCGGGCCACGGCUCGGUGUCCUCUUGUACCAAUGCUGACCUGGAUAAGUUAGUGGGUCCCACGCAGUGGGUCCCGCUCACCUGACCAAUGCUGAGUUGGAUAAGUUAGUGGGUCCCGCGCUGUGGGUCCCGCUCACCUGAUUCGAGUUUUAAACAUGUGUCUUUGGAUUAGACAGCAGUGUCGCAUGGGAGCUAUUUUUUCCUAUGCAGAUGUCGCAUGAGAGCUAUUACAACCAACAACGUCGCAUGAGAGACAAUACACACCAACGAUGUCGCAUAGGAGCUAUUCGCCCUUUGGAAACAUUGCUAAGUUUCAUUGUUUGAAACUUAGUACGAGCGACCGAUAAAAUUUAAUUAUUUUGUGUCUACGACCAACAGGAGAAAUUGCUUAAAAUUACAUCUUUGAAACUGGUCAUUUUUUGAUGCAAAAAUGUAAGUUUCAUCAUUGAAACUUAAGGGCAUGUCCAAUGCUGGAUGCUUAUCCAGGCGCUUAUCGUGUGGAAAAAAAAAAUGCCACGAAGUUAGCUCUCGCUUGUCCAACAGCCAAUGCUAACAACGGGCGCUAACCACGGCUGGAGCUAUAGAUUAGAAAGAAAGAUCUGGUUCACUUGUACGUGAAAAAAGGAGCAAGCGCUCGAUGCCUUGCUUUGCAUCGAUGCCAGACUGAGGUGCUGGGAAUCGACAAGAUAACCGCCAAUCUACCAGGAUUAAAUUCCUAGCGCCUUCUUCUAGCGCCUCCCACUGAAAAUGCCCUAAAGGUUUUUGAGGGAUUUUUUUACUGUGUCCUACUUCACGUAUCACGAGGCAAAUCAAGUAGGCGGCAUGGCCUGGCCGGUGAGUGCCAUUGCACUUACUUGCCCCAGCGAUUUUCCGCCUGCAUUGUAGAAUUCUUUCUCCGAGUCCUGUGAAUUAAAGAUGGUGCAGACAAAAGUAUAUCCUAUAUGCGUACAUGUGCAUGAUCAGAACAUGUUUUUACGUGCGUCUACUAUAAAUCAUGACCAUUUUUAACACAAAUCAUGACCAUUCAUGAUUAGUGAAUCAUACUGUCUUAACUUAUGUGAAAUCAUGUGGAGUAAUAUAAUAUAAUAUAAUAGAUAGAUAGAUCCAUGUUGUAUCAUUACACAUUUUGAUUUAUGCAUUUGUUUACAAAAAAAACAGUAAAAUUUCAUGGUGAAAAGUUUGUAUUGUUUCAUACUGAACACCAAUGUUUUCCCGUAAAAGAAAAUAAUGCCUACGCAUAUGCUUUUAUAUUAUUAUUAUUCUUUCAAACUUAUUCAUAUAGUAUUUUUGAUUGUGCAACCAUAAUUUUUAUUAUCUCUCUUGUUCCACUACAUGCUCUUACUCAAUGAUUUUUUUAUAAUGGGUGUUUUUAUUAACUCAAAAUAUAGCAUCAAGCGGAUACAAAACAUAACGAGCCACGUCCGGUCUCUGCAUAACUAAGAUGCACACAGCCAAAAGCAGAAGUCUGACAAAAAUAAGAUAAGAAAAUCAACAUAUCGACAACAGUGAGUCAUAUAGUUCCGACACUAUGCCUCUGUUGAAGGACGGGGUGGAGCGAUCUGGAGAUUAUGCUUCCCUCCAUUUUGAGUAAAUACCUCCCUGGCCACUUGUUCCAACCGCAUAGACGCCGCCACGAAUAAUGGUUGGUACUCUGUUCGGUGUAGCAUACACCAUGUAGGAAGUGAGUGCUCACUCCUAGUUACUAAAUUAUGUACACACUAGUAGAAAAAGGGCCAUUUGUCCCGGUUCGUAAGGCCCAUUUGUCUCAGUUAGGGAACCGGGACUAAAGGGUCGGUACUAAAGCCCUACACCUUUAGUCCCGGUUCUUACACCAACCGAGACAGAUGGGGCUCCACGUGGCCGCUGCGGCUUGCCAUGGCAGGGGGGCCUUUUGUCCCGGUUGGUAGCACCAACCGGGACCAAUAAGCUACCACGCGUCAGCAUUUGAGGGGCUUGGGUUUUUGUUUUUUUCUGAAGGGGGGGAGGGGGGUUGGGGGUUUUGGGGGGUUUUGUAUGGUUAAUUUUGGGGGGUUUCAUAUAUAGUGUUAGGUAGUAAUUAAUUAAUAGAGAGAAGUGUCCUCUCUUAUCUCCGUGCUUGGUCGACGCUACGUACUAUACGUAUAGAGAGGCCCUCGACACGCUUGCCAGUAAGCAAAUGAAGGAAACCAUUAAGUACAGAAGUUCGUCAUGAACAUAUGCAUACAAACAUAAGUGAUAUCGACCUCUCCUUCUCCGAGAGAUAGGUCGAAGAACAAGUUUCCGUAUAUCUAUCCGGCGCUACUAGCUACAUAUAUACAAUAUUAAGAUCUCUUACAAUAUAAUCCCCUAAUUAUAUAUGAACUCAGCUUCCAGAUGGUAUUCUCCGGCUUUAUUGAUGACGUGGUCAAGAAAGAAUCCCUCCAAUUCCUCUUGAAUUGCUUUGAUGCGAUCUUGUGGUAGGAGUUCAUCCUGCAUCUGCCACAUCUAAUUUGAAGAAGGGGGUCAAUCACUAGUGGAAUAACAGCCAUUUGUCUAGGUUCGUAAGGCUCAUUUGUCCCGGUUGGGGAACCGAGACUAAAGGGUCGUUACUAAAGCCCUACACCUUUAGUCCCGGUUGUCGGUGUCAAAACCGGCGGAUCUCGGGUAGUGGGUCCUGAAUUGUGCGUCUAGGCCGGAUGGUAACAGGAGGCAGGGAACACGAUGUUUUACCCAGGUUCGGGCCCUCUUGAUGGAGGUAAAACCCUACGUCCUGCUUGAUUAAUAUUGAUGAUAUGGGUAGUACAAGAGUAGAUCUACCACGAGAUCAAGGAGGCUAAACCCUAGAAGCUAGCCUAUGGCAUGAUUGUUGUGUAUGGAGUUGAUUGCCUACGGACUACAACCCUCCGGUUUAUAUAGACACCGGAUAGGGUUAGGGUUACAUAGAGUCGUUUACAAUGGUAGGAGAUCUUGAAUAUCCGCAUCACCAAUCUUGCCUUCCACGCCAAGGAAAGUCCCAUCCGGACACAGGACGAAGUCUUAAAUCUUGUAUCUUCAUAGUCCAGGAGUCCGGCUGGACGUAUAGUCCGGCUACCCGAACACCCCCUAAUCCAGGACUCCCUCACCGGUUCUUACACCAACUGGGAGAGAUGGGCCUCCACGUGGCCGCUGCGGCGAGCCCAGGUAGGAGGUCCUUUGGUCCCCGUUAGUGACACUAAUACGUCUCCAACGUAUCUAUAAUUUUUGAUUGCUCCAUGCUAUUAUGUUAUCCAUUUUGGAUGUUAAUGGGCUUUAUUUUACACCUUUAUAUCAUUUUUGGGACUAACCUACUAAUCGGAGGCCUAGCCCAAAUUGCUAUUUUUUGCCUAUUUUAGGUUUUUGAAGAAGAGGAAUAUCAAACGGAGUCCAAACGGAAUGAAACCUUCGGGAACGUGAUUUUCUCAACGAACAUGAUCCAGGAGACUUGGAGUGUGCGCCAAGAAAUAAGGGAGGAAGGCACGAGGCAGGGGGGCGCGCCUACCCCCCUUGAGCAUGCCCUCCACCCUCGUGGGCCCUCCACUGCUCCACCGACGUACUUCUUCCUCCUAUAUAUAUCCACGUACCCCCCAAACAACCAGGAGCACCACGAAAACCUAAUUCCACCACCGCAACCUUCUGUACCCGAGAGAUCCCAUCUUGGGGCCUUUUCCGGAGGGGGCAUCGAUCACGGAGGGCCUCUACAUCAACUGCAUGGCCUCUCCGAUGAUGUGUAAGUAGUUUACUUCAGACCUACGGGUCCAUAGUUAUUAGCUAGAUGGCUUCUUCUCUCUCUCUUUGGAUCUUAAUACAAAGUUCUGCUCGAUUUUCUUGGAGAUCUAUUCGAUGUAAUCUUCUUUUGUGGUGUGUUUGUCGAGAUCCGAUGAAUUGUAGGUUUAUGAUCCAGAUUAUCUAUGGACAAUAUUUGAUUCUCCUCUGAAUUCUUUUAUGUAUGAUUCGUUUAUCUUUGCAAGUCUCUUCGAAUUAUCAGUUUGGUUUGGCCUACUAAAUUGAUCUUUCUUGCAAUGGGAGAAGUGCUUAGCUUUGGGUUCAAUCUUGCGGUGUUCGAUCCCAGUGACUGAAAGGGAAGCGAUAUGUAUUGUAUUGUUGCCAUCGAGGAUAAAAAGAUGGGGUUUAUAUCAUAUUGCAUGAGUUUAUCCCUCUACAUCAUGUCAUCUUCCUUAAAGCAUUACUCUGUUCUCUUGAACUUAAUACUCAAGAUGCAUGCUGGAUAGCGGUCGAUGUGUGGAGUAAUAGUAGUAGAUGCAGAAUCGUUUCGGUCUACUUGUCUGGGACCUGAUGCCUAUAUACAUGAGCAUACCUAUAUAUUCUCAUAACUAUGCUCAAUUCUAUCAAUUGCUCGACAGCAAUUCGUUUACCCACCGUAAUACUUAUGCUCUUGAGAGAAGCCACUACUGAAACCUAUGGCCUCGGGGUCUAUCUUCUAUCAUAUUAAUCCUCCAAUACUUAGUUAUUUAUAUUUCUAUCUAUUUUACUUUCCAUCUUUUAUUUCUCUUUAUCAUAAAAAUACCAAAAAUCUUAUCUUAUCAUAUCUAUCAGAUCUCACUGUUGUAAGUGACCGUGAAGGGAUUGACAACCCCUUUAUCGCGUUGGUUGCGAUGUUCUUAUUUGUUUGUGUAGGUUCGUGGGACUUGAGCGUGAUCUCCUACUGGAUUGAUACCUUGGUUCUCAAAAACUAAGGGAAAUACUUACGCUAAUUUACUUCAUCACUCUUUCCUCUUCAAGGGAAAACCAACGCAAUGCUCAAGAGGUAGUGUCGGUGUCAAAACCGGCGGAUCUCGGGUAGUGGGUCCCGAACUGUGCGUCUAGGCCGGAUGGUAACAGGUGGCAGGGAACACGAUGUUUUACCCAGGUUCGGGCCCUCUUCAUGGAGGUAAAACCCUACGUCCUACUUGAUUAAUAUUGAUGAUAUGGGUAGUACAAGGGUAGAUCUACCACAAGAUCAAGGAGGCUAAACCCUAGAAGCUAGCCUAUGGUAUGAUUGUUGUAUAUGGAGUUGAUUGCCUACGGACUACAACCCUCCGGUUUAUAUAGACACCGGAUAGGGUUAGGGUUACAUAGAGUCGGUUACAAUGGUAGGAGAUCUUGAAUAUCCGCAUCGCCAAGCUUGCCUUCCACACCAAGGAAAGUCCCGUCCGGACACGGAACGAAGUCUUCAAUCUUGUAUCUUCAGAGCCCAGGAGUCCGGCUGAAGGUAUAGUCCGGCUAUCCGAACACCCCCUAAUCCAGGACUCCCUCAGUAGCCCCUGAACCAGGCUUCAAUGACGACGAGUCCAGCGCGCAAAUUGUCUUCGGCAUUGCAAGGCGGGUUCCUCCUCCAAGUCCUUCAUAGAAGAUUGUAAGCACCAAGAGUAGUGUCCGGCUCUGCAAAAUAAGCUUCCACAUAUCGCCAUAGAGAGAAUAAUAUUAACACAAAUCAAAUCUGCUGACGUAUUCCGCAGUGCGUCAUCACACUACAGCCAAGUCCUUCACUCGAAUCGUUUUCACUUUUCCACCUCAGCGUGUUUUGCGAGGCGGUUUCCUUGGCACGUCUUGUCAAAGCAGAGAUCGUGUCCCCCUUGUUUACGGGAUUCUCGUUAAUACGGACGUGGGUAACCCAACCGCGCCACUUAUCACGGCGCUUGGGAGGCAAGCGAGUUUUACUAGGCUGGUGGGGACGCAUAGUCGCAUCCGCCCAUAUAAGGGGAUAAGGAUCCACCUUUUUACCUACGCCUUCUUCCUCCUUUGCCUAGCCAUCUUCUGCGCACCCGAGCUCUAGCGCCCCAGCCCGCGCUUCCUACCUCAACCCUCUCCAACAAUGUUCGGAGCGGGAGGCAAGUGGAUGGUCUCCUCCGUCACGGAGGGCCAUGUCAAAAGGUUAAGGAAGGCCGGAUACUUGUCCAAAGACAUCGCGCACCGGCUUCCUGAGGAGGGGCAGCUUCUCCCCACCCCAAGGCCCCAUGAGAGGGUAGUAUUUCUUCCCCACUGCCUCCGCGGACUGGGUUUUCCUCUCCACCCAUUUGUCCGCGGGCUCAUGUUCUACUAUGGCCUAGAUUUCCACGAUCUGGCCCCGUACUUCAUCCUCAAUAUCUCGGCGUUUAUCAUCGUGUGCGAGGCUUUCCUCUGCAUUCGCCCCCAUUUCGGCCUCUGGCUCACGACCUUCAACGUCAAGCCAAAGGUGGUGCGCGGUAACCAGGCGGAGUGCGGAGGUGCCAUGGCGGGCAAAAUUGCCAACGUCCUAUGGCUCGAGGGCUCCUUUGUGGAGACCUUGAAGGGGUGGCAGUCAGGGUGGUUUUACAUCACCGAGCCACGCGAUCCGAAGUGGAUCGCAGCCCCUGAAUUCCGAUCCGGACCCCCUACGCGGCUCAUGUCCUGGAAGGAGACGAGCUUGUCGUGGGGCGACGAAGGAGAGUUGACCAGACUGCAAAAAUGCAUCCAGUCCCUGGUGAACAAGCAGCUCAAGCUUGUCAACGUAAUCUAGGUCAUGCUCGUCCGCCGGAUUCUUCCGUGUCAAGAACGGGACUUCAAUUUGUGGGAGUUCAACCCGGCGCAACACCGAACUCUGAGAAGGCUCUUCAACACGACGUACGAAGAUGUCUGGAGGGGGCUAACCAAAGGCGCCGAGACUCCCACAUCCGCCUCCGAAGACCGCGGAUUCAGCUCGCAGCGUCCUGCUGGCGAGGUAAGAUAUUUCCAUCUUUUACAGGAUGUUAAGCUUUUUCAUAGUUGACUCUAUGCGGGAUCAAAACUCCCUCACCUUUGACAGGAUUGGCGGGAGAAGUCCGGACAGAUUAAAUGCCCGGCUCCCUUGCCCGAAGACCUAGCCCCUGCUCUCCUAGAGAAGCUGCUGGUUUCGGCACCUUAUGUGGUGCCGGAGAAGAGGGCCAAGAAGAAGAAGGCCACGGGGACUCGAAAGAGUUCCUGGCAUAUGGUGGUGUCGGACUCGUCGUCCGACCAGUCCGAGACGCACUCCUCCCGUGAAGACGAGGAGGAAGAGUGUCGGACUCGUCGUCCGACGAGUCCGAGACGCACUCCUCCCGUGAAGAGGAGUGGCCGGACUACGUCCCCGACGCCGACGAGGACGAAGAGGAGUGGCCAGACAGGGCCAAGCAUCCGGCGAGAUCGUAAGUGUUCGGAUACCAGAGUAACUCGUGAUAUUCCUUUUGUUGCACAGCUUUCCCUAAUGUCGGAUAUAAUCAUGCAGUCCGCCCAAGGAUGGGCUCGACGAGUCGUCGAGCGGCUCCCUGGAUUCAUCGGACGUGAAUUCAGUUCCGCCUACUGCUUCCCCCUGUGCUGCAGAUGACGCCGAAGUGGCGUCGCGACAAGCUCCGGGACGAGAGGAGGUGGUCCAGGAGGAGUCGCGAGGUGACCUCCCGGACUCCAGGAGUGAAGGGGACAAGACCCCCCUGGGAUCCAAGUUCGGCUUUAAGCCGGACACUGAGAUGGAAUCAUCAACAGUUCCGGACUGCGGUAGGCGAACUCCUACCAGGAGGAGCAAGCCUACUGAGCCGGCAUCCUCCGUCCAGCCGGAGGCGCCGGACAAUCUGCUGGAGGAGCUUAAGGGCGCCUCCACCGACGAGGAGCACCGUGCCGUCAUGAGUACGGUGAUCCAGAAGGUUCGGUCCGCCAAAAGCGGACUGACUGAAGCUUGUGCUGGCCUUCUAACAGGCUUCGAGGUAAGUAAAAAUAUGUAAAAAUAUUACCGUAUAGACAGUAGCCCCUGAUGCUCUGUUUGGCGUUUGUAAAGAAAAGCCAAAUAGAGGAUCUAUUAAAUAUCGCAGGAGUCUAACUAAAAAGGAGUCAAUAUAUGUAUGCAGGCUUCGCUGCUGGCCACCGCCGCACUGACUGCGGAGGUGGGUGCCCUGAAGGAGGGCCUCCAGCGGACCGAGCAAGAGCUCGGCCUUGCCAAACGGCAGCUCGAGGAAAAAGAAUGUAAGAGAUACCUUACAGAAAAAGUGCCUAUAAAAAGGCUUGAUUGCAAAAAGAGUAGCAGGAUUGUACUGCUUAUUGUAGGGGCCACGACUGAGGUGGCGACCUUUAAGCAGGUGUUGUCUGAGGCCGAAAAGAAAACGGCCGCGGAGCGCACCGAGCGAGACAGACUUGGGGCUCAGGUCAGCGAGGUGCAGCAAGAGCUUCAGGCUCUCAUGAAAAAACAUGAGAGUUUGAAGCUGGAGUCGAAGGCGCAAGCAUCCGAGCUUGCAACGGCCCUAGAGGCUGCCAAGUCUACCAAGGCCGAUGCCCUAAAGACCCUCCAAGAGUUGGAGGAGAUGAGGAAGAUAGCAACGGGUAAGGCAUUCUUUAUGCAAAGCAGAAAUAUAAAAGUGAACUACCUGUUACUUACCCGAAUCCGAAGCUCUCCAGGGGCAUUCGCAGAUCUUCCCUGCAGCGUAUCCGAUGCCGCCGCAUUAUACCAAGCUGAAGAGGGUAGCUCGACGGAGAAGGUGUUCUGGUUUCAGUAUUCUGAGGCCGGACACCCUGUGCCCUUGAGCAACCAGCUGAAACAGCUGGUUGAGCUCCACAAGGCGGCCAAGCAGGCCAUGAAGGGCUUCAUAGUUCGGCUGUGGCCUGGAGAGGCCCUACCUGGGAGCUAUCUCGGGCUGGUGCGGCGGCUGGUGGAGGCCUGUCCGAGGCUUGAGGUCAUCAAGUGCUCCGUCUGCAUCGAUGGUGCCCGUCGGGCCCUUGCCCGUGCAAAGGUGCACUGGGGUAAGCUGGACGGUGAGAAGCUUGUGAAGGACGGGCUGCCGCCGGGGAAGGAGCAUCGCAAGCCCGAGAACUACUACAAGGAUGUUCUUGCAGGUGCCCGCCUUAUGGCGGAUCAAUGUACCAAGGAUGUGAUAUUUGAAUGAACUCGCUCGUGUUUAUCUUGUGCGCUGAAAACUUGUUCAUAUGUGCUAAGCAAUGCUUAUUGAAUUUAAAAUAUUACUUUCUGUGCGGCCAUUUAUCAAAAAUUGAGAGAUGGCCAGUCGUCGGCUUCUGCCCCCGUGCCACUAGUGCUGGGGUGUUCGGGAUAAACCUGAGCGCUCUUUUUCCCAUAGUUGGGUCCUUCGAGGGAGGCGCUCAGCACAACGAACCAGGCAAUCGGACUAUAAUGCUUGAACACUCUCACUUAGCCAUAGAGCUCUAUAAUUUUAAAUUUCGGUGAAGCCCGUAGUUCGGAAGACCGAGUUCGGGGCGCUAUCCACGCCUUGGCCGGACAAAGCCGGCUCCUCGCUCGAAGCGGCAUAAGCCUUUAGGGACUCGAAAAACCUCUCGAACAGCGAUCGGUCUCUCGCCACAUCAUGACAGUCAGUUUUAGCUUUCUCCACUCAGGUGCUUAACCCAGGUGAACCGGGGCACAAUCGCAGUGGUUCUCCUAGUGCUACCUUAGCCGAUAGAGCGGAACGUAAGGCACCAAAACAUAGGAGCCACGCAAACCCAACUAUUGACCCAAAUCAUGAUUCGGAGCCGAUGCAUAUAGUGCUAUAAGUUCGGGGUGCCGCACUUGUGAAAGUGUACGGACUUCUCACACCAUUAUGAGCGGUACUGAAGCCCCUGGCAUGUUUGCCAUACCAUGGUGUACGGGUGCAAUCAUGUCAUUUAAUAAACAUAAAUGUGAAAAGAAGAUAAUGCAAAAAAUAGACUAGAAGCUAAGCAUUGUUUAUAGAGAGGCUAUUUAUCAAAGCCGAACGAUACAAAUAGUGCGGUAAGCAAAAGAUAUUGGACUAUUCAGUAUGUCCUGACCAGGGGCAGGCCGCGGAAUUGUAUUUAAAACAGGUAUACCGCUCGUAACAGAGACCACCUGGGAGUUCCAUAAUGCGUCAUGGCUUGUCUGCCUCCCUGGAUCUUGCAUCGUUUGUGCGGCAGUCGAAUUGCCGAACAGGUCGUCCGAAGUAUGGAGUCCUGAAAGAAGAAAAAAUUAAAAAAAGAAUCCGGCAGCCCCUAGUACGUAUUAAGCCGUAUUUUGGGCGUGUUGUUAUUGUGCCCCUUCCCCUGUGCCCAUGGUAUUUCAAGGGCGUAGUUAUGUACGUGAGGUACUGGUUUCGCUAUGUUGCGAAAGCUGGGGUUGGGGCCGCAUUGCUACGCUUGCUUAGAGUGUGCCAGGCAGUGUCUGGCUUUUUAAUGGCCGGACUGGAGAAUUGCCUGAGAAGGCUACUUUGUACCUCCGCUGCGAGAGCCGCCGUAUGCUCCUCCAUAUGGAGGGAGCGUUCGGUGUUUCCGUUGAACGUAAUUACUCCUUGAGGGCCUGGCAUCUUGAGCUUGAGAUAUGCGUAGUGCAGCACCGUGUUGAUCUUUGCGAAUGCGGUUCGUCCGAGCAGGGCAUGAUAGCCACUGCGAAACGGUACUAUAUCGAAGAUUAACUCUUCGCUUCGGAAAUUGUCCGGGGAUCGGAAGACCACAUCAAGUGUUACUGAGCAUGUACUGUUGGCUUCUACACCUGGUAUAACGCCUUUAAAGGUCGUUCUUGUGGGCUUAAUCCUUGAGGGAUCUAUGCCCAUUUUCUGCACUGUAUCCUGAUAAAGCAGGUUCAGGCUACUGCCGCCGUCCAUGAGGACUCUUGUGAGAUGAAAUCCGUCGAUGAUCGGGUCGAGAACCAAUGCGGCGAAGCCGCCAUGACGGAUGCUAGUGGGAUGGUCCCUUCGAUCGAAAGUGAUCGGGCAGGAGGGCCAUGGGUUGAACUUUGGGGCGACUGGCUCCAUCGCAUAUACGUCCCGUAGCGCAUGCUUCCGCUCCCGCAUGGGAAUGUGGGUUGCGUAUAUCAUGUUCACCGUCCACACUUGUGGGGGAAAGCCCUUCUGUCCAUUGUUGUUCGGCGGCUUGGGCUCCUCGUCGUCGCUGUGCAGCCCCUUGUCUCUGUUUUCGGCCCUUAACUUGCCUGCCUGCUUGAACACCCAACAAUCCCUGUUAGUGUGAUUGGCUAGCCUUUCGGGGGUGCCAUGUAUCUGGCACAAGCGAUCGAGUAUUCGGUCCAAACUGGACGGGCCCUGAGUAUUCUUUUUGAAUGGCAUUUUCCGCUGACCGGAUUUAUAGCCUUUGAAUCCGGCAUUGACUGCCGUGUCUUCAUUGCUGUCGCUGCUAACGCGGCGUUUUUGCUUAUUCCGAUGUGUCCUACCACUUUUGUCCUUGGUAUCCGAAUUACCAGGGUGCUUUGAUAAGUUGUUACUGCGAGCUAGCCAGCUGUCUUCUCCCGCGCAAAAGCGGGUCAUGAGUGUCGUGAGGGCUGCCAUGGAUUUCGGCUUUUCCUGUCCCAGGUGCCAGGCAAGCCACUCGUCGCAGAUGUUGUGCUUCAAGGCUGCCAGGGCCUCUGCGUCCGGACAGUCGACUAUCUGGUUUUUCUUUGUUAGGAACCGUGUCCAAAAUUGUCUGGCCGAUUCCUCUGGCUGCUGAAUUAUGUGGCUUAAGUCGUCGGCAUCCGGUGGUCACACGUAAGUGCCCUGGAAGUUGUCGAGGAAUGCGGCUUCCAGGUCCUCCCAAGAACCGAUUGAGUCUGCUGGCAAGCUGUUAAGCCAAUGCCGGGCCGGUCCUUUAAGUUUGAGCGGGAGGUAUUUGAUGGCGUGUAGAUCAUCGCCGCGUGCCAUGUGGAUGUGAAGGAGACAAUCCUCGAUCCAUACCGCCGGAUCUGUUGUGCCAUCGUAUGAUUCGAUGUUUAUGGGUUUGUAGCCCUCUGGGAUUUUAUGAUCCAUUACUUCAUUCGUGAAGCAUAGCGGGUGUGUGGCGCCUCUGUAUUGGGCUAUAUCACGACGUAGCUCGGAAGAGCUAUGUCUGUUGUGUUCGGCCCGGCCGGAUUUGUUGUAUCCAGAGUGAAGAUCAUUUUCCCGUGCCUUAGUUGAGAGGUGUCGGGGCAUGGCUUGGGUGGAGGGCCGAGACGCCUCUCUGUCGCGGCCGCGAGGUGGCCGGUCUGCCAUGUCAUGCGCUGGUGAUGUAGGUGCUUCCUCCUCUGAUCGGGGUAGCGGCCUAUGCUUCGGGUAACUCUUGGAGGGGCGUUCGAGUUCAUACUCUUCGGCCGCAAGGACUUCAGUCCAUCUGUCAGCUAGCAAAUCUUGGGCAGCUCUAAGUUGUUGCUGCUUUUUCUUGAGGCUGCUUGCCAUGGCUAAAAGCCUGCGUUUAAAAAGCUCUUGUUCGGCGGGGUCUGAUGGUAUGACGAAUUCGUCGUCAUUGAGGCUUGCCUCGUCUUCGGAGGGAGGCGUAUAGUUAUCAUCCUCGACCUUUCCGUCUGCCGCUCUCUCAUCAGGGCUGGCUUCUCCAUCUUCCUGUGCCGAAUCUUGCUGAGGUGGGUGUUCUUCGGCGCUAUCCGGGGUAGUAUUAUCUCUCAUGUCGGAAUCACCGUUUUUGCUUUGGCGGGAUUUAGAGCGGCGCCGCUGGUGCCGGCGCUUUGGCUGUUUCUUGGGGGCGUCAUCCCCCACUGUUCCAUCGCCAUCUCCAUCUUUUGGAGUAUCCACCAUAUAUAUGUCAUAUGAUAAGGUGGCCUUCCAGCGCCCUACAGGUGCUGGUUCCUGUUCGUCUCCUACAUUGUCGUCCAUGCCGUCGAUGUCUUUGGAGCUGAAGUCAACCAUGUAGGUUAGACCGUCGAUAAUGGCUACAAAGUGGGUGGUGGGUGGGCUUUGAAUUUCCUCAUCGUAUGUAUCCCACCCUCGCUGACCGUAGUCCGGCCAGGGCUCUCCUGAUAAAGAGAGAGACUUAAGAGAAUUCAGGAUGUCGCCAAAAGGCGAAUGCUGAAAGAUGUCUGUAGCGGUGAACUCCAUUAUCGGCACCCAAUCGGAUUCGAUUGGCAGGGGCGCGGGGGGUUCGGAGUCCGGGGAGGAGUCCGGAUCCUCGGAGUCACGGGUCGUGCAGAGUGCGGGGCUAGCGUUCGGCUCGAUCGCUUUCGGGAUCGCAGCCCCCGAGGUGACGUCCAACCGCUCAUCCUCGAUUGGCGCAAUAGGUUCCGAGUUAGGGGUCGGAACCGAUGCGUGUGCGGCCUCCAGGACACUGGCCGGGGGCAGAGCUAGAUCAUGCCCCUCGGGAUAGUGCGGCGUGCUUGGCCGUGGCUCGAGCCCGUCGAAGAUCAAGUCUCCGUGGAUGUCAGCCGUGUAGUUUAAGCUUCCAAACCUGACUUGAUGGCCAGGGGCGUAGCUUUCGAUCUGCUACAGGUGGCCGAGCGAAUUGGCUCAUAGAGCGAUGCCGCCGAAGACGAAGAUCUGUCCGGGGAGAAAAGUCUCACCCUGGACCGCAUCGUUGUUGAUGAUCAAAGGAGCCAUCGGGCCUAAAGGCGACGAGACAGAGGAACUCUCAAUGAAAGCACCAAUGUCAGUGUCAAAACCGGUGGAUCUCGAGUAGUGGGUCCCGAACUGUGCGUCUAGGCCGGAUGGUAAUAGGAGGCAGGGAACACGAUGUUUUAUCCAGGUUCGGGCCCUCUUGAUGGAGGUAAAACCCUACGUCCUGCUUGAUUAAUAUUGAUGAUAUGGGUAGUACAAGAGUAGAUCUACCACGAGAUCAAGGAGGCUAAACCCUAGAAGCUAGCCUAUGGUAUGAUUGUUGUAUAUGGAGUUGAUUGCCUACGGACAACAACCCUCCGGUUUAUAUAGACACCGGAUAGGGUUAGGGUUACAUAGAGUCGGUUACAAUGGUAGGAUAUCUUGAAUAUCCACAUCGCCAAGCUUGCCUUCCACGCCAAGGAAAGUCCCGUCCGGACACGGGAUGAAGUCUUCAAUCUUGUAUCUUCAUAGCCCAGGAGUCCGGCUGAAGGUAUAGUCCGGCUACCUGAACACCCCCUAAUCCAGGACUCCCUCAGGUAGCAAGAUGGAUUUCUGGCGCCAUUGCCGGGGAGAUUCGCGCCAAGUCAAGACAUACCAAGUACCCAUCACAAACCCUUAUCCCUCGCAUUACAUUAUUUUCCAUUUGCCUCUUGUUUUCCUCUCCCCCACUUCACCCUUGCCAUUUUAUGCGCCCUCUCUUUUUCCGUUCCCCUCUUUUCCACUUGCUUUGUCGUUAUGGCUAGUCCUUUAUCUACUCCUUUGUCUCCCGAGAAUGAAGUUCUUAAUUUUAAACAAAGGGAGGGAGAAAAUCUAAAAGAUGCUUGGUACAGAAUUUGCAACACACAAAUUAGAUCUACUAGGAAACAAUCUACUUUUGUUCUUCUUCACGAUUUUUAUGUAGGCAUCACACCUUGGAAUAGAUAUAUUCUUGAUGCCAUUACCGGAGGGAAUUUCUUGGGUAGCCAUACUUUUGAUUCUUAUAAUGCUAUGAUAGAUCUGUUUGGCCCACCACCUCUUUUGGUUAAUGGAACUAUUUUAACUUUGGAACAUGUGAUGCAAUGGCUUGAAAUUAGUGAAAAUAAAGUUGCCACCAUAGAGUUAAUUGAAAAUUUGGAUAGAAAGAUCCAUAACCAAAUUACCCAAUACGGAUCUAAGUUAGGAGUUGCUCUUAAAAGUUUUAAAGAAAAGGGACCUAUGGUUAAUGAAAAGAUAGAAAAGGAUUCCACUAGAAUUGAUAAAAUUGAGGAUAUUAUUACCAACCUUGGGUCUUCCUUUUCUUCUAUUAUAAAUACUCCGCCUAAUGCUAAGAUUGCCAAACUAAUGUAUGUUACAAAAAAUAAGGGUGAAACUUCUAAUAAGGAAAAUGCGGAUCUCAAAUCCAUAAGUGUUCACCCCAAUUUUCUCACUAUCCUUAAGGAACCUUUUGCUACAAAUGAUUUUCUUGAUUUCAUACCUAGGAGUUUGAUAAUUAAUAAAAACAAAGAAACUCCUAAAAGUUAUUGGUGUGUUAUUGAAGAAUCACCUUCCAAAGACGGCAAUACCUAGGUCUAUCUUCGCUUUUAUGCCUAGCUAGGGGCGUUAAACGAUAGCGCUUGUUGGGAGGCAACCCAGUUUUACUUUUAUUCCUUGAUGUUUGCUCCUAUUUAGUAAUAAAUAAUUUAUGUAGCCUAUGUUUUGGUUGUGUUUUUUGUGUUUAAUUUGUGUUUGUGCCAUGUAGAACCAUUGGGUAGACUUGGGGAAAGUCUUUUUGAUCUUGCUGUAAAAAACAGAAACGUUAGCGCUCACGAGAAUCGCUGACAUUUUUAUUUGGAAAGUGAUAUUUAGAUAAUUCUUUUUGCGGAUGAUUAAUAGAUAAAUUCCUCACGUCCAGCAAUUUAUUUUAUAAUUUUUGGGGUUACAGAAGUUCGCGUUAGGUACAGAUUACUACAGACUGUUCUGUUUUUGACAGAUUCUGUUUUUCGUGUAUUGUUUGCUUAUUUUGAUGAAUCUAUGGCUAGUCAAAGAGGUUAUAAACCGUAGAGAAGUUGGAAUACAGUAGGUUUAACACCAAUAUAAAUCAAGAUUGAGUUCAUAACAGUACCUUGAAGUGGUGUUUUGUUUUCUUUCGCUAACGGAGCUCACGAGAUUUUCUGUUUGAGUUUUUUGUUGUGAAGUUUUCAAGUUUUGGGUAAAGAUUUGAUGGAUUAUGGAACAAGGAGUGGCAAGAGCCUAAGCUUGGGGAUUCCCAUGGCACACCAAGGUAAAAUUAAAGGACACCAAAAAGCCUAAGCUUGGGGAUGCCCCGAAAGGCAUCCCCUCUUUCGUCUUCGUCUAUUGGUAACUUUACUUGGAGCUAUAUUUUUAUUCACCACAUGAUAUGUGUUUUGCUUGGAGCGUCUUGUAUGAUUUGAUUAUUUGAUUUUUAGUUUACCAAAAUCAUCCUUGCUGUACACACCUUUUGAGAGAGACUCACAUGAUUGGGAAUUUAUGAGAAUACUCUAUGUGCUUCACUUAUAUCUUUUGAGCUAUAUGGUUUUUGUUCUAGUUCUUCGCUUAUAUAUUUUAGAGAAUGGCGGUGGUUUUAUUUUAUAGAAAUAAUUGUUCUCUCAUGCUUCACUUAUAUUAUUUUGAUAGUCCUUUAGAACAACAUGGCAAUAAUAAAACUGUCAUACAAGUGCAUUGAAUACUAUGAGAAGUUUGAUACUUGAUAAUUGUUUUGAGAUAUGGAGAUGGUGAUAUUAGAGUCAUGCUAGUUGUGUAGUUGUGAAUUUGAGAAAUACUUGUGUUGAAGUUUGUGAUUCCCGUAGCAUGCACGUAUGGUGAACCGUUAUGUGACGAAGUCAGAUCAUGAUUUAUUUGUUGAUUGUCUUCCUUAUGAGUGGCGGUCGGGGAUGAGCAAUGGUCUUUUACUACCAAUCUAUCUCCCUAGGAGCAUGGGCAUAAUACUUUGCUUUGAUAACUUAUAGAUUUUUGCAAUAAGUAUGUGAGUUCUUUCUGAGCAAUGUUGAGUCCAUGGAUCAUACGCACUCUCACCCUUCCACCAUUGCUAGCCUCUCUAAUACCGUGCACUUCUCGCCGAUAUCAUACACCCACCAUAUACCAUCCUCAAAACAGCCACCAUACCUACCUAUUAUCACUAGUGCAGAACCGGGCAAUAGCACCGGUUCGUAAGGCCCUUUAGUGCCGGUUUAGGAACCGGCACUAUUAUUUCGGCACUAAACCCCCCCCCCUUUAGUACCGGUUCAGCACGAACCGGUGCUAAAGGGGUACCACGUGGCACGAGCCAGCUCCGGGGGCCGGGAGCCCUUUAGUACCGGUUGGUAAAACCAACCGGUACUAAAUGGUUGUGGGUUUUUGUUUUAUUUUGUAUUUUUCAAUUAAAUUUGUGUUAUCAAUUUAAAUUAGGAUUGUUUUACGUUAUAAUGAGUUGUAGUCGUCAUCAUCAUCAUCAUCAUCGCAUAUUAAUAAAUAAAUAAACUCUAGCUAGCUAAAAAUCAUCGUGGUCGUCUAAUUACCACUAUUUAAUCAUCAUAGUCAUUACCGCUAGCUAUGUAAUCAUCAUCAACGUUGGCUAGCUUAAAGAGGAAACAUUCACUUUGUAACAGAAGCAAAGAGAUAUCAUCAAGUUCAACAUAAUCAUCACCAACAUCGAAGUUCAGGACACGGAUCCAUGAGACGAGUACUAAUUAAGAGCAUGAAGUAGUAGCUACUGAUCCUGCUUCUCCCUCUCAGGUAGAAUAGCACAGAACAUGUAUAGCUCUCCUGAUUCAUCAUACUGAAGCAUGCAGAUGAAUCUGUCUCCUAAUCUUGGGUUGCGCUUCUCCUUACUGCCCCCUAGUACUUCUCUGCGAUCGUUAACAAUUUUGCUCCAAUCUUUCACUAUUAAGCAUUCUUCGCUUUUAGAAAUCCUGAAUGCACUCAUGUGCAAUGUAGGAAAUCUUGGUCGUAAGCUAACCAUUGACAUGCGACCUUUUGUCUCGAUCCACUAAGGCACAACUGUCAUCGGAAGUCCCUGUUGAACAACAUCGUAUAGUAAUUAAUAUACUAAGCAAUGAAAGUUUAGCUUUAAAAAUAAUGUACGCAAAAGAUGCACUAAUUAAGGACAAAUAUUUAAAAUCUUACCAUCUUUUGAUUAUAGAUGUGACCGUAGUUCAAGGCGAUCACCAUUGGUCGCACGUUUUGAGUACUAACAUUUCUAAGUUUAGAAAAAAAAUUGUCUUGACAGUAUUAAGAUCCUCAAGCCAUGAAACACAAUGACUUAUUUCCUCGCAGUUUAGUUGAGCCCCGAGGUAGUAGUAGGUCCUGUCUACCAAGCGCCGGACAUGUUUGCUUGAACCGAAAUAAGCUGACAAUACACAUCAGUUGUCAACUAUUUUUGAAUAAACUGUACGAAAGACAUAAACGUAUAUAUGCAUGCAUGGUUGAGAAAAACUCACCAAAUGGUAGAACUGGAGGCGUUUGCACAUCGACCCAGAUGUCUAUAUUACCUUCAAUAUCAUCUUCCGGACGAAUAUCAAAGGUGAUAACCAUAUCAGGCUCAAAUGCAUAAGCCUUGCAUAGUGCUUGCCAAGUUUUGCAUUCAAAAUGGGUGUAUGUGCCUCCAUUAUAUAAUUUGACGUUGAAAGUAUACCCAUGCUCCGUCUUCAAGUAAACUCUCUUUACCUCCAUAUCAUCUAUAGCACUAAAACCUAUCUUAUAUAAUACAAAAAUUCUUGUAUGGCAGGGGAUGCGCUAGUAGAAUAGUGAAAAUUUAAAAUUAUAAGUUGAAGCAAAUGAAGCAUAAGUUUUGCAUUCAAAUAAUAAUUGACAAAGUGGCUUACUGUAUCAACUUCAAAUGUCUCAUCCAGCUUGAUGUUGAAGCGCCUACCAUCAACAAGGAAAUUUUGGUCGCACAGGCCGCGCUGGUCUUCACAGUGUUCGCACAUAAUAAAAUCUUUUUAGUUGUCAGAUGACAUUUCCUAUGUUCAUAUAGGUGAAACAUUAAACACCUAUAUCUAGCCAAAUAUAUAUUCAUCUAACAUUUGACAUUAAUAUAUCUAACUAUAUAUUCAAUUGACAUUACUAUAUAUUUAACUUUUCUAUCUAAUUCAUCUAACAUUCGACAUUAAUCUAACAUUUAUAUAAACUCAAAAUAUAUAAAAAAUUAAAUAAACAGAAAAACUCAUUAACAAAUAAUAUUUUAAUUAGAUCAUCAAAUCUCAUAUACCUAAAUUUUCUUACUAAAAAUAAACUAGUUAUAUUAAUUAUUCAACUAGUUCUAAUCUNNNNNNNNNNNNNNNNNNNNNNNNNNNNNNNNNNNNNNNNNNNNNNNNNNNNNNNNNNNNNNNNNNNNNNNNNNNNNNNNNNNNNNNNNNNNNNNNNNNNNNNNNNNNNNNNNNNNNNNNNNNNNNNNNNNNNNNNNNNNNNNNNNNNNNNNNNNNNNNNNNNNNNNNNNNNNNNNNNNNNNNNNNNNNNNNNNNNNNNNNNNNNNNNNNNNNNNNNNNNNNNNNNNNNNNNNNNNNNNNNNNNNNNNNNNNNNNNNNNNNNNNNNNNNNNNNNNNNNNNNNNNNNNNNNNNNNNNNNNNNNNNNNNNNNNNNNNNNNNNNNNNNNNNNNNNNNNNNNNNNNNNNNNNNNNNNNNNNNNNNNNNNNNNNNNNNNNNNNNNNNNNNNNNNNNNNNNNNNNNNNNNNNNNNNNNNNNNNNNNNNNNNNNNNNNNNNNNNNNNNNNNNNNNNNNNNNNNNNNNNNNNNNNNNNNNNNNNNNNNNNNNNNNNNNNNNNNNNNNNNNNNNNNNNNNNNNNNNNNNNNNNNNNNNNNNNNNNNNNNNNNNNNNNNNNNNNNNNNNNNNNNNNNNNNNNNNNNNNNNNNNNNNNNNNNNNNNNNNNNNNNNNNNNNNNNNNNNNNNNNNNNNNNNNNNNNNNNNNNNNNNNNNNNNNNNNNNNNNNNNNNNNNNNNNNNNNNNNNNNNNNNNNNNNNNNNNNNNNNNNNNNNNNNNNNNNNNNNNNNNNNNNNNNNNNNNNNNNNNNNNNNNNNNNNNNNNNNNNNNNNNNNNNNNNNNNNNNNNNNNNNNNNNNNNNNNNNNNNNNNNNNNNNNNNNNNNNNNNNNNNNNNNNNNNNNNNNNNNNNNNNNNNNNNNNNNNNNNNNNNNNNNNNNNNNNNNNNNNNNNNNNNNNNNNNNNNNNNNNNNNNNNNNNNNNNNNNNNCGGCGGCGGGGACAGCGACGAUGACGACGGACGACGGUACGGGCGACGGGCGGCGACGACGGGAUCGAGCGGUCCGCGCGGCGGAGGUGGGAGACGAAGUGGGGAGUUGAAACUGAAAUUUUCGUAAGUGCUAUAUAUAUAUAUAUAUAUAUAUAUAUAUAUAUAUAUAUAUAUAUAUAUAUAUGAUUGGCCUUUAGUACCGAAUCGUGGCUCCAACCGGUACUAAAGGCCUAUUUUCGCCAGGCCAAGCGGCGGGAAACGAAGGCUUUUAGUACCGGUUGGAGCCACCAACCGGUACUAAAGGGGGGCCUUUAGUACCGGUUGGAGCCACCAACCGGUACUAAAGGCCUUGCGCUGCCACCCCAAAAUUUAGUCCCACCUCGCCCGGCGAAGGGCAGCCGCACUGGUUUAUAAACCUAGCCGCGGCUACCUCUUCGAACUCCUCUAUAUAGCAGCCUUCUGGGCCUAAUUAAUUAGGGCGCGCUGCCAUGUGAGUCUGCUGGCCCUUCUGGGCCUGCAUUUGCACACCCUAGGUCUGGUAGACCCACAGGGCAGUGCGCCAACAAAUUUUUUAUAUAGUUUUAUCUUUUCUGCAUUACUUAUUUUCUUUUAUUUAUUUUUGAGUAGUUUUUUAUAUAGUUUUUGUUUUCUGCAUUAUUUAUUUUCUUCUAUUUAUUUUUGAGUAAUUUUUUUGUAUAGUUUUUUUAUUUUCUGCAUUACUUAUUUUUGCAUAGUCCGAAACCCUGAUACUCGGAAAGAGUUUGUCCAGUUUGUACACGAAGUGCGUCCAGUUUUUGCCGUGACCCUCUCUACUCUUUCGCGCAUGCUAUGCGGGUGAUACGAUGAUACCAUGCCAAGUUUCAACAUUUUCAGGAUUCAUUUUGUAGUGAUUUUCAAUUUCACGGUCAUUUAGCUCUCUAAACAAUUAGGUAAAUGACUGAAAAACAACAAAUGAUGUCAGAACAUGUUGAAAAUUGAUGACGUCGCUUUAAAUGCUGCAUACUGAACACAAAAGAAGUCCGGAGUACAAAUAAGUUUAAAAAACAUUGAAGUGGCCAUGUAACAGAUGAGUUCUCGUCCGAAACCCUGAUACUCGGAAAGAGUAUGUCCAUUUUGUACACGAAGUGCGUCCAGUUUUUGCCGUGACCCUCUCUACUCUUUCGCGCAUGCUAUGCGGGUGAUAUGAUGAUACCAUGCCAAGUUUCAGCAUUUUCAGGAUUCAUUUUGUAGUGAUUUUCAAUUUCACGGUCAUUUAGCUCUCUAAACAAUUAGGUAAAUGACCGAAAAACAACAAAUGAUGUCAGAAUAGACUGCACUGCACAUAGCUCAGUGUAGACUACACUGCACAUAGCUCAGUGCAAUCUAUGUUAUUCCGCAAGGCUUGAAGCUAAUCAACAUGUAGAUGAGCAUUGCAAUUCUUCGUCAUUGUCUGUGCACUCACGGCUUAUAAACCGCUCAUACUGCCUCUCUCUUGGCGAGGUGGGACUAAAAACAACUUGCCAUAACCUCAUCAAUUUCCUCUUGAAGCUUGUCCUUGCCUUUUUGCUUGUAUUCUUGUGGUGGAAGAUCAUCUUGAGCUUGUGUCCCCUUGAAGGAAGUAGGAUACUUCUCUUGUUGAGGAACAAACUUUGUCUUGGGGUAUUGAUCUUCUUCCCACUCAACUCCAUUGGCAUUGAACUUUCGUUCAAAACCAACACCUUGAUUCUUCCAGUGCCUUCCUUGCUUGCGCACAAUUUCCUCGAAUUGCUUACUCCCGGCAAGGCUUUUGUACAUUCCUUUCUCUAUAAUUCCCUUCAAUAAGCUAUUUUCUUGCUCAAGUGUAACUUGGCUAAGAGAAUCAUUAGUGGAAUCAAGAGAACUACUAGAAGCAACAAUGUUAGAUCUUAUGUCACAAAAAAGAAGUCGUAUCAAACCUUUUAUGUCGGAUCUAGAACAAACCAAUCGGUAUCGCCAUCAUACAGCCCUACCGUGGCUUGUGAUGCAUAUAUAUAUGCAUAUCAAAUGCACGGUUGGGCGUAUGAUGGCGAAUCCGAAUGAUUUGUAUUCAGUCGAUGAACUGGUAGAUGUAUGCAGUCGAUGAACUGGUAGAUGUAUGUAGUCGAUGAACUGAAAGACUUAUGCAGGGAAGGCGAGAGAUGGGCUAUAUAUAGGGUCGUCUGGCUCACAAAGUGAUUGUGGUAGUUUCGAUCCAACGACUCACAUGAGCUAGGAAGAAGCACACCCUUGAUCCAACGACUCGCAAGAGCUAUAAAGAAACACACGAUCCAUGUGAUUCUUCCUGAUUGGUGGGAUGCACAUUAGUAUCGGUUUGUGCCAUGAACUGGUGCUAAAGAUUGGCAAUGAACCGGUACUAAUGGUAGCAGCCCGCCUAGCCGUUGGAAUCGGCACUAAUGGUCACAUUUGUGCCGGCUCAAAUUCAAACCGGCACUAUAAUGUGCUUCACAUUUGACUGUUUUUCUACUAGUCAAUAGAGUUUGCCAAACUUGAGUUUCCCAAGUCACUUACACAAAAAGCUAUGAUUCAUGGUUGUCAAAUCCAUAAUUUACAAACCACAACAACCUUGAGGCAUAACAAGCUUUAAAUGCUGCAUACUGAACACAAAAGAAGUCCAGAGUUUAAAUAAGUUAUUAAAAAUAAAAAAGAGGUGCAAUGCUGGUUAAUUUGCUUCAAGCUAUUCGGAAUAGUGUAGAUUGCACUAAGCCACUGCACAUAGCUCAGUGCAAUCUAUGCUAUUCCGCAAGGCUUGAAGCUAAUCAACAUGUAGGUGAGCAUUGCAACUCUUCGUCAUUGUCUGUGCACUCACGGCUUAUAAACCGCUCAUACUACCUCUCUCUUGGCGAGGUGGGACUAAAAACAUCUUGCCAUAACCUCAUUAGUACUGGUUCAUGGUACGAACCGGCACUAAAUGGUGAUGGUGGGGCCAUAGCCUGACCGCAGGCUGACACAGCCUCUUUAGUACCGGUUCGUGGCAUGAACCGGUACUAAAGGUUCGCCACGAACCGGUACUAUUGAUCGCCGCCACGAACCGGCACUAAUGUACACAUUAGUGCCGGCUCUAAUUCAAACCGGCACUAAUGUGCUUCACAUUUGACCCUUUUUCUACUAGUGUAUGGCAUUUCCAUAGCCAUUCCGAGAUAUAUUGCCAUGCAACUUUCCAUCGUUCCAUUAUUAUGACACACUUCAUCAUUGUCAUAUUUGCUUGCAUGAUCAUGUAGUUGGCAUCGUAUUUGUGCAAAGCCACCAUUCAUAAUUCUUCAUACAUGUCACUCUUGAUUCACUGCAUAUCCCGGUACACCGCCGGAGGCAUUCACAUAGAGUCAUAUUUUGUUCUAAGUAUCGAGUUGUAAUUCUUGAGUUGUAAGUAAAUAAAAGUGUGAUGAUCAUCAUUAUUAGAGAAUUGUCCCAAGUGAGGAAAGGAUGGAGACUAUGAUUCCACAACAAGUCGGCAUGAGACUCCGGACGAAAAUAAAAAAAGAGGGAAAAAAGAGAAAGGCCAUAAAAAAGAAGGCCCAAAAAAUGAGAGAAAAAGAGAGAAGGGGCAAUGUUACUAUCCUUUUUCCACACUUGUGCUUCAAAGUAGCACCAUCAUCUUCAUGAUAGAGAGUCUCCUAUGAUAUCACUUUCAUAUACUAGUGGGAAUUUUUCAUUAUAGAACUUGGCUUGUAUAUUCCAAUGAUGGGCUUCCUCAAAUUGCCCUAGGUCUUCGUGAGCAAGCAAGUUGGAUGCACACCCACUUAGUUUCUUUUGUUGAGCUUUCAUACACUUAUAGCUCUAGUGCAUCCGUUGCAUGGCAAUCCCUACUCAAUCACAUUGAUAUCUAUUAAUGGGCAUCUCCAUAGCCCGUUGAUACGCCUGUUCUGGAGCUCCGCCAGAGGGGGCAUCGAUCACGGAGGGCUUCUACAUCAACAGCAUAGCCUCUCCGAUGAAGUGUGAGUAGUUGACCUCAGACCUACGGGUCCAUAGUUAUUACCUAGAUGGCUUCUUCUCUCUUUUUGGAUCUCAAUACAAUGUUCUCCCCCUCUCUUGUGGAGAACUAUUCGAUGUAAUCUUCUUUUUGCGGUGUGUUUAUUGAGAUCGAUGAAUUGUGGGUUUAUGAUCAAGUCUAUCUAUGAAUAAUAUUUGAAUCUUCUCUGAAUUCUUUUAUGUAUGAUUGUUUAUCUUUGCAAGUCUCCUCGAAUUAUCAGUUUGGUUUGGCCUACUAGAUUGAUCUUUCUUACAAUGGGAGAAGUGCUUAGCUUUGGGUUCAAUCUUGCGGUGUCCUUUCCCAGUGACAGCAGGGGCAGCAAGGCAUGUAUUGUAUUGUUGCUAUCGAGGACAACAAGAUGAGGUUUUCAUCAUAUUGCAUGAGUCUAUCCCUCUACAUCAUGUCAUCUAGCUUAAGGCGUUACUCUGUUUUUAACUUAAUACUCUAGAUGCAUGCUGGAUAGCGGUCGAUGAGUGGAGUAAUAGUAGUAGAUGCAGGCAGGAGUCGGUCUACUUGUCUCGGACGUGAUGCCUAUAUACAUGAUCAUACCUAGAUAUUCUCAUAAAUAUGCUCAAUUAUGUCAAUUGCUCAACAGUAAUUUGUUCACCCACCAUAGAAUUAUUAUGCUCUCGAGAGAAUCUACUAGUGAAACCUAUGGCCCCCGGGUCUAUCUUUAUCAUAUUAAUCUCCUACUACUUAGUUAUUUCCUUUGCUUUUUCCUUUGCCUUUAUUUUACUUUUCAUCUUUAUCACAAAAAUACCAAACAUAUUAUCUUUAUCAUAUCUAUCAGAUCUCACUCUCAUAAGUGGCCGUGUAGGGAUUGACAACCCCUAUUCGCGUUGGUUGCGAGGAUUUAUUUGUUUUGUGCAAGUACGAGGGACUCGCGCGUAGCCUCCUACUGGAUUGAUACCCUUGGUUCUCAAACUGAGGGAAAUACUUACGCUACUUUGCUACAUCAUCCCUUCCUCUUCGGGGAAAACCAACGCAGUGCUCAAGAGGUAGCAAGAAGGAUUUCUGGUGCCAAUGCCGGGGAGGUCUACGCAAAAGUCAACAUACCAAGUACCCGUCACAUACCCUUAUCUCCCGCAUUACAUUAUUUGCCAUUUGCCUCUCGUUUUCACCUCCCCCACUUCACCCUUGCCAUUUUAUUCGCCCUCUCUCUCUCUCUAUCCUCCCUCUCUUUCUCUAUUUGCCUCUUUUUUCCCGCUUGCUUUCUGUUUGCUUGUGUGUUAGUUGCUUGCUUGUCACGAUGGCUCAAGAUAAUACUAAAUUAUGUGACUUCACCAAUACCAACAACAAUCAUUUUAUUAGCACUCCGAUUGCUCCUCUUACCGAUGCUGAAUCUUGUGAAAUUAAUACUGCUUUGCUGAAUCUUGUCAUGAAAGAUCUGUUUUCCGGCCUUCCUAGUGAACAUGCCGGUACCCACCUAAAUAGAUUCAUUGAUUUGUGUGACAUGCAAAAAAAAGAAAGGUGUGGAUAAUGAUAUUGUUAAAUUGAAGCUAUUUCCUUUUUUGCUUAGAGAUCGUGCUAAAGCUUGGUUUUCGUCUUUGCCUAAAAAUAGUAUUGAUUCAUGGAAUAAGUGCAAAGAUGCUAUUAUCUCUAAGUAUUUUCCUCCUACUAAGAUCAUCUCUCUUAGAAACAAUAUUAUGAAUUUUAAGCAACUUGAUCAUGAACAUGUUGCACAAGCUUGGGAGAGAAUGAAACUAAUGGUACGUAAUUGCCCUGCCCAUGAUUUAAAUUUGUGGAUGAUUAUACAAAAAUGUUAUGCCGGAUUGAAUUUUGCUUCUAGAAAUCUUUUAGAUUCGGCCGCGGGAGGCACUUUUAUGGAAAUCACUUUAGAAGAAUCUACUAAACUCCUAGAUAAUAUUAUGGUUAAUUAUGCUCAACGGCAUAGUAAAAUAUCUAAUAAUAAAAAGGUGCAUGCGAUACAAGAAAUUAAUGUUUUGAGUGGAAAGAUGGAUGAACUUCUGAAAUUAUUUGCUAAUAAGAGUGUUUCUUCUGAUCCUAAUGAUAUACCCUUGUCUACUUUGAUUGAGAAUAGUAAUGAAUCUAUGGAUGUGGAUUUUGUUGGUAGGAACAAUUUUGGUAACAACGCGUAUAGAGGAAAUUUCAACCCUAGGCCUUAUCCUAGUAAUCUCUCUAAUAAUUAUGGUAAUUCCUACAACAAUUCUUAUGGAAAUUAUAAUAAGAUGCCCUCUAAUUUUGAAUCUAAUAUUAAAGAAUUUAUUACUUUGCAAAAGAAUUUCAAUACCUUGAUUGAAGAAGAACCGCUAGGAUGCGUGCUAAGAAAGAUGCCUUUAUAAGAGCGUGUUCUUCUAGUUCCUAUGAAAAUAAUGAUGAAGAUCUAAAAGUUAUUGAUGUGUUCCCUAUUAAAUCUUUGUUUUUCAACAUGGAUCUUGAUAAUGAUGGGAUUGAAUAUGAUCCACCUUUACCUAUAAGGCGUUCCAAGAAUUCAGAAUUUGUUGAUCUUGAUGCUAAAAUUGAUAAAGGUGGGAUUGAAGAAAUUAAAACCCUAGAUGUUGCUAAACCCACUAUUAUGGAUUUCAAGGAAUUUAACUAUGAAAAUUGCUCUUUUAUUGAUUGUAUAUCCUUUUUACAAUCCGUGCUAAAUUCUCCUCAUGCUUAUAGUCAAAAUAAAGCGUUUACUAAACAUAUCGUUGAUGCCUUGAUGCAAUCUUAUGAAGAAAAACUUGAAUUGGAAGUUUCUAUCCCUAGAAAGCUUUAUGAUGAGUGGGAACCAACUAUUAAAAUUAAAAUUAAAUAUCAUUAAUGCUAUGCUUUAUGUGAUUUGGGUGCUAGUGUUUCCACGAUUUCAAAGACUUUGUGUGAUUUGUUAGGUUUCCGUGAUUUUGAUGAUUGCUCUUUAAACUUGCGCCUUGUGGAUUCCACUAUUAAGAAACCUAUGGGAAGAAUUAAUGAUGUUCUUAUUGAUGCAAAUAGGAAUUAUGUGCCUGUAGAUUUUAUUGUUCUUGACAUAGAUUGCAAUCUUUCAUGUCCUAUUAUUCUUGGUAGACCUUUCCUUAGAACGAUUGGUGCAAUUAUUGAUAUGAAGGAAGGAAAUAUUAGAUUCCAAUUUCCAUUAAGGAAAGUCAUGGAACACUUUACUAGAAAGUAAAUUAAAUUACCUUAUGAAUCUAUUAUGAUAGCCACUUAUGGAUUGCCUACCAAAGAUGGCAAUACCUAGAUCUAUCCUUGCUUGUUAUGCCUAGCUAGGGGCGUUAAACGAUAGCGCUUGUUGGGAGGCAACGCAAUUUUGUUUUUAUUCCUUGAUUUUUGCUCCUGUUUAGUAAUAAAUAAUUUAUCUAGCCUCUGUUUUGGUUGUGUCCUUUGUGUUUAAUUAGUGUUGGUGCCAAGUAGAACCGUUAGGAAGACUUGGGGAAAGUCUUGUUACACUUGCUGUAAAAAACAGAAACUUCAGCGCUCACGAGAACUACUGCCAUUUUUAUUUGGAAAGUUCUAUUUAGUUAAUUAUUUCUGCAGAUGAUUAAUAGAUAAAUUCCUCACGUCCAGAAAUUUAUUUUAGAAUUUUUGGGGUUCCAGCUCUUGAGCUAGGUACAGAUUACUACAGACUGUUCUGUUUUUGAAAGAUUUUGUUUUUCAUGUGUUGUUUGCUUAUUUUGAUGAACCUAUGGCUAGUAAAAUAGUUGAUAGACCAUAGAUAAGUUGGAAUACAGUAGGUAUAACACCAAUAUAAAUAAAUAAUGAGUUCAUUAUAGUACCUUGAAGUGGUCUUUUAUUUUCUUUCGCUAACGGAGCUCACGAGAUUUUCUACUUUAAGUUUUGUGUUGUGAAGUUUUCGAGUUUUGGGUAAAGAUUUGAUGGUUUAUGGAACAAGGAGUGACAAGAGCCUAAGCUUGGGGAUGCCCAUGGCACCCCCAAGAUAAUCUAAGUACACCUAAAAGCCAAAGCUUGGGGAUGCCCCGGAAGUCAUCCCCUCUUUCGUCUACUUCUAUCGGUAACUUUACUUGGAGCUAUAUUUUUAUUCGCCACAUGAUAUGUGUUUUGCUUGGAGCAUCUUGUAUUAUUUGACUCUUUAUUUGUUAGUUUACCACAAUCAUCCUUCCUGUACACACCUUUUUUAGAAUACUCUAUGUGCUUCGCUUAUAUCUUUUGAGUUAUAUAGUUUUGCUCUAGUACUUCACUUAUAUCUUUUAGAGCACGGUGGUGGAUUUGUUUUAUAAAAACUAUUGAUCUCUCAUGCUUCACUUAGAUUAUUUUGAGAUGCUUAAUAGCAUGGUAAUUUGCUUAAAAUCCUAAUAUGCUAGGUAUUCAAAGUUAGUAUAAUUUUCUUAAGAGUGUUUUGAAUACUAAGAGAAGUUUGAUGCUUGAUGAUUGUUUUGAGAUAUGGAGGUAAUAAUAUCAAAGUCGUGCUAGUUGAGUAGUUGUGAAAUUGAGAAAUACUUGUGUUGAAAUUUGCAUGUCCCGUAGCAUGCACAUAUGGUAAACGUUGUGUAACAAAUUUGAAACAUCAGGUGUUAUUUGAUUGUCUUCCUUAUGAGUGGCGGUCGGGGACGAGCGAUGGUCUUUUCCUACCAAUCUAUCCCCCUAGGAGCAUGCGCGUAGUACCGAGGUUUUUGAUCACUUGUAGAUUUUUGCAAUAAGUAUGUGAGUUCUUUAUGACUAAUGUUGAGUCCAUGAAUUAUACGCACUCUCACCCUUCCAUCCUUGCUAGCCUCUUCGGUACCGUGCAUUGCCCUUUCCCACAUUGAGUGUUGGAGCAAACUUCGCCGGUGCAUCCAAACCCCGUGAUAUGAUACGCUCUUUCACACAUAAACCUCCUUAUAUCUUCCUCAAAACAGCCACCAUACCUACCUAUUAUGGCAUUUCCAUAGCCAUUCCGACAUAUAUUGCCAUGCAACUUUCCACCAUUCCGUUCAUCAUGACACAUUCAUCAUUGUCAUAUUGCUUAGCAUAAUCAUGUUGUUGACAUAGUAUUUGUGGCAAGGCCACUGUUCAUAAUUCUUUCAUACAUGUCACUCUUGGUCCAUUGCAUAUCCCGGUACACCGCUGGAGGCAUUCAUAUAGAGUCAUACUUUGUUCUAGUAUCGAGUAGUAAUUAUUGAGUUGUAAAUAAAUAGAAGUGUGAUGAUCAUCAUUAAUAGAGCAUGGUCCCAAAGAGAGAAAAAAGGAAGGGCCAAAAAAGGCCAAAUAAAAAAUAUAAAAAAGGGGGGCAAUGCUACUAUCCUUUUUUCCACACUUGUGAUUCAAAGUAGCACUGUAAUCUUCAUGAUAGAGAGUAUCUUGAUUUGUCACUUUCAUAUACUAGUGGGAAUUUUUCAUUAUAGAACUUGGCUUGUAUAUUCCAACAAUGGGCCUCCUUAAGUGCCCUAGGUCUUCGUGAGCAAGCAAGUUGGAUGCACACCCACUUAGUUUCUUUUGUUGAGCUUUCAUACAUUUAUAGCUCUAGUGCAUCCGUUGCAUGGCAAUCCCUACUCCUUGCAUUAACAUCAAUCGAUGGGCAUCUCCAUAGCCCAUUGAUUAGCCUCGUUGAUGUGAGACUUUCUCCUUUUUGUCUUCUCCACAUAACUCCACUCAUUAUAUUCUAUUCCACCCAUAGUGUUAUGUCCAUGGCUUGCAAUCAUAUAUUGCGUGGAAGUUUAUAGGUUUGAGAUCACUAAAGUAUGAAACAAUUGCUUAGCUUGUCAUCGGGGUUGUGCAUGAUGAGAGCGUUGUUGUGUGACAAAAAUGAAGCAUGACUAAACUAUAUGAUUUUGUAGGGAUGAACUUUCUUUGGCCAUGUUAUUUUGAGAAGACAUAAUUGCUCAGUUAGUAUGCUUGAAGUAUUAUUAUUUUUAUGUCAAUAUGAACUUUUGUCUUGAAUCUUUCGGAUCUGAAUAUUCAUAUCACAAUUAAGAAGAAUUACAUUAAAAUCAUGCUAAGUAGCACUCUGCAUCAAAAAUUCUGUUUUUAUCAUUUACCUACUCGAGGACGAGCAGGAAUUAAGCUUGGGGAUGCUUGAUACGUCUCCAACGUAUCUAUAAUUUUUGAUUGCUCCAUGCUAUAUUAUCUACUGUUUUGGACAAUAUUGGGCUUUAUUAUCCACUUUUAUAUUAUUUUUGGGACUAACCUAUUAACCGGAGGCCCAGCCCAGGAUUGCUGUUUUUUGCCUAUUUUAGGGUUUCGAAGAAAAGGAAUAUCAAACGGAGUCCAAACGGAAUGAAACCUUCGGGAACGUGAUUUUCUCAACGAACAAGACCCAGGAGACUUGGACCCUCCGUCAAGACACAAAAGAGGAGGCCACGAGGUAGGGGGCGUGCCUACCCCCCGGGCGCGCCCUCCACCCUCGUGGGCCCCCUGUUGCUCCACCGACGUACUCCUUCCUCCUAUAUAUACCUACGUACCCCCAAAUGAUCAUAUACGGAGCCAAAACCCUAAUUACACCGCCGCAACAUUUUGUAUCCACGAGAUCCCAUCUUGGCGCCUGUUCCGGAGCUCCGCCGGAGGGGGCAUCGAUCAUGGAGGGCUUCUACAUCAACACCAUAGCCUCUCCGAUGAAGUGUGAGUAGUUGACCUCAGACCUACGGGUCCAUAGUUAUUACCUAGAUGGCUUCUUCUCUCUUUUUGGAUCUCAAUACAAUGUGCUCCCCCUCUCUUGUGGAGAACUAUUCGAUGUAAUCUUCUUUUUGUGGUGUGUUUGUUGAGACCGAUGAAUUUUGGGUUUAUGAUCAAGUCUAUCUAUGAAUAAUAUUUGAAUCUUCUCUGAAUUCUUUUAUGUAUGAUUGGUUAUCUUUGCAAGUCUCUUCGAAUUACCCGUUUGGUUUGGCCUACUAGAUUGAUCUUUCUUGCAAUGGGAGAAGUGCUUAGCUUUGGGUUCAAUCUUGCGGUGUCCUUUCCCAGUGACAGUAGGGGCAGCAAGGUACGUAUUGUAUUGUUGCCAUCGAGGACAACAAGAUGGGGUUUUCAUCAUAUUUUAUGAGUCUAUCCCUCUACAUCAUGUCAUCUUACUUAAGGCAUUAAUCUGUUUUUAACUUAAUACUCUAGAUGCAUGCUGGAUAGCGGUCGAUGAGUGGAGUAAUAGUAGUAGAUGCAGGCAGGAGUCGGUCUACUUGUCUCGGACGUGAUGCCUAUAUACAUGAUCAUACCUAGAUAAUCUCAUAACUAUGCUCAGUUCUGUCAAUUGCUCAAUAGUAAUUUGUUCACCCACCGUAGAAUACUUAUGCUCUUGAGAGAAGCCACUAGUGAAACCUAUGGCCCCCGGGUCUAUCUUUAUCAUAUUAAUCUCCUACUACUUAGUUAUUUCCUUUGCUUUUUUACUUUGCCUUUAUUUUACUUUGCAUCUUUAUCACAAAAAUAAAAAUAUCUUUAUCAUAUCUAUCAAAUCUCACUCUCGUAAGUGGCCGUGUAGGGAUUGACAACCCCUAUUCACGUUGGUUGCGAGGAUUUAUUUGUUUUGUGCAGGUACGAGGGACUGGCGCAUAGCCUCCUACUGGAUUGAUACCUUGGUUCUCAAAACCUAAGGGAAAUACUUACGCUACAUUGCUGCAUCAUCCCUCACUCUUCGGGGAAAACCAACGCAGUGCGCAAGAGGUAGCAAGGGUUCCUUUUUGUCGACGAUCUGAUGUUUCAACCUUGUUUUCCAGGCGGCCAACGCAUCGCUCAACUUGGUCAUGGCGUGUUUGUUUAUCUUCGUCAUUGCCAGGUCCUUAUCUGGAUCUUUAUUAUCCUUUUCAUUACGGUCCGGGAACAAGAAUAUCUGGUGCAGCUUCUUUAGGAGGGAGGGCCUCUGGUGCAGCUUCUAUAGUUUCCCAUCGUUGAUCAUGGCAGUUGUCCGUACAAUGCAACCUAUUUGAUUGCCGUAGCACGAUUGCGCUUCCUCGGGUGCUAUUGUCUCAAAAAUACCGUCGUCCAUCUCCGUGACCACCAGUCUAGUACUCAUGAGCUGGUUUAGGCGUCGUGGCCUCUUUGCUUUCGGUUCUAGACUAACUCCGCUAGUCUCGGCGCUGGUCUCAGUCUCAUCGCCGGUCUGCAUGUCGGUAUCAGUCCCUGAUGCGACAACACAGUCGCUGCAACAUGGGUAAGGGAGACCACAUCAGUGCUGGGGGGUCCGAAAAUCGGGACACACUUUCGCGCGUCGCGGGCCGCCUCUCAGACAGCUACUGGGGAGGCGGCGGAGUACCUGGGUGCGCCGCGAAUCCCCGGGAACUCGGUGACCAACUUCCUUCCCGUGUGGCGCAUGGAGACGACAGCGACCCCGGCGAAGAGUAGCUUAGCCGCGAGCUGCACAGCCUCGUCCACCUCCUAAGUUGGGACCUCCGCGCAAGCGUUGCGGGGCCGCCGCUCGGGUGGCUUCUGGAAGGCGGUUGUACAUGGGCACAGGGUGAAUCCCGACUAGAGCUGGCCAUUGGCGCGCGCAAGUAGACGACGACGUCCCCGACGAAGAGCUGCCCGGCCAGCUCGCCUCACUCUCCUUUGAUUAGAAAUGAAAGAUUGGGAAGAAGCAGACUUGAGCCUGCAGAGAAAGGAUAAGGUGACGAUGCAGUCUCCACUCGUUCGGGGCGACACGCGUACUGAAUGUAUGAGAAACGUGACGUGGCAGAGACCCCAAGAUACUCCCUCCAUUUAUUUUUAGUCUGCAUAUAAAGUUUGGUCAAAGUCAAGAUUUGUAAAUUUUAACUAACUUUAUAAUAAAAAAAUAUCAAUAUUCACAAUAUGAAAUCAAUAUUACCAGAUGCGUCAUGAAAUGUAUUUCCAUACUAUAAAGUUUUGGUAUUGUAGAGGCACUCUUCCAUAUAAUGAAGUUUAUAAUAUAUGUGCUUAUAUUGUACUACAAUUGUUUGAAUAGCUUAGCAUAUGUUCAGAUGUAUGAUAUCUGUAAUUUAAGCGCUUGAAUUUUACAUAUAAAUAUUUAUUAAUAAAUAUGUACCCCUAUAAUAGCUAGGCCGUGCAGUUGCACGGGUAGAUGACUAGUGAUUACAAUCUUGUUUGUGUGCAAGUCAAGCUUAUCUAGUUUACACGUAACAACUUGUAGAACAUUACAAAAUUUAUGCUUGCUAAUAACUUCUAGAACACUACAACACUUGACAUGUAAAAGGAAUUUGACGAGUCAUGGCCUACUAAAGCAAGUUACAUUACUAGUCUUAUCUAUCUUAACAGACCACACAAGAUUACAAACUAAGUACCGUGACAGCCAUACUUAUCUAGUUUAUGCGUAACAAUUUGCAGAAAAUUAGAAACUUAGUUUCAGAAAAAUACGCAAUCUAGAUUAGUGUUUGAGCUGUAAAGUGAAUAAGAUGAGUCAUGCAUGUUAUCACACCUUUUUGGUGGUGGAAUGAUAGUGCAACAACAAGGAACUUUAAUGACCAGUCCAAGAAUACACUUGUAAGUAGUGCCACCAAACAGAACAUUCCAAAUGAUGAUUUUUAGAAGCAUCCAAGCACUUUCCACACAAACAAAUGCCAAUUGUGAAAGAGAUCAUUCCAUGGCAGCUAUAAAUAGCCCCAUAGCAUGACGAUCAUCCUUCCUCAUCCAUCAUUCUCAUUAGUAGAGCGCAUCAUUUAAGCCAAGCAAGCUGUGGUCAAUACAAAUCCACCAUGAAGACCUUUCUCAUCCUUGCCCUCCUUGCUAUCGUGGCGACCACCGCCACAACUGCAGUUAGAGUUCCAGUGCCACAAUUGCAGCCACAAAAUCCAUCUCAGCAACAGCCACAAGAGCAAGUUCCAUUGGUACAACAACAACAAUUUCUAGGGCAGCAACAACCAUUUCCACCACAACAACCAUAUCCACAGCCGCAACCAUUUCCAUCACAACAACCAUAUCUGCAGCUGCAACCAUUUCCGCAGCCGCAACUACCAUAUUCGCAGCCACAACCAUUUCGACCACAACAACCAUAUCCACAACCGCAACCACAGUAUUCGCAACCACAAGAACCAAUUUCACAGCAGCAGCAACAACAACAACAACAACAACAAAUCCUUCAACAAAUUUUGCAACAACAACUGAUUCCAUGCAUGGAUGUUGUAUUGCAGCAACACAACAUAGCGCAUGGAAGAUCACAAGUUUUGCAACAAAGUACUUACCAGCUAUUGCAAGAAUUGUGUUGUCAGCACCUAUGGCAGAUCCCUGAGCAGUCGCAGUGCCAGGCCAUCCAAAAUGUUGUUCAUGCUAUUAUUCUGCAUCAACAACAAAAACAACAACAACAACCAUCGAGCCAGGUCUCCUUCCAACAGCCUCUGCAACAAUAUCCAUUAGGCCAGGGCUCCUUCCGGCCAUCUCAGCAAAACCCACAGGACCAGGGCUCUGUCCAGCCUCAACAACUGCCCCAGUUCGAGGAAAUAAGGAACCUAGCGCUACAGACGCUACCUGCAAUGUGCAAUGUCUACAUCCCUCCAUAUUGCACCAUCGCGCCAUUUGGCAUCUUCGGUACUAACUGAGAAGAAAAUAACUCUAGUACUAGAUAUAUGAAACACCGUUUUCUCAGUCCAUGGUUUGGUCAUUGUAGCGUUGAAAAAAUAAUGUGACAUGCACUAUCAUGUAAGAAUCCGAACUAUACUAGUUCAAACUUGGGAAUAAAAGACAAACACAGGUCUUGUCUACAUAUUUAUGUUGCAUCUAUUUAUAUAUUAAAAGUAAUAUAAGGUGAACCAGGAGCAAGGUAAAUAUGCUAGAAAAUUGCACGUUAAUUAGAAAUUACUAGCCCUCGAUCUGGUAAAUCUUAACAAAUAGAAUUAUCUUCACCGUUAGAUUUAUGUAACAUAUAUAAUGCUCUGGGCCUCCAACGACUGUACGUGACACAUCUGAAUGAACAUAUGUUAAAGAAAAUAUAUUUGGUAAAUGGUGGGCCUGUUUAAAAAGAGAACUCACGUACAUGCACCAACUAAGAAAAACACAUACAUGUAAACGGGAAAAGGAUGAGAUUUUCUCACGUACGUGCUCCCUGGCUCCACCCCGUUGAAAAAAUAUACAUCUGGAGGCCACUUUGUUUCCUCAUCAAAAAAAACUUACGUUAAAAAGAUUGCAUGCAUCCCAGGGAAAAUAGUCAAGAAGAAGUCGGACUUUUCCUUACAAAAACAAGGAACGUGUUAAGUUGACUUCAAAGAAAAAAGGAACAUGUUAAGUUAAAAAAAA
This 574183-nucleotide long non-coding RNA is filed under the name Triticum aestivum (bread wheat). RNAcentral describes it as "long non-coding RNA (TAES_LNC009704)". The stretch from base 11689 to 11774 matches the Rfam family "MIR1120/MIR1122 microRNA precursor family". The record is from RNAcentral. Lineage: Eukaryota; Viridiplantae; Streptophyta; Magnoliopsida; Poales; Poaceae.